GGAAUGCAUUCAACCUUCGGUAUCCUCAAUGAUAAUACGGCUAACUGAGACAACGAAUUUAGUUCUUUUAGGCUUGCAUUCAUUCCUCCUGUGCUGUCACAUCCAACAACAUCCCAUCCAUCAAAUCUGCAACCCCCGAUCAACAGCUCUUCUAACUUCUUCAACCUUCCAAUCAAAUUCACAGGGAUCCUUCUUAGCCUGUAACAACCUGUCACAUCCAACAACCUUAACUCCUUGAGCUCUCCUAUUUCAUCAGGUAAUUCUUCAAUGGAUGAGCACCACAUAAGACCAAGUAUCUUAAGUCUCUGCAGCUUUCUCAACCAAAUGAGGUCCUUGCAAUUACACGAGAUCAACACCAACGAUUGAAGUUUCGUUGAGAGUUCAAGUGAUUGCAAUGACAAACACCCUCCCUUCAGAGACAAAACUUUAAUUUCUUUCAUCCCUUCAAAGAACCUCUGAGGAACAUUCAAACGAUUAUCCAGUUCUAAUAAUAGAACUUUGAGCUGUGGACAUACCAAUCCUUCAGGAAGUUCUGCUAGUUGAUUGCCCAUUAACGAAAUUGUUGUACAACCUUCAAAGCUUGUAUCGCUCAUUGGCCACUUCUCUAACCGUAAGCCAGCCUUUACCAUGAAUCCAUAUUCUUCUGAUGCUAUGUGAAUAGCAACAUCACGAACAAGGUCAUGCAUUUUCACAUGUUCUUCAGUUUCAGAGCCCAACACCAUGCAACAAUCUUUGAGGUUUUCGAUUGCCACAGAAACACGUUUCCUUGCAUCUUCAAUGGGCUCCGUGUCGUGAUGUAACCCAUAGUCAACUGCAUAUCUCGUCAAGUCCUGGAUUGGAAUGUCAUAGUCUUCUGGAAAUAAACAGCAUAGCACGAAACAUGACUUGGUUUCCUUGAGCUGCAAAUAAUCAUAGCUCAACUUAAGACAUGUAUAAGCAUUAUUUUUUUCGUCAAUUUGUUCCAUGCAAGCAAAUUUAGAUUCUUUGAGCUGUCUACACGCGAAUUCCCACUGAAGUGCAGAUUGAUCUCUUAGAGCCCUUCCCACUGUCACAAGUGCUAUGGGCAAGCCUUGACAUUCUCUCGCAACCUCCCUUGCCACUGUGUUCAAGGUAGGGUGCCCAUCAAGUAAAUCUGCAUUGAUUCUGAAUAAAUCCCAUGCUUCUUUUUCAGGUAAUUCUCUUAAGAACACCUUUUGCUGGCAUUUCAUAGAAGAACAUACAUUUGUACGACGUGUUGUUAGAAGUAUUUUACAACCCCUGUGAUCAUCACCAAAUGGGAUCCCUAUCUCUUUCAAGUCAAUAUCUUUCCAAACAUCAUCUAGGAUAAUAAGCAUCUUCUCCACUUGCUUCAGUCUCUUCCGUAAUAGAUCUGCUCUCCCUGGAUUAGUAUUCUUUUCUUUAAUAUUCAUCAGUUCUAACUUAUCUGCCAUUAGGUGCUGAAUGUCUUUGACAAUUGGAUUCUGCGACACCGUAGCAAUCAAAACUUCAUCAAAAAGCUGCGACUCUCUGGCUAUCGUGCCUACUUCUUUCACCAGGGUGGUUUUGCCCACCCCUCCCAUGCCGUACAGUCCGAUCAUAUUGACAUUGUCAUCUUUGAGAGCUUCCAUAAUCUGUUUGAAAGCUUCUUCUGACGAUUUUGAGGGCGUGAAUUCCUUUGAUGGAAGAAAUUCUAUGGGCUCAGGAUGAGCUCUGUGGGACACUUUUGUAGACUUUUUUUCUAAAAGUUCUCUGAAAGUCUCCGACUUCUUGGCCAGUGCCUUGCUUAACUUGAAUUGUCGCAUGCAGUUUGGACACCAAGUGAAGCAUUUGCCAUUUUUUCCUAUUUCAUUUUCCAAGGGUUUCGCAUCUUCAAUUUCGUUGUUUGCAUCUCCCAGCCACUUUUUGACAUCUUCGUAAAUUUCUUCAGCAUUCCUGUCAGCAGCUUUGACAUCGUCUUGCAGACGUUCUUUUUCCGAAACCAGCUGCUCCUUCUUUUGUUUGAAUUCCUUAACAAAAUCGUUGAAACAGAACAUGUAACGCAACUGCCUUCCUACUGGUUCCACCAUGAGUUCUGCAAUCUUAGAUAUAAUGGAUCCACCCACACUUUCGAUAGCCAUUUUCCACCGACCUGAAAAUCAGAGAAAUAAGGAUACACAGAACGUGAGAGUGAGUCACUACAAGUAAAACAGGCGCAGAGAGAAUGGGAAUAGGAAUUUCAUUACCUUAACUUGAGAAAAUAUGUGCGAAAAGCACUGGUACUGAUUGCUCAAUGAAAUGGAGAAGGCCUUUAGCUCUGUAUGGAAUCCAGCUUCAAAAGCAACAAGGCAAGGUAUAAGGAUUCUACUGACACUUGUGAGUUAAAGCAGUAAUUCCCAUUAAAAAUGCAUUUUGAUGACAUAAUUAAGAUCAUAUAGAGACAGUGACAAACAAAAAAGAAAGAAACGAGUGAAAGGUCCAGGAUAAUCACUCAGCCCGCUUCCAACCACAAAUAUAAUUAACUAAUCUAAGCUAUGAUCGGUCAAAGUCAAAGUUUUUUUUAGUUUUAUUCUUUUUUUAAAUAAAAAAAACAGGAAAAGACUUGCAAAGAAAUAGAAUUACUGGAAUGAACACAAUAAAGGAUGAAGCUCAAGCAAUUAAAAAUAAAUUAUCUAUGAUGAUCAUCUGUUUGUCACACUCAAUGAAGUAACAUGAUUGACCUUUUACAAUAUUAAAUAAAUAAAUAAAUAAAAGCUAAAAGAACUAGGUUUUUGGUGGCAUCCAGAUUGCGGUUACUUUCUUCAUCCUUCUUUUGUGGUUUUAUUUUAUUUCAGUCCUUCAAAUCUUUUUCUUUUGCUAUUUCAUCGAGUUGCUUUGCUCGAGUUGAUGUGCUUGCCCUAGAAUAUGCAUCAUGCUAGGGAUUACAAUUACAUUACAUAAGAAAUUAUACUUACAGAUUAUAAUUAAAAAUUUCAGUUUUUUUUUAAAAACAAAUUUAUGAGAGAGUACCAAUUUACAACGUGAGUAAAUGAAAGGAGAAUUUUAAAUCUUUUUGUGACAUGGUGACCAGCUGAUCCAAGUAACCAAUAGAUUAUCACCACUUGUUCAACCUAUCUGCACAUUAAGAUAGGGGUAGUCAUAACUAUGACUAGGAGUGAGCAAAAAAACCGAAAAACCGAUUUAACCAAGAAAACCAGAAAAAAAUUAACCGAAAAAACCGAACCGGUAAAAAAAACCGAUUGAACUGGUUAAAAUAUUUAGGAAAAUGUCCGGUUCGGCUUCCGGUUUUGGUGUGCCUAAACCAGCCAACCCGAACCGAACCGAACCGGUUCGGUUUAGGAAUGAAAAAAAAAUAUAAACCAAGCGGGUCGCCUCCUCCCAUUACUUUCCCUUUCAACAACCCUAGCAGACCAUUUAUUUGUUUUCCCUUUCACACAGCCGCCCCCUCCCCUCCAACCCUUUCAAUCUUCAUUCACACUUCACAGACAUAGCCGCCCCCUUCAAUCACCCCUACUCCCAUUAACAGCCGCUCCCUCCCAUUAACAGCCGCCUCCUCUUCACCAGUCAACGAGCUUAGGCUAUUCUCGGACAACCAUUCUUCGAAUCUCGAAAGAAACCGCCGUGCGUGUGAGGUGGCGAAACUGUUACCGCUUCUAGAUCUUCUUCAAUCUAUUGCUUCUAUCAAAGCCGAUUACAUCGCUCAGGUAAUCUUGUCAUGUAAUUACAUAUUUAAUUAAUUAUUGCUUGUUGAUUUUAUAUUGUUUCUAUUUUUCAAUUUUGAUGUGUUAAUUAUUUUGAACAAUGUAAAAAUAAAGGUGGACGAAAGAACACAAUUUGGAAAGGAAAUUGGAAUCGUUGUCCCUGUCUCAGAUUCUCAAAAGACAAUCAAUCGCAAACAGUAUGUCCUCCAUUUUUUUUUCUUCUUUUCUUUCUCACUGGUAGAUUGGAAUUUGAAACUGCCAACAAAAGUUUGUAUUCGAAGUUAGCUUUUUGAAAAUUGACCCUAUUAUAUAUUUACUGUGGCUUAAGCUUUGAGAUAUUGCAUGAUUAUGAAUUAGUUUAUAUGAGUUGAAACUUGAAACAUAGUCUGACAAGGAUGGAUUAACCAAUUGCUGGGAAAAUAGUUUUCAAAUCUCUUUGAAAAAUGUCUGAUGCUGCGACAUAAGUCACAUAACAGACUCGAUUUGAAGGGAAUCUUUGAGAUAUUGCAUGAUUAUGAAUUGGUUUAUAGAAAUUUGCUGGAUUGAUUUUUUUUCUUUUUCUUUUUUAAAAGGGAAUUUAAUUAAAAUACAUUUUUUUCAUCUACUUUUUAAGUUUAAAUCUUAGAAUUAAUAUCCAAAAAAUUUCACCUUUGCUCGCUAAAAUAUAAUUUUAAUCUUAACAAAAAACUAUAUCUUAAAAUUGACUGUGUUGCUAUCCAACUAAGAAAUUGACUCAAGUGGCUUAGUGAUAUAUAGUGGGGACAUUCUAUUUUAGACAUGCAGCUUGUUGCCUUGUUCUACUUUAUUCUAUAAUCUAUUUGAGAAAAAUGUUGUUUAUUUCUUCUAGACACUUUAGUCUUCCAAAUUUCAGUUGUAACCAGCAAGCAUAGAGGUUAUGAUAGAGGUUAUGUAUUGGGAAGAUGAACUAUCUUUUUAUUUGCAGUGGCUGUGAAACUCUCUUUCUGUGUGUCUCUGUCUCGUGUGCGUGUGUAUAUAUGCACCUGUAAUUCUUGCUUCUCUCCAGUUCCUUUCGUUUGCAAGUUACUGUUGCUAGAGUAGGUGCAACUAGUUCUUUCCUCUACAAGUCGGGUUUGGUAAGAUUGAUUAUAAAGAAAAAGGUAUUGGUAAUGCACAAUUUGAUUUUAGUGUUGAUGUUAAGUGUGGCUUGUUUUAUGAUGGAUAAUUAUGUUGACAAUAUUGGGCUUCAUGAAUGAUGAUGCCAGUUUAUUUAUGGUCUUAAUAAGCUAUAUUACUGCUGGAUUUGUGCUCUUUAUUUAUAUGGCAAAUUCUUAUUCAAAUCUUUGAUAUUUAUCGCUAAUGAAACUUCAAUCUUGCCUCAAGUUGUCGACCAAGUCAAAAUUCCUCCUACAAGUAUACAAUAUUGUUUUAUUAUAAUGUUAUAAUGUUAUCGCUAAUGAAACUUCAAUCUUGCCUCAGGUGCUCUUUAUUAUUAUAUUGAUAUUAAAAAUAAUUUUAAAAAAUAAAAAAAAUAUUAUUUUAAAAUAUUUUUAAAAUAAAAAAUAUUUUAAAAAACAACUAUUUAUUCAAGGACUUAAAAUAAAAACCUUAAAAUCACGGCAUGAUAAAAGGAGGAAGAAAGGAAUGGGACAAAGAAGGAAGAAAAUAAGGUCAUGUAGGGGGCCAGUCUUGUAUAAAAUAGAAGAUGAAAAUUAGUAUGAAAAAGAGGCUAUUUGUUUUUUUACUGUGUCAGAGUGGUUUUUAUAAUUAUAUUCAAUUUAUUAAAAUAUUAAAUUAAUAUAUUUUUAAAUGUUUCUUGUUAUUAUAUAUAUAUAUAUAUAUAUAUAUAUAUAUAUAUAUAUAUAUAUAUAUUCUAAUAUGUUUUUAAAUAAAAAAUUAUUUUAAAAAAAUAUGUGUCACAAUACUAAAUUAUAGUAUAAAUUAAAAUAUAAAAGAGUUCUCUGUUUAUUACUAUUUACCGAGACUUAUUUUAUUGUAGAUAUUAAUAGUGAAUUUUUUUAAAAUUUUUAAUUUGGUAUUUGAAUUAUUUUUUUUUCAUAAUUAAAUAUCUUUAUACCCAAAUUAAAACUCAAUUGCAUUUUGUUUUUUAAGAAUAAGAGUUGAAUUCAAAGAUAAAUGCCUGUAAUGAAAAACUCUGUAAAAAUAUGCGGCAACAUUGUAAUUGUUUGCAAAGUUCAUUUUAGUCCCUUAUCUUUUUGAGCUACUAAGUAACAUGUCCCUAUAAUUUCUCAACAUUACAUUUUAUCCAGAAUCUCGGAUUAUGCUUUAGGGACUAAACUGAAUUUUUUAUAAAUUGAGAGACCAAACUGAAAUUUUAUCAUCUUCAAUCUCAAAUCUAAAAUUUUCACAUAUCACCUACUGAUAUAACAAGAUUUCUAACUCAAAUUCACCAUUUAAACAAACCAUAACUCAAAAUCAUCAUUUUUACUUAAAAUCUUUCAAAAUCAACUAAAUAACUCAUUAUUCAUAACAAUCAAUACAUAAUAUUCAAAUCAAUUCAUCAAUCAAACCCAAAACACAAUAUUCAAAACCCUCAUAUUCAACAAAACAAAAAAUUAAAGCUAAGAAAAACACAUUUAUACACAUCAAAGCGUAAAUAUUCUUAUCUUUUAAUUUAUUUUCUCUAACUAUCUUAUCCUUUCUUUAUCUUUUCCUCUUUUCUCUUUUUCUUCUUUCACUCUCACGGUUUUUUCUCUAAGAAUUCAAAUCUCUCUUUUUUUUUUCUAUUUAUAUUUAUGAACUAUUUGUUCAAUUACUACAAUACCGUUCAUUUAUUUAUACCUACUUCUAAGCCUCCAUGAGUUUUGUUGUCUUUUUCUAUUCUCUUUUAUUUCCAAAUCAUCACAAUAAAAUUGUUUUCUUUUUAUUUAGCUGCUAAUUUAUGCAGCUUUAGCUCUUGUUCUCUUUUCAUGUUUAGCAACUCUGAUCUGUUCCUUUCUUUACAUGAUAUAAGAGCAGGUUCUUACCUCUUGAAGUCUGCUGGAUAAACCUAUCAGCAGAAGAUCCUGAAGCGAUCCCAAAUCACAGCUUCAAUCCCCACCACAACCAAUCUCCUCUUUCCCGUAGUCUGUCGUCCUCAAUUGGGAAAUGAUCUCAAAAAAUCACUUGAUGCAACAAGUAGGGUAGAGAAAUAUAAGACUUCAACAAAGAAUCAAACUCAAAAAAAUAAAAGUAAUUGUCUAUGAGAAGCAUUUCUGUGUCACACACUCAAGUAAUAUGAUUGACCUAUUACAUUAUACAAAAUAAUAAUAAUAAUAAUAAUAAUAAUAAUAAUAAUAAUAAUAAUAAUAAUAAAAGAACUAGGUUUUUGAUGGCAUCCAGAGUGCUGUUACUUUCAAACAAAGAGGCUUGUGCAUGCGGUGUUACGCUGUUCAUGUAGGCUAAGAUAUCCUAUGAAUACAAUUGUAAAAUCAUACAAUUGUAUUCUUUUUAUUAAGCUGCUAAUUUAUGCAGCUUUAGCUCAUGUUCUCUCUUCUUGUCUUGCUAUUCUGAUUUUAUCUUUUUCUUUGCAUGAUAUAAGAGCAGGUUCUUACCUCUUGAAGUCUGCUUCAAUCCCCGUAGUCUUCCGUCCUCAAUUGGGAAAUGAUCCAAAAUCAACAACCGGUUCGGAGAUAGUUUGAGUGAAAAGAAACGGCUGAAAGAUGAAAUGUGAAGGUUAUGGUGAGAAAUUAGAUGACAAACUUACUUUGUCCUCCUAAUGCUUUUGCUUUCAUUGUUUCGAAAGUAAAAGAGACAUAAACAUAAUCAGUGUGUUUUCUGUUUAGCAAUAGCUAGAAAGGUAUCUGCUUAAAAAGACCAUUGAACAAGGGAUGACCCAUUCAGCAAGGGAUUCUGCUAGGAAAACAUGAAAUUGUUCUUCUAUUUGAUAUUUGUUUCAAUCUUCUAAACAAAUAGUACAGCAUCAAGUCUCAGUCACCUAUUCACGAAAUUGUUGUAUUUCUAAUGACUAUGCUAAUAAAAAAGUUGAGCCAGCAUGACACAUGAAAUUCAAAAAUAACAAAAUAACAUGAGAAAAUAAAUAUUUAUAUUAUAAUUAUGCAUCUUAAAAAAUCACUUGAUGCAACAAAUAGGAUAGACUUCUAGGAAAUUCUUUCACUGUAAAAUGGCUGAAGGUUCUUUUAUGAACAUUUAUAUUAAAAAAUUGGGUCAAUUGAUCUUUGUUAUUUAACAUGAAUAAAGUGUUGAUUUAGUCUUGUAGUUAUUAUAUCAAAGUUUUUAUUAGUUUAUGCACGAUCCCUUAUUUUACUUGCUUUAUUUUUUUUAAACCCAGCUUAGUUUCAAUCUCGAAUCUAUCGGGUCCCACUACCAGAUAUUCGCUAAAUACCAACGGAUUUACCGACGAAAUAUUUUCUGUCGGUAUUUUGAGGUCGAAAUUACCGACGGCCACUUUCCGUCCGUAAUUCAGUCGGUAAAAACCGACAAAAACUUUUCCGUCCGUAAUUCAGUCGGUAAAUACCGAUGGAAAUUUUCCGUCGGCAUUUACCGACUGAAUUACGGACGGAAAAGUUUCUGAAUUUUAAAAAAGGCGGGUCGCUGACGUGGAGGUUUUGGCGGGUUUUUUUUUUCCGACGGAAUCACCAACGGAUUCAAAAACGACUGCCCGUACAGUGCCCGUAAAGUGAUGUGACCGGUUCACCGUUUAAAUUUCCGACGGACUCACCGAGGGAUUUGAAAUGGCAGAUCCGUACGGUGACAUGUCUAUGUUUCCGUCAGAAUCACCGGCAUAAUAACCGACGGAGUGUCCGUCGGUAAAACCGUCGGAAAAAGUUAAUAUAUGACAGCUCUGCCGACCCUCUCAUCCCCUAUUUCUCCUUCUUCUUCCUCAUCCCAACUCUCCCCAUCUGCAAACAACCAGCCCCCCCUCCCCCCUAAAAAAAAAAAAUCUUCCUCAUAUCAGCACAAGAAGUUAUAUUUCUUGAAGUUUUGUGGUCACGGCAUCCGCGCGUGUUCUGAUUUAUCGACGGAUUUUAUCAAUUUUUGUAAGUAAUUAUAUCUUUUUAAAUUUUAACAUUUAAUUAAAUGUCAAUUUUAUUGUUUUUUUAGUAUAUGUAUUUUGUUAGUAGAUGUACAUGUUUUAUUGUUAUUUCUCAAACAAACUUGUAGUAUAUGAAUGUAUAAUUUUGUACCUGUUAUGGUUUGUUUUAGAUUUUGUAAGAUUGUAUUUGUUUGUAAAUUAUUAUUUCUUUAUGGAAUUACCGAAUUACAUGUGCUAUUUUGAAAUAAUUAAUAGCUUGGUUAAUGGGCCCGUUUAAAGUUUUAUCAAUGGUAUUGUGGAGUGGUAAUUUCUGUAAAUUUAUAUUUUUUAAUUCGUAUGGACGUUGAUAAAUGAUAAUGAAUAUUUAAUAUUUAUGAGAAGUUGUGAUUGGUUUGUUGGAUAAUCUCGAGUUAAAGUAAUAUUUGUACAAGUUUAUUUACCUAACUUAGUUAAUUAAUACAUGAUGUCAUCAUAAUUUUAUAGAGGUUCGAUAUAAGUCAUGGAUGAUCGUUCAUGGAUGUAUCGAGAUUCACCCCAAGGAUUGCGGAGGAUGGAUUAUUGUAAUGGGGUUCAGGGUUUUAUUAAUUUCGUAACAUUUAUUCCCAGAAAUUUUACUGGAGGCGGUAUUAGGUGUCCAUGCAGGAAGUGUGAAAAUAAAAAGUAUUUGCAUCCAGAUGUUGUAAUGAUACAUCUUCUACACAAAGGGUUUAUGGAGAAUUACCAGUGUUGGUAUGCACAUGGAGAAGUAUUUGUUAGCGAGAGUGAGAGGAGAAUGGAAGAAACGGUGGUUGGGUCUACUUCUAGUGCUAGUAACGUGCAUGAAACGGCAAAUGACAACACUAAUCCUUACAGAAAUAUGGUUAUGGAUGCAAUGAGAAUGAAUCAAGGUAAUGGCAGUCAAUGUCCAAUCGUAGAAGAAGAACCUAAUGUAGAUGCAGCUAGGUUUUUUGAUUUGUUGAAAGAUUCUGACGAACCAUUAUGGGAUGGCUGCACGAACCACAGUAAAUUAUCGGCUGUAGCACAGGUGUUCACCAUCAAGUCAGAUCACGGGUUGAGUGAGGCCGGGUAUGACAAGAUUAUUGAAUGGGCAAGAAGCAUUUUACCUGAAGGGAACAGGCUGAAAGAGAACUUAUAUGCUGCGAAGUUCAUGAUGAAACCCCUCGGUUUAGGAUACCAGAAAAUUGACAUGUGCCCUAACUUCUGCAUGUUAUACUACCUUGAAAAUGCUGAGAUGACUGAGUGCAUGACAUGCGGGCAUUCCCGUUACAAACCUAGAACUGGCAGGGGAAAGACUCUAGUGGCAUAUAAAAAACUUAGAUACUUCCCGAUCACACCUAGACUGCAGAGGUUAUUCAUGUCACCAAGGACUGCUGAGCACAUGACAUGGCACCAAGCACACCAUGCGGUUGAUGGAGUGAUGGUUCAUCCUUCUGACGGCGAAGCGUGGAAACGCUUUAACAGUGUUCAUCCUCACUUUUCAGCUGAAUCAAGGAAUGUGCGUCUUGGGUUGUGUACAGACGGAUUCAACCCAUUUGGGUCAUUUGCUGCUCCUUAUUCUUGUUGGCCGGUCAUACUCACAGUUUAUAACUUGCCACCGGGAAUGUGUAUGAGGCCGGAGUUCAUGUUUUUAUCUAUUGUCAUACCCGGUCCAAGAAGCCCGGGGCGGAAUAUAGAUGUUUGUCUUCGACCGUUGAUUGAUGAGUUGACGCAGUUGUGGUCCUCCGGAGCUCUGACUUAUGAUAUAUCGAGGAAACAAAAUUUCCUUAUGAGGGCGGCAUUGAUGUGGACUAUCAAUGAUUUUCCAGCUUAUGGAAUGCUUUCUGGUUGGAGCACGCAUGGGAAACUCGCAUGUCCAUAUUGCAUGGAAAACAACAAGGCAUUCACGCUAGCAAAUGGAGGUAAAGCUUCUUUUUUUGACUGUCACCGUCGCUUCUUGCCACUUCAUCACAGGUACAGAAAGAACAGAAAAGAUUUCUUUGCUGGCAGAGUUGAAAAAGAUGUUGCAUCCCCGCGUCUUUCUGGUGAAGAAUUGCAUGAUGUUGUCUUAGAGUACGGUGACAUUGUGUUUGGCCUUCAAUCAGGAAAGCAAAAGUUUCCUGGUUUUGGUUUGACCCAUAAUUGGGUAAAGCGAAGUAUCUUUUUUGAGCUUCCUUAUUGGAAGACCAAUCUGCUUCGCCAUAACCUUGACGUCAUGCACAUCGAAAAGAACAUGUUUGAGAAUAUUUUCAACACCGUCAUGGAUGUGAAGGGGAAGACAAAGGACAACAUCAAGGCUAGAUUGGAUAUAGCUUUAUACUGUAACCGAAAAAAUAUGGAGUUGGUUUAUGAUGAGUCACGGGUCGCAAAACCAAAAGCAAGCUUCGUGUUAGAGAAAAACGCACAACUGCUAGUCUACAAAUGGCUUAAGAGUCUGCGUUUUCCGGAUGGACAUGCAUCGAACAUAUCAAGGUUGGUUAAUAUAGAGGACUGCAGAUUGUAUGGAAUGAAGAGUCAUGACUGCCACGUGUUUAUGCAAACACUCAUCACAUUAGCUUUUCGUGAUUUGUUGCCAAAGGGAAUAUGGGAUGCACUCACGGAGAUCAGUCAUUUCUUCAGAGAUAUAUGCUCCAGCAAGUUGAAUGUUGAUCACAUUGAGAGGCUUCAAACGAAUAUCGUCGAGACACUGUGCAAACUUGAGAUGAUAUUCCCUCCAUCAUUUUUUGACUCAAUGGAGCAUCUCCAUAUACAUCUAUCGUUCGAGGCAAAAGCUGGAGGACCGGUCCAAUAUAGAUGGAUGUACCCAUUCGAACGGUUAGAUAUUACAGUUGCAAUGUAAUUCAUAUAUAAAAGUAUUUUAUAUGUUUUUCUUAAUUGAAAAUACUUGAUUAAUAUUUCAGGUGCGGUCGCAGCUAGUUCGUCUAGCAGCGAGGAUGAUAUUUCCUUAGGUGCCUCUCAAGAAGAGGCACCUACACCACCUGCGCCGUCAACCGAUGCUGCCUCUUCCAGCGGUACUUCACAGCGCAGAGGCGGCGUGCCUUCGCAGCGGAAUCAAUUUACCCGCAAGUACGAGGCACAGUGGAAGGACGACCUUUCAAUGUAAGUUUGUUAAGGUUUUAGUUUUUUUUAAAAAAAAUUACAACAUAAUUUAUCAAGUAAUCACUAUUGAAUUUAUUUCAUUUAUUUUCAGGUUCACAAACAUUGAAGUCGCCCGAGUAAUAUCAUCGGCGUUUAAAUCGUCGAUGGAGAUUCCAUUGUUUCAAUGGAGUCAGAUAUCCAAGCAUCCUGAAUGGAUGCCUCAAAUCAAUGCAUGGUUUAACAGGUUUGAGGUUGGUAUUAAUUUAUAAUUUUCAGCUUAUUAAUAUAAUUGUAUUAUUUUUAUUUAAACUUGUUUAUUUAUACAAAGCACAAAUUCUGCUAGGACAUUGAGCAUAACGCUGUUGUGAGGAGGGUGUGGGAAAAUCACGCGGCAACUAGGUAAGAUCGAAAACAAUACAUGAUUUUUUUUAGACAAAAAUUUAUGUUUCGAAAUGUAAUUUUUGGUUGCGUGAAGCAGGUUGCGUGAUUUUUGGUAUGAAGCACAGAAAAAGGCAAAAAAAACCGCGAGGGAUAGGGGUUUCCAAGGCUGGAACGAUGUUGCGGUUUGGAGGGAUUUCAAACUGAUAUACAUCCCGGAAGAUAUAUGGCCGCACUAUCUUGAGCACGUGACGUCUGAGCAGUUCACACGACGCUCACAGUCCGGUGCUGGCAACCGGAAUCGACCAAUUCAUGGCGGGGUGAGAACUCACACUGGCAGCUCCGUUCCGUUUGCUGCACAUGCGAAACGGAUGGUAAGAUUAAUUUAAAUGAAAUAUAUCGUUAAAUUCAGUUGUUGUUAAUAUAUCUUUUUUCAUUAUAGGCUGCGUCUCUUGGACGUGAGCCGAGCCCGAUGGAGCUGUUUGUGGAGACGCACGUGCGGAGUCAAGACCGCCAGAAGGGGGCGCAACAGUUCGUUGAUAACCGUGCUCAGCAUUUCGUGGUAUGUUUGUUCAACCAUUUUAUUUUCUAAGUUAUUAUGUUUAUUGUAUUGAAUAUGAUGAUUACUUUUUUUAUUUUAUUUUCAGGAGACCUAUAAUAAUCGGUUGAGGGAGAGAUACGGGGACGAUACUUUGACCCAUCCGGAAUUCGAUCCGGAUUUGUGGAUGGAGGUUGGCUCGUCAGGUGGACCAGAUAAAAAUCGGGUUUACAGCCUCUCCAACACUACGGCCGACAACUUGCGGUCGACCCAUAGUGUUUCAACCGUUGGGAACUCCCAAUCAAUAGCGAGCUCCCAAUCUAAGGAGUUUGUGGCUUUGCAGCAACUCAACGAGAAAUACGACAACCUACAAGCGGAGUACGCACAACUCAAAGCAUCUCAUGCACAACAAAGAGCGGAGUCUGAGCAAUUCAAAGCGUCUCAAGCACAACAAAAAGCGGAGUAUGAAGCGGCUCAUGAACAGCAAAAAGCGGCUUAUGACCAGCUUUACGAAAUGAUUAUGAAAUUGUCAAAUAGCGGAACAUGUGCGCCUAAUCCUUUUUGGCCGUAUAACCACCAGCCUCCGCCCGGAUCUCCUCCUCCUCCUCAAGCUCCAUCAUCUUUAUAUUAAUUUGUAAUCAACAUUAUUUACCUUUAAAACUUCAUUUAUUAUUUUUCUUGAAACAUAUUCAGUUUGUAAUGAAUAUUAUUUAACUUUUUUUUUUUAUGUUUAAUAAAAAUUUUAUUUGCAUAAUUGGUUUGUAUAACAAUUAAUUUAUAUAGUUUUAUAUUAUAUAUCCUAAAUAAUUUUUUAAAAACAAAUUAAGAAAAAAACUAUUACCAAGGAUUUUACCGACGGAUGAAUUCGGUCGGUAUUUUAAACUUUCACCGACAAACUUACCGACGGAAUUAAUCCGUCGCCAUUUAACAGUAGCUUCCACCAGUACCGACGAAUUUACAGACGAAAAUAUUCCGUCGGUAUUUCAUACAUUCACCGACCGAUAUCACGACGGAUAUUUUCCGUCGGUAAUUUCAAUUUCACCGACGGAAUGAAAAUCCGUCGGUAUAUUUCAAGCGGGAAUCUUUUUUUUUUGGCGCGCACGUUCCGUCUGUAAAACCGUCGGUAAAUGAUUUUUUUGUUUUUCCGACUGAUAUACCGACGGAAUGAGGAAUCACCGACGAAGGUAAAGCCGACAGACGUAUUCCGUCGGUAAAAAAAUCACCGACGAACUUCUAAUCACACACCGACGGAAUUUUGCCGCCGGUAAAACUGUGAAAUCUUGUAGUGUCCUGGAUCGACCCAUAAAGCCAAACCAAGUUUUAAAACUAUGUUAUCUUAGCAAAUUUAAUUAUCCCAAUUCUUAAUUUUCAAUUGAAAAUGCUAAAGAAUUCCCCACUGGGAGCAAAUAAUAAUAUGUUAAGCAUGACAAAUUUUAUUUAAAUUAAAAAGCCAAAAAUGAACGCAUCUACUCUUGCAAGAAUGGACUCAAAAGUUCAGCUAGUCCGCAUAAUUAAAUAGUACUGUUACUGUAAACUACUAGGAAAUUCAUGGGUAGAGCCAAAAUGUUAACAAUAGCAUUGAUUCGGUCAGGGGCUCUGGUGUAUAGAGAGGACCUUGCCGUUAGAAACUAUGGAGCCCACUAUUUAUUAAUCCAUUUUUAUUUACUACUUAUUACUAUUUAAUUAUUUUUAUUUACUAUAUUUUUGUUUGUGAUACCCAGUACCAAUAAAAUUUGAGAUUCCUUCAAUUUUUUAGGUGCAUGCAAGUCUAAUGGCUUCAUGUACAAAAGCAAUUCAAGGGUGUGUAUCCUUAACUAUCAGGCUAACCUUUACAGGCUUCGCUAGCAAUCAAUAAUUAUUUUUUAAUGAAUUCAUUUUUUAUUUAAAAUAAGGAAAAGGACAUUGGUGAAUAAAUUGUUUCCUUCCUAUUAUAAUUGUUAGACCUUACCAAAGGGCUAAUUUAGAAAAAGAUUAUAACUUAUAGGUCACCAGGGCCGAGGUCAACUUGUAAUUAAGUAGAUCAAUUUAAAUUAAUUGUUUUUAUUUAAAUGAUAAUGUUUUGUUUUUUUUUCUUGAUAUUAAUUUGGCUAAUUUUUAUCAAAUCAAAUCACUAAAAACUUAACCAAAACAAAUUUCAUCAAAUCAAUAAUAUUUUAUGUAGUUGAAUUAAAAAUUCAAUUCAAUUCUAGCUCUGAACCCUGAUUAAGCAUACAGGUUUAAAAAAUAUGCAUCUCACUUGCAGCUGUGGUUUGCUGCGGGCAUUUGGUAAUUGGGAGAGGCUUUAGUUUCGUACCUGUUGAUCUGCUUCAUAUACACUUGGACCUCUUAUUUUAUUUUAUAUUGGUUGGAUCCAAACUUAAUCCAAUACAAAAUUAACAUAUUUAUUAUUUAUUUAAGAUAAAUGAUAUGGCUUUAACAUAUUAGCGUACACUUAAUAUGAUUAAAUUUAAUUUAAUUAAUUAACAUCUCACCGCAAUAAAUUUUACCAUUUGCAACCAUAAACAGUUGACACCUUAUUAAUAUAAUCAAUAUAGUAGAAAAAUUAUAGUGAUUUAAAACAAUUCAUUAAAAUGUUCGUAAAUGUUUUUAUUUUGUGAUGAUGGUUUUCGUGUUAUCUUUUAUGUAUUGUCGCUACCGUACAUGAACGCCUGACAUGAGGGUUAUUUGAAAUCAUUAUCUAGUUAUUUAGUUUAAGGUCACUAAGAAACCUAUAAAUACUAGUCUUGUUAGAGAUUUGAGAGUAAAUGACUAGUUGUGGCUAAAGAAUGUAUUAACACUCUUAAUGCACCCUACCCAAGUAAAUUAUUUUGUGAUUAAACGUGGUUUAGAGAUUUUGAUGAUUUUCUGAUAUAUCUAUAGUUUAGGAUUGGGAUUUGCUUGUAUGAAUAAAUUUGGUGUUUAAUAAUUUAUCAUGGAUUCUUGUACCCAGAUAAAUUCUUAGAAAAAAAAGUUCUUCAUAAUUUGUGUACGUAUUACGGUAAAAAUUACUCUCAAUAAAAAUUCAUGAAUAUUUAGAAUAACUUUGAGGAUUUUCUAAUCAACUUCAAUAUUUCAAAUAUCAGCCUCACUUAUAGGUAUAGCGUUUUAUAUCAAUAUUUUUAACCAUUAAUUCUCAUUAAUUAAAAAAUAGUGGUUUAUUAAAAUAUUGACCAAAUUCACAUGAAUUUAAUAAACUAGUUAUUAAAUUUUAAAAUGCAUAUACAUAUAUAAUAUUUUAAUUUGUUUUUAAAUAAAGAAUAUUUUUAAAAAGCAUGUGCCAUAAUACCAAAUUAUAGAAUAAAUUAAAAGAGAAAGGAGUUUUCUCUUCAUCACUAUUCACUUAUAUUCAUUUUACUAUGGAUAUUAAUAGUGAAUUUUUUGAAAAUUUCCAAUUUGGUACUCAAUUAUUUUUUUUUCACAAUUGAGCUCUUUUAAAUCCAAAUUAAAGCUUAAUUGCAUAUUUUUUCAAGGAUGAGGGUUGAAUUGAAAAACAUAGGACUGAAGUGAAAAACUCGAAUAAAAUAAGUUGUGGUUUUGCAAUUUGUUUGCAAGUUCAUUUUAGUCCCUAUAAUUUUUUAUCAUUGUAUUUUGAUACCAAACUUUAUUUUCUUCUGUUUUUAGUUUUUUUGUGUAAGAGAGAGAGAGAGAGGAUCACCAUAUUUUGUUUUAGAGAGAAAAAGUUAUUUUUAAGGAUUGUGACCACCAAAACAAUUGAUUUUUGUGUUAAAUUGUUAUGUCUUAAUUCAACAAGGUUCCUUGAAUGUUUUCUAGGUGUUUUGGGUUAAAAUGGGUUGAAGACAGGUUUUAGGUUAUAAUUAGGUUUUUUACCAAAUUGAUCAAAUUUUUUUAAAAAAAAAAACAAAUCAAGAAGAGAAAAAGACUUGUAAAAAAGUAGAAUUACUGAAGGAAGCUCAACAAAGAAUCAAACUCAUGCAAUUAAAAAUAAUUGUCUAUGAUGACCAUCUCUGUAUCACACAUUCAGGAAAUAUGAUUGACCUAUAACAAUAUUAAAAAAAACAAAAAAAAAAUAAGCUAAUAGAUGGUCGCCACGUGUUCAACUUUAUCUAACCUUAGCAAAGGAUAGAAAGUGGGAGAGAGAGAGAGAGGUUAAAAGGAUUAAGAAAAAGAAAAAAGGAAAGGCAGAAACGGAAGAAGACAUUGAAAGAAAGAAAAAAACGAUAAGUUAUUUAACGUCUUUUUAGGGGGGGAAAAAAAAGCUUGUAACACCGUGCAGACCAAACAGAAGAGACAUCUGUUUAUUUAAAGAAAAAAAAAAUAUAUAUAUAUAUAUAUAAAUACUCUCUCUUCCAAUUUCCUCUCCCAGCUGAAUUUCGGCGACCGCCCACACAACGAUAGCCUACACAACCACCAGCCAUGCCACCUUUCAAGACCCCAUCUCUCAACCUCAAAACCAAAAACAACUCUUUCUCCAUUUAUCCGAACCUCAUAACUCCAGGAAGGUGAAGGACUAAACCAUAGUGGCAAAAAUCUUAAAGGGUUCUAAAUUGUCUGUUACUUUCCCUUAAUUUUCUAGACAAGCAAAAGGAGCUAAACUUAUUCCCGACCAAAACGUCAAGAAUUUCAGUAGAACAAAAGAAGAGAUCAUUACUUGACCAAAAACAACUAGUCAGCACCCAAAGAAACCGAGUGAAUGAGAGAAAAUUAAAGAUUAAUAGCUAGAAAACAAUAAACAGAUCCAAGAAUUUUCUGUAUGGUUUCCAAGAAAAUGAAACGAAAUGAGCAGCACAACCCUCUUUCUCCUCCAAGAAAAGAAAGAAAAAGAAAGGAAAGAAACAAAGAAAGUCAAACUUGGCUCCUCUUUUAGUGUUAAAAAAAAAAAGAAGUUAGAGGAAGUGGGCUGCCUUUUUUCUGCUGUUCAUGUGGUGUUCUGCUGUUCACGCAGACUAAGAACUCCUACCAUCGUAAAAUCAUACAAUUAAAACACAACAAUAAUAAAGUAAUAAGCAGCUAAUUAUGUGCGAAAACAAGAGAAAUAAGGAUACAGAACGUGAGAGUGAGUCACUACAAGUAAAAGAGGCGCUGAGAGAAUGGGAAUAGGAAUUUCAUUACCUAAACUUGAGAAAAUUGUGCGAAAAGCACUGGUACUGAUUGCUCAAUGAAAUGGAGAAGGCCUUUAGCUCUGUAUGGAAUCCAGCUUCAAAAGCAACGAGGCAAGGUAUAAGCAUUUUGAUGACAUAAUUAAGAUACUAUGCGUCGUAAUAUAGAGACGGUGACAAAGAAUUAAAGAAAAAUAACGUGUACAAGUACUCACCAAGCAAAGAAAGAAACGAAUGAAAGGUUCGGGAUAAUCACUUAGACGCCUCCAUGGAUGAUACCAGCUCGCUUCCAACAACAAAUAUAAUUAACCUAAGCUAUGAUCGGUCAAUGUUUUUUUUAGUUUUCUUCUUUUUUAUAUAUAAAAAAAACAGAUCAUCAAGGGAAAAGACUUGCAAAGAAGUAGAAUUAAUGGAACGAACACAACAAAGGAUCAAACUCAAGCAAUUAAAAGUAAUUGUCUAUGAGUACCAUCUGUGUCACGCACUCAAGUGAGGAGAGAAAAGAAGGAGAAAGAAAGGAAAGGGACAAGGAAGGAAGAAAGUAAGGUCACGUAGGGGCCAGUCUUGUAGAAAUUUUGAAAAGUAGCAUGAAAAAGAGGAUAAUAGAGUAGUUGUCAGAAUCAAAACACAUCUAAACAGAGGACAAAAACAGGGAGGGAGGCUGUUUGUUUUUUUAACUGUGCCUGAGUGAUUUUUAUAAUUACAUUUAAUUUAAAAAAUAUUAAAUUAAUAUAUAUUUUUAAUAUUUCUCGUUAUUACAUAUAUAUAUAUAUAAUAUUUAAUAUAUUUUUAAUUAAAUUUUUUUUAAAAAAAGUAUGUGUCACAAUACAAAAUUAUAGUAUAAAUUAAAAGAAAAAGGAGUUUUAUGCUCAUUACUAUCCACUAGACUUGUAGAUAUUAAUAAUAAAGUUUUUGAAAGUUUUCGAUCUAGUAUUUGAAAUUUUUUUUUUUUUGCAUAAUUGAAUUUAUUUAAGCUUAAUUGCAUAUUUUUUAAAAGGAAAUAGGUUGAAUUGAGAAACAGAGAAACUCGGCAAAAAUAUGUGGUUAAAAUCAAUCCUUUUUAAAAAAAAAAAAAAAAAACUCCUUAGUUGUUAAGGAAAGAUUGGUAGUGUGAACAAAUCACCAAAGUCAGCAGCAAGGAAGUUCCAGGAAGUGGGCAGCCUGUUUCAGGGCUACCUGUUUUUGAGAAUUAUGGAAAGUUAUCCCUAACUCAAAAACGGCACCAAUUAUAAGUUCAUUAAAAAAAAUCUGGAACACAACAGAUGGAAAAAACUCGAAACAACUUGUAUAGAAUUUAGGCAAGAAGAAUGAGCCAAGAUUUCAAGUGCAAUGAAAUUUGUCUCACUUUGUUUUUUUAUUUAAUGAUACAAGAUAUACCGUCCUAUUUCAAGGGUAAAAUAGAAUGGAAUAGACAACCUUUAAAGGGAGCAUAUACCACAUAUGUGUAGCUGGAAUUCGAUAGCCUUUCUCCAAUGCUGACAUGUGCUUUACAUGCAUGCACCAACAUUUCACAUCGGCAAGUGAGGAUUUGGUAGCUCAUCUUAUUAAUAGUGUUGGUUAAUGACUUGUCAGACGCGUUUUGAGGUCAUGCGUGGUCAUCAAAAACAAAUUUGUGAGGGCGAUAAGGUCCAAAAUGGACAAUAUUUGACAAGUUGGAUCGGACUAUGACAUUUGGUAUCAAAGCUGGCCUCACUAACUAUCCAGUUGUGCUGAUGGGGUCAUUGAGCUCCUUAAGGGGGUGAAUUGUAAUAUCUCACAUCGAUGAAUGAGGAUUUAGAAGCUGACCUUAUUAGUAGUGCUGGUUGCUAACUUGUCAGAUGCGUUUUGGGGUCAUGCGUGAUCACAAAAAACAAAUUCGUGAGGAUGAUAAGGCCCAAAACGGACAAUAUUUGGCAGGUUGGGUCAGGCUGUGACAUAUUCGAUAAUAACUCUUCAAUUAAGUCCUAAAUCUCAUUUCAUCUUUUCAAUUUAAUCCCUAAUUUGACACCAACUCUUCAAUUAGACCCCAAAGCUCAUACCACUUGAGGAAAGCCCUCUUCUUUCAAUUUAGCCCCUCAUUUAUCUUUAAUUUAAUAUCGAAUUUUAUUCGAUCCAAGCCCAAAAUAGGCUCAAGCGAAGACAAAAUAAAGGAAGGAAAGAAAAUGAAUAAUUGCCCAACCAAGUUAACGUAUUCUGGUCUUUUCUCCAUGAUUCGGGUUGAACAUUUGACAUUUAUCCUUUUUUUAGAGGCUUUUCUCUAUGUUCGUUAUGACGCUGUACACGUGCGACAACCAUUAAAUCUAUAGUUAAUUUCAUUUUUUGAUAAAAGAUAAUGCCAUCAGUAUAGAAUGGUUACCAACUGUUAGUUUAAUAAGCCUUGUAUCCAAUCGGUUAGUUACACGAUAUAUUAUUAUAUUCAUGUAAAUACAUAUUUAUUAUUAAUAAAGGCUUAAUUUAACUUUAAUAUUCAUAUAAUAUUAGAUUAAUGAAUCUAGAGUGUCAUAACCCUUUUUGGGUUUUUCCCCAAAUUCAUUUUUUCUCUUCUAAAAAUUAAAAAAAUAUAUAUAUUUAGACUAAAAAAAAUAAUAACAGUGAGAAGGGGAUGCCAAAACGCCUGGAAAAUAACUAAAAAUUGGUUGAGGAGGUUUAAAAAUACAAGGAUUGAAAUUUGGCAGUAUAUCAUUGACUGAUGAGAGCCCGAUUGACAAAGAAAAUUCAAUUUGAGGAAGAAAUGUCUAAAAUCAGAUGUUUAUUGGACUCAAUUAAAUUUAUUAAAGGUUAAAUUGAGUUUAUAGAGGGUUUGAUUGCAAGAACAAUUGAUUUUGGAGUCAAUUUGGGCUUUAUUUGGAAGAAAUUAAAGUUCUGAGGUCAAAAUAUAAUUUUAAGGAGUUAAUUUGGUCAAAUCAGGGGCUUAAUUGCAUAAAUAUUGAAGUUUGAUGGCCAAUUAGGGACUGAAUUGAAGAAAUCUCAAACCAAGAACCAAACUGGAAAAGACACGUAAAUAGAGAGGCUGUAAUUAACCGAAUAAGGGGCUAAAUUAAAGAAAUUGGAAGUUUAUUUAUUAAUUAAGGGUCAAAUUGCAUACAUCAGAGACCAAGGACUAAAGUGAAAAAGGCGGCCAACUUCAGGGCCGACGAUUGAAUUUGACAGGGAUGCAAUUGAAUUGAUUUUUAAAAUCAAAAUAGCAAUUUAGGACUUGAUUGAAUAAAUCACAAAUUGAAGACUGAUUUGGACUUUGACACGAUUUUGCCGCCAUUUUCAUUUUGCUUAAUAUUGGUUUGUAUUUUAAUACUGUAAAAAUACAAAUCCGAUAUUAAAAUACUUGGUUUUUGUCAAAACAUAAAAUAUAUAUAUAUAUAUAUAUAUAUAUAUAUAUAUAUAUAUAUAUAUAUAUAUAUAUAUUUGUUUCAUGCAUACGUCCAAGUCUCUCAAAGAUAAAAAAAAAAAAAAAACCAUAUUGUAUUUUCAUACUACAAAGAAAACUUCAAAAAAAAAUAUGUUUUAACAUGCAUUUUGGCUUUAAUAACCAGUUUAUUAAAGUCACGAGAAUUUGGCAAAUAUUUAAAAAAUUUCAAAAAAAAUAUUUGUUUUUUUUAGUAUUAGGGAUUAUGAAUUUAUAUGUAAAAUGUAUUUUCAAUAUUAAAAGUGUUUUUCUUUUGAUGACAUAAAACAUUUAGGUGUUUACCUGAUAAGAUAAGAAUCUCUUUAUAGAGGAGGAUUUUUCUUAAACCAUAGAUAGACUGACAAUUAAAAACCACAACAAGACCUUAAAUUUUAUCAAACAACAAAACAAUGCAGCUUACAUUAGGUAGGGUGUAGUUGGGGUGCUAAUACCUCCCCUUUAUGCAACCAGUCUUCGUACCCGAUCUCUAAGACCAAUUAGGGUUCCUAGUGACCAAAAUACUAGGUGGAAACUCCCAUUCUAUUUUCCACUGAUAAAAGACAAGAAUUCCUUGUCUCCCCACAUUUACCAGAUAGAUAUACAUUUACUUGAGAGGGUGGACGUUUAUCGUGACACCGCACACAUGCGACAGAAUGGCGACUCCACAAGGUACCUUGUGGAUUAAUCUUUGUUUUUGUCUGAUUAUCGUGUUUUAUUGUUUGGUUUGUGUGUUAUUGUUAAUAUGCAUUUUCUCAUUUGCUCAUACGCUUUAAUUUUGUACAUAUUUGUUCAUGGAUUGUAUAAAAUUGUUUCAUGCAUCAUUCACAUUUUAUGAGAGUUUAUACUGAGAAAAACUUUAGGUUAAGUGGGGGACUAGUAGCUUACCUUACAAUUUUUAGUCGAGGUUUAAGUUUGUGUAAACCUCAACUCUUUGCUGAGUACUUAGAUUGAUAAUGAUUGGUACACAUGUCAUCUCAUUACCUAUUAAGCCCUUAUAUUGCCUUUACGAGGGUGAUCACUGGGACAACAAGAGACCCUUUUAAGACUAGGUAGAAAUGCACCCAUCAUGUAAUGGCCCAAAACCUAUCCUUAGAGUAUAAGCUCCCUAAUAUACAUGUACAUAUAUUUGCAUCCAUACAUACAUCAAUUCAUUGUAAAUAACAUACGUGCAUCAGAUUGAAAUAUAGGUCCCUAAAAAGUGUACAACACCCGACUUUGAGCAAGAAACAUAGAAGAUGGAGAGCGUGCUCACCGUGAUGCCUAUUUUCAAGAAGAGUUGGAGUCUCUGAAGACAAGCAUGGCUCGCCUUACUAGCUUACUCGAGCAAACACUGAGAAAUACCUCUGGUGAAGGCCCUUCUAACCGGCUAGUCACCGUCAAUUAGGCUUCAACUACAGUUUAGCCUGAAGAAAGAAUGAGUGAACAUGGUCAAGAGCCUUAAUAAAAUCCAACAUUUGUACAGUCAGCGACACUUGCAUUAGCCCCGACAGUCAUGAAGGUAUUUGCUAAUGAGUCCCAUAUGGCCAAUUCAUCUGAUAGCAUUGAUCAAGAUAAAAUACAGGCAUUGGAAGCCAGAAUCAAAGUCAUUGAAGGGGUAGACUUAUAUGACCCAGUUCGGGCAGCAAAGAUGUGUCUGGUCCCAAAUAUGGUUGUCUCGAAAAAGUUUCAUGUUUCGGAGUUCAUCAAAUAUAGUGGAAUACAAUGCCCCAUGACUCACCUCAAGUCUUACUGCAAUAAAAUGGCAGAGAUAGUACAUGAUGAAAAACUACUGAUGCAUUUUUUUAGAGAUAGUUUAAGUGGGGCAAUAUUGAGCUGGUACAUGAGAUUGGACAACACAAAAAUCUAGAGAUGGAAGGAUAUGGUGGUUGCUUUUGUCAAGCAGUACAAGUACAACAUGGACAUCACUCCCGACAGAAUCAACUUGUCCAAUAUAGAGAAAAAGGAUAAAGAAAGCAUAAGGGAAUACGUUUAAAGAUGGUGGGAAUCAGCUGCUCAAGUACAUCCCCAACUUCUGGACAAAAAGAUUGGCACUUUAUUUGCCGACACACUCAAGGCACCAUAAUGGGUAGUUUGGCCCAGCAAUUCACUAAUGCUGUGGUAGUGUGUGAACACAUAGAGCAAGGCGUCAAGAGUGGUAGAAUUUCUGCACCCAUUGAGAAUAGAGGUUUCGAAUGAAAAGAGGUUAACCAUAUUGAAGAUGGCUACAAGGGUAGGAAAAACUUAUCCCAAAACUACCAUACUUCAUCCCAAAUUGCCGACAUAAAAAAACCUGAGCCCCAAAACUUUCAAGCCAAAAGCCAAAUUAGAAAUUACCAAAGGGUCCAAGAACAACUACCUCCAUUACCGCUACCAUUAAAUGAGAUGUACCAGAAGUUAUUAAGCAUCAGACAUAUAGCUCCCGAACCUCUAGCACCUUUGCAACCCCCUUACCCCGGCUGGUAUAAGCCAGAGCUCACUUGCGAAUACCAUGCUAGUGUUGCUGGACAUGACAUUUAUAUUUGCAACACCUUUAAGAGAAAGCUUCUGCAAUUAAUUAAGGCAGGGUGGAUAGCAUUUGAAGACACUCUGAAUGUGAACACAAACCCUCUACCUAAUCAUGCUUAAAGCAGUGGAUUAGAAAUGCACUAGCAAUCGAAUGUUCGGGGAAUUUGAAAUCAUCAAUGGGCCAGGUAGGGUGCGAAAGGGUAGCAUAAAUUUUAAAGGACUCAAAUUCCAACCACAGUUGUUAUCCCCAUCAUCCCAAGAAUUAUUACAGGGAGGCUAGCCUAAAAGGAGAUUUACCAAAAUGAAAGGAUGAGGCCUGCCAUAUUAUUGCCUUUUGUUUAAUCAUGUUGGUUUCAACUAUUUCAGUCUUGUCGGUAAUUUAGCUCAUAAUGCCACAAGACUUUCUUUGUCAAAUAAGCCUUCUUGUUAAUAAGAUCAUGUAUUUUCCUGUGCUUAUAACAUGUUUUCCUUUUUCCAAAAUAUGCAUGAUCUCACAUGUUCAUAAGAAUUUUAGGAAUUCAAAGUUUGGUAUAAAAAUAAAAAUCAUAUUGGUGUUUGUCCAAAACAAAUAAAUUCUGGAAAUUCAAGUGAUUCCUUAGAAAGAUAAGUAUACACGUAGAAAACUUGAAAAAACAAAUAAACAAAUAAACACAUAAAAAAAAUCAUAAGGUGACUCCAAAGUUAAGUUUUAUUUGAAUAAAUAAUGAGAAAUCACUUUGCAUACUCGCAUGAAAGCAAGACGUAUCGAUCUUAAGUGCAUGUGUUUGAGAUGAGGAAAUGCCUUCUUUGAUAAUCGCUUCACGAGGCUAAAAUAUAUCCUUUGCAAUCCCUUUUUGAGUCUAGUAACAUUUUUUGAAAAUAACCUUGGCUAGGAUCACACUCAAACUAGGGUUAAGUGCGAGAGACACAGAAAAGACCUUGAUGAUUGAAGUGCCCAAGCAACACUGGGGGCAUAAAAGAAAAUUCUCAAUCAUCAAAGGUGCCCAAACAAAGCUAGGGGUAUGAAGAAAAAUCCAAAGGAUCCAAAAAUUUUAAGCAUACAAAAAAAAAACAAUUAAAUAAUGCUCAAAACCAAAUGAAGAAAAAAAAAAUAAAGAGAAAGAGCCCAACAUUGGGGGGCACGAUAAACCAUUUUGAAAAGACAUUCCAAAGACAAAAGGUCAGGAAACAAGCACUAGUGAUCCUUAGUCUUGAAAUCCCGUGAAAUACCUUUUGAGCCUACAAAUAUCCUUUUCUUCAUAACCAAGAACCCAAGCCUAUAUUACAUGCCUAAUCAAGCCCUUUCUGAUCAAAGACAAGCAAUCUGGAUCGGCAGACAAUGCUUUCUCAUACAACCCAAAUUAUUAUUCAUGUAAAUAAAAUAAAUGCUUUGAAGACUGGUUCUUUGUAACCCUCAAAUUAAAUCUUAAACCAUUUUUUACCAAACCCAAUGUCACUUCAUGUUUUUCACCAAAAGCAAAACGAAAGGUUUUCAUCACUUCUGAAAACCUCUUCAUAGGAAUCACUUGAAUUUCUUCAGAACAAGUUUGCUUUGAAUCGAUGUCAAAAUGAUUUCUGUGUUUGGAAUAGCUUUUAAAUUCCAACAUUUUUGCAUCAGAACAACUCCUUGUCAAAACUUCCUUUACAUAGCCUCAUUCCCAAACCCGAAUUAAAUACUUGGGGGCAUGAUCAAGUUGGGAGGCAAUAAAAAAUACAUGGUAGGGCAGACUUUAUAAUUCUUUUUCUAAGAAAAAUGUUGGGUAGAAUUGGCAACCCUUGAGAUAUAGGUUAGAGGGCAAAGAAGUAGGAUGAUAUGAAGCCUUUCUUAGAGGUCAAGAUCACAAGAUAUGACUCAAGUAAGCAAGAGCGAAAAAGUCAUCGAAAUUUACUACUUACACUCCAACUUUUGAGAAAAGAAAGACAUCAUGAAGAAAUGAGGACCUAUAUUUCUCAGGUAAGUAUACAUGCAUAUCAAUCAUAGUGCAUUACUUUCAACAUUGUCAGAUCGGUGUUUCACCAUCACCUUUUGGGUAGGACAUUUUAUAACCCUACCUCAUUUUGAGUGUGCCUUUGAGCCCUUAUUUUCUUUUCGAGUAAGUCUUUGAGCCCUCAUCUCAUUUUAAGUGCGCCUUUGAGCCCUUACUUCGUUGUCAAGAUGCGACUUUGAGCCUUUGCUUCCUUUGGAGUGCGCCUUUGAGCCCUCAUUUCCUUUUGAGUACGUCUUUGAGUCCUCAUCUCUUAGGUAGUGCAUUUUAUAACCCUACCUCAUUUUGAGUGCAUCUUUGAGCCCUUACUUCCUUUUGAGUGCGCCUUUGAGCCCUCACUUCAUUUCGAGGGUGGUAGUGUAUUUUCUAACCCUACCUCCUUUUGAGUGCGCCUUUGAGCCCUCACCAUCUUCCUGGAUAGGUCAUCCAUUACAAUGAUGCUAUUUUUACACUUGGGUAGGUCACCUAUUAUAAUGAGACCAAUCUUUCCUUUCCCACUUGGGUAGCUCACUCAAUACAAUGAGACUAAUUCUUCGUAUUUUUUUGCCUAGGUAAGUCCCUCAUUAUAAUGAGACCAUUCUUCCACCUGGGUAGGUCACCUAUUAUAAUGAGACCACUAUUUCCUUUUUUUUUCCCUUUGGGUAGGUCACCCAUUGCAAUGAGACCAUCCUUUUUUCUAGGUAGGUCACCUAUUAUAAUGAGACAACUCUUUUAUUUUUUUUUUCCCUUUGGAUAAGUCACUCAUUACAAUGAGAUCAUUUUUUUUCUAGGUAGGUCACCCAUUACAAUGAGAUCAUUUUCCAUGUUUUUUUUACCUGAGUAGGUCAUCCAUUACAAUGAGACCAUUCUUUUUUUUUCCACUUGGGUAGGUCAACCAUUACAAUGAGACUAUCAUUUUUCUGGGUAGGUCACCCAUUAUAAUGAGGCCAUUCUUCCACCUGGGUAGGUCACCCAUUACAAUGAGACCACUCUUUCUUUUUCCCCUUUGGUGACCACUAUCAUUUUUUUGGGUAGGUCACUCAUUACAAUGAAAUCAUUCUCCAUGUUUUUCCACUUGGACAGGUCACCCAUUACAAUUCGACCAUUUCAAAAAUCUUUGAAUUUCACCAGGAAAAAAAACCUUUCGACCAUUUAAGUUUGCUUUCUAGCCCUCAAAUGCUUUCCAAACAAUUCAUCAUAUGGUGAGUCCGUUAUCUUUUUUUUUCUUCUUUACAAAGCUUAUUAUCUAAAAUCUCUUACGAGACUUUCUAUCGUAAGUAUUGUAAAUAGAGGACAACUGUCAUAACCUAUUUUUGGAUUAUUCCCCAAAUUUAGUUUUUCUCUUCCAAAAAUAAUAUAUAUAUAUAUAUAUAUAUAUAUUCGGACUAAAAAAUAAACAACAAAAAAAAUAAACAAAAUAAUAACAGUGAGAAGGGGAUGCUAAAGUGCUCGGAAAAUAACUAAAAAUUAGUUGAGGAGGUUUAAAAAUACAAGAAUUGAAAUUUAACAGUAUAUCAUUGACUGAUGAGAGCCCGACUGACAAAGAAAAUUCAAUUUGAGGAAGAAAUGUAUAAAAUCAGAUGUUUAUUGGACUCAAUUAAAUUUAUUAAAGGUUAAAUUGAGUUUAUGAAGGAUUGGAUUGGAAGAAAAAUUGAUUUUGGAGUCAAUUUGGGCUUUAAUUAGAAGAAAUUAAAGUUCUGGGGUCAAAAUAUAAUUUUUGAGAGUUAACUUGAUCAAAUCAGGGGCAAAAUUGCAUAAAUAUUGAAGUUUGAUGGCCAAUUAGGAACUUAAUUGAAGAAAUAUGAAACUAAGGACCAAACUGGAAAAGGCGCGUAAAUAGAGGGCUGUAAUUAACUGAAUGAAGGGCUAAAUUAAAAAAAUUAAAAGUUUAUUGAUCAAUUAAGAGUCAAAUUGCAUUCGACCAAGAACUAAAAUGAAAAAUCAGCUAACUUCAGAACUGAUGAUUGAAUUUGACAGGAAAGCAAUUAAAUUAAUUUUUAAAAUUAAAAUUAUAAUUUAGAACUUGAUUGAAACACUUAAAAUAAAAAACUUAAAAUCACAGCAUGAUAAAAGAAGAAAGAAAGGAAUGGGAAAAGGAAGAAAGAAUAAAAAAAUCCCCUAAAAUCACGGCAUGAUAAAAGGAGAAAGAAAAGGAUGGGACAAAGAAGGAAGAAAGUAAGGUCGCGUAGGGGCCAGUAUUGAAGAAAAGCUAAAAGAACCAGGUAAUCCAAGGAACCAAUAGAUUAUCGCCACAUGUUCAACCUUAUAUUUAUUGUGACAUGGAGAUAAAGAUAAUCUCAAAAGCUAAUAGAUGGUCGCCACGUGUUCGACUUUAUCUACCCACUAGGAAAGGAAUCAAAGGAUAGAAAAGUGGGGGAGAGAAAGGUUAAAAAGGCUUUAAAAAAAAAAGAAAAGGAAAGACCCGGUUGAGAUAAGAGGGGGGACGUGGAAAUAGAAGGAGAAACGGAAGGAGACAUAGAAAGAUCGGAGGAGAGUAAGAAAAAAAUAUAUGAAUAUGUGAUGUCCAAUUUCUCAUAAAAAUUCUCUGUUUUUUUCUCUCUUUUAUUUGGAAUUUCUUUGGACACUUUAAUAAAAUAAUAACAAAAAAAUUAAAAUAUUGAUGAAAUUAAUAUUCAUUCAAACACAGAUUUACUGUGUACUAUGAUAUUAUUAUUUUUUUAAUUUUAAAAAACACGGCUUGGAUAAUAUUUCAAGUAGUGUCGUAAAAAAUAGCGUGUUUGUUUUUUAUUUUUUAAAUAAUUUUAAAUAAUAUUUUUUUAAUUUUUAUAUUGAUAUUAAAAAUAAUUUUUAAAAAAUAAAAAAUAUUAUUUUAAUAUAUUUUUAAAUAAAAAAUAUUUUAAAAAAACUACUUUAAAAACCUUAAAACCACGGCAUGAUAAAAGGAGAAAGAAAGGAAUAGGACAAAGGAAGAAAGUGAAAGGGAGAAAGGAAGAAAGUAAGGUCACGUAGGGGGGCCAGUAUUGUAGAAAAUAGGAGAUGAAAAAUUGGUAUGAAAAAGAGGAUGAUGGAGUGGUUGUCCAAAUCAUAGUGGUUUUUAUAAUUAUAUUUAUUUAUAGAAAUAUUAAAUUAAUAUAUUCUUAGUAUUUUAUAUGAUUAAAUUUUUUUGUUGAUUUAAAAAAUAUAUGCGUAUAAAAAAUUAUUUUAAUAUAUUUUUAAAUAAAAAAUAUUUUUAAAAGUAUGUAUCACAGUACCAAAUUAUAGUAUCAAUUAAAAGAAAAUAGGGUUUUAUGUUCAUUACCACUCACUUAUACUCAUUUAAUUCUUAUACUCAUUUAAUUGUGGACAAUAACAGUAUCUCAUUUGAAAACUUUCAAUUUUAUACUUAAAUUUUUUUCAUAAUUAAUCAUUUUUAAUUAAAAUUAGAGUUCAAAUGUAUAUUUUUUUUUAAGGAGGAGAGUUGAAUUAAAAAACAGGGACUGAAGUAAAAAAUUCAGCUAAAAUAGGUAGCGACUCUAUAAUUUAUUUACAAAAUUUAUUUUAGUUUCUCAUCUUUUCAAGUUAUUAAAUAAUAAGUCCGCAUAAUUUUCCAACAUUGCAUUUCAAAUUUUUUUUAUUAUUAAUACUUUUAAUAUAUUUUUUUGAAAAUAAUUUUAAAAACGGUGUUUUCAUUAAUAUUCCUUUUCUAUGAUUUGUUUUUUUGGCAUUAUGUAGUCUUUCUUCAAUUAUUUUUAAUUUUGUUGCUUUGUUUAAUUUUUUAAGAGGUUAAUAAUAUUUAUCUGUAAAUAUUUGUUAUAUAUUUCAGAUAGAUUAAGUAUUUAAUUUUCAUAAUAAUUUGAAUAUGUGUAGCGUUGCAUAGUUUUUCUUCCUUUUAUGAUAUUAAAAAAAAUUAUGUGUGUGUUGAUUUCUAUUAUCGAUUGAUUUUAGUAAAUAAAUUCAUUAAAUAUAACCAAAUAAAUGAUCCAUAUUGCAAUAUUAAAUACUUUAUCUAUAUUUGUUUCUUAAUUUUUCCACUUGCACUUUUAAUUAUCGGUAAUGACUUCAUUUUUUCAUUUAUUUACACAAUUGUUUGUGAUUUAUUUAAUUUGAUGCGUGUAUAAGUUUUUCGAUUUACAUUUAGAAUUUUUUUAAUGUAAAAAAACACGUUGAGAAAUUCUUAUUUUUAUGAUUUUAGUUUGAUCCUUAUUCUUAUAAUUUCUUAUUUUCUUUCUAACCCUUUUAUAAAACAAAAAAUUGUUUAUAAUUUCAUCCUUCAAUUGAACAUAAUGAUGUAUUUUUUUUAUUAUUUAUAUUCUUGUUUGUUAUUAUUGCUUUUUUUCUUUAUAUAAUUCAUAUAAAACCAGCUUAUUUAAUCGGCCAAGACUAAAUAAAUAAAUAAAAAGAUAUACUGUGUCUUCCCAUUUCCUCUCCCUGGUGAAUUUUGGCGACCACCCACACAAUGAUAGCCUAAACAACCACCAGCCAUGCCACUUUUCAAGACCCCAUCUCUCAAUCUCAAAACCAGAAACAACCCUUUCUCAUAAUUCCGGGAAAGUGAAGAACUAAACCAUAGUGGCAAAAAUCUUAAAGGGUCUAAAUUAUCUCUGUUACUUUCCCUCAAUUUUCUAGACAAGCAAAAGGAGCUAAACUUAUUCCCGACCAAAACGCCAAGAAUUUCAGUAGAACAAAAGAAGAGAUUGUUACUUGACCAUAAACAAUUAGUCCGCACCCAAACAAACUGAGUGAAUGAGAGAAAAAGACUAAUGGCUAGAAAACAAUCAACAGAUCCAAGAAUUUUCUGUAUGGUUUCCAAGAAAAUGAAACGAAACGAGCAGCACAACCCUCUUUCCCCUCUAAGAAAAGAAAGAAGAAGAAAAAGAAAAAGAAAAAGAAAGGAAAGAAACAAAGAAGUUCGAGGAAAGAAAAAGUAAGGAAGAUGAAACCAUAAACCUGCAAGUCCUACAAAUCAUAAACAUUGACUUUGAUUUUUCCUUUAUAAAACCAUAAACCUGCAAGUCCUACAACAUGAAGACUUAUCAGAUCCUAAUGAAAAGCUGUCAAAAUCCUAUCAGAAAUUAAGGAAGAUGACGUUACGUUAACUUCAAAUCUGAGGAUUAAUUGUAGCAGAUCUUAUAGGGUUCAGCUGAUUGCUUUACUUGUUUAAAUAAUUCUCUUGUAAGCCUAAUGGUUCACGUCUUCCAUCAUUGCAACCUUUUUUUCUGUGAUUGAAAAAUCUAUAAUAGGAACCUGCACUGCAUCCCUUCUAUGCUGUUGUUCUUUCUUCUUGUUUUGCUAUUUUGAUUUUAUCAUAUUUUCUAUGAUGAAAGUUGAAGAAAUUCUACUUCGAAACUCAAGACAAAGUCUCUCGAUCGGACUGCAUAUUAGUGGGUUGCUCAUUGGGAUUUCUAUAAACAACUGAUUCUAAUAUUGCAAAGCAACAUUACGAAAAACUGAAUAUUUCACACAUAGUCUAAUAAAAGUAGAUUCCAUUGUCAAUUCCUUAACAUUUUCCAAACAAAUCCAUGCUCCUCAUUUUAUACUUUCUUGAGGGUUUCUAUUCUCUUAUUACCAAUUUCAGUGAGUUUCAUAAUAAGCUGCUUAGAAAGAAGCUAUCUAGCAGGAGGGUGGGGCUACUCUUAGCCAAUGAAAACAGCUUCACAUGCUAUACAGCAACGUGAAAAAAAGAUUCUCAGCCUGUUCUCUCUUUAAUGAACACCCUCUUGGAUUCUCUAGCAUUAGCCAACAAGGUAUUUGCUUGGAAUUACUUCCACCUGAAAACAACAGUUAACCUAUUUAAUAUACUUAACUAAGUAUCUAUUUCAUAACCUUAUAUAUUUUUUUAAUUAAAUUAGUUAUUUUUUUCAAAAAUAAAAAAAGUAAACGGUUUUCCAAAAAUCUAAUUCACAAUAAAACAAAUAAUGAAACUUGAUAAUAAUUCAUUAAAUAACCAUCAAUUAUUCAUCAAACCAAUCUGAAAAAGCUCAUAUUAAAGCUAGGGACCAAUCUGGAAUUUUAUCAUAUUUUUAGGGGUCAAAUUAUAAUUUUAUCAAAUUAGAAGACCAAACUAAAAAUAUCAUAAAUUCAUGACUAUACUAGAAUUCUGCCCAUAAUUCAUCAUAAAUUCUGCCCAGAAUUUCAAAUUAUGCUCCAAGGACCACUAUAGAAUUUUAUCAAAUAUCUAGGGUUAAGUUGUAAUUUCAUCAAAUUGGAGGACCAAAGUGAAAAUAUCAUAAAUUCAUAACUAUACUGGAAUUCUGCCCAUAAUUUAACUUUAAUUCUGUCCAGAAUCUCGGAUUAUGCUCCAGGGACCAAUCUCUAAUUUUUCUAAAGUUCAAGGACUAAACUGUAAUUUUCACAAAUUGAGGGACCAAACUGAAACUUCAACCUCAAACCCAGAAUUUACACAGAUAACCUACUGAUAUAUCAAGAUUUCUAACUCAAAUUCACCAUUUAAAUAAAAUCAUAACUCAAAAUCAUUAUUUUUACCUAAAAUCUUUCAAAAUCAACUAAAUAAUUCAUUAUCCAUAACAAUCAACCCAUAAUUUUUCUGUAAUGUAAUUGUAAUUCCUAGCAUAAUGCAUAUCCGAGGGCAAGCACAACAACUCAAGAACAAAGAAACUCGAUGAAAUAGCAAAAGAAAAGGACUUGAAGGACUGAAAUAAAAUAAAACCAAAAAAUAGGGAUUAAAAAAGUAACCGCACUCUGGUUGCCAUAAAAAACAUAGUUCUUUUAAUAUUUUUUUUUUAACUAUUGUAAUAGGUCAAUCAUAUUACCCGAGUGUGUGACUCAGAGAUGAUCAUCAUAGAAAAUUACUUUUAAUUGCUUGAGUUUUAUCCUUAGAUGAAAAACUUACCUCGUCCUCCUAAUGCUUUUGCUUUCAUUGUUUCGAAAGUAAAAGAGACAUAAACAUAAUCAUUUCCUUCCUUUUACUUUCCACUUCUUUGUAAUGGAUUGCAAACGGGAUGGUGCUUAGUGAGGCCAGUUUUUCUUUUCCUUUCUAUUUAAAAUCUUAUGCCUAAUUGGGUGAGGAAAUUAGUGGAGCAUUAGACUUUUUAAAAGACAACAAAAGGAAGCAAUGUCUCAUCUUUUGAUAUGGUGGUCUUCCAUGAUCAGUUUGUUGAUGAAGAUAUCGAAAGAUUCGAGUCUCCGUUCUAGUUCAGGUUGGAUGCAAGGCCGAAAGCUAAGCUUCUUUUAAUUAUGAAUUGUUUAUGCAAAGGAAACCCAGAAGCUUGAACAAACAGAAAUGCCUUGUUGAUUUCUCUGCUACUACUCAUUAUUUCCAAUAUUAUUCCAUUAUCUUACCCGAAAGCAAUUAUACAAGAAAUUUCAUUAUCCUGCCCCAAAGGCAGUUUAUUGCAUGGACUUCCUUUAACCUAGCUCCUUGAAGGCAAUUUAUUUGAUGAAAAUUCCUUUAAUCCACCUCAAAGACAAUUUAUCUUAGGGAAUUCCAACAACCCUUAAGGCAUUUUAUCAAAGGGAAUUCCAAAAACAAUUUAUUUCUUGGACUCAGUAUUCUUUGAUACUAGUUAUUUAUAUAUAAUUUAACAACACUUAACCAUCUUACAUUUAAGAAGAAAUUCAAAAGUAAGGAUAACCCUUAUCUAGAGCUCCUGUGGUUCUUGCUCCCGAGAGAAUUGGCUCCACUCCGGACAAAUCUACUAUCAGAAACCCAAGUUUCAACCAAUCAAUAACAUCAACACCCAUUUUAUAUUAAUGCAAUAAGUUUUUCUUAACCAAUUUACUUGAUGCAAGUUCUUAUAAUAAAAGUGACAGUAUUCAAGGUGAAGACAAGCAGAAGGGCGUGAUAGAGUUUGACAAAGAUGAAGCUAGUUCCAAUAAAGGGAAACACUCUAUGCAGGCCAAACAACAGUGGAAAUUCUUAUAAUCCCACCAAUCAAGGAUUACAGGACCCUAGUCCUUCCCAAACCAAUUUGAACUCCCCGUAGAGAAAACAUCUCCAAACCCAUUUUGAAUCACCCACAACAAGCAUCUCCACAACCUGUUCUGAACCCCCCCACAACAAGCAUCUCUGCAACAUGAUUUUAUUUCCUUGUGUGACAGGGAGGUCAAAAUUGAAAGAUAUUACUAUUUUCAUUAAUUUUAUUAAAGCUUAAUUAUUAUUUUUUUUCCCUUUUCUUUUAAAAAUGUUAUCUCCUUGGUAAGGAAUCCUUGGUUCCCAACAGCAACUGUAGCAUAGUUAAAAAAAUAUCUAAACUCCACCGAAAGUAGUGGAGCCUUAGAAUUUUUAAAAGACAAAACGGGGACAAGUGAGAGACGAAGAAAAAGACAAAAGUAAUCCCAUCUAUUGAUGUGGUGAUCCAAGAUACACCAUAACAUGGUGUUCUUCCAUGAAGUCUAAGAUACACCGUCGUGUUGUUUCAUAUAUAUUUUUAUAUAUGAAAAUAAUAAAGCUACCGUUUAAAACAACUCUGAAAACAAAAUUUUUAAUAAUCCAUAAUUUUUAAGCAAACAUCACUUAUAAGCAAAUAAUUAAUGAUGGUUAGUUAAACUAAUUCAUUGUUAGGCGGAUAUAUAUUAAGGUUAAGAACCCUCUAUCUAACACUAAUAACUAAUCACUGAUAAUAUUUAUGCAAAACUUGUAGCUUAGGAUGAACUCUCAGAGAUGUGGGCGAGGCAACUCAAAGUAGAAGGGAAGGGGUAACCUCUGAUAACAGAGAAAAUUGUAGAGUAAAGCAGGACCGAAUUUUCUUAAAUUAACAACAGAAAUCUACAAUGAACAGUUCUCGAGAAGAAACUCAAGAAACGUAUAUAAAGCUACAUGAUGACAUAAUAGGAACCUGCAUUGCCUCCAUUCUAUGAUGAAAGUUCAAGAAAUUUUACGUCGAAACUCAAGACAAACUCUCUCAGACUACAUAUUAGUGGGAUUUCCAUGAACAACUGAUUCUAUUGCAAAGCAACAUUAGGAAAAAUUGAAUAUUUCACACAUAGUCUAAUAAAAGUAGAUUCCAUUGUCAAUUCCUCAACAUUUUCCAAACAAAUCCAUGCUCCUCAUUUUAUACUCUCUCUCUUAUUACCAACUUCAUUGAGUUUCAUAUAAGCAUAGUCAAUCACACAACUAAUAUGUGAAUUCACAAUUUCUUACCGAAAACAUUUUAUCAGUGCAAGUUAAUACAUAAUUUUACCUCUCCUCUUGGUGAAAACAUAAAGACACAACCACCGAGCAGAUCUCUGGUAAUGGUCUCUACAAAUUCCCUACAGUUCCUAUUGCCAACAAACUCCUCUUGCCAUUCCCUAACUGCAUUGAGCCAGCUAAUCUGGAUGAAAGAAAAGACUUCAGCCAUUCCCUAACCUUAAAGCAGACCCAACUUUGUAGCUCAUUACCAGUUAAGUAAAAGUUAUCAAUAGCUGUGUAAAUCAUUGAAACUGCCACAAAAGCCCCAAAUUAGUUAUGAAUUGGAUUCGAUAAGGGAAAGAGGGGAAGAGGGGAAAUGGGUAACGGAAAAUUAAAGAGAGAUGAAGAUCUGCGCAGGGCUACCUGUUUUGAGAAUUAUGGAUUUUUAUCCCUAACUCCAAAUUGCACCAAUUAUAAGUUCAUUAAAACAAAUCUGGAACAGAACAGAUGGAAAAAACUCGAAACAACUUGGCUAGAAUUUGGGCAAGAAAUUCAGAACGGCCAAGAUUUUAAGUGAGAUAAAAGUUAUCCCAUUUUGUUCUGUUUUUUUUUAAAAAAUUAAUAUGAGAUGUACUAUCCAUUUCAAGCGGAACAUAAUGGAAUGAACAACCUUGCAUCGAAGACCUAAUUUUAGUGAAACUCAAGUUUCUUGUGUCAAAGAAAAUGUUCUAAAAAAAUGUUUUAAGCAUUAACAAAAUCUAGUUGGCCUAGGCAAUCCACUAUUGUUGCUGUUACCGUUGGUGCAUACUCCAUUACACCAUUGACAUAGUGCAACUGUUUUUCUUUCUUUCUUUCUUUCUUUCUUUUAAAAAAAUCCAUGUUAUGUUUUUUAUUUGAAGCUUUUUUGUUAAUAUCUUUCGCAAUUGGCCUUGGUAUUUUGUUUCCAUUUUCUCUGUUUCCUUCUUCUGUAGUUAGAAAACAUCAUGUCUUUGGGUUUGCGCUUGAUACAGCAAAAUUAAGGACACAAUAAUCAAAGAACACAAAAUUUUAUAAGGGAAAGGGGUUGCAGUUGUGAACCUAAAAUUUACAAAUUUAUUUUCUCAAUAAUAAUAAUAAUAAUAAAGAAGUUUGCCUUCUUAAAAGGUUUACAAAACCUUAAAUAGGUUAGGAACCUUACCUCAACAAGGGAACAGAAAAAAAAUCCAAAAUUAUAAAUGAAACAAGCAUAAAAUCUGAAAUAAGCAAGAAAUGAAAAUAACAAAAAACUACCAAAAUCAGGGGCAUCAUUGAGAUUUUUAAUAUCUAAAGAUCUAAUGAUUUGUAUAAAAAUUUGAGCACAUUAAUCCAAUAAUCGAAAAAACAAUUAUGGCUCUUUUGAGCUGUUAUUCUAGUCUAGCACGAUCAAACAUUCUCUUGGGUUUAGACUUGUUCUAUUGGUUCAUAAAUGCAUUUACUAGGCCAUCAACAUUAAUUGUCUAAGGCAAAUUCUCAUCUAGUUGUGGUAGACUCACACCUGACUGCUUAUAAAAUUGGUUGGUUUUUUGUUUUCGAAGAGAUUUAAAAUUUGAUGCAAAUGAAAGCUAAAAACACAAUAAUUAAAGGGCACAAAAAAAAUUAUAAGCGAAAAAGACUGCAGAUGUGAACCCUCAAAUUCACAAGUUUAUUUUCUCUAAAAUAAUAAUAAUGAAAUUUGUCUUCUUAGGAGGUUUCCAAAGCCAUAAAAAUAUCAAGAAUCCUACCUUAACUUGGAAACAAAAACACAAACUCAAAAUUACAAAGGAAAAAAGCAUAAAAUCCAAAAUAAGCAAGAAAUUAAAAAAUAACAAAGAAAAUCACAAAAAACUACCAAAACUAGAGGGCUCAACAAGAUUUUUGAUAUCUAAAGAUUCAGCAGUCCACGCAAAAAAAUUUGCAUGGUCCAACGGUCGGAUAAGAAAUUGUGAUCAUUUUGAGCUAUUAUACACGACCAAAUCUUCUUUUGAUCCUAUACUUGUCCUAUUAGUCCAUAAAUGCAUUUUCAUAACCUAUCUUUUUUUUUUUUCUACUAUAGAUGGUGUUUGACCAUCAUCGUCAUAUGGUUUGACUUAGUUGUACCGGUUUUUAAUAAGAUGAACUUUAUAUAUUAUGGGUUUACAUUUACUAUUUUUUAAAAAUGUUCAUUAUCGUUUCGAUCUCUAUAAGUCCAUUGUUCACAACUGAAGUCCGUACCUGCAGCGGAUCACAGGCAAUGAAACUAUACAAACACACUAGAGACUCAAGAGUAAACAUGCUACUAUAGUUAGCAGGUAAGGGUCAGGUCAUUUGUUGUCUGGUUUCAAAUAGAGUUUCAACUCAUUUAAUAAAUAUAUAUACAUGGCUCAUAGUUGGAUUAUUUGUGUUUUUGUUAUUUGUUCUUCCCAGUAAUUGUACCAGAAGCUGCUCUCAUAUUUGAAGGAAUGCAAACAAUAUAUUGUUAAUAUGAAACUUAUGAUGCCUAGGAAAUUGCCAUUUUUCUCAUUUUUAAUUGGAAGAAAAAUCACAAGUAUGUUUCUGUUAGAAAUAACUUCUUAUUUCAAUCAGAAGUGUGUCACUAAAUUGAUUUAUAAGUAAGUUUUUAAAUUGUGGAUUAUAUCUUAAUUACAUUAUAUUUUUUUAUUAACAAAAGUUUAUUUGAGUUAUUUUUAUUAAAAAUACUUAUAAUUUAAAAUUAUUUUAAUUCUUUUUUAUCAUAAAUUAUUUAUUAAAAACAACUUAGAUUAUCGCUUGAAAUAAAAAAUUCUUAAUUCAAAAGUCAUUAAAAAAUUCUUAAUUUAAAGAAGCUAAUAAUCUAAAAGGAGGGUGGGGCUGCUUAGCCAAUGAAAACAGCUUCACAUAUGAAAACAGCUUCACAUACAACGCAACAACGUGACACAAAGUAGAAAAAAAAAGAAAAAGAAAAAUUUCUCAGUCUGUUUUCUCUUUACUGAACAACCUCUUUGAUUCUCUAGCAUCUGCUUGGAAAAACCAUUCAACAAGGGAUUCUGCUAGGAAAACAUGCAAUUGUUCUUCUAUCUGAUAUCAGUUUCAAAAUUCUAAACAAAUAAUGCAACAAGUCACAUUUAUUCCAGACCUCAAGCUGCAUUGCCUAUUUCAAAACCACAAAGAGAACAUCAAACAGAACAACAAAUACCCAGUCGUAGAGCCAUUAAUUUGAGCAUAAAGGAGAAAGAAAGUCCACGCAUUAAACAGUAGGCACACACAUGAGUAUACAUUAUGCCCUUGUUUUUGAAGAUUCAGACACUUCAAAAGAAAACUCACGCUCUUAUUUUUGGGAAGUUCUUGUAUGGUAAAUAAGACUGUUACAAUGUGAAGCCAAUUUGUAUCCCAUUGCCAGUGAAACAAUAGGAAUUACUUCCACCAAUCUAAAACAUAUUCGCAGCACCACAGCUCAAAGACAUGAAUCUCUGUGAAAUCACCUAAGGUCGAGUUGCUCAUGUAAUAGGCAACCAACCUGCCUAAUGCUAACAGAAGAACAAAGACCAUUCAUGCAUAUCCAUUACCUGUUUAGCAUGUUUUUCAAAUUCCAAUGCCAAACUAAUCAUCCUACCCAUCAUCAUCAUCACCACCAUCUCCCUUCACCACCUUCCUUCAUCUCCUUCACCACAUACCCACCCAUUAUUUCGGGUCCACGUUUUACAAGUGCUGAUUGGCGCAGAGCAACCAGUGCUUGAAUCCUCAGCUACUUCAGAUACCUGUAAUCCAAUCCAAGCAUGGCAUACACAUUUUGGCUUCUAAAUCUUAUUAUUGAGUGAAACAAGAAACAAACACACAAAAAGAGAAGCAAGAAAUUAAGACAAUUCAGCAGCACCUCUGAUGGAGCUCUUAUUGAACCAUUUGGUGUAGUAGCAAAUUUUGUGAUCAGCUUUGGGCAUUCAAACACCUCCAACUGCUCUAAAUGAGGGAAUAAGAAAUCAUAACAUCCGAGACUGAAGCAUACAAUACUUGAUAAUUGUUCUAGCAACAGCACCUGCAGAUUCGGGAGCUCCAUCACCUUCUCAACAUUGACAGGUAAAGCAUUCUCAUCCUGAAGCCAUGGCUACUGGGAAGAGACUCUUCAACAUGUUGCAUUUUCUGACAUCAAUUUCACAUAAAUUAGGGAAACAUACAGAUUGAAGAUGAUCUCCUGGGAAUAUCUGAUCCUUUCCAUCAUCAUUAUCCCUAGCAAUGAUUUGCUAUAAUUCCUCACAACUUUCUAUGUUUAGAAAAUUCAGUUGAACUAGACUAGCAAUCAUGCUGUCUGAGAAUACAUGUGUUAGUCUUUUACACUUAUUCACCACCGAAGUAGUUAAAUUGCUCAGCACGAGAACCUUCCACAAACACCACAUGCUUGUGUCAGGCAGGGACUUCAAUUUUAAUGUUUUCAAACUUGUUAAACUCCUAUGCAUGCUCCACUUAUCAAUUUUAAUGUUUUAGCUCUUCAUUCGUCUCUCCAUUUAAAGCUAUAAAAUAAAAUAAAAUAAAAAUAGCUAACAAUAUUACCCUUUUUUUUAUUGACAAAUGCUACUGUUUUUUUCUUUUUUUUUUUCUUUUUGUCAUUCUAAAUAGAGCAUUUGCCAAUAAAAAAAAAUUAAGGCCUGGAAAUGAUGUUUUGUGAUUGGCCCAUCAUUAAUUUUGUUAUCCAUGCACAGUAUAGACCGGCCCGGGAAUGAUGUUUAAACUGGGAAUAAUGAGUUUUCUAUGGGCUUUGGAGCAUUGUGUGACACUUAACAGUGUGCACUUCAGGCCCAUUUAAGAAGAGAAAAAAGGGACAGGGAUAAAGUCUGAAGUAACGGUCAGAAAAGAAACCGAUAAAUUAAUUAAAUUGAAAAAAUUAAAUUAUAAAAAAAAUUAAUUAAAUAAAUUAGAAUAUUUUUAAAAAAUUAGUUGAGUUUGAUUUUGAUUUCAUAAAUUUAAAAUUAAAAAACCGAACCAAAUAAAAAAACCCAUUAAAAAAUCCCAAAAUUACCAAAAAAACAACAUAAUUUUUAAUUUUAAAUAUAAAAUAAUCAAACCAAAUCGAAAUCGGUCAAUUGAUUGAGUUUCAGUUUUUAAUAUAAAAUAAUUAAACCAAACCAAAACAGGUCAAUUGGGUUUUAUUUUCUAAUAUAAAAUAAUCAAAUAAAAUUAAAAUUGAUCGGUUGGAAUCGGUUUUAAUUUUUUUAUAUAUUUUAUAAAAUUUGAAUUUAUUAUUUUUAUAAAUAAAAAAAAUAAUCACUCUCGGUCUAAAGUCAAGACAUUGUGGUAUAUGACAUCAUUGGCAGGGUACUAUUCUACCACUAGAUCACUGGCACUUGUUGGUAUCAACGUGUGGAAUAGCUAAUUAAAUAUAUAUAGUCAAAUAGGUAAUUGAAUAUAUAUAAUGACACGUAUAUUUCCUAGUCAAACGCAGGAGCAAAAAUUUCAAAAUAGCAGACAACGUUUUUGACAGAAGUCUUGUACCAUUACUUCUAUCUCGCUUUAUUCUCUUCUAUAUAUAUAUAUAUAUAUAUAUAUGGUGAAUUGACUAGAGCAUGCAUAUAAGACUUCUUCUAGUCAUGAUGGUCAGUGAGGUUUUUGGUUUUAAAAUCAACAACUCCACUUAAAUUUCUUAAACUUGAAGAAUAUGCGAAGACAAUGCAUUUUUAAUAUGCUAAUUAUUCCUUGUACAGAAACAAGAAGGGAUUCUCCUCUACAUUAUUGUCCCAAUAUAUCAAACAUUGAUAAAGAAAAAAUGCAAAUCAAAACCAAGGCUCCCUCCCCACUGUUUCGUUUUAUAUGCUCUUGGAUCUUGAUUAACUAAUGAAGGAAACAAUUUGAAAACAUUAAAAUUGUAUCAAGAGACAGGGAAUGACACAGUUAGACAACUCCUUUUCAAUUUAGUGGAUGGCUAAAGGAUUUAUCUCCACUUAUCAAUUACUUCAGUUUCAGAAAUUUGGAGGAAGAAAUCACAAUGUAUUGAAGUUGACAACCAGAAGCCCAAAAGAAAACAAUUUUGACGAAUACCCACCAAACAGUUGAAGUGCUGCUGUAACUGAGAUUUUUUAUUAUAUGUAUUUUUUGUGGUCCAAUGGAUAAAUAAUUUUUUUUUCUUUUAUUUUAUCAGCUUAAUUUUGCAUGUGGAAUAUUGAGUUUUCUGUUAUUUUUUCAGACACAGAAUUGAAUCCUUUAUAUAUUCUUAAAACCAAAUUUGAAUUCUAAGUUCCUAAAUGAAGGAAUAAUAAAGAUUGUUGCAACUUGCAUGUACAAAUUCUCCUUCAAAAAAUUAACAAAUAAUAAAGUCUCCUAUGUUAAUGAAGAUUUAAUUAUAACUUAGCCCUGUAAUUUCUUAAAAUUAAUUAUUUAGUCUUUUAAGUAUAAUGGAUGUCGCACCCGACAUCGCGGCGGCCCUAAAAAUAAUCCUCGAAUAUGAAAAAAGAACAGAUUUCUGGCAUCUUGCUCUUUUAGAAGAAAAAAAAUGUCUUAUUUGAGGAGUCGCCACCUAUUAUUAUGGUCACUAGGAACCCUAACUAGUCAACAGAGAUUCUAUGGCUCGGGAUUGGUUAUGUAAAAGGGAAGAUAUUAUCACCCUUUAAACGUUCUGCCUAAUGCAGAUUGCAUUGCUGGUUUUGUCUUAAAUUGCUAAAUGUUUAUUAGUUUAUGCUAUGAUAAUUUGUUUAUAAUAUUCCUGACUCUGGCGCCAAUGAAUAUUCGAGCUCGAAUAAUUCCAACUCUGGCGUUGGUAAAAAUUCGUUGCUACGAAAAAAAAUUAGAUCAAUAUUUUUUAUUCUCUACUCUAGCGCCAAUGAAUAAAUAAAUAAAAAUAAAUUUAUUUUUACGCAUGCACAUAUUUUUUUAUUUCUUAUGUAGUUAAAUAAAAAUUAAAUCAGUAUUUUUUAUUUCUGACUCUGGCGUAAGUGAAUAAAUCAAUAAAUUUUUCUAUUUUUUCUAUUUUUAUUUUUUUUUGUUUUGGGGGUUGGGCCCAGCUCAGCCCACAAGGGCUGGGCUGGACCCAGCUGACUCGAUUGGGUCACUGGUCUAGACCAGUGACCCGGCCGGGUGGCAAACGCACGCCUGCCCAAUGAAUUAUAAUUCACUUGCUACAGUAGCAAGUGAAUUAUAAUUCACUGCUACUGUAGCAGUGAAUUAAAAUGCAAAAGGGUAGAGAUGAGGGACGACUGACCUGGUGCAGCAAGGCGUAGCCGGAGACGAUGGCGCACUGUGCUGGACAAACGACGCUGCCUCCUCUUGUUCUUCCUCUCUUCUUCCUUCUCUUCCUCCUUUUCUUCCCUGGUUCGUCCCUGUAUUUCUUUCCUGGAGUGCCCUGUUUCUGGUGCAGUGGCUGCUGAAGAUGGAGCUCUGGAGUUGCUGCUUCUGGAGGCGACGAAAACGGUUGUGACGCUGGUGGUGACUCUUGUCUACUGCUUUCCUUGGUCUUCCUUAUGUGCUUCCUCUGCUCAGGACAUCAACGAUGGUGAUGAAGAUGUUAGGUGCUGCCGGUUGAAUGGAAGCUUGCUCCCCUGUUUCUGUUUUUCUGCAUUCGUCUUCCCUAGUUUUCCUUUCCUAAGCUGUGAUAAGAUAGGAUUUAGAGGAAGAAGAGAUAAUAAGAUAAAAGGUGAUUGUUUAUUGAUUGCAUGCCUUUCCUCUCGAAACAGUGAGCCUAAAUAGGCCAUUCAAUACAACUGUAAACUAAAUAAUAGGAACUCCAGUAGUGGAGAGCUGAAGACUAGGGAUUCUCUGACCCAUUCAAUUACUUAAUUAAACAAUGAAAUAAAUUAAACAAUGAAACAAACAAAACAUAAAGUAAUUCCACGUAGACUCUCUCCAUGCAGUAGUAGCAAGAGAUCCACGUGCCCAAUGCUCUUAUCAUUCCCUCUCCCUCCCUUGAAUUCUCCUUGUCCGCAAGGUUGAAUUGAGGAUAAGUUUUUGCAAAUCGCCACAAAUUUUCCCACGAAGAAUCUUCUGGCAAUGCCCCCUUCCAUUGCACCAAGAUUUCCGUUCGUGGCCUGUAUUUCCCCUUCUGGAUAACCCUUCUAUCAAGGAUUGCUUCUGGUUCUGGUAACACCACAACAUCUGACAUAAUUGGAGGAAGGGUGAUCACCGCGUCCUUGGCUAUAUCUCCCCACUGUUUCUUGAGUAAACUGACAUGGAAAACAUCAUGUAUGCGUGACCCUGUGGGAAGGUCUAAUUUGUAUGCCACUGGUCCAAUGCGAGCGAGAACCUUGAAGGGGCCAAAAAACCUGGGUGAUAACUUUAAGGAACUCCUGAAAGCUACCGUUUUUUGGCGGUAUGGUUGCAAUUUUAAGAACACAUAAUCUCCAACCUGAAAUGUGACUUCCCGACGAUGCAAAUCUGCCCGAGAUUUCAUGCGUCCCUGUGCAUCAAUUAAAUUCCGUCUGAGGUCCCGCAGGAUGACCUCUCUUGUGCGCAGCAUUUGAUCUACUGCUUGAAGCUUUGUAGUUCCUGGUAUAUAGGAGAUCAUAGAUGGAGGAGGGACCCCGUACACAGCUUCAAAUGGAGAAACCUUCGUUGUUGAUUGAAUGGCCGUGUUGUAACCAUAUUCAGCCCAAGCCAGCCAUUCCAUCCAUGCCUUUGGGUGGUCGCAAGUGAAACAGCGCAGGUACUGUUCCAAGGUCCGAUUAACCACUUCGGUUUGGCCGUCCGUUUGCGGAUGGUAACUGGAGCUGUAGUUAAGUGUCGUGCCAUGUAGCGUGAAUAAGGACUUCCAGAAGGAGCUGAUGAAGAUUUUAUCCCGAUCACUCACUAUAGAACGCGGCAUGCCAUGUAAUUUGACCACAAUAUUUAAGAAACACUUCGCAACCGUCACUGCAGUGUAGGGAUGUUUAAGUGGCAUAAAAUGGUUGUAUUUGGAGAGCCGAUCCACCACAACCAUGAUAACACUGUAACCUUGCGAAGAUGGUAAGCCCUCGAUAAAAUCCAUAGAUAUGUCCGUCCAAAUGAGCUGUGGGAUUGGGAGAGACUGAAGUAACCCCGCUGGCCUUAAAGUUUCAUGUUUACAACGCUGGCACACCUCACAUUCUCUAAUGAAGUUCUUGACAGAUGUUCGUAUGCCAGGCCAUAGAAAGCUGGAGGAGAUGCGGGUCAAGGUCUUUAAAUAGCCAAAAUGUCCACCUGCAGGGAAUGAAUGCCCAUCGGCCAAAACAGCAGGUAACAAAGAGGAUGUAGGACUCAAGUGUAUCCUCCCUUUCUGCAUCCAAACCCCAUCUCUUUGAACCAGUUUUAAAGUGGGAUUGGUGGCCACAGUGCUGUAAUAGGGCUGCUGCUGGACUUCUUGUUGUAGAGUUUCCCACCAGUCUGUAAUAGGAGCUGAUAUAGCGUGUAAUUGUGCUGCUGCCACGCGAGAGAGAGCAUCAGCUCCCUGAUUUUCCUUGCCCUUGCGAUACUGAAUGCUGUAAUCGAACCCCAUAAUCUUCGGCAGCCAACGGGCUUGAGAAGGGGUGGUAAGUCGUUGCUCGAGAAGGUACUUCAAGCUUUGAUGAUCGGUCUUGAUCACAAAGGUUCUGCCCAAUAAAUACGGCCGCCAUUUCCGCACUGCCUUCACUACUGCGAGCAUCUCCUUGUCAUACGUUGACAGUAAUCUAGACUUGCCCUUCAAGGCCUCACUGUAAUAAGCAAUUGGCUGAUUGUCUUGAGAUAAAAUUGCUCUCAACCAUCACCACACGCAUCACACUCCACUGCAAAUUGUUGUGCAAAGUUUGGAAGUCGCAGCACAGGUGGGGACGUGAGGGCUUGCUUCAGUUUAUUGAAAGCCAUGAGCGCCUCCUCAGACCAGCGAAACCCCUCCUUGGAUAGGAGCUGAUUUAAUGGUGCAGCUAUGACGCCAAAUCCUCUCACAAAUUUUCAGUAAUAUCCAGCCAAACCGAGAAACCCACGGACAUCCUUGGGAGUUGCUGGAAUUGGCCAAUUUUGGACGGCUUGGAUUUUGGCAGGGUCCACUGCUACUCCUUCGGCAGAAAUGAGGUGCCCCAAAUAACCCACGGUAAGCACUCCAAACUGGCAUUUUGAGAGCUUUACAUACAGCUGGUUGUCCGAGAGAAUACGCAGCACUUGACAGAGAUGUUGUAAGUGAUCCAUCCAAGACCUGCUAUACACCAAAAUAUCGUCAAAAAAUAACAAUAUAAAUCGCCGUAAAUGAGGGCGAAAGAGGUCAUUCAUGAGACUCUGAAAAGUUGCUGGGGCGUUUGUCAAUCCGAAUGGCAUGACCACAAACUCGUAGUGACCGUCAUGAGUGCGGAAUGCGGUUUUUGGAAUGUCUUCCGGCUGGACUCUAAUCUGGUGAUACCCGGAGCGCAAGUCCAGCUUUGAAAAGAACUUCGCGCCAUGUAAUUCAUCAAGCAACUCAUCAAUGACCGGAAUGGGAAACUUGUCUUUAAUUGUGAUUUCAUUGAGCGCCCGAUAAUCAACACAAAAUCGCCAAGACCUAUCAGCCUUUUUAAUCAACAAAACCAGAGAAGAAAAGGGGCUGCGACUGAGGCGAAUAACUCCAGAUUGUAGGAAUUCCUUGACCAGUUUUUCAAUCUUAUUUUUUUGAUAGUACGGGUACCUGUAAGGCCGGUUGUUGACUGGAGAUUUAUUGGACAUCAAGGGAAUUUGGUGGUCAUGGCUGCGCGUAGGUGGCAGCGUUGUAGGCUCCUGGAAAACAUGUGCAAAAUCUGAAAGGAUGAGAUUGAGGUCAGGUGACCACGCUGAGGCUGUCUUUGGCAUUGUCUCCGUUUCUAUAUGCACAAAAUACCCCACACCUGAUAAGUGGAUCAACUCCUUAUCACUUAGGGGAGCGAGUUCAGUGUUUGAUAGUCCUCUCAAUGUGUACGUCUGGCCUUCUUGUUUAAAUGACAUGAUGAGCUUUUUGUAAUCGGUCUUGAUGGGGCCUAAAGUCUCCAGCCAUUGCACUCCUAAUACGGCUUGGCAGGCUAUCACUGGAAGCACAAAGAAGUCUGCGCGAACAAUGAUUCCUUGAAUCGAUAAAGAAAGGCCUAAGCACCGCCCAGUACACUCAAUAAUCUCCUUGUUCCCAACUGUGACUUGGAUGGUUUUGCCGCGAAUAACAUGUAGUCCCAAUUUGGUUGCCGUGGACUGAUCAAUAAAAUUAUGGGUGCUUCCCCCAUCAAUGAGCACUGUCAUAGCCGUGUUUCCUGCUCUACCAAUGACACGGAAAGUCUGUGGGUGGUUUGUUCCCACCAGAGCAUGAAAUGAUAUCUCUGGAAUGUCUUCCUCAGGCGUCACAAUCUCCAUGUCCACAUCGUCUCCUUCCUCCUUCUGCUGCACAUCCACCAUCAUGAACAACUGAGGCCGUGAACAACGAUGCCCGGGAACAUAUCGCUCAUCACAAUAGAAACACAACCCUUUUUCACGUUUCUCCCUUGCCUCCUGACCUGUUAUCCGUCGAAUUGGUGCAGUUGGGUGAGUUGUUCAUUGAGCCGGGGCAGGACCCAAGAGUCCCAUGGUGUUUGUGUGUGGUUGUUUCGGCUGGAAUGAAGGUGUUGUCGAUGGUCUGACUGGAUUGUUGAAUUUCCUUUGGAAAUGAUUUCGUUCUUCAAUUAAAUGAGCCACACUAAUGGAUUCAGAGAGAGUUUUUGGUUGCUUAACUCGAACAUCCAAACGAAUUUCAUCUUUUAAUCCCGCAAUAAAACACCCUACCAGGAAAUUUUCUGGGAGGUCAUCAACCUUGUGAGACAGUUUCUCAAAGGCUUCUUGAUAUACAUUCACAGUCGUGGUUUGCUUAAGUCUGGACAAUGCUUCUGACGGAUCAUCAUACUCAGUUGGUCCAAAACGGUGGAGAAGGGCUGAGACAAACUCAUUCCAGAGUAAUUGUCCCUUGCUUUUCGUAUACCAACGAUACCACUGCAAGGCGACACUCGACAGAUGAAAUGACGCCAAUUGUACUUGUCGUGGAGCGUCAAUGUUCUGGAACUCAAAGUAUUGUUCUGCCUUAAAUAUCCAGCCAGUGGGAUCCUCCCCUUCUCCAGAAUAGGUUGGAAAAUUCAACUUGAGGGUAGUGUGGUUUCUGUCGGCAUUGAAGGUUGCAGACGACCUGUCGUGAGAAGUACUUCCCCCAGCAUAAGGAUUUACUUCCCUCUCACUGGAACGAUGGGAAUGGGCGAUCCUCAUCGCUUGUAGCUCUGUCAUGACUCCCUGAAGGGCGUCGUUGACUCGAUUGAAAUUGUGAUUCAAUUCGUCAAAAUUGGCGUCGUGUCAUCCGAGAGUUUCUGUGAUCUCAGCACGAAACUACGCAUUAGUUUUACCACGCGUGUCCAUGGAUUGAACAGCUCUAAUACCACUGAUAAGAUAGGAUUUAGAGGAAGAAGAGAUAAUAAGAUAAAAGGUGAUUGUUUAUUGAUUGCAUGCCUUUCCUCUCGAAACAGUGAGCCUAAAUAGGCCAUUCAAUACAACUGUAAACUAAAUAAUAGGAACUCCAGUAGUGGAGAGCUGAAGACUAGGGAUGCUCUUGCUAAUCCCGUUACUUAUUCUCUAACCCAUUCAAUUACUUAAUUAAACAAUGAAAUAAAUUAAACAAUGAAACAAACAAAACAUAAAGUAAUUCUACGUAGACUCUCUCCAUGCAGUAGUAGCAAGAGAUCCACGUGCCCAAUGCUCUUAUCAAGCUGUUGCUUGUGAUAUUAUUGGAAAACGAAGACGCAGACGAAGACGAUGGUCGAUGGUGAUGGAGGUCUGCACCCAGGAGAUGGGGGUUCUUCCCCUGCGUUUUUCUUGUUGUUGUUCGUCUCUGUGUUUUUUUUUCUGUUCUCUGUUCUGGGUCUCCAGUGGCUUUUCGGUUAUGCCCUCCCCUCUCUUCUGUCUUCUCUCCCCUUUUCCCCCGGUUUUGCUCUUUUUUCCUUUCAUCCUCUUCUGCUCAGUCGUUCUUUGGCUUUUAUAGCCAGAGAAAAUAAUGUCGUUUCUUCCAACCAUAAAGUGUGAUAAUUGCAGAAGUAAUGGCUGUGCGGCGGUGGGCGUCCGUUUCGGUCGGGUGAGGAAGAUGAACAGUAACGGGCAACGGUGCUGUUUUGGUAUUCACAGUUGUAUGCCUUUUGGCCCUUGAAGUUUUGAACGUUUUGUAAUUAAGCCCCUAGUUAAAUUGUAAAUGGACCCCUGAAUUUCGACGCCUUUUACAAGUUAGGCUUUGGACUUUAAUCUGUUGCCAUUGUGCCCCCAAUUAACCCCAAAAUUUGGUAUUUUUUCAAUUAAGUCCCUGAUUUCAUUAAUUAAAUUAAAUCUAAGUCCAAUUAAGUCCCAAACUUAUCAAUUCAUUAAAUAAGCUCUUGAUUUUGUCAAUAAAACUAAUCCAAAGUUUAAUUAAAUCUCAAAACUUCCAAUUUUGUUGCCAUUAACCCAAAAUUUUAAUUCAUUCUUUAUUUUUAUCAUUUCACUCAUUUCAUCAUCAAAUUUUUUAAAUAAAAUAGAGAAGUCAAAAAUUGGGUUAUGAUAAUGAAUAAUUAAAAAAUCUAUUAACUUGUGUUGACCACCCUCCAUUUACUAUAUUUUUCUCUAAAAAAUGCCUUCCUUCCUAAUGAAAUUUCCUCAAAUACAUACUUUUUUUUUUAGGAAAUGUUCCAUUUUCCUCACUUCUAGAAAAAAAAAAUUAAAUGCUUGUGCGCAUGGGCUUGACCUUGCAGAUCCGCACACAAGCCUUUGAUGGGUGGGCCAAGCACUAGGCCUGACUUUCUAGAUCUAACAACGUAUGACCUCAUUUAUUUUUUUUAAUUAUUAUUAAUACCUAUAUAUAUAUAUUUAUUUAUAUAUUUGAAAAUAUUUUUAAAAAUGAUGUUUUUAUUAAUACUCGUUUUCGUUGAUUUUUUUUUUUGCCUUAUUUAGCGUUCAAUUAUUUUUAAUUAUGUUGGGUAUGUUUAGUUUUUUAAGAAGUUACUAUUAUUUAUCUGUAAAAUUUUUUUAUAUAUUUCAGAUAGAUUAAGUAUUUAUUUUUUUAUAAUAUUUUGAAUAAUUAUAGCCUUGCAUGGUAUUUUUUUUCCUUUUAUGCUAUUCAAUAAAUUUUAUAUGUGUAUUGAUUUCUAUUAUAAAUUAAUUUUAGUAAAUAAAUUAAUUAAACAUAACCAGGGUUAUUUAUUUAUUGGUAAUGACUUUUUUUUUCAUUUAUUUAUAUAAUGAUUCAUGAUUUAUUUAAUUCGAUGCGUGCAUAAGUUUUUUAAUUUAUAUUUAUGAUUGUUUUUAAUGUAAGAAAACACGUUCAUAAAUUCUUAUUAUUAUGAUUUCAGUUUAAUCCUAAUUUUUAUGAUUUUUUAUUUUUUUUCCUUAGCCUUUUAUAAAAGUUUUUUUGUUUGUAAUUUCACCCUUUAAUUUAAUAUGAUGGUGUAUUUGUUUUUUUAUUUUUUGCUUCUAUAUAUAUAUAUAUAUAUAUAUAUAUAUAUAUAUAUAUAUUCCCGUCUUUUGUUUUUUCGUUUUAUCAGCUUUUGCAUGUGGAAUAUUGAGUCUUCUACUUUUUCAGCCACAGAAUUGAAUCCUUUAUAUAUUCUUAAAACUAGAUUUGAAUUCUAAUGAACGAAUAAUAAAGAUGGUUGCAUGUACAAAUUCACCUUCAGAAAACAUAUAAUAAAGUCCCAUAUGUUAAUGAAGAUUUAAUUAUUAAGAAUAUAAAUUAAAUUAAAUUAAAUAUUGAAAAAACUAAAUGAAUUCCUUAAUAAAUAAAUAAAUUCUUUCUUUAGAAAGCAUGGAAAUGCCAUGACACUGGCUUUUUAGAGAGAUGAAGAUCUGGAGCACAACAGCCAAGAAAGUUAUCGAUAAAAGGAAGAUGGGAAGAGGGGAAAUGGGUAACGGGAGAGAGAUGAAGAUCUGCGCAUGGCUACCUGUUUUUGAGAGAAUUAUGGAAAGUUAUCCCUCACUCAAAACGGCACCAAUUAUAAGUUCAUUAAAAAAAAUCUGGAGCACAAUAGAUGGAAAAAACUCGAAACAACUUGUCUAGAAUUUAGGCAAGAAGAAUGAGCCAAGAUUUUAAUUGCAAUGAAAUUUAUCUCACUUUGUUAAGUUUUUUAAAAUGAUACAAGAUAUACUACCUAAUGAAACAAAAUGGAAUCAACAACCUUUAAAAGGAGUAGAGAUCACUUAUGUGUCUCUCAUAUUCAAUAGCCUUUUUCCCAUACUGACAUGUGCUUUACACUCACCAACAUUUUUUUUCUUUUUAUUUUAUAAUAUUCAACAUCGGCGAGUGAGAAUUUGAUAGCUAACUUUAUUAGUAGUGUUGGUUGCUGACUUGUCAGACACGUUUUGAGGCCAUAUGUAGUCACCAAGAACAAAUCCAUGAGGGCGAUAAGGCCCCAUAAAGACAAUAUCUGGUAGAUUCAGUCAGGCUAUGACAUAUUCGAUAAUAACUCUUCAAUUAAGUUCUAAAUCUCAUUUCAUCUUUUCAAUUUAAUCCCUAAUUUGACAUCAACUCUUCAAUUAGACCCCAAAGCUUAUCUCACCUGAGGAAAGCCCUCUUCUCUCAAUUUAGCCCCUUAUUAUCUUCAAUUUAAUAUCAAAUUUUAUUUGAUCCAAGCCCAAAAAAGGCUAAGCGAAGAUAGAAUAAAGGAAGGGAAAGAAAAUGAAUAAUUGCCCAACGGAGUUAACGUGUUUUGGUCUUUUCUCCAUGAUUUGGGUUGAACAUUUGACAUAUAUCCUUUUUUCUAUAGUUUUUUAUCCAUGUUCGUUGUGACGCCAUUGGUAUAGAAUGGUUACCAACUGUUAGUUUAAUAUGCCUUGUAGCCAAUCGGUUAGUUACACGAGACAUUAUUAUAUUCAUGUAAAUACAUAUUUAUUAUUAAUAAAGGCUUAAUUUAACUUUAAUAUUCAUAUAAUAUUAGAGUAAUGAAUCUAAAGUAUAAAUAAAGUUUAUGAGACAAAAAUGUUUUGCAAAGGAAAUUAUAAAGUUGUUAUAAUUAUGAGAUUUUUAAUGCAUCAAAGUAUAAUUCAUAAAAUAUUCUUGGUCGAUGCUCUCUUAAAUACUGGAUAUUAAUUAGAGCUAUAAAGACUGAUACAUAUUAUGUUUUUUCCUUUAUGAAAUGAAGCAACUGUUCUCAUAAGUUGAGCUAUAAGGGAUACCUAAAACUAAUAUGUAUAUGCUUGUCAUUAGACAUGUACACUGAAUUGACCGGCAUGAGAAUUCCAUAUGAAGAGAUUAUUUAUGUCUAUGGAAAGACUCACAUGACGGUUGUAUAUGUAAUCCUUAGACUUGAGAUCACUAAGUUAUCUUAUAUAGAGAAUGUUAUGCUUUGAUCCUGUUACAUGUUAUCUUAAUUGAGGUAACAAAAUGAUAGACAUUGGGUAUAUCAUGAACUAUAUGAAGGUACUUGAGUAAUCAAGAGAGGAUUUCAUCACCCUAUGUGAAUUAGAAAAAAUGUUCAAUCUGUUCUCAAAUAAUAUUGACUGAGAAAUCCGUGGCCAAUGUGGAAUGAUAUUUAAAAAGGAUUUCAAAUCUUAUUCAAAUAAUCAAUUGCUAUCAUAUAGAGAAUGACAUGAUUUAACAUGGCAAACAUGCUUCAUGCUUUAAUGUUAAAUAAGAACAUUAGUGAUAAAAUGGUAUUAAUUACAAUGAGAAACUGGUAAUUGAAACCACUAAUAACUUUUCUAAUAUUUAUGGGAUCAUGACACGUUACUAGACAAUGCAUAUGAUCUUCAAAUCUUCAAUUGUAAUUUAUUUAAUUAUAAUUAUAAUUUAUAUUUGGGUUAAUAUAUUAGGAACCUAAUAUGUCAUACACAUUAAGAAUUAAAUUGUGAUGAUUUAAUUAAGUAUAACUUGAUUAAAAAAAAAUUUAGAAAUUAAGGACUACAAUAUAAUUAAUACAAGGAUUAUAUUUUUAGAUCUAGAAAAAUCAAGGACUUGAUUGAGUUAAUUUAUAAAAUUAUCUUAAAUUAAUAUAUGGAUAUUAUUCAAGGGGAAAAUUGAUAUUUUGUCAAUUUAUAGGGUUUUUCAUAUUUCCUUAUAAAUAGUAAGUGUCGCACGUGUGCGGCGUCGUGACAAAAACAUUCACCCUCAAAAUCUUAUCUUAUAAUGUGGCAAAUGUGGGGAGACAAGGAAUUCUUGUUUUUUAUUAGUGGUAAAUUGGAAUGGGAGUCGCCACCUAGUAUUUUGGUCACUAGGAACUCUAGCUGGUCUCAAAGAUCGGGUACGGGGACUGGUUGCGUAAAGGGAAGGUAUUAGCACCCCAAAUACGCCCUACCUAAGGUAAGCUGCAUUGUUUUAUUGUUUGAUAAAAUCUAAGAUCUUGUCGUGUUUUCUCGUUGUUGGUUCGUCUAUGGUUUAAGAAAAGUCCUUCUCGGUAAGGAGAUCCUUAUCUUAUCGGGUAAUUCUGACGUCAACCAAAGAAUUUAAUAUCCGAAAUACGUCUUACGUAUAAGGUCAUAACCCCAGAUAUUAAAAGAAAACAAAAUAAUUUUUUUGGAAUUUUUGAAAUAUUGGCCUAGUUCUCGUGACUUUAAUAAACUGGUUAUUAAAGCCAAAAUGCAUGUUAAUAUAUAUUUUUGAAAUUUUCUUUGUUAUAUGAAAAUACAAUAUGAUUUUUUUUUCUUUUAUUUUUGAGAGACUUGGUCGUAUGCAUGAAAACAAAAUAUUUUUUAUUUUUUAAAUUUUUUUAAUGUCUUGACGAAAACCGGGUAUUUUAAUACCAGAUUUAUAUCUUUACAGUAUAAAAAUACAAACCAAUAUUGAUCAAAAUGAAGUAAAAAAUUUGCAGAAAAUCACAUAUUUUUUUAAAAUUCUUUUUCCGGGCUGGGCCCAGCCCGGCCCAUGUGGCUGGGCUGGACCCAGCAGGUUUCUACCCGCAUGCGUGCGUGAACAAUUCACGCACGCCUGCUACAGUCGCGAUGUAAUUAAUUUUCAUGUGCACAGUGUUUGUGCAUUUUCUGCAAAGUUGGAGAAGUUUACCUGGAAGCAAGACGAAGGCAACAACAGCUUUGGACCUCUAUCUUCACCUUUUCGUUUGUUUUUCUUCUGGUUCCUCUGGUUCUUCCUGUUUUUUUCUGUUUCUGUUUUCCGUUCUUCUUGUGGUUCCUUUCCUUUCGUCUCUGUCUUCUCCUUCCUCCCGGUAUUCUUUGUUUUUUUUGGUUCCCCUCCCCUUUUCUGUUUCUCUCCUCCCUAUCCUCUGCUUCCUUACGCUCUCCCUCUGUCUAUCUCUCUUUUUGUUCUUUUCAAAAGAUUUCCCACCCUCUGUUUCUUUCUCCCUAUGCUGCCCAGUUCUCCUUCCUUCUCGUUCUUUUUCUAUGUUUUCUCCCUGCUCCCUUCUUCUCCCCCUCUUCGGCUCAGUCUUCUUCUGCUGCUUUUAUAGGUCAGAGAAGGCUUUGUGCUGGUAACGGCUGGCUUGGUAACGGUUUGAAGAGGGAUGACAGCCGUGACACAUGCCCUAUAAUUGAAGAGAAUUGGCACUGUUGCUGCAAGAAAACGUCUCUCGGCCUUUAGUGCUGAAACGGCUGGAAGAAGACACUGAAUAGUGUUUCAAGGCAACGGCCCCGUUUUUUGCAAUUUUAAAUGAUAUUUAUGAUUUGGUCCUUGGAUGUUUUUACAAUUUGUAAUCAAGCCCUCGGAUAAAUUAUAAUUGGAUCCCUUGAUUGUAGCACCUUUUCUGUUUUGGUCCUUGGUUUUGAAUUGUUUCAAUUAAGUCCCUAAUUGGCCAUCAAACUUUAAUAACUAUGCAAUUAAGCCCCUGAUUUGACCAAAUCAACUCUUUAAAAUUAUAAUUGGACCCCAGAACUUUAAUUUCUUCCAAUAAAGACCUAAAUUGACUUAAAAAACAAUUUUUCUUGCAAUCAAACCCUCCAUAAAUUCAAUUAAACCUUAGAUAAAAUUUAAUUGAGUCCAUAAACAUCUUAUUUUGAAUAUAUUUUUUCAAAAAUUGAAUUUUCUUUGUCAACAGAACUCUCAUCAGUUAACGAUAAACUGUCAAAUUUCAACCUUUUGCAUUUUUGAACCUCUUCAACCAAUUUUUGGCCAUUUUUCGGCAUUCUAGCAUCCUUUUCUUACUCCUAUUAUUUUUUGGAUUUCUUUCGAAUAUUUUUUGAUAUAUAUUUCUUUUUGUAUUUUCUCAUUUUUUUGUGGGAACCCAAAAAUGGGUAACAACAGUAAGCUAUGCCUUUUAUUUUUUAGGAGUUGUCUGUUAGACAAAAAGACUACGUAUGUCACAUAAUAAAGAGAUAACACUCUAGGCAUAACAAUCCCUCUCUCUUAAAUAGGGACUUGAGAGAUUUUUCACUAGUGGUUCAUGUGAAUUACUAUUGAAGGACAAACAAUUGGACGACUUCUAGUUUACAACAACCCAGUCUUUAAAAAAUUAUUCAAAACCGAAGAUGAUCAAAUCUUUAGGUAAUAAAUCCCUAAACAACUCUAGAUCUGUUUAACAAAAUUCCAGAAAUUCCCGAAUAAUUUUAGGCUGUGUUUGUUUUCCGGAAAGUGGUUUCCGGAAAACCACUUUCCAAACUUUCCUGUGUUUGUUUGUUAUUAGGAAAGUUGGUCAACGGAAAACACUUUUCAGUCAAAGGCAAAAUUUAGCUUGGUUUUUAGAAAAGUGUUUUCCUUUUAUUUUAGGCGGAAAACACUUUCCGGAAGUUGUGCAAAAUUUAGAAAUGUCAUAUUAUUUGCUGAUUAUAUCAAAAUUGGUCCUGAAACUUUUGAUUGCUAUAUAUAUAUAUAUAUAUAUUUUUUGUUUUGAAUAUUUGUUUUUCAAUUUCAUCCCUUGGAAUUUAAUUUUUAUAUUAACUUUACUCCUCAUUUUUAUAAUUGCUAUUUGAUUUUCCCUUAUCAUUUUUUAAUUAAAUUUUUUUAUCUAUCAAAUUUGGUCAUCAUUCUUUUGAUUGUUACUUAUUUUAUUUGAAAUAAUUUAUAAAAUGUUAAUUAUUAUUAUUUUAAUUUCUUCAUCUUUCAAUUUUUUUAUUUUUUAGAUUUGAUCUCUAUUAUUUUGAUUAUUAUUUAUUUUAUUUGAGAUAAUUUAUGAAAUUAUAUUUUUUUUCAAUUUUAUUCUCAUUCAACUUUUUAAUUUGUAAGAUUUAUUCCUCGUUAUUUUAAUAAAUUUGAGAAAAAUAAAAUAUUAAUACGUUAUUUUCCAGCUUAUUUUCCAUGACAUAACAAAACACAGGAAAAUGUUUUCCAACUUAUUUUCCAUGACACUGCAAUUGGAUGACUCAUAUUUGAUUUAUGGAGCUAGCUAUGCUAAGGGAAUCAUGCUUGUAUCACCUAUACUAAUAAUAAUAAUUACAUAUUAACAAGCAUCAUUUGAUUAGUAAGUUUCCAAAUUCUAUCCACAAAUAUUAUAACCUCUUAAUUUAUGCAAGAACUUAGCUACAUUUCAUGCAAGCAAUCCCUAACUCUAGUAUUUUGUCUGUGUUAAAAAUGGAGACUUCUUGGUGUUCGCCGGAGCUUGGGUAUAUACCAUAUUUGAACAAAUAACAAUGUAAAAACAUCUUUUAACGAUAUUAAAAUCAUUUAUUCAUUUAAAGUAUCAAUAUUGUCAUUUAUAGUGAAACAUUUAAUUUUACUACAUUGAAAAUACGUUGACCAAUAGAAUCCCCGCCUUCAGCUAACCCCCAAUAUGUCUUGAAUAGCAAUGGCCAUCCUUUGGCCAUCAUGCCAUAAAAGCCUCAUUUGGAGCCAAUUCCUCUCUUUCUUGCCACUAUUUAGCUUCCGACCAUUCUUCGCGUUUCACUUUUCUUCAAAUGUUUUCACCAAAACAAAGCUUCAACCUUUAAAUUGUUGCUUAUAAAGUCGAGAUCCAAGGGAUUAUUUAAGAUUUUAUGGAAAUUACGUAUUUCAAAUAUUUUAUGUUUAUUUUUCUGAAAUAUCGUUUGAAGCAAAAGGCAAAAAAGAAUUAAAAAUUUUUUUAAAGUGUUUUUAAAACACAAAAACAAACAGAGUUUGUUUUUUAUUUUUUAAAGAAUUGUUUUUAAAAAAUAAUUUUUUGUAUUCUAAAUUAAUUUUUUUAUUAUUUUAAUAUAUUUUAAAUAAAAAAUAUUUUAAAAAACAUCUACUUAAAAAAUAUUAUUUUUCUGAAAUAAUACUUUUCUCUAUAUUUGAGUUUAGUUUAAAAUANNNNNNNNNNNNNNNNNNNNNNNNNNNNNNNNNNNNNNNNNNNNNNNNNNNNNNNNNNNNNNNNNNNNNNNNNNNNNNNNNNNNNNNNNNNNNNNNNNNNAUUUUAAUGUUUUUUCAUGCUCUAGCAAAUGAGGCACGAAAAGAGAACCUGAAAUCACGGCAGCAAAUAAGGAGAGAAAUAGGUGUUUGUUUUUUAUUUUUUAAAGUAUUAUUUUUUAAAAUUAAUUUUUUGUAUUCUAAAUUAAUUUUUUUAUAUUUUUAUAUUAAUAUUAAAAAUAAUUUUUAAAAAAUAAAAAAUAUUAUUUUAAUAUAUUUUUAAAUAAAAAAAUAUUUUAAAAAAGAGCUGCUUAUUCAAACACUUAAAAUAAAAAUCUUAAAAUCACAGCAUGAUAAAAGAAGAAAGAAAGGAAUGGGAUAAAGAAGAAAGAAUAAAAAAAACUCCAAAAAUCACGGCAUGAUCAAAGGAGAAAGAAAAGGAUGGGACAAAGAAGGAAGAAAGUAAGGUCACGUAGGGGCUUGUCUUGUAGAAAAUGUGAGAAUUAGCAUGAAAAGAGGAUAAUAGAGUAGUUGUUAGAAUCAAAAGACAUAAACACGGGAGAGAGGCUGCCCCUUACCUCCUCCUGGGAAGGAAUAUAUGUCAGACUAUACAGCCUUUUUCAAUUCAUUAAUGUCGUUCUCUGUUUGUCUUCUAAAACCUACUCCCAUCAUGUACAUGUAUUAUUUUCUUAAAAUUGCUCUAUGGAAUUGCAGGCCAUGCUCGUUUGAUUUUUUUAAUAACAAAAUUCUUUUCAUGCUCUUGCAAAUAAGGCAGGGAUGGAGGCCUUGAAAUCACGGCAGCGAAUAAGAAGUGAAAAAGAGCCUUUGUUUUUGCUUUUUUAUUUUUUAGUAUUUUUGAAACAAAUUAGAUUUUUUUAUUUUUUUUAUUUUCUAUUAUUUUGAUAUAUUUCUAAACAAAAAAAUAUUUUAAAAAACAACCACUAACACAUUCUUUUUAAGCUAUUAAGUAACCAGUCCCUAUAAUUUUUCAACAUUGCACUUGGGUACCAAACUUCAUUUUUCUCUUUUUCAAGUUUUUUUUUUGGUGGAGAAGACAGAGAGGGUCGCUGAAUUUUAUUUUAGAGAGAGAAAGUUGUUGUUAAGAAAGAUUUUGGCUACCGAAAUCGUUGAUUUUUGUAUCAAAUGGUAACCGCCUAUUUUUUUCAUGUGUUCAUACUUAAAACCUUCUUAAAGAGUUCUUAUCAAUGGUUUUAAAACCUCUCUCUCAAGAUCGAAAGGUUAGAAAUAACUCUCUACCCUCUAAGUCUAAUAAAACCAUCAAGUACUCUUAAAACCAAAACCACAAUUGCAAAAACCAGUUUAGUACAAGAACUUCUAACUAUUAGCUUUUAUCCAUAACCCUCUCACUUUGAUCAAAUGGUUAAACUUUCAUCAAUCUUUGAGGGAAUCCACAAAAAAACCUAGAAAAACAUAUAAUUACUCUUGAAAAUUAGAGCCGGAGAGGAGGAGAAAAAAAGAGGAAAAACAUGGGGAAAUAAUUUGUUAAUAGACUCUAUUAUAAAGGUUCAAGAGCCUAGAAGGUUUAACCAGCUUUAGAAAGAAAAAAAGUGAAAGGAAAAGAAGGAAGGAAAUGAAAAUAAAAAAAUAACAACGUAAUUUUGAACUUAAAGGCCUAAUUUCAGUGAAAGUUAAGAGCAUUAGAGACUAGACCGUGCUUAUACCAAAGACUCUCAUCGUUGAAGGAAUGCAAACAGUUGUUAACGAGACACUUAUGCUGUUCCAACAUUCAAAGAUUGUUGAAUCUAGUACCGGUGCUCAUUCUGGAUCUAGUACCAAAAGGAGAAUAUAGAAAGAGAUAGUAGUGAAUUAAUUAUGUUUCAUUCAGUAGUAAGAAACAAACGGGGGCAAUGCAUUUAUAAUAGCCAGAGAGGGGUUUUUAUAUACAUUCNNNNNNNNNNNNNNNNNNNNNNNNNNNNNNNNNNNNNNNNNNNNNNNNNNNNNNNNNNNNNNNNNNNNNNNNNNNNNNNNNNNNNNNNNNNNNNNNNNNNACUAGAUAUAAAGAAAAAGUACAAAUUCCAACAAAAAAUACAUGUUUGAAGGUUCAACAAAAAUGAUUUGCUAAUUAGCUAUAAGCUUGAGAAAGAUAAAUAAUGAGAGUGUGAGUUCAAAAACUCAGUGAGUAGAUAACGUUCAAUAUACAUACACGAGGUAAUACAACAAUGAGGAAUAUAUAUACAAUUAUGGCUUUAGAUUCUUAUAGGAAGGUUUCUCAAAUAGGCCAUAACAAGGUUAUCAUAAGGUAAAAUUCGUUAGAAAAUCAAAAUGCAAUAACAUGAGGCUCUGUACUAUGGGAUGAUCAGUCCACACAGGUUGAUGACUCUCCCAACCAACUAGGGUUUCAAAUACAAUGUGCACUAAGACUAACACUACCCUGUUAGUAUGAGCAUUCUAACUGGCAUACCAUAAGUUCAUAUCAUAAUCAAACAAACAAAUUCAUAUCUCAAGGCCCAACUCAUGACAUUAAUAAAACAAGAAGCUAUCAAUUCAGAAGUCAAUUUAGAAGUAUAUAUUGGCUUAUAUCAAAAAUUCAAAUUCAACAAUUAAUCAUGUUUUAUCAUAACAAAGAUAAUAAUCAACAUAUAUAUUAUCAAGAAGCACGAUCCAAUUCAUAUUAACAGCUCAAAUAUUUAUACUAUUUCUCAUGCAUAUGGAAAAUUAUACACUCACUUGACUUAAAAGUGAACAGAACUCGAAAGCAAAUACCGAAGAAAAUCCUACUGAUAUUCCGCAUAUAGAAUAUCAAGAUUAUCUAAAUACAAAGAAGACAUAUUAUAAAAUGACUCGAAAAGAACAUACAACCUAUUUAAUACACUUAACUAAGGGUCUAUUUCAUAACCCUAUACAUUUUGUUAAUUCUAAACUAGUUAUUUUUCCCAAAAACCAAAAAAGUAAACGGUUUUUCAGAAAUCUAAUUCAUAAUAAAACAAAUAAUGAGACUUGAUAAUAAUUCACUAAAUAACCAUCAAUUAUUCAUCAAAACAAUCUGAAAAAGCUAAUAUUAAAGCUAGGGACCAAUCUGAAAUUUUAUCAUAUUUUUAGGGGUCAAAUUAUAAUUUUAUCAAAUUGGAAGACCAAACUAAAAAUGUCAUAAAUUCAUGACUAUACUGGAAUUCUGCCCAUAAUUCAUUUUCAAUUCUGCCCAGAAUCUCAAAUUAUGCUCCAGGGACCACUAUAGAAUUUUAUCAAAUUUCUAGGGUUAAAUUGUAAUUUCAUCAAAUUGGAGGACCAAAGUGAAAAUAUCAUAAAUUCAUAACUAUACUGGAAUUCUGCCCAUAGUUUAUCUUUAAUUCUGUCCAGAAUCUCGGAUUAUGCUCCAGGGACCAAUCUCUAAUUUUUCCAAAGUUCAGGGACUAAANNNNNNNNNNNNNNNNNNNNNNNNNNNNNNNNNNNNNNNNNNNNNNNNNNNNNNNNNNNNNNNNNNNNNNNNNNNNNNNNNNNNNNNNNNNNNNNNNNNNCAGACCCACAUGCCUAGGGUCUGCAGACCCGCUUGCGGUUUGCAGACCCUUAUCCCUGGAGUUGCAGAACCCCGCGCCUGGGGUGUGCAGAACCGGGAGCAGGGUCUAGACCCGCUCAUCUGGGUUUGAAGAACCCCACUUCUUCUAUCGUGCCUGGGGUCUGCAGCAUCCUCCCAGGGGUUGUAGACCCACACAACUAGAUCUGCAGACCCCGUAGAGAAAAAUAACAAACUUGAAAAAAAAAAUGAAAACAAAUAUAAUAACUAAUAACAAUUAUUUUUAUCAUUAUUAUUAUUAUCGCUAAUAAAUUUUAUAAAAACAUUAUUACUAUCAAAACUUGGACUAGACAAGUUUAAUAUUAUUAUUACUAUACUAAAUAUUAUUGUUUUCAUUAUAAUUAAAAGUAUUAAUAUUUGUGUUAUAAAUACUAUUAUUUUUAUUAUAAUUAAAAGUAUUAAUAUUAAAAUUAUUAUUAUUUUUCUUAUAAAUAAUAUUAUUUUUAUUAUAAUUAAUAUUGAAAAUACUAUUAUUUGUAUUAUCAAUAUUAUUAUUUUGAGUAUAAUUAAUACUACUAACAUAAUAAUUAAUAAAUUUGAAAAAAAUAUUAUUUAUAUUGAAAAGCAAUAAUAGAUUUAAUUUGAAGGGUAAAAUUAAGAAUUAUUAUUAUUAUUAUUAUUAUUAUUAUUAUUAUUGUUAUUAUUUAUUGUUAUCAUUAGUAAAUUGAAAGAAACAAAAUUAUUAGUUAUUUUUAUCAUUUCAGCUGGGGUUGAAUUUUCUUAUUAGAGCAUGUUUGGUUUUGGUUUUAAAAAUUGCUUUGAAAAGAAUUUUAUUUUUUUUAUUUUUUUCUUUACUUCAAAUUAAUGUUUUUUCCUUUAAUUCAUAUUAAAAUGUUUUUGUAAUAUUUUGACGUGAUUAUAUAUUAAAUAGAUUUAAAAAAAAUUAAACAUUGCAGGAUUCAAAAUAGUCUUGGGUCCAGGUUGGGGCAGGACCCUAGAUCUUACAGGUUGCAGGACCCAAAAUAGCCUUGGGUCCGGCCGUAUGCAUGACCCAAAAUAGCCUUGUACAGUUGAGAACAUCUCAUGCAUGCGACAUCCAAUGCAACAUAAUAUAUAAAUUGCAAUGCAUGUAAUUAAUGGGGGGGAAAUUCAUGAAUGAAUUGAAAGAUAUAUAUCUUAUGGGAUAGAUACAACACGAGAAGAAAAAACCAUUUAGAGAAACAGACAAUCUCGAUUGAUGAUCAUCCUAUUAUUAGCAUGAAAGGUUGAAAAAGAAAGAAUUCAUACAAGGAGGUUGGCCUUGAAUUGGCAUUGCCUUAUUCCAAGCGCUAGCUAGCUUAUAAUAUUAUUCACUAGCUAGCUAGCUCGCUAGCUCCUCUCCCUAGCCUUCCCUGCAUCGAUCUUCUGCUUUGCAACCUCUUCCUGGAGCGACUCGAUGGAGGCAUUGGGGAUUCUUUUCUGGGUCACAACGCGGAAGCCCUUCGUAACUUAAGUAUUUUGGUUUUCUUGUAAUGGUAUCUGCUACAUCUCCUGCAACAAACGUGGUCAUCAGGAGCAUUAAAACACCAAAAGCCAUCAAUCCUUUGGACAUUGACAUUGUUAAACUAUGAUGAGAGCAGACAAUACACAAAUGUUGUUCUUAAAAGAAUAUUGAUUCGGUGACAAUAAAAAGCAAGGUCUGGCAUAUAUAUAUAUAUAUAUAUAUAUAUAUAUAGCAUAUGCAUGGAGUGUUUGCCGUUUAUAGCACAAUUUCUUGUGGAUAUUAAAAUAGUUAAUUCUCUUUGCUUUUUCAGAUUAUAGCCGCACCACUUAUAGCACAAUUUCUUGAAGUUGAUACCCACAUAUAGCUGGGAGCUCAAAUGGCCACAUCUUGCAUUAGACAUUGAGAGCUUAAUUGGAGGUCUUGGUCAGCUAAAUUCUCAGCAUCCCUGAUGAGGAGCACACAUUGCGUGGUUGUGACUUCACUUGAGAAAAGUACAUCCAAGAAACAAGGAGAGAUAUGCUACCAAAGAAAAGAUGUCGUGAGUUCGAGCGUCCAGGUUUGGAUCAUGGGAACGCAUACACAACCACAUGCCCACCCAGCUGCAAGAGCUCCAAGUCUGCAAUAUUGAUCUUGUAUUGUAUGUAAACUUCCAACAAAAGUGAACUAUAUGUUAGAUCAUUAGAGAAGGUUUUCCAUGUAACAUGACAUAACAAUAUUAAACAGCAUCAGGACAAAUAUUGCGAACAUAAUAUGUUUGGUUUAGGUGCGCGCGCCGCCUCUUAAAAAGCAUGUCGAAAUCCAUGCUUUCUGCGAGGUGCACCGCCCGGCGCACCUUACAUACAAACACAUUGUAAUUAGUGUGACCAAAAAGAACUCUUGGUGCGAUUAUCCAAGACCACAAAUCACACUCUGCAACGAGAAGUGUCCCCCAAAGACUAAACAAAAAGAAAAAAUAAAAGCAGCUUCCAAUCGUUUCAUUACUUGACUCACCCAAUAACAAAAGCUCUUCGUCUUCUCAAUAAGGAAAUUAAUACAUGCAAGCUGCCACAAGAUUAAAGCACUUAAUGCAGAGAAAGGAGGAGUCACUGCAAUCUAUUCUACUUCCCAGAUGUUGCAGUCAAACUUAAAAUGUGAAAAUCAAAUAUGGUAAAGGCCACGGCUCUACAUAUAAAGAAAUAGACACCUGGGAUAUGAGAGUUCUUAUUGUUAAAUAAUAUUUAUGUAGUCUUAUUUAUUAAGGGUAGAAUAGUACUUUCAGUUUGACCUAUAUAUACUUUAUUUGUAUUGAGGUUAACACAAAGCAUUCAUAAUAAACAGUCUGAGGGAAGAGAUAUGAGCCUACGUUUAAGUAUUUGAUCUCGAUUACUUUAACAUGGUAUCAGAGCUGGUUUUAUGGCACGAGGUUAAUCCCGUACACAGCUUAUGUCAAGGUAACCGAGCUCGAUAUCUAUCCUCAAUUAUUUUGGUAUUUCGUCUUCCCUUCAGCUUUGCAAUUUUGGUAAUUCCGUUCAGUUUCUGCAAAUUGUUUUGUGUUUUGGAGUAAUCGUAUAGUUUGAGAAGAUAUUUGUUUAGUUUCUGCAAUCUCUGUUCAGUUUCUGCAAUUUGGUAUUUUGUUUUCCGCUGCUUUUGCAUUCUGGUUCUUUGUGAUUGUUGAUUAUGGCUACUGAAAGAGAUGAUUCGCUUCAGUCUGUGAGUGUGAGGUUGGAUGGGAAGAACUAUUCGUAUUGGAGCUAUGUAAUGAGAAAUUUUCUUAAGGGUAAGAAGAUGUGGGGAUAUGUUAGUGGAACUUAUGUGGUACCUAAGAAUACUGAAGAAGGAGAUACUGUCUCGAUAGAUACAUGGGAAGCAAACAAUGCAAAGAUCAUUACUUGGAUCAACAAUUCUGUUGAGCAUUCUAUAAGUACACAGUUGGCAAAGUAUGAGACAGCAAAGGAGGUUUGGGAUCAUCUGCAACGGUUAUUCACGCAAUCAAAUUUUGCAAAACAGUAUCAGUUAGAGAAUGACAUACGAGCUCUUCACCAGAAGAAUAUGAGUAUUCAGGAGUUCUAUUCUGCCAUGACAGAUCUUUGGGAUCAAUUGGCUCUUACAGAAUCGGCAGAAUUAAAAGCAUGUGGUGCUUAUAUUGAACGUAGAGAGCAGCAACGAUUGGUACAAUUUUUAACAGCACUUCGCAGUGAUUUCGAAGGACUUAGAGGUUCAAUUCUGCAUCGUUCUCCACUGCCCUCUGUUGACUCUGUUGUCAGUGAGUUAUUGGCUGAAGAAAUACGUCUUCAGUCUUAUUCUGAAAAGGGAAUUCUUUCUGCUUCGAAUCCUUCUGUACUAGCAGUACCUUCUAAGCCAUUCUCUAAUCAUCAGAACAAGCCUUACACAAGGGUUGGCUUCGAUGAGUGCAGUUUCUGUAAGCAGAAAGGUCAUUGGAAGGCUCAGUGUCCUAAGUUGAGACAGCAGAAUCAAGCUUGGAAGUCUGGCAGUCAGUCACAAUCUAAUGCUCAUCGAUCACCUCAGGGUUAUAAACCACCACACCACAAUACUGCAGCAGUAGCUUCCCCAGGCUCUAUUACCGAUCCUAAUACUUUAGCUGAGCAAUUUCAGAAGUUUCUCUCCUUGCAGCCACAAGCAAUGUCCGCUUCUUCCAUAGGUCAGUUGCCUCAUAGUUCCUCAGGUAUGUCACACUCUGAAUGGGUCUUGGAUUCUGGUGCUUCACAUCAUAUGUCUCCAGAUUCCUCAUCUUUUACCUCAGUGUCCCCUUUGUCCUCCAUUCCUGUUAUGACUGCUGAUGGCACUCCUAUGCCCUUAGCAGGUGUUGGUUCUGUUGUCACACCUCACUUGUCUCUCCCUAAUGUUUAUCUUAUUCCAAAACUCAAAUUGAAUCUUGCGUCUGUUGGUUAAAUAUGUGAUUCUGGUGAUUAUUUAGUCAUGUUUUCUGGUUCUUUUUGUUGUGUACAGGAUCUGCAGUCUCAGAAGCUGAUUGGGACAGGUCGUAGGGAGAAUGGGCUAUAUAUUUUGGAUGAGUUAAAAGUGCCAGUUGCUGCUGCUGCUGCUGCUGCUACUGCUGAUUUGUCUUCCUUUCGUUUGAGUCUUUCAUCUUCUAGUUUUUAUUUAUGGCAUUCCCGUCUAGGUCAUGUUUCGUCUUCUCGUUUGAGAUUUUUGGCAUCCACAGGAGAUUUAGGAAAUUUGAAAACUUGUGACAUUUCUGAUUGUAGUGGAUGUAAACUGGCAAAAUUUUCUGCUUUAUCUUUUAAUCGAAGUAUUUCUGUUUCAUCUUCACCAUUUGAUUUGAUUCAUUCUGAUGUAUGGGGACCUUCUCCUGUUUCCACAAAAGGAGGGUCUCGAUAUUAUGUCUCUUUUAUUGAUGAUCAUACUCGUUAUUGUUGGGUUUAUUUAAUGAAACAUCGUUCUGAAUUCUUUGAGAUAUAUGCAGCUUUUCGAGCUCUUAUCAAAACUCAACAUUCUGCUGUGAUCAAAUGCUUUAGGUGUGAUUUGGGUGGGGAAUACACCUCUAAUAAAUUUUGUCAAAUGCUUGCCUUAGAUGGAACCAUCCACCAAACUUCAUGUACAGAUACUCCUGAACAAAAUGGUGUAGCUGAAAGAAAACAUAGGCAUAUUGUCGAAACUGCUCGUUCUCUCUUGUUGUCUGCUUUUGUUCCUAGUGAAUUUUGGGGAGAAGCUGUUCUUACUGCUGUAAGUUUGAUUAAUACAAUUCCAUCUUCUCAUAGUUCGGGUCUAUCUCCUUUUGAAAAGCUAUAUGGGCAUGUCCCUUAUUAUUCCUCAUUUAGAGUCUUUGGUUGUACUUGUUUUGUUCUUCGUCCUCAUGUAGAACGCAAUAAGCUAUCCUCUCGAUCCGCUAUUUGUGUCUUUCUGGGUUAUGGUGAAGGUAAAAAGGGGUAUCGUUGUUUUGAUCCAAUAACUCAGAAACUUUAUGUGUCUCGUCAUGUUGUCUUCCUUGAGCAUAUACCUUUCUUUUCUAUUCCAUCCACUACUCAUAGCCUGACAAAAUCUGAUCUUAUUCAUAUAGAUCCUUUUUCUGAGGAUUCUGGUAAUGAUACCUCUCCCUAUGUUCGAUCAAUUUGUACUCAUAACUCUGCAGGUACUGGUACUUUACUCUCUGGCACAUCUGAAGCUUCAUUCUCAUCUACAGCCCCUCAAGCUUCAUCUGAGAUUGUGGAUCCACCUCCACGUCAGUCCAUCCGCAUUCGUAAGUCCACAAAACUACCAGAUUUUGCUUAUUCUUGUUAUUCUUCAUCAUUUACUUCCUUUUUAGCUUCUAUUCAUUGUCUCUUUGAGCCCUCUUCCUAUAAAGAGGCAAUUCUUGAUCCGCUUUGGCAGCAAGCUAUGGAUGAGGAACUUUCUGCUUUGCAUAAGACAGAUACUUGGGAUCUGGUUCCUCUACCUCCUGGUAAGAGUGUUGUUGGUUGUCGUUGGGUGUAUAAGAUCAAGACUAAUUCUGAUGGGUCUAUUGAGCGAUACAAAGCUAGGCUGGUUGCAAAAGGAUACUCUCAACAGUAUGGUAUGGACUAUGAGGAGACAUUUGCCCCGGUUGCCAAAAUGACUACUAUUCGUACUCUUAUUGCCGUAGCUUCGAUUCGUCAGUGGCAUAUUUCUCAGCUUGAUGUUAAAAAUGCAUUCUUGAAUGGAGAUCUUCAAGAAGAAGUUUAUAUGGCACCCCCUCCUGGUAUUUCACAUGACUCUGGAUAUGUUUGUAAGCUUAAGAAAGCACUAUAUGGUCUCAAACAAGCACCUCGUGCUUGGUUUGAGAAAUUCUCUAUUGUGAUCUCGUCUCUUGGCUUUGUUUCUAGCAGUCAUGAUUCUACUCUUUUUAUUAAGUGCACUGAUGCAGGUCGUAUCAUUCUGUCUUUAUAUGUUGAUGACAUGAUUAUUACUGGUGAUGAUAUUGAUGGUAUUUCAGUUUUGAAGACAGAGUUGGCUAGACGAUUUGAAAUGAAGGAUUUGGGUUAUCUUCGAUAUUUCCUAGGUAUUGAGGUAGCAUACUCGCCUAGAGGUUACCUUCUUUCUCAGUCAAAAUAUGUUACAGAUAUUCUUGAGCGAGCUAGACUUACUGAUAACAAGACUGUAGAUACUCCUAUUGAGGUCAACGCGAGGUACUCUUCUUCUGAUGGUUUACCUUUGAUAGAUCCUACUUUAUACCGUACUAUUGUUGAGAGUUUGGUAUAUCUCACAAUUACUCGUCCAGAUAUUGCAUAUGUUGUUCAUGUUGUUAGUCAGUUUGUUGCUUCUCCUACUACUGUUCACUGGGCAGCUGUUCUUCGUAUUUUGCGAUAUCUUCGGGGUACAGUUUUUCAAAGUCUGUUACUUUCAUCCACCUCUUCCUUGGAGUUGCGUGCAUACUCUGAUGCUGAUCAUGGUAGUGAUCCCACAGAUUGCAAGUCUGUUACCGGGUUCUGUAUCUUUUUAGGUGAUUCUCUUAUUUCUUGGAAGAGCAAGAAACAAUCUAUUGUUUCUCAAUCAUCCACCGAAGCAGAAUAUCGUGUCAUGGCAUCUACUACCAAAGAGAUUGUUUGGCUACGUUGGUUACUUGCUGAUAUGGGAAUUUCCUUUUCUCAUCCUACUCCUAUGUAUUGUGACAACCAGAGUUCUAUUCAGAUUGCUCAUAACUCGGUUUUUCAUGAGCGCACUAAGCACAUUGAGAUCGAUUGUCAUCUUACUCGUCAUCAUCUCAAACAUGGCACCAUUGCUUUGCCUUUUGUUCCUUCUUCCUUGCAAAUUGCAGAUUUCUUUACCAAGGCGCAUUCCAUCUCUCGUUUUCGUUUUCUGGUUGGCAAACUCUCGAUGCUUGUAGCUGCCGCAUCGUGAGUUUGAGGGGAGAUGUUAAAUAAUAUUUAUGUAGUCUUAUUUAUUAAGGGUAGAAUAGUACUUUCAGUUUGACCUAUAUAUACUUUAUUUGUAUUGAGGUUAACACAAAGCAUUCAUAAUAAACAGAUUAUUCAGAAUUGUAGCCUCCUUUUUGUAUUUGAUCUCAAUUACUUUAACACUUAUACCAUGCCUCAAGGACAAAUGAAGGAGAGCAAAGCAUCUCCCGGAAAAAAAACAUCAAAUCAAGAGUCUUGCAAUCCACAUGCAUUAAAGCUUCUUUCAUAAAGGACAGAAGCUUUGAUUUCCAAAUGAGACAGCAAAAAAGAUAUGUCACUGAUAUCCACUUGUAAUUAAUAACCACUUCAUUUAUUUAUUCUAGGACAAAAAACCAAAACAAUCUUGGAUCACAUAGGAACAGGAAAAGGCCUUAAACUCUGACGAACAAGGCGGAGCUAUUAUACAUAGGAUACUUCAGAUGAACUGUUGAUUUCCAUUAUGCUUCAUGCCAAACGUGAGAACCCAACCUCCUUUCCCACCCAUAUCCACAUCACACAACCCGAUCAUCGUCGCAUAUUAAUUUCAUUACAUAAUAUGACACUAGGAUGCAUGUCAUGAUGAAACAUGGAUGAGAUUAAAACUCAUUGACAUAAAUCUGGUCUUUUAAUACAUGUCUCAGAUAAUUAGACCUGAUGAUUAAGAUUAUAAGUUCAAAAACAUAAAUAUAUAGCCAUACGCAAGAGUCUUAGAUUCUGGAAGCCAACAUUUCCAGCAAUACAUGUCUAGGCAAGACAUUGCAUAUCUGAUUCUGAGAAUCACAGCAAAUAUGCCCACUCUAUCAAACAUACUUGAAUGCAGCCAGUCUUAUUUGACAGGCAACUAAAACUAAACAUGAAAAAAGUUUCAUAUUAAGAAGAAGCAGUGAUCAUCUAUGAUCUACCAUCCUCCUAAAUCCUAGAACCUUUUAAUUUUUAACACAAAAACUAGUGACAGCACCUCAACAUGAUAGAAUUGAGAAGGAGAAGCUUCAACGCAAUGCAUGCAACUCAAAGCCAAUAUAUAUUACCCUUUCACUUAGACUACCAUCACAUUUCUAAGCAUCGAGUUUCAAUCUACUAGUUCAUUCCAGAAACAUUCUUCAACUAAGACAAAAUGCCGAACCUACCUGGAAGGCAGGACCCCCUCAGCAGAAUUCAUGAUGCUCCAGCAACCCAUGAAUGCAAAGAGGAACAAUCUUCUAAAAAUGACUUCCAUUGGAGGAAGUUCGACAAAAUUGAGUAAAUUCUUGACCCAAGGAGGAGACUCCUCCACUUUCUUCUCUAUCCUGGUCUUGAAAUUAAUUUUUGUUUCUUUCCUCUGUCUAAAGCUAGUCAUCAACAAUUUCUCAAAGGCAGCUUCUAUUGAUUCUUCGCUUCUUUCAUGCCCAGCAUAUUGUUUCAGGAGAAAAUUGCGUGAACUCCAGACUUCCUCUUCAGAAGCGUAAGGACUGACACCAAGACGUUUAAAAGGGUCCCAAACAUUCAUGGAAGGGAAUUUCGGGAUGUUACCUGUUGAGUUUGAACACGAUUGUGAUAGGUCCCUGUCACAGCAAGUAAUUAAAGACAAGAAACAAACACAAAUGUAUUCUGCUUUGGGCGAGAAUAAGCCACAAUUGAUAUUAUUGAAUAUUGAAUGAAUGCGUUCUCUGUCUCAUAGCAGAGUUUAAAUACAGGAAUUGAAAUAACAACUUUCCUAAAAUACUGGCAUGACUACAUAAAAUCAGGAUGACUCCUGCUACAUAGCUGGCAUUUAUUUGCUGAAUAAAACUUGACUCCUUCCUCCCGUGCACUAAGGCACUGCAGUGAGAAGACCCCCUUGACUCGUUCCUCCCUUGACUAGCUCUUCACAGCUCAAUAAACCUGCGAUUCUUCUUACGAAUUCUGCAUGAUCUUCUCGGCUCCAGCUGUUGCUCAUCCCGUUGUUGUAGUUCAUCACUUGACUCCUUCAAUUGCUGCUGCUGCUUAUCAAUACCUCCCUCUUUUAAGGGAACCUUGUCCUCAAGGUUCAGAUUCUGAAAUCGCUCCCGUAACGCCACAGCAUCUUCCCACGUGGCAUCAUCAUUCUGCAGAUGUUUCCAUUUGACGAGAAUUGCUUCGACAAACCGAGACCCUUUCUUGAUCCAACGAGUGUCUAGGACAGCCUCAGGUUCAAUCAGCAUCUCUCCCGCAGCAGACAUAGGUGGCAAUUCGAUUGAUUCAACCACCUCAUCUCCAAUUUUCUUUUUGAGCAAGGACACAUGAAAGACUGGAUGAAUUCAAGCCUGUGUAGGCAAUUUUAGCUUAUACGCUACCGCGCCAAUUCUUUCUGCAAUCUGAUAAGGACCAUAAUAGCGGCUAGCCAACUUUUUGCAUACACUCCUGACCACGGAUUGUUGACGGUAAGGGUGAAGUUUAAGAAAAACCCAAUCUCCCACCUGAAAUUCAAUAUCACGUCGCUUAGAAUUAGCAAGUUGUUGCAUGCGAUUACUAGCCGCAUGCAGGUUUGCCUUGAGCAGACUCAACAAUUCGUCCCUAGAGGCGAGUUGCUGAUCCACUUCAUUCACCGGAGACAUGCCAAUGUGGUAAUGGGGAAUUGUAGGUGGUAAACGUCCAUAGAGGGCCUGAAAUGGUGUCAUUCCUGUAGAAGCAUGAUAAGUUGUAUUAUACCAGAAUUCGGCCCAAGGUAGGAGGGAAUUCCAUUUUGCUGGCUGGUGGUGAACAAAGCACCGAAGAUAUUGUUCGACGCAGCGAUUGACCACCUCUGAUUGCCCAUCCGUUUGUGGAUGAUAUGCGGAACUCAUCUUCAACUUGGUACCUGACAAUUUAAAGAACUCACGCCAAAAAUGACUGAUAAAGAUAGGAUCUCUAUCACUGAUAAUGGACCGCGGCAUACCAUGUAGCUUCACUACCCCGUCAACGAAUUUCUCGGCCACAAUUUUGGUCGUAUAAGGAUGAGCCAAUGCCAAGAAAUGUGCUGACUUACUUAGGUGAUUAACCACAACGAAAAUUGUGUUCUUGCCACCCGAUGUCGGGAGACCUUCAAUAAAAUCCAUCGUAAUAUCAUCCCAAACCUGACAGGGAACAGGUAAUGGUUGUAAUAAACCCGCCGGUGAUAGUGUGUCUGAUUUUACCCGUUGACAUACGUCACAGGAUGCGACAUAUUCCUUCACUAUGCGAGCCAUUGAUGGCCAAUAGAACUGGUGUGCCAACCGUUUGUAAGUGCGCAACACACCCGAAUGCCCUCCAAUAGGUGAAUCAUGGAAUUCACGUAAUAGUUGUUGAAUGAUGUCCGAGUUGGGGGCAACUACUACUCAAUUUUUAUAGUGGAGCAACCCAUUCCGCCGUGUAUAUGGGCUGCCCGAAUUUUCAGCAGCGAGCUUGCCAAUUUUCUUCAUGUAAGGAAGAGAAACAGCUUCGGCCUUAAGCUGAUCCCAUACGGUACUUUGUGGAACAGAUAAGUGCGAAAGGCAAGGGCUUCCCGUCAUUCGUGAUAAAGCAUCCGCAGCUGAAUUCUCCUUUCCUGGCUUAUACACAAUUUCAUAAUCAUAGCCGAGUAAUUUCGAUACCCAUUUCUGCUGUUCUGGGGUAGUAAUACGCUGCUCCAAGAGGUACUUCAAGCUGCGUUGAUCGGUUUGGAUCACAAACUUACGGCCUAACAAGUAUGGUCUCCACAGCUGGACAGCCACCACAAUAGCCAGCAUCUCCCUCGCAUAAGUUGACCAUGCACGCUUGGAUAGCCCCAAAACGCGACUCAUGAAAGCUAUUGGCCGCCUUGUUGGGUCAGAACAGCGCCGAUGCCAUCACCGGAAGCAUCAGACUCAAUCACGAAAACUUCAGCAAAAUUAGGCAUGGCAAGUGUUGGGGUGGACGUCAUUGCGGUCUUUAAUGCCUCAAAAGCUGCCUCGGCUUCAUCAUUCCAGCCAAAUUGACCUUUGGUAACAAGGAUGUCAACGGUCGAGCAAGAAUUCCAUAAUUGCGGACAAAUUUCUUGUAAUAACCUGUAAGACCUAAAAAUCCACGAAGCUCAGAUAUAUUAGUAGGUCUUGACCAGGAUAGCAUAGCCUGGAUUUUUGCUUGAUCAACCUUAACCCCCAUUGGAGUAAUAAUAUGCCCCAAGUACUCCAGUUCUUGUUGACCAAAAGCACAUUUCUUCAAUUUCGCAAAGAAUUGGUACUGCCUUAGAAUUUCGAAAGCCUUGCGAACAUGUUCAAGAUGCAUGGUCCAAUUGGGACUAUAGAUCAAUAUGUCAUCAAAAAAGACUAAUACAAAUUUGCGAAGGUAUGGUCGAAAUAUGGCAUUCAUAAGGGCUUGAAAAGUAGAGGGUGCGUUACACAAACCAAAUGGCAUGACUAAGUAUUCGUAAUGACCAUUAUGAGUGCGAAAAGCAGUUUUAUGAAUAUCAUUUGGUGCUACCCUAACCUGAUGGUAACCAGCUGUCAAAUCUAGUUUGGUAAAAUAAACAGCCCCAUGCAAUUCGUCUAACAUGUCAUCUACUGUAGGAAUAGGAAAUCGGUCUUUAAUAGUUACUGCGUUAAGUGCUCUAUAAUCGGUGCAAAAACGCCAUGUGCCAUCUUUCUUUUUGACUAACAAAACAGGUGAUGAAAAAGGGCUAGUGCUUGAUCUUAUAAAUCCCAAUUUUAACAUGUCUUGAACCUGUUUUUCAAUUUCAGCUUUUUGAAAAUAGGCAUACCUGUAGGGUCUGACAUUGACCGGUUCUGUCCCUUCUUUGACAGUGAUGGUGUGGUCGAUCUCCCGGACCGGUGGCAAUUGAGCUGGAGUUUGAAAAAUAUCUCCAAAUUCCUCCAACAUCUGCUGCAUUUCAGACUCAACUUUGCUAACAGGCAUCUCGACUUCGGUUUGUAGACAGAUAGCAAACAUCGUUUUGCUUUGGCGCAGCUCCUUCGAUAAAUCCUUGAGAGACGCGGGUUGAAUGUGUUGGCUGUCAAUUCCCUGUAAUUUUUGCAUCUGAUUCUUCCACAUAAAUUCCAUGGUCAUUUUCUUCCAAUCACAGGCUACUGUUCCCAAUUGUUCAAGCCACUGCACUCCCAAAACCAAAUCUAACCCACAUAAAGGUAUGGCAUAUAAAGUCAGCAUAAAUGGGAUACCUUGAAGUAGGACGUGUAUGUUUUCAAAUAUGCCUUGACACUUCAAUGGAUUCCCAUUUGCCACCUUUACGUUGAAGGGCUGUGUGGGUAUCACUGGUAGGUGUAGCCAAUUAGCAAUCCGCUCGCUAAUGAAAUUGUGGGUGGAGCCACUAUCAAUGAGGACAGUCAAUUCGUGAUUUCCAAUUCUUGCCAUGAUGCGCAUUGUUUUGGCAGUCGACCAGCCAGUAAGAGCAUGUAGUGAAAUUUGUGGUUCAUCAUCUUCGAAGUCUUCGUCAUCUUGCAGAUGUGUCUUUUCGUCUCCUUCCAGUAGCAACAAACGGGGUCUUUGACACUUAUGGCCAGGAGUGAAUUUUUCGUCACAAUUGAAGCAGAGACCUUGCGAUCGGCGCUUCUGCAUCUCGUCCCACGCCAGGCGUUUCAUGGGCAUAACUGCUGCUGGUGAUUUUGUGGGUGAAAAAGAAGCAAUUGGAUUCUGACUAAUGGAAAAUGGCUUACGUCGUUGGCGAAGUAAUUGCUCAUCUCUCAUUCUGGCAAGGCUAAUUGCCUCUUUCAAGGAUUUGGGUUUAAACAUCCUAAUCCCUUCUGCAAUGUCAGGUUUCAAGCCUCCCAUAAAAGUUCCCACCAAUGCCUUCUGCGUCCAGCCUUGCACACGGUUACCCAGCCUUUCGAAUUCUUUUUGGUACUCCCGUAGUGAGCCCCCUUGUCUCACCCUUGACAGUGCUUCAUCGAAAUCUUCACAUUCUGGUGGUCCAAACCUUGCCCAUAAUUCCUCCUCAAAAAUUGGCCAUGUCAUCUCCUUGUCUUCCUCUUUGUAAGCACGUCGCAGCCACUGCCACCACUGGUUCGCCUCCCCUUGAAGAUGAAAAGAUGCCAAUGACACCUUUUGUGUUUCCACAGUACCUUGGUAUUCGAAGAAUUGAUCAACUCUGUUGAACCAUUCAGUGGGGUCGUUGCCCGAGUAUAUGGGGAACUCAAGCUUCGCCAGUUUUGAAGAGAACAUCUGUCUGUUCCCCUCAGCUCGUUCUGCAAUGUCUUCACGUUGAUAGCGCGGGCGUCCAUUGCGCUCAAUGGAUUGGCUGCUGGAUCCUUCUUUGUUGGACAGUAACGCCUCUGUCAGCUUAUUGAUGUUGACUUCCAUCUGCUGCAUUCUGUCAACAAGAGUAAUUUCCAUUCGGCUCAUUCCAUCUUGCAGACCUCCCAAUCCGAUUUCCAAAUUUUCUAUCCGCUCCUUGUUUGUUGUCAUUGUUAACCUGGCUCUGAUACCAAUUGAUAGGUCCCUGUCACAGCAAGUAAUUAAAGACAAGAAACAAACACAAAUGUAUUCUGCUUUGGGCGAGAAUAAGCCACAAUUGAUAUUAUUGAAUAUUGAAUGAAUGCGUUCUCUGUCUCAUAGCAGAGUUUAAAUACAGGAAUUGAAUAACAACUUUUCUAAAAUACUGGCACGACUACAUAAAAUCAGGAUGACUCCUGCUACAUAGCUGGCAUUUAUUUGCUGAAUAAAACUUGACUCCUUCCUCCCGUGCACUAAGGCACUGCAGUGAGAAGACCCCCUUGACCCGUUCCUCCCUUGACUGGCUCUUCACAACUCAAUAAACCUGCGAUUCUUCUUAGGAAUUCUGCAUGAUCUUCUCGGCUCCAGCUGUUGCUCAUCCCGUUGUUGUAGUUCAUCACUUGACUCCUUCAAUUGCUGCUGCUGCUUAUCAACUGCAUUGGCAUCCAAUAAGUGAGGACAAUCUUGUAUCUUCCAAGUGGCAGUAGAAUUUAAUUAUAACUACCAUUAUUCUUAUCUUUAGUUAGUAAUAUAACUCUAUUUAUUGUUUCUAGUACGUAGGACAUGUUGUAAUGAAAACCUGUUAGUUAUUUGGUGUGAUUCCAAGGAGUGAUUCCUUUGAAUGAUAUCAGGCUCUACUUAUUUUCCUCUAUCAAUACUUUCUUGCUAUCUUUUAUACCAUGUUCAUUAGUUUACAUAAAUUGUUCCCUUAAUAUCCUUUGGUAUUAAUAUUAAUUGAUAUCAGAACAAGUUUUGAAUUUUUGAUCUGCUAUGCCUGGAACCGCAGUGGAAAUUCUUAUAAUCCCACCAAUCAAAGAUUACAAGACCCUAGUCCUUCCCUAACCAAUUUGAACUCCCCGUAGAAAACAUCUCCAAACCGAUUCUGAACCCCCCACAACAAGCAUCUCCACAACCUAUUCCGAACCCCCCACAACAAGCAUCUCUACAACAUGAUUUACUUCCUUGUUAAACCAGUUAGAAGAUGCUCUCAGAAUGGUAAGCUUCGAAGAGCUGCAGGAUGCAAGCGUGUGCUGAAGAAGCAAGAGGACAAUUGCCCACAUAAAUGGCAAAGGGGGUGAUUGUUGGAAUAUUGCCAAUUAUGUGGCUGCCAUUGUCAAAGAAGAUGGCUGCAAUGGUGGGUUGUUGGUGGCAGCCAACAACCAUUGUCUAAUGUCAAAGUUUGGUAAGUUUGGCAGCCACCAUUGUUGACAAAAGAGUUGGAGGAGCUGCCAUGAAUGCCUAUAAAUAGAGGCCUACAUUAGAGAAGCAAAGUGAGAGAAGAAAGGAGAGAAAACGUGAGUGUGAGUUGAGAGAAAGAGAGAGCUGCAAUGGCAGCAGCCUUGCUGCCAUUGCAGCAGCUGCAACAGCUGUGUGUGAGAGCUGGGAGUAGAGUAGAGUGAAUGUAAUCCUCCUCCUCCAUAUAUAUUGUAAUCCUUUCUCUAUAUAUCUCAAUAAUAUAGACUCUCCCGUGGAUGUAGGCGGUUUUGCCGAACCACGUAAAAUAUUGUGCCAGUGUGCUAUCCCUCCUUUGAGCAAUUAUCAGUACACCCCCGGUCGGAAAUCCCCAACACAGAGUUGAUCAAGGAGGAGAUGUGGCUAUAGAUGAAGAAGAAGUAGGAGAACAUUAGCUCAAUUCAGUCUACAGUGACAGGGAGGUCAAAAUUGAAAGAUAUCACUAUUUUCAUUAAUUUUAUUAAAGCUUAUAAUAAAAGGUUGUGUUUUUAAUUGGAUUUAUUUUUAUAUGGCGUGGCUUCUUUUUUUAAAAUGCAAUCUGCUUCCCUUUAUAAUACAGAAAUCCAGUUUUGAGUUUAUGUAACUAUAUUAACAAAACGAUUAAAUGCUUUCGUGUCCGUUUAAUUAUUUAUAUAAAUAAUAAACCCAGUUAAUAUAUUUUGCAAUCAGUUUAUGGUUUAUUUAUCUCAUAGUUGAGUUAGUUAAUGUAUGUUUUUUCAAAUUAGUAGCAAAGGCGUGUGGGCUUGUCUCAGGCUCACAUGCUAGUGCCUGAGUUGUACUGUAAUAGACCCUAUCAUAUUAGGCCACAUAAGCCCGAGUGGUUGGAAUUUUUUUUAUUGGUCAUUUUUUAUUUUUUUAAUAUAAUUUUUUAAUUUUAUAUUUUAUUGUUGAGUUUUUUUAUUAAGUUUUAUUUGUCAAUAUUGAAUUAAUUAUAAAUUAAUUUUUAUAUUUUUUAUUAUAUAUAAACCGAGUAAAGUAUUUGGUGGGUUAGCUAUAAACCUGAACUUUUUAUUUUUUUAUUUUUUGGACUAGUAAAAGACAAAUUAAAAAAACAAAGUAAUCUUAUUUGAUAUGUUGUAAAUUUUUUUUUUAUCUAAUAAUUUAAAUUGAAAUCUCAUUUAAUAAUUUAAAUUAUUAAAUUGAAAUAAAUUUUUAAUACAAUGAUUUAAGAUGUACCAAGAUAUGGUUGUAGUUUUUAUUUUUUUGCCUUUUUCUUUAAAAAUGUUAUCUCCUUGGUAAGGAAUCCUUGGUUCCCAACGGCAACUGUAGCAACGUAAAAACAAAUCUCUAAACUCCACCGAAAGUGGUAGAGCAUUAGAAUUUUUAAAAGACAAAACGGGGCGCGACAUUCAUAAUUUAUAAACAGAUGCGAUAAAAUAAGUCAUACUGCAUGUUUUCAUUUGGCAUUUAAUUCCAUGAACAUGGCUUUUUUAGAUUAAUAUAGUGUUUGGACUAGCUUGUAUAUCUCGAAUAAUCUCAAGAGAUCUUGAAGUUAACAACGUACCAUAUAAGGCUUUAAUAGCAAUGAGAUUUGUAGGAUUCGAACUAGUGAUAUUUAGAAAACAAACUUAGUGACUAACUAGUUGAGCUACACCCCUUAAAAUUCCAUGAACAUGAUCUUACUUUUCGAUCAAAUUAAUGUGACCAUAUUAUACUUGUAAUCAAACCAUUAAUUGACUGUUCUUGACUAGCUAUUGUUUCUCAUUGGCAAGAGUCAUUGCCAAUGAUCAUAACAUGUUAGUGAUCUAUUGCAACUAGUUCUAGUAUCGACAGAGUUGUUAUUUAACCAUUAAAUCAAUUUAUAAAACAUUAUUGACUAGCUAUCUAACACUAACAACUAAUCACAGAUAAUAUUUAUGCAAAACUUGUAGCUUAAUACGAACUCUCAGACAUGUGGGUGGGGCAACUCAAAGUAGGAGAGUGGUAACCUCUGAUACAUAACAGAGAAAAUUAUAGAGUAAAGCAGGACGGAAUUUUCUUAAAUUAACAACAGAAAUCUAGAUACUUCAAUAAAUUAACACACUGACUAAUAAAUCCCCCCCACCAUCAUCCAGUUAUCACAGGUGCAUCUACAAUGAACAGUUCUCGAGAAGAAACUCAAGAAACGCAUAUAAAGCUACAUGAUGACAUAAUAGGAACCUGCAUUGCCUCCAUUCCAUGAUGAAAGUUCAAGAAAUUCUACUUCGAAACUCAAGACAAAGUCUCUCAGACUACAUAUUAGUGGGAUUUCUAUAAACAACUGAUUGUAUUGCAAAGCAACAUUAUGAAAAACUGAAUAUUUCACACAUAGUCUAACAAAAGUAGGUUCCAUUGUCAAUUCCUUAACAUUUUCCGAACAAAUCACAGUUGCUCCUCGUUUGAUACUUUCUUGAAGGUUUCUUUUCUCUUAUUACCAAUUUCUGUGAGUUUGUGAUUUUUUAUCUGUACCGUAUCAUCCGAACAAUUACUAGAACCACACAACUAAUAUGUAAAUUCACAAAUUCCCUACAGUUCAUAUUGCCAACAAACUCCUCUUGCCAUUCCCUAAUUGCAUUGAGCCAGCUAAUCUGGAUGAAAGAAAGGACUUCGACCUUGAAAUUAGCAUCAUAGUCAUGGAACCUUAAAGCAGGCCCAACUUUGUAGCUCAUUACCAGCUACGUAAAAGUUAUCAAUAGCUGUGUGGAUCAUUGAAACUGCCACAAAAGCAACCCAAAUUAGUUAUGAAUUGGAUUCGAUAAAGGAAAGAGGGGAAGAGGGGAGAAGACAGAUGAAGAUCUGCGCAGGGCUACCUGUUUUGAGAAUUAUGGAUUUUUAUCCCUAACUCAAAACGGCACCAAUUAUAAGUUCAAUAAAAAAAAAUAUGUAACAGAACAGAUGGAAAAAACUCGAAACAACUCGGCUAGAAUUUAGGAAAGAAAUUCAGAAUGAGCCAAGAUUUUAAGUGAGAUGAAACUUUGUUCUUUGAAAAAAAUAAUUAAUAUGAGAUAUACUUUUCAUUUUAGUGAACCUUAAAGCAGACCCAACAGUUAAGUAAAAGUUAUCAAUAGCUGUGUAAACCAUUGAAACUGUUACUGUAGGUGCACACUCAAUUACACCAUGGAUUCACAUAGUGCAAUUGUUAAUUUUUUUUUUAAAUUCCAUGUUAUUUUUUUAUUUGAACCUUUUUUUGUCAACAUGUUUCGCAAUUGGCCUUGGUAUUUUGUUUUCAUUUUCUCUAUGUUUCCUUCUUCUGUAGAUAAAAAACAUCAGGUCUUUGGGCUCGUACUUGAUAGUGCAAAAUUAAUGACACAAUAAUCAAAUAACACAAAAAUUUUUAUAAGCGAAAGGAAUUGGAGAUGUAAACCUAAAAUUCGCAAGUUUAUUUUUUCUAAAAUAAUAAUAAUAAUAAUAAUAAUAAUAAAGUCUACAUUCUUAGAAGGUUUACAAACCUUUAAAUGGGUCAAGAACCCUACCCCCAACUAGGAAGCAAAAAUAAAAAUUCAAAAUUACAAAGAAAAGAAGCAUAAAAUCCAAAAUAAACAAGAAAUCUAAAAAUAAUAAGGAAAAUCACAAAAAUUACCAAAACUAGAGGCCUCAAUGAGAUUUUUGAUAUCUAAAGAUCCGACGGUCCGCAUUAAAAUUUGAGCACAAUCUAACAAUUGAAUAAAAAAUUAUGACUCUUUUGAGUUGUUAUUCUGGUUUAGCGUGACCAAACCUUCUCUUGGGCUUAGACCUGUUUCAUUGGUCCAUAAAUACAUUUGCUAAGCUAUCAACAUAAUUUAUCUAGGGAAAAUCUUCAUCUAGUUAUGGCAGAUUCACACCUGACUGCUUAGAAUCACUAAUUAUUAUAGGAUUGACUACAUCAAAAUUGGUCGGUUUUUUUUGUUUUCAAAGAGAUUUAAACUUGAUGCAGAUGAAAGCUAAAAACACAAUAAUCAAAGAACACCAAAAAAUAUAUGAGCGAAAGAGAAUAUAGAUGUGAACUCUCAAAUUCCCAAGUUUAUUUUCUCUAAAAUAAUAAUAAUAAAGUUUGUCUUCUUAAGACGUUUACAAAGCCUUAAAUAUGUUAGGAACCUUACCUUAACUAGGAAACAAAAACAUAAACCCAAAAUUACAAAGGAAAGAAACAUAAAAUCCAAAACAAGUAAGAAAUAAAAAAAUAACAAGGAAAAUCACAAAAACUACCAAAACUAGAGGCCUAAACAAGAUUUUUUAUAUAUAAAGAUUCGAUGGUUCACGUGAAAAUUUGAGCAUGAUCAAAUAAUCAGAUAAAAAAUUAUAACUUUUUGAGCUUUUAUUCUGGUCUGACACGACCAAACUUCUUCUUGCUAAACUUGUUUCAUUGGUCCCUAAAUACAUCUCCAUAACCUUUUUUUUUUGUUUCACUAUAGAUAGAGUUUGACCAUUAUUAUAUAUGGUUUGACUUAGCCGUAUCGGUUUUCAAUUAGAUCAACUUUAUAUAUUAUGGGUUUACAUUUACUAUUUUUUAAAAAGUGCUCACAAGUCCAUUUUUCACACCUCAAACUCGUAACUGCAACGAUUCGUAGGCAACGAAACUAGUUAAAGACUAGAGAGUAAACAUGCUACUAAAGUUUGCAGGUGAGGGUUUAGAUUAGAUUAUUUGUUGUCUUGUUUCAAAUAUUAGAUCAGUCUCAACUCAUUAAAUAAACAAGUGGUGCAUUGAUCCUUGGACUCAAAUCAUAUAUACACGGCGAGCUCAUUUGUGUUUUUAUUAUUUGUCCCUCCCUGUACUUGUAGCAGAAGAGAAGCUGCUCUCAUCUUUGAAGGAAUGCAAACAAUUGUUAAUAUGAAACAUAUUAUGUACAAAUUAUAAUAUUUGUAAGAAGCCGUUUUGCUGCCCACCGGCGGCCAUCUGAUCAGAGAACAGUAUUAUAUUUUUUAAACCCUUCACUCUCAUAAAAACAAUUUAUAUGAUUAUAAAUAGGAAAACAUAAAAAAAAAUAGGAUUACAUAUUUUUAGAGAUUACAUAUUAUUGUUUUAGUUCUUUUUCUUGAUUAGAGAUAAGUUGAAUAAAAGUAGUAAUAAUUUAUUUUUGUGAAAAAAGUUUACUACAACUCCUAAUAAUUAGUUUCAUGUAAAAAAUAAAAAUAAAAAUAGUAACUAAAAUUUAUUUUAGUUAUGUUAAUAAAAUUUUAAAGAUAUUUUAAUUGAAUUAAGUAAUUCAACACAAAAUUUAUGUUCGCAUACAGUUGUUGUAACCCAUUUUUGGGUCCCCACACAAAAUACAAAAAAAAUAUAUCAAAAUAAAAAAAAUAUUAUAGAAAAAUAAUAGCAGUGAAAAGAGGAUGUCGGAGCGCCCAGAAAAUGAUCAAAAAUUGGUUGAGGAGGUUUCAAAAUAUAAGGAUUGAAGUUUGACAGUAUAUCAUUGACUGGGGCUUAAUUGCAUACAUAUUGAAGUCUGGUGGCCAAUUAAGGACUUGAUUUAAGAAAUCCAAAACCAAGGACCAUAGUGAAAAAAGCGCGCAAAUUGAAGGGCUAAUCUGAAAUUGGACCCAUUUUGGCACCAGUUUUUGUUUAAAUGAAAUGGCACGUUUUGAUAAAAAACAACGCCGUUUCAUGCAUUGCACAAAAAAAAGAGAGCAAACGGUGCCGUUUUGAACGGCACCAUAAGCCUUCUUCUUCCCCUGUUGAGAACAGGGGAAGAAAAAGCAUUUUUGAUGUAACUAUAUUAUUUGAUAGUUUCACCCACAUUUAACUAGUGUUUAGCCUAUGUUAUAUAUAUAAAAUGCCUUGAUAUUCUUUGUUUUAUGUUUUGAAGGCACCUUUAGAUGAAAGAUGCAAAAAGGAGUAAAUUGAAGAUAAUUGGCAGAUUUGAUGUUCAGUCGAUGUUUUGUGCAGAGCAUGAGCUCUAAAAGUCAAAACGAAGUGAUUCUAGUGGCAUUAGAAAUCUAACAUCCAUACCUUUCUGUAAAUAUAAGUCAAGAAAAAUAAAAAUACAACGAGCAUGGAAAUCACAUCCUUCAAAGUCAAAACUCGCAUUCUGCCAGUGUUGACCUUUGUCCAUUCAAAAUUCAAUAUCUGGAGCUGUAGAUAUCCAAUUGAUGUAAACUCAAUUGUUUUGGAUUCCUGACUCAAAGGUGUCUAUAAACGCUCCAAAUUUCAGCCACAAAUGAUGUCAUAUGAGGGAGAUAUGAGUUUUCAAAGAUGACAACUGAAUUCUGCCAGCAAACAGGUUUCGUGAAGAAACGAAUCCAAAUUACAUCCCGAAGCAUCAAAACCGACAUCCAAGUUUUAAUUUCAUCAAUUUAGCUCCUCAAGUAAAUCAAUCCAGAAGGUCAAGGAAGGCAGCCACCAACCUCAAGCCACCAACCUCAAACCACCAACCACAAACCAGCUGCCAGCCACUAGCCGCCUUCACACUACCACCAUCUCUUGAUGUUCACACUUGAACUUUGAUUUUUCUUACUUACAAUUUAUGUAUAAAUAGGCAGCUAAGUUUAUGCUAUUGAGUGAGCCAAGAGGGAAGGAAAGAGAGCCAAGAGGGAAGGAAAGAGAGCCAAGAGAGAGGGAGAGGGAGUGCAGUAGAAUAAAGAAAGAGGGGUGGCAGCCAUAAGAGAAGAAACACAAACUCUCCCCUCAACAAAUCAGAAAUCAUGUAUUCUUUUAUCUUUAGGAGUAGUUUUUCAAUAGAUAUGCAAGGCUAAGCUCGUUUUCUUGGUUGCAAGGACGCAAAAACCUUCAGAUUUAAAGAACCGUGAGAUUUAUUCUUCCAUUUAUUUUCAGUUUGUAUUAUGAAUGAGUAUGUUUGUUUUCCUAUGCAUAUUUUCUAUGAUUGUUUAUCUUAAUUGCUAGAGCGGACUCUAAGUUAUUAUUGUGAAUAAUCUAUUGCUAAGUUUGAUAUCAAAACCGGAGUUGUGGUAUAUAAACGUGUGAAGCAAGUAAGCUUGAUAAUUGUAGCGGAACUACAUUAUUAAACUUAGGGAGAACAUUCGAUCAAAGCAACACAAGCUGACAACUUGGUUGUUAAGAUUAAUGAAUUUAUCUAGAUCUUAAGGCUGCCAUUGGAUUAAACCAUUAGUGCGGACACUGUGAUUGUUUGUUGGUUAGGGUUAGUUAUACGGCGGAUCCGUUAAUUAACCAACAUUAAGAAAAGAUAAAAAAUUCAGAAUAUAAACUGAAGUUUCGUUUCAAGGAUCGGUUCUGAUUUCUGUAGGUGGAUGUGUGCUUGCGACCAAGGUUUGUUUUCUUGAUAUAUUUCAGUUUCAAUUGAUUUUGUUUGUUAGUGUAAUUUCUACCAUAGUUUAGAUCAUUGCAAAUCAAACCCCCCCAAUUAUAUAAUGUAUAGCAUAAAAAUCUGAACUAAACCUUCCUCGUGGGAUCGACCCCUUGCUUGCUCUAUACUAUCUUGUGUGUUUUAAGCUAGGGUAAUUAAUUUAUGCGACCGCGACAUCGCAACAAUUUCCCCCCCAUUUUUUUCUCCUCUCUCUCCCAAAACCCAAAAAACCAACGACGACCCGACUUGUCCUUUCACUGACACCACCACGCCCUCAUGCCGAAAGACCCAUACCCUACAGAGGUAGGGGCGGCUGUGCAGUAGCUGCCCCCAUGCCACCAUGCCCUGCACCAUGGCACAGGACAGGGCAUGGUGGCCCUCUCUCCCUCUACCUAUAAAUAUAAAGGGAGUGCGGGAGAGAAGAGGGGGGAAAAAGAUUUUUUGAAAGAGAAAGGGAGGAGAAACCGAGAGAGAGACCGACUGUUUUUUAAGGAGGAAAAGAGAGACCGAAAGAGGGGAAACAACAGUUUUUUUAGAGAGAAAGGAGUGAAGAGAAGCAGACCGAAACACUAGAAAUUAAAGGGGAGAAAAGAAAAAGGAGGGAGACCGAGAGAGAAGACAGAGGAGAGAAAGGGAAGCCAUAAAAGAAGCGGGGAAGAACAGGAAGUGACAGGGGAAGAAAAAAAUACUGGAGAAGAAGAACAACCACAGCUGCCACCGUGCUUCCUCUCCACCGACAUAGCGCACCACCUGACCGUAGCUGACAGCCCCGAAGAGACAGAGGAGAAAAGGAGAAGAUAACGGGAAAAAAAACACAGAGAUGAGGGGGCUGAGAAGAGAAACAGAGGAGAGGAGAGAAGGAAGGAAAACGCCGCCGCUGUCACCGCCGCUUUCCACCACCGCUGACGACCACAACCGUUCUUUCCCGCUCCAGGUAACUUUCUCCCCUUCCCUUGUCGUUUUUAGUUGUUCAUCUUCAUUUUGCAUGCAGACGUGAGCAAUUCACGUUCUGCAGCAAAAUGUAGAUUAAUUAGCUAGUUACUAUGUUAGGCACAGUAACUAGCUAAUUAUAUUUUGCUGGUUACUGUGUGCAGCACAGUAACCAACCCUUUGAUUGCUUAUGGGCUAGAACAUCAGCCCAGCCCACGCGGCUGGGCUGAGUCCAGCCCACAGUAUAUGGGCCGGGUCAGGCCCAGCCCAGGAUGGUUGGGCCAGAUCCGGCCCAAGUUUUUUUUUGGUUAAAAGAAAAUUUCAAAAAUAUUUUUUCAGAAUUUUAUAAUUUCCCCGCAUAUUUUUAUGUCAUUUUGAUUAAAAGCAAUAUUUUUUAUGUUGCUAAAAAUACAAAAUCCGAUAUUAAAAUACCUGGUUUUCGUCAAAACUUUCAAAAUACAAAACAAAAACUUUGUUUUGAAAAAAAGGAAAAUGUUUUUGUGCAUACGGCCAAGUAUCUCAAGGCUAAAAAAUCAUAUGGUGUUUUUCAUACACAAAAAAAAAACAAUGUUUUUGCAUGCAUUUUGGCUUUGAUAACCAGUUUAUUAGAGUCAAGAGAACAUUGGCCAAAAUUUCAAAAACUACAAAUUUUUUUUUUUUUUUGUCUUUUAGUAUCCGGGGUACGAUAUUACAUGUAAUACAUAUUCCAUAUAUUAAAUGUUUUUCCAACGUUAGAACGGUUAGGUUCUACCCCAUUAAAGAUAAGAACCUCCUUAUUGAGUAGGGCUUUUCUUGAGUCUUAGAUAGACAGGACCAAUAAGUAGAAAACACGACCAAACCUUAGAUUUUGAUAAGACAAAUAAAACAAUGCAGCUUACCUUAGGUAUGGCGUAUUUGGGGUGCUAAUACCUUCCCUUUACGCAACCAGUCUCCGUACCUGAUCUCUGAGACCAGUUAGGGUUCCUAGUGAUCAUAAUACUAGGUGGCGACUCCCAUUCUAUUUUUUUCACCGCUAAGAGACAAAGAAUUCCUUGUCUCCCCACAUUUACCAGAUAUAUAUCCAUACAUUGAGGGUGGACGAUCGCCGCGACGCCGCACACGUGCGACAGAAUGGCGACUCCACUGGGGACCUUGUGGACUAAGCAUUGUUUUGUCUGAUUUUUUGUUGGUUUUGUCCCUGUUUUGUUAUUAAGAUGCUUAUUUUAUUUACACGCUUUAAUUUUUGUACAUAUUUGUUCAUACAUUGUAUAGAACUGUUUCACGCAUCAUUCUUUUUAUGUGAGAGUUUAUAUGAGAAAACUUUAAGUUAAGUAGGGGACUAGCAGCUUACCUUAUGACUUUUAGUCAAGGUUUAAGUUUGUGUAAACCCCAACUCUUCGCUGAGUGCUCAGACUGGUAAUGAUUGGUCCAUAUGCCAUCCCAUUACCUACUGAGCCCCCAUAUUGCCUUCACGAGGGCGAUCACUGGGACAACAAGAGACCCUUUUAGAGACAGAAUAGCCAACCUACCCUUGUCAAGCAUAAAAGAAUUAGAACCGGCCUUUAGGGUGUAUGCUCCACUGUACAUGUUUUGCAUAAUACAUUAAACCUAACCAUAAAGCAUAUUGGUUUUCAGGUCUUUUUAACGAUAAGAUGGCCAUCAUUACCAAAGUUACUACUGUGGAAUAUGGGCAAAAUUCUGAAUUGUCACAACUAUCAGAGGGAGACGGCUCUAGAUGUAAUGCAAGGAAGCUUCCAAUAGUCAAAGACCUGAAUUGUAUGGUAAAUGAGAUGAAGAGAAUAUUGGUUCAUAGUCAGAACAUUGAUGAGGCGGCAUUUUCCGUGAAGUAUGGGCGAUUGUUAGAAAUUACGAAGAUAGAAGUAUUGAACCCAGCAAUCAAAGCCUUGAUUAACUUUUGGGAUCCUGAUUAUAGAUGUUUUUCCUUUGGAAAUGUGGAUUUGUGUCCCACUGUAGAGGAGUAUGGAAUGUUGAUGGAGUUUCCCAAGCACCUGCACAAGGUUUAUUUCCCUUUGAGAAGUGACAAAGUAAUUCCCGAAUUGUCAAAAUUGCUGAAAAUUCCAUAUCUGAGCAGAUUUUUAGAGAAGAAUGCCAGCGGUUUAAAGUGGAAAUUCCUGGAGAUUGAACUAGAAAGGAAAAAAUCACAAUAUGGAUCGAUGCUAGAAAGAGACAGGUUAAUCGCUCUGGGGAUAUAUGGUCCUGUAUUAUUUCCAAGCUUAACAGGGGUUAUAAGCCUAGAAGCUGCUGCUGCAUUUGUGGAAUAUGAAAAUACUCAUGUCAACCCUAUAACUGCCAUAUUAGCUGAGACCUUCCUGACCCUCAACCAUUUCAGGAAGACUGGGAAAGGCGCAAUGAGAUGUUGUACUAAGUUAUUAUACAUCUGGAUGGUAAGCCAUAUUGAAACCAAAAAGCCGAUCUUUAAUAAUUUUUGGUGGUUUAACCAAAAACCUUUGAAGUUAGUAGAAGAAGAAGAAUGGGGAAGCUUGGGCGAUCAGGGUUGGAUGAAAAAACUGCAAGAGUUACCAAGUAGCAACUUUAGUUGGAAAGCCCCUUGGGUCAAAUCGGUUGAUAUCCUAGUAAGUUGCGGACAAAAAUGUUGGGUACCUUUAGUUGGGAUCAUAGGUUAUGUCAGCUAUGCUCCGGCCUUGGUGAUAAGACAAUUAGGCGGCAUACAACACAUCCCAAGAACUGUGGGACUCGCUGAAUUUUCCAGGUUUUUCAAGGAUCAAUCCGCGCUAGAAGAUUGGAGCCAUUUGACUUUAAUGUGAAAGGAAUCUGAAAGGUUAAGAGACCCCAGCUCAAGUGAAGGAUAUGAAAAGUGGAGGAAUUUGACCCCGACUGCCGCUCCUAGAAUGCCAUGUUCUGAAGACGGGCCUUCACGAAUUAUAGAAGGGUCAUUCAAAAGAAAAAAGGUCAGUAAUGAGGAGGACCUUAUGGGGCAAUUGGAAAGGCUCCAAAUAGAAUUGGGAAAGAGUAAGGUAGAUAAAACAGCAUUAGAAAUGAUGAUGAUAGAGGGAGACAAAAGCCGAGUAUUUCUAAACGUACAGCUCGAAUCUAGAGAUGUAAAAAUAAUGAUGUUGGAGCUGCAACUGAGCAAAGGAAAAGUUGUAAUGGAAGAGUCCGAGAAAGAGAGGGGAACGCUGAUUUUGGAUUGGAUGCAGAGCAGCUCUGAAUUGGAAGCAUUAAAAGCCAACUUCAAUGACUAUCAGAUGCUGAAUAAAAUCAGGAUAAAUUUUUGCACGUUCAAGCGGAGUUAAUGGACCGAAUCGAGAAGUAUGAUGAGUUAAACAAGAAAUGUGUGAUGGUAAAAAGUCGGCUAGCCGAAUUGCAAGAGUUCGAAAGAAAGGGGAAGGAAGAGGAGGUUGUUAAAGCAGAUUUGGCAACUAAGAAAAAUGAAAUUAGGAUGCUGAAAGCGAAACUUGAUAGAGAGCGGGAAAAGGUAAGACAGUUGACCGAAAAGUUGGAAGCUUCAAAAAAACAUAAAGAACAGAUCGACACCAACAACAAUACCUUGAAUCAGAACAACAUGUUGCUUAUGGAGAAGAUGGCCAAAGUAGAUGAGCAAAUGGAUGAAGCUGCCAUUCAUGCACGGAUUAUUAGAACCAAUGCCCGAAGGGUGGGGAGGGACAUCUUUUGUUAUCGACAAAGCUUGGCUGAGACUGAUGCCUUCUUAGAAAAGAUUGAGAAUUGAGGCCUUGCUUUCCUACCAGUGGCUAGAAAUAUGGAUGAAGAGGAAGAUUGAUGUAUUUUUUUUCUUUUUUUGUAUCCUCUUUUCUUUUUGUAUCCUCUUUUCAAGAGAUGUAUUAGCCAAUAUUAUUAAUGAAAAGGGGCCUUGACCCAUCUUUUGUGAAAUAUCUCUUAUAGAGUAAGGUUAAGUCUACCAAAGCAACAACUUGAGCAAAACUACCCCUGAUAAGGAACGUGACAAAGGAGUCCAUACCCAUUACGCAAGCGAAAUGUUGGCCAUCGAUCGUUUUUGAAAAACAAGCUCACAUUACAUAUGCAUCAUGCAUUGUUCAUUAUCAUACAUUCAUUUACAUUUUUCCAUCCGCUCCAGAUCGUGAAACAUAGGUCCCCCACCCAAGGUCCACCACACUAGGCUAAGAUCAAGAAUGGAGAACGAAGAGAGGGCCAUUCUAGAAUCCCGCUACCAAAGUGAAUUGGAAUCCGUGAGAAAUGAAGUUUCCCGGAUGACCAAUCUGCUUGAGCAACUUCUAAGAGCCAAGAAUGGGGAGGGAACGUCUACCCAACCACCCAUAGGAGCACCACCAACUCAUGUCCCUGGGGUAUCUCAGAACUUGAGGGCAGAUUCAGUAACGGAACAACACUUUACACUAGCCAUUCCCAUCCAGCCCACUCAAUCUCACAUCACUGUAGAUUUAACAGCGAAUGGGCCUUCCGAUAAUAGGUCCACUGGUUUUAUGAACGACGACAAGAUAUCCGCUUUGGAAGAAAGGUUAAGAGCAGUUGAGGGAAAUGAUUGGUUUGACCCCAUGCGAGCUUCUGAAGUAUGCUUGGUACCAAACAUCAUGGUACCAAAAGAUUUUAGGAUACCAGAGUUUAUAAAGUACACUGGGUUGGAAUGCCCACACACUCACCUUCAAGAGACUUGUCGACUUUGGUUUUUGUAUUUUUUUUACAACAUGCAAGAAAAUUUACAAGCAUUUAUAUAUAAAAAAAUAUCAAAAAUACCAGUUGAAACCCAAAAAAUUACCUGAGUGUCACUGUAUAGGUAAAAUACUGAAAUACCCUGGAAGUUCUCCAAAAAUUACGAAAAUGCCACUGGCGGCGCGUGUGGCACACGCGCGGCUACUGUUGGCUGCGGCGAAAUUUUCUGGCGAGAUUUCUGGCCAACAAAUGGUUGAUUCUGGCAGAUCUGAGGGCGAGGAUUCUGAUGGUGGUGGUUGUGAAGGUCUUUGAUGGCUGAUGAGUGAGAAUCGACGACUUGAAGCUUCUGUGGCAGCCGACGAUCGCGACCCUUUUCCGACCAAAUGGGGCGGAGACAACGCUGAAAUCGGCCAGGGUUUUGCUUUAUAUGAGGAUAGAGACCUUUCUGUGGUGGUUUGGAAGCUUGAUAUGGCCGGAGAUGGGAGAUCGGAAGAGAGAGAGGGAGUUGCCGGCGAGAGGAGAGAGAGAGUCCGAGAUUACGCUACGGUGUGAACGCGUGUAUGGUAAACAGGUACCUCUGAACACUGUGCGCCGUUGGAUCUCGGAUGAAACGAUCGGAUGGCUGUGAUUGGCCUGAUCUGCAGGUUGAUCGGACGGUCCGGAUGAACAGAGGUAGGAUCUGGUGUGGCGCGGUGUACCGAGAGAUUGGUACACCGGGUGACGUGGCGAAACUGGAUCUAAGCUUAGAUUAUUUCAAGGGCUGAGAUGUGUCUGGGUUUUAAUCUAGUGUGGUAAGCCCUAUUGUAUCCUAUUAAAUCAACGGUUCAGAUCUAAACACUAUUAGAUCUAACGGUUAGGAUAUAUUUGGUAUUUUUCAUAUUGUAUUUUUAAAAAAUCAAUAUCCACUCUCAUGAAGAAAUAGUGAAAAACUUAAAUAGUAACCUUGAUAUUCGUUUCUUUUCUUUCUUUUUCUUACCUCUCCCCCUUUGUUCGUUUUUCUCACCGGCUAUUUAUAGCCAAUCAACAGGGGACAUCAAAAUCUCAACAUUAUCUACUUGCAAGAAAAAAAUCGUCGAUACAACUGCCCCGCCUGCUGUGACAAAAAAAGUUUGCAUUAUUGAUUUUUUUAUUUUGUUUUAUUAUAUAUAAUAAUAAAUAUUUAUAUGGAUAAAACUAAAACUCAAAUUAGUAUUAGAAAAGCCCGUUUCAACCGCUAAAAAUCAAUUUUAAUGACCGAAAAUAAUAGUUUUGACCCAAAAUAACCUGAAACUCAUUUUUUACCCCGAUCGACAUGGUUGGACCCGUAUGGACUCGGUGGACUCGGUUUUGACCGAAUAUGACGGUUUUGACCCAAAACGGCCCGACACUUAUUUUUUACCCUGGUCGACAUGGUUUGACCCGUAUUGACUCGGUGGACUCGGUUUUGACCCGAAACGGCCUGAAACUCAUUUUUUACCCUGGUCGACAUGGUUUGACCCGUAUUGACUCGGUGGACUCGGUUUUGACCGAAAAUGACGAUUUUGACCCAAAACGGCCUGAAACUCAUUUUUUACCCUGGUCGACAUGGUUUGACCUAUAUUGACUCGAUGGACUCGGUUUUGAUCGAAAGAUGCGGUUGACUCGAGAAAAAUAUAUUUUUAAAUUUUCCUUUUUCUUAAUUGUUUUGGAUUUUUAUAAAUAAUAAUAGAAAUAAAAUAACAUUCAAGAAAAUCUUGGUGAAUCCAAAAUUGGGUUACAACAGUUGCACCCUCUUUACAAUGCUUACGGUGCAAAGGCAUUGGAAAAUUCAUUUUCUUUUGACUUUGCAUAGUAAGUUUUGUAAAGAAAAACGAUGGAAGUGUUGAAAAAUGCACAGAUUUUUCGGUUGGUCUAAUUGUUAUGGGCGACCUGCCCAAGUGAAAAACAUGAAAGUGUUUUCAAUAUUGGUUUUGUGAAAUACAUGAAAGUGAUUUCAGCAAUGGUUUUGUGAAAUACAUGAAAGUGAUUUCAACAAUGGUCCUAUUUUCCAGAUGACCACCCCGAUGAUAAAAUGCGAGGAAACUCGCAAGUGGUUUAAUUGUUCCAGGCGACCUGCCCGAUGAUAAAAUGCGAAGAAACUCGCAAGUGGUCUAAUUGUUCUAGGCGACCUGCCCAAUAGUGAAAUGCGAGGAAACUCGUAAGUGGUCUAAUUGUUCCAGGCGACCUGCCCGAUGAUAAAAUGCGAGGAAACUCGCAAGUGGUCUAAUUGUUCCAGGCGACCUGCCCGAUGAUAAAAAAUGCGAGGAAACUCGCAAGUGGUCUAAUUGUUCCAGGCGACCUACCCGACAAUGAAAAUGCGAGGAAACUCGUAAGUAGUCUAAUUGUUCCAGGCGACCUGCCCGAUGAUAAAAAAAUGCGAGGAAACUUGCAAGUGGUCUAAUUGUUCCAAUCUAAUUGUUCCAGGCGACCUGCCCGAUGAUAAAAAAUGCGAGGAAACUCGCAAGUGGUCUAAUUGUUCCAAGCGACCUGCCCGAUGAUAAAAUGCGAAGAAACUCGCAAGUGGUCUAAUUGUUCCAGGCGACCUGCCCGACAAUGAAAAUGCGAGGAAACUCGCAAGUGGUCUAAUUGUUCCAGGCGACCUGCCCGAUAGUGAAAUACUUGAAAGUGAUUUCAAUAUAUUUUUGUGAAAUACAUGAAUGUGAUUUCAGCAAUGGUUUUACGAACCGACCCUUCUGUGAAAUACAUGAAAGUGAUUUCAACAUUUUUGUUUUGUGUGAAAUUCAUGAAAGUAAUUUCAACAUUGGUCCUAUUUUCCACGUGACCACCCCGAUGAUAAAAUGCGAGGAAACUCGCAAGUGGUCUAAUUGUUCCAGGCGACCUGCCCGAUAAUGAAAAUACGAGGAAACUCGCAAGUGGUUAAUUGUUCCAGGCGACCUGCCCGAUGAUAAAAUGCGAGGAAACUUGUAAGUGGUCUAAUAGUUCCAGGCGACCUGCUCGAUGAUGAAAAUGUGACGAAACUCGCAAGUGGUCUAAUAGUUCCAGGCGACCUGCCCGAUGAUAAAAUGCGAGGAAACUCGCAAGUGGUCUAAUUGUUCAAGGUGACCUGCCCGAUAGUAAAAUGCGAGGAAACUCGCAAGUGGUCUAAUUGUUCUAGGCGACCUGCCCGAUGAUAAAAUGCGAGGAAACUCGCAAGUGGUCUAAUUGUUCCAGGCGACCUGCCCAAUAGUGAAAUACUUGAAAGUGAUUUCAAUAUAGUCUUGUGAAACACAUGAAUGUGAUUUCAGCAGUGAGCUUUAGGGUUGAUUGAAAACUUCUAAAGGAAGUCAUACCUGUAUGGUUGAGAUCUGAUUUGUAAAUCGAUCUCCGAGAUGAUGAAAUCUUCUCAAGAAAGUCUUAUGUCUACGGUCGAGAUCUGAUCUUCUGUACAUCGAUCCCAAAAGAUGAUGAAAGCUUCUCAAGGAAGUCCUGUAUGUACGGUUGGGAUUUGAUUUGUAAAUGGAUCCCAAAGAUGAGGAAGGCUUCUCAAGGAAGUCCUGUAUGUACGGUUGGGAUUUGAUUUGUGGAUCCUAAAAAUGAGGAAAGCUUCUCAAGGAAGUCAUGUAUGUAUGGUUGGGAUUCGAUUUGUGGAUCCCAAAAAUGAGGAAAACUUCUCAAGGAAGUCUCGAUUUCAAAGAUGAUGAAAGCUUCUUAAGAAAGUCUUAUAUGUACGGCUGAAAUCUGAUUUGUAAAUCGAUCUCAAAGAUGAUGAAAGCUUCUCAAGAAAGUCUUAUAUGUACGGCUGAGAUUUGAGCUGCCGUUCAAAACGAUGGUAGGAGUAAAUUCCUUAUAAAUCACACAGUAUUUGGCAAAAGACAUCAUCAACUUCUUGCAUUUUCAAUACUCUCAAAGUUCUUAACUUUUGAAGCUUUAACCAUGUCUUCUUCUUCUUCCAAUGCUAACCCAAACCCUGUUCCUGCAGUAGAGCCUGCAGUUUGGCGUACUACCUUUGAAGUGAAUGGUCGUCCAGUUACAAUAGAGGAUACUGUAAUGGACAAUGAAGAUAUUGCUGUAGCCGUGGCUAGAGAUAUGAUCCUUCCUCGUGAUGAAAUAAUGCUGGCAGCCAGGACCGAUAUUGAAGUAGUGAAUCAGUCACUUGCUCUCAGUAUCAGAGCUACUUCGUCUUUGGUGAACGUUGCAGAGCGUCUUCAUGCUAGAAGACUUGAGUUGAAUACUCAGGUUCUUGAUCUCCAUCAUCAGAUUGAGAAUUUAAGGAAUAGACUCCGUGAUGAGAGACGUCACAGAAACAACUUGGAGAGGAGAAACCAAGAGCUAAAUACACGUGUUGACUUUUGGAGGGAUUAUGUUAACACACGACACCUCGAGUUCGAGGAAGAGAUGGAGCGCAUGCAUAAGCAAUUUGAGGAAUUCCGAGGCAUGAUUAACCAUCAAGAUGAAAAUAUCCCUGAUCGUCCUCGCACUGUUUAACAUUUGUACUUGUAAACCCCUUUUUCCAUGAAUAAAAAUCCAUAUUUCUUGUCUUCAUUUAUGAAUUUUGCUUUUGUGGAAUUGCCAUCUUUGAUGUGAUUUAAAAGAACUUCAAUUCAUGUGAGUCUCGUUGGAUCCCAGUGGGGAUAUUGUUUCAUAAAAUAUCUGCAAAACAAUUAUGCAAUGCAUGUGAAGUUAGAUGAUAUGCAAUGCAUCUUACCUGUUUUUGAAACAUAGGUCCCCCCUUUUUGAUGCUUCAUCGUCAUAGGGUGGCUUUGUUUGCAUUCCAAAACCUUCUUUGUUUUUCGAUGCAUUGGCUCAUUCAUGUGCUAGCCAUCCGCUCAGUUGUAAAUGCAGUGCCCAUCUUGGGUUGUCCGUGAUGAUUACUGCUCUCGCUGUUUAUCAAGCUUGACAAUGCCCCCAAGUGUAGUGUUGCUUGAUUUAUCAUUAAGAAGCUUAACAAAUCGUUCAUCUCCUGGAUUCUUUCAAGAAUUGUUCUCUGAUUGAUUGUGUGCAUCGUGCCAACACCUAUCAAGAUUGUCAAUCAGUUAUGAACUCACCUCCAGUUGAAACAUACCCUUCAAGGAUAUGCGGUCAUCCACUUUCAUGGAACUGUCAUGUCAUUCAGACCUGCAUUUCAUACUUUGCAGUACAAAGCUCAUCGUUGUAUGCUCAGCUUCUUUCUCAAUAGGUUCUUCUCAACUCAUUUAACCAGAUUGUGAAAAGAAGUGUCUCAGCCUCUUCAAUGAUGUUGCUUUUAUCACCCAUACUCAUGUGGUGCAAUGCGCAUUUGAGCUUCCAAUCAGAUGGCCCCACGGUCAGUCUAGGUGGGUGCGGUGUAUCCUUCCAACAUUCAUUCAAAAGCAAUCAUGUGAUAACAUCUUUCGAUAGUCAUAGCCAUAUUGGAGACGAUAAACCAAGAUGAAGAUAUGAAGAUGUCCUUCAGGUACAUCUUUGCUCUCAAUUGUUGUCGAGGUUUACUGGAUCAUAAACUGUUCUUGAACAUCAUUGCCCUUAAUUGAUAUGAAUGUGCUCAUUCACUGAUUAUCUUUCUUUGAACCAUAUUAUCCUCAGUUCAUUGAUUCAUCAUUUGAUCAUCUCUACCCCCCAGCUGAUUUAAAAACUGUUUGUUUUCCUUCUCAGAGGUCCAUUGUAUUGCCCCCAGAAGUGUCGAGAAGAAUUGAUGUCAUUUCUGUCAGGAAUUUGCAAACUCCGUCGAUGUUCUUAUUUGAAAAUCUUUCUUAUUUUGGAAUCAAAUCUCACAUUUCAAAGAUCAUGUCAAGCAAAUCUGAUUGUUGAAAUGAAAUCAGAGAGAUGUCAAUUUUGAAAGUAUUUUUGGAAAUCAAGCUUUGUUGGUCAAAGAUCCAACACACGCUAUUCAAUAUAGUCCUUUGAUUGUCUUGUAUUUUGAGAGAAAAGAAAUUGACUCGUUGUAAGAUUAAAAUGGCUUUUUUCAUGGUUUUUUGUAUCGAUUUUAAACUCUAAUUUUGGGUAUAUCUUUUGAUUAUCUGUGAUGAGGUGACCUUUUAUGAAUUUCAAGAAAAAUAAGGUACCCGAGGCAAAACUUGAGGCUUAAUCAAGAAAGAUGGUUUCUUUUUCUUAGCACCAAUUUUAUCAGCAUGCAUAAUAAUCAGUAGCUUGAUUCAUGAAGUCACGACCUGUAUGAAACAACUCUUCAAGUUUUGAGAUCGCCAUUUAUCGGUUCAGAUUGCUUACUUGAUUAAAAAGGACUUUCUAAAGCAUGUAAUGUAGGCUAUGGUUCCUGGCUAUGAAAGAAAGGAAUUUCACAAGCUCAAAAGGUGUUUGAGGGUUUCAUGAACCUAGGAUCACCAUCAAUUACUCAUCAAUCUCUUUUCCUCACGUUGUCUUUGUAGAGACGGUGACAUAUAACCUUGUUAAUCUCUAAGAUUAAAAUUCGUUUAACAUAGGUCAUAACGCAAAUCCAACUUUUCUUUAAUGAAUAGCCAAUCUAAACUUUUGAAGAUCAUAGAGGCUUUACCAUAGACACACCAAAAGACAUAACACUUGAUUUUUCGUGUUAACUUUUGGUAUUUGUUGUGUCUUUAUCAAUCUUUGGCUUUCUUCUUUUAGCCCUUUCUCAAUCAUUGGACUUUUGUUCUAAGCCUUCCCUUUGUCCAUCGACUCUAACAUUGUCUUCGUCUUUUCUAGGAAAAGACUCUCAUUGCCCCUAGUGUGGGGUGUGAUCCUAGUCAAGGUUUUUUAUGAAAGAAAUAUUCUAUCAGCUCAAAAUGGGACUGCAAGGGAUAUAUAUUUCAAGAAUUGUGAAAGGAUGAAACAAAAAUGGCCUUUUCUCAUCUCAAGUAAGGUCGGUUAGAACCGAUAAAUUUUGACCUCAUCCAAUAUAAUGAUUUAGACUUGUAAGAAUCAUAAUUCACGAGUCCAUAACUACUGAAUCCACUACGUUUCAUUAUGCAUACUGCUAAAACUUAGCUAUAUAGUAUGUGGUUCAAUUUCAUGUGUGAGUUCAAAAGUUUCUUGGUCACCUCAUGUCAUUUCAACAAGCUUCGAGUCAUUCAAGCAAAAUAAUUUUAAUCUUCAAGAUUGACUAAUCUUAAACGCAUGUUGGAGCUUGAUCAAAAUAUUUUGUCAAAAUAACCUUUGAAAGAAACAUCUCAUGCUUUCAGAACAACAAAGGGACAAAGAAAAGACAUGUUUUGUUAAAAGAUGAGAUAUGAUCCCAAAAUAAAAUGCAGAAUGACAAAACUCAUAACAAAAAGGAUCGACAGUUUAACACUCUUCUUGGAUCAGCUUUUCUGGUGAUAUCUGUGUUUUGUCAAGCAUUUCAAUCACUUGUCAUUAUGGGGAUGUUGUAGUGACAAUAUGGCCGAUGAUGUCAUUUUCACAAACUCAACUCGAUUCUUGAAAUUCUUGCAACUUUCAAAUGAAUGGCACAAAAUCCCCCAAUGAUAUUCAAAUCUCUUUUCUGGAUUAUACCACCUAGAAAAUGAUGGUUGUAUGGGAUUUGGCGGAGUCAUGGCAAUAAAUCCGGAGUCUAAUAGAUGCUGGUAGACAAACUCGAGUGGUCGAGGUAUGUCAAUCUUGGCAAAAAUAUUUGAGCAGUUGAUACAUAAUUAAAGCUUCCCAUCGUUAGAGUCAUCCUUUGAUUCAUCUCUCAUUAUUGUUCUACAAUCCUUGGCAGAAACUUCAAUAUUUCCCCUCUUCGUAGCUUGUUCAAUUCUUUCGAAAAUCCUCACAACAUCAAUAUCAAUCUUUCCAAUGUUGUUAUGGUUAUUUGUGGAUUGGUAUAAACUUUCCAAUAGCCAGGUAAUCUUGGUAGCGCACAGAAACAUUCAGCACCACCAUUGCCAACGUGUGGAAUCAUGCGUUGUCUCAACUGGAAGAGAAAAUGAUGAAUCUGAAAAUGAUGAAUCUGAAACCCUUUUGUCUCCUCUUCAAUUCCUCACUGGCAGUGCAGCAAACAAACACCUAUAGUGGGAAUUCUGCUUUGUUAAAGUUGCAAUGUUUGCUCUUUUUUUUCUCAGAGCAGCAUCCGAUACUGCAAUGUCUGCUUUGUUAAAGUUGAGAACAAGGGUUGUCAUUAGUUGAUGACUGAAGGCAUUGUUGUCAUUGUUCAUGACUAAAAAGGAGAGGUACAACUUCAAUGGAACGUGGACAAGUAGUGUUCUCAGCAAGAGCCUGUACAGACGUUCCCUUUCCACUUUUGAAGCUCAACAUUUAUUCAAACAGAUUUAUGAGUCGAGCCACUUCACCUUUACUGCUCUCAACUUCCUUUUGAUAAUAAACCUAUGUCUAACCCCUGUCUUUAUUUUCCAUCUUCAUCAGUCCAGUAGACCUCAGGUGGGGGAACUUAUGUUUCAACCGUGUGCAAGCUUGAUAAAUGAAUGAAAUGCGCAAAUGGAUGCAAAAUGCCAUAUGGACUAUGCAUGCUUGUUAUUUGUUUCAAGUUUUCCUUUAGCUUAUGACGAGGAAUAGACCAGAUCAGAUUCUCUUAAGAAAGUUCUCAAUGAGGACUCCAAACCUACAGGAACUUGAACCGAUUUAGGGGAGAAAUUUGAUUUUUAUUGGAUAUUCUUCAGUUGUUUUUCCCUCUACUCUCUUAGCAGAAGUAACCCUACCGGGAUGUUUCCAUGCCUUUUUCACUAACUCUAAUAAUUUCUUCGAGGUCUUGAAAUCUUCAUAAAAUGUUGGCAGUUUGGUAGUCAUUGGAAUAAACUGCUCAUGUAAGAUCCCACAUCGAAAGCGAGCGUCCAACGCCAAGGCCUUAUAAAUGCAUGUUCAUCUUAACUAGUAAGACGCGUUUAAAACCCUGAGGGGGACCUGGGUGGAAGCCCUGGAAAUGGGUAGACCGGGGGGCCUAGAAGGGACAGUAUCUGACAGGGUGAGUGUGCUGCUCUACUCUGAAAGACGCGUUUUGAGGCCAUGCGUGGCUGCCAAGAACAAACCCGUCAGGAGACUUGGGUGGAAGCCCUGGACAUGGGUGAACUAGGAGGCCCAAAGCGGACAAUAUUUUGCUAGUGAGGUAGGAUGUUACAGCUCAAAUCCAAAUUGUUGUAAAAUCAUGUUAGGACAAUAACUAAUACAGCAGCAGGCUCCUAUCACAACGGGACCCAUGGAUACUCACCAUAAUAUGCCAGAUAAGAUUUGAAGUAAGAGUAUCGACUCCUCCAAUGAAAUUGAGAUUUACUUAGAUUUAGAAACAUUGAUUCCCAUGUGGUUCUUGCUACUUCAUGCAAGUGUUUUUCAGCAAAAUUCUCCAGCUUAGAAUAAAGAUGCCAUGGGGUACCAACCAAACCUGAAAUCUUCCCCUCGAUCAUAUGACUCACAGUCCAGACAAACAAUAACUGCAAGCAACAUCUUAAACGACCCCUUCCAGCUUUUCUACAAUAAUUCAAGGAUGAGAAAGUUUCUGCCAAUAUUGCUGUAGCCGGGUUAAUUUUAAGGGUCACCACAUUUUUAAAUACAUUGACAGCCUCAAAAUCGAUCAUUCCCUCUGUAGAUGGGAAAAGAACCAAACCAUAUAUGCCUAAGGCCAAAAUUCUCAAUCGAAUUUCAUUGCUUUUAUCGUGUAAUCUCCUCUUGAAUAUGGCUUCUAGUUCAUUCCAAAACCAACCUUGGCUAUUUCCUCGUUUAGUUGCAUGAGAUUUUGCUAGUUGACAUUCUAUCUGGGUAAUCCAAGCAAAGUUAGAAAGUGCAUGCUCUAUAGGUGUGUAAAAGUAUACCUUUUCUGACUUGGGACAAUUUAGCAGGGAUUCAUACUCCUCAAUAGUAGGAGUCAUAUCCACAGUAUCAAAAGUGAAGCACCGAUAUUCUGGAUCCCAAAACCCUAUCAUGGCCUUAAAACAAGCAUGUUGGACCCUAAUUUUCAGUAAAUGUGAUAGAUCCCCAUAUUGUUUCUGAAAAGUGAUUUGAUCAUGAGAGGAUAACCUUUCCCAACAGUCUAGCAGCUGUCUUGUACCAAGUGGUCUGUCAUCUAAUUUAACAUGCUCUGGCAACUGAGACUCAAAUUCUGAUGGCAAACAAUCCCCUUCAUCAUGUUGGCUCAAUUCUGAUCUGGUAAAAAAUUCCUCAAUAGUAAUGGGUUUUUCCAUCUCACACUUCUUGUAAGGAUCGGUGGAGAUUUAAUGAGCACAUGAAAUGUAUAUGAACAUGUAUGUUCAUGCAUUGACAUUUGUUCGUGUCCUAAUGGGUAUAUCUUACUUGAUAGGAUCUAGCUCAUAAGGUUUGGUUCAGUUUAAUCUAUCCUUAAAGAUAUUUUUUGGUUCUUAGAUUGCCCGAAUUACCCAUGGAGUAAUCGGCCUCUUAACCUUAUACAACAUGAGUAUGGGAAACAAUUUCCACAAUACCCGUUGCAUAGGGUGAGUUACAAUCCAAGCGAAAGUCCAAAUGAGCAUCAGUGGACAUAAGUCACACUUGCCACCUGAAUCUCUCUUUUCUAAUCUUAAACAGGACGAGCUCGGGUCCAGAGCUUUUAUGGGUUCACCGUGAAGUGUGUGAAUACACAAAUAAAUAACAUGCAUGUAUGUGGCAAUAUGGAAAAUUGAAAAGAAUCACAGUAGAUAUUGCAUAAAAUAAAUAAUGCAAAUAAGAUAAAUGCCUAAAAAUAAAUAGCGAUAAGAAAGAACAAAUGAAAAGCAAAUACAAGCAGUUGGCUCAACCCUAAGUCCCCAGUGGAGUCGCCAUUCUGUCGAUACACGACGUCGGGCGACUGCUUCCGCUUUUUUUGUUUAUUUAACAAAAAGGGUUUUUUUUUAAUUGGGGGAAACAAAGAUUUUAUUGGAGUCGCCAUCUAGUAAUUUGAGGGAACUAGAAAUCCCAAAUUAGACACUGGUCCCAGAGAUUCAGGUACGGGGUUAGUUAUGAUUAAGGGAAGGUAGACACCACCCUUAAAACAUCCUUUCAAAGAAAGGUUACCCUUACUUGUGUGUUUUUUGUUUGAUUCAAAUGCGAUUAUAUUUUGGGCUUAUUUGUAAUUAUUUUAAAUGAUUAAUGUCGGUCCCUAAAAAUAGGAGACACGUUAAAAAUGACAUCAGUCCCUAAAAUUUAGGAGACUCGUCUAGAAUAUUAACGUUUAUUCCUAAAAAGGAGAGUUACGUCUGGGUUACCAAAAGAAAUAAUGGAUAUAAUCCAUUAUAUUUUGGGUUUAUUGGUAACUUGUUUUUUUUUAAAAUGGUUAACGUCGGUCCCUAAAAAUAGGAGACGCGUUAAAAAUGACAUCAGUCCCUAAAAAUUAGGAGACUUGUCUAAAAUAUGACGUUUUAACCCUAAAAAGGUGAGAUACGUCUGGGUUACCAAAAAAAAAAUAAUGGACAUAAUCCAUAUUUGGUAUUUGCAUUUUUGACAUCGGUCCUUUUUUUUAAAAAAAAAAGAGAAGUGUUGACUUUGGUUUUUGUAUUUUUUUUACAACAUGCAAGAAAAUUUACAAGCAUUUAUAUAUAAAAAAAUAUCAAAAAUACUAGUUGAAACCCAAAAAAUUACCUGAGUGUCACUGUAUAGGUAAAAUACUGAAAUACCCUCGAAGUUCUCCGAAAAUUACGAAAAUGCCACUGGCUAGAUUUCUGGCCAACAAAUGGUUGAUUCUGGCAGAUCUGAGGGCGAGGAUUCUGACGGUGGUGGUUGUGACGGUCUUUGAUGGCUGAUGAGUGAGAAUCGACGACUUGAAGCUUCGGUGUGAACGCGUGUAUGGUAAACCGGUACCUCUGAACACUGUGCGCCGUUGGAUCUCGGAUGAAAUGAUUGGAUGGCUGUGAUUGGCCCGAUCUGCAGGUUGAUCGGACGGUCCGGAUGAACAGAGGUGGGAUCUGGUGUGGAGCGGUGUACCGUGAGAUUGGUACACCGGGUGACGUGGCGAAACUGGAUCUAAGCUUAGAUUAUUUCAAGGGCUGAGAUGCGUCUGGGUUUUAAUCUAGUGUGGUAAGCCCUAUUGUAUCCUAUUAAAUCAACGGUUCAGAUCUAAACACUAUUAGAUCUAACGGUUAUGAUAUAUUUGGUAUUUUUCAUAUUGUAUUUUUAAAAAAUCAAUAUCCACUCUCAUGAAGAAAUAGUGAAAAACUUAAAUAGUAACCUUGAUAUUCGUUUCUUUUCUUUCUUUUUCUUACCUCUCCCCCUUUGUUCGUUUUUCUCACCGGCUAUUUAUAGCCAAUCAACAGGGGACAUCAAAAUCUCAACAUUAUCUACUUGCAAGAAAAAAAUCGUCGAUACAACUGCCCCACCUGCUGUGACAAAAAAAGUUUGCAUUAUUGAUUUUUUUAUUUUGUUUUAUUAUAUAUAAUAAUAAAUAUUUAUAUGGAUAAAACUAAAACUCAAAUUAGUAUUAGAAAAGCCCGUUUCAACCGCUAAAAAUCAAUUUUAAUGACCGAAAAUAAUAGUUUUGAUCCAAAAUAACCUGAAACUCAUUUUUUACCUCGGUCGACAUGGUUGGACCCGUAUGGACUCGGUGGACUCGGUUUUGACUGAAUAUGACGGUUUUGACCCAAAACGGCCCGACACUUAUUUUUUACCCUGGUCGACAUGGUUUGACCCGUAUUGACUCGGUGGACUCGGUUUUGACCGAAAAUGACGGUUUUGACCCGAAACGGCCUGAAACUCAUUUUUUACCCUGGUCGACAUGGUUUGACCCGUAUUGACUCGGUGGACUCGGUUUUGACCGAAAAUGACGGUUUUGACCCGAAACGGCCUGAAACUCAUUUUUUACCCUGGUCGACAUGGUUUGACCCAUAUUGACUCGGUGGACUCGGUUUUGAUCGAAAGAUGCGGUUGACUCGAGAAAAAUAUAUUUUUGAAUUUUCCUUUUUCUUAAUUUUUUUGGAUUUUUAUAAAUAAUAAUAGAAAUAAAAUAACAUUCAAGAAAAUCUUGGUGAAUCCAAAAUUGGGUUACAACAAUGUCAAUGGAAAAGAGAAGCCAAGAGUUAGUAAGGGCUUAUGCGCAAAGAUGGAGGGAUGAGGCAACACAUGUGCAACCCCCUUUGAUAGAGACGGAGAUGGUGACUUUGUUCCAAACUGAGAUCAGUGGGUUAACUCGGAGUGGCCGGUGCUUCACGCCCGAGGAGUUGAAGAAAGCAAAAGGCAAAGAAGUGGUAGAUCUUGACAAAGCACUAGAAGUUAAUAAGCCAAUAACUGAAGAGGAGUCAAAUGAAUUUUUAAAGUUGAUAAAGCAUAGCGAAUAUUGCAUAGUAGAUCUACUAAAAAAGACUCCAGCAAGGAUUUCCCUUAUGUCCUUGAUACUAAGCUCUAAGCCGCAUCGAAAUGCUUUGCAAAAGGUAUUGAAUGAGGCGUAUGUGCCCCAAGACAUUGAACAGAAAACCAUGGAGCAUCUGGUGGGGAGAAUCCAUGCAACUAAUUACCUGUACUUCACAGCUGAUGAGCUUGAUGCUGAAGGUAUCGGACAUAACAAGCCCUUAUACAUUACUGUUAGGUGCAAGGAUUGCCUCAUAGGAAAGUGCUCGUCGAUAAUGGCUCAGCUCUUAACGUGUUGCCAAAGCACAUGCUGAAGAAAUGCCAAUUGAUGAUUCUCAUAUGAAGUCGAGUACUGUGAUGGCCAGAGCAUAUGAUGGCUCACUUGGGCCAAUAAUUGGGACUGUAGAAGUGGAGCUAUAUGUGGGGCCACAAAUGUUCUUGGUGACCUUUCAAAUUAUGGACAUCCACCCUUCCUAUAGUAUGUUGUUAGGAAGACCUUGGAUUCAUGUGGCUGGGGCGGUAACUUCAUCAUUACACCAAUGCUUGAAGUAUAUCAUGAAUGGGAUGUUGGUAACUGUCAAAGCUGAGGAGACAAUAUCCAUGAUGAAGAAUGUGGCCAUACCUUUCAUUGAGGCAGAGGAUCGCAAGGAUAACAAUAUCCACUCUUUUGAGAUUGUGAACACUGACUUGGUACCUAAGAACACAGUACUAAGAAGGCCAAGGAUCUCAGAAGCAGCAAGGAUGGCAGCUCAAUGCUUCUUGGAACGCGGGAUCCCAUUUCAAUAUAACCCUAUCACUAGGGUACCAGAAAGGGUUAAUCCGAUAAAGAUGAAAGGUGUUGAUCAAAGAUUUGGGCUGGGGUAUAAACCUAAAAAAGUGGAUCAUCGGUGGGCUGCUGGUCGAAGAAGGGAAAGAAGAAUGGCUAGGAUUGAAGGAAGAGAGCUUGAAGAAGAAAAGCUGGAAAUCCCUCCCCUUAGAGUGUCGUUCCCAAAAGCUGCAUAUGUAAUGCAACCCGAUGAAGGAGCAGAAAGCCUUGGUCAAGAACUGUCAAAUAUGAGCAUAAACACCUUGGAGGAGAAUAAGGUGGAAGGAGGUGGCAUGAAGACGGUAGCGGGAAAGAAAGAUGAAGCACUACCACAACUAACUAUCCACACUUUGGAAGAAGUCUCUGCUAAGACCUUUGUACGAAAGCUGGCUGAAGGUGAGAAGUUUCAAAACUAGGUGACUCAAUAAGCCCUAGUAGUAUUUAAAAUGUAAACCAACUUUGUUUGCCUUAACAUGCUUUUGUCAUUGCUUUUGUUUGCUUUAUUUUCCCUGGUUGACAAUCGAGGCUCAUGAUGUCAAUCAGAUUUUGUCGUUGUCAUUGAGCCCACCUUUGUUUUAAAUAAUGAGAUCAUGCGUUUUCCAAAUUUAUCUCUUUAUUCAUGCAUUUACACCAAACACUUUCCGCUUUCAGGAACUCUGAAAGUGGAUCUUCCACAACAUCAUAUACACUUAGCAUCAAGAAUGAAUGGCCAAACUUUAACGAACAUGUGAUCACUAUGGAAGAAGAAGAAUGGGAUGAAAGCAAUAUUAGGGAAUUUACAAAGUUAGUAGAGCAACAUGAACAAACCUGGGAACCAACUACAUAAGAACUAGAAACCGUAAACGUGGGUAGCGAUCAGAUUAAAAAAGAGUUAAAAAUAGGGACCUUAAUCACUCCUAAGGAAAGAGUAGAGGUAAUUGCCCUACUACGAGAAUACGCAGAUGUUUUUGCUUGGUCUUACGAGGAUAUGCCUGGUUUGGAUAGAAAUAUUGUCGUACAUAAGAUACUGCAGGAGGAAGGUUGUAAACUAGUCAAACAGAAGUUGAGGAGAGCCCACCCGGAUAUUUGGAUCAAAGUUAAGGCAGAACUCGAAAAAUAGUGGAAUGCAGGCUUUCUAGAAGUAGUUAAAUAUCCACAAUGGGUAUCCAACAUUGUUGUCGUACCAAAGAAAGAAGGAAAGAUUAGAGUUUGUGUGGACUUCCAAAAUUUGAACAAAGCUAGCCCCAAGGAUGAUUUUCCUCUGCCACAUAUAGAUGUUUUGGUCGACAAUGCUGCACGUAGUUCCACAUAUUCCUUUAUGGAUGGUUUCUCGGGAUACAACCAGAUAAAGAUGGCUUUAGAAGAUAAGGCGAAAAUAACUUUUGUUACACCAUGGGGAACCUAUUGUUACAAGGUUAUGCCAUUUGGUCUGAAGAAUGCAGGAGCCACCUAUCAGAGGGCCAUGGUGACUCUUUUCCAUGAUAUGAUGCACAAGGAAAUUGAGGUGUAUGUAGAUGAUAUGAUUGCCAAGUCCAAGAAGGGAGAAGAUUAUGUAAAGGUUCUGAGGAAGUUAUUUGAGCGUUUGAGGAAGUAUGAACUAAAGCUCAACCCGGCAAAAUGUUCGUUUGGAGUUAAGUCUGGAAAGUUGCUAGGAUUUGUGGUAAGUGACAAAGGUAUAGAGGUGGAUCCUGAUAAAGUGAAGGCCAUCCAAUCCAUGCCAUCCCCAAAGACAGAGAAGGAGGUGAGGGGAUUCUUGGGAAGAUUAAACUAUAUUGCCAGACUUAUAGCUCAACUAACCACAACAUGUGAACCUGUCUUCCGGCUACUGAGGAAAAAGAAUCCUGGGAUUUGGAAUGAGGAGUGUGAGGAAGCAUUCAAUAAAAUCAAGCAAUACUUACAAAGUCCGCCUUUGCUUGUUCCUCCUAUAUCAGGAAGGCCUUUAAUAUUGUAUUUGACAAUAACUGAAACAGCUAUGGGAUGUGUAUUGGGUCAGCAUGAUGAAACCGGAAGGAAAGAAAGGGCUAUUUAUUACCUGAGUAAGAAGUUCACCGAAUGUGAGUCUAGAUACACGGUGAUAUAAAAACUCUGUUGUGCAUUGGUAUGGGCGACAAAAAGAUUACGACAUUACAUGUUGUAUCACACCACUUUGUUGAUUUCAAAAGUGGAUCCACUAAGGUACAUCUGUGACAAGCCCUAUCUCUCAAGCCGAAUUGCAAGGUGGCAGGUUUUGUUGUCAGAAUAUAACAUAGUAUAUAUGACAAGGAAAGCCGUGAAGGGGAGCGCGAUUGUCGACCACCUGGCUGAUAAUGCUGUUGAAGAUUAUGAGCCAUUGGAUUUUGACUUCCCUGAUGAAAAUGUAUUAUCAAUAGUGGGAGAAGAAGAGAAGAAAGAUUGGUGGACCAUGUUUUUUGAUGGGGCAGUGAAUGUUUAUGGUAAUGGGGUCGGCGCGGUGAUAAUCUCUCCUGACCAGAAGCAGUAUCCGGUUUCAGUUAAAUUGUAUUUUGAAUGCACCAAUAAUACAGCUGAAUAUGAGGCUUAUAUCCUGGGUUUAGAAGUUGUGUUAGAGCUGAAGAUCAGAAAGAUAGAUGUAUAUGGUGACUCAAUGUUGAUUAUCUGUCAAGUGAAAGGAGAAUGGCAAACCAAGGAAGAAAAGUUGAGGCCAUACCAGGAAUAUUUAUCAGCACUGUCAGAAGAAUUCGAAGAGAUAAGAUUCACCCAUCUAGGAAGAGAAGGGAACCAUUUUGCGGAUGCUUUGGCCACGUUGGCUGCUAUGGCUACGAUUGAUCUCGGGCAUAAGGUACAUCCUGUACACAUAAACAUCAGAAAUAACCCAGCUUACUGUUGCUCGAUUGAAGGAGAGGUAGAUGGAAAGCCUUGGUAUACGAUAUCAAGAAUUUUGUGCAAAAUCAGGAAUAUCCAGUGGGAGCUUCGAAGAUGGAUAAGAAAACCCUAAGAAGGUUGGCCAUGGAUUUCUACCUCGACGGAGAGAUUCUGUACAAAAGAUCAUUUGACAGAACCUUGCUAAGGUGUUUGAAUGAGACAGAUGCUAAAAAUGCUUUACGGGAGGUACAUGAAGGGGUUUGCUCAACUCAUGCUAACGGGCAUAUGGUAGCAAGGAAAAUACAAAGGGCUGGUUAUUUCUGGAUGACACUAGAGAAAGACUACAUCGACUAUGUCAGGAAAUGUCACAAAUGUCAAGUGCAUAGUGAUAAGGUCAAUGCGCCUCCGACUCCUCUGAUUAAUCUAGCAUCUCCCUGGCCAUUUGCAAUGUGGGGGAUUGAUGUGAUUGGACCUGUUAACCCAAAAGCUAGCAAUGGGCAUAGAUUCAUACUCGUAGCUAUUGACUAAUUCAUGAAAUGGGUAGAAGUUAGUUCAUACGCCCAUGUAACACAGAAAGUGGUGAAAAGGUUUAUAGAAAAAGACUUGAUUUGUCGUUAUGGUCCACCAGAAAAGAUAGUGACCGAUAAUGCACAGAAUUUCAACGGCAAAAUGAUCAUGGAGCUCUGUACCAAAUGGAAAAUCAAGCAUUCAAAUUCCUCACCAUACAGGCCCAAGAUGAAUGGUGCCGUAGAAGCAGCCAACAAAAACAUCAAGAAAAUUAUCCAGAAAAUGGUAGUCACUUACAAGGAUUGGCAUGAGAUGUUGCUGUUCGCUCUCCACGUAUAUCGCACUGCAGUAAGGACCUCAACAGGAACUACUCCAUAUGCUCUGGUAUAUGGAAUGGAGGCGGUGAUGCCUUUGGUAGUAGAAAUCCCUUCGUUGAGGGUGUUGAUGGAUUUAGAAUUAGAAGAGACUGAAUGGGCCAAAGUAAGAUAUGAACAGUUAAACCUGAUCAGUGAAAAGAGGUUGGCUGCAAUCUGUCAUCAUCAACUCUACUAGAAAAGGAUGGCCAAGACAUAUGACAAGAAGGUUAGACCUCGCAUGUUCCAAGAAGGAGAUCUAGUGCUGAAGAAACUAUUGUCUUUACCAGGAGAAGAUCAAAGCAAAUGGGCCCCAAAUUAUGAAGGUCCUUAUGUAGUGAAGAAGGCUUUCUCAGGAGGAGCUCUGAAGUUGUCUAGAAUGGAUGGAGAAGAUCUAGCUAGACCUGUGAAUUCUGACUCUGUAAAGAGAUAUUACGUCUAAUGUGUUCAGUUUUCUCCCAAAAUGAAUAAAGUGAAGUUUGGCUAUGAUUUCUUUGUGUAAAGAACCCUUUUUUUUCAUUUGCAUUGAUCUCACAACACUUAAUUUGUUUAUUUUCAAAAAAAAUCUUGGAAAGAUUUGGCUUUGUGCAUGAUUAUAAGGAAUGUAUCAUAAAAUGCUCAAAGAUGAAGUUUAAGCAUUUCCCGUUAAGAGGUGACCAAACCAAACAAACCCAACGCUGAGAUAAAACCUUGCCCCUAAUAGCAUUUUGAAUUGUAUGGAUAAAUGGUUAGGUAAUCAUCAUUGUAAUCACUCGGAUGUUUUUCUUUCGAGAUAAGAACAAGGUUUAUCAAUCCUAACAAUGUGCGUCUUGAAAUGAGGAAAGGCCAUCUUUGUCAUCCCUUCACUUUCUAAAGAUUUCAUCCUUUGUAGUCCCCAUUUGAGCCGGAUUGAGUUUAUUCUUUAUGAAAACCUGACUAAGACCACACCCCGCACUGGGGGCAAUGAGAAAUCUUUUGUUAGGAAAGAUAAAGAUAAUUGUAGAAAAAAAGGGUAAAGAAUGGAAGCCUAACAUUUAAGAAGAGAAUAAGAAGAAAAGGGAGAAGGAAUUUGAGCAAAUUACAAAAAAAAAAAAAGAAGAAGAAGAAGAAGAAGAAGACUUGGAUCUUUGAAAGUCCGAACCCAAAACUUGGGGGCAUAAAAAAAAAAGAAGGGGGGAAAAGGAAUAAAGAAAGAAGAUGAUGGUUUGAUAAUGCUUUAAGACUGAGAUGAGGAUCCUUAAGCAAGCUUCUCCAAAUGCAACCUAUGAGACAAUUUCACAAAAAACAAAAGAUAGAAGAAGAGUGGUCUUAAGUCUUUAAACCCUCAAACACUAUUGAGCCUUAAAGCAUCCUUUUCUUUCAUAGCCCGUAGAUGUAACCUACAUUACAAGCCUUUAAAAGUCCUUUCUGAUCAAGCGCACAUAACUUGGGUUAAUAAACGAUGGUCUUAUAACUCAUAGGACUUAACAAAUGAGAGAUAAUCCGCUUUUGUCCAUGCAAGAAAAAGGCUAAUAUGAGACAUUUCCCUUUUUCUACACAGCCUUUUCAAAUAAUUACUUAAAACCUGUUGAAAAGAUUAAACAGAAGAGCCUUUGAAAAGAAAAAAAAAACCUAAAGACAAACCGCAAACCGAUAAAACCCUCAUUGGGAAUCGCUUAAAAGAGUUUUCAAUAUGUAUGUUGAAAGUUUCAGUUGUCAUGAACAAAUUCAAGUCUUUUAAAGAUUCUUUUUGAGGAAGGAAUUUUUUGUGCUGGAACGAAAACCAAAAAACCCUUAAUUUGAGAAAGACAAAUUAAAGCAUUGACAAGAGCAUGAUAAAAAGCAAUGGCAAAUCAUGCAUUUUUGGAAAAGGUUCACCUAACGGAAAAGGUCAGGGAUUUCUUCCCUAAAAAGUGAUGGGUAGAAGAAACAUCAUAGGAAAUGGAUCCAGCAUGCCAUUUCGAGCACGUGAACAAGAUCGUAUUAAGAGAGAGUUUCAGAAAAUUGAAGGAAGCGAUGGGACCUAUGUUUCCAAACCAGGUAAGGAUGCAUACAUAAGCAUUGCAUCAAACAUUUUUGUUGAUUUGUUACAGGAAAAAUCCUCAAUAUAGUCCGGCAAGAUUAGAGACAAAGAAAGAAUCUUUGAGUUGAUGAACAACGAAGAAUCAUGCUUUGGACCCUGGAACGGGAGAAAGAUGAGAUAAACCCUAACAUUAGGGAAAUCUCAAAGAAAUAAGAGUCUUCAAUUCAAACCCUAUCAUCUUGAAGAAGAAACAUUUUUUGGUUAAAGAGGAUUGCCAAAAGGGAUCUCAGUUUAACCACCACAUGAAGAUUUUAGCUUUGGUUGAAGGGAGUCGCCAGAUGGGAUUCCAGGUUGACCGAGCUACACACAGGCUUUGGUUCUGGUUAAAGGGGAUCGGCGAAAGGGAUCUUAGUUUACCCUAACCACACAGAGACUUUGGUUCUGGUUAAAGGGGAUCGACGAAAGGAUCUCAGUUUAGCCUAACUGCACAGGAGUUUUGGUUCUGGUUAGAGGGGAUUGGCGAAAGGAAUCUCAGUCUAUCCUAACCAUACAGGUUUUUUGGUUAUGGUUAAAGGGGAUCGGCGAAGGGAUCUCAGUUUAGCCUAACCACACAAAGACUUUGGUUCUGGUUAAAGGGGAUCGGCGAAGGGAUCUCAGUUUAGCCUAACUGCAAAGGAUUUUGGUUUUGGUUAGAGGGGAUUAGCGAAAGGAAUCUCAGUCUAUCCUAACCACAUAGGAGUUUUGGUUCUGGUUAGAGGGGAUUGGCGAAAGGAAUCUCAGUCUAUCCUAACCACACAUGUUUUUUGGUUCUGGUUAAAGGGGAUCAGCGAAGGAUCUCAGUUUAGCCUAACCACACACAGAUUUUGGUUCUGGUUAGAGGGAAUUGGCAAAAGGAAUCUCAGUCUAUCCUAACUACAUAGGAGUUUCGGUUCUGGUUAGAGGGGAUUGGCGAAAGGAAUCUCAGUCUAUCCUAACCGCACACAGGAGUUUUGGUUCUGGUUAGAGGGGAUUGGCGAAAGGAAUCUCAGUCUAUCCUAACCACACAAUUUUUUAGUUCUGGUUAAAGGGGAUCGGCGAAGGGAUCUCAGUUUACCCUAAAUACAAAGGAUUUUGGUUCUGGUUAAAGGGGAUCGACGAAGGGAUCUCAGUUUAUGUUAACCACACACAGAUUUUGGUUCUGGUUAGAGGGGAUUAGCGAAAGGAAUCUCAGUCUAUCCUAACCACACAUGAGUUUUGGUUCUGGUUAGAGGGGAUUGGCGAAAGGAAUCUCAGUCUAUCCUAACCACACAGGAGUUUCGGUUCUGGUUAGAGGGGAUUGGCAAAAGGAAUCUCAGUCUAUCCUAACUGCACACAAGAGUUUUGGUUCUGGUUAGAGGGGAUUGGCGAAAGGAAUCUCAGUCUAUCCUAACCACACACACGAGUUUUGGUUCUAGUUACAGGGUAUUGGCGAAAGGAAUCUCAGUUUAGCCCAACCACACAACAGGACUUGGGGUCCGGUUGAAGUUUUAGGUCAACCAAAUUUUGGGAAGACCAGUUUCGGAAGACCAAUUUUGUUUAUCUUUACAACACUUACUACGCAAAAUCUUUGCUCCGUAAGCAUUGUAAAGAGGGGGCAUCUGUUGUAACCCAUUUUUGGGUCCCCGCACAAAAUACAAAAAAAAUUAUAUCAAAAUAAACAAAAUAUUAUAGAAAAAUAAUAGUAGUGAAAAGAGGAUGUCGGAGCGCCCAGAAAAUGGUCAAAAAUUGGUUGAGGAGGUUUAAAAAUACAAGGAUUGAAGUUUGACAGUAUAUCAUUGACUGGGGCUUAAUUGCAUACAUAUUAAAGUCUGGUGGGCAAUUAGGGACUUGAUUGAAGAAAUCCAAAACCAAGGACCAUAGUGAAAAAAGCGCGCAAAUUGAAGGGCUAAUCUGAAAUUGGACCCAUUUUGGCGCCAAUUUUCGUUUAAAUGAAACGGCGCGUUUUGAUAAAAAACGAUGUUCGUUUCAUGUAUUUCACGAAGAAAAAGAGCAAACGGUGCCGUUUUGAACGGCACCAUAAGCCUUCUUCUUCCCUUAUUGAGAAUAGGGGAAGAAGAAGCAUUUUCCCCCCAUUUUUUUCUCCUCUCUCUCUCUCCCAAAACCCAAAUAACCAACGACGACCCAACUUGUCCCUUCACUGACACCACCACGCCCUCAUGCCGAAAGACCCAUACCCUAUAGAGGUAGGGGCGGCUGUGCAGUAGCCGCCCCCAUGCCACCAUGCCCUGCACCAUGGCACAGGACAGGGCAUGGUGGCCCUCUCUCCCUCUGCCUAUAAAUACAGAGGGAGUGCGGGAGAGAAGAGGGGGGAAAAAAGAUUUUUUGAAAGAGAAAGGGAGGAGAAACCGAGAGAGAGACCGACUGUUUUUUAAGGAGGAAAAGAGAGACGGAAAAAGGGGAAACAACAUUUUUUUUAUUGCUUAUGGGCUGGAACAUCAGCCCAGCCCACGCGGCUGAGCUGAGUCCAGCCCACAGUAUAUGGGCCAGGUCAGGCCCAACCUAGGAUGGGUGGGCCAGAUCCGGCCCAAGUUUUUUUUGGUUAAAAGAAAAUUUCAAAAAAUAUUUUUUAGGAAUUUUAUAAUUUCCCCGCAUAUUUUUCUGUCAUUUUGAUUAAAAGCAAUAUUUUUUAUGUUGCUAAAAAUACAAAAUCCGAUAUUAAAAUACCUGGUUUUCGUCAAAACUUCCAAAAUACAAAAAAAAAACUUGUUUGUUUUGAAAAAAAGAAAAAUGUUUUUGUGCAUACGGCCAAGUAUCUCAAAGCUAAAAAAUCAUAUGGUGUUUUUAUACAUAAAAAAAAAAAACAAUGUUUUUGCAUGCAUUUUGGCUUUAAUAACCAGUUUAUUAGAGUCAAGAGAACAUUGGCCAAAAUUUCAAAAACUACAAAAAUUUUAUUUUGUUUGUCUUUUAAUAUCCGUGGUACGAUAUUACAUGUAAUACAUAUUCCGGAUAUUAAAUGUUUUUCCAACGUUAGAACGGUUAGGUUCUACCCCAUUAAAGAUAAUAACCUCCUUAUUGAGGAGGACUUUUCUUGAGUCUUAGAUAGACAGGACCAACAAGUAGAAAACACAACCAAACCUUAGAUUUUGAUCAGACAAAUAAAACAAUGCAGCUUACCUUAGGUAGGGCGUAUUUGGGGUGCUAAUACCUUCCCUUUACGUAACCAGUCUCCGUACCUGAUCUCUGAGACCAGUUAGGGUUCCUAGUGAUCAUAAUACUAGGUGGCAACUCCCAUUCUAUAUUUUUCACCGCUAAGAGACAAAGAAUUCCUUGUCUCCCCACAUUUACCAGAUAUAUAUCCAUACAUUGAGGGUGGACGAUCGCCGCGACGCCGCACGUGCGACAACAGUUAUAUAUUAAUUCUAAUAAAAAAUAUAUAUGGUUUCUAUGUUUAAAUUUUGGUAUUAAUAACGCAUACAACAAUGAGGCAGUUAAGUUUCUUUGAUAAAAUAAAAUCAUUUAAAAAAUAAAAAUAAGCUAGUAUGUUUGUUACAUAACUAAAAAAAAAAUUGAUUUUUUUUAAAUUAAUUUUUAAAAUCAUUUUAAUAGACUGAUAUUAAAAAUAAAUUUUAAAAAAUAAAAAAUAUAUUAUUUUGAUAUAUUUUUAAGAAAAAAACAUUAUGAAAAGAAAUUGUUAAUAUUGUUAAAAAUAUAUUAAUAUUUUAAGGAAAAAAUAAAAGAAUUUUUUUUUUUCAAAUUAAUUUUUUUCUUUUUUGUAUAUUUUUGUGGUUACCAUAUCAGACAAAGUAGAGGUUGAUUUCAACAUGCUUCCUGCAAGCAUGAUAAACCAAAUUCAUUAUGAGAUAUAUAGCCUCAAGAUUAUCACAUCAUAAAGAAGAGUAGAGGUUCAAAUCCCUAAAUCUAUAAAUAAAUAAAAAAUGAACUAAGCAAUUUUAUCUCGAAACAACAAUGACACUAACUUAAUGCUCAGCCUUGGUACAAAUUAUGUCAGCACUUCCAUGCCUUGUGAUCUUGACAAAAAUAUUUUUGGUCCUUUUAGUUUAGAAAUGAAACUUUUCAGUACAAAACUUUAUUUUACCUAUAUAUAUAGUUCUUGAGUUUGAGAAAAAAAAGAAAGAUUUGUUGAAAAACUACAAAGGAGAGAUAAAAUUAGUCUAUUUAGAUUUGGAUUGAUUUUCUAAUUUUAAAUCAAUUAAAUGUUUAUUUAAAAUCAUGAAUGGAUUUAUUGAAGUCACUUCUUACAUAUAGCACAAUAUUUAUGAAGAUGACACGAGUUAAAAUAAUUGUUUAAACACACACUAUAUAUUGUAAUGUUGUCUGCAUAUAACUGUCAUGUAAGGGCUUCCAAUUCGCCUCUCCGUAUUACAGCACUUUACAAAUUAUUAGAUCAUUUGAUACUACACACAACAUUUGAUAUUUUUAACCAUUCACAUACAUGAAAUAAAACCCAUGGAAACAUGACACAAACGUCGACUGCAACUGCAACAUUAUACUAAUGAGUGUAUUUUCUAAAGUCGAAAGAGUGCUACCCAAUCUAGGUUCAAGUGGGAUGAUGAAUUGAAGAGCAGUUGUUAUUUGACACUGCAAUUAGAUGUCUCAUAUUUGAUUUAUGGAGCUAUGAUAAGGGAAUCGUGCUUGUAUAUUUACAUAGUAACAAGCAUUAUUAAAGAUGGUACACUAGUAAGUUUCCAAAUGCUAUCAGCAAAUAUUAUAACCUCUUAAUUUAUACAAGGAUUGAGCUAAAUUGCUUUAUCAAAUAUUUUAUGUUUUUUUUUUUUUGAAAUAUUGUUAUAGACAUAGAAUCAACAAGUUUAUGUGACAUUCUAUAUUGAUUUUGUUAUAUUUUAAUCACUAAAAGUAUGGGUUUCAGAAAAAUAAAAACCAAACAAAAAAAUUGAAAAAAUUAAAAAUUUUCAAACCAACCCAAUCCAACAAAUUUGAUCAUUUUUCGUCUGGUUUAGUUCGGAUAUUUUUUAGUUGAAACAAUUACUAACCAUUUUCAAAAGAUAAAUAUUGACAAGCCUUUCACCAAAACCAUGUUCAUUUAUGCUGAAUCAGGCCAAAUCAGGUUCAGGUUGCUAACUCAAACUAACGCAAUCCAAAAUUAAAUGCAUAUAGACUCUGGGUUGGUUUAGUUUAUUGAUUAUUAGAAAUGUCAAACUGAAACCGAACCGAAAUAAAUGAAUAUUUCUAACUGAGACGCCCUAAAAUACUGAAAAAAAUGGUUGGUUUUGUUUAGUUUGGUUUGGUUAUAGCAGAUACCCUGACAAUUUACUUUUUCACUCGACCUCAAACAAUAAGCACUAUUAUUAUGUCUUUAAUUGAAUUACUAUAAAGUAUAAAAAUAUAUGUGGAUAAUUGAAAAUUUGCUUAGAGUUGCUAAUAAUUCACAACUGCAACAACCAUCACGACCAGGUAAUGCUUGGGAAUGGGAUCAUGUAAUUGUGGAGAUUUGUCUAGAUUUUCUAGAUAAUAAUUUCAACCACCCUCUCCUUUCCUCAACCACUAUCACUCACCUUUCAACCACCAUCAACUACCCUCUCCUUUUGUCAACCAUCAACACUUCUCAACCAAGCUGCCAAGGCUCUCAUUCCUUCUAUAAAUGAAGACAAAGAGAGAGCAAGAUAAAGUGUAGUGCAGAGACAGUGCAAGUGAGUGCAGAGGAGAGGAAGUGUGGAGAGUGCAAGUGCAACUUUGAGAGUUGUGAGCAGAUUUGAGAGAAACACCAAGUGUAAGAGUGAAACACUGGGAUUUUGGGAUUGUACUAGGGUUGAGUUGAGUGUUUGUAUCAUUCCUCUAAUAAUAUAUGAUUGUGCAUCAAAAGUAUCAUUAAGUCUCCUAUUUUACAUAUAUAUUUAUUAUUUUUAUUUGGGUUUUUUAUAAUAAUUGAUGUGCUUUUUAGUAAUGAAGUUUUUUUUAAUGUUUCGAUAGGAUUUUGGAGCUUAAAUGAAUUAUUUCAGAAAAUUCAACGUCGGAAUUCGGAACAAAGAAUCGAAGAGAAAUUUAGUUGAAGAUUGAAGCAAGUCUUGGUUCAAAUAAGUGCUCCAAAUUUUCCCCAAAAAUCAAUUCUAUUCCAAUUCUAGAAAAGAAUAUCAUAUGAUCUAUUUCAAGCCCAAACAUGCCUUAUGUUGUGUGCAAACUUCAACCAUCAAACACUCAAGGUUUCAAUGUCAAUCUUAGCCCAAAUAAUAGGUACAUUUCUAUCCUUAUUUGAUGCUUAAAUCAGCCCCAAAUCAGCCUCCAAAUCAGCCGAAGCACAAUCCAUGAUCUUACAUGCCCACACAACAAAUAACAUUUGAUUUAUUUUGGGUAAUUCAUUGAUCCAAGAGGGAAAGAACAUGGAUGGAAAGCUGGAGGGGACAUUGUGACAUUAUUUUGGGUCAAAAGAAGAAAGAGACAGCUCAUAAAGGAGGAAGAAAAACGUGCACCAAAGUGUUCUCCAAGCUGGCCUGGUUUGAUUUUCCAGAACACCUUUCGGUGUUUCGCCCAUAACUUUUGACUCAGAUGUCCAAAUGAGCUGUUCUUUAAUGAUGUGAAAAUAUAACAGAAUGGCCUAUAAAUAUGUCUCCAAUAGCCAUUUCCAGGGGAGGCUUCAAAAAGGGUCUAAUUUCUGUCCAAAGUUAGAGUCAAAUUUGUGUCCGAAUUUUUACUGAAAUUGUGUUGUGUGCUUCUUUAUAGAUUUUGGUUCUUUAGCUUGUAAAAAUCAUUAUUUCAGUUUGAUUCAAGUUAUUUCAUGUUUAUUAAAGUGUUAUUAUAUAUAAUCAUGGUUCGCUAAUCUCUUUCUUGGAUCCAAAUCAAGGAUGAUGGUGGUUGAGGUGAGUUUUUUAAGAUAUGAAUGAAUCUUAAUGUCUAUCUUUUCAUUUUCUUUAUAAAUGUUUUAUUAUUGCAAAGAAAUUUUAGAAAUCAUUUAGGUAAUGUUAUAAUCUUGAAUUUUUAUGCACAAACCUUAGUUUUGGUAUAGAGAUUGCUUGAUUCAAUGUCUUACUUAAUAUGAAAAUACUUGUUCAUUCUUAAGCAAUAAUCAAUCUUCAUCUUUUUAAACUUCAUUGUAAUAUCUUCUGAUCUAAUAUCACCAUCGUUGAUAUUAGGUUGAGUUAUCUUAUAUAUGUUUGAAGGAAUCACCAAUACAUCACCAUUAAAAUUGAUUUGGACCAAGACUUACUUUUUCUUGUCAUUUAAAAUCUAUUUACACUUUUUCAUCUUUGAAAACAAAUUCAUCAAUCAUUUUCAACCAAGUUAUUGUUAAUUUAAUUUCUCUUGAGUUUUUUUGUUACCUAGCUUAAUUUCCAGAUCUAGCUCUCUGUGGAUAUGACCUCAAUCUUACUGAGUUAAUUGCUACAUCGCACACUCGUGCACUUGCGAGUUAAAACAAGCCGAACAUAAAAAGCGGUCAAGCAAUUUUUGGCGCCGUUGCCGGGGAGCUAGCAAGCAAAGGUAACAAAUUUAUAUUUGAUUAUUGAAAAAUAAAAAAAAAUACAUAUAAAUAAUAAAUCAAAUGGCUGGUUUUACCGCCUAAAAAAAAAUUGACCUCAACUUUUCGGAUAUUGGACUGUGGACUAAACUAUUAAUUAUUGGAUUUUGGUUGGUUCAACCAUUUUUCUUUUAUUUUCUAUUCUAAUUAGUUUCUAAUAUUUAUUGUUUAUAUUAUAAGGCUGGUUUUACCGCCUCUUGUUUAUUUUAUUUUAUUUUGUUGUUAUUAUUUUUCUUAUAUUUAUUGUCUGAAGUGCUUAGCCGGUAUUACCGCCUCUUGUUCAUUUUAUUUUAUUUUGUUGUUUUGUUGUGAUUAUUUUUCUUAUAUUUAUUGUUUGAAGUACUUGGCCGGUAUUACCGCCUUUUUAUUCAUGCUUGUUAUAAUUAUCUUUUAAUUUUUAUUGUUGUUAUUAUUGCUUAUUAGUUGGAGUGUGAAUUUCUUAAUUUGUUAAAUUUUUAUUUUUGUGCUAUUACUUUAUCUUUUACAUUUCAUUUACUUUUAUUUGCAAUCUUCUUUUUCUUUUUCUUUUUUUUUUCCUUUCCUUUUGUAUUCAUAUAAUUGUUAUAUUAUUAGCUUUUUUUAUCAUGGCUAAUGUUGAAGAUGUAGAGGGUGAAGGGAGUGUUCAAGGUAAUGGACCUCCACAAUUCAAUGAUCAACCUAAUUUUCGAGUACACCUUCGUGUAUUAUCUUUCCUCUUAACCAACAAGCUUUCAAUUUGAAACCGGGCAUGAUUCAACUUCUUCCCACAUUUCACGGUAUGGAUUCUGAAAAUCCAUACAUACAUAUUGUCAUAACCCAAUUUUUGACCAUUUUAUUUUAAUUAUUAUUAUUAUUUUAUUUACUGAAAAGGAUAAAAAAAUAUGAUGAUGAUGAUAAAAAAAAAAUAAUGAUAAAAAAACAAGUAAAAUGAGAUAAAUGAAGAAUGAAUUAAAAUUUGGGUUAAGGGCAACAUGAUUAGAAGUUUUAGGGUUUAAUUAAACUUUGAAAUUAAUCUAAUUAAGCUUGGAAUUAAUUUAAUUAAUCUGAUUAAGGGUUUAAUUGGAGAAUUGAUAAGUUUUGAGACUUAAUUGAGCUUGGAAUUAAUUUAAUUAAUCCAAUCAAGGGUUUAAUUGGAGAAUUGAUAAAUUUUUAGACUUAAUUAAGCUUGAAAUUAAUUUAAUUCAUCCAAUCAAGGGUUUAAUUGGAGAAUUGAUAAGUUUUGAGACUUAAUUAAGCUUGGAAUUAAUUUAAUUAAUCCAAUCAGGGGUUUAAUUGGAGAAUUGAUAAGUUUUAGACUUAAUUGGACUUUGGAUUUAAUUAAAUUAAUGAAAUCAGGGACUUAAUUGAAAAAAUAGCAAAGUUUGGGGUUAAUUAGGGAUACGAUUGCAGCAGAUUAAAGUCCAAGGACUAACUUGUAAAAGGCACCGAAAUGCAGGGGCAAUUACAGUUUAAACCAGGGGCUUAAUUAUAAAAUUCGGCGUCGUUUGAAAGAGCACUAUUCAUCUUCUUCACCCGAAAACAAGAAGAAAACGCAUGCCUUUAUUGCAUUAAAAUCCAUGCAAAACGCAUGCCUUUAUUGCAUUAAAAUCCAUGCAACCGCAUGGCAUUCUCUGGUUAUAAAAACCAGAGAAGGAGAACCGGCAAAGAAAAAAAGGAUGGCAUAACCGAAAAGCCACUAGAGAAACACAGAACCGGGGAAAGAAUAGAAAAAAAAACUUUCGUUCCUCUGUUUCUUCUCAAAGAAACAGAGGAGGCCACGAGCAGCGGAGGAAGAAAGCAACUAGCCCACCAGUCCUCCAUCACGUCUCCGUUUCCCUGCUUACACAGAGGAAGUAACACCGGGAACACAACAAGACGCAAGAACAGAAACUGUACAGAGGGGAGCAAGUUUUCUGCCCCUGUUUCUUCUCUAAGAAACAAAGGCGUUCGUGCCUCACGAUCGUGAGGCACGAACGCGUGAAGAAAGGCCAUUCUCUGGCUUUAUAAGCAAGAGAAGGCCGCAGAGAAGGAAGAAAAACUGAGGAGAAACAUGAAAAAGAGAGGACAGAACCGGUGGACGAGAAGAACAAACACAGACGGCCGCGGACGAGCGGGGAAGACGACUAGCAGGGGAACAAACCGAAACAAAAAAGAAGAAGACGACAGAACAAGGAAAGCUAAAACAGAGGAGUAGACAGAAAGCAGUAACAGAGAGGAGUAACGCUGGUCAGUUGUCAUCCCCGUCUUCCAGUGCAGCAACAGGUAAGUUGCGUUGCCCCUCCCUGCAUUUUAAUUGCAUGUUGCUGUAACAGGCGUGCGUGAGCGGUUCACGCACGCCUGCGGGUAAAAAAAUAGAAAAAUGGCCAGCCGGGUCAAGCCUUUGACCCGGCUAGGCCUGCUGAGUCCAGCCCAGCCCAUGUGGGCUGAGCUGGGCCCAGCCCAAAAAAAUAAAAAAAUAAAAAAAACAGAAAAGUAAAAAAGGGUAGAAAAAAUAAAAAAAAUGUGUAUGCAUGAAUAAAAAUAAUGUAAAUUUACUGGUUUAUUCACUGACGCCAGAGUCAGGAAUAAAAAUACUGGUUUAAAUUUAUAUUAUUUUUAUUCGGUGUAUUUUAUUUUAUUUAGCUAGAAAAAUAAAAAAUAUGUGCAUGCAUAAAAAAUCAAUUUUUUUUAAUUUAUUCACUGGCGCUAGAGUAGGGAAUAAAAAAUAUUGAUCUAAUUUUUCGUAGCUACGAAUUUUUACCAACGCCAGAGUUGGAAUUAUUCGAGCUCGAAUAUUCACUGGCGCCAGAGUCAGGAAUAUUAUAAACAAAUCAUUAUAGCAUAAGCGAAUAAAUGUUUAGCAAUUGAAGACAAAACCAACAAUGCAGUUUGCCUUAGGCAGAACGUUUAAGGGGUGAUAAUAUCUUCCCUUUUACGUAACCAAUCCCGAGCCAUAGAAUCUCUGUUGACCAGUUAGGGUUUCUAGUGACCAUAAUACUAGGUGGCGACUCCUUAAACAAGAUCUUUUCCCCUAAAAGAACAAGAUGCCAGAUAUCUGUUCUUUUUCCAUAAAUCUAGAAUUAUUUUGUGGGCCGCUGCGAUGUCGGGUGCGACACAUAUUAAGGACUUUGAAGAGGUAUGUAAUACUUUUAUUGAUAGAACAUGCACCGAGGAAACCAUUCGGCUUAAAUUGUUCCCAUUCUCUCUAAAGGAUAAAGCCAAGCUUUGGCUAAACUCCUUGCGUCCUAGGUCUAUAGGUACAUGGAGAGAAAUGCAAGCUGAAUUUUUGAAAAAAUACUUCCCCACUCAUAGGACGACAACCUUACAACAUCAAAUGAUGAAUUUUUCUUGUAGUCCAAAUGAGUCAUUUCACCAAGCUUGGGAAAGGUUCAAAGACUUGUUAAAUGCAUACCCCCACCAUGGUUUUGAGAUGUGGAGGUUAGUGAGUUUCUUCUACGACUCUCUUACCGCAGAUUUUAAAAAGCUAGUGUCAACCAUGUGUAAUGGUGAGUUUUAUGACAAAGAACCAAGUGAAGCCUUUAAUUUCUUUGAUCAAUUGGCUGAAAACACAAAGCAAUGGGAGACUUCUCUCCUACUUCAUGUUGAGUCUAGAAACACCAUUUCUCAUUCAAGUGGGAAGUUCCAAUUGAAAGAGAUUGAUGACCUCAAUGCUAGAUUAGCCUCAUUGGCUAGGAAAGUAGAGUCUCUUGAGAUUAAAAAAGUGCAUGUCAUGAGUGAACAACAAGAGGAAAGUUGUGUUGUUUGUGAGAGCAAAGGGCAUAGGACAACUGAGUGUCCUACCAUUCCAGCCUUCAAGGAAGUGCUAUAUAGCCAAACUUCUGAUUCAAGUAAUGUUAGAAAGCCAUUUUCAAACCAAGUAGGCAAUCCCUACUCUGAGACCUAUAAUCCUGGAUGGAGGAACCAUCCAAAUUUUGGAUGGAGAAAUGAGGGCCCUUCAGUACCUCAAACAUUUCAACCUCCACCCCAACCAUUUCAUGCUACCACACAUAACACGUACCAAUCACCUCAUAAGAGAUCCCUAGAGGAUACUCCAACAAUUCAUGCAAACGCAAGGAGGAAUCAAUAACCAAGCUUACAAAUUUCAAGACCAGACUAAUAGGACCUUAGAUGACAUUCAAAGUCAACUAACCAAGUUGACUCAAUCAUUAAGCAUUCAAGAGAAGGGAAAGAUCCCAGCUCAACCAAUGUCAAAUCCUAGAGGUUAGGUACACAUGAGUGAAUCCUCAUUUAGUGAACCUUCAAACCAUGAACAAGUCCAAGCCAUCACUACCCUUAGAAGUGGAAAGAUUAUUGACAAAGCUAUAGGUUUUGGGAUUCCUAGAGGUAUUGUGGAGGAGAAAUCUAGGGAAAGUGAAGAGGGAAUCAAAACACAAGUGACAAAUGAGAGCUUGAGUGACAAAGAAGGUGAGAUAAAUGAGAAAGAAAUGAGUGAGAAAGGAGAUGAUUCAAGAAAAAUUGGAGUCAAAGUGAGUGAUUUAGAAUUUGUUCCUAGAGCACCAUUUCCACAAAGGUUAGGGAAGCCUAAACAUGAUCUUAUGAACUCGGAAAUCUAUGAAUUGUUCAAACAAGUGAAAGUCAACAUUCCACUCAUUGAUGCAAUUAAACAAGUCCCCUCUUAUGCAAAGUUCUUCAAGGACUUAUGCACAGUCAAAAGGAGAUUGAAUGUGAAAGAAAGAGCCUUUCUAACUGAACAUGCUAGUGCCAUCAUCCAGUUUAAGACUCCUCCCAAAUACAAAGAUCCUGGUUGUCCUACUAUUUCAUGCAUUAUUGGAAGUCAUAAAAUAGACCAAGCUUUGUUGGAUUUAGGAGCAAGUGUGAAUUUGAUACCCUACACUGUUUACGAACAGUUAGGUUUAGGAGAAAUCAAGCCUACUCAAAUCACCCUUCAAUUAGUUGAUAGGUCAAUCAAGAUUCCCAGGGGUAUUGUUGAGGAUGUGUUGGUCCAAGUAGACAAAUUCUACUUUCCUGUUGAUUUUGUAGUGUUAGACACCGCACCUAUUCAAGGUUCUAAUGCUCCCAUCCCAGUCAUCUUAGGUAGACCUUUCCUAGCUACAUCCAAUGCUUUAAUUAACUGUAGGAAUGGGGUGAUGAAAUUGUCUUUUGGGAACAUGACUGUGGAGAUGAACAUAUUCAAUGUCUCGAAACAAAUUGGUGAACAUGAGGACAUUAGAGAGGUAGAUUUGAUCCAAACAGUUUGUCAAGAACACUUUGAGAGAGAGUGGUUCAAAGAUCCAUUGGAGAGAACUUUAAUUCAUGAUGAAAGAUUUUGUUCUUUGGAAUGUGUUGAUGAGGAAGUAAGAGAACUCAAGACUUAUCUAGAUCCAAUGCCUAUUAUGUCAAUAGGUCAAUGGACCCCAUCGUUUGAGCCUUCGAUUUCACCCCAAAUGAAAGUUGAGGCAUCUCUUGUCCAACCUUAUAAACUAGAAAGGAAGCCUUUACCGAGUGAUCUUAAGUAUGCAUUUCUAGGGGAAGAUGAAUCAUAUCCUAUUGUGAUUUCAUCAAAACUUAGCAUAGAGCAGGAACAAGAACUUUUGAGAGUGGUGAGAAAACACAAAAAAAGCAAUUGGGUGGACUAUUACUGACUUGAAAGGAAUUAGCCCUCUUUUAUGUACACAUAGAAUCUAUCUUGAAGAAGAGGCUAAAUCUGUGAGGCAAAUGCAAAGACGACUGAACCCAAACAUGAAGGAAGUAGUAAGAGGUGAAGUGCUUAAGCUACUUGAUGCAGGUAUCAUUUACCCCUUGCAAACUCAAAAUGGGUUAGUCCAACCCAAGUUGUCCCUAAAAAAUCUGGAGUCACGGUAGUGAAGAAUGAAAAUAAUGAGCUAGUACCAACUAGAAUCCAAACUGGAUGGCGUCUGUGCAUUGAUUAUCUUAAGUUGAACAUGGUGACCAGGAAGGACCAUUUUCCGCUUCCAUUUUUAGACCAAGUGCUUGAAAGAGUAGCCGGAAGAGCUUUCUAUUGUUUUCUUGAUGGAUACUCAGGUUACAACCAAAUUGAGAUUUCUUUAGAAGACCAAGAAAAAAUCACUUUCACUUGUCCUUUUGGUACCUAUGCUUAUAGAAGAAUGCCUUUUGGCUUGUGUAAUGCACCAACCACUUUUCAAAGGUGUAUGAUGAGUAUCUUUAGUGACAUGGUGGAAAUUUUUUUUGGAAGUUUUCAUGGAUGAUUUUUCAGUUUAUGGGGAUUCUUAUGAGUUGUGUCUAAUGCAUUUAGAAAAAGUUCUUGAAAGAUGUGAAGAGAGCAAUCUUGUACUUAAUUGGGAGAAGUGUCAUUUUAUGGUGACACAUGGCAUUGUCUUAGGUCACAUUGUCUCUUCAAAAGGGAUAGAGGUAGAUAAGUCAAAAGUUGAAGUCAUUCAAAAAUUACCUAGCCCUAGGACUGUGAAAGAUGUGAGAUCGUUUUUAGGACACGCUGGUUUUUACCGAAGAUUCAUUCAUUCUUUUAGUACCAUUCCCAAACCAUUGUGUAACUUGUUGUCACAAGAUGUUCAAUUUGAUUGGACAUCAAAAUGUCAAGAAGCUUUUGAAAAGCUUAAAGGGUUGUUGACCACUACACCAAUCAUGCAAGCUCCUGAUUGGUCUUUACCAUUUGAACUGAUGUGUGAUGCUAGUGAUUUUGCAGUAGGGGCUGUUUUAGGGCAAAGAAAAGAUAAGAAGCCUCAUGUCAUUUAUUAUGCUAGCAAGACUUUGAAUGAUGCUCAAUUGAAUUACACUACAACUGAAAAAGAACUCUUAGACAAGUUUAGGUCUUAUUUGGUUGGAUCUCUUGUUAUUGUUUUCACUGAUCAUGCAGCAUUGAAAUACUUGCUCACAAAACAAGAUGCCAAGCCAUGUUUGAUUCGAUGGAUCCUUAUAUUCCAAGAGUUUAACCUUGAAAUUCGAGAUAAAAAAGGAGUAGAGAAUGUAGUGGCUGAUCAUUUGUCCCGUCUUUCAAGCUAUGAGACCAUAAUUGAUGAAUCUCCAAUAAAUGAAUUCUUUGCUGAUGAAAAUUUAUUUUGUGCAGGUAUUGUUUCCUACAUUGGCUCUCCAUGGUAUGCUGACAUAGCAAAUUACCUAGCCACAAGUCAGAUUCCUUCUCAUUGGUUUAAACUUGACAAACAAAAAUUCUUGCGCAACGUGCGUACCUUUUUUUGGGAUGACCCCUACCUAUUUAAAUACUGCCCUGACCAAAUUGUUAGGCGGUGCAUCCCUGAUCAUGAAAUUCCAAGUGUCAUUAAUUUUUAUCAUGCAUUAGCCUGUGGUGGGCAUUUCUCUUCCAAGAAAACCACUGCCAAGAUCUUGCAGUGUGGUUUUUAUUGGCCCACCAUGUUCAAAGAUGUCCAUGCCUUCUGUGUUGCAUGUGACCGAUGCCAACGACUAGGUAACCUCACUAGGCGUAACAUGAUGCCCCUAAACCCCAUUCUUGUUUUGGAAAUAUUUGAUUGUUGGGGGAUUGAUUUCAUGGGACCUUUCCCAAGUUCAUUUGGUAACCAAUUCAUCCUUGUAGCUGUUGAUUAUGUGUCUAAAUGGGUGGAGGCCAUUGCAUCUCGAACCAAUGACCAUCGAGUUGUGGUCAAAUUCUUGGAAGAAAAUAUUUUCUCUCGUUUUGGCAUGCCCCGGGCUAUGAUUAAUGAUGGGGGAAAACAUUUUUGUAACAAGCCCAUUGGGAUUUUGAUGAGAAAAUAUGGUGUAAUUCACAAGGUCAAUACCCCCUAUCAUCCACAGACUAGUGGCCAAGCUGAGUUGACAAAUUGGGAGAUCAAGAACAUUUUAGAGAAAACAGUCAAUCCAAACCGUAAAGAUUGGUCCCUACGACUAGUUGAUGCUUUGUGGGCAUAUCGCACUGCUUACAAGACCUCUUUAGGAAUGUCUCCUUAUAGGCUAGUUUAUGGAAAGCCUUGUCAUCUCCCUGUUGAGAUUGAGCACCGUGCAUAUUGGGCCAUCCGGCAAUUCAAUGACAAUGAAAACGAGGUUGGAAAAAAUAGAAAGCUUCAAUUGGAUGAAUUAGAUGAGCUGAUAAAUGAUGCAUUUGAAAAUGCAAAAAUUUCAAAACAUAAGAUGAAAACCUUGCAUGAUAAACAUAUUCUUAGAAAAUCCUUUCAUCUUGGUCAAAAGGUUCUCUUGUAUAAUUCACGAUUACAUCUCUUUCCUGGGAAGUUGAGGACAAAAUGGAUUGGUCCAUUUGUGAUUAAAUCCAUCUCUGAGCAUGGUGCAUUUGAGGUAGAAAAUCCUAAGAAUGGAAAUGUUUUCAAAGUAAAUGGUCAUCGAUUGAAACCUUAUCUUGAAAAUUUUGUGGCUGAAGUUGAGACAUUGGAUCUUGAAGAUCCAAUACCAUUGUAGUAUCAGAAGUAAUGAGCUUUUUAUUUUUAUUUUUAUUUUUUUAUUCAUUUUUAUUUUUCUGUUUUUCAUUUUUUUUCUUUCUUCCAUCGCUUAUAUUUUCUUGUUCAUGCAUUAGGGACAAUGCAUUAUUUUAAGUUGGGGGGUGUGAGGUUCUUUAUUUUUCAAAAAAAAAAUCAAUGUUUUCUUUUAGUUGUGAUAUGCAGGUAAAAAAAAUCAAGCAAGAAGUCAGCUCAUGUCCAAUUCAAUCAGACAUUCAUCCUUGAAAACAAAAGGGGAGUAAUAGUUUUCUAAUCUUUAUACUUUUCUUCUCUUUUUUUUUUACAUUGAGGAUAAUGUAAAACUUAAUUUUAGAUAUUUGAUUAUGUUGAAUGCUUGAGAUGACCAUGCAUGUUAAAAAAAAAAACUUGCAUUCGUAUAUGAAUGAGACUUGUUUAGGAUCAACAUUACAUUUUUGGAUUCAUUAUUGUGUUGAACAUUGCAUGCUUUAAUUUGGGAUAGAUAAUAUCUUAUAAAGCAAGAUAUAGCAUACUUUUUUUUAAGAUUAUUGAAGUACAUCUUUCCUUGUAAAAGUUGUGUGAGUUGUGUGAUUAUGCAUGAAAGAUGAGUGUGAUGCUUUACUUGUGAUCAUCCCUUUUGAUCUAGUCCUAAACAAGGUUUAAGUAAAUAGAGUAAUCAUUAUUACACAAAUGUGUACAAAGUUCUAUCUACUCCAAUGUUUUGAGUUGCUCAGUAACUAGGGGUAUUCAUCAUAAAUGUUUAUCUUUACGUCAAACGGCAGCUUGAAAUAUGAGUAUGCAAAGCACUUUAAGUUUGUGACUUUGUGAGUAACCGGGUGCAUUCAUCACAAAUGUUUGUAUUCGCGUCAAAAGGGAAGUGACCACUUAAAGAAAAAAAAUAAAUAAUAUCUUCAAAAAAAAAGAGAAAAAAAAGAAAAGAAAAAAAAUAUAUAUAUAUAUAUAUAUAUAUAUAUAUAUAUAUAUAUAGAUAUUUCUCUAGUUUGCUACCUUGUUUGUAGUAGUGAGAAGGGAAGAUUACAAGUUGAGUUUUCGCGUGAAUCAAUUAUGUUGGUUGCAUGAUAAAUACAAUUCUAGAAAAGAAUAUCAUAUGAUCUAUUUCCAGCCCAAACAUGCCUUAUGUUGUGUGCAAACUUCAACCAUCAAACACUCAAGGUUUCAAUGUCAAUCUUAGCCCAAAUAAUAGGUACAUUUGUAUCCUUAUUUGAUGCUUAAAUUCAGCCCCAAAUCAGCCUCCAAAUCAGCCCAAGCACAAUCCAUGAUCUUACAUGCUCACACAACAAAUAACAUUUGAUUUAUUUUGGGUAAUUCAUUGAUCCAAGAGGGCAAGCACAUGGAUGGAAAGCUGGAGGGGACAUUGUGACAUUAUUUUGGGUCAAAAGAAGAAAGAGACAGCUCAUAAAAGAGGAAGAAAAACGUGCACCAAAGUGUUCUCCAAGCUGGCCUGGUUUGAUUUUCCAGAACACCUUUCGGUGUUUCGCCCAUAACUUUUGACUCAGAUGUCCAAAUGAGAUGUUCUUUAAUGAUGUGGAAAUCAAACAGAAUGGCCUAUAAAUAUGUCUCUAAUAGCUAUCUCCAGGGGAGGCUUCAAAAAAGGGUCGAAUUGCUGUCCAAAGUUAGAGUCAAAUUUGUGUCCGAUUUUUUACUGAAAUUGUGUUGUGUUCUUCUUUAUAGAUUUUGGUUCUUUAGCUUGUAAAAAUCAUUAUUUCAGUUUGAUUCAAGUUAUUUCAUGUUUAUUAAAGUGUUAUUAUAUAUAAUCAUGGUUCGCUAAUCUCCUUCUUGGAUCCAAAUCAAGGAUGAUGGUGGUUGAGGUGAGUUUUUUAAGAUAUGAAUGAAUCUUAAUGUCUAUCUUUUCAUUUUCUUUAUAAAUGUUUUAUUAUUGCAAAGAAAUUUUAGAAAUCAUUUAGGUAAUGUUAUAAUCUUGAAUUUUUAUGCACAAACCUUAGUUUUGGUAUAGAGAUUGCUUGAUUCAAUGUCUUACUUAAUAUGAAAAUACUUGUUCAUUCUUAAGCAAUAAUCAAUCUUCAUCUUUUUAAACUUCAUUGUAAUAUCUUCUGAUCUAAUAUCACUAUCGUUGAUAUUAGGUUGAGUUAUCUUAUAUAUGUUGAAGGAAUCACCAAUACAUCACCAUUAAAAUUAAUUUGGACCAAGACUUACUUUUUCUUGUCAUUUAAAAUCUAUUUACAGUUUUUCAUCUUUGAAAACAAAUCCAUCAAUCAUUUUCAACCAAGUUAUUGUUAAUUUAAUUUCUCUUGAGUUUUUUUGUUACCUAGCUUAAUUUUCAAAUCUAGCUCUCUGUGGAUAUUACCUCGAUCUUACUGAGUUAAUUGCUACAUCGCACACUCGUGCACUUGCGAGUUAAAACAAGUCGAACAUAAAAAGCGGUCAAGCAAUAUACAAUCUGCUGCCUCCGUGGACGUACCCGGUUUUGGGGAACCACGUAAAUCUGCUUGUGUUGUGUUUUAUUUGUGUUUGCUUUCGGUCCAGUAUGCACAACAAAUUGGUAUCAGAGCAUUAGGGAAGCUUAAACACAGAAAAACACAUUUUUCAGCUCUCUGUUCAAAGUUGCAGAAUUUUCAAAUUUCUCAGAUCUUGAUUUUGAUCAGCUGCGGAGAUUCCUCUCGUUGAUACAAGUCCGGAGAUAUAAAGAUCAUCGAAAUCGGAGUUGAAACGAGCCCUGUAGAGCUCGUCGAAGUUUCGCCUGAAAUCUGCUGGAAAAACCAAACAGUGCCGGAAUUCUCGCCUUAGAAGACAGCCACGUCAUCCGACACGUAAGCGAUGAGUCAUCAUCCACAUCAUCAACAGGGGUCCACAUCGCCCUGUCAUCAGCCACAUCAUCUAACAGUGACAGAAUAUUCUCUUGACAUAGUAAGAAUAUUCCGUUAACAGUAAGAGAAUAUUCCCGUGACAAAAUAUUCUUUAUCAGAGACAGAAUAUUCCUUUCCUAAGUCAACUCGGUCAGAUUGGUUUUUUGGCCAACUCAGUGAUUUUUUAGCCUGUUUUUGGCCGAGUCAAGCUGGUUCCUAGCAUUUUCAACCAUUCCGGACGCGACCGUGGUGUCCGUUUUGUGAAACAGUACACAUCGAAGUUACUAUUUUGGCUCUUUUGAGCAUAAAAGUGCAUGUUUUAACAAUUUCAGGAGUCCAUUUGUAAUCCAAAGACGUUCUAAUGGCUGAUAUUCCAGAAGAAAAAUCAGCGGGGAAUGCUAGUAUACCUCCAUAAUACAUCCCGGUAUCAAGUACCAAAUUUGAGGUGGAGAAGUUUGAUGGGAAAGGUAAUUUUGGCAUGUGGAAAUGUGAAGUCAUGGAUAUGCUUGUCCAAAUGAAUUUGGAUUUCACUCUAGAAGAUAAACCGGAGGAUUUGGAUGAUAAAAGCUGGGAAAGGAUAAAUCGGUUGGCUUGUAGUUCCAUCCGACUUUGUCUUGUAAAGGAUCAGAAGUAUGCCUUUCCAGAACAAAACUCUGCAAAGGAAUUAUGGCAAGCACUGGAGGACAAGUUUAUGAAUAAGAGUAUAGAGAAUCGUCUCUACAUGAAGAAAAGGAUCUUCCGUUUUCAGCACAAGAAAGGUACUUCCAUGAAUGAGCAUCUGAAUGAUUUCAAUAAAAUGAUAGCUGAUUUGAAGAAUUUAGAUGUGGAAAUUGAUGAUGAAGAUAAAGCUCUGUUGUUAUUGAAUUCACUGCCUGACACAUAUGAACAUCUCGUCACCACUUUACUGNNNNNNNNNNNNNNNNNNNNNNNNNNNNNNNNNNNNNNNNNNNNNNNNNNNNNNNNNNNNNNNNNNNNNNNNNNNNNNNNNNNNNNNNNNNNNNNNNNNNAGAUUGUUCACAAGGAGUCAACGUCAGAAGCAUUGACAGUUAGAGGCAGAACAAACCCCAGAAGAUUUCGAGGACGAGGGAGAUCUCGCUCAAAAUCCAGAGGAGAAUCAUCAAACAGACGAUAUCUUGCAAAAGAUUAGUGUGCCUUUUGUCACAAAAAGGGCACUGGAAGAAAGAUUGUCCAAUCAAGGGCAGUAAGGAAAAAGAUGAACCAACUGUGAACGUUGCACGAGAUGAGGAUGAACAAGACUCUGCAUUCAUGGUCUCAUCACCAGAAAACCAUUCUGGUGAAUGGAUUCUUGAUUCUGCAUGUUCCUAUCACAUAUGCCCUAACAAGCACUUAAACUUGUCCUCCUCGUGCAUACAUACUUGUGCCUAUUUUUAGAGAAUGGGGUGUGAUCAGUCACGGUUCCUGUUAUUACUUCAGUUUCAGAACUUUUUUUUUCCUUCUCGUGCAUACAUACUUGUGCCUAUUUUUAGAGAAUGAUGGGUCAAGCCUGUUCAGGCCUCAAGUUUAAAUUGGUGUGUCCAAUCUUGUUUAUUUGAGAUGAACUGUUUCAAGCUUCUUGUGAAUUCUGGAAUAGACGGUUAUGCUUUGGUUUUAUUAAUCGUGAUGUUUGUGUUUAAUCAUGUUGUUCGUGUUUUGACAAAAUAUAAAAAAUGUUUUCUUGUGUGUUGCAUAUGUUUAAUACCCUAAUAUGUUUUUAAUGUUUUAUUUAUAUAAAAAAACAAAUAUUUGAAGUUUCAAAAAUAUGUUUUCGCAUGGAUUUCUUAAACACAACACAAAAAUUAUUUUCUUGCAUCUUGGAUUUUACAACAUGUUUGUAAAUUCCAAAGGGUGUUGGCCAAUAUUCCAAAAAUAUAAAAAUCUUAUUUUUGGGAAUUCGUUUUUAUUCACUAUUAAUAUUUGGAUAAAGAAAUCCCAAAAAGGAUAAAUAUCCAAAAUAUUAUUAUGAAUAAUUUGUUAUUCAUUAGUAAUGUUUGGAUAAAGAAAUUCCAAAGGGGUUAAUAUCCAAAAUAUUAUUAUGAAUAAUUUAUUAUUAUUCACCAUAAAUGUUUGGAUAAAGAAACCCCAAAAAGGGGUUAAUAAUCAAAAUAUUAUUGGGAAUAAUUCAUCAUUGUUCACUGAAUAUUUAGAUAAAGAAACCCCAAGUAGUAAAUAUCAAAAAUAUUUUUUUCUAGGAAUAACAAGUCAUUAUCCCUCAAUAAUAUAAGGGCAAAUAAACCUAUAAAAGGUAAAUGUCCAAAAUAUUUUUAAUAGGAAUACAACUUGUUUAGUUUUAACAUAAGGGCAGAUUUAUGCCUGAAAUUUUAUUUAGAACCAUUUAAUCGCACCUCUGAUUAGUACUUAAAAGUGCAUUUUUAUCAAGGUUUUAUAUCAUCAUUUUGCACUUGAAGUAUCAAUAACUCCUUAACUAAAGCAUGUUUUAUAAUAACAUAUCUAAUUAUAUAAGACACCUUUAAUUUAUGGUAAAUGUUCAUCUUAAAUGCAGGCCUAUCACAUAAAUGAAAGAAUUGAUUGAUGAGUUGAAAUACUGAAAUUGAAAGGACAAAGAGAUGGCCAAACUUAGAAAAGAGAUGCUAGUGCAGUCCAAACUGGAACACUGUUCGAUAAUUGGGUCAUAUCUGGAGCUGUAGAUCUUGUAUUUAGGUCCAUUUUAUAUGGAUGGAAAGAUAAGACAUAGGCCUAUAACUUUCAUGUGGAGCCCAAGAUUUAACAAGGCCGUUUUCAAGUCCAAAUUGUAGCAACAAAAAAGAAGUCUGAAUCUGUUCUACAGCCCAGACACUGUUCAGUGUUCAGCCCAUAUCUCAAGUUCUAGAAGUCCAAAUGAUCUCAAAUGUUUACCCUGGAAAGAUGAGACAAUUUCCUAGAACUUUCAUGAUUUAAGUUUGUUCAAAUUAUGACGUCAUAAAUGACGUUUUUGGCAGACAAGAAGAUAAGAAUUGUCACCAAGUCAAGAUGUGGCCACCCACUCAUCAAUUAGUCAGCAAAUCAAUAGUUCUGAAUUUUGGCCUAUAAAAUGAGGCAUUUGCCAUGUAUUUAGGCAUCUUGGUUUUCAGAUCAAGAUCAUGCUCUUGCUCUCUCUUUAUAUUUUGUAAUGCUUAAGUUUUGCUUAUAUUAAUCUCUUGCUUAUGCUUUUCAUUUCCUUUCCUUGUUUAUUUAUGUUUCUCUCUUUCAUUAUGUUUAACUAAGUUAAUUAUGUCAAGGUGAAAAGGGUACACUAAUGGUGUAAGAAUAAGUAUAAUAUAAACUUAACAUGGACCUUAAUGUUGGAUACUAACAUGCUUUAUAUUUGUUAUCUUGUUCACUUUUAACACUUUGCUUGUUAAAUGGUUAAUCUAGAUUUAUGUUGUAUAACACUUGGUACAACAAAUACUUGGCACUUUCAUAGCCCAUACUGUAUGGUAUAACCGACACCUGAGCUAUGAAAGGAACUUGAUUUGUUGUUAACAUAAGUUAUAAUAAUGAAUGCCUGAAAACAUUUACAAGUAUUAGCAUUAUUCGAAUAAGAUAACUAAUGUAAUCAUUUUAACAAUUUAUAAUCCGAUUGGAACCUCCUUUGUGUGUGGUUUCCAGUUGAGUAGAGUUUAUACUAUACUUGUUUGAAAUACCAUUAGUGGAUCCUCUAACCUUGACAUUUGUUGUUAUCAUUGUUUAAUCCUUACGUUAAUCUUCCAUCUCAAAAGUUCUCAUCAAUUUCUUCCUCUUCUUCUUCACUAUUAUUAUUAUCACUGUUAUUAUUAUUGUUGUUGUUGUUGUUGUUGUUGUUGUUGUUGUUGUUACUUUUGUUUUAUUGUUAUCUAUAAUUUAUACAAUUAACCUCCUUGUGGUUCGACCCCGGUCUUGCCGGGUUAUUUAUUACUUCGACACUUCUGCACUUGGGAGAAGACAUCAAUCUUUUGGUCGUGUCAAGUUUUUGGCGCCGUUCCCGAGGAGGUAAAUUCUUGUACAAAUUAUAGUAUUUAUUUUAUUUUACUUUUUUACUUUUCUUGUAUUUAACUUUGUUUCUUUGGUGUUGUUUCUUUUUCUUUUGUUUUCUUCUUCCUUUUAUUCUCUUUUUACACGUGCAUGAGAGUGUGGUCACGUACAUUAAGUGGUAGACUUUGUAGGGUAUCCUCAUCAUUUUCAGAAAAUAUGGCUGAAGAAGAUAACCAAUCGCUUCAUAAUGAGAAUAAUGAGAAUAUUCGGGUUAGAACUCUUAGAGACCACAUGAAUCCCACAAGAACAAGUGCACCCUCAUGCAUAGUUUUUCCUCCUGAUGCAUCUCAUUUUAAUUUUAAGACAGACAUUAUUCAACUUUUACCAUCUUUUCAUGGCUUAGAUUUAGAAAAUCCAUACUUGCAUUUAAGGGAAUUUGAGGAGGUUUGCAACACGUAUAAUGACUCAAAUUGUAGCAUGAACACCAUUAGAUUGAAGCUUUUUCCUUUUUCAUUAAAAGAUAAAGCUAAAACAUGGCUACAAAAUUUGAGACCUGGAUCCAUUCGUGCUUGGGAUGAAAUGCAACAACAAUUUUUUAAGAAGUUUUUUCCAUCCCACAGAACAAACUCUUUCAAAAGACAAAUCAUUACUUUCUCUCAAAAACCAAGAGAAACAUUUUACCAAUGUUGGGAUAGGUAUCGAGAAUUGCUUAAUACUUGCCCCCAUCACGGUUUUGAAACAUGGAGAUUAGUUUCACAUUUUUAUGAAGGGUUAACUCCUAGAGAUAGGCAAAUGGUUGAAUUGAUGUGCAAUGGAACUUUUGAGGAUAAAGACCCUAAUGAAGCAAUGGAGUACUUAGAUUUGCUAGCUGAAAAUGCACAAAAUUGGGACACCACAGGUACUUAUGAGGCACCAAGUAAAACCCAACCUCAUACAUCUAGUGGGGGUAUGUACAACCUUAGGGAAGAUCAUGACCUCCAAGCCAAGUUUGCAUCUUUAGCUAAAAAAGUCGAAGCGCUAGAAUUGAAAAAGAGUGGUCAAUUAAAAUCUGUUCAAGACAUUGCAUGUCAAAUCUGUGAAACCAACGAACAUUCAACCAAUGACUGUCCAACCUUGCCUUCUUUUAAAGAAUGUCUCCAUGAACAAGCCCAUGCAUUAAACAGUUUUCAACGGCCCAACCAUAACCCAUAUUCGCAAACAUAUAACCCUGGUUGGAGAAAUCAUCCAAAUUUCAGUUGGAAGAGUGAGAACAAUAAUGCUCAAACUUCACAGCCACCGUUUCAAGCACAUCAUAAUUUCCAAAAUUCUCAUAGAUAUGCACCUCCUUAUGCUCCACCUCCUAGAAGAAAUCUUGAGGAAACAUUGCAUGCAUUUAUGGAAAAGCAAGAGGCAAUUAACACUCAACUUGCUCAAAGCAUGACAGAUUUUAAAGAUACUCUGGCAAAAUUGACAUCUGCUCUCAGUUUCCAAGAGAAAGGUAAGUUUCCAUCUCAACCACAACAAAAUCCAAAGGGGCAAUACAAUGUGAAUGCAAGUAGUUCGGGAAGCCAACACAUGGAUCACGUAAAAUCAGUCAUCACUCUUCGCAGUGGUAAGGUUAUUAAAAAACCCAUUCUUGAACCUUGUGAGAAUGAUGAUGAGUCAAUCUCUCUGAGGGUAAGGAAGGGGUUGAAUCUGAUCAUUGCAAAGAAAAGACUGAUUCUCCGCCAGCACUUCCAUUUCCUCAUGCCAUGACGAAACAAAGGAAAGUCAAUCACAACUCUGAAAUUUUUGAAACCUUCAAACAGGUAAGGAUCAAUAUACCUUUGCUGGAUGCUAUUAAACAGGUUCCUUCUUAUGCUAAAUUUUUGAAAGAUCUGUGCACUGUGAAGAGAAAACUGAAUGUGAAAAAGAAAGCCUUUUUAGCCGAACAAGUAAGUGCCAUUCUUCAGAACAAUAAUGCAUUGAAAUAUAAAGACCCUGGUUGUCCUACAAUUUCAUGCUUUAUUGGAGAACAUAAAAUUGAAAGAGCUUUACUUGAUCUUGGAGCUAGUGUGAAUUUACUUCCAUAUUCAGUUUUUCAAAGUCUCAAUCUAGGUGAGUUAAACCAACUUCUAUAACUCUUUUACUUGCCGAUAGAUCUGUAAAAGUGCCUAGAGGAAUAGUUGAAGAUGUGUUAGUACAAGUUGAUAAAUUCAUUUAUCCUGUGGAUUUUAUUGUCUUGGACACACAACCUAUUGAAGCAUGUAAUUCAUUUCCUGUUAUUUUAGGGCGUCCAUUUCUUGCAACUUCUAAUGCAUUGAUUAAUUGUAGGAAUGGACUGAUGAAGCUAUCAUUUGGGAACAUGACAUUAGAGAUGAAUAUUUUCAACAUUUGCAAGCAACCUCGAGAUGAUAAUGAUUUACAAGAAGUAGAUUUUAUUGAAGAAUUGGUUUAUGAUCAAUUUGAAUCUACUUUGAGUAAUACUGAGUUUGAUGAAUUUGAAGAUUUGCAAAUGACUUAUUCUCAGGAAGAAAUCACGGAUGAAAAAGGCAUUGAAAAUGUUGAUGCGAAUCUUUUGUCAAGAGUGACAACAGAUUCGAUAUCUGACAUCACACCAACCGAUGAUUACUUUCCUGACAAAUCCUUACUUUCUCUUAGUUCAAUGCCUUGGUUUCCUAAAAAUAUCAAUUUCCUUGCCUCAGGAGAUUUGCCAACUCAUUGGAGUACCGAAGACAAAGGUAAGUUUUUGAACGAAGUGAAGAAAUUUUAUUGGGAUGACCCUAACUUAUUCAAACAUUGUCCUGAUCAAAUAUUUCAAAUAUGCAUUGCGGACAAUGAGGUAAGUAGUGUCAUUAAAUUUUGUCAUUUUGAAGCAUGUGGGAGUCAUUUCUCGUCAAAAAAGGCCAUUGCAAAAAUCUUUCAAACUGGAUUUUAUUGGCCCACCAUGUUCAAGGACACACAUGCAUUCUGCAAAACUUGUGAAAAUUGUCAAAAAGUUGAUACUGGUCAAAAAGUUUUGCUUUAUAAUUCUCAACUCCAUUUAUUUCCUGGAAAGUUAAGAUCAAGAUGGAGCGGUCCAUUUAUUGAGAAACAUGUGUAUCCUUAUGGGGUCUGUGAUAUCGCGAAUCCAAAAAAUAGCAAUGUUUUCAAGGUAAAUGGACAUCGUUUGAAAGUCUACUUUGAUAAUUUUUCAGUUGAAAAUGACUCUAUUGAAUUGAGUGAUCCUGUAUAUAAAGAUUGAUUCGUUUUAUCACAUUGUUUUGUGUUUCAUUUUGCUAGUUUCUCUCACCCCGGUCAAAAGGCGGAUAACGGUACUCCGUGACUUAAGUCGGUUCUUUCAGUUUCUCAUAAUAACUGAUAUUUGUAUAUAUUUGUGCAAUUCUUUGCUCUUUCUCCAUUCUUUGACUCUGUUCUCCAAUUCUCAUUUGAAAAUGGACACCACUCUUGAAAAAUUGAAAAAGUAUUUUCCCGCUCUGCCUCAGAAUGCGAUUACAAAAAUUUACCGUGCUAGGUGUGCAAGAUUGAAGUUGUUGAUGAAUCAUGGAAUUCCUGAAGAUAUUCGCUGGCUGAUUGAAGCAAAGGUCCGAUUAUUAGGUGAGUCCUCCAAUUCUUUCAUUUCACACAUGCCUGGAACAGGUAAAAGCACUUUUGCAAAGAAACGUCGUGCAAAACGACUGAAAGUCUGUCACAAAUGUGCCAGAUGGACUUGCAAUGCAACAUGUCGUUCUUUAGGAAUGGUAUCUAUAAACCGUGAAGAUAAAAUACAAUUCAUUAAGGAUGGCCUGAGUAAGGGGUCUUUAGAUAAUCUUUUGUUGACCCUUGAGACGCAUCCUAGUGGAGAUGUGCAUCGUGCAAUUCAUGAUUUAUAGCCCCAUUUUCAUAAAGAACAUGAUAGACUCAGUCUUGGGAAUCUGACUAAAAAAGACCUUGUUUGCCACUUUUUAAGAAAACUGGAUGGGAAGCCUCUCCCCGACCCAUAGAGGGCGUUUAAGCCGUUCUUGGACAUAAAACCAAGGGAAGAUGUGAGCCACAAUCACAACUACCUGUACAUACACAUUCUUUUUCAAAAUAAAUAAAUAAAAUAUAAAGAGAGAGCAAGAGCAUGAUCUUGAUCUGAAAACCAAGAUGCCUAAAUACAUGGCAAAUGCCUCCUUUUAUAGGCCAAAAUUCGGAACUAUUGAUUUGCGGACUAAUUGAUGAGUGGGUGGCCACAUCUUGACUUGGUGACAAUUCUUAUCUUCUAGUCUGCCAAAAACGUCAUUGAUGACGUCAUAAUUUGAACAAACUUAAAUCAUGAAAGUUCUAGGAAAUUGUCUCAUCUUUCCAGGGUAAACAUUUGAGAUCAUUUGGACUUCUAGAACUUGAGAUAUGGGCUGAACACUGAACAGUGUCUGGGCUGCAGGACAGAUUCGGACUUCUUCUUUGUUGCUACAAUUUGGACUUGAAAACGGCCUUUUUAAAUCUUGGGCUCCACAUGAAAGUUGUAGACCUAUGUCUUAUCUUUCCAUCCAUAUAAAAUGGACCUAAAUACAAGAUCUACAGCUCCAGAUAUGACCCAAUUACCGAACAGUGUUCCAGUUUGGACUGCACCAGCAUCUCUUUUCUAAGUUUGGCCAUCUCUUUGUCCUUUCAAUUUCAGUAUUUCAACUCAUCAAUCAAUUCUUUCAUUUAUGUGAUAGGCCUGCAUUUAAGAUGAACAUUUACCAUAAAUUAAAGGUAUCUUAUAUAAUUAGAUAUGUUAUUAUAAAACAUGCUUUAGUUAAGGAGUUAUUGAUACUUCAAGUGCAAAAUGAUGAUAUAAAACCUUGAUAAAAAUGCACUUUUAAGUACUAAUCAACCUCCUUGGAAGAAGCCUCAAUUAUAAUUAGGGACAUUUCAAAUUUUGAUUCCACAAUUUAUGACCCAUGGAAAAUAUUAAUUGCUAAGGCAAAAAUGGGCUUUUAAAGUACCUUGAAUUUCCUUAGAUUUUGAACUUAGUUUUUUUUCUCUUCCUUGCGAUUUAUGAGUUGCGAACACUUGAAAUAUUAAGGGGAAAAUGAGCUCUUAAGCACAUCGAAUCUCCUUAGAUUUCUAUAUUAGCUGUCUCUAAAUUCAUAAAUUCUGAAUUUAUUUCAAAUCAAACAUAGACUUCGAGAGAUCUACCUCUUUGGCACUCUACAAACAUAUCUAAAGGUAUGAUCCGUAUUGGCCAAGGGUUCUUUCCCUUCGACUUUGAACCCAAGUUCGUCGUCAAAACAGACUUAUCCUAGGAAACUGAUGGGAUUAGAGAACAUCAACACCAUAGCAAUUAUAGGGCAAACCAAACACCAAGCAGCUUAUCUUAGGUAGGGCGUACUAGGGGUGCUAAAACUUUUCCUUUACGCAACCAGUCUCUUGCCUUAGAAUCUUUGAAAGACCAGUUAGGUUUCCUAGUGACCAUAAUACUAGGUGACGACUCCCUUUUUUUACAAAACAAAGACCCCAACAUUAAUCCCUGCUAUCAGGAAGGGUCGCCUCAACAUCGAGCUCUCUUGAGGGUACGACAAUAAUAAUCAUAAUGUUGAUUCUUUUAUCUCCUACUUAAUGCAAGUGUCCAUCGUGUGCUGAAAUUGAUUGUUUACCAUAACAUUUCUUUUAAAGGUAGAGAUUUCUUGGUUGACAAUGGAAAAAAGUAAUCGCAUGGUUAUUUUCCAUAACAUUCCUUUGAGUAAAUAUUCUCUAUUGGAGGUCAAUUUCAUCGAAGCAAUUACCUCAAUGAACACGUCCUAAUUACCAACCUCUAAGUAGUCAUCUCCCUUAUCCUAACUUUUUAUUUCCUUAUAAAAUCUCACGGUUUUUCAUCAUUUUCAGAGGAAAAGUUGACCUUGCAAAUGGUGCUCUAAGGAACCAAGUCAUCCUAGAACUAAUCAUCCACCUAAUCUCGUCAACUCCUUGUUGCACAAACAGCCUGUCUCACUUAAAGGGGAUUUUAAUGAUGAACAAACACAAAUUCCUUGUUGCUCAAAUACAUAUGCUCAUUUAAACACAGGAUGCUUGACCUCAUUAAAGACAAACUGACGACAUCCGUCCGUAACAUAAAUUAUCUUCCUUGCCCCAAAGUCAGCACAGAAAAACCUUGUUCACUAUAAAGGUUCUGAAUGUUUUUCCUAAAUUUCAUGAUAUGGCAUUCAGCAUUCUUAAGCAAACUACAACUGCAGAAGGCUUGUACAUGUAGGGGAGACGUAGGAAGAACUGCAAAAGUUGUCGCAUCUAUUGUUAUGCUGUUCAGAGUUUCUAUCUCAUCAUCCAAUCUGCCUAAAAUAUAAAAGAUCAUGUGCAUGAAUUUGAUCUCAAAGGGGUACCACCUCAUAUGCGUACAGGACAUACAUGACCAGUGAUGGUUGUUCUAUCCACAAAAUUAGCUAACAUACGACUAUUUUAUUCAACUACCAUUUCAGGAUAUGAGUUCUCCUAGCCACACUCAAAAGCCCUAGCCGCUAUAUGAACAAAGCACCUAAAAAAUUAAUCACCUGCCUAAUCUAAUUCACCCACACACACACACACACCCACCUGAUCAUAGACAGGAAACGAGUUAUUUGAAUGCAUAGACAGGAAAUUCAGGUAAACACGCGCGCGCGCACACACACACCUGAUCAUAAAUUUCCUAAAGAAAUUCUGAAUUGUAACAUUGGUAAACAAAGUGUGACAAUAUCAUCACAUUAAAAAUGCAUUUCACUCAAAACAAAUACUAGCUCAAGAAAAAAAAAUGCAAGAAGCCAAGAGAGAAUAAAUUAAGCAGUCCAUAAACAAGAGACAGAGAGGCAUUGUUCCAAUGAGAAAAGUAAUUAAAACCCAACAACUAAAGAAAGAAUCAAACCAGUGAGUAACUAAUCCUUUUAAAGCAUUCCAAGAAUGGCAACCAAAUGUAACAUAAUCAACCUGCAAAAACAAACACAAAAAGAAUUAGAAGAAGAAACCCCAGACCUCCACCACCAAAUCCACCUCCACCAAAUCCACCUCCACCACCAAGCCCGCCACCUCAUUCAUCCUCAAAAGAACCCUUUCUAGAACCGGAUUCUGUAACGCAUUGUCUUCAUUCUGACAGGAGGGGAUAUCAGUCACAAUUUGGAAAUCUAAUAGUUUGAAGGUUUCUGAAAACCGUCCUCAGACCUGUCAGCGUCGCUGGCCAAUUUCUCAUUCUUCCACCGUUGGAUUAACACGAAUUUUGGGUAAGUUGUGUGUCACUAUAGUUCCCACAUCCUGACCAGAGCGAUCGUUCAUAUUUGAAUCCACUAGAUAAAUCUUACCGUUUGAAGAUUUCUGGGCAAAUCACUCUCGGAACAGUCAGAAUCGCCGGCUUAUUUCUUCUUUUUCUACCGUUGGAUCCAUCUGAAUUUUGGAUAUGUGAUGCGUAUGGUCGUAUUACACAUUCGGAACGGUGGAGAUGACAUGAAUCGUUUCCAGAAAAGAGUUAUGCACGCUCAACAGUGGUCCAUCAAUCUCAGGUCAGUUUUGGUCUAACUCCGAUCUAGGGAGAUCCAACCGUUAACUGGAGCUGAUAUUUGGAUAUGUUCUGCAUAAGAUGUGUUUUUACCUUGUCACCGUUGCGAUUUGUUAUUUGUUGAAUUGUUGGUGAGUAAUUGUUGUUUGAAGCUCUGCACAGAAUCUAUCAUGGCUUCCAAUCCGAAACUUCAAACCCUCAAAGCUAACACCACCCACUCAAUCACUAAACAACCCACAAACCAUCACCAAAACAUCCAAAAUACAGCCUCCUCAACGUAGGUUAGGUUUCUAAAAUCCCACGAAUCAACAAACAAUCAAAAAUCCCUUUCCAAUAGUCACCUCCGCCUUGACUCAAGACAACAACCACCCCCUAAACACAUUCACAAUAUUCCUAGCCCAAAAACCCAGAAUAACCAUUCCUUUAACAUUUCAGUGCCACAAAUUUACUUUGAAGGUUUCCCAAUAUGGGCUGAUUACCAUCGCAUAAAGGCUUCUUUUAACAAGUUUGGCUAUGUACUCAAACUUUAUGUAUCCAGGCGUGUCAACAAAUCAGGGAGUCUUUUUGGUUUUGUAACAAUAGCAUCAAAAUUUUCUGAUAAAGUUUUGCUAGAGAGUGUGAAUGAUAUUUGGUUUGAAUAUCACAGACUAAAGGCCAAUUUCACUAGACACUAUAAAAAGAUUCCAAGAGAGAACAAAGCUCCUGACAGAUCAAAACCCAAAACAACUUUAAGAGUGCCUAUUAGUGAAAGAGAUGACAGAAGUUACAAAGAGGUACUCAGUGAAGGAAAAGUGGAACAAAUACUUCUGCCUGUGGCUUCUGGACCAAAGGAUUACUUUGAAAAACUCUUCAUUGAUAUUGAAGAAGAGGAUUAUGCUUGGCUAAAGAGAUGUCUUCUGGGAAAAAUAAAAAAAGGAUCCAAUUACUCUUCUAUACGUUUUGGACUGAUCCAACAUGAUAUAGAUUUUGUUGGACUGCGCUUUCUUGGGGCAUCUCAGGUCCUUGUGAUUUUUUAUAAUAGAGACAUAUUAAUGGAAUCAUGGAGGAAGAAUAAUAAAUGUUGGGAUGUAUUUUUUGAGGAAGUUCGCCCCUGGGUUGAGACUGACACAACUUUGAAUCGGAUGGCCUGGAUAACAAUAACAAAUCUACCCAUUAUAGGGUGGAAUUGCAGAUGCCUCACAAAGAUUUUAGAAAGAUCUGGUCAGAUGAUAGGUUAUGAUAAAACUACUCUCAAGCUUUUUGAACUAUCACAGUUACGGAUCCUCAUUGGUACACAACUGGAUAAGGUGAAUAAGGUGAUUGUUUUGCAACUCAAUAAUCAAACAUAUCAGGUUAAGAUAGAGGAGAUGGACCAGUUACAUUACCCAAUUGCUGGCUCUAUUUCAUACACCAUGGAUGACUUUCUGACAUCCCUAGAGCAAGGGGAUGAUGAUGAUGAGGAAGACUCGGUUGAUGUGGGUGAUGGCGUAGACACAGAUGAGGACAGAGCAGGUGUGGCUCCAUCAGUCACCAGGACUCUUGGGGGCGGCACCAACGGGUGGGAAAAUUCAGAUCUGGCACAGGAUGGAGACAUGCUAUCAACUUCUGACGAUAGCUCUCUUAUCAUAUUUAAUGCUCUUCAUCUGGAUGUGGUGCAAGAUCAACAUGCUGCCUCAUCUUUAGAGAGAUUUCCAGAAAUUAUGGCAUACAAUCUUUCUUUUUCUGACAGCAGCUAUAUAAAAGCAGCCCCAUUCCCAAUGCUCUUACCCUAUAUACGGGACAUGGCACUCCUAUUUUGAGAGAAGAUGCUAGAAACCCUGCAGCUGCCUUGGACCUUGACUCCCUUGUAUUGGCCCAGAUUGAAAGCCCAGUUUAUGGCAGUGGAUCUCAAAGCCCAUCUGACGUUCUCUCUAUUUCAUUUGGAUCAAACAAUGAUUUAGCCCUUCAAUCAACAUACAAUCAUCAAGCCAUAGUAAUUCUGGAACCGCAACACAUGAAUCACCCAGUUAUUUUACACUCUAAUGCAAACACAAAAGAGAGUGCAAUUGCCCUAUCUGCAAAAACAAGAAGGAAGUUGCGACGUACAAAGAUGAUUACAGCUGAUGGAAGUUUGAAUGAAACAGUUAAUAUGAGUGAGAUGGAUACUAAGGACUCAACAAUACAGAGGUGUAACAGGAGGAACUUGCUAGCUCAUGACGAAAACAAUAAGCCUUCUGAGGGUGAUGAGGUUUGUUUAAUGCUGGAAAUAGGAGAGGUUUUGCAGAUUGAAAAACCUCACAAUUUAGAUGACUUCACAUCCUAUAUAAAUCAGCAAAGGCGUAAAGAGAAGGCUGAUUGGGAAGCAUCCCAGUGAGUAGAUGUUCCUCUUUGUUCUGUAAGGAUUUUAAAUCUCUUUUCUUAUGCAGAUUCUUUCAUGGAAUUCUUGUGGUUUGGGGUUAGCUAGAAAGAAGAGGACAGUUUCAAAGUUAAUCAGGGAUUUUGAUAUAGAGGUUUGUUUUUUGUUUGAAACUAAGUUACAAAGUUACUCAGACAAAUUGGUUUUUCAAUUAUGGAGCGUCAGUAAUGUUUCUUGGUUUGGUAAUGAGGCUGAAGGUACUAAAGGGGGCAUUCUGGCUAUGUGGGAUAACUCUAAGUUUGCGGUAUCAUCAGUGGAGUAUGGUCAUGGUUGGAUCGGGUUAUUUGGGCAGAAUGUCUUGACAGGCUUCUCAAGGGCGGUGGUAGGUGUUUAUGCCCUUUGCAAUCAAGCUGACAGACUUCUUCUUUGGAAGGACCUUCGUAUUCUGAAGGCUGCUUUUGAGUGUCCUUGGUUUUUAGCAGGUGACUUCAAUGAAACUAUGUUGCGAAGUGACAGAAGCAGUGGCUUCAUUAACAAGGUGGGUUCAACGGCUUUUAGACUUUUUAUUGAUGAUUGCAACCUAAUCGAGUACAACAUGUCAGAGGGUCUGUACACCUGGUUUCGUGGGGGGUCCAUGAGUAAACUAGACCGUAUUUUUUCUAGUCCUUGUUGUCAUUUGCAAUUCCCCCUUUUGUCUCUUCGACGGCUUCCAAGAGGGUUCUCUGAUCAUUGCCCUUUAAUCCUAGGGGUUUCACCUGCAGAAAAAGGUUGGAUUCCUUUCAAAUUCAUGGAUUGUUGGCUCCAUCAUCCAAAUUUUAAAGAUAUCGUAAAGGGUAUAUGGGAUGAAGCUUGCAAUGAAUUUUCAGGUCAGUUCAAGCUCAUUAAGAAGCUCAGCUUUAUGGCAACUUGGCUCAGACAGUGGAAUAGGGUUGGUUUUGGGCAUCAGGAGACUGCUUUGUCAUUGAUCCAAAGCAAUAUUUCAGCUAUAGAAAAGAAAUCAGAGUAUGGGCAAUUAUCUACUGCAUAGCAGAACUCGCUUGAUUCAUUGAUUAAGAAGUAGUGGCAAUGUAACUUGCAUAUAGAAAGCAUGUGGCGUCAAAAGUCUCGCCAAAUUUGGUGUCGCCUGGGCGAUCGCAACACGCGUUUCUUCCAUCUAGUUGCUAACUUCAGGAGGGCUAAAAACCAUCUCCUGAAAGUGGUUCAUAAUGGUUCUGUUGUUGAAGGUUUACCGGUCAUAAAAGAUGCGGCAGUUAACUUCUUCUCCAACUUAUUCAGAAGUUUUGAUAGAUUCCGAAUUGGUUUAGGGCCUGUUGGUUUUAAAACACUAUCGGCUUCUUCUUCAGCUAGCUUGGAGCGAGAUAUCACUUUGGAAGAAUUAAAGCAGAGUGUUUGGGAUUUUGAUGGGAGCAAGAGUCCGGGUCCAGAUGGUUUCAAUUUCAAAUUCUACAGGCUUGCUUGGAAUUUCAUUGCAGAUGAUUUGUUAGACCUGGCCAAGAAUUUCUUCAAAACAGGUAGGCUUCCAAAAGGAGUCAAUCAUGCUUAUGUUCAUCUAAUUCCGAAGAUAGCUUCCCCAAUUGGCUUCAAAGAUUUCAGGCCUCUUAGUUUGAUUCAUGGCAUUUACAAGAUAAUGGCUAAGGUUCUUUCUAGCCGUCUGAAAGCGGUUAUGCAUGACCUUAUCAGUGAGAAUCAAACAGCUUUCUUGGCAGGGAGGCAAAUAAUUGAUGGGUUUGUGGUUGCCAAUGAAGCAGUUCAUUCCUUGAAAAGACACAGAGUGUCGAGCCUUAUCUUUAAGGUGGAUUUUCACAAGGCUUUCGAUAGUGUGCAGUGGGAUUAUUUAGAGCAGGUUAUGAGGCAUAUGGGUUUUGGUGAAAAAUGGAUUAAUUGGAUCAACACUUGCAUCUCCACUGCAAAAUUAUCAGUGCUGAUUAAUGGAUCUCCUUCUAAGGAAUUCUUGAUGGGUCGUGGGAUUCGCCAAGGUGACCCCCUUUCUCCAUUCCUUUUUCUAAUAGCAGCAGAGGGAUUAUCUGUUUUGUUUCAAAGAGCAGCUUCAAAUGAUCUUUUCAAAGGUAUCCCUUUUGGAGACAGCUUUUGCCUUAGUCACCUACAAUAUGCAGACGACACUUUGAUCUUCAUGCCUGCUAAUCUUCAUAUGGUCAAAACGGUUAAAAGGAUCCUGUUAUGGUUCGCUAUUUGUUCAGGUUUGCACAUUAACUUCCAUAAAAGCUCUUUAAUUGGCAUAAAUGUUGGGGAAGAUACUUGUGCUAGUAUGACAUAUUCAGUCUUUUGCAGAUUUGAUUCCUUGCCUUGCUCUUAUCUAGGCAUGCCUUUAGGAUCCAAUCCUAAAAGAUUGUCUACAUGGAAGCCUAUUAUUGAGAAUUUCAGACGGAAGUUGAGCAUGUGGAGAGGUCGUAUGCUUAGUAUGGCAGGACGUAUUUGCCUAAUCAAAAGUGUCUUGAGUUCAUUGCCAGUAUAUUAUAUGUCUUCUUUUCUUAUGCCGAAAGGUGUCUGUAAUAUACUACCAUCUAUUCAACGAAGAUUCUUGGGUCUGAGUGGCGAAGCAAAAGAAAAUCUGCAAGGUACAAUGGCGUAUUGUUGUGAAAGCUAGAAAAGAAGGAGGCCUCGGGUUGGGUUCUUUAAUGUCAAAAAAUAUAUCCAUGCUUUUCAAAUGGAUAUGGAGGCUAAACUUACCAGACCAUGCCUUAUGGAAACAGGUAACAACCCAUUUUUACUCCCCAACUUUCGAGAAUGGAAUCCCAAAAUUGCAUGGUCAUAUUUCCCCAUUUUGGAAAGACAUUUUGUCAAUCUUGGAUCCAAACAGUGUCAUCGGCUUAGUAUUGCGUGAAAACAUUAAAUUCAAGAUUGGAGAUGGAUCCUCCAUCCUUUUCUGGUCUGACGUGUGGAUAGGAUCAAAUGCUUUACGUUGCAUUUUCCCUAAGCUUUACCAAAUUUCUACUUUUCGGAAUGGUUUGGUUAAUGAGAUGGGUCAAUGGGUGAAUGAUCAAUGGCGAUGGAAUUUGGUUUGGCGUAGGAAGCUCUUAUCUUAUAAAGAGCAACAAUAUCAUCAUUUGCUCUCAAUGCUGGAGCCAACGAUAAUUCGGCAAGGAAAAGAUGACAAACUUAUAUGGCCAUGCAAUUCUGAUGGAAGCUUCUCAGUUAAAUCGUGUUGCACCCUGAUUGACAAUACCUCCUCUGCGACUGAUAGAGUCUUUGAAGCCAAUGUUUGGAUUAAAGGGGCCCCUCUGAAAGUUCAGGUGUUUCUCUGGUUGGCAGUACAAGACAAAGUUAGUACAAGAGCUUUUCUCCAUCAACGGACUAUUUUGUCUGCCACACAAGCUUCAUGUGUCUUUUGCAGCUCAAAUUUGGAAACCUCAGAGCAUCUUUUUAUACAUUGUAACUUUUCUAUGAGUGUUUGGAUGAAAGUUUUGGAUUGGUGGGGUAUCCAAUGUUGUUUACCGAGAACACUUGACUUGCUGCUUCUGCAGUGGCCCGAAAUGGUACAAGGCAAAUUCCAAAGAUCAGCUUGGAGAUUAAUUUCAAGUAGUACUAUUUGGGGUAUAUGGUUACUGAGGAACAAAAUUGUUUUUGAGGAGGGAACUAUAAACUUGUUUGAUUGUUUCUCCACCAUCCUUCAUCGGGUUGCUAUUUGGUUGCAUACUCAUGAUUCAAACUUCAAUUAUACAGGCAAUGACCUCUUAAGAUCUUCUGAUGGCAUCAAAUUAUGGUGUAAUAAGAAAUCUUAGGUAGUCUUCUUGUUGUUUGCUGUAGUAGAUCAGUUUUUUUCUUUUUUCUUUUUUUCUUUUUUAUAUCCCUUGUAUUUCUCUUUGGCUAUUCGCUUUAUGGCCUUCUCAAUAUACUCUCGAUGAUUAUAAAAAAAAAGAAGAAGAAACCCCAUUAGUUAAUAAGUUAAAACAGCAGCAGCAGCAAAAAGACUCAAAUUUUAGUUAUUUGGACUUGAGAAAAAGCAUUGAACCCUCUGUGAAAAUGCCAUGAAAGGGGUGCUUAGAAACCUGGAAAAUAAAAACUUUUAAAAGGGUGUUUUUACAAAGCAAGAAAGAAGCUUGGAAGCAAGGAAGCAAGCCAGCCUACCCUCACGAACUCUGUUUGUUAAUUGUUUUUUCUCCUUUAAAGUGAAAACAAAAAAAUAAAAAACAAAAACAAAGAGCACCCAGAAAAUCUAGUCAGAAAUAUUUUAUGUUGCUGUCUUGGAGAGACGCAUUAUAUUACAUAACAAAAUGAUAAAUUCAUUCAUUACAAAAAGAUACCCAACAAAAUAUAAGAAAACUAAUCUACUGUUCAACCCGAUAGGGGGAUGUACCUGAAAAUUGAUUUAAUACAAUAAUUCAAUUAGACAGAUGAAAAAAAGAUAUCCAUAAAAUUCUUUCUACUUUCUUUCUUUCUUCCUUUUUUUUUUUUUUGAAAAUUUAGUCAAAAGAUCAUUAAAUUAACUUGCUCAUCUAGUAUUGUAUAUAUAUAUCAAUUAAAUUUCAGAAUAAUCUAUGAGUUUGUUUUCUUUUUCUUUUUUCUUUUUUAAUAUCAACCAAAAAUAUAAUUAUUUCUAUCGCUCAAUUAACCCGGCAUUACUUUCACUAAUAGAUGAUUAAUUUUCCACCAGUCCAUUCAACAAACACUAUUGUCAUCAAUUCAAAAAUUAGUUUAAUGUUUCAUCCAUUCAUCAGGUAAAAAUCUCAUUAACCAGGGAAAUUAAUUCUUCAUCUUGCCCAUUUGUCAAGGCACUAAUUCCAUUAAAUCAGGAAUUAGUUCAAUGAUUUACCUAUUCACCAGGUUACUAAUCCCAUUAACCAGAGACUUAAUUCCUCAUCAUGCCUAUUCACCAGGACAUUAAUCCCAUUAAUUCAGGAAUUAGUUCAACGAUUUGCCCAUUCACCAGGGCAUCAUAAUUUCUUAUCACGCCCAUUCACCAGGGCAUUAAUUUCUUAUCACGCCCAUUCACUAGGGCAUUAAUCCCAUUAGUUCAAGAAUUAAUUCAUCACAUCGCAUAUCUUAUUUUCUAAAGUAAACAAUAUAAUAAUUUCAUAUUUAUCAACCACAAUUAAUCAAAUAAAAAUACAUAUUGACCAAUAAUAAAUUCGAGUACCGUGUAAUUACCUGAUGACUAAGCUCGAGUUGAAAUUUCCUGCUGUGGUGUCGGCCUGGCAGCCUCUCUUGAAUUGAAAAGUAUAUCACAUCAUUAUUCUACUUUCCAUAUUGAAACACUCAAUAAAUAAAAUCAUUCCAAUUAUCCUUUUAUUUGCCAAAAUAAAAUCAUUUCGUAAGUUUCCUUCCCUAUCUUUCAAUUUCCACAUUGUAACACAAUUCAUUUUAUCAUUCAAAUCAAUAUAUAUANNNNNNNNNNNNNNNNNNNNNNNNNNNNNNNNNNNNNNNNNNNNNNNNNNNNNNNNNNNNNNNNNNNNNNNNNNNNNNNNNNNNNNNNNNNNNNNNNNNNCUUUAAAUUCAUUUAUUUAAUUUUUACCAUAAUUUAAAUCAAAGAAAAACAUAAAACAAUUUCAUGAUCUAUUCACUCUUUAACAUUAAUAUCAUGCUCUUUCUUACACAAUCUCAUCAUCUUAUCAAAACUCUUAAAUUUUUAUUUUUCUUAUUAUUAUUUUUCCAAAAAUCCCUUCUUCAAGAACACCUAAAAUUUUGCUUUAAUUACCAUAAUUUCUUACUUUUUCUACUCAUUUCAAUAAUCUUAACACAAUUUCACAAUCAAUUGUAAUUUUCUCUAAAAUUUAUCAUGAACCCUAAUUCCUCAUUUCACAAAGUUCAAUCAAUUUAAAGCAUAAAUUCUUCAAGAAUCUUAUUUAAAAGUUUGAGUACAUCUUACCAAGCAAUAACCAAAGUUUUAACACUUUUAAAUUGAGAAAUUUUCCUUGCUUGAAUUUGUUUUUUCUCUCCUGGCCGAUUGCUUCCUUCUCUUUGAAAAAACAAGUUUGUUUUUUUUUUUUUUUUGUUUACUUAUAGCACACACUCACUUGCACUCAUAUAUAUAUAUAUAUAUAUAUAUAUAUAUAUAUAUAUAUAUAUUAACUCUCUUUUUUAAAUACCUUCCACGUCCCUCAAUUUGUUUCUUCCCCAUACACACAUAUAAUUACUUAACUUUUUAAAAAUACCUUCUAUAUUCCUCAAUAGUAAAUUUUAUGAUUUUUGGGUAAAAUUUCAUGAAUCCUAACACCUGUUUAUACCAAAUUUUAUCCAGAUUAUUUCAAAUUUCACUCAGUUACUCGUUAGUACUUUCAGUUUCAUGAAAUUCAUUUCCAUCAAAAUUUUAUUCACAUUUUCAUGUUUAUUUAUUUAUAUUUAUUUUUUAUAUAUAUUUUAACACCCGAACAAAACAUUUCAAUUCAGAUUCUCGAAUAUAUCAUCAUUCUUAUAAUUUAAUUUAUCACUUUCCCUCAUUUUUCGUAAUCUUGACUUUUAUUAAUAUUAAUAAUAUUACCCGGGGUUUUACAGUCUCAGUUGACACUGAUUUUCGCCAUAAAAAAUGGUCGAUUUUUGUUUUAAUGAGUUUCAUUUGAUGAAGAGAGUUCCAUUGAAAUGUUUUUUGCUCUUGAAAUUGCCAAAACAUUUAUAGUUUUUGGGCUGUUUUAUUGGUUUAUUACAUCAUAAAAACGAUUUUUAGGUGUUUUGGUGUGAACUUUGUUUAAAUUUGCAUUUUUUGGUCAAAAACCACCAUGCUUAAUUUUCUAGUCACCUCUCCAAUGGCCAAGAACUGAAAAGUCUCGGUAGGUGACAUGUCGCUUUUCUUUAUUUUUUUUUCAAAAACAUUUGGAGGAUUUUCAAAUAAAAAAGGCCCAUACGUACCAACCCUUUUUAAAAUGGGCUUGAUGUGUAGGCCCGACUUACUAGGCCCAAAAGCACUUGAUCUAUUUCUAUUUUUUUUUCUAAUUUUGUUUUCUUAAUUGAUAUUUUUUAUGUAUUUUUAAUGAAUUUUUGAAUUUAUAUUUAAAUUAAUACUUUUCUCUCUAAAUAUUUAGAUUGUUUAUUUAGUUUUUUCUAAAUAAUGGAUAUCUUUUACUUAUCUUUUAUGUAUUUAAUAUCUAGAAAAAAUUAUUUCAAUUCAUCUAUAUGUUUUUUUAUAUAUUUUAUAUAAAUAAACUUUAUUUUCAUGACGUGUUUAUAAAAAUAAGAAUUAUUUGUUCUUGGUAAGAAAAAGUGACCUUUAAGAUAAAAAAGAAGAAGAAGGAGAAAAGUGUGCAUGAAGAUGAAAGUUAAGGUUAAGUAUCAUAUUUAUGUAUCUUUUACUUUUAUGAAAAUGAUUAUCAUUUUAUUUUAUAAUUUGAUUGGCAUUAACAACUCUUUAUUAGUUUAUUAGUUCAUAUUUUUGUAAGAUUGUUUUUUACAUUUCUUAAUUAAGAGAAUCAUAAUACAAUGAAAUGCACUUGAAACAAUGUCCCAUUUUUCUACUACAUUAAAAAUUAACUUAAGAUCCUAUAUGUGGCACGAUGCGUUAACAACUAUUUUUUAUAUUUAUGAACACUUAUGGUCCUUACUUUAUUUUUAUUAUAUGUAAAUAUCAACUUUUUUAUUUACAAUUAUAAUUUUCUCUUGAUUUUUAAAAAUACGUUAACAACAUUUAUAUAUAUUUUUUUUUGCGUUCAAAAAAUUAUCUAACUCGUAGCAAAGUGAAUUAAAUAAAUGCAUCAACACUUUUUUUUUUGUAUUUAUGAUUAGGAUUUGUUUUUGUUAAAAAUGCAAUUGAAAAGCAUACAAAUUUAUUUUUUGCUAAAAACAAUUUUGUGAUCCAUACCGAAGUGCGAGUUAAAUAACUACGUAUAUGGCUAUAGUAAGUCUUUUAGUAUAUGUGGAUGUAGGAAGCAAUGCGUUAUAUUAUUAGUUAGAUAUAACUUACCUAUUCAUUAUUAAAAAAAACAUAAAAUAAAUAAAUAUAUUAAUAGAAACCUAAAAGAGGUCGGCUGAAAUAUAAUAUUUUUGUCCUUUUUUUUAUUUUGUUUCACAUUUCUCAAUUAAGAGAAUCAUGAUACAAUAAAAUGCAUUUGAAACACCAUCCUAUUUUUCUAUUAAAUUAAAAAUUAACUUCCUGAUGCAACCAUAUUAUUCGAUAGUUUCACCCACAUUUAACUAGUGUUUUGCCUAUGUUUUAUAUAUAAAAUGCCUUGAUAUUCUUUGUUUUAUGUUUUGAAGGCACUUUUGGAUGAAAGAUGCAAAAAGGAGUAAAUUGGAGAUAAUUGGCAGAUUUGACCUUCAGUCGAUGUUUUGUGCAGAGCGUGAGCUCUAGAGGUUGAAAUGAAGUGAUUCCAGUGGCAUUAAAAAGCUAACAUCCAUACCUUUCUGGAAAUCUAAGGCAAGAAAAUAAAAUAAGGAAGAGCAUGGAAAUCACAGCCUUCAAAGUCAAAACAGAUUUGCUUUCUUUUUCCCUUAUCUUUUAUUUUUCGCAUUUUACUUUAUUUUUGUCAUUCUUCAAUAUUCCUUUUCUUUUAUUUCAACAUUGAGGACAAUGUUGUGUUUUAAGUGUGGGGGUAUUGGGAGAAUGUUGGUUUUCUAAUUUUGGUUUUCUUUGUUAUUUUUCAAAAUAAAAAAAAAUUAUGUUUGAUCUUUUGAACUCCCAUUGGUUUUUGAGAAUAUGAGUAUUAUGUAUGAGAAUUAGUUGAGAUAGAUGAAGAUAUAAAUAAAAUGAAUGAGUGUGCAUGCAAGUUUUAAGGUUUAAUUGGUUUAGGGAUUGACUUUGAGAAUCUGUCAUGUUGACUUUAUAGUGUUAUACCAAUGCAAGCUUUUGAGCCUUCAACAUUAUAUUCUUUUAUUGUGCCUUCUUUCAAUGAUAUGUAUCUUUAGAACUUGUUUCAUAUCUUGUUGAGAUUACAUUCAUAUUACAUAUAUACAUGAAGAUAAUAAAGGCAUUAGGAAUUUUAACCACUUGAGCCAAAAAGCCAACCUAAAGCAUAUUAUCCUUAGUGAGCCCCUUUUGAGCUUGUUUAUCUUUUCUUUGCUUUAUCCAUGUAUAAGCCUUAACUUUUUAUAUGUUUUCCUUUUCCCCUGGCCAAGGAUUAGUAGAGCAUAUACUUAUGAUAUCUCAUGGAAUUAUGGUUGGAAAUUAUGCGAAAAGAAAGAAGAAGUGAUGCUUGAUGAAAAGAUGGGCAAAGUUGCCGAAGGUCAAAAAAAAAAAAGGAAAAAAAAAGAAAAAAAAGAAAAGAAAAAGAAAAAGAAAAAAGUGUUCCUUUAUGUUCUUAAUAUUUUAUAUUGAAAAAGCUUGAAAUCAAAAGAAGUUAAGCAUUGGUGAUUAAAGAUGGAAAAUUUAUGUGCUUUGAUGGAAUAUCUUGUUUGAAAUAUCAUUUUUCAGAAUGCUCUACUUUCUUUGGUUUGAACCUUUUGUUUUACUCUCUUUUACCUCACCUUAACCUUAGCCCCAUUACAACCAGAAAAUAAGACCUUUUGAUUCAUGCAUUGUUUGUAAUAUGUUAUUAAUGGGGAUGAGAUUGAAGAGCAAGCUUAUGGUAGAACAUAUUCAUUGAUUGAAUUUGAGAGAUUUAAACACAUAAGCCCUAAACACGUGAGUGUUGGAGUAUAUAUCAAUGAGAGGACCUAUCACUUUGGCAUGGCAUAGAUUUCAUUUAAAUCUCGACGAUUAAUUGACUUUUGAAGUUUGCAUGUAAAUAAAUUCAUGAAAAUUUAUACUCUUUAUCCUUCUUAAUUGUGUUCUUGUUUAUAAUGCAUAUAUUCUUGGAUAUUGAUGGGAGAUUAGAAGAUUAGUCAUAGUGAUUUCAUUUAAUUUAACUUCAAUUUGAUUUUACCUAUCCUUUCUCGAGGACGAGCAAGAGCUAAGUGUGGGGGUAUUUGAUGCAACCAUAUUAUUCUAUAGUUUCACCCACAUUUAACUAGUGUUUUGCCUAUGUUUUAUAUAUAAAAUGCCUUGAUAUUCUUUGUUUUAUGUUUUGAAGGCACUUUUGGAUGAAAGAUGCAAAAAGGAGUAAAUUGGAGAUAAUUGGCAGAUUUGACCUUCAGUCGAUGUUUUGUGCAGAGCGUGAGCUCUAGAGGUUGAAAUGAAGUGAUUCCAGUGGCAUUAAAAAGCUAACAUCCAUACCUUUCUGGACAUCUAAGGCAAGAAAAUAAAAUAAGGAAGAGCAUGGAAAUCGCAGCCUUCAAAGUCAAAUCUCGCAAUCUGCCAGUGUUGACCUUCGGCCAUUCCGACUUGAAUAUCUGGAGCUACAGAAGUCCAAUUGAUGCAAACUCAAUUGUUUUGGAUUCAUGUCUCAAAGGUCUAUAAACGCUCCACAUUUCAGCCCAAACCGAUUUCAUAUGAGGGAGAUAUGAUUUUUCAAAGAUGACAACUGAAUUCUGCCAGCAAACAGGUUUCGUGAAGAAACGAGUCCAAAUUACGUUCCGAAGCAUCUAAACCGAUAUCCAAGUUUGUAUUUCAGCAAUUUAGCUCCUCUAAGUCAAAGCUUGAAGAUUUCAUGCAAGGCUAUUUCUCCUUUUUUAGGAAAAUAGUUAUUGAAGUACUUAAAUGUAAACAGUCUACUUAAUGGAGGACUAUUUUGUAAAAUAGAGACCUAGGGUUUCCUAGGAUAUAAAAAGAAUGAGAGAAGAGAAGGGGGGAGGCAGCCAAGAAGAGAAAAACGCCCCCUUCCUCUAAGAAACCCUAAAUUAUGCAUUCUUCCUUCUUUUUGAUUAGUUGUUCAACAAACAUGCAAGGCUAAACACUUUUUCUUGGUUGCAAGAACACGGAAACCUUCGGAUUUCAAGAACUGUGAGAUUUAUUUUACCUUUUCUUUUCAGUUUAUAUGAUGAAUAUGUUUGUUCUCCUAUGCUUAUUUUUCCUAUGAUUGUUUAUUUUAAUUGCUAGAGCGGACUCUAAGUUAUUAUUGUAGACAAUCUAUUGUUAAUUUUGAUAUCAAAACCGGAGUUGUGGUAUAUGAACUUGUGAAGCAACUGAGUUUAAUAAUUGUGGCGGAUCUACGUUAUUAAUCUUAGGGAGAACAUUCAAUCAAAUCAAACAUAGACUGCGGACAGUUAUGUUUUCUUGAUUAAUCAACUUAUCUAGUUCUUAAGGCUGCCAUUGAAUUAAAUUACUAGUGCGGACACUGUGGUUGUUUGAUGGUUAGGGCUAGUUAUACGGCGGAUCCGUUAACUAACCAAUGUUAAGAAGAGAUAAAUAUUCAGAAUAUAAAUUGAUGUUUCGUUUCCAUGAUCAGUUCUGAUUUUUGUAGGUGGAUGUGUGCUUCUGACCAAGGUUUGUUCUCUUGAUAAUUUUCUGAUUUUAUUAAAUUUAGUUUGAUAGUUUUCUGUUUUCUUUUGCUUUAGCCUAGAUAAUGUCCAAACCCCCCCAAAUUGCAUAUCAUCUAGCAUAAAAAUCUGACUUGAAUCUUCCUCGUGGGAUCGACCCCUUGCUUGCUCUAUACUAUCUUGUGUGUUGUGUUUGAAGCUAGGGUAAUUAAUUUGUGCGACCGCGACAUCGCAACACUUCCUACAUGGGGUGCGUUGCGUUAACAAUUGUUUUUGUAUUUAUUAACAUAUAUGAUCCUCAAUUGAUUUUAUUAUAUGUAAACAUCAACUUUUUUUAUUCACAAUUAUAUUUUUUUCUCUCGAUAUCUAAAAAUACAUCAACAACACAUAUACAUCCAUUCUUUUGUGUUGGAAAAUAUUAUCUGACCCAUAGCGAAGCGAGUUAAAUAAACACGUCAAUACCUUUUUUUUGUAUUUAUUAUUAGGGUUUUUUUUUGUUAAAAAUACAUUUGAAAAGCAUUCAUAUUUAUUUAUUUUGCUAAAAAACAUUUCUGAUCUAUAGUAAAGUGCGAGUCAAAUAACUACUAAUAUGGCUAUAGUGAGUGUUUUUUUAGUAUAUGUGGAUGUAGGUAGCAAUGUGUUAUAUUAUUAGUUAGAUAUAACUUACCUAUUCAUUAUAAAAAUAAAUAAAUAAAUAUGCUGAAACAAUAUAGUCCCCGAGAGGAAAUAUUGUGAAUUCACACAAUGUUUACUUUCUCUUUUUUUGUCCUUUUUUUAUUUAGUGAUCUUUGAUGAUGAAUUGAUUAAGAUUUGAGAUGGGUACUGUAUUUUUAUUUACCUUUUUUAUAGUUAUCUUGCUCUCAAUAAAACAUCUUGAUAUUAGAACAAUGCUCAAUUUCACAAAAAAAAAAUUAAUGUUUGUAAGAAAUUGAAAAUGAAAAGAUCAAAAUUGAAACAAAUAAAAAACUAUUUAAAAAAAAAAUGGUGUCAACUUUGCCUUUUGUUUUUUGCUUUUGAUCAUCUACUUUUUUUAUAAAAAAAAAAUUAAUAUUUCAAUGCUGUGUUAAUUGGAAUUUGAAGUUGGUAAUUUGAUAUAAGUUGGUAAUUUUAUAUGAGCAUCUAGAACUAAAUAAAAAGCCGCACCAUUGGUUUGGUGCUCGACUUUACAAAAAAAAAAUCGAUUAUAUUGUUUGAGAAAAAAUAAAAAAUAAAAAAUAAAAAUUAAAACAUGAAAAAAAAAAUAAGGGGCCUUAAAAAAACAAAUUGUGUCAACGCCUCCAUGCCUUGUAAUUUUAAUAAAUCUUCUUUUUGGUAAUGAAACUUUUUGAUACAAAACUUUAUUUUACUUGUAUUUUAAUUCUUGAGGUUGAGAAAGAAAAAAGAAAUUCAUCAAAAAAUUAGAAAGAAAAGAGAAAAUUAGCGAAAGCCAGCAAGGUAUCUGCUCGAAAAAACCAUUCAACAUAAGAUUGCUCUGCUAGGAAAACAUGAUAUCAGUAUCAAACUUUUGAACAAAGAGUUCAGCAUCAAGUCUCAGUCAUCUUGAGAUUUGAAUUGCUCAUACAACAACAUUUUUAAUAAUGCAUUAGAAACAGAACAUCAAACAAAGAGUUCAGCAUCAAGGAGAACGCAUGAAAGUCCACACAUUAAACCAAAAGAAACACAAAUGGCCAAGCAAACAUACGCCCUUACUUCUGGAGGCUUGUACGAUAAUGGGCAAGCAUCAUUGUUUUUUUUACUAUUAACCAUCACCAUCACCAUCACCAUCUUCUUCUUCUUAUACUUCUUUCCACCCUUUAUUUCUGGUCCACUCUCUAUUAAUGCUUGAAUCUUCAGCUACUUCAGAUACCUGUAAACCAAUCCAAGCAUGGCAUGCUCAUUUAACUUGUAAAUCUUAUUAUUGAGAGAAACAAGAAACAAACACACUAAAAGAGAGGCAAGAAAUAAAGUUAAAUCAUCAGCAGCACCUCUGAGCGAGCACUCAUUGAACCAUCUGGUGUAGUAGCAAAUUUUGUGGUCAGCUUUGGACAUUGAUGGACCUUCAACUUCUCCAAACGAGGGAAUAAGAAAUAAUCACACCAUCCGAAACUAAAACAGACAAUACUUGAUAAUUGUUGUAGCGACAACUCCUUUAGAUUAGGAAGCACUAUCUCCUUCUCAACGUUGAUAGGUGAAGCUUGAUCAUCCUGCCCAGGAGACUCUGGAAUUAUUUCCCUUUUACCAUCCUCUUCUCUGAUUAUAUGCUUCAAUUGACCGCAUUUACUUAUGGAAAGCCUUUCUAGCUUUGGCAGACUUUGUGUGAGGGACGGUGUGAAGAUAAAUGGCAGUUUGUCGAGAGAAUCCAAACUCAGAAUAUUAAGACUUUGGAGGCUGACAUGUCCGGUGGGCCCCUUCCAUAUGCAUUUGACCUCAGGUAACCUUCGCAGCUCUAACUUUGUUAAAGAUGACAGCAGCUCCUUCUCCUCACUGCUUCCUUCAUCAGCCUCACCUAAUUCAAAUACCUCUUCCAAUGAUUUGCAGCCGCCAACAAUCACCUCCUUUAGAUUGUUCAAAGCUCGCAGCAAUUUUGCUGGAAACGGAGCGCGAACAUCCCCACAAUCGUCCACUUGUACAAUUUCUAAUCUUUGUACGGAGCCGUUUUGCUGCACAUGGCCGGCCAUCUUAUCAGAGAACAAUAUUAUAUUUUUUCACUCUCAUAAAAACAAUUUAUAUGAUGUAUAAAUAGGAGAAAAAAGAAGAAAAAACAGGAUUACAUACUUUUUAGAGGUUACAUAUUAUUGUUUCAGUUUUUUUCUUAAUUAGAGAUAAGUUAAAUAAUAAUUAGAUUUUUUGCGAAAAAAGGUUACUACAACUCCUAAUAAUUAGUUUCAUGUAAAAAAUAAAAAUAAAAAUAGUAACUAAUAUUUUUACUUUAGUUAAAAAGUUAAUAAAUUUUUAAAGAUAUUUUAACUGAAUUAAAUAUUUGAACACAAAAUAAGCUAAUAAUAAUUAGUUUCAUGAGGCAGUUAAAUCUAACAGAUAAUAUGUUCUUUCAUAUGAUUAAUUUUUAAUAACGCAGACAACAAUGAGGCAGUUAAGUUCUUAUAUUUAUAUAUGUUUAGAUAAAAAUAAAAAUGAGCAUUUAUCAAUUACUUUACUUUUAGAAAUUGGGAGGAAGAGAGAAUAAAUUAUCGCAAUUGACAAUUUAAAUUAAGUGGAGAAAUAUAAAUUACGUACUUGUAGCUGUGCCAACCAAUUACCCACUCCUUCGUGGCCUCCAAUGGUUAAGUCUUGCAAAGGCAAUUGAGCAUCAAAAUUCCUUGGACCUAAAAAGCUGUAAUUUGAUCUGAGCCGAAGAGACACUUGUCUUAGGUGAGGGAACUUGAUGAUGCCAUCUCUGUUACGAGACAAAGAGACUGGGAAGACAUAUUCCAGUUUACCACAGUGAGAUAUGAAGAGAGUUUUUAAUAGUGGGAAGCAAGGAGACUCUGGAAUUAUUUCCCUUUCACCAUCCUCUUCUCUGAUAAUAUGCUUCAAUUUACCGCAUUCAUUUAUGUAAAGCCUUUCUAGCUUUGGCAGACUUCGAGCGAGGGACGGUGUGAAGAUAAAUGUCAGUUUGUUAAGAUUCCAAACAAGUAGACGAGCAAGAUUUUGGAGGCUGACAUGUCCGGUGGGCCCCUUCCAUAUGCAUUUGAGCUCAGGUAACAUUUCCAGCUGUAACUCUGUUAAAGAUGACAGCAGCUCCUUCUCCUCAGUGCUUCCUUCAUCAGCCUCACCCAAUUCAAAUACCUCUUCCAAUGAUUUGCAGUUGUAAAUGUCCACCUCCUUUAGAUUUUUUAAACCUUGCCGCAAUUUUGCUGGAAACAGAGUGAAAACAUCCCCACAACUGCUCACUUGUACAGAUUCUAAUUUAUGUAAAAACAAUUGCUCAAAUGUCUUCGCAUUUAAGGAUGUACCAACCAAAUUUAAUCUUGUCGAGGUUGGGUAUCCAUAAUUGGGCAGAAUCCGAUUCCCAAAUAUUAUAUGAUAUUUGCGCAAACUAACUGGAAAAACAAAAUCUCUGGGAAUGCAUUCAACCUUCGGUAUCCACAAUGAUAAUACGGCUAACUGAGACAACGAAUUUAGUUCUGUUAGGCUUGCAUUCAUUCCUCCUGUGCUGUCACAUCCACCAACAACAUCCCAUCCCUGAAAGCUUUCAUCCCCGAUCAACAGCUCUUCUAACUUCUUCAACCUUCCAAUCAAAUUCACAGGGAUCCUUCUUAGCAUUUCACAACCUGUCACAUCCAACAACCUUAACUCCUUGAGCUCUCCUAUUUCAUCAGGUAAUUCUUCAAUGGAUAAGCACCACGUAAGAACAAGAAUCUUAAGUCUCUGCAGCUUUCUCAACCAAAUGAGGUCCUUGCAUCCACACCUGAUCAACACCAACGAUUGAAGUUUCGUUGAGAGUUCAAGUGAUUGCAAUGACAAACACCCUCCCUUCAGAGACAAAACUUCAAUUUCUUUCAUCCCUUCGAAAAACUUCUCUGGAACAUUCAUACCAUCAUCCAGUUCUAAUAAUAGAACUUUGAGCUGUGGGCAUACCAAUCCUUCAGGAAGUUUUGCUAGUUUAUUGCCCAUUAACGAAAUUGUUGUACAACCUUCAAAGCUUUUAUUGCUCAUUGGCCACUCCUUCAACCCAAUGCCAACCUUUACCAUGAAUCCAUAUUCUUCUGAUGAUGCUAUCUGAAUAGCAACAUCACGAACCAAGUCAUGCAUUCUCACAUGUUCUUCAGUUUCAGUGCCCAGCAACAAACAACAAGCUUUGAGGUAUUCGAUUGCCACAUGAACUUGUUCCCUUGCAUCUUCAAUGGGCUCCCCAUCUUGAUGUAGCCCAUAGCCAACUGCAUAUCUCGUCAAGUCCUCGAUUGGAAUGUUGUAAUCUUCUGGAAAUAAACAGCAUAGCAAGAAACAUAACUUGGUUUCCUUGGACUUCAAAUAAUCGUAGCUCAACUUAAGACAUGCAUAUGCAUUUUUUUCUUCAAUUUGUUCCAUGUCCACAAAUUGAGAGUUUUUGAGCUGUUUAGACACUCUUUUCCACUGGUUUUCAGAUUUAUCUCUUAGAGCCCUUCCCAAUGUCACAAGUGCUAUAGGCAAGCCUUUGCAUUCUCUCGCAACCUUCCUUGCCACUGUGUUCAAGGUAGAGUCCCCAUCACGUAAACCUGCAUUGAUUCUGAAUAAAGCCAAUGCUUCAUCUUCAGAUAAGACUCCUAAAAACACUUUUUGCUGGCACUCCAUAGUAGAACAAAUGUGUUCAAGACGUGUUGUUAGAAGAAUUUUACAACCCCUGUGAUCAUCACCAAAUGGGAUCCCUAUCUCUUUCAAGUCAAUAUGUUUCCAAACAUCAUCCAGGAUUAUAAGCAUCUUCUUUCCCUGCAGUCUCUGCCAUAAUUCACUUGCUCUACCUUCUUUACCCGUUUUUUCAAAUUUCAGAUGUAAACUAUCUGCCAUUCGAUCCUGGAUGCCUAUGACAUUUGGAUUCUGGGACACCGUAGCCAUAAAAACUUCAGGAAAAAGCUGCGACUCUUUGGCUCUCCUGCCUACUUCUUUCACCAGGGUGGUUUUACCCACCCCUCCCAUGCCGUACAGUCCGAUCAUAUUGACGUUGUCAUCUUUGAGAGCUUUCAUAAUCUGUUCCAAAGCUUCUUUUGAAGCUUCUGAGGGCGUGAAAUCCUUUGAUGGAAGAAAUUCUAUGGGCUGAGGAGGAGCUUUGUCGGCCACUUUUGUAAACUUUGUUUCUAAAAGUUUUCUGAAAGUCUCCGACUUCUUGGCCAGUGCCUUGCUUAACUUGAAUUGUCGCAUGCAGUUUGGACACCAAGUGAAGCAUUUGCCAUUUUUUCCUAUUUCAUUUUCCAAGGGCUUCGCACCUUCAAUUUCGUUGUUUGCAUCUUCCAGCCACUUUUUGACAUCUUUGUAAAUUUCUUCAGCAUUCCUUUCAGCAGCUUUGACAUCAUCUUGCAGACGUUCUUUUGCCGAAUCCAGGUUCUCCUUUCGUUCAUUGAAUUCUUCAACAAAAUGGUUGAAACAGAACAUGUAACGGAACUGCCUUCCUACUGGUUCCACCAACAUGUAACGGAACUGCCUUCCUACUGGUUCCACCAUGAGUUCUGCUAUCUUAGAUAGAAUGGCACUUUCGAGAGCCAUUUUCCACAGGUCUGAAAAUCUAAGAAAUAAGGAUACAGAACGUGAGAGUGAGUCACUUCAAGUAAAACAGGCGCAGAGAGAGUGGGAAUAGGAAUCCAUUACCUUAAUUUGGGAAAAUAUGUGCGCAAAAGCACUGGUACUGAUAGCUCAAUGAAAUAGCGGAAGGAAGAAAAGGAGAAGGCCUUUAGCUCUGUAUGGAAUCCAGCUUCAAAAGCAACAAGGCAAGGUAUAAGUUUAACAAUAAAAUAGUUUACAUGGAUUCUAACUGACUCUUGUGAGUUAAAGCAGUAGUUCCCAUUAAAAAUGCAUUUUGAUGACAUAAUUAAGAUCAUAUAGAGACAGUGACAAACAAAUAAAAAAAUAAUAAUGUGUAAAAGUACUCACCUAGCAAAUAUAAUUGACCUAAGCUCACUUAGACGUCUCCAUGGAUGAUACCAGCUCGCUUCCAACAACAAAUAUAAUUGACCUAAGCUGUGAUAGGUCAAAUUUUUUUUAGUUUUUUUUUUAAAAAAAAAAAACAGAUCAACAAGAGAAAAGACUUACAAAGAAGUAGAAUUACUGAAAGAAACUCAUCAAAGAAUCAAACUCAAGCAAUUAAAAAUAAUUGUCUACGAUGACCAUCUCUGUAUUACACAUUCAGGUAAUAUGAUUGACCUAUAACAAUAUUAAAAAAAAAAUAAAGCUAAAAGAAUUACGUUUUUGAUAGCAUCCAGAGUGCGGUUACUUUUUUAAUCCCUCUUUUGUGGUUUUAUUUUAUUUCAGUCCUUCAAGUCUUUUUCUUUUGCUAUUUCAUCGAGUUUCUUUCUCUUGAGUUGUUGUGCUUGCCCUCGAAUAUGCAUUAUGCUAGGAAUUACAAUUACAUUACAUAAAAAAUUAUAAUUACAUAUUACAAUUACAAAUUUUAAAAAAUAAUUAUGAGAAAGGACCAAUGUUACAAUGUGAACAAAUGAAAGGAGAAUUUUAAAUUUUCUUGUGACAUGGUGACCAGGUAAUUCAAGGAACCAAUAGAUUAUCGCCACAUGUUCAACCAUAUCUCCACAUGUUCAACCUUAUAUUGUAUUGUGACAUGGAGAUAAAGGUCAUCUAAAAAGCUAAUAGAUGGUCGCCCCGUGUUCAACUUUAUCUACCCAUUAGGAAAGGAUAGAAAGUGGGAGAGAGAAAGGUUAAAAAGGCUUAAAAAAGAAAAAGGAAAAGGAGAGACAGAAAUAAAAGAAAGGCUGAGAAAAAGGAAAGGACGUGGAAAUAGAAGGAGAGAUUGAGGGAGGCAGAAAUGGAAAGGGACAUAGAAAGAUCGGAGGAGAGUAAGAAAAAAAUAUGAAUAUGUGAUGUCCUAUUUCUGAUAAAAAUACUCUGUUUUUUUUUAUUUAAAUGGGAUUUUUUUAUCUUUUAUUUGGAAUUUCUUUGGACACUUAAAUAAUAUAAUAACAAAAAAAAAUUAAAAUAUUGAUGAAAUUAAAACCAAUAGUAUUUUUUUCUAUAUUUUAAGUUUUAGUUUUUAAUAGCCUCGUUUGAUUUUUAUUUUUAUUUUCAUGCUCUUAUAAAUAAUGCAGGAAAUGAGGACCUGAAAUCACAACAGCGAAUAAAAAGAGAAAUAACGUGUUUGUUAUUAAGUAUUAAAAAAAAAUAUUUUAUUUUAUUUUUAUUUUAAAUUAAUUUUUAAAAAACUAGCUUGAAAAUUAGUACGAAAAAUAGUGAUAAUAGAGUAGAUGUCCAAAUCAAAACAUAUAAAUAGAGUAUUUUAUAAAUAUUUUGGAUAAAAAAUAGGUUAAAAACAAGUUUUUAAAUAAAAAAUCAAGCUUUAUUAUUUUAUAUAAUUCAAAUAAAAUCAAUAUAUUUAGUUGUUCAAAAUUAUAACUCAAGUUCUGUCAUGUCUUUUUAGAAGGAAAAAAAAAAACGCUUGUAACAUAGUGCAGUGCAAACAGAAGAGACAUCUGGUUUUUAUUGAGAAAAAGAAAGGAAAAAAAAUAUAUAUAUAUAUAUACUCUCUCUUCCAAUUUCCUCUCCCAGCUGAAUUUUGGCGACCGCUCACACAACGAUAGCCUACACAACCACCAGCCAUGCCACCUUUCAAGACCCCAUCUCUCAAUCUCAAAACCAGAAACAACCCUUUCUCCAUUUAACCGAACCUCAUAACUCCGAGAAAGUGAAGGACUAAACCAUAGUGGCAAAAAUCUAAAUUAUCUCUGUUACUUUUCCUCAAUUUUCUAGACAAGCACAAGGAGCUAAACUUAUUCCCGACCAAAACGUCAAGAAUUUCAGUAGAACAAAAGAAGAGAUUAUUACUUGACCAAAAAUAACUAGUUAGCACCCAAAGAAACCGAGUGAAUGAGAGAAAAAGACUAAUAGCUAGAAAACAAUCAACAGAUCCAAGAAUUUUCUGUAUGGUUUCCAAGAAAAUGAAACGAAAUGAGCAGCACAACCCUCUUUCUCCUCCAAGAAAAGAAAGAAAAAGAAAGGAAAGAAACAAAGAAAGUCAAACUUGGCUCCUCUUUUAGUGUUAAAAAAAAAAACAAAGAAGUUCGAGGAAGUGGGCAGCCUUUUUUCUGAUGUUCAUGUGGUGUUCUGCUGUUCACGCAGACUAAGAACUCCUACCAUCGUAAAAUCAUAUAAUUAAAACACAACAAUAAAAAAGUAAAAAGCAGCUAAUUAUGUGCGAAAAUCAGAGAAAUAAGGAUACAGAACGUGAGAGUGAGUCAUUGCAAGUAAAAGAGGCGCAGAGAGAAUGGGAAUAGGAAUUUCAUUACCUUAAAUUGAGAAAAUAUGUGCGAAAAGCACUGGUACUGAUUGCUCAAUGAAAUGGAGAAGGCCUUUAGCUCUGUAUGGAAUCCAGCUUCAAAAGCAACAACGCAAGGUAUAAGAAUUUUGAUGACAUACUUAAGAUACUAUGCGUAGUAAUAUAGAGACAGUGACAAAGAAAUAAAGAAAAAUAAUGUGUAAAAGAACUCACCUAGCAAAGAAAGAAACGAAUGAAAGGUUCAGGAUAAUCACUUAGACGCCUCCAUGGAUGAUACCAGCUCGCUUCCAACAACAAAUAUAAUUAACCUAAGCUAUGAUCGGUCAAUGUUUUUUUUAGUUUUCUUCUUUUAAAAAAAAAAAAAGAUCAUCAAGGGAAAAGACUUGCAAAGAAGUAGAAUUAAUGGAACGAACACAACAAAGGAUCAAACUCAAGCAAUUAAAAGUAAUUGUCUGUGUCACACACUCAAGUGAGGAGAGAAAAGAAGGAGAAAGAAAGGAAAGGGACAAGGAAGGCAGAAAGUAAGGUCACGUAGGGCCAGUCUUGUAGAAAGUUUGAAAAGUAGCAUGAAAGAAGAGGAUAAUAGUGUAGUUGUCAGAAUCAAAACACGUAUAAACAGAGGACAAAAACAGGAAGGGAGGCUGUUUGUUUUUUUAACUGUGUCUGAGUGCUUUUUAUAAUUAUAUUUAAUUUAAAAAAUAUUAAAUUAAUAUAUUUUUUAAUAUUUCUUGUUAUAUAUAUAUAUAUAUAUAUUUAAUAUUUAAUAAAUUUUUAAAUAAAAAAUAUUUUUAAAAGUAUGUGUCACAAUACAAAAUUAUAGUAUAAAUUAAAAGAAAAAGGAGUUUUAUGCUCAUUACUAUUUACUGGACUUGUAGAUAUUAAUAAUAAAGUUUUUGAAAGUUUUCGAUCUAGUAUUUGAACUUAUUUUUUUUUGCAUAAUUGAAUUUUUUUAAGCUUAAUUGCAUAUUUGUUUUUUAAGGAAAUAGGUUGAAUUGAGAAACAGACAAACUCGGCAAAAAUAUGUGGUUAAAAUCAAUCCAUUUUUUUUAAAAAAAACUACUUGGUUGUUAAGGAAAGAUUGGUAGUGUGAACAAAUCACCAAAGUCAGCAGCAAGGAAGUUCUAGGAAGUGGGCAGCCUUUCUUCUACUGUUCAUGUGGUGUUCUGCUGUUCAUUGGACAGUGCAAUUAACGUGAACAGUGCAAAAAAAGCGAGGAAUUCUUGCUUUGCAAAUACUGCAUUUCCAACGCAGAAAAAAGAUGGGACCCAGUGAACAGUAUACCACAUUUUUAUUUAACCAAGCGGCCCAAACGGGCUCUAAGAACUCCUACCAUUGUAAAAUCAUAUAUUUAAAAUACAAUAAUAAAAAUGUAAUACGCAGCUAAUUAAUGUAUUAAGCAGCUAAUUAAUGUUGUUGUUCUUUCUUCUUGUUUUGCUAUUUUGAUUUUAUUGCAUGUUUCAAAAAAAGUAUGAUUGUGAAAGCUAGCCAAACCAUUAGAUCAAAGUAAUCUAAGAUGGUUUUUGAGAGUGUAGUUGUCGUUAUUUUUCACUCGGAAAUACAUCAAAAUAAUAUAUUUUUUAUUUUUUAAAAAUUAUUUUUGAUAUUAGCGUAUCAAAAUUAUUUGAAAACACCAAAGAAAUAUUAGUUUGAAGUAAAAAAAAAUAAAAAAAAUUUCAAAAGUGCUUUUGAAACGUAAAAACAAACAGAGUCUAGUGUAGUUGCGUCCAACGUUGUCCCGAGGUACUUUUUAUAAUCUAAAUUUUUUAAUAUAUUUUUUUAUUUAAUUAUGCAAUAUAUUCAUAGAAAACACUCAAAAUAAAAUUAUUGACAAAAAAAUAUAUAUUUCUUAAAAAUAUUUUUUUAUUGAAAACAUAAUUUUUUAAUUCAUGCAUUUUUUUAUUUAAAAAAAAUGUAUUUUUUAUGAGUAACAUUAUUUUGCUCAAAUGUCCCUAAUACAUAAUUAUUUAUAAAGUAAUGAAAAUAUCAUAAUAAAAAUUCCUAAUCUUCUUGAAAACAAUUAAAUAAUUGAACAAUUACUUAAAUAUUUUUUUAAUAAAUUGAUUGAAAGAAAUUUUUUAUUAAAAAUAAAGAAUAAAGAAUAACAUGAUAUCUAAGAUAAAGGUCAUACAAGCCUUCAAAGAUAAUAUAUGUAUGUGUAUAAUACAAAUUAAUAAAUUAUAAGUAGCAAUAUUUAAUGCAAGUUUAAGAAUAAGAGUUUGCUUUGUGUUUUGUUGUGAGAUUAACCAUAUCAAAUUAUAUAUUUAAUAAUAAAUAAUUGUGUUGUGUUAUGAGUAAAAUCAAUAAAUUAUUUGGUGUUAUGCUGUCUUGUUGUUUGAAUUAAAAUUAUUAUUAAGAAUAUAAAUUAAAUUAAAUUAAAUAUUGAAAAAACUAAAUGAAUUGCUUAAUAAAUAAAUAAAUAAAUUCUUUCUUUAGAAAGCAUGGAAAUGCCAUGACAUUGGCUUUUUAGAGAAUACUACGAUAUUAAUAGCCAAAAAAGUUAUCGAUAGCUGUGUAAAUCAUUGAAAUUGCCACAAAAGCAACCCAAAUUAUUUAUGAAUUGGAUUCGAUGGAAGGAAGAUGGGAAGGGGGAAAUUAAAGAGACAUGAAGAUCUGUGCAUGGCUACCUGUUUUGAGAAUUAUAGAUUUUUAUCCCUAACUCAAAACGGCACCAAUUAUAAGUUCAUUCAAAAAAAUCUGGAACACAAAAGAUGGAAAAAACUCGAAACAACUCGUCUAGAAUUUAGGCAAGAAGAAUGAGCCAAGAUUUUAAGUGAAAUGAAAUUUGUUUUACUUUGUUCUGUUUUUUAAAAUGAUAUAAGACAUACUACCUAUUUAAGGUGAAACAAAUGGAAUCGACAACCUUUAAAGAGAGUAGAGGCCACAUAUGUGUCACUCGUAUUCAAUAGCCUUUCUCCCAUACUGACAUGUGUUUUACACGCACCAACAUUUCUUUCUCUUUUAUUCUAUAAUAUUCAAUAUCGGUGAGUGAGGAUUUGGUAGUUGGCCUUAUUAGUAGUGUUGGUUGUUGACUUGUCAAACACGUUUUGGGCCCAUGCGUGGUCACCAAGAACAAAUUCGUGAGGGCGAUAAGGCCCAGAAAGAUAAUAUCUAGUAGGUUCAGUCAGGCUAUGACAUAUUCGAUAAUAACUCUUCAAUUAAGUCCUAAAUCUCAUUUUAUCUUUUCAAUUUAAUCCCUAAUUUGACACCAACUCUUCAAUUAGACCCCAAAGCUCAUCUCACAUGAGGAAAGCCCUCUUUUUUCAAUUUAGCCCCUUAUUAUCUUCAAUUUAAUAUCAAAUUUUAUUCGAUCCAGGCCCAAAAAAGGCUAAGCGAAGAUAGAAUAAAGGAAGGGAAAGAAGAUGAAUAAUUGCCCAACUGAGUUAACGUGUUCUGGUCUUUUCUCUAUGAUUCGGGUUGAACAUUUGACAUUUAUCCUUUUUUUCCUAUAGUCUUUUCUCCAUAUUCGUUGUGACGCCGCACACGUGCGACAACCAGUAAAUCUAUAGUUAAUUUCAUUUUUUGAUAAAAGAUAAUACCAUCGGUAUAGAAUGGUUACCAACUGUUAGUUUAAUAUGCCUUGUAGCCAAUCGGUUAGUUAUACAAGGUAUUAUUAUAUUCAUGUAAAUACAUAUUUAUUAUUAAUAAAGCCUUAAUUUAACUUUAAUAUUCAUAUAAUAUUAGAUUAAUGAAUCUAGAGUGUAGAUAAAGUUUAUGAGACAAAAAUGCUUUGCAAAGGAAAUUAUAAAGUUGUUAUAAUUAUGAGAUUUUUAAUGCGUCAAAAUAUUGUUAAUAAAAUGUUCUUGGUUGAUGCUCUCUUAAAUACUGGAUAUUUAUUAGAGCCAUAAAGACUGAUACAUAUUAUGUUUUUUCCUUUAUGAAAUGAAGCAACUGUUCUCAUAAGUUGAGCUAUAAGGGAUAUCUAAAACUAAUAUGUAUGUGCUUGUCAUAAGACAUGUGCACUGAAUUGACCCGCAUGAGAAUUCCAUAUGGAGAGAUUACCUAUGUCUAUGGAAAGACUCACGUGACGGUUGUAUAUGUAAUCCUCGGACUUGAGAUCACUAAGUUAUCUUAUAUAGAGAAUGUUAUGCUUUGAUCAUGUUACAUGUUAUCUUAAUUGAGGUAACAAAAUGAUAGACAUUGGGUAUAUCAUGAACUAUAUGAAGGUAUUUGAGUGAUUAAGAGAGGAUUUCAUCAUCCUGUGUGAAUUAGAAAAAAUGUUCAAUCUGUUCUCAAAUAGUAUUGACUGAGAAAUCCUUGACCAAUGUGGAAUGAUAUUUAAAAAGGGUUUGAAAUCUUAUUCAAAUGAUCAAUUAGUAUUAUUUAGAGAAUGAACAUAAUUUAACAUGACAAAUAUGCUUCAUGCUUUAAUGUUAAAUAAGAACAUUAGUGAUAAAAUGGUAUUAAUUACAAUGAGAAACCGGUAAUUUAAACCACUAAUAACUUUUCUAAUAUUUAGGGUAUCAUGACACGUUACUAGACAAUACACAUGAUCUUCAAAUCUUCAAUUGUAAUUUAUUUAAUUAUAAUUAUAAUUUAUAUUUGGGCCAAUAUAUUAAAUUGUGAUGAUUUAAUUAAGUAUAACUUGAUUAAAAUAUAUUUUAGAAAUUAAGGACUACAAUAUAAGUAAUACAAGGAUUAUAUUUCCAGAUCUAGAAAAAUCAGGUAAGGACUAGUGGUUCAUGUGGAUUACCGUUGAAGGACGAACAAUUGGACGACUUCUAGUUUGCAACAACUCAGUCUUUAAAAAAUUAUUCAAAACCGAAAAUGAUCAAAUUUUCAGGUAAUAAAUCCCUAAACAACUCUAGAUCUGUUUAACGAGAUUCUAGAAACUCCUGAAUAAUUUUAUUUUAUUACUUCAGCUGCAUAUUUGUUAUUCGACAAACCCAACACCAACUUCAUUGUUGGUUUAACAUUUCUUUUACAUGUUGGGAAUUUGGUACUAAUGGAUGUAUUUUCUUAAGUUGAAAUAAUGCCACACAAGAAAGGUUAAAAAGGCUCUUAAAAAGAAAAGAAAAGGAAAGACACGGUUGAGAUAAGAGGACAAAGGAAGAAAGUGAAUGGGACAACGGAAGAAAGUAAGGUAUUGUAGAGAAGAGGAGAUGAAAGUUAGUAUGAGAAAGAGGAUGAUAGAUAGAGUGGUUGUCCAAAUCAUAGUGGUUUUUAUAAUUAUAUUUAAUUUAUACAAAUAUUAAAUUAAUAUAUUCUUAGUAUUUUAUAUGAUUUAAUUUUUUUUUUGAUGAUUUAAAAAAUAUGUGUAUAAAAAAUUAUUUUAAUAUAUUUUAAAAUUAAAAGAAAAUGAGGUUUUAUGUUCAUUACCAUUUAAUUGUGGACAACAAUAGUGUAUUUUUUGAAAAUUUUCAAUUUUAUACUUAAAUUUUUUUUCAUAAUUGAUCCUUUUUAAUUAAAAUUAGAGUCGAAUUACAUAUUGUUUUAAGGAUGAGAGUUGAAUUAAAAGACAGGGGACUAAAGUUAAAAACUCAGCUAAAAUAGAUGGCAACUCUAUAAUUUGUUUGCAAAGUUCAUUUUAGUUCCCUGUUUUUUUAAGCUAUUAAAUAAUAAGUCCCUAUAAUUUUCCAGCAUUGCAUUUUGAAUUUUUUUUAUUAAUACUUUUUUAUAUAUAUUUUUGAAAAUAAUUUUAAAAAUGAUGUUUUUAUUAAUACCCUUUUUCUAUGAUUUUUUUUGGCCUUAUGUAGUCUUUCUUCAAUUAUUUUUAAUUUUGUUGCUUGUGUUUAAUUUUUUAAGAGGUUAGUAAUAUUUAUCUGUAAAUAUUUUUUAUAUAUUUCAGAUAGAUUAAGUAUCUAAUUUUUAUAAUAAUUUGAAUAUGUGUAGCCUUGCAUAGUUUUUUUUUUCCUUUUAUGAUAUUAAAAAAAAAUUAUGUGUGUGUUGAUUUCUAUUAUAGAUUGAUUUUAGUAAACAAAUUCAUUAAAUAUAACCAGAUAAAUGAUCCAUGUUGCAAUAUUAAAUAUUUUAUCUAUAUUUGUUUCUUAAUUUUUCCACUUGUAUUUUUAAUUAUCGGUAAUGACUUUAUUUUUUUCAUUUAUUUACAUAAUUGUUUGUGAUUUAUUUAAUUUGAUGCGUGUAUAAAUUUUUUGAUUUACAUUUAAAAAAAAUUUAAUAUAAAAAAACAUGUUGAGAAAUUCUUAUUCUUAUGAUUUUAGUUUGAUCCUUAUUCUUAUGAUUUCUUAUUUUCUUUCUAACCCUUUUAUAAAACAAAAAAUUGUUUGUAAUUUUAUCCUUCAUUUCAACAUAAUGAUGUAUUUUUUUCCUUAUAUAUAUUCUUGUUUGUUAUUAUUGCUUUUUUUCUUUAUAUAAUUCAUAUAAAACCAGCUUAUUUAAUCGGUCAAGACUAAAUAAAUAAAUAAAAAGAUAUACUCUGUCUUCCCAUUUCCUCUCCCUGGUGAAUUUUGGCGACCACCCACACAAUGAUAGCCUAAACAACCACCAGCCAUGCCACUUUUCAAGACCCCAUCUCUCAAUCUCAAAACCAGAAACAACCCUUUCUCAUAAUUCCGGGAAAGUGAAGAACUAAACCAUAGUGGCAAAAAUCUUAAAGGGUCUAAAUUAUCUCUGUUACUUUCCCUCAAUUUUCUAGACAAGCAAAAGGAGCUAAACUUAUUCCCGACCAAAACGCCAAGAAUUUCAGUAGAACAAAAGAAGAGAUUGUUACUUGACCAUAAACAAUUAGUCCGCACCCAAACAAACUGAGUGAAUGAGAGAAAAAGACUAAUAGCUAGAAAACAAUCAACAGAUCCAAGAAUUUUCUGUAUGGUUUCCAAGAAAAUGAAACGAAACGAGCAGCACAACCCUCUUUCUCCUCCAAGAAAAGAAAGAAGAAGAAAAAGAAAAAGAAAAAGAAAGGAAAGAAACAAAGAAGUUCGAGGAAAGAAAAAGUAAGGAAGAUGAAACCAUAAACCUGCAAGUCCUACAAAUCAUAAACAUUGACUUUGAUUUUUCCUUUAUAAAACCAUAAACCUGCAAGUCCUACAAAUCAACAUGAAGACUUAUCAGAUCCUAAUGAAAAGCUGUCAAAAUCCUAUCAGAAAUUAAGGAAGAUGACGUUACGUUAACUUCAAAUCUGAGGAUUAAUUGUAGCAGAUCUUAUAGGGUUCAGCUGAUUGCUUUACUUGUUUAAAUAAUUCUCUUGUAAGCCUAAUGGUUCACGUCUUCCAUCAUUGCAACCUUUUUUUCUGUGAUUGAAAAAUCUAUAAUAGGAACCUGCACUGCAUCCCUUCUAUGCUGUUGUUCUUUCUUCUUGUUUUGCUAUUUUGAUUUUAUCAUAUUUUCUAUGAUGAAAGUUGAAGAAAUUCUACUUCGAAACUCAAGACAAAGUCUCUCGGACUGCAUAUUAGUGGGUUGCUCAUUGGGAUUUCUAUAAACAACUGAUUCUAUUGCAAAGCAACAUUACGAAAAACUGAAUAUUUCACACAUUGUCAAUUCCUUAACAUUUUCCAAACAAAUCCAUGCUCCUCAUUUUAUACUGUCUUGAGGGUUUCUAUUCUCUUAUUACCAAUUUCAGUAAGUUUCAUAAUAAGCUGCUUAGAAAGAAGCUAUCUAACAGGAGGGUGGGGCUACUCUUAGCCAAUGAAAACAGCUUCACAUGCUAUACAGCAACGUGAAAAAAAGAUUCUCAGCCUGUUCUCUCUUUAAUUGAACCAGUUAUUUUUCUCAAAAAUAAAAAAAGUAAACCGUUUUCUAAAAAUCUAAUUUAUAAUAAAACAAAUAAUAAGACUUGAUAAUAAUUCACUAAAUAACCAUUAAUUAUUCAUCAAACCAAUAUGAAAAAUCUAAUAUUAAAGCUAGGGACCAAUCUGGAAUUUUAUUAUAUUUUUAGGGGUCAAAUUAUAAUUUUAUUAAAUUGGAGGACCAAACUAAAAAUAUCAUAAAUUCAUGACUAUACUGGAAUUCUGCUCAUAAUUCACCCUCAAUUCUGCUCAGAAUCUCAAAUUAUGCUCCAAGGAUCACUCUAGAAUUUUAUCAAAUUUCUAGGGUCAAAUUGUAAUUUCAUCAAAUUGGAGGACCAAAGUGAAAAUAUCAUAAAUUCAUAACUAUACUGGAAUUCUGCCCAUAAUUUAACUUUAAUUCUGUCCAGAAUCUCGGAUUAUGCUCCAGGGACCAAUCUCUAAUUUUUCCAAAGUUCAGGGACUAAACUGUAAUUUUCAUAAAUUGAGAGACCAAGCUGAAAUUUUAUAAUCUUCAACCUCAAACCCAGAAUUUACACAGAUAACCUACUGAUAUAUCAAGAUUUCUAACUUAAAUUCACCAUAACUUAAAAUAAUUAUUUUUACCUAAAAUCUUUCAAAAUCAACUAAAUAACUCAUUACCCAUAACAAUCUACUCAUAAUUUUUCUGUAAUGUAAUUGUAAUUCCUAGCAUAAUGCAUAUUCAAGGGCAAGCACAAAAACUCAAGAGCAAAGAAACUCGAUGAAAUAGUAAAAGAAAAAGACUUGAAGGAUUGAAAUAAAAUAAAACCAAAAAAGAGGGAUGAAAAAAGUAACCGCACUCUGGUUGCCAUAAAAAACAUAGUUCUUUUAGUAUUUUUUUUUUAAUAUUGUAAUAGGUCAAUCAUAUUACCCGAGUGUGUGAUACAGAGAUGAUCAUCAUAGAAAAUUACUUUUAAUUGCUUGAGUUUUAUCCUUAGAUGACAAACUUACCUCGUCCUCCUAAUGCUUUUGCUUUUGCUUUCAUUGUUUCGAAAGUAAAAGAGACAUAAACAUAAUCAUUUCCUUCCUUUUACUUUCCACUUCUUUGUAAUGGAUUGCGAACGGGAUGGUGCUUAGUGAGGCCAGUUUUUCUUUUCCUUUCUUUUUAAAAUCUUAUGCCUUGGGUGAGGAAAUUAGUGGGGCAUUAGACUUUUUAAAAGACAACAAAAAGAAGCAAUGUCUGAUCAUCUUUUGAUAUGGUGGUCUUCCAUGAUCAGUUUUCGAAAGAUUCGAGUCUCCGUUCUAGCUCAGGUUGGGAGCUAGGCCGAAAGCUAAGCUUCUUUUAAUUAUGAAUUGUUUAUGCAAAGGAAACCCAGAAGCUUGAACAAACAGAAAUGCCUUGUUGAUUUCUCUGCUACUACUCAUUAUUUCCAAUAUUAUUCCAUUAUCUUACCCGAAAGCAAUUAUACAAGAAAUUUCAUUAUCCUGCCCCAGAAGGCAAUUUAUUACAAGGACUUCCUUUAACCUCCUUGAAGGCAAUUUAUUUGAUGAAAAUUCCUUUAAUCCACCUCAAAGACAAUUUAUCUUAGGGAAUUCCAACGACCCAGGAAAUUUAUUUCCUGGAAAUUCCUUUAACCCGCCCUAAUUAAGUCAUUUUAUCCAAGGGAAUUCCAAAAUCAAUUUAUUUCUUGGACUCAGUAUUCUUUGAUACUAGUUAUUUAUAUAUAAUUUAACAUCACUUAAUCAUCUUGCAUUUAAGAAGAAAUUCAAAAGUAAGGAUAUAACCCUUACCUAGAGCUCCUGUGGUUCUUGUUCCCGAGAGAAUUGGCUCCAUUCCUGACAAAUCUAUUACCAAAAACCCAAGUUUCAACCAAUCAAUAACAUCAACACCCAUUUUAAUUCAAUGCAAUAAGUUUUUCUUAACCAAUUUACUUGAUGCAAGUUCUUAUAAUCAAAGUGACAGUACUAUUCAGGAUGAAGACAAGCAGAAGGGCGUGUAUUAAUUUUAUUUUUUAAUGUUCAGCUUUUUUUAUUGAAUUUUAUUUGUCAAUAUUGAAUUAAUUAUAAAUUAAUUUUUAUAUUUUUUUUUAUCAUAUAUAAAAAAACAAAGUAAUCUCAUCUUUUGAUACGGUGGUCCAAGAUGCACCAUGACAUGGUUGUACGUAGUUUUUUUUUGCCUGUUUCUUUUAAAAAUGUUAUGUCAUUUAAUUUAUAAUUAUAAAUUAAUUUUUUUUAUUGGUCAUUUUAAUUUUUUUUACUUUUUUUAUAUAUAAUUUUUUAAUUUUAUAUUUUAAUGUUGAGUUUUUUUAUUAAAUUUUAUUUGGCUAUAAACCAGAACUUUUUAUUUUUUAUUUUUUGGACAAGUAGAGAGAAAUUAAAUAAACAAAGUAGUCUCAUCUUUUGAUAUAGUUGUAGUUUUUUAUUAUUUGAUUUUUGCCUUUUUCUUUUAAAAAUGUUAUCUCCUUGGUAAGGAAUCCUUGGUUCCCAACGGCAACUGUAGCAACGUAAAAACAAAUCUCUAAACUCCACCGAAAGUAGUAGAGCAUUAGUUUUUUAAAUUGACAAAACGGGGACAAAGUGGGAGCGAAGAAAAAGACAAUAGUGCAUGUUUAAAACAUGCGAUACACCGUAUAUAUGACAAUAAUAAAACCACCGUUUAAAACAACUCUGAAAACAAAUUUUUUUUUAUAAUUCAUAAUUUAUUAAACAUGCGAUAAAAUAAGUCAUAGUGCAUGUUUUCAUUUGGCAUUUAAUUCCAUGAACAUGAUUUUUUUAGAUUAAUAUGAAUAUCCGGAUUAGCUUGUGUACCUCAACUAAUCCCAUGAAUCCUAAAAUUAACGAUAAUAUAAGUAUCUAGUGGCCCUGAAGUUUGUGAAAUUUGAACUUAUAAUUUUUAGAGAGCAAAUUCAGGAUCUGAUCAAUUGAGCUACUUUCCUCAUAUUUUCAUUAAAUCUUACUUUUCGAUCAAAUUAAUGUGACCAUAAUAUACUUGUAAUCAGACCAUUAAUUGACUGUUCUUGACUAGCUAUUGUUUCUCAUUGGCAAGAGUCAUUGCCAAUUAUCAUAACAUGUUAGUGAUCUAUUACAACUAGUUCUAGCAUCUACAGAGUUCUUAUUUAACCAUUAAAUCAAUUUAUAAAACAUUAUUGACUAGCUAUCUAACACUAACAACUAAUCACUGAUAAUAUUUAUGCAAAACUUGUAGCUUCAUACAAAUCACAGUUGCUCCUCGUUUGAUACUUUCUUGAAGGUUUCUUUUCUCUUAUUACCAAUUUCUGUGAGUUUGUGAUUUUUUAUCUGUACCGUAUCAUCCGAACAAUUACUAGAACCACACAACUAAUAUGUAAAUUCACAAAUUCCCUACAGUUCAUAUUGCCAACAAACUCCUCUUGCCAUUCCCUAAUUGCAUUGAGCCAACUAAUCUGGAUGAAAGAAAGGACUUCGACCUUGCUAAUCUGGAUGAAAGAAAGAAAGGAACCUUAAAGCAGACCCAACUUUGUAGCUCAUUACCAGUUACGUAAAAGUUAUCAAUAGCUGUGUGAAUCAUUGAAACUGCCACAAAAGCAACCCAAAUUAGUUAUGAAUUGGAUUCGAUAAAGGAAAGAGGGGAAGGGGGAAAAGACAGAUGAAGAUCUGCGCAGGGUUACCUGUUUUGAGAAUUAUGGAUUUUUAUCCCUGUCUAACGUGACAAAACCUUCUCUUAGACUUAGACCUGUUUCAUUGGUCCAUAAAUGCAUUUGCUAGACUAUCAACAUAAUUUAUCUUGGGCAAAUCUUCAUCUAGUUAUGGUAGACUCACACCUGACUGCUUAUAAUCACUAAUUAUUAUAGAAUUGACUACAUCAAAAUUGGUCGGUUUUUUUGUUUUCAAAGAGAUUUAAACUUGAUGCAGACGAAAGCUAUAAACACAAUAAUUAAAGAACACCAAAAAAUAUAUGAGCAAAAGAGACUGUAGAUGUGAACCCUCAAAUUCCCAAGUUUAUUUUCUCUAAAAUAAUAAUAAUAAAAUUUUUCUUCUCAGGAGGUUUACAAAGCCUUAAAUAUGUUAGGAACCUUACCUCAACUAGGAAACAAAAACAGAAACCAAAAUUACAAAGGAAAGAAAUAUAAAAUCCAAAACAAGCAAGAAAUGAAAAAAUAACAAGGAAAAUCACAAAACUGUCAAAACUAGAGGCCUAAACAAGAUUUUUUAUAUUUAAAGAUUCGAUGGUUCACGUGAAAAUUUGAGCAUGAUCAAAUAAUCAAAUAAAAAAUUAUAACUUUUUGAGUUUUUAUUCUGGUCUGACGCGACCAAACUUCUUCUUGAUCCUAAACUUGUUUUAUUGGUCCAUAAAUACAUCUCCAUGACCUCUUUUUUUUUGUUUCACUAUAGAUGAAGUUUGACCAUCAUCAUAUAUGGUUUGACUUAGCCGUAUCGGUUUUCAAUUAGAUCAACUUCAUAUAUUAUGGGUUUACAUUUACUAUUUUUUAAAAAAAUGCUCACAAGUCCAUUUUUCACACCUCAAACUCGUAACUGCAGCGAUUCGUAGGCAACGAAACUAGUUAGAGACUAGAGAGUAAACAUGCUACUAAAGUUUGCAGGUGAGGGUUUAGAUUAGAUUAUUUGUUGUCUUGUUUCAAAUAUUAUAUCAGUCUCAACUCAUUAAAUAAACAAGUGGUGCAUUGAUCCUUGGACUCAAAUCAUAUAUACACGGUGAGCUCAUUUGUGUUUUUAUUUUUUGUCCCUCCCUGUACUUGUAGCAGAAGAGAAGCUGCUCUCAUCUUUGAAGGAAUGCAAACAAUUGUUAAUAUGAAACAUAUUAUGUACAAAUUAUAAUAUUUGUAAGAAGCCGUUUUGCUGCCCACCGGCGGCCAUCUGAUCAGAGAACAAUAUUAUAUUUUUUAAACCCUUCACUCUCAUAAAAACAAUUUAUAUGAUUUUAAAUAGGAAAACAUAGAAAAAAAUAUGAUUAAAUAUUUUUAGAGAUUACAUAUUAUUGUUUUAGUUUUUUUUCUUGAUUAGAGAUAGGUUGAAUAAAAGUAGUAAUAAUUUAUUUUUGUGAAAAAGGGUUACUACAACUCCUGAUAAUUAGUUUCAUGUAAAAAAUAAAAAUAAAAAUAGUAACUAAAAUUUAUUUUAGUUAUGUUAAUAAAAUUUUAAUUAUAUUUUAAUUGAAUUAAGUAUUUCAACACAAAAUUUUUGUUCUUAUACAGUUAUAUAUUAAUUCUAACAAAAAAUAUGGUUUCUAUGUUUAAAUUUUGGUAUUAAUAACGCAUAUAACAAUGAGGCAGUUAAGUUUCUUCGACAAAAUAAAAUCAUUUAAAAAAUAAAAAUAAGCUAGUAUGUUUGUUACAUAACUAAAAAAAAAUCGAUUUUUUUUUAAAUUAAUUUUUUUAAAAUCAUUUUAGUAGACUGAUAUUAAAAAUAAAUUUUAAAAAAUAAAAAAUAUAUUAUUUUGAUAUAUUUUAAAAAAAACAUUAUGAAAAGAAAUUGUUAAUAUUUGUUAAAACAUUAUUGUUAAUAUUUCUGGUCGUUUACUAAAUAUAUAAUGACAUGUGAUUGGAAUAACGUAUGUGAACUUGUACAAAACUUAAUAAAUGAGAAAACUAAGGUAGCCGGUCACGUGGGCUUAAUGGACCUCAAUACAAGUUUUUGAUAUUUACUUUCACGUGUGUUUUAUGAGAAAACUAAGGUAGCCGGUUUCUGAUAAUAUGAGCUGAAUCAAUCAAGCUUAAGAAGCCAAUUUGUAUCCCAUUGCCAAUGAAACAGUUGGAAUUAAUUACUUCCCACCAAUCUAAAACAUAUUCGCAGCACCAACCUUGAAAUCAUGUAACAGCUAACCAACCUUGCCUGAUGCAAACAUGAAGAACAAAGACAAUCCAUGAUUUAAUUCAACCAUUAAAAUUUGAAGGUAAAGGAGAGGAUAAAUAAUCUUCAGCUAUAUCACCUGGUUUGGGCAAGAAAGAAUUAUUAGACUACCAAUCAUCAUCAUUCUUCCCACCCGUUAUCUCGGGUCCACUCUCUAUUAAUGCUUGAAUCUUCAGCUACUUCAGAUACCUGUAAACCAAUUCAAGCAUGGCAUGCUCAUUUUAACUUGUAAAUCUUAUUAUUGAGCCAAACAAGAAACAAACACACUAAAAGAGAGGCAAGAAAUCAAGUCAAAUCAGCAGCACCUCUGAUUGAGCACUCAUUGAACCAUCUGGUGCAGUAGCAAAUUUUGUGGUCAGCUUUGAACAUUGAUGGACCUUCAACUUCUCCAAACGAGGGAAUAAGAAAUAAUCACACCAUCCGAAACUAAAACAGACAAUACUUGAUAAUUGUUCUAGUGACAACUCCUUCAGAUUAGGAAGCACUAUCUCCUUCUCAACGUUGAUAGCUUGAUCAUCCUGCCCUGGAGACUCUGGAAUUAUUUUCCUUUCACCAUCCUCUUCUCUGAUAAUAUGCUUCAACUCACCACAAUUACUUAUCUCAAGUCUUUCUAGCUUUAGCAGACUUUGAGCGAGUGACUGAGUAAAGAUAAAUGUCAGUUUGUCGAGAGAAUUCAAAUACAGACGAGCAAGACUUUGGAAGCUGACAUUCCUGGUGGGCCCCUUCCAUAUAUAUUUGAGCUCAGGUAACCUUCUUAGAUGUAACUCUGUUAUAGAUGACAGCAGCUCCUUCUCCUCACUGCUUCCUUCAUCAGGCAGCUCACUCAAUCCAAAUACCUCUUCCAAUGAAUUGGAGCCGCAAAUUUCCACCCUCCUUAGAUUUUUCAGAGCUCGCAGCAAUUUUGCUGGAAACAGAGCGCGGACAUCCCCACAAUCGUACACUAGUACAGAUUCUAAUCUUUGUAAGAAGCCGUUUUGCUGCCCAAGGACGGCCAUCUUAUCAGAGAACAAUAUUAUAUUUUUUCACUCAUAAAAACAAUUUAUAUGAUGUAUAAAUAGGAUAAAAAAAAAUAGAAAAAACAGGAUUAAAUACUUCUUAGAGAUUACAUAUUACUGUUUCAGUAUUUUUUUUCUUAAUUAGAGAUAAGUUGAAUAACAAUUAGAUUUUUGCGAAAAAAGGUUAAUACAACUCCUAAUAAUUAGUUUCAUGUAAAAAAUAAAAAUAAAAAUAGUAACUAAUAUUUUUAUUUUAGUUAUAAAGUUAAUAAAUUUUUAAAGAUAUUUUAAUUGAAUUUAAUAUUUGAACACAAAAUAAGCUAAUAUGAUUUCUAUGAUUAAUUGUUGGUAUUAAGUUUCUUAUAUUUAAUACAACUCAAUAUAAGAUGGAGGUUUAUCUUCCUUUUCAAAUACUUCCAUUAAUUGGGGGAAGAGCCUCAAUUUCACUCAAACUUGGAAAGCAUAAAGAUUGAAAAAUCUAGGUAGGAUUUCAUUACAGUAAUUAAUUGUUCCAGUGACAGCUACCACAGAUUAGGAAGCCCAUCUCCUUCUCAACGUUGAUAGGUGAGGAAUGAUCAUCCUGCACAAAUACUCCAAAUAAUUGAGAAGCUUCACUUACUUUUAGUAUUUGGAGCUUUGGGAGACCUGAAGUCAUGGCUACUGGGAAGAGACUCUUCAACUUGUUGCAUUUUCUGACAUCAAUUUCACACAAAUUGGGAAAGCAUAAAGAUCGGAGAUGAUCUCCUAACAAUAUAUGGUCGUUUUCAUCAUCAUCCUUAAUUAGCAAUGAUUUGCUCUGAUUCCUCACAGAACAAUAUCCGUAGAAUUUUCAGUUGAACUAGACUGACAAUCAUGCUGCAUGUGAAUACAUGUGUCAAUCUCUUACACUUGACCACAUCCAAAGUAGUCAAUUUGCUCAGCACGAGACCCUUCCAUAUACACCUCAUGUCAAGCAGGGAUUCCAAGCAUAAUGUUUCCAAAUUUGUCAACCCUUGCAUCAAAAGAAAACAAGGAUACCAAUUUGUUGGAUAUAAUUCCUACGAAAUUUUGUGCACGGUGGAACUAUAUAAUUUUGGUAAAUAGAUGGAUGAAUUGUCCCCAAUACUUCAGCCAAAAACUUAUCAACAAAAGAAUAUAAGUAAACAUGGCAAUAGGGCUUCGGAAUAUGAAAUCAGAAGUUGUAGGACUGAAAGAGACAACUCAAUAUUAACAGAUGGAGGUUUAUCUUCCUCUUCAAAUACCUCUUAAGCCCUGCAUCAAGAGACAGGGAAAGAUACAGUUAGCCAACUCCUUUUUAAAUUUAGUGGAUGGCUAAUGGAUUUAUCUCCACUUAUCAAUUACUUUUGUUUUAGAAAUCUAGAGGAAGGAAUCACAGUGUAUUGAAGUUGACAAUUUAAAUUAAAAAGGAAAAAAUUAUUGGAGAAAUAUAAAGGAUGUACUUGUAGCUGUGCAGACAAAUUACCCAAUUCUUCGUGGCCAGAGAUGCAUAGAUUUUGCAAAGAAGGUAAUUGGGCAGCAAAAUUCUUCGAACCAAAAAAGCUGUAAUUUGAUCUGGAAAAAAGAUACAAUUUUCUUAGUCGAGGGAACUUGAUGAUGCCAUCUCUGGUGAGUGCAUCUCCUUCUCCAAUGUAAAAUAUUUGCUUUAAAUUGUCAGCAAAAUCAAUCUCCAUCUCUUCCAGGUUCAGAAGGCUUGGAGAAACAGAGACAGGGAAGACAUAUUCCAGUUUACCACACCGUUCUAUGAAGAUAAAUUUUAAUUCUGGGAAGCCCGGAGACUCUGGAAUUAUCUCCCUAUGUAGACACAAUUUUAUACACCUGAAAUUAAACAACUACAAGUGUAUAAAUAUAUAAUUUUAUUAAAUAUAUGAUCAGAUAUAAUUUUUAUCUAAUAUAUUUUUUCAAAAGAAUAUGAAAAUUCUUUGAUUCUUCUUUUGGAUUUGAUAUAUGAUGACUUGAUUUAUUUGAGAAAUCAAACCAAGAUUUGUGCUUUGCAAGAACACGAAUUUAGGCGUAUAUUGCAAAGCGAGAUAUGAUAAUUUGAUGCUUUGAAGAGUACCUUUAAAUCGUCUUCAAAGUAUUGUUGAAGAACUCAAAUAGGCAUUUAGACUUGAUUCAAUAUAGCUUUGUUCUUUGUAAACUUCAAGCGUAGAUGAAGGAGGCUUGAGAACUUUUGAGAAGGCUUCCUUACUUGAAGAGAGAGAGAGAGAGAGAGAGAGAGAGAGAUUCUUUGCUUGAACAGUUUGUCUUGAAAGAAAUUUGUAUUUCCCAGAAUCCUCCCCUUCUCUAGGUUGAGACCCUCUAUUUAUAGAGAUCUGUAAAGGUUCUCAGGUCCUUUUCCAAUGCCUUAUGAUAUAAUUUUAUUAGUUGAUAUUUAUUGGUGUGAUCUUGCAUUUAUGACAAGAUAUCUUGAAUAUCUUAUCUCAAGUGUCAACCUUUUAUUGGCCAAGAAAUAUAUGAAGACUCAUUUAUUUUUCAUGUUAUAUAUUUCAAUUUUAUUUAUUCUUUCUUUUAAAAUAAAAUAACACGUGGUGAAAUUUGAUUGGUAAAAAAUUUGUGUUUCUACAUAUGUCCUCUCGAGAAAAGUUCACUUACUUUCGAAAUAAGUGGGCAUGUCUCGAAAAAUAUGGUCGAGAGGGUUUUAUAUUUUUGACUAAAAUUUGAUUUGAUCAUAUUAGAUUUUCAUAAUAAAUAGAUAAAUUUGAUUGUGAAAUAAAAUAUGAUAGUCAAAAUUAAAAAUUUAUGGACCAAUCUUGAUUGAAAUUUAUCAAAUCAAAUGAUAGAAUAUCUAAAUUCAAUAUCUCAUUUGAAACAGUUGCAUAUUUAAGGAUCAAACAAAAUUUAUCUUUAUACCUGAAUAGCAACCAACACUUUGACCGGCUUGCAGGAUUUUUUUUUCAUCGGAAGUGGUCACUGUAACAUCUUGUUUUGAAGAUCUCAUUGUUCUGAAUCCAACGACGAAAUUCGUUCGUGAUUCCAGCUAGUGGUUAAUGAGCUAUAAAAUAUUAAAGAUUUUGAUUAAUUUUCUCUUCCUUCUCUUGAUAUGCGUGCGCACUCAUAUUGGUUGAUGAAUUAUUUUCUUCCUUCCCGUUCAAAUGUUCUUUCCUUUAACAGUACAGGAAAUUUGUGUUUCCUUUUCUUUUGGCUUUACCAUGUGCAUCCUUUGUUUCCUGAAUGAAUUGUCCAACGUGAAUGAAUUAUUAAAAGAGCAAAAGAAUUCCAGUACUGGUAGCCGACUUCGCUUAAUUGAACUAGGAAAACUUUCUUCAACUAGGAAAAGUUCGCUGGCUUUUGAUUAUGUUAAUUAAGCAAGAGUCCUCUCAUCAGAGUAAGCGGCUAUAAAAACCAUACUUGUCCCUUCUAUUUUUUUUACAGACAGUUCGGCUUCCAAUAAAGCCAGGCAAUCAAUCUUAGGAGGCGUUCGUCAUUCUCUUCUUCUUUAGCACCAGCAGGUUGCUACUUCUCAAAGGAAUCAGCUAUUUUAUUUCUAUCAAUAAGUUGCGGUCGUUCUGUGUUGUUUUAAUAAUCCUGGUUCCUUCAACACAGCCUCCACCAGCAGUCCAGGUAUGCAUGUCUCCAUUUAUUUUUUUGUUUUAUUACAACUGCAAUUUUUUAAAACGAGAAGGAAGGUGCCCACCCUAUUCUUGCUGCUAUCUCUAUAUAUCUCUGAUUAUGCGUGUGGCUGUUCACUGCUAGGUGGUAUCGAACCUCCCAAAGCUCAUUGAAGGUCUGAAGUGAUUGGCCAAGUCUACUCCCAUGGUGGACUGUUCCAUCAAGGGAUCUUCUUUAUUGGAAACCAAACCAUCACUGCAGCUAUUUCAAUGUCCUUUUCAUCACCAACCAAGUCUUUAUCAAUGUCAAUAGCAUCUGAAUUAUGACCAUCAAUGUCGACUGGAGCAAAGCUGUGACCCUUAAUUCCAAUUGCAUCAGAUCCAUUGCCAUCAAACUUCUCCUUGGUCCCAUCCGACACAAACCUCCAAGGAUCAAACGAUGCUAAUAAUCUUUUUUUUUAUUUGUGUCUUUGCAGAUUUUGCUUCAGCAAGACCUGCUCCCUGAUGAUCAUCGUAAUAUUUUGUAUGGGCUCACUUUCAUCUUCUCAUUGAAUUACCACGGAGUUGUUGUAACAGUAGCAGCAGAGUCAACAAAUCCUUCAGCUUUACAUCUUUCACAGUCUUAGGGGUAGGUAAUUUUUGAAUGACUUCAACCUUUGACUUAUCUACCUCUAUCCCUUUUGAAGAGACAAUGUGACCUAAGACAAUGCCAUGUGUCACCAUAAAAUGACACUUCUCCCAAUUGAGUACAAGAUUGUUCUCUUCACACCUUUCAAGAACUUUUUCUAAAUGCAUUAGACACAACUCAUAAGAAUCCCCAUAAACUGAAAAAUCAUCCAUGAAAACUUCCAAAAAAUUUUCCACCAUGUCACUAAAGAUACUCAUCAUACACCUUUGAAAAGUGGUUGGUGCAUUACACAAGCCAAAAGGCAUUCUUCUAUAAGCAUAGGUACCAAAAGGACAAGUGAAAGUGGUUUUUUCUUGGUCUUCUAAAGAAACCUCAAUUUGGUUGUAACCUGAGUAUCCAUCAAGAAAACAAUAGAAAGCUCUUCCGGCUACUCUUUCAAGCACUUGGUCUAAAAAUGGAAGCGGAAAAUGGUCCUUCCUAGUUACCAUGUUCAACUUACGAUAAUCAAUGCACAUACGCCAUCCAGUUUGGAUUCUAGUUGGUACUAGCUCAUUAUUUACAUUUUUCACUACCGUGACUCCAGAUUUUUUUGGGACAACUUGGGUUGGACUAACCCAUUUUGAGUUUGCAAUGGGGUAAAUGAUACCCGCAUCAAGUAGCUUAAGCACUUCACAUCUUACUACUUCCUUCAUGUUUGGGUUCAAUCGUCUUUGCAUUUGCCUCACAGUUUUAGCCUCUUCUUCAAGAUAGAUUCUAUGUGUACAUGAAAGAGGGCUAAUUCCUUUCAAGUCAGUAAUAGUCCACCCAAUUGCUUUUUUGUGUUUUCUCACCACUCUCAAAAGUUCUUGUUCCUGCUCUAUGCUAAGUUUUGAUGAAAUCACAAUAGGAUAUGAUUCAUCUUCCCCUAGAAAUGCAUACUUAAGAUCACUCGGUAAAGGCUUCCUUUCUGGUUUAUAAGGUUGGACAAGAGAUGCCUCAGCUUUUACUUGGGGUGAAAUCAAAGGCUCAAACGAUGGGGUCCAUUGACUUAUUGACAUAAUAGGCAUUGGAUCUAAAUAAGUCUCGAGUUCUCUUACUUCCUCAUCAACACAUUCCAAAGAACAAAAUCUUUCAUCAUGAAUUAAAGUUCUCUCCAAUGGAUCCUUGAUCCACUCUCUCUCAAAGUGUUCUUGACAAACUGUUUGGAUCAAAUCUACCUCUCUAAUGUCCUCAUGUUCACCAAUUUGUUUAGAGACAUUGAAUAUGUUAAUCUCCACAGUCAUGUUCCCAAAAGACAAUUUCAUCACGCCAUUCCUACAGUUGAUUAAAGCAUUGGAUGUAGCUAGGAAAGGUCUACCUAAGAUGACUGGGAUGGGAGCAUUAGAACCUUGAAUAGGUGCGGUGUCUAGCACUACAAAAUCAACAGGAAAGUAGAAUUUAUCUACUUGGACCAACACAUCCUCAACAAUACCCCUGAGAAUCUUGAUUGACCUAUCAGCUAAUUGAAGGGUGAUUCGAGUAGGCUUGAUUUCUCCUAAACCUAACUGUUCGUAAACAGUGUAGGGUAUCAAAUUCACACUUUCUCCUAAAUCCAACAAAGCUUGGUCUAUCCUAUGACUUCCAAUAAUGCAUGAAACGGUAGGACAACCAGGAUCUUUGUAUUUGGGAGGGGUCUUAAACUGGAUGAUGGCACUAGCAUGUUCAGUUAGAAAGGCUCUUUCUUUCACAUUCAAUCUCCUUUUGACUGUGCAUAAGUCCUUGAGGAACUUUGCAUAAGAUGGGACUUGUUUAAUUGCAUCAAGGAGUGGAAUGUUGACUUUCACUUGUUUGAACAAUUCAUAGAUUUCCGAGUUCAUAAGAUCAUGUUUAGGUUUCCCUAACCUUUGUGGAAAUGGUGCUCUAGGAACAAAUUCUAAAUCACUCACUUUGACUCCAAUUUUUCUUGAAUCAUCUCCUUUCUCACUCAUCUCUUUCUCAUUUAUCUCACCUUCUUUGUCACUCAAGCUCUCAUUUGUCACUUGUGUUUUGAUUUCCUCUUCACUUUCCUUAGAUUUCUCCUCCACAAUACCUCUAGGAAUCUCAAAACCUAUAGCUUUGGCAACAAUCUUUCCACUUGUUCAUGGUUUGAAGGUUCACUAGAUGAGGAUUCACUCAUGUGUACCUGACCUCUAGGAUUUGGCAUUGGUUGAGCUGGAAUCUUUCCCUUCUCUUGAAUGCUUAGUGAUUGAGUCAACUUGGUUAGUUGACUUCGAAUGUCAUCUAAGGUCCUAUUGGUCUGGUCUUGAAAUUUGUAAGCUUGGUUGUUGAUUCCUCCUUGUGUUUGCAUGAAUUGUUGAAGAGUAUCCUUUAGGGAUCUCUUAUGAGGUGGUUGGUAUGUAUUAUGUGUGGGAGCAUGAAAUGGUUGGGGUGGAGGUUGAAAUGUUUGAGGUACUGAAGGCCCCUCAUUUCUCCAUCCAAAAUUUGGGUGGUUCCUCCAUCCAGGAUUGUAGGUCUCAGAGUAGGGAUUGCCUACUUGGUUUGAAAAUGGCUUUCUAACAUUACUUGAAUUAGAAGUUUGGCCAUAUAGCACUUCCUUGAAGGCUGGAAUGGUAGGACACUCAGUUGUCCUAUGCCCUUUGCUCUCACAAACAACACAACUUUCCUCUUGUUGUUCACUCAUGACAUGCACUUUUUUAAUCUCAAGAGACUCUACUUUCCUAGCCAAUGAGGCUAAUCUAGCAUUGAGGUCAUCAGUCUCUUUCAAUUGGAACUUCCCACUUGAAUGAGAAAUGGUGUUUCUAGACUCAACAUGAAGUGGGAGAGAAGUCUCUCAUUGCUUUGUGUUUUCAGCCAAUUGAUCAAAGAAAUCAAAGGCUUCACUUGGUUCUUUGUCAUAAAACUCACCAUUACACAUGGUUGACACUAGCUUUUUAAAAUCUGCGGUAAGAGAGUCAUAGAAGAAACUCACUAACCUCCACAUCUCAAAACCAUGGUGGGGGCAUGCAUUUAACAAGUCUUUGAACCUUUCCCAAGCUUGGUGAAAUGACUCAUUUGGACUACAAGAAAAAUUCAUCAUUUGACGUUGUAAGGCUGCCGUCCUAUGAGUGGGGAAGUAUGUUUUCAAAAAUUCAGCUUGCAUUUCUCUCCAUGUACCUAUAGACCUAGGACACAAGGAGUUUAGCCAAAGCUUGGCUUUAUCCUUUAGAGAGAAUGGGAACAAUUUAAGACGAAUAGUUUCCUCGGUGCAUGUUCUAUCAAUAAAAGUAUUACAUACCUCUUCAAAGUCCUUAAUGUGUAUGUAUGGAUUUUCAGAAUCCAUACCGUGAAAUGUGGGAAGAAGUUGAAUCAUGCCCGGUUUCAAAUUGAAAGCUUGUUGGUUAAGAGGUAAGAUAAUACACGAAGGUGUACUUUGUCUAGCCGGGUGAAGAUACUCUCUAAGAGUUCGAAAAUUAGGUUGAUCAUUGAAUUGUGGAGGUCCAUUACCUUGAACACUCCCUUCACCCUCUACAUCUUCAACAUUAGCCAUGAUAAAAUAAUAAUAAUAUAACAAUUAUAUGAAUACGAAAGGAAAGGAAAAACAAAGAAAAAGAAAAAGAAGAUUGCAAAUAAAAGUAAAUGAAAUGUAAAAGAUAAAGUAAUAGCUCAAAAAUAAAAAUACAACAAAUUAAGAAAUUCUCCAACUAAUAAGCAAUAUUAACAACAAUAAACAUUAAAAGAUAAUUAUAACAAGCAUGAAUAAAAAGGCGGUAAUACCGGCCAAGCACUUCAGACAAUAAAUAUAAGAAAAAUAACAACAAUAAACAUUAAAAGAUAAUUAUAACAAGCAUGAAUAAAAAGGCGGUAAUACCGGCCAAACACUUCAAACAAUAAAUAUAAGAAAAAUAAUCACAACAAAACAACAAAAUAAAAUAAAAUGAACAAGAGGCGGUAAUACCGGCCAAGCACUUCAGACAAUAAAUAUAAGAAAAAUAAUAACAGCAAAAUAAAAUAAAAUAAACAAGAGGCGGUAAAACCAGCCUUAUAAUAUAAACAAUAAAUAUUAGAAACUAAUUAAAAUAGACAAUACAAGAAAAAUGGUUGAACCAACCAAAAUCCAACAAUUAAUAGUCUAGUCCACAGUCCAAUAUCCAAAAAGUUGAGGUCAAUAUUUUUUUUUUAGGCGGUAAAACCAGCCAUUUGAUUUUUUAUUUUUAUGUAUUUUUUUUUGUUUUCCAAUAAUCAAAUAGAAAUUUGUUACCUUUGCUUGCUAGCUCCCCGGCAAUGGCGCCAAAAUUACUUGACCGCUUUUUAUGUUCGGCUUGUUUUAACUCGCAAGUGCACGAGUGUGCGAUGUAGCAAUUAACUCGGUAAGAUCGAGGUCAUAUCCACAGAGAGCUAGAUCUGGAAAUUAAGCUAGGUAACAAAAAAACUCAAGAGAAAUUAAAUUAACAAUAACUUGGUUGAAAAUGAUUGAUGGAUUUGUUUUCAAAGAUGAAAAGGUGUAAAUAGAUUUUAAAUGACAAGAAAAAGUAAGUCUUGGUCCAAAUCAAUUUUAAUGGUGAUGUAUUGGUGAUUCCUUCAACAUAUAUAAGAUAACUCAACCUAAUAUCAACAAUGGUGAUAUUAGAUCGGAAGAUAUUACAAUGAAGAUUAAAAAGAUGAAGAUUGAUUAUUGCUUAAGAAUGAACAAGUACUUUCAUAUUAAGUAAGACAUUGAAUCAAGCAAUCUCUAUACCAAAACUAAGGUUUGUCCAUAAAAAUUCAAGAUUAUAACAUUACCUAAAUGAUUUCUAAAAUUUCUUUGCAAUAAUAAACAUUCAUGAAGAAAAUGAAAAGAUAGACAUUAAGAUUCAUUCAUAUCUUAAAGAACUCACCUCAACCACCAUCAUCCUUGAUUUGGAUCCAAGAAGGAGAUUAGCCAACCAUGAUUAUAUGUAAUAACAUUUUAAUAAAUAUGAAAUAACUUAAAUCAAACUGAAAUAAUAAGUUUUACAAUCUAAAGAACCGAAAUCUAUAAAGAAGAACACAACACAAUUGCAGUAAAAAUUCGGACACAAAUCUGACUCUAACUUUGGACAGCAAUUCGACCCUCUUAGAAGCCUCCUUUGGAGAUGGCUAUUAGCAAUAUAUUUAUAGGCCAUUCGGUUAGCUUUCCAGAUCAUUAAAUAACAGCUCAUUUGGACAUCGGAGUCAAAAGUUAUGGGUAAAACACCGAAAGGUAUUCUGGAAAAUCAAAUCAGGCCAGCUUGGAGAACACUUUGGUGCACGUUUUUCUUCCUCCUUUGUGAGCUGUCUCUUUCUUCUUUUUUACCCAAAAUAAUGUGACAAUGUCCCCUCCAGCUUUCCAUCCAUGUGCUUGCCCUCUUGGAUCAAUGAAUUACCCAAAAUAAAUCAAAUGUUAUUUGUUGUGUGAACAUGUAAGAUCAUUGAUUGUGCUUGGGCUGAUUUGGGGCUGAUUUUGGGGCUGAAUUUAAGCAUCAAAUAAGGGUACAAAUGUACCUAUUAUUUGGGCUAAGAUUGACAUUGAAACCUUGAGUGUUUGAUGGUUGAAGUUUGCACACAACAUAAGGCAAGUUUGGGCUUGAAAUAGAUCAUAUGAUAUUCUUUUCUAGAAUUGGAAUAGAAUUGAUUUUUGGGGCAAAUUUGGAGCACUUAUUUGAACCAAGAUUUGCUUCAAUCUUCAACUAAAUUUCUCUUCAAUUCUUUGUUCCGAAUUCCGACGUUGAAUUUUCUGAAAUAAUUCAUUUAAGCUCCAAAAACCUAUCGAAACAUUAAAAGAAACUUCAUUACUAAAAAGCACAUCAAUUACUAUAAAAAACCCAAAUAAAAACAAUAAAUACAUAUGUAAAAUAAGAGACUUAAUGAUACUUUUGAUGCACAACCAGUGGACUUACUUAAAGGACAAAAUGUCAAACUGGAUCAAACCAUAGCCAACCAAGGUGCUCAGAUUAGAGACAUGCAGGGUAUUAUGGGCACCAUGGCACAACAACUAGAAUUGGCUUUGCAUAAGCUUUCUCCCCACACUGGCAGCCCAAGUCAAGGCAGAGACAAGCAAGUAUCAGGCAUGGAAGGUUAUGAGUCAAGGCAUAGGAGCUCGCAGGAGGAGAGAAUUCCUGCAUACAAAAUACAUAAACCAAAACAUUUCUUCCCAAUUUUCAAUGGUGAAGAUGUUCAUCGCUGGCUUUACAAAUGUGCUCAGUAUUUUGAGAUUGAAGAAAUUGCCAACACUGACAAGUUGAGAAUAGCAUCUUAUUAUCUUGAAGGUGUUGCAUUGUAUUGGCACCAGAACUUUUUAAGGAGUAUAGCCAACCAAGGAGUCACCUGGGAAGAGUAUGUGGAGGCUAUUGGCUGCAGAUUUGGAUGGCAACAAGAUCCCUUGGAGACACUAAUGGAGCUAAAACAACUAGGAAAUCUGGAAGAAUACAUCUAGGAUUUCGAUAUUUUGUGGAACAAGGCAGGAAUCAAUGAGAAGCAAGCACUGGUCAUUUUUCUUGGAGGUCUGGAGUUGGAGAUCAAAAACACGGUAAAAACGUUUGAACCCAAGACUCUUAAGCAUGCGUAUAAUUUAUCCAGGCUACAAGCUAACACAUUAUCCUACAAGAAACUGUCUCCUCUUCCUAAACAUUACACCCCACCUUUCAAUACCACACAGCCACAGAUCCAUCUUCCUACAAACACACAGAACCCCACGACCAUGCAAAAUACCAUAAAACCAAGUCCAGCUCCCUGGCACAAUAAUCCUUCAAAUACCAUUCACAGGAACAAUGUUAAACCAACCAAAUCUAUAAAGAACCAAGACUUUGAAGAGAGGAGGUUAAAGGGGUUAUGCUUCUGGUGUGAUGAUAAGUUCGUUCCUGGCCAUAGAUGCAGAAAUAAAAGGUUGUAUCCAUUAAGUGUUAUGGAGGAAGAAGAUGAAGUCAUUACAGAAGAAAAGCUGACAGACAAUGACGCCCUAACAUGGGAGCUUUCACCCCACAUAUCCUUGGAUGCAUUAGAAGGUACGGUGGGGCUCAACACGAUGAAGGUCUCUGGUAGAUUGGAUAGAACUACGGUUAGUAUUCUAAUUGACUUAGGAAGUACUCACAACUUCCUCAAUGCUGAAAUGGCUCUGAAACUCCAGCUCAAAUUAAUUGCCAUUAAACCAAUGAUGGUGCAAGCAGCUAAUGGUGACAAGAUGAUUUGUAAAUCCUUGUGCAAAAACUUGAAUUGGAAGAUGCAGGGAAUAAGCUUUGUGGCUGAUGUGUUCAUCAUAGACCUAAGUAAUUGUGAGAUGGUGUUAGGUAUCCAAUGGCUAUCCUUAUUGGGUGAUAUACUAUGCAACUACAAGCAUUUAUGGAUGUCCUUCGAUUGGCAAGGCAAAAGGGUGUUACUUAAAGGGGAAAACCCACCAAAGCUGCAAUAUAUAGAACUGGAGCAUCUAAAUUCAUUAGCAGGCAACCAUGACCAGCUAGAGGGGUAUCAUUUAUGUAACUUGCAAAUGGUAGAUGAGGUAGAGGCAGGAACUACUCCAGAGUCCACUACUAUCACUAUUCCUUCAACAGAUAAUCAAGACAUCCACCUGCAAAACCUGUUAGCAGCAUAUAUUGACUUGUUUCAGGAACCCACAGGCCUGCCUCCUCUUAGAUCCCACGAUCACAGGAUUCCUCUAAAGGAAGGAGGAGACUCAGUUAAUCUAAGACCUUACAGGUACUCUGGCCUUCAAAAAGAUACAUUGGAGGACAUGAUAAAAGAAAUGCCGAGGAUAAAAAUCAUAAGGACCAGCAACAGCCCGUUUGCCUCGCCAGUAAUCCUUGUUAAGAAAAAAGACUCCACAUGGCGUCUCUGUGUUGAUUACAGAGCCUUGAAUAAACUCACCAUCAAGGAUAAGUAUCUUAUUCCCAUGAUUGACGAACUUUUGAAAGAAUUAGUGGGAGCUUCUGUGUUUUCCAAUAUAGACUUGAGUUCAGGCUACCAUCAGAUCCGCAUGGCGAGAGGAGAAGAGUUCAAAACAGCUUUCAGAACUCACAGCGGCCACUACGAAUUCUUGGUAAUGCCAUUCGGCUUAACCAAUGCUCUGGCCACCUUCCAGAGUUUAAUGAAUGAGAUUUUCAGGGAGCAUCUGAGGAAAUUCAUUCUAGUAUUCUUUGACGACAUUCUCGUCUACAACCAUACACUCACAGAACAUUAUGAGCAUCUAGCUACGGUUCUCAACUUAUUAAGAGAACAUCAUCUGGUGGCUAAAGCCAGCAACUGCUUCUUCGGCAGGGACCAGGUGGAGUAUUUAGGACACAUCAUUUCUAAGCAAGGUGUGGCGACAGAUCCCUACAAAAUACAAGCCAUUCGGGAAUGGCCACUGCCUAUAGGAUUAAAACAACUAUGAGGGUUUUUGGGAUUGACUGGUUACUAUAGAAGAUUUGUAAGGGGUUAUGGCAGCAUUUGUAAACCACUCACUCAAUUACUCAAAAAAGAGGCCAAGGGAUGGAAUGAUGCGGCCACCACAACUUUCAAUCAGUUGAAAAUGAUUAUGACUAGUGCUCCAGUAUUAGCUCUGCCAGAUUUCAACAAAACAUUUAUCGUUGAGACAGAUGCAUCCAUGAUUGGUAUGGGAGCAGUCCUCAUGCAAGAGGGACACCCCAUUGCGUUCAUUAGCAAAUCAUUGGGUCCUAAACAACAGGUAAUGUCAGUAUACGAGAGGGAAAUGCUGGCUAUUCUCCAUGCAGUCACCAAAUGGAAGCAUUAUCUCUGGGGGCGCCAUUUUAUCAUCCGAACAGACCACAUAAGUCUGAAAUAUCUUCUACAGCAGAAGUUGACUACCCCUGCACAACAUUUCUGGUUGGUGAAAUUGCUGGGGUAUGACUACGAUAUAGAGUACAAACAAGGUCGCGAAAAUGUUCCCGCAGAUGCCCUUUCCAGAAUUCCAAACAAAGAGGUUUAUGCUCUAACCACUUCUACCAUCUCUACUGACCUCCUGGCAGAAAUCAAGAAUUCUUAUGAAGGUGAUGUUACAGUUCAAGGAAUUAUUAAACGGUUACAAGAGUCUACAAACACCCACCCACACUACACUUGGGUGAAUGAUCACCUUAACAGAAAAGGAAAGGUGGUGGUAGGGAAGAAUCUUGUACUACGGGACAAGCUCAUCUCCAUGUUUCAUAAUUCAGCUGUUGGAGGACACUCAGACAUGACAGUAACAACAAAAACCAUUGGGGGUUUAUUUUAUUGGAAGGGUCAGCAGAAACACAUCAGGCAAUUCGUUAGGGAAUGCAAUGUGUGCCAGAGGAAUAAACAUGAAAACACAGCCAGUCCUAGACUCCUUCAACCAUUACCCAUUCCUUCUGCUCCCUUCAUCGACAUCAACAUGGAUUUCAUGGAAGGACCGCCCAAAUAUGAAGGGAAGGAGGUGAUAUUGUUGGUGGUGGAUCGUUUCAGCAAAUACGCACAUUGCAUGGCCCUCAGUCAUCCUUACUCUGCCUCAGGGGUGGCCAAGACCUUUAUGCACAAUGUCUAUAAACUACAUGGGUUACCAGCCUCGAUAACAAGUGACAGAGAUCUGGUCUUUUUUAGCAGGUUUUGGAAAGAAUUAUUCACCAGUCAAGGGGUCAACCUCAACUAUUCCUCAGCUUACCACCCGCAAACAGACGACCAAACCGAAAUUGUUAACAAAUGCAUCGAACAGUACUUACGCUGCAUGAUUGGUGAUUGCCCGAACCAGUGGGUCAAAUGGCUACCUUUAGCUGAAUGGUGGUACAAUACUAACUACCACUCAGCCACCAAGAUGACACCUUACCAAGUUUUAUAUGGAGUUGCCCCACCCCUACACAUUCCCUAUUUUCCUAAAAAUUCAGCUGUGGAAUCAGUCGACGAGUACUUAUCAGCUAAAGAAGAAGUCAUCAAGAGGGUCAGGGAACAUCUCCAAGCAGCACAGAACAGGAUGACUAUAGUGGCUAACAGAAAAAGGAGUGAUCAUAGUUUUGAGAUCAAUGACUAUGUCUUCCUCAAACUCCAACCAUACAGGCAACAUUCAUUGGCACGCAGGUCCUCACAGAAGUUAGCUGCAAAAUAUUAUGGGCCUUAUCAGGUCUUGGCCAAGAUAGGGAAGGUGGCUUACAAGCUGGAAUUGCCAGCUUCAACACUUAUUCAUCCAGUGUUCCACGUUUCUCAGCUUAAAAAACAUAUUGGAAAUCACACCGCACAAGGCACUCCUCCGAUGAGACCAAAAACAACUACACUACAGCCUCGAACAGUGUUAGACCGACGAAUGGUUAAACGUCACCACCAAGCACACACUCAAGUAUUGAUACUCUGGGAAGGACUAGCUCCUACUGAGGCUACUUGGGAAGACAUGGAGGAAUUUAAGUUGCACUUUCCAUUAUUCAACCUUGAGGACAAGAUUGGUUUCAAGGGAAGGCAAUUGUUACCUGCAGAAGAAGAAAUGGAAUAAUAGGAACUAAUGCAGGCCACGCAUUCAAAAGUUAGUUAUAGAAUCCAUACGCACCGUUUCAUUUAAGUAACCAUACGCACCGUUUCAAUUCCAUAAAAUGUUGCAUGACAGUUAACACACAGCCUCCGUGCUGAAGGUUUUCGUAACCAAUUAGAAUUGCAAUAUUCUAUAUAAAGGCAUAUGCAUGAUAACAGAAGGGAACAAGAAUUAUAAUGAAAGAAUGAAUUCCUUAUUAUCAGGAAACGACUAUCAGGGUGUUGUUGGUGUGGUAUCAACGGCCUCUCAUAAAUCCUCCCCACUAAAGCCCCUACUACAGCAUUAACCAUCACUGGAGACCAUCCAAUUCGGGUCCAUCAUUUCUUCACUUGUAACAACUGGUAUCAGAGCUUGCAAUCCACGGACUACCACCAUGCCACCAAGCCCCACAGCAGCAAGCGAUCUCCUUCACUGCCAACCAGCCAGCUCGUCGAGACCCGACACUCUCUUUCAACCAGCCUCUAGCGGCAAAAAUAACACAGUAGCGCCGCACCCACAGACCAGCUGCCUCUUGGCCUUUCCACCAGCCACCUGAAACAGGUCCAACAGCGACGCCCCCUUCUCGGUUGUUCCUCCUCACCACCAGCCACCUAAAGUGGAGGAGAAGAAGAAGCCCUCCCAUCGGCAGAAGGAAAACCAACAGAGAGGGAGAAGGCGGAGGAACUGGAUAGAUCUAAAAAAAAAAAGGACUGCUUGUGCGUUUUCUUUUGUUGCAGGUCAUGGUGAAAGCCACCACGGGCAGGGAAGAGAAGAGAAGAGAGGAGGAAACCAUUUAAGAGCCCCCUGUUUGUUGGACUUUUGUGCGGUGGCGAGUGAACCCACGCGCCGCCAGUGGCGGGGCGCGUGGAGGAGACGCGCCGCCACUGUUCCACAAUCAUAGAAGAUGGCCAGAAUUCUCCAGCACUGUUCCCGAAGUUUUUUUUUUUUUGUAAUUUUCAAAUGUUGCUGUUAUAUUUAGAUUAAUGGUAUUUGAUUUAUUUUGAACUUUUGAUAUUUUGUAAUAUGUAAAAGUGAUGUGUGAGUUAAGCAUAGUAAAAAAGUGAUAUUAGUGUGUCUGUUUGUUUUUUUAUUUAUGUUAUUGAAUUAUAAAAUAAAAAAAAUUAAGUGUUUAAUUUGAAUAUGGUUAAAUAUCUUAAGGAUUAAUAAAAUCAUGAUAUAUUCUCCAUGAAAAUGUAAGAACAUGUUUCUAUAUAUAUUCUGGGAUUUAAUAACUAAUUUAUUAAAACUUUAGAAUUUGAUUAAUAUUUCAAAUUUUCAAAUCACAUUAAAUCAUGAAGCAGCUUACCUCAGGUAGGGUGCGCUAGGGAUGCUAAUACCUUCCCUAACCACAACCAGUCCCUUACUCUCGAAUCUCUGACAACGACCAGUAAAUCCGGGUUUUCUAGUAACCCAAUUAAAUACUAGGUGAUAACUCCCAAAGAACCAAUCAAGCAAGAAAAAUAAAAAAUCGCCGAAUCGCCACGCGGGGGACGUGCGACAAGAAUCUUGCUGCCCCAUUACCAUUUUUGCAAAAUCUUGUUCAUCUGAAGUUGUUUCUUGUCGCAAAACUGUCAUUUAUCUUCACACCGUCCCUCGCUCAAAGUCUACCACAACUAGAAACACUAGAGGUAAGUUGUUGCGAUGAAUUGAAGUAUAUUGUCAGAAAACAAGAUGAUGAAAGGGCAAUAAUUCCAGAGUUUCUAAGCUUCCAAAAAUUAAGAACUCUAUUUAUAUAUGACUCUGAUAAACUGGAAUAUGUCUUCCCUGGCUCUCUGUCUCCAAGUCUUGUGAACCUGAAACAGAUGACAAUUAGAUACUGUGGUAAAUUUGAAUAUGUCUUCCCUGUCUCUGUGGCUCCAAGUCUUCUGAACCUGGAAUAAAUGACUAUAUUUGCUGACAAUUUAAAGCAAAUAUUUUAUAGCGGGGAAGAAGAUGCACCACCCAGAGAUGACAUCGUCAAGUUGCCUCGACUAAGAGAAAUGGAUCUUUCAUCUAAAUCAAAUUACAGCUUUUUUGGUCCAAAGAAUCUUGCUGCCUAAUUACCUUUUCUGCAAAAUCUAAGCAUCCAUGGCCACGAAGAAUUGGGUAAUUUGUUUGCACGGCUUCAAGUACGUCCUUUAUAUUUCUCCGCUAAUUAUUUUCCUUUUUAAGUUAAAUUCUAAACUUCAUUUAAUAUAAAUAAAGUGUUGAUUUAGUCUUGUAGUCAUUAUCUCAAAGCUUUUCUUAGUUUAUUAUAAAUUAUCACAUGGAUAAAUUACAAUUAAUGUAUGCGAGACAAUAACAAAUAACACAAGAAUUAGUAGAAACACACUCACCUUAUAGUAGAGACAAGAGAAUGAUUAUGAAUGGAAGGUUCAUGCACGAUCACUUGGUCGACACACACACACUUGAUAACACCUUUGAUCUAUCGAUCGAUUCCGACCACAAAUAUAAUUUAUCUAAGGAGUUAUGUAUGUGAUGUUACUUUAGUUAUGGUCUCUCAAGGGGAAAUUAACGAAAAGAAUUGAAAAGGAGAAAAUAAUUAGUUGAAUGAAGGAAGCUCUCUGCCACUUCCCUAUAUCACACUUGUAAACCCAGGAAAAAAUAAAUAAAUAACAAAAAUUCAAAAAAUUUUGAAUAUAAAUUUUCGGGUGAAAUAGUUUGAAACAUUAUAAUAAACUCAGUACUGUUGAGGGUUGGAUUUAAUUGAAGAAAAUAAUACACUUAAAGGAAAAGGGGGGCCUAAAUGCAAAUAAGAGAAAAUAUAGAGUAUAAAUACUCUCUCCUCACCAAAAAUAUGUAGGAACCCUAAGGAGAGAAGAUAGGGAGUUUUAUACCCAUUCUUGAGAAAUCAAGAGAGAAACAUUAAAAUUUCAAGAACCCAUCCAAGAUUAAGAGCUUAUAGAUGGGAUAAAAACUUGAGAGCAAAGGAUUACCAAGAAAUUGAACAAGAAGAAAAGAAAGGAGGGAGUUGAAAAUCUUCAACUAGUUGAAGAUCAAAAUCUUAAUUUGUACCGGGUAAGGUAUUCUAAACAUGAUCUUAAAAAAAUUCAUUUUUAAAUUCGAUAAAGAAUUGAUGCCUUGAUAUUGAAUCAUAGGUUAGGGUUCUUAGACAUAAAUUGGGGAAAAGUACUUAUUGUUGAGAUUAAGUUAAUUCAUGUGUGUGGUAUGUAGUUUAUGAAAGUAUUGAGUGAAGGGGAGGGGAGACAAAUCUGGACAGACUUGUCUCCUGACUUUCUGUGAGAUUUCAGGUAGGAGGAUGAGGGAAUUAGGAUCGGGUUCCUCAUAGGAAUUGUAGAUUUGAAUGUUAGCUAACCAAGGAAACUGGUCUUGCUCAAUUUGGAGAUGUAGAACUCCAAUUAUGGGUUACCAGCUGAGACUGAGUCGUGACUGAUUAUGUAGGGCAGUAGGACUAAUUAGUUAAUGAGCAAUUUUGACUAUUUUGGAGGCAAAACUGGGUUCUUCUCCCUCAGAGAACUUGUAGCCUUGUGUCUUAGCUUUCUAACGAGAUCAAUCUCACUUAAAAUGGAGUUUUAGAACUUUAGAUAUAGUUAAAAAUCUGAUGAGUGUUCAGACAAUAACAGUUGAAAAUUGGACAAUAACAGUUCAAAGUUGGACAGUAACAGUUGAAAAUUGGACAGUAACAGUUGAAAAUUGCACAGUAACGGUUCAAAGUUGGACAGUAACAGUUGAAAUUUGGACAGUAACAAUUGAAAAUUAGACAGUAACAGUUCAAUGUCUAGACAGUAACGGUAGGCUUUCACGUGAAUACUAUAUAUACAAGAAUAUAAAAGAAUUGAGUCAUACGAACACUUGCACAUUGAGAUACUAACUCUGAAAAUAUACAUGAUAUAUGUAUGUAUGUUAUUAUGAGAAAAUGAACAUGUAUAUAAAGUAACAUAUGAGUAAUGGAUGAAUAUGGAUUCUCUAUAAUGUCGGCUUGAAGGAAUCAUAACCAAAAACUUCCUUAUGAUUCAGGAGGAGCAACCAAGAUUGGAUCUUCUGUUAGGGGAGGUCGCGAGACAGGCGAAGUAGGUGCGUGAUUCUCCUCCUAUUUGCACUUAUACAAUUUAGAAUUCUUAUGGUGAAUGCAAUUACAAUAAAUGUCGUGUUCAAUGUAAAUAAAAAUCUAGCGUAAAUACAAGAUUAGCUUCGGCAAAUGGCAUCCGUGAUAGGAUUGCUGGGAUAUGAAUUACAAGAUUAGCUGCGGCUAAUGGCAUCCAUGAUAGGAUUGCCGGGAGAUGAAUUACAAGAUUAGCUUCGGCUAAUGGCAUCCGUGAUAGGAUUUCCAGGAUAUGAAUUACAAGAUUAGCUUCGGCUAAUGACAUCCGUGAUAGGAUUGCCGGGAGAUGAUUUACAAGAUUAGCUUCGGCUAAUGACAUCCGUGAUAGGAUUGUUGGGAUAUGAAUUACAAGAUUAGAUUUGGCAAGGUCACCCAGUUCAUGCAAGUAAAUAAGAAUAUUCAAAUCAUGGAUAUACAAAUGAGUGUGAAUUAGGUUUAAAAGACUUACAAGCAAAUUAUAAGUUCUUUGUUAGAAUUCUUAUGGGUCCGAUAGAAAGUUAAUACUUCAUUCGUAUUCAUUACAUGAGCAUAUAUAUUCUUUAUCAACAUAAUGAUAUGUUUAAUUAUGUAACAGGUCCAUCAAAUAUCCAGGAAGAUCAUUAGUUUAGGACUCUACUUUGCGAAGCUUAUGUAAAUAUUUAACUUAAACAAAAGGGAAUUAACGUGUUUAUGUAGUAUAUUUUUGUGUAAACCUUGAUGUAUUUAUAAAAGUUCAAUUUUGCAUGUGGUAUUUUAGUUAUCUUGUAAUUAACCCUUUUAAAAUAUUUAAGAACACUUAUUAUGUUGUAAAUACUUUCUUUGCAUGUUAGUAUUCUUUUCCUUUCAAAUUUUACGAUAUGAUGUUUGGACUAUGUUCAUAUUGAACUUACUCAUAGGAUAUAUAUAUAUAUAUAUAUAUUGUGUGGAUUGUAUGAGGUUUGAUAUAAGGUCCGGAAUUAUGGGACCUUAUGAUGAUGGGUUGAUUGAGUAAAUUGAUAGUAGUCGAUAACUUGGGAUAUCCUAAAUACAAACAAAACUCUGCUGAAUUUUUGGAAAAAAAAAUUUACCCUCAGAUAAAGAGGAUAUGUUAGGAUCUUUUAACAUUGAUCGAGUCUUACAGUUCAGACCGUUACAGUUGGUAUCAGAGCCCUGGUAUAGGUUAUGGGAAGAAAUCAAAAGAGGUUGUUGAUGUUCAUUAAUUUAUUGCAGGAUGGUACAUACCUGUCAAGAGAUUAGAACAGAUCUAUCCUCUGCAGGGAGGGGGAAUAGAGAUAUAGACUCUUCCAAAGGGCAAGAAGAGAGCCCUUUGGAAGAUACUGCUUCACAUGCACUGGUAGUAUCGACUCAAGUAGGGCAUGAAGAAUCGACGGGGCCUUAAAUUAGACAGGCACCAAGGCAAACUGGGGAUGUUCAGUUGACCAUGUUAGCUCCACGGGGACGAGUAGAGGAGCCCCCUCAGACUACACCUGCAGGGCCAUCUGUUUCUUAUGUUGAUCCGAUGCUCCUGGCCCAGCUAGUCAAAGCAGUAAUGGAAGGUAUGGCUAAUGCUGCCACUCCUAUGCCAGCACCCCCAUUUGCACCCAUCAUACCAACCGUUUCAGAAGCAACUACAACUACUAAUGACGUGGUACAACUAGUUCGUUUAGUGAAAAGUAUGAGAGAAAUGGGUUGUGAACCCUACUCUAGUGAACAGAAUGCUGAAGUGGUGGGAAGGUGGAUUAGAAAGGUGGAGAAAACCAUGAUUCAAAUUAAGAUACCAUAUGAUCUGCGGGUAGACUAUGCUACUUAAUUACUAUCAGACGGUGCUAUGACUUGGUGGGAGACAGUUCAGUUGAGGAGGGCUACAGAAACCCUAUCCUAGGAUGAUUUCAAGAUAGAGUUUGAGAAUCAAUAUUACUCCAAAUAUCAUCGGAGGAUGAAGGAACAGGAAUUCCUAGCCUUGAGACAGGAGGGAAUGUCAGCACUUGAGUAUGAGAGACAAUUUCAUGACCUCUCACUAUUCGCACUACAUUAUAUCCCGUCAGAACAACACAUGAUAGAAAAGUUAAGGGAUGGCUUCAGACAAGAAUUGAAGCAGGGGUUGAUUGCUUUGCGAUUCAGGACAGUAAGGGAACUGAUUGAAGCAGCACAGGCCUUGGAGGCGUGUAUGGUGACACGAUCAAAGAGUUGAUGUCUUAUCCCAAGUGCAGGAGUAUCAAAGUAAUAAAUAACCCGGCAAGACCGGAGUCGAACCACAGGGAGGUCAACUAUAUAAAUUACAAAUAAAGAGAAAGAUUUGAAGAGAAUAAUAACAGAAAAGAAGUUGAAGAGAGUUUUGGGAUAUGAUAUUGAUAUAAGGAUUAAACAAUAAUAAAACAGUUGUCAAGGUUAGAGGAUCCACUAAUGGUAUUUCAAAUAAAUAUAAUAUAAACUCUUUUUAUUACUCAAUUGGAAACCACACACAAAGGAGGUUCCAAUCGGAUGAUUUAUCGUUAUUAACUCAUUAUAAAUUAUUAACAUGAUCAUAUUAAUCAUCUUAUCUAAGUAACACCAUACUUAUAAAUAUCAUCAGGCAUUUAUGUUGCUAGCUUAUGUUAACAACAAAUCAAGUUCCUAUCAUAACAACGAUGUCAGCCGAAAACUAUGAAGGAUCAAACAUUUGAUGUACCAAGUGUUAUACAACAGAAAUCUAGAUUAACCAUUUAAAAAGCAAGGUAUUAAGAAUUAGUAAGAUAAAAAGAUAAAACAUGUUAAUAACAAUCUUUCUUGAAUAUAAACAUUAAAGUCCAUGUUGAGUUUAUAUUAUACCUAUUCUAACACCACUAGUGAAACAUUUUUACCUUGACAUAAUUAACUUAGCUAAACAUAAUGAAGAAGAAAAACAUAAAUAAACAAUAUAAGAACAUAAAUAUGAUAUAAGUUAACUAAGUAUAGGAAAGGAAAUGAAAAAGCAUAAACAAGAGAUUAAUAUAGCAUGAAAGAAAACUUGAACAUUACAAAAAGAGAAAGCAAGAAGAUGAUUUUGAUCUGAAAAAUAAUAUGACUAAAUACAUGGCAAAUGCCUCCUUUUAUAAGCUAAGAUUCAGAACUAUUGAUUGGUUGACUAAGAAAAUAGUUGGUGGCCAACCAUUGAUUUGGUGGCUGGUUUUUGACAUUGUUGGCUGAUUUUUGAUAUUGUUGGCUGGCCAAAACGUCAUUUCUAACAUCAUAAUUUGAGCCCUUUGUUUCAUGAAAGCUGUGGGCAAUUAUCUUAGCUUUCCAACAAAAAAAACCAGAGCUCAUUUGGACUUCUAGAACUCAAGAUAUGAGCUGAAAACCGAACAGUGUCUGAGCUGCAGGACAGGUUCCGACUUCUCCGUUGUUGCUAAACUUUGAACUUGAAAACGGCAGAAUUGAGUCUUGGACUCUGCAUGAAAGUUUUAGGUCUAUGUCUUAGAUUUCCAUCCAUAUAAAGUAGACCUAAAUCCGAGUUCUACAACUCCAGUUAUGAUCCAAUAACCGAAUGGUGUUUCAGUUUGGAAUUGAACUAUCAUCUCUUCUCUUAGCCUAGUCCUCUUUUUGUCUCUUCACUUUCAAUAGUUAAUCACAUCAAUCAAUCCUUUGAAUUGUGAGAUAUACCUGCAUUCAAAAUAAGCAUUUAUCAUAAAUUAAAGAUAUACUAUAUUAUCAGACUUGUUAUUAUAAAACAUGCUUUAGUUAAGGAAUUUAAUGAUACUUUAGUGCAAUAUGAUGAUAUAAAGCAUUAAUAAAAAUGCACUUUGAAUUACUAAUCAUAUGGAAGAAUGCCAACAGAGUCAUGGGGGUGCAGGAAAACGAAAGGAUAUGGAAUUUUUAGGCAGGCCACCGCUUCCAAAGAAAGGUAGAGGCGAACAGUUCCUUCAAUUCAAAAAGAAAAGAGGGACGUCAACUAGCUUCCGACAGGAUAUCGGUGGGAAGUCGGGAAGUGGUCAGACCCGCUCCAGGGCUAUAGCUGCAAGGGGGCAUAACAAUCAGAAGGAAAUUGUCUACCCUCGAUGUGCUUAGUGUGAACAAAGACACCCCGGGAGUUGUAUGGUUUCUCCUGGACAAUGCUAUAUAUGUCGAGGAGAAGGUCAUAAGUGGAAACCCUGUUAAUACUUGGGAAGAGGAUGUCAUCAUUGUGGUGAGAAAGGUUACUUUAAAAGGGAAUGCCCCAAGUUAAACACUAAACAGCCUUAGAGACAUGGGGAGCAAAGUCAGAGUCAUCAGCAAUCCAUCAUAGUAAACAGACCGGGAAGGUCGACUCAGUCAGGAGCUAACUCAAAUAGGGGACGACCCAGAGUACAAAAUGAAAAGGGAUCAAGGAAGGGUUUUCCAUAUGACCCAGGAGGAUGUCAGAGCAGCAUCAGAUAUGGUGGCAGGUAUGCUGCAAAUGAAUGACUAUCAAAUACAUGUUUUGUUUGAUUCUGGUGCCACUCACUCUUUCAUAGCAAAUAAAAAUGUAACCAAAUUGAGUAAGGAAACGAAAAGGGUAGAGAAAGGAUUUAUUAUUGGGACACCUUUGGGUGAAAUUGUGAAAACAAAUAUUGUAUUUGAAGGGGUGGGAAUUAACAUUAAUGGGUGUGAACUAAAAGCAGAUUUAAUACCCCUAGAAUUAAGUGAUUUUGAUAUAAUUCUAGGUAUGAAUUGGUUGGGCAAAAAUAAGGCUCGUCUAGAUUGCUUUACAAAAACAGUAACCUUUCAAGGGGCUAAGGGUGAAACAAUAGUCUUUAAGGGGGAGAGAAUUUACAACUUUACAAAUAUGAUCUCGGGUAUGGUUGCGAGAAAACUACUAAAGAAAGGUUGUACAACAUACCUUGCCUAUGUGAUAAAUUCGGAAAAGGGUAAAAUAAGAUUGUCUGACAUUCCAAUUGUGAGGGAAUUUCCGGACGUAUUUCCGGAAGAAUUGCUAGGACUACCCCCAGAAAGAGAAGUUGAAGUCACCAUAGAUAUAUUUCCUGGAGUGUCUCCUAUAGCCCAACCACCGUAUAGAAUGGCCCCAAAAGAAUUGGAUGAGUUGAAAAUUCAAUUGCAGGAGCUUUUAGACAAAGGGUUCAUACAACCAAGCAACUCGCCUUGGGGGCACCUGUAUUAUUUGUGAAGAAGAAAGAAGGAACGUUGCGGCUUUGCAUAGAUUACCGUCAGCUGAAUAAAGUGACGGUAAAGAAUAGAUAUCCACUUCCACGGAUAGAUGAUUUGUUCGAUAAGUUAAAGGGUGCCAAAGUAUUCUCAAAUAUUGAUUUAAGAUCAGGAUACUACCAAAUGUGAAUCAAAGGGCAAGAUGUGCCGAAAACUGCCUUCAGAACUCGCUACGAACACUUUGAGUUCUUGGUGCUACCCUUUGGAUUAACUAAUGCUCCAACACUUUUUAUGUAUUUAAUGAACCAAGUAUUCCAACCAUACCUUGAUAAGUUUGUUGUCGUAUUCAUCGAUGACAUCUUGGUUUACUCCAAAUCCUAUGAGGAGCAUGAACAGCACCUGAGACAGAUACUAUAGACUCUGAGGAGCCAUCAGUUGUAUGCCAAGUUGGAUAAAUGUGACUUCUGGUUAAAAGAAGUUACCUUUUUGGGGCAUGUAGUGUCUUCAAAAGGCAUUUUUGUGGACCCUCAGAAGGUGGAAGCAUUUUUGAGAUAGGAAAGGCCUACUACGGUAACUGAAAUUUGUAGUUUUCUCAGAUUGGCAGGGUAUUAUAGAAGAUGUAUCGAAAGGUUUUCAACGAUAGCAACUCCAUUGACACGACUCACCAGGAAGAAAAUAAGAUGGGAAUGGUCAAAGGAGUGCGAUGAGAGCUUUCAAGAAUUGAAGAGAAGGCUUACUACUGCCCCCGUACUAAUCCUUCCAUCCGGAACAGAAGGCUUUGUAGUCUACAGUGAUUCCUUAAGAAAAGGACUGGGUUGUGUUCUAAUGCAUCAUGGAAAAGUAGUUGCCUAUGCAUCGAGACAACUGAAGACUCAUGAAGUCAACUACCCAGUUCAUGACUUAGAAUUGGCAGCAGUAGUUUUUGCUUUACGAGUAUGGAGGCACUACUUAUACAGAUCCCGGGUCCAAAUUUUCACCGAUCAUAAGAGCCUUAAAUAUCUGAUGUCAUAGAAGGACUUGAAUAUGCGACAACGGAGAUGGGUAGAAUUAAUUAAAGACUACGAUUGUGUUAUAGAUUAUCAUCUAGGAAAAGCGAAUGUAGUCGCGGAUGCUCUCAACCAUAAAGACAAGGUGAUUAGGGGUAGACCAGCGACUUGGAAUGAGGAAACCAUGAUUGACCUAAAGAGAUUGGGGGCAGUACUAGGUGUGAGCCCAGAAGGAUCCUUAAUGGCUCAACUAAGGGUGAAGUCAGGAUAUCGAGAGCAAAUAUUAGAGGCUCAACAACAUGAUGAUGAGGUGUCAAAAGUGAGAAUCAAACUGGAAUCGGCGGGUGAAACUCUUUUUUGAAUGGGUGAUGAUGGAAUAGUGAUGUUGGGGUGACGUAUGUAUGUACCUGACAGCAAAGCCCUUAAACAAAAGUUACUACGAGAAGCUCACGAGUCUAAGUUCACUGUACAUCCAGGUAGUACUAAGAUGUACCAGGAUAUGAAGCAGUACUACUGGUGGCCAAAUAUGAGAAAAGAAGUGGUUGGUUACAUGGCAAAGUGUAGUAUUUGCCAACAAGUAAAAAUAGAACACCGAAAACCGGCAGGGCUGUUACAACCAUUACCAAUCCCUGAGUGGAAGUGGGAGAUGAUCACAAUGGACUUUGUGUCGAGACUACCCAGAGGAAAGAGGGGAAAUGAUGCAAUCUGGGUCAUUGUGGAUCGACUAACAAAGUCUGCUCUUUUCCUACUAGUAAAGAUGACAGAUCCAGUUGACAAGUUGGCUAAGAUUUAUGUGAACGAAGUUGUAAGGCUUCAUGGAGUCCCAAUAUCAAUUGUUUCAGACCAAGACCUAAGAUUUACUUCAUGUCUCUGGCCGAGCAUACAACGUGUCUUGGGAACAAAUUUGAGUAUCAGUACUGCCUUUCAUCCGCAAACUGAUGGCCAAUCUGAGAGAAUUAUUCAGAUCUUAGAGGAUUUACUAAGGGCAUGUGCUUUGGAAUUUGGUGGAAACUGGGAGGAGCACCUAUCACCAAUAGAAUUCACGUAUAACAACAGUUAUCAGGCAACAAUUGGAAUGGCCCCAUUUGAAGCUCUUUAUGGUAGAAAGUGUAGGACACCCUUGUGUUGGGAAGAAGUUGGGGACAGAAAGCUGUAUGGGGCAGAAUUAGUACAAAUCACUACUGAAAAAGUGAGAAUUAUUAAGGAUUGAAUGAAGGUGGUUCAGGAUAGACAGAAGAAGUAUGCAGAUAUUCGAAGAAGACCACUUGAAUUUUUUCCUAGAGAUAAAGUAUUUCUGAAGGUAGCUCUAUGGAAGCACAUGCUGAGAUUCGGCAUGAAGGGGAAGUUAGCUCCGAGGUUCAUUGGACCAUUUGAAAUCUGAAAACAUAUCAAACCUGUAGCAUAUGAAAUAAACUUGCCCUCAUAGUUGGCCAAGGUUCACAAUGUAUUCCAUGUUUCUUUGCUGCAAAAAGCCGAUAUAGACCCUUUGAGAGUGUUACCCCAAGUGCCAGUGGAGAUAAAAGAAGACUUAACACUUGAGGUAAGACCGAUAAAGAUACUUGAAUGGGGCGAGAAAGAACUUCGUAAUAAGAAAGUUCCCAUCCUCAGAGUCUUAUGGCGAAGCUCACAAAACGAGGAAGAAACAUGGGAGAAAGAAUCAGAAGUGAGACGAAAAUUCCGCGACUUGUUAAUAAACUCAGGUACCUCACUCAAAUUUCAAGGAUGAAAUUUCUAUUAUGGGAGGAGAAUGUAAACCCCGGAAAAAAAUAAAUAAAUAAAUAACAGAAAUUCAAAAAAUUUUGAAUAUAAAUUUCCGGGUGAAAUAGUUGGAAACAUUAUAAUAAACCCGGUACUGUUGAGGGUUAGAUUUAAUUGAAGAGAAUAAUACACUUAAAGGAAAAGGGGGGCCUAAAUGCAAAUAAGGAAAAAUAUAGAGUAUAAAUACUCUCUCCUCACCAAAAAUCCGUAGGAACCCUAAGGAGAGAAGAUAGGGAGUUUUAUACCCAUUCUUGAGAAAUCAAGAGAGAAACACUAAAAUUUCAAGAACCCAUCCAAGAUUAAGAGCUUAUAGAUGGGAUAAAUACUUGAGAGCAAAGGAUUACCAAGAAAUUGAACAAGAAGAAAAGAAAGGAGGGAGUUGAAAAUCUUCAACUGGUUGAAAAUCAAUAUCUUAAUUUGUACCGGGUACGGUAUUCUAAACAUGAUCUUAAAGAAAUUCAUUUUUAAAUUCGAUAAAUAAUUGAUGCCUUGAUAUUGAAUCAUAGGUUAGGGUUCUUAGACAUAAAUUGGGGAAAUGUACUUAUUGUUGAGAUUAAGUUAAUUCGUGUGUGUGGUAUGUAGUUUAUGAAAGUAUUGUGUGAAGGGGAGGGGAGACAAAUCUGGACAGACUUGUCUCCUGACUUUCUGUGAGAUUUCAGGUAGGAGGAUGAGGGAAUUAGGAUCGGGUUCCUCAUAGGAAUUGUAGAUUUGAAUGUUAGCUAACCAAGGAAACUGGUCUUGCUCAAUUUGGAGAUGUAGAACUCCAAUUAUGGGUUACCAGCUGAGACUGAGUCGUGACUGAUUAUGUAGGGCAGUAGGACUAAUUAGUUAAUGAGCAAUUUUGACUAUUUUGGAGGCAAAACUGGGUUCUCCUCCCUCAGAGAACUUGUAGCCUUGUGUCUUAGCUUUCUAACGAGAUCAAUCUCACUUAAAAUGGAGUUUUAGAACUUUAGAUAUAGUUAAAAAUAUGAUGAGUGUUCAGACAAUAACAGUUCAAAGUUGGACAAUAACAGUUCAAAAUUGGACAGUAACAGUUGAAAAUUGCACAGUAACAAUUCAAAGUUGGAUAGUAACAGUUGAAAAUUAGAUUGUAACGGUUGGACAGUAAAAGUUCAAAGUUGGACAGUAACAGUUCAAAGUUGGACAGUAACUAUGAAACCCUAGAAAAUUUAUAAUUUAAAUAUGCGGAUGUAUAACCUCCCACGUAAACGUAAGACUGAAAGUGAUAUAUAAUGGAGGGGAUGACCUCCAUAAAAUGAAUUUUAUUUUAGAAUUCAUAAAAUAGAGAAACUGGUAACAUGUUUGAAUGGAUAAAAUAAUGAGAGAAAUAACAAAAUGUUUCUAAGAAAUAAGUGAGUAAUAAAGAAUACAUUAUAAUAAAGGAUAAUUCAAUGAAAAUGGCAGGACUGAAGGUGCAAGCAUCAAUUAAAAAUCAGUGACGUUACUUUGGAACGAUAAUAAUACCUGAUAAAUAAAUAAAGGUAGAAAUUUUAAAAUGAAUAUAUUCCAAAAUAAUAAAAUGACCUUAAAGGUUUAGAAGGAUGAUUGAUAUUAUUUUAUGUGAAGAUUGAACAAGAAAAUUUGGAUCAUUGACGAAAAGUUAUGAACUGACCAAUUUUACAUUAAAAAGCAGAGCUCUCAAUCCAAUCGUCGGAUCGGGAUGAAAUUUUGCAUGAAGUCUAUUAAUAUGUUUUCCUACCUUUGUGAAAGAUCUCAUCCCAAUGGAAGUUUGGUAAAGACUAGCGAUUUAAGCAGAAACAAACCGGAUGGGGUGAGAGACAAUAGAGAAUUCGGUUACAGAGAGGUGCAAGAUUUGGAGGAACCAAUAAUGCUUCGAUGGCCAUAUCUCUAGAAGCCACCGUUGGAUCAUGUUGAUUUUUGGAUAUAUUGUUCUUCUCACAAUCCUACACUAACUGACCGGAAGUUUCCUGGAAAACAUCAGGGAUUUGGAGGCACAUAAUCCGUUGAACAGAAAUCAUCAUCGAAAGUUUCCUGGAAAACAAAAGGAAAUAUACCUGCAGGGAAGUUUUGGUCACCGGCUGAUUUCUCUCUUUUCCACCGUUGGAUCAUGCCUAUUUUUGGAUAUGUGGUGCACCUCUAUGUUGCCUUCAUUCUGGACGGGGGAGAUCGCAAACUUACUCUCCGGCAGGUUUAGUUCAUGUUGAACAGUAGCUCGUCCAUUUUCAGGUUAGUUUGGUUUUAUUCAGAUCUAUGGAGAUCCAACCGUUGGAUCAUUCUAAUUUUGAGAUAUAAUGUACACAACACGAUGAUAUAUAUUAUGACCGUUGGGUUCAAGGAAAUAAUUAGAGGUGGAUGAGUUGUUGCUAUUUGAAUCUAUUGCUAGUCUUAGUAAAACAUUUAGGAAGCUUGAUUUAAUUACAUGUUUUGAUGAAAUUAGAAUUGUGUGGGUGUAGGGUUUAUGUAAGAUGUAAUGGUAAAAUAUGUUCUUGUUAUUAGUGUUGUUAUAGAUAAAUUGUGUUGUAAAAUGUGUUAGGGAAGUUUUGAAAUUUGGAUGAAGGGACAUUGAGUUUGUUGAUUUAAUGGAUAUAUGUUUUUAGGCAUUAAAAAAGGAUUGGGUCUAGUGGUAAUUGAAAGAAAACUUGAAGAAAAAUUUAUCCUCCAUUUAAUGCAAAGAUUCGGCCUAGACAUAUAAAUGAGAGGAUGUGCUUAAUUGUUUUAAUUGCUAUGGAAUUUGAGUUGAAUGAGGUUAGACUAGAUAUGAAAUAAAUGGGUAAAGGUUUAUCCGGAAUAAUUAAAAAGGGCCUCACCAUGAAGGAAGGCAUUCGGCCAAAUGAAGAAGAAAUAAAGGAGAUAAGACUUUGUUUCAUUUUCUAUGUAAAUUAGGUAUGGAUGCAUAUAUCUGGUAAAGAAGAUUAGUUAGGAAGUCAGAAGAAAGAAUAUUAAAAAGAACCAAAUUCUCAUCAUAAUAUGGAAUUCCGCCAAAAAUAGAAAUAUUGAUCUGAGCAAUUGACCAAUGACANNNNNNNNNNNNNNNNNNNNNNNNNNNNNNNNNNNNNNNNNNNNNNNNNNNNNNNNNNNNNNNNNNNNNNNNNNNNNNNNNNNNNNNNNNNNNNNNNNNNNNNNNNNNNNNNNNNNNNNNNNNNNNNNNNNNNNNNNNNNNNNNNNNNNNNNNNNNNNNNNNNNNNNNNNNNNNNNNNNNNNNNNNNNNNNNNNNNNNNNNNNNNNNNNNNNNNNNNNNNNNNNNNNNNNNNNNNNNNNNNNNNNNNNNNNNNNNNNNNNNNNNNNNNNNNNNNNNNNNNNNNNNNNNNNNNNNNNNNNNNNNNNNNNNNNNNNNNNNNNNNNNNNNNNNNNNNNNNNNNNNNNNNNNNNNNNNNNNNNNNNNNNNNNNNNNNNNNNNNNNNNNNNNNNNNNNNNNNNNNNNNNNNNNNNNNNNNNNNNNNNNNNNNNNNNNNNNNNNNNNNNNNNNNNNNNNNNNNNNNNNNNNNNNNNNNNNNNNNNNNNNNNNNNNNNNNNNNNNNNNNNNNNNNNNNNNNNNNNNNNNNNNNNNNNNNNNNNNNNNNNNNNNNNNNNNNNNNNNNNNNNNNNNNNNNNNNNNNNNNNNNNNNNNNNNNNNNNNNNNNNNNNNNNNNNNNNNNNNNNNNNNNNNNNNNNNNNNNNNNNNNNNNNNNNNNNNNNNNNNNNNNNNNNNNNNNNNNNNNNNNNNNNNNNNNNNNNNNNNNNNNNNNNNNNNNNNNNNNNNNNNNNNNNNNNNNNNNNNNNNNNNNNNNNNNNNNNNNNNNNNNNNNNNNNNNNNNNNNNNNNNNNNNNNNNNNNNNNNNNNNNNNNNNNNNNNNNNNNNNNNNNNNNNNNNNNNNNNNNNNNNNNNNNNNNNNNNNNNNNNNNNNNNNNNNNNNNNNNNNNNNNNNNNNNNNNNNNNNNNNNNNNNNNNNNNNNNNNNNNNNNNNNNNNNNNNNNNNNNNNNNNNNNNNNNNNNNNNNNNNNNNNNNNNNNNNNNNNNNNNNNNNNNNNNNNNNNNNNNNNNNNNNNNNNNNNNNNNNNNNNNNNNNNNNNNNNNNNNNNNNNNNNNNNNNNNNNNNNNNNNNNNNNNNNNNNNNNNNNNNNNNNNNNNNNNNNNNNNNNNNNNNNNNNNNNNNNNNNNNNNNNNNNNNNNNNNNNNNNNNNNNNNNNNNNNNNNNNNNNNNNNNNNNNNNNNNNNNNNNNNNNNNNNNNNNNNNNNNNNNNNNNNNNNNNNNNNNNUGGUACGUCAAACAAGUAUAGUAUAAACUCUUAUUAUUCAAUUGCCAAACCACACACAAAGAAGGUUCCAAUCAGAUUAUAAAUUGUUCACAUGAUUACAUUAGUUAUCUUAUUCGAAUAAUGCUAAUACUUGUAAAUGUUGUCAAGCAUUCAUGAUUAUAACUUAUGUUAACAACAAAUCAAGUUCCUUUCAUAGCUCAGGUGUCGGUUAUACCAUACAGUAUGGGCUAUGAAAGUCCCAAGUAUUUGUUGUACCAAGUGUUAUACAACAUAAAUCUAGAUUAGUCAUUCAACAAGCAAAGUAUUAAAAAUGAACAAGAUAACAAAUAUAAAACAUGUUAGUAUUCAACAUUAAAGUCCAUGUUAAGUUUAUAUUAUACUUAUCCUUACACCAUUAGUGUUACCCUUUCACCUUGACAUAAUAAACUUAGCUAAACAUAAUGAAAGAGAGAAACAUAAAUAAACAAGGAAAGGAAAUGAAAAGCAUAAGCAAGAGAUUAAUAUAAGCAAAACUUAAGCAUUACAAAGAGAGAAAGCAAGAUCAUGAUCUUGAUCUGAACACCAAGAUGCCUCAAUACAUGGUAAAUGCCUCCUUUUAUAGGCCAAAAUUUGGAACUAUUGAUUUGUUGACUAAUUGAUGAGUGGGUUGCCACAUCUUGACUUGAUGACAAUUCUUAUCUUUUUGUCUGCCAAAAACAUCAUUGAUAACGUCAUAAUUUGAACAGACUUAAAUCAUUAAAGUUCUAGUAAAUUGUCUCAGCUUUCCAGGAAAACAAAGAUGAGGUCAUUUGGACUUCUAGAACUCGAGAUAUGGGCUAAACACUGAGCAGUGUCUGGGCUGCAGAACAGAUUCAGACUUCUCCGUUGUUGCUACAAUUUGGACUUGAAAACAGCCUUUUUAAAUCUUGGACUCCCAUGAAAGUUUUAGGCCUAUAUCUUAGCUUUCCAUCCAUAUAGAGCAGACCUAAAUCCAAGAUCUACAGCUCCAGAUAUGCCCCAAUGACCGAACAGUGUUCCAGUUUGGAUUGAACCAGCAUCUCUCUUCUAAGUUUGACCCUUUCUUUGUUCUUUCAAUUUCAGUACUUAAACUCAUCAAUUAAUCCUUUUAUUUAUGUGAUAGGCCUGCAUUUUAGAUGAACGUUUACCAUAAAUUAAAGGUAUCUUAUAGUAUCAGACUUGUUAUUAUAAAACAUCUUAUAGUUAAGGAGUUAUUGAUACUUCAAGUGCAAAAUGAUGAUAUAUAACCUUGAUAAAAAUGCAUUUUUAAGUACUAAUCACACCCCCCAACCAGCUUAUUACUAGUCCCUAGUAAUCAAAGCGUUAAAAUAGAAAAACAAUUUGUAAAUUCCACAAAGCAAGGCAUUCAUCAUUCAACUUCCCUUAAUCUAUCGAGAUAAACAAACUCUCAUUAAGUUUAUAUAUCUGCUCAAUACCUCUUAAACAAGAUAUUAAUAAACCUUCCUUUUUAUGUGCUCAUUGUACGAAAACAUAGAUGAUGGGGCUUUUGUUGGAGGAAAACAAUAUUAUGUUCUAAUGUUUAAGGUUAACUUCCUUGGGUUGGGAUUAUUAUUAUUAUUAUUAUUUUUCUCUCUUUUUUUUAAUAUAUAUACAUAUAACUUAAAACACAAUGUAUCUUUAACCCAUGUAACGAGCUUUCGGCUAAUGGCUCCCAGACCAGUUGGUCUUAGGGCAUUAGGUGUUGAGACACCCCUACGAGCUUAGUAACUCGGGUUUCAGAUACUGAUACGUAGAUAGUGCAAUGUUUGAUUCCCUUAAGCUUUUCUCCUUAACCCAUGUAACAAGCUUUGGGCCAAUAGCUCCCAAGUCAGUUGACUUUAGGGUAUUAGGUGUUAAGACACCCCUUUGGGCUUAAUUGCUUAGGUUAGGGAGGCUAAGAAACCAAACUUAUCUACGUUUUUAUUAUCAUCAUUUUUUUUUGUUUUUUUUUAAAAUUAUAUACCAUCCCUUUCCCUUAGUUGUUACCUUUAACAAAAGAACAUAAAUAAUGUAAUAAUCCAAUGUGCAACCCACAAUCAUAUGUUAAAGUGUGUGUGUGUGAAAAUGAAGGUUUAAGAAUACUUGUUAAAUGAGUAUAUGAGCAGAAUUAAGUGAUAACAAUGCGAGAGUUUGUAAACCUGAAUAUUUCAAGAAGUUUUUUGAUAGACCUUGGUAAUGAUACUUACUAAGAUGCGUCUCUAGAGUCAAUAAAAUUUCCUCCUUACUCUGCCAUCCUAAUAAGAAUACUUUACUAAGAUGCGUCUCAAGAGUUAAUAAGACUGACUCCUUACUCAGCCAUCCUAAUAACAAUUGUGUCAAAUGGUUUUAAUAAUAGCAAAAACAGUUAGUAAGUUAGUUUUUUUUUAAGGAUUGUAGUUGGUCAAUCAAUUGUUCAGCAGUAGCAGCAGAGAUUAUGAUUUGUCAUGCUGAAGAUGUUAGAAAAUUCUGUUCCACAACAUGAUCAAGAAAAGACAACAAAUUAUCAUAAAAACCAUUGACAUUUAGCAAAUCUAUAGGUUUAUGGUGAAUGUGCAGUUGGGCCCAAGAGGAAAUAUGAAAGAUCUCUUCCAAUGUGCCUCGACCACCUGAUAAUCGAACCUUCGCUUCAAUCAGCCAGCGAAUAUCUUCAGGAAUUCCAUGAUUCAUUAACAAUCUCAAUCUUGCACACCUUGCACGGUAAAUUUUUGUAAUCACAUUCCGAGGCAGAGUGGGAAAAUACUUUUUCAAUUUUUCAAGAGUGGUGUCCAUUUUCAAAUGAGAAUUGGAGAAGAGAUUCAAAGAACUGAGAAAGAGCAAAGAAUUGCACAAAUAUGUACACCGAUAUCAGUUAUUAUGGGAAACUGAAAGAACCGACUUAAGUCACGGAGUAACGUUAUCCGCCAUUUGACCGGGGUGAGAGAAACUAGCAAAACAAAACACAAAACAAUGUGAGAAAAAAACAAAAUAAUCAACCUUUAUCUACAGGAUCACUCAAACCAAUGGAUUCAUUUUCACUAGGAAAAUUAUCAAAGUAAGCUUUCAAAUGAUGUUCAUUUACCUUAAAAACAUUGUUAUUCUUUGGAUUCUCGAUAUCACAGGCCCCAUAUGGAUACACAUGUUUCACAAUAAGAGGACCACUCCAUCUUGAUCUUAGUUUUUCAGGAGAUAAAUUGAGUCGAGAAUUAUAAAGCAAAACUUUUUGACCAAUAUCAACUUUUUGACAACUUUCACAAGUUUUGCAGAAUGCAUAUGUGUCCUUGAACAUGGUGGGCCAAUAAAAUCCAUUUUGAAAGAUUUUCGCAAUGAUCUUUUUUGAUGAGAAAUGACUCCCACAUGCUUCAGAAUGACAAAAUUUAAUGACACUACUUACCUCAUUGUCCACAAUGCAUCUUUGAAAUAUUUGAUCAGGACAAUAUUUGAAUAAGUUAGGGUCAUCCCAAUAAAAGUUUCUCACUUCGUUCAAAAACUUUCCUUUAUCUUCGGUACUCCAAUGAGUUGGCAAAUCUCCUGAGGCAAGGAAAUUGAUAUUUUUAGCAAACCAAGGCAUUGAACCAAGAGAAAGUAAGGAUUUGUCAGGAAAGUAAUCAUCGAUUGGUGUGAUGUCAGAUGUCGAAUCUGUUGUCACUCUUGACAAAAGAUCCGCAUCAACAUUUUUUAUGCCUUUUUCAUCCGUGAUUUCUUCCUGAGAAUAAGUCAUUUGCAAAUCUUCAAAUUCAUCAAACUCAGUAUUACUCAAAGUAGAUUCAAAUUGAUCAUAAACCAAUUCUUCAAUAAAAUCUACUUCUUAUAAAUCAUUAUCAUCUCCAGGUUGCUUGCAAAUGUUGAAAAUAUUCAUCUCCAAUGUCAUGUUUCCAAAAGAUAGCUUCAUCAGUCAAUUCCUACAAUUAAUCAAUGCAUUAGAAGUUGCAAGAAAUGGACGCCCUAAAAUAACAGGAAAUGAAUUACAUGUUUCAACAGGUUGUGUGUCCAAGACAAUAAAAUCCACAAGAUAAAUGAAUUUAUCAACUUGUACUAACACAUCUUCAACUAUUCCUCUAGGCACUUUUACAAAUCUAUCGGCAAGUAAAAGAGUUACAGAAGUUGGUUUUAACUCACCUAGAUUGAGACUUUGAAAAACUGAAUAUGGAAGUAAAUUCACACUAGCUCCAAGAUCAAGUAAGGCUUUUUCAAUUUUAUGUUCUCUAAUAAAGCAAGAAAUUGUAGGGCAACCAGGGUCUUUAUAUUUCAAAGCAUUAUUAUUCUGAAGAAUGUCACUUGUUCGGCCAAAAAGGCUUUCUUUUUCACAUUCAGUUUUCUCUUCACAGUGCACAGAUCUUUCAAAAAUUUUGCAUAAGAAGGAACUUGUUUAAUAGCAUCCAGCAAAGGUAUAUUGAUCCUUACCUGUUUGAAAGUUUCAAAGAUUUUAGAGUUGUGAUUGACUUUCCUUUGUUUGGCCAUGGCAUGAGGAAAUGGAAGUGCUGGCGGGGAAUCAGUCUUUUCUUUGUAAUGAUCAGAUUCAACCCCUUCCUUACCCUUAGAGAUUGACUCAUCAUCAUUCUCAUAAGGUUCAAGAAUGGGUUUUUCAAUAACCUUACCACUACGAAGAGUGAUGACUGAUUUGACUUGAUUCAUGUGUUGACUUCCAGAACUACUUGCAUUUGCAUGAUACUGCCCCUUGGGAUUUUGUUGUGGUUGACAUGGAAACUUACCUUUCUCUUGGAAACUAAGAGCAGAUGUGAAUUUUGCAAGAGUAUCUUUAAAAUCUAUCAUGCUUUGAGCAAGUUGAUUGUUAAUUGCCUCUUGCUUUUCCAUAAAUGCAUGCAAUGUUUCCUCAAGAUUUCUUCUAGGAGGGGGAGCAUAAGGAGGUGCAUAUCCAUGAGAAUUUUGGAAAUUAUGGUGUGCUUGAAACGGUGGUUGUGAAGUUUGUGCAUUAUUGUUCUCACUCUUCCAACUGAAAUUUGGGUGAUUUCUCCAACCAGGGUUAUAUGUUUGCGAAUAUGGGUUAUGAUUGGGCAUUUGAAAACUAUUUAAAGCAUGGGCUUGUUCAUGGAGACAUUCCUUAAUAGAAGGCAAAGUUGGACAGUCAUUGGUUGGGUGUUCAUUGGUUUCACAGAUUUGACACGCAAUGUCUUGAACAAAUUUUAAUUGACCACUCUUUUUCAAUUGUAGUGCUUCGACUUUUUUAGCUAAAGAUGCAAACUUGGCUUGGAGGUCAUGAUCUUCCCUAAGGUUGUACAUACCCCCACUAGAUGUAUGAGGUUGGGUUUUACUUGGUGCCUCAUAAGUACCUGUGGUGUCCCAAUUUUGUGCAUUUUCAGCUAGCAAGUCUAAGUACUCCAUUGCUUCAUUAGGGUCUUUAUCUUCAAAAGUUCCAUUACACAUCAAUUCAACCAUUUGCCUAUCUCUAGGUGUUAAUCCUUCAUAAAAAUGUGAAACUAAUCUCCAUGUUUCAAAACCAUGAUGGGGGCAAGUAUUAAGCAAGUCUCGAUACCUAUCCCAACAUUGGUAAAAUGUUUCUCCUGGUUUUUGAGAGAAAGUAAUGAUUUGUCUUUUGAAAGAGUUUGUUCUGUGAGAUGGAAAAAACUUCUUUAAAAAUUGUUGUUGCAUUUCAUCCCAAGCACGAAUGGAUCUAGGUCUCAAAUUUUGUAGCCAUGUUUUAGCUUUAUCUUUUAAUGAAAAAGGAAAAAGCUUUAAUCUAAUGGUGUUCAUGCUACAAUUUGAGUCAUUAUACGUAUUGCAGACCUCCUCAAAUUCCCUUAAAUGCAAGUAUGGAUUUUCUAAAUCUAAGCCAUGAAAAGAUGGUAAAAGUUGAAUAAUGCUUGUCUUAAAAUUAAAAUGAGAUGCAUCAAGAGGAAAAACUAUGCAUGAGGGUGCACUUGUUCUUAUGGGAUUCAUGUGGUCUCUAAGUGUUCUAACACGGUUAUUCUCAUUAUUUUCAUUAUGAAGCGAUUUGUUAUCUUCUUCGGCCAUAUUUUCUGAAAAUGAUGAGGAUACCCUACAAAGUCUACCACUUAAUGUACGUGACCACACUCACAUGCACGUGCAGGAAGAGAAUAAAAGAAAGAAAAGAAAAACAAUAGAAAAAGAAACAAAACAAAAGAAAUGAAGUUAGAUAUAAGAAAAGUGAAAAGAGAAAACAAAAUAAAUAACUCGACCAAAAACUUGACACGACCAAAAGAUUGAUGUCUUCUCCCAAGUGCAGGAGUGUCGAAGUAAUAAAUAACUCGGCAAGACAGGGAGGUUAAUUGUAUAAAUUAUAGAUAACAAUAAUACAACAAUAACAAUAACAACAACAAUAACAACAACAAUAAUAAUAGAGAUAAUAAUAAUAGUGAAGAAGAAGAGGAAGAAGUUGAUGAAAACUUUGAGAUGGAAGAUUAACGUAAAGAUUAAACAAUGAUAACAACAAAUGUCAAGGUUAGAGGAUCCACUAAUGGUACGUCAAACAAGUAUAGUAUAAACUCUUAUUAUUCAAUUGGAAACCACACACAAAGAAGGUUCCAAUCAGAUUAUAAAUUGUUAACAUGAUUACAUUAGUUAUCUUAUUCGAAUAAUGCUAAUACUUGUAAAUGUUGUCAAGCAUUCAUGAUUAUAACUUAUGUUAACAACAAAUCAAGUUCCUUUCAUAGCUCAGGUGUCGGUUAUACCAUACAGUAUGGGCUAUGAAAGUCCCAAGUAUUUGUUGUACCAAGUGUUAUACAACAUAAAUCUAGAUUAGCCAUUCAACAAGCAAAGUAUUAAAAAUGAACAAGAUAACAAAUAUAAAACAUGUUAGUAUUCAACAUUAAAGUCCAUGUUGAGUUUAUAUUAUACUUAUCCUUACACCAUUAGUGUUACCUUUUCACCUUGACAUAAUAAACUUAGCUAAACAUAAUGAAAGAGAGAAACAUAAAUAAACAAGGAAAGGAAAUGAAAAGCAUAAGCAAGAGAUUAAUAUAAGCAAAACUUAAGCAUUACAAAGAGAGAAAGCAAGAUCAUGAUCUUGAUCUGAACACCAAGAUGCCUCAAUACAUGGUAAAUGCCUCCUUUUAUAGGCCAAAAUUUGGAACUAUUGAUUUGUUGACUAAUUGAUGAGUGGGUUGCCACAUCUUGACUUGAUGACAAUUCUUAUCUUCUUGUCUGCCAAAAACAUCAUUGAUAACGUCAUAAUUUGAACCGACUUAAAUCAUUAAAGUUCUAGUAAAUUGUCUCAGCUUUCCAGGAAAACAAAGAUGAGGUCAUUUGGACUUCUAGAACUCGAGAUAUGGGCUAAACACUGAGCAGUGUCUGGGCUGCAGAACAGAUUCAGACUUCUCCGUUGUUGCUACAAUUUGGACUUGAAAACAGCCUUUUUAAAUCUUGGACUCCCAUGAAAGUUUUAGGCCUAUAUCUUAGCUUUCCAUCCAUAUAGAGCAGACCUAAAUCCAAGAUCUACAGCUCCUGAUAUGCCCCAAUGACCGAACAGUGUUCCAGUUUGGAUUGAACCAGCAUCUCUCUUCUAAGUUUGACCCUUUCUUUGUUCUUUCAAUUUCAGUACUUAAACUCAUCAAUUAAUCCUUUUAUUUAUGUGAUAGGCCUGCAUUUCAGAUGAACGUUUACCAUAAAUUAAAGGUAUCUUAUAGUAUCAGACUUGUUAUUAUUAAACAUGUUUUAGUUAAGGAGUUAUUGAUACUUCAAGUGCAAAAUGAUGAUAUAUAACCUUGAUAAAAAAUGCACUUUUAAGUACUAAUCAUGAAGUUACUAAGUUUGUACAUGAUGGGUUGAGUAGACAAAAAUAAAAUAAAAUAAGAUUGUUAGGUCAUGUUUAAAGAUAUUUAGUCUGGAAAGACAAGUCAUGAAAGGAAAGGAAAUAAAUAAAUAAAUAUGUGAAUGCAUGUGUCAUGCGAUUUUAAAUUUAAAUGAAUUUUAGAAUGGAAUUUUCAAUUAUGGUGGAGCCACAUUUGAUAUGUAUCUUUAAUGAUACUGGAGAGAUUGCAGAAUCUGUUCAGUAGCAUGGGACUUUUACGCGAGUUCAAGCAUUAGGUAGGUGUCUUAUACCUCAAACUUUUGUUUUUACAAUACUUGUUAGAGUUAAAUAAAUGGUAUUUUCUAUAAAUAUACUUGUGCUUGUGUAAUUGUGAAUGUUUAUGUCGAGGAAAAUAUAGUGGACUAGCUAGUUUGAAUAGAGUUAGUGGUGCUACUGUACUGACUGUUGAGUUAGAUGUAUAAUAACAAAAAUGAAAUGUACCGACUUUAGGGUGAUAAAUUAAUGGUACAUUAUGAUUAAAUUAUUGAUGCUCGAUUUAUAUAUGUAUACUGAUGAUGUGUAUGUGUUUAAAUAAUUUAUAUGAAGGAAGCAGGUGUAUCCCACCUUGUCUCUUUUAAGUUGUGUAAACUUAUUGGUAAAUUUCAGAAUUUAUUGUUUUAUUGCUUCGAUGAUAUUGACAUGAGUAAGAGUACCUUAUGUGCAACGGUAUACCUCUAUUAGUUAGGAUAAUGUUUGAACGAAUAGGAGUGACUUGCGUGUGUUGUUAUGUAUUGAAUUAAUUAUGUUAUUAUGGUCGUAGUGUCGAUAACUAAGUUUGUGUGGGAAUGAUGCUUAGCAACAGUUGUUAUAAUGCAUAUGAUGUAAGAAAAAAAAAGAAGAAGAAGAAGAAAAGAAAGAAAGGGGAUCGAUACGAAUGGAAAUUUCAAGUGACAUUGAUUAGCUAUCCGGGUUUGGAUAGCUAAUGGUAUCAAUGAGGUUUCAUUGGUAUCGGCAUUUAGGGUGACAUUGAUUAGUUAUCCGGGUUUGGAUUGCUAAUGGUAUCAAUGAGGUUUCAUUGGUGCCGGCAUUUCUUAAAUUGAUUAGUUAUCCCGAGCAAUUGGGUGACUAAUGAUGUUAGUAAUGAUUACUAAAAUCGGCAUGGUUACUCUUGGUUCAGUGAAAAAGAUAAGUUUAUUAACUAUUUUGGGUCGAGAAUAGUUAAUGAUAUCAAUUGGUCAUAUUGGUAUCGGCAACCAUUUCUGGUGUGAUUAGCUACUCCAGGUAAGGAGGCUGAUAAUGUAAAGGGUUCUUGACAUCGGCAACUUUGAUGAUAAAUCAUAUAUGAAUAGGAUUUGAUACUCCAGAUAAGAAUAGUUAAUGAUACUAAUCGGUUGUGUUAAUAUCGGUACGUGAAUGUAAGUUAUUAGUCUAUCCCAAUAUUAAAAGACUAAUGAUACUAAUGAGAUUUAUUAGUGUCGGCGAUUACUUUCUAGAAAAUAAAAGGGAAAAUAUUGAUUAGUUAUUCCAAAGGAAUGAGAUAAGCUAAUGAUACCAAGAGAGAAAUGUCUUGGUAUAAAGAGAGAAUUGAUUUAUAAGGAGAUGGUGUUCGAAAAUCAUUGAGUUGUGUUGAGAUUUCCAAGAUGAAAUUAUUCUCAACAAAUGGGAAAGGAUAUUAGAUGGAUAUUGGUAAUAGAUUGAAAAUGCAUGUUGUAAAAGAGGUUUAUACCUAAUUUUAUGUCUCAAAAGAAAUUCUAUGAAGAUUAUUACCUAUCAUUGUUAUUGUUUGUUACUACCUUUUUAUAUUUAUGUGUACACGUUAAUUUCUAUUUUCAGGUCCAUCAGGGUCGCGUCCGGAAUGAUAUUGGUUUAGUUACCUUUUGCUUUUGACCAUGUAAUUAUUUGUAAAUUAAGAGUCUUAUAUCCUAAAACUUGAAAUAUAAUAUUAAUCCGUAAAUUUGAAUGUAUGACUUUAAUCUAAUGUUUGUAACUUUAAGUACCUAUUUAACCAUGCAUGUUUAGAGUUGAAAACAAAUCUUUCACUUGAAUUACAUUAUAUGACGUUAUUGAAUAACAUGUGUUAUGUUGAUGAUGAUGAGUUGGGUUGAGAUCUAGGAUGAUUGGAUUAGGAUGUGAACUAAAAUUGGAAGUAUAAUAUGAUUUUGUCGAUAACUUGGGACCUCCUAGUAUAGGGGAGACUCUGCCAAAAUUUUGGUAGACAUUUGGUGGAACCGGUAUAUUAAAAAAAAAAUUACUUGAAAAUUUCCAAUGUAUCGUGAAAAAAGGAUGUUGGAAAUCAAGGUUGUUAUAGUAACAGUUGAAAAUUGGACAGUAACAGUUCAAUGUCUAGACAGUAACGGUAGGCUUUCACGUGAAUACUAUAUAUGCAAGAAUAUAAAAGAAUUGAGUCAUACGAACACUUGCACAUUGAGAUACUAACUCUGAAAAUAUACAUGAUAUAUGUAUGUAUGUUAUUAUGAGGAAAUGAACAUAUAUAGAAAGUAACAUAUGAGUAAUGGAUGAAUAUGGAUUCUCUAUAAUGUCGACUUGAAGGAAUCAUAACCAAAAACUUCCUUAUGAUUCAGGAGGAGCAACCAGGAUUGGAUUUUCUAAUAGGGGAGGUCGCGAGACAAGUGAAGCAGGUGCAUGAUUCUCCUCCUAUUUGGACUUAUACAAUUUAGAAUUCUUAUGGUGAAUGCAAUUACAAUAAAUGUCGUGUUUAAUGUAAAUAAAAAUCUAGCGUAAAUAUAAGAUUAGGAGAUGAUUUACAAGAUUAGCUUUGGCUAAUGGCAUCCGUGAUAGGAUUGCCGGGAGAUGAAUUACAAGAUUAGCUUCGGCUAAUGGCAUCCGUGAUAGGAUUGCAGGGAUAUGAAUUACAAGAUUAGACUUGGCAAGGUCACCCAGUUCAUGCAAGUAAAUAAGAGUAUUCAAAUCAUGGAUAUACAAAUGAGUGUUAAUUAGGUUUAAAAGACUUACAAGCAAAAUAUAAGUUCUUUGUUAGAAUUCUUAUGGGUCCGAUAGAAAGUUAAUACUUCAUUCGUAUUCAUUACAUGAGCAUCUAUAUUCUUUAUCAACAUAAUGAUAUGUUUAAUUAUGUAACAGGUCCAUCAAAUAUCCAGGAAGAUCAUUAGUUUAGGACUCUACUUUGCGAAGCUUAUGUAAAUAUUUAACUUAAACAAAAGGGAAUUAACGUGUUUAUGUAGUAUAUUUUUGUGUAAACCUUGAUGUAUUUAUAAAAGUUCAAUUUUGCAUGUGUUAUUUUAGUUAUCUUGUAAUUAACCCUUUUGAAAUAUUUAAGAACACUUAUUAUGUUGUAAAUACUUUCUUUGCAUGUUAGUAUUCCUUUCCUUUUAAAUUUUACGAUAUGAUGUUUGGACUAUGUUCAUAUUGAACUUACUCAUAGGAUAUAUAUAUAUAUAUAUAUAUAUAUAUAUAUAUAUAUAUAUAUAUAUAUAUAUAUGGUGUGGAAUUAUGAGGUAUGAUAUAAGAUCCGAAAUUAUGGGACCUAAUGAUGAUGGGUUGAUUGAGUAAAUUGAUAGUAGUUGAUAACUUGGGAUGUCACUCUGCCGAAUUUUUGGAAAAAAAAAAAUUUACCCUCAGAUAAAGAGGAUAUGUUAGGAUCUUUUAACAUUGAUCAAGUCGUACAGUUCGGACCGUUACAACACUCAAUGAACAUGAUUUACCCAUAAAGGAAAAAGAGACAUUCCUUACUUCAAGUUUGCUUUACUUAUGAUGUAGGCUAAGGACAACAACAACUGCAAGUUAAAGAGGGAUAAUCAUUAGAUUGUGUGUUGGGACAAAAUAAAUAAUUUUUUUAAUAUCCGUGAUCAGUACCGGUGAAUAUGAUAGAAUGGAAGACUCCCCUUCAUUAUCUAAAAAUAAAUAAAUAAAAUCUAGAUUAUCCUUCUAUUGUGUAUCAAAUUUAUGCUUUUUAUUGGUCAGUGAUUUUAAAUCCGGUUUGGUGGUCGACCCGACCCAAGGGGUUCUAGUCACGAGUUUUGAUCGGGUCACCUGAGUCAACUCCAAUUUUUUUAUAAAUCAAAACGAUAUCGUUUUUUAUUAAAAAAAAUCAACAGGUUGCAACCGGGUUUUUUAAUCCAUUUCAAGGGCAAUAGCAUUUAGAUCCAUUUCAAUAGCAUUGAUUCCAUCAGGGGCUCCGGUGUAUAGUGAGGACCUUGCUGUUAGAAACUAUGGAGCCCACUAUUUAUUAAUCCAUUUCUAUUUACUACUUAUUACUAUUUAUUUUUAUUUACUAUAUUUUUGUUUGUGAUACCCGGUACCAAUACAAUUUGAGAUUCCUUCAAUUUUUAAGGUGCAUGCAAGUCUAAUGGCUUCAUGUACAAAAUCAAUUCAAGGGUGUGUAUCCUUAACUAUCAGGCUAACCUUUACAAGCUUGGCAAUCGAUAAUUAAUUUUUAAUGAAUUCAAUUUUUUUUUAAAUAAGGAAAAGGACAUUGGUGAAUAAAUUGUUUCCUUCCUAUUAUAAUUGUUAGACCUUACCAAAGGGCUAAUUUAGAAAAAGAUUGUAACUUAUAGGUCACUAGGGCCGAGGUCAACUUGUGACUAAGUAGAUCAAUUUAAAUUAAUUAUUUUUAUUAAAAUAAUAAUGUUUUGUUUUUUUUCUUGAUAUUAAUUUGGCUAAUUUUUAUCAAAUCAAAUCACUAAGAACUUAACCAAAUCAAAUUUCAUCAAAUCAAUAAUAUUUUAUGUAGUUGAAUUAAAAAUUCAAUUCAAUUCUAGCUCUGAACCCUGAUUUUUUUUUUGUUCAAUCUAGCAUACAGGUUUAUCAAAUAUGCUUCGCGCUUGCAGCUGUGGUUUGCUGCGGGCAUUUGAUAAUUGGAUUACUGUAAAGAUUAUUGUUGUCAUUUCCAACUUCAUGCAUGUUGCUAGCACUAGAAGUUGACCCAACCACCCUUUCUACCAUGCUCUCAUUAGGACCAAAUAGUUCUCCGUGUGCAUACCAACACAGGUAAUCUUCCAUGAACCAUUUGGUUAGAAGAUGCAUCGUUACAACAUUUUGAUGCAGAAACGUUUUAUUUUUACACUUCCUGCAUGGACACCUAAUACCGCCAUCAGUAAAAUUCGUCGGAAUAGAUGUUGCGAAAUUAAUAAAACCCAGAACCCCGUUAUAAUAAUCCAUCCUCCGCAAUCCUUGGGGUGAGUCCCGAUACAUCCAUGAACGAUCAUCCAUGACUUCUAUCGAACCUCUAUAAAAUUAUGACGACAACAUGUAUUAAUUAACUAUGUUACGUAAAUAAAUUUGCAAAAAUAUUGGUUUGCCCCAACAUUAUCCAACAAACUAAAAAAACACUUAUGUUAAAUAUUCAUUAUCAAUUAUCAAUUAUCAAGGUCCAUACAAAUUUAUAUAUAUAUAAAUUUAUGAAAUCACAACUUCGCAAUAGAAUUGAUAAAAAUUAAAACAGACCCGUUAAACAAGCUAUUAUUUAUUUCAUCACAACAUAUCUAAUUCGGUGUAAUUCAAACAAAGUUUCAAUAAUUUACAAAUAAAUACAAUUUGACAAAAUCUAAAACAAACUAUAACAACUAUAAAAUUCUACAUUCAUACUACAAGUUUCUUUGACAAAUAACAAUCAAACAAGUACAUACGUUAACAAAAAUAUACAUAUACUAAAAAAAAAUGACAUUUAAAUGUUAAAACUAAAAGGAUAAAUUUACUUACAAAAAAUGAUAAAAUCCACAAUAAACUGCUCGGAGAACGGAUGUUGUGACCACGUACAAAAGUAUAAGAAACUUGAGUGCUUGUGUUGAGAAGAUGGGGGAGUUGGGAUGGGUGGUUGGCUGCAGUUUGGGAGGGCAGAGUUGGGAUGGGGAAAAAGAAGGGGAAGAAGAAGGAGAAAUAGGGCAGAGAGUGUCGGCAGAGUGGAUAAUAUAUUGGCUUUUACCGAUGGAAUCACCGACUGAACGUUUCCGUUGGUGAGUCGGCCAGUGAAUGUGCCACAUCACUGUAUGGCGAUCCCGGUUUGAAUCCCUCGGUAAUUCCAUCGGUAAAAUCAUCUGAAAAAAAUCCACGUCAUCACACCGUUGCAACUUUUCAAAAAACUAUAUAAUCCGUCAGUGAUACCGUCGGUAUAUAGCGACGGUAUCGCCAACGGAAAUUGUCUGUCGGUAUAUACCGACAGAAGUAGAGACGGAAUUAUUUUCGUCGGUAAUUUUUACCAAUGAAAAAAGUCUGUCGGUAAUUCCGUUGGUUUUCGCCGAUUUUUUGGUAGUGAAAUCUUAUUUAAAUUAAAAAGCCAAAAAUGAACUCAUCUACUCUUUGCAAGAAUGGACUAAAAUCCGCAUAAUUAAAUAGUACUGUUACUGUAAACUACUAGGAAAUUCAUGGGUAGAGCCAAAAUGUUAACAAUAGCAUUGAUUCGACCAAGUAAGGGGCUCACUAUUUAUUAAUCCAUUUCUAUUAAGGAAAUAACCAUAGAAAUUAUGGAGCCCACUAUUUAUUAAUCCAUUUCUAUUUACUACUUAUUACUAUUUAUUUUUAUUUAUUAUAUUUGUGUUUGUGAUACCCAGUACCAAUAAAAUUUGAGAUUCCUUCAAUUUUUUAGGUGCAUGGUCUAGUCUAAUGGCUUCAUGUACAAAAUCAAUUCAAGGGUGUGUAUCCUUGACUAUCAGGCUAACCUUUACAGGCUUAGCUAGCAAUCGAUAAUUAUUUUUUAAUGAAUUCAUUUUUUUAUUUAAAAUAAGGAAAAGGACAUUGUUACACCUUAACUAUUAUAAUUGUUACACCUUACCAAAGGGUUAAUUUAGAAAAAGAUUAUAACUUAUAGGUCACCAGGGCCGAGGUCAACUUGUGACUAAGUAGAUCAAUUUAAAUUAAUUAUUUUUAUUAAAAUGAUAAUGUUUUGUUUUUUUUCUUGAUAUUAAUUUGGCUAAUUUUUAUUAAAUCAAAUCACUAAAAACUUAACCAAAUCAAAUUUCAUAUUUCAUCAAAUCAAUAAUAUUUUAUGUAGUUGAAUUAAAAAUUCAAUUCAAUUCUAGCUCUAAACCCUGAGUUUUUUUUUUUUUUUGUUCAAUUUAGCAUACAGGCUUAACAAAUAUGCUUCGCACUUGCAGCUGUGGUUUGCUGCGGGCAUUUGAUAAUUGGGAGAGGCUUUAGUUUCGUACCUGUUGUUCUGCUUCAUGUACACUCGGACCUCUUAUUUUAUUUUAUAUUGGUUGGAUCCAAACUUAAUCCAACACAAAAUUAACAUAUUUAUUAUUUAUUUAAGAUAAAUGAUAUAGGUUUAACAUAUUAGCGAACACUUAAUAUGAUUAAAUUUAAUUUUAAUUAAUUAACAUCUCACCGUAAUAAAUUUUACCAUUUGCAACCAAAAAACAGUUGACACCUUAUUAAUAUAAUCAAUAUAGUAGAAAAAUUAUAGUGAUUUAAAACAAUUCAUUAAAAUGUUCGUAAAUGUUUUUAUUUUGUGACAAGGAUUUUCAUGUUAUCUGUUAUGUAUUGUUACUGUUAUAAUCCAUUUCUAGAUUAUUUCUCAAAUUCCAUAAUUAGAUUUUUAAUAGGUCAAUUUGAUUUAAUCAUUGGCCAAAUUAAAUUUUAAUUAUGUUUAAAAUUUUAUUUGGGUCCUAUUGAAGGAUUUAAUUAGAUGCAAUGACUUAACUUUACUUUAAAUGGGUCAAAUUAAAUUUAUAAGGGUAAAAUUGCAAGAAAAUCAAAGUUUUUGGGGUCAAUUAAGGGCUAAAUUAAAAAAAUUCACAGCCAAGAACUAUUUUGCAAAAGACGCUAAACUAUAGAAACUCAAUUGAUUGAAAUUAGAGAUGGAAAUGAAAGAAUUGAAAGUUUAAGAAUCAAUUGAGGGUUAAAUUGCAUAAAUCCAAGACCAAGGAUCAAAAUGAAAUAGGUGUUGAAAUUUGAGGCUGACAUUCAAGUUCGGCAGAGGCAAAAUUGCUUAAAAUUGAAAGUUUAAGGUCAAUUAGGGAUGCAAUUGAAAGAAAUUAAAAGUCGGAGGACCAAACUGAACUUUGGCCAAAUCCCUAAAAUAAAACCUUAAGAGCCAAAACAACGUUGUUUCAUUUAAAUGCAUUUAAAUGAAACAACGUAAAUGAAACAACGUUGUUUUGACAAAACAGUACCAAAAAAAAAAGGCAAACCAGACAACGCAUCAUCUAGACUGUUCAUCUUCUUCAUCAUUAGCCUCCUAGAAAGCUUCUCAAAUGGCCACUUUCUCAAGGCAUUUAAUGUCUUUUCUCUCCAUCAAAUUUGAUAAAAUUUGCACGCAAACGGUGGCCUAACAUCUGGUGUUGUCCUUUAUGGCUGAUUGACGCCACAGCGGUUAUGGCACCGCCUUAAAGUGGCCAACCCGACUAGCCCUUCUGUAGUAACUUGUCAAACCAUGAUUGCAACUUUAAGUCAAUGGUUGAGAUCUUUCAGAGUUGAAUUAGGGGCUAAGAUUUAGCAACUUUAAAUCAAUUAUUGCAAAGUCAAUGCUUUUAUUUUGUGACGACGAUUUUUGUGUUAUCUAUUAUGUGUUGUCAUUGUCAUAAUCUGUUUCUAGAUUAUGUUUCAAAUCUAUCUUCUUUCUUUUCAAAAUAAAAAAGAUCAAAAAAUAAUAAUAGCCAGAAAACUAGCAUUUUGGCAAAAGCAAGUUGGGAAAAUUUCAAAUGUAGAAUUGCAAUUUUGGAUGGAAUUGGGAGCCUAAUUAUAUCUUAUUUAUCCAAAACUAGAGAAACAAUACAAAUUCAAUGUCAAGUUAAAUGAUUAUUGAAUGAAUCUUUAUAAAAAUUAAGUCUAAGGACAUAAUUAGAUUUUAAAUAGGCUAAUUUGAUUUAAUCAUGGGCCAAAUUAAAUUUUAUUUAUGUUUAAGAAUUUAUUUAGGUCCAAUUGAAGGAUUUAAUUAGAUGCAAGGACUUAAUUUUACUUUAAAUUGAUCAAAUUAAUUUUAUUAGGUGACUUAAUUAGUGAAAAAUUAAGUUUGGGAGCCCAAUUUGAGCUUAAUUGAGAAGAUUGAUAUUUUAGGAUGUCGUACAUGGACGUGCAACAUCGGGGGGUCAUUUGGAGUCGUCACCUAGUUAUUUAGUUCAAGGUCGCUAAAAAACCUAGGUAUAUUGGUCUUGUUAGAGAUUCGAGAGUAAAUGACUAGUUGUGGCUAAAAAAGGUAUUAACACCCCUAACGCAACCUACCCAGGUAAGUUACUUUGUGAUUAGAUGUGGUUUAGAGAUUUUAAUGGUUUUUUAAUAUAUCUAUAGUUUAGGAUUGCGUUUUGCAUGUAUGAAUAAAUUUGAUGUUUAAUAAUUUAUUAUGGACUCUUGUACCCAGAUCAAUUCUUAGAAAAAAAAGUUCUUCGUAAUUUAUGUAUUGUGGUAAAAAUUACUCUCAAUAAAAAUUAAUGAUUAUUUAGAAUAACUUUGAGGAUUUUCUGGUCAACUCCAAUAUUUCAAAUAUCAGCCUCACUUAUAGGUAUAGCGUUUUAUAUCAAGAUUUUUAACCAUUAAUUCUCAUGAAUUAAAAAAUAGUGGUCUAUUAAAAUAUUGAUCAAAUUCACAUGAAUUUAAUAAACUAGUUAUUAAAUUCUAAAAUGCAUAUUCAUAUAUAAUAUUUUAAUUUGUUUUUAAAUAAAAAAUAUUUUUAAAAAGUAUGUGCCACAAUACCAAAUUAUAGUAUAAAUUAAAAGAGAAAGUAGUUUUCUCUUCAUCACUAUUCACUUAUAUUCAUUUCACUAUGGAUAUUAAUAGUGAAUUUUUUGAAAAUUUCCAAUGUGGUAUUCAAUUAUUUUCUUCACAAUUGAGCUCUUUUAAAUUCAAAUUAGAGUCUAAUUGCAUAUUUUUUCAAGGAUGAGGAUUGAAUUGAAAGACAUAGGACUAAAGUGAAAAACUCGACUAAAAUAAGUGGUGGCUUUGCAAUUUGUUUGCAAAGUUCAUUUUAGUCCCUAUAUUUUUUCAUCAUUUUAUUUUGAUACCAAACUUUAUUUUCCUCUGUUUUUAGUUUUUUUUUGUGUAGGAGAGAGAGAGAGAGGAUCACUGAAUUUCAUUUUAGAGAGAGAAAGUUGUUGUUGGGGAUUUUGGCCACCAAAACGGUUGAUUUUUGUGUCAAAUUAUUAUGUCUUAAUUUAACAAGAUUCCUUGGAUAUUUUCUAGGUGUUUUGGAUCAAAAUGAGUUGAAAACAAGUUUUUUGAUAAAAAAAAAAUCAAGCCUCCUUUUUCUAGCCAUACUAGUAAUCGAAAUCCGGGGACGCAUUGACGACACAUCGUUUGUUGAGGAAAACGCCGUGUCAUUUUUUUUCAAAGCAUUGGGGUGACGACGUGUCAUCCGCCCUAUUAACUUAAAAAAAGUUAAAGGCUUGUGCGUGUGUGCCGACUUUGCAAGUCAGUGCGCGAGCCUUUGAUGGGUGGGCCAAACACUCUAAGCUUGACUCUCCAAGCUCAGCAAUGUCUGACUUCAUUCAUUUCCUUUUAUUAUUAUUAUUAUUAUUAUUAUUAUUACCUAUAUAUAUAUAUAUAUAAGAAAAUAAUUAAGAAAAUAAUUUUAAAAUGAUGUUUUCAUUAAUACUCGUUCUCUAUGUUAAUAUGAUUUAUUUGUAAUGUUUUAUAUAUAUUUCAGAUAUAUUAAGUAUUAUUUUUUUAUGUGUGUGUCGAUUUCUCUUAUAUAUUGAUUUUAGUAAACAAAUUCAUUAAAUAUAACCAGAGAAAUGACUCAUGUUGCAAUAUUAAAUAUCUUGAUCUAUAUUUGUCCCUCAAUUUUUCCACUUGCUUUUUUAAUUAUCGAUAAUGACUUUGUUUUUUUUAUUUAUUCACACAAUAAAAAAACACUUUGAGAAAUUAUUAGGCUUUUCUAUUAUUUAUUUGAAGGGAAUAACUUUUUUAUACUUAUACAAUAUUGUAAGGUUUUAUAGUUUUAAUAUAUAAAUGGUUGUAAUAGCUUUUUGGCAUGUGAGACUUGGAUAAAUGAAAAUCAAAUAUUUUGGGUGUCUAUCUUAUAGUUAUGAUAUUUUUAGUAUUUGAGGGUUUUGACUUGGAAUAAAUCUUGUUAUUAUUCGUUUUCGUUUAUAUCAAUUUGGUUAGUGUCUUAGGACCAAAAGAAAAGAAUCAAAAUGAAAAAAACACAUUUGAUUUAAAAUAACUUAGAUAGAGAUAUAAAAUAAAUAUAUUUCUAAGAUAUUUUUUGAAUGAGUUUCUAUCAUUACAAAACAAAAUGUGCAUGAAAAUAUGUUUCAUCUAUCUCCACCAUCUCUAUUUUUAAAAAAAGAUAUACUCUAACCAUCUAGGUGGUGGCCUAGUGGUAAGAGCUUGGGACCAAGAGGUUUGCUCCCUCUGUGAUCUCAGGUUCGAGCCCUGUGGUUGCUCAUAUGAUGGCCACUGGAGGCUUAUAUGGUCGUUAACUUCAGGGCCCGUGGGAUUAGUCAAGGUGCGCGCAAGCUGGCCCGGACACCCACGUUAAACUAAAAAAAAAAAGAUAUACUCUCUUCCCAUUUUCUCUCCCUGCUGAAUUUUGGAAACCACCCACACAACAAUAGCCCUCACAACCACCAACAUGAUUUUUUUUAAUCUUAUUUAGCCUUUCUUCAAUUAUUUGUAAUUAUGUUGGGUGUGUUUAGUUUUUUAAAAAAUUAGUAUAAUUCAUCUGUAAUUUUUUAUAUAUAUUUCACAUAAAUUAAGUAUUUAUUUUUUUAUAAUAUUUUGAAUAUGUUUAUCCUUGAAUUUUUUUUCUUUUUAUGUUAUUCAAUAAAUUUGAUGUGUGUGUUGAUUUCUAUUAUAUAAUGAUUUUAGUAAACAAAGUCACUAAAUAUAGCAAGGUAAAUGACCUAUGUUACAAUAUUAAAUAUCUUGAUCUAUAUUUAUCUCUUAAUUUUCCACUUGCCUUUUUAAUUAUGGGUAAUGACUUUGUCUUUAUUUAUUUAUUUACACAAUGGUUCGUGCUUUGUUUAAUUCGAUACGUGCCUAAUUUUUUCGAUUUACAUUUAUGAUUUUUUUAAUGUAAAAAGAACGCGUUAAGAAAUUCUUAUUCUUAUGAUUUUAAUUUAAUCCUUAUUCUUAUGAUUUCUUUCUUUUUUCCUUAACCCUUUUAUAACAAAAAUAUUGUUUGUAAUUUCACCCUUCAAUUCAAUGUGAUGGUGUAUUGUUUUUGUUUUUUUAUUUUAUUUUGAUCCUCAUUGAUCGCUUCUUUAUAUAUAUAUUCUUGUUUGUUAUUAUUGCCUUAUAUAUAUAUGAUUCAAAUAAAAUCAACUUAUUUAAGUCGGUCCGGACUAUAAAGUUAUUUAAUGUUUUUUUUUUUAAAGAAACACGCUUGUAAUAUAGUGCGGAAACCAGCAGGUGAGACUUGAGUAAAUGAAAAUGAAAUAUUUUGAAUGUCUUUCUCAUAGUUAUAUUAUUUUUAAUAUUUGAGGGUUUUAAUUUGGAAUAAAUCUUGUUAUCAUUCGCUUUUGUCUUGUCAAUUUGGUUAGUGUCUUAGAAAAACAUAGGAUUCAAAAAGAGAAAAACAUAUUUGAUUUAAUAUAACAUAGAUAGAGAUAUAAAAUAAAUAUAUUUCUAAAAUAUUUAUGGAAUGAUUUUCUAUCAUAUCAAAAUAAAAUGGGCAUGAAGAUUUCUUCUAUCUCCACUAUCUCUAUUUUUAAAAAAAGAUAUGCUCUAUUUUCCCAUUUCCCAUGAAAAUGGGCUGAAUUUUGGCGACCACCCACACAACGAUAGCCUACACAAUCACCAGCCAUGCCACUUUUCAAGACCCCAUCUCUCAAUCUCAAAACCAGAAACAACCCCCUUCUCCAUUAAACCGAAUCUCAUAACUCCAGGAAAGUGAAGGACCAAACCAUACUGUUAAAAAUCUUAAAGGGUUUUAAAUUAUCUCUUUUACUUUCCCUCAAUUUUCUAGACAAGAAAAAGGAGCUAAACUUAUUCCCCACCAAAAUGUCAAGAAUUUCAGUAGAACGAAAGAAGAGAUUAUUACUUGACCAAAAAACAACUAGUCAGCACCCAAAGAAACCGAGUGAAUGAGAGAAAAAGACUAAUAGCUAGGAAACAAUCAACAAAUCCAAGAACUUUCUAUACGGUUUCCAAGAAAAUGAAAAGAAACGAGCAAGACAACCCUCUUUCUCCUCUUUCAGUGUUCAAAAAAACAAAGAAACGUAAAAGAGGACUUUUCAAAGUCAGCUAAGUAUAUGGCUUAUUAUAUUCAUAGAGAGAGGCGGAAUUAAUUUUAUAAGCCAUGUAAAAUAUAUCUUUUUUCUUGGCAACCAAACACAACCAGAAGCCCAAAUGAAAACAAUUUUGACGAAUUCCCACCAAACAAUUGAACUGCUGUUGUAACUAAGAUUUUCAGUUAUACGUAAUUUUUGUGGUCCAAAGGACAAAUAAUUUUCUUUUCUUUUAUUUUAUCAGCUUAAUUUCACUUGUGGACUUGAUGGGCAACCAGACUUGCAAAUUGAGGUUCAAUCUCGUAUGCACAAUUAAAUCUCGUAUGCGUAAAUUGCAAGCAACAAAUUUUAAAGUGAAUUUGGUUACUGAAACUGGUUUGACAACGACUCAAAACAAUCUGAAAGUGCAAAAGAAAGGAAACAAAUUCAAGAAAAAACAAAAUGCUAAUAAGAAGCAUAGAGUUUGUUUCCAUUGUGGAAAUAAAGAACAUUAGAUAAAAUAGUGCGGAUUCAAGAAUUUCAACAAGAAAGGUGGUUCUUUCAAAGUAAAUAUGGUUGAACAAGAUGAAGGCAGGGAGUUAGUUGUCAUGGUUUCAAACAUUCAAAUUUGAAUGAUUACCGAAUUAAAUAUGGCAACUAAGUUAUAAAGACUUCAGAUUGGUGGCUGGAUUCUGGUGCAACAGUUCUUGUUUGCAACAACAAAGCAUGGUUCAAGACUUAUGAAGAAUUGAAAAAACCUGAAGAGGUCUUGAUGGGCAACCAUAAUUCUGCCAAAGUUUUGGGAAAAGGAACUAUUGAGUUGUACUUUACUUCUGGACAAAAAUUAUCUUUACUCAAUGUGUUUCAUGUUCCUGAAAUUACAAAAAAACCUUGUAUGCAGUUUUGGGAAAAGGAACUAUUGAGUUGUACUUUACUUCUGGACAAAAAAUGUCUUUACUCAAUGUGUUUCAUGUUCCUGAAAUUACAAAAAACCUUGUAUCUGCUAGUCUCUUGAGCAAGAAAGGGUUCAAGAUUGUUUUGGAGUUUGAUAAGGUUAUUGUAACUAAGAGUGGGAUGUUUGUGGGAAAGAGUUAUUCUUGUGAUGGCAUGUUUAAGUUCAGUAUUAAUGAAAUCAAUGUUAUUUCUGCUUAUAUGGUUGAAUCUACUUCUCUUCUUUGGCAUGCUAGAUUAGAACAUCUAAAUUAUAGAUAUUUUAAAUAUAUGUGUAAGCAUGGUUAUAUUUCAUAUCAAUAUAAUAAUAAAAACAAAUAUGAAGUAUGUAUUCAAGAAAAGAUGAAAAAGAAGUCUUUUUCUAAAGUAGAAAGGAAUUCUCAAUUACUUGAGUUGGUCCAUUCUGAUAUAUGUGAAAUAAAUGGUAUGUUAACAAGGGGUGAGAAAAGAUAUUUCAUAACUUUCAUUGAUGGUUAUUCUCGUUUUACCUAUGUUUACUUUUAAGAACUAAAGAUGAAGCCUUUGGAAAAUUCAAGAAAAUGGUAGAAAAUCAAAAGGAAAGGAAAAUUAAAGUUCUUAAAAGUGAUAGAGGUGGAGAAUACUUUUCUAAGGAUUUUUCUACAUUUUGUGAGGAAAACGGAAUAAUCCAUCAAAUGAUAGCACCCUAUACACCACAACAUAAUAUGGACUUGCUGAAAGGAAAAAUAGGAUCUUAGUGGAUAUGGUCAAUGCCAUGCUUUUGAAUGCUACAUUACCAAAUAAUUUAUGGGGUGAAGCCUUACUUACUACAUGUCACAUUCAUAAUAGAGUACUAUCUAAAAGAUUAAAUGUUUCUUCCUAUGAAGCAUGGAACAGUAGAAAACCAAAUCUGAAUUAUUUUAAAGUAAGGGGGUGUGUAGCUUUUUAUAAAAGUUCUAAUCCUUAAAGAACAAAAUUAGGACCCAGAAGUCUUAGGAGUGUUUUUGUUGGUUAUGCACAAAAUUUAAAGGCUUAUAGACUUUUGGAUUUAGAAACUAAUGUGAUUGUUGAAUCUAUACAUGUUGAAUUUAUCGAAUAUAAAUUCAUAAGUGAUUCAAAUGUGCAAGAACCAAAUCUAAAAGUAAUAACUCCUAGCUCAACGUUAAGUGAAAAAUGUAAAAACCUAGAAGUAAUAGGUUCAAGUGAACCUAAAAGAAGUCAAAUAGUUAGAAAGGAAAAACACAUAGAUACAAAUUUUAUUUCUACUGAUUCAAUUGUAUUUUUAGUGGAAGGUGAUAGAAAUACAAUAUUAAAAAAAAAACACCUAUGAUCCUAACUAUAGAAGAUGAUCCAAAGACAUUCGGUCAAGCUAUGACUUUUAAGGAUGUUGCUUUUUGAAAAGAAGCGGUAAAUGAUGAAAUGGAUUCAAUAUUGUCUAACAAUACUUGGGUCCUAAUAGAUUUACCUCCAGGUUAUAAGCUAAUAGGAUGUAAGUAGGUGUUUAGAAGAAAAUACAAUACUGAUGAUUCUAUACAAACCUUCAAGGCAAGAUUGGUUGCCAAAGGUUUUACUCAAAAUGAGGGUGUUGAUUAUUUUGGCACUUAUUCUCCAGUGGCAAGAAUUACAUCAAUUAGAGUUUUAUUUGCAUUAGCAUCAAUUUAUAAAUUGUAUGUUCAUCAAAUGGAUGUAAAGACAACUUUCCUAAAUGGAGAUUUAAAGGAAGAAGUGUAUAUGGAGCAACCUGAGGGUUUUAUACUUCCUGGAAAUGAAGAAAAAGUCUGUAAAUUGGUAAAGUCUUUAUAUGGUUUAAAACAAGCUCCGAAAUAAUGACAUGAAAAGUUUGACAAAACAAUUUUGUUGAAUGGUUUUCAUCACAAUGGUGCUGAUAAGUGUAUGUAUUCCAAAUUUACAAAAGAUUUUGGUGUGAUUAUUUGUCUCUAUGUAGAUGACAUGUUAAUAUUUAGCACCAAUAUGAUUGGAAUAGUUGAAACCAAAAGGUAUCUCACUUCUAUCUUUAAAAUGAAAGAUCUUGGUGAAGUAGAUACAAUUUUAGGUAUCAAAGUUAAGAAACAUAGUAGUGGCUAUGCACUUAAUCAAUCACAUUAUAUUGAGAAAAUGCUCGAUAAGUUUAAGCAUCUCAAUAUAAAGGAGGCUAAUACCUCAUUUGACUCUAGCAUGAAGUUAAAUGAUUAUUGUGAUAAAGCGAUAGCGCAACUAGAAUAUGCUAGUGUCAUUGGAAGUCUUAUGUAUGCUAUACAUUGUACAAGACCAGAUAUAGCUUUUGCUAUAUGCAAGUUAUCAAGAUAUUCAAGCAAGCUGAAUACAGAUCAUUUGAAGGUUAUUGCAAGAGUCUUUGGUUACCUAAAAAUAACGAUCGAUUUAGGCUUGUUUUAUUCUGAUUUUCCAAUUGUGAUGGAAGGAUAUAGUGAUGCAAGUUGGAUGACUAGUUCAAGUGAUAAUAAGUCCACAUCAGGAUGGAUUUUCUCACUUGGAGGAGGUGCAAUAUUUUGGGCAUCUAAGAAACAAACAUGCAUCUCUCAUUCUACCAUGGAAUCAGAAUUUAUUGCUAUAGCUGCUGCAGGUAAAGAAGCAGAAUGGCUAAGAAAUAUGUUGUUUGAUAUUAAGUUGUGGCCACAACCUAUGUCAGCUAUUUCUUUAUGCUGCGAUAGUGAAACAACUAUGUCUCGAGCUUAUAGUAACAUUUACAAUGGUAAGUCAAGACAUACAAGCAUUCAACAUGGAUAUAUUCGAGAGUUGAUUACAAAUGGUGUAAUCACCAUUGUCUAUGUGAAAUCUGUGAAUAAUUUAGUGGAUCCGCUCAUAAAAGGACUAUCUAGAGACAUGGUACGAAAAACAACUAAUGGAAUGGGGUUGAAACCCGUUAUUCAAGAUACCAAUAAUAGGAACCAAACUUCGGAUUAGCAAGAAGCUUAUCUCUUAGUUUAAUGGGUAAUAACAAGUUACUGUUUUGUAUAUGUUGGACACUGAUAAUUAAUUUGAGUCCCUAUUCUAAUAGUAUUCAGUGUGUUCUAUUACGAAAAGUAGGAUGAGCAUGGGCUCUUAAUAAAAUUUAAAGUUCGUGUCUAAUGUAAUAGAGACAUGUAUAAUUCCACCUAUAUGAAUAUAAAAGUGGUGCCGCUUUUGACAAGACUUAGGGUUUUCUCUUAUAGAUAUUUAUGAAAAAAAAAAAUUAUGAUUUUAGCACAUGGCCAUAAUAGUGCUAAACAGUUGUAAACCUCUUUAAGAGUUUGGAUAGUAUUAUGUGUGUAGUAUCUUUUAUUCUACAACAAAAGUUUUGGUUUAAUCUACAAACACCAAUAACUUUAGUAGGAUUUAAGUUCUAACACUAAUUGAAGGUUUAAAUUGCAAAAUACCUUCUUGUAAGUAUAAUUCUAUCGAGUGAAAAGACCUUCAUUACAAACUAGUGGGGGAUUGUUGGUGUAGUUUAUAAAUGAAUAAAGAAAAGAUGUUUAUCACACAUUGGAAAGAAACACUCCCUCCUAAUGUUUCUAAGUGUGGGUUACUAUUGUGUAGUAAAUUAAGCCAUGGUGGACAAACUCUUCUAUUUGGCUUCCUAAUGUUAUUAUAUGGAUAUUUAUAAUAUCAAAAGAUAGCAUUUGGAACUUGGAAUUAAUAUGAACAAUUAUACUGUUUCAUGAAUAGUCAUAUUGUUUGAUGAUCAACCAUUGUGUUUCAUCAAUAGUCAUAUUGUUUUAUUCAUCAACAAUCAUAUUAUUUGAUGAACAAUCAUAUUGUUUCAUCGUUAUAUUUGAAGUCUAUAAAAGCAUAUUACUAUACAGAAAAGAAAUACAAUAAAAAAAACAUACAUUCUUUAAUUGGUCUUGAUCAACACCUCUUCUAAUUUCUUCAAUCUUCCAAUCACAUUCUCAGGAAUCCUACUUAGCCUUUCACAACCUGUCACAUCCAACAACCUUAACUCCUUGAGCUCUCCUAUUUCAUCAGGUAAUUCUUCAUUGGAGAGGCACCGCUUAAGACUAAGAAUCUUAAGUCUCUGCAGCUUUCUCAACCAAAUGAGGUCCUUGCAUUCACACAUGAUCAACACCAACGAUUGAAGUUUCGUUGAGAGUUCAAGUGAUUGCAAUGACAAACAACCUCCCUUCAGAGACAAAACUUCAAUUUCUUUCAUCCCUUCAAAGAACCUCUCUGGAACAUUCAUACCAUAAUCCACUUCUAACAAUAGAACUUUGAGCUGUGGACAUUCCAAUCCUUCAGGAAGUUCGGUUAAUUUAUUGCCCAUUAACGAAAUUGUUGUACAAGCUUCAAAGCUUUUGAUACUCAUUGGCCAUUCCUUCAACCCAAUGCCAGCCUUUAUUAUGAAUCCAUAUUCUUGUGAUGACGCUAUCCGAAUAGCAACAUCACGAACCAAGUCAUGCAUUUUCACAUGUUCAUCUGUUUCAGUGUCCAACAGCAUGCAACAAUCUUUGAGUUUUUUUAUUUCCACAUAAACUCGUUUCCUUGCAUCUCCAAUGGACUCCACAUCUUGAUGUAACUCAUACCCAACUGCGUAUCUCGUCAAGUCCUCAAUUGGAAUGUGGUAAUCUUCUGGAAAUAAACAACAUAGCAAGAAACAUAACUUGGUUUCCUUGCUUUUCAAAUAAUCAUAGCUCAACUUAAGACAUGCAUAUGCAGUUCUUUGUUCAUCAAUGUGUUCCAUGUCCGGAAAAUGAGAGUUUUUUAGCUGUCCAAUUGCUACUUCCCACUCAACUGCAGAUUUAUCUCUUAGAGCCAUUCCCACUGUCACAAGUGCUAUAGGCAAGCCUUGGCAUUCUCUCGCAACCUCCCUUGCCACUGUGUUCAAGGUAGAUUCCCCAACACGUAAACCUGCAUUGAUUCUGAAUAAAUCCCAUGCUUCUUUUUCAGGUAAGGGACUUAACAGCACUUUUUUCCGGCAUUCCGUAUAAGAACAUAUGCCUUGAAGACGUGUUGUUAGAAGAAUUUUACAACCCCUGUGAUCAUCACCAAAUGGGAUCCCUAUCUCUUGGAAGUCAAUAACUUUCCAAACAUCAUCCAGGAUAAUAAGCAUCCUCUCCACUUUCUUCAGUCUCUGCCAUAAUCGAUCUGCUCUCCCAUCUUUACUACUUCCUCUAAUAUCCAGACCUAACUUAUCUGCCAUUUGGUUCUGGAGGUCUGUGACAUUUGGAUUCUGCGACACCGUAGCCAUCAAAACUUCAUCAAAAAGCUGCGACUCUCUGGCUAUCGUGCCUACUUUUCGCACAAGGGUGGUUUUACCCACCCCUCCCAUGCCGCACAGUCCGAUCAUAUUGACUUUGUCAUCUUUGAGAGCUUCCAUAAUAUGUUCGAAAGCUUCUUCUGACGAUUUUGAGGGGGUGAAUUUCUUUGAUUGAAGAAAUUCUAUGGGCUGAGGAUGAGUUCUGUGGGACACUUUUGUAGACUUUUUUUCUAAAAGUUCUCUGAAAGUCUCCGACUUCUUGGCCAGUGCCUUGCUAAACUUGAAUUGUCGCAUGCAGUUUGGACACCAAGUGAAGCAUUUGCCAUUUUUUCCUAUUUCAUUUUCCAAGGGCUUCGCACCUUCAAUUUCGUUUUCUGCAUCUCCCAGCCACUUUUUGACAUCUUCGUAAAUUUCUUCAGCAUUCCUUUCAGCAUCUUUGACAUCGUCUUGCAGACGUUCUUUUUCCGAAACCAGCUUCUCCUUUUGUUGUUUGAAUUCUUUAACAAAAUCGUUGAAACAGAACAUGUAACGGAACUGCCUUCCUACUGGUUCCACCAUGAGUUCUGCUAUCUUAGAUAUAAUGGAUCCACCCACACUUUCGAUAGCCAUUUUCCACCAGUCUGGAAUCAGAGAAAUAAGGAUACCAAACGUGAGAGUGAGUCGUAGUAGAGGCAUAGAGAGAAUGAGAAAAGGAAUUUUAUUAACUUAAUUUGGGAAAAUAUGUGCGAAAAGCUCUGGCAAUCAAUGAAAUAGCGGGAGGAAGAAAAGGAGAAGGCCUCUAGCUCUGUACGGAAUCCAGCUUCAAAAGCAACAAGGCAAGGUUCAAACUGACACUUGUGAGUUGAAGUAGUAAUUCCCAUUAAAAAUGCAUCUUGAUGACAUAAUUAAGAUAAUAUAGAGACAGUGACAGAGAAAUAAAGAAACGAAUGAAAGUUUCAGGAUAAUCACUUAGACGCCUCUCUGGAUGAUACCAGCUCGCUUCCAACAACAAAUAUUAUUAACCUAAGCUAUGAUCGGUCAGUUUUUUUUAGUUUUCUUUUCUUUUCUUUUCUUUUAAAAACAGAUCAACAAGGGAAAAGACUUGCAAAGAAGUAGAAUUACUGGAACGAACUCAACAAAGGAUCAAACUCAAAAAAAUAAAAGUAAUUGUGUAUGAGAAGCAUUUCUGUGUCACACACUCAAGUAAUAUGAUUGACCUAUUACAUUAUACAAAUUAAUAAUAAUAAUAAUAAUAAAAGAACUAGGUUUUUGAUGGCAUCCAGAGUGCUGUUGCUUUGAAAUAAAGAGGCUUGUGCAUGUGGUGUUAUGCUGUUCAUGUAGGCUAAGUUCUCUCUUCUUGUCUUGCUAUUCUGAUUUUAUCUUUUUCUUUGCAUGAUAUAAGAGCAGGUUCUUACCUCUUGAAGUCUGCUGAAUAAACCUAUCAGCAGAAGAUCCUGAACCGAUCCCAAAUCACAGCUUCAAUCCCCACCACAGCCAAUCUCCUCUUUCCCGUAGUCUUGCGUCCUCAAUUGGGAAAUGAUCCAAAAUCAACAACCGGUCCGGAGAUAGUUUGUGUGAAAAGAAACGGCUGAAAGAUGAAAUGUGAAGGUUAUGGUGAGAAAUUAGAUGAGAAAUUGGAUUGCAAACGGGAUGGUGCAAACUGGUGGAGCAUUAGACUUUUUAAAAGACAACAAAAAGAAGCAAUGUCUCAUCUUUUGAUCAGUUUGUUGAUGAAGAUAUCGAAAGAUUGGAGUCUCCGUUUUAGCUUAGGUUGGAAGCAAGUCUGAAAAUUAAGAUUAUUUUAAAAGAAUUUUUAUUGAUGGUUUGUGAGAUUAGUAAUGAAGUAAUUUAUGACAAUUUAAUCUUUAAAAAAUUAUUUAAAAUUAAAAAAGAUUAGAUUUUUAGGUAAUAAUUCUAGUCGGUUAGGCAAUAUAAACAGUUUUUGCAAAGAUUCUACUACUGAUGUGUCCAUAUUACAUAGGAACAGAAUGCUAGAGAAUAACUUUCUUUUUAAAAAAAAAAAGGUCGAGAAUUUUCCUUAAAGCAGACACCCAUGAAGAAGAUCUAGUUACCUUAGCCAAGCUGCUCACUUUACAAAAUUGUAUCGUAAUAGUUUGCGUCCACUAGGAAGUCGAGAAUAGGAAAAGAAAAGGGACGCUUAGCGGACCCACAAAAUCUUGAAUUAUCCCUUACUUUUUCAAUGGUAAGGAUAUCCUCGUGUCACCUUCUACAUUAAGUUUUAUAAAAUCUUGAUUUUUUUUAAAUUAAUUUUUUAAGUUUUAAUUAUGAAUUGUUUAUGCAAAGAAACACAAGAAAAGGAAAAAUUUCUCAGUGUGUUUUCUGUUACUUGUUUAGCAAUAGCUAGCAAGGUUCUGCUUAAAAAUACCAUUGAACAAGGGAUGAACCAUUCAGCAAGGGAUUCUGCGAGGAAAACAUGAAAUUGUUAAGCAUAAUAAUAUGUUAAGCAUGACAAAUUUCAUUUAAAUUAAAAAGCCAAAAAUGAACGCAUCUCCUCUUGCAAGAAUGGACUCAAAAGUUCAGCUAAUCCGCAUAAUUAAAUAGUACUGUUACUGUAAACUACUAGGAAAUUCAAGGAAAGUUAACAAUAGCAUUGAUUCGAUCAAGUAAUAAUCAUAGAAACUAAGUACCAAUAAAAUUUGAGAUUCCUGCAAGUUUUUAGGUGCAUGGUCUAGUCUAAUGGCUUCAUGUACAAAAUCAAUUCAAGGGUGUGUAUCCUUGACUAUCAGGCUAACCUUUACAGGCUGAGCUAGCAAUCGAUAAUUAAUUUUUAAUGAAUUCAAUUUUUAUUUAAAAUAAGGAAAAGGACAUUGGUGAAUAAAUUGUUUCCUUCCUAUUAUAAUUGUUAGACCUUACCAAAGGGCUAAUUUAGAAAAAAGAUUUUAACUUAUAGGUCACCAGGGCCGAGGUCAACUUGUAAUUAAGUAGAUCAAUUUAAAUUAAUUAUUUUUAUUAAAAUGAUAAUGUUUUGUGUUUUUUCUUGAUAUUAAUUUGGCUAAUUUUUAUCAAAUCAAAUCACUAAAAACUUAACCAAAACAAAUUUCGUCAAAUCAAUAAUAUUUUAUGUAGUUGAAUUAAAAAUUCAAUUCAAUUCUAGCUCUGAACCCUGAUUAAGCAUACAGGUUUAGAAAAUAUGCAUCUCACUUGCAGCUGUGGUUUGCUGCGGGCAUUUGGUAAUUGGGAGAGGCUUUAGUUUCGUACUUGUUGAUCUGCUUCAUGUACACUUGGACCUCUUAUUUUAUUUUAUAUUGGUUGGAUCCAAACUUAAUCCAAUACAAAAUUAACAUAUUUAUUAUUUAUUUUAUUAUUUAUUUAAGAUAAAUGAUAUCGCUUUAACAUAUUAGCGUACACUUAAUAUGAUUUAAUUUAAUUUAAUUAAUUAACAUCUCACCGCAAUAAAUUUGACCAUUUGCAACCAUAAACAGUUGACACCUUACUAAUAUAAUCAAUAUAGCUGAAAAAUUAUAGUGAUUUAAAACAAUUCAUUAAAAUGUUUGUAAAUGUUUUUAUUUUGUGACGAUGAUUCUCGUGUUAUCUUUUAUGUAUUGUCGCUAUCGUACGUGAACGCCCGACAUGAGGGUCAUUUGAAGUCGUCAUCUAGUUGUUUAGUUCAAGGUCACUAAAAAACCUAGAAAUACUAGUCCUGUUAGAGAUUUGAGAGUAAAGAACUAGUUGUAGUUAAAGAUUGUAUUAACACUCCUAGCGCACCCUACCCAAGUAAAUUACUUUUGUGUUUAAACGUGGUUUAGAGAUUUUGAUGGUUUUCUAAUAUAUCUAUAGUUUAGGAUUGAGACUUGCUUGUAUGAAUAAAUUUGGUGUUUAAUAAUUUAUCAUGGAUUCUUGUACCCAGAUAAAUUCUUAGAAAAAAAAGUUCUUCAUAAUUUGUGUAUUACGGUAAAAAUUACUCUCAAUAAAAAUUCAUGAAUAUUUAGAAUAACUUUGAGGAUUUUUUGGUCAACUCCAAUAUUUCAAAUAUCAGCCUCACUUAUAGGUAUAGUGUUUUAUAUCAAGAUUUUUAACCAUUAAUUAAAAAAUAGUGGUCUAUUAAAAUAUUGACCAAAUUCACAUGAAUUUAAUUAACUAGUUAUUAAAUUCUAAAAUACAUAUUCAUAUAUAAUAUUUUAAUUUGUUUUUAAAUAAAGAAUAUUUUUAAAAAGUAUGUGUCACGAUACCAAAUUAUAGUAUAAAUUAAAAGAAAAAGGAGUUUUUUCUUUAUCACUAUUCACUUAUAUUCAUUUUACUAUGGAUAUUAAUAGUGAAUUUUUUGAAAAUUUCCAAUUUGGUACUCAAUUAUUUUUUUUCACAAUUGAGCUCUUUUAAAUCCAAAUUAGAGCCCAAUUUUAAACAAAUCAAGAAGAGAAAAGACUUGUAAAAAAAGUAGAAUUACUGAAAGAAACUCAACAAAGAAUCAAACUCAUACAAUUAAAAAUAAUUGUCUAUGAUGACCAUCUCUGUAUCACACAUUCAGGUAAUAUGAUUGACCUAUAACAUAAAUAAAGCCCUGCAAACAAUUAAAUCAUGCUUCAAAAGCAACAAGACAAGGUAUAAAGUACACCAACAAAAAUAGUUUACUAACUGACACUUGUGAGUUAAAGCAGUAAUUCCCAUUCAAAAUAUUGCAUUUUGAUGACAUAAUUAAGAUCAUUUAGAGACAGUGACAAUCAAAUAAAAAAAAAAAAAUGUGUAAAAGUACUCACGCAAAGAAAGAAACGAAUGAAAGGUUCAGGGUAAUCACUUAAGACUCCUCCAUGGAUGAUAGCAGCUCGCUUCCAACAACAAAUAUAAUUAACCUAAGCUGUGAUGGGUCAAAGUUCUUUUUAGUUUUCUUAUUAAAAAAAAAAAAAAAAACAGAUCAACAAGAGAAAAGACUUGUAAAAAAAUAGAAUUACUGAAAGAAACUCAACAAAGAAUCAAACUCAAGCAAUUAAAAAUAAUAGUCUAUGAUGACCAUCUCCUAUCACACAUUCAGGUAAUAUGAUUGACCUACAACAAUAUUAAAAAAACAAAAAAAAAGCUAAUAGAUGGUCGCCAAGUGUUCAACUUUAUCUAGCCUUAGGAAAGGAUAUAAAGUGGGAGAGAUAGACGUCAAAAGGCUUAAAAAAAAGAAAAAAGGAAAGGCAGAAACGGAAGAAGACAUUGAAAGAAAUAAAAAAACGAUAGUGGCAUUAAAAAACGAUAAGUUAUUUAACGUCUUUUUAGGGGGGGAAGAGACAUCUGUUUAUUUAAAGAAAGAAAAUAUAUAUAUAUAUAUAAAUACUCUCUCUUCCAAUUUCCUCUCCCAGCUGAAUUUUGGCGACCGCCCACACAACGAUAGCCUACACAACCACCUUUCAAGACCCCAUCUCUCAAUCUCAAAACCAAAAACAACCCUUUCUCCAUUUAUCCGAACCUCAUAACUCCAGGAAAGUGAAGGACUAAACCAUAGUGGCAAAAAUCUUAAAGGGUUCUAAAUUAUCUCUGUUACUUUCCCUUAAUUUUCUAGACAAGUAAAAGGAGCUAAACUUAUUCCCGACCAAAACGUCAAGAAUUUCAGUAGAACAAAAGAAGAGAUCAUUACUUGACCAAAAACAACUAGUCAGCACCCAAAGAAACCGAGUGAAUGAGAGAAAAUUAAAGACUAAUAGCUAGAAAACAAUCAACAGAUCCAAGAAUUUUCUGUAUGGUUUCCAAGAAAAUGAAACGAAAUGAGCAGCACAACCCUCUUUAUCCUCCAAGAAAAGAAAGAAAAAGAAAGGAAAGAAACAAAGAAAGUCAAACUUGGCUCCUCUUUUAGUGUUAAAAAAAAAAAAACAAAGAAGUUCGAGGAAGUGGGCUGCCUUUUUUCUGCUGUUCAUGUGGUGUUCAGCUGUUCACGCAGACUAAGAACUCCUACCAUCGUAAAAUCAUAUAAUUAAAACACAACAAUAAAAAAGUAAUAAGCAGCUAAUUAUGUGCCAAAAUCAGAGAAAUAAGGAUACAAACGUGAGAGUAAGUCAUUGCAAGUAAAAGAGGCGCAGAGAGGAUGGGAAUAGGAAUUUCAUUACCUCAACUUGAGAAAAUAUGUGCGACAAGCACGGGUACUGAUUCCUCAAUGAAAUCGAGAAGGCCUUUAGCUCUGUAUGGAAUCCAGCUUCAAAAGCAACAAGGCAAGGUAUAAGCAUUUUGAUGACAUAAUUAAGAUACUAUGCGUCGUAAUAUAGAGACGGUGACAAAGAAUUAAAGAAAAAUAAUGUGUACAAGUACUCACCAAGCAAAGAAAGAAACGAAUGAAAGGUUCGGGAUAAUCACUUAGACGCCUCCAUGGAUGAUACCAGCUCGCUUCCAACAACAAAUAUAAUUAACCUAAGCUAUGAUCGGUCAAAGUGUUUUUUAGUUUUCUUCUUUAAAAAAAAAAAAAAAAAACAGAUCAUCAAGGGAAAAGACUUGCAAAGAAGUAGAAUUAAUGGAACGAACACAACAAAGGAUCAAACUCAGGCAAUUAAAAGUAAUUCUCUAUGAGUACCAUCUGUGUCACACACUGACUCAAGUGAGGAGAGAAAAGAAAGAGAAAGAAAGGAAAGGGACAAGGAAGGCAGAAAGUAAGGUCACGUAGGGCCAGUCUUGUAUAAAGUUUGAAAAGUAGCAUGAAAGAAGAGGAUAAUAGAGUAGUUGUCAGAAUCAAAACACGUAUAAACAGAGGACAAAAACAGGGAGGGAGGCUGUUUGUUUUUUUAAUUGUGUCUGAGUGCUUUUUAUAAUUAUAUUUAAUUUAAAAAAUAUUAAAUUAAUGUGGUUAAAAAUAUUUAAUUAUAACUCAAUUGCAUUUUUUUUUUAAGGAAAUAGGUUGAAUUGAGAAACAGAGAAACUCGGCAAAAAUAUGUGGUUAAAAUCAAUCCAUUUUUUUUAAAAAAAAAACUCCUUAGUUGUUAAGGAAAGAUUGGUAGUGGGAACAAAUCACCAAAGUCAGCAGCAAGGAAGUUCCAGGAAGUGGGCAGCCUUUCUUCUGCUGUUCAUGUGGUGUUCUGCUGUUCAUGCAGACUAAGAACUCCUACCAUUUUUAAAAUAAUAUAUUUAAAAUACAAUAAUAAAAAUGUAAUACGCAGCUAAUUAAUGUAUUAAGCAGCUAAUUAAUGCUGUUGUUCUUUCUUCUUGUUAUUCUAUUUUGAUUUUACUGUAUUUUAAAAAAAUUUAUGAUUGUGAAAACUAGCCAAACCAUUAGAUCCAAGCAAUCUGAGAGGGUAUUCAAGAGUGUAGUUGUCGUUGUUUUUCAAAGUAUUUUUCACUUGGAAAUGCAUCAAAAUAAUAUUUUUUUUAUUUUUAAAAUUUUUUUUUUGACAUCCUUGUAUCAAAAUAAUAUAAAAAAACCAAAAAAAUAUUAAUUUGAAGUAAACACAAAAAUAAAAAAAAUUAGAAACUAGUGUAGCUGCGCCCAAUGUUGUCCCGAGAUACUUUUUAUAAUCUAACUUUUUUAAUAUAUUUUUUAUUUAAUUAUGCAAUAUAUUCAUAGAAAACACUAAAAUUAAAAUUAUAGACAAAAAAAUAUAUAUUUCAUCAAAAUUUUCUAGUCUGAUUAAUGUAUUUUUCUUAAAAAAAAAAGUUUUGACAAUAUAAAAAGUAAUAACUAGGAAAAAGUAUCCUAAGAAACUGUAAUGAUUAGAACUAAAAAAAUAUUUUUUUUUUGUUGGAAACACAAUUUUUUAAUUCAUGCAUUUUUUUUAUUUUUUAAAAAUUUACUUUUUAUGAGUAACAUUAUUUUACUAAAAUGUCCCUAAUACAUAAUUAUUCAUAAAUUAAUGAAAAUAUCAUAAUAAAAAUGCCUAAUCUUCUUGAAAACAAUUAAAUAAUUGAACAAUCAUUUAAAUAUUAUUUUAAUAAAUUGAUUGAAAGAUUUAUUUUAUUAAAAAUAAAGAAUAAAAAUGAAUUGAUAUCUAAGAUAAAGGUCAUACAAGCCUUCAAAGAUAAUAUAUGUACGUGUAUAAUACAAAUUAAUAAAUUCUAAGUAGUAAUAUUUAAUGCAAGUUUAAGAAUAAGAGUUUGCUUUGUGUUUUGUUGUGAGAUUAACCAUAUCAAAUUAUAUAUUUAAUAAUAAAUAAUUGUGCUGUGUUAUGAGUAAAAUCAAUAAAUUAUUUGGUAUUCUGCUGUCUUGUUGUUUGAAUUAAAAGUAUUAAUAAGAAUAUAAAUUAAAUUAAAUAUCGAAAAAACUAAAUGAAUUCCUUAAUAAAUAAAUAAAUUCUUUCUUUAGAAAGCAUGGAAAUACCAUGACAUUGGCUUUUUGGAGAAUACUACGAUUUUUACAGCCAAAAAAGUUAUCGAUAGCUGUGUAAAUCAUUGAAAUUGCCACAAAAGCAACCCAAAUUAGUUAUGAAUUGGAUUCGAUGGAAGGAAGAGGGGAAGAGGGGAAAUGGGUAACGGCUAAUUAUAAGUUCAUUAAAAAAAAUCUGGAACGCAACAGAUGGAAAAAACUCGAAACAACUCGUCUAGAAUUUAGGCAAGAAGAAUGAGCCAAGAUUUUAAGUGCAAUGAAAUUUGUCUCACUUUGUUCUUUUUUUUUUUAAUGAUACAAGAUAUACUGACUGUUUUAAGUGAAACAGAAUGGAAUCGACAACUUUAAAGGGAGCAGAGACCACAUAUGUAUAGCUCGAAUUCGAUAGCCUUUCUCCUGUACUGACAUGUGAUUUACAUGCACCAACAUUUCUUUCUUCUUUAUUUUGUAAUAUUCUACAUUGGCGAGUAAGGAUUUGGUAGCUGACCUUAUUAAAAGUGUUGGUUGAUGACUUGUCAGACACGUUUUGAGACCAUGCGUGAUAACAAAAAACAAAACCAUGAGGGUGGUAAGGCCCAAAACGAACAAUAUCUGACAGAUUGGACCGGACUGUGACAUUUGGUAUUAGAGCUGACCUCACUAGCUAUUCAGUUGUGCUGACAGGGUCAUUGAGCUCCUUAACAGGGGUGAAUUGUAAUAUCUCACAUUGGUGGGUGAGGAUUUGGUAACUAGCCUUACUAGUAAUGCUGGUUGCUGACUUGUUAGAUGCGUUUUGGGGUUAUGCGUUGUCGAUACACGACGUCGGGCGACGGCUCCCGCUUUUUUUGUUUAUUUAACAAAAAGGGUUUUUUUUUCUCGAUUGGGGGAAACAAAGAUUUUAUUGGAGUCGCCAUCUAGUAAUUUGAGGGAACUAGAAAUCCCAAAUUAGACACUGGUCCCAGAGAUUCGGGUACGGGGUUAGUUAUGAUUAAGGGAAGGUAGACACCACCCUUAAAACAUCCUUUCAAAAGAAAGGUUACCCUUACUUGUGUGUUUUUAUUUGAUUCAAAUGCGAUUAUAUUUUGGGCUUAUUUGUAAAUUUUUGUAAAUGAUUAACGUCGGUCCCUAAAAAUAGGAGACACGUUAAAAAUGACAUCAGUCCCUAAAAAUUGGAGACUCGUCUGAGUUACCAAAAGAAAUAAUGGAUAUAAUCCAUUAUAUUUUGGGUUUAUUGGUAAUUUGUUUUUUUAAAUGGUUAACGUCGGUCCCUAAAAAUAGGAGACACGUUAAAAUGACAUCAGUCCCUAAAAAUUAGGAGACUUGUCUAAAAUAUGACGUUUCAACCCUAAAAAGGAGAAUUACGUCUGGGUUACCAAAAACAAUAAUGGACAUAAGCCAUAUUUGGUAUUUACAUUUUUUUGACAUCGGUCCUUUUAAAAAAAAGAGACGUGUCGGCUUUGGUUUUUGUAUUGUUUACAACAUGCAAGAAAAUUUACAAGCAUUUAUAUAUAAAAAAUAUCAAAAAUACCAGUAGAAACUCCGAAAAAUUACCUGAGUGCCACUGUAUAGGUAAAAGACUGAAAUACCCUCAGGUUUCUCCAAAAUUUACAAAAAUGCCACUGGCGGCGCGUGUAGCACACGCGCGGCUACUGUUGGCGGCGGGGAGAUUUUCCGGCGCGAUUUCUGGCCAACCGAUGGUCGAUCCUGGUAGAUCUGAUGUCGAGGAUUCUUAUGGUGGUGGUCUUGACGGCCGUUGAUGGCUGAUGAGCGAGAAUCGACGACUUGAAGCUUCGGUGGCAGCCGACGAUCGCGGCCCGUUUCCGGCCAAAUAGAGCGGCGAAAACGCUGAAAUCGGCCGGGGUUUUGCUUUAUAUGAGGAAGGCGACCUUUCUGUGGUGGUUUUCAAGCUUGCAGUGGCCGGAUAUGGGAGAUCGGAGGAGAGAGAGGGAGUCGCCGGCGAGAGGAGAGAGGUGCUCUGGGUUAUGCUAUGGUGAGAACGCAAACACGGUACACCAGUGCUGUUGAUGCUUGUGAUCCGUAGGAUCUCUGAUGGAAAUAUCGUGCGGCUGUGAUUGGCCCGAUCUGCAGGUUGAUCGGACGGUCCGGAUGAGCGGAGCUUUGAUCUGGUGUGGCGCGGUGCACCAAAUCUCGGUACACCGGAUGACGUGGCGCAACGGGAUCAAAUCUUGGAAUAUUUCAAAGGCUGAGAUGUGUUUGGGUUUUAAUCUAGUGUGGUAAGCCCUAUUGUAUCCUAUUAAAUCAACGGUUCAGAUCUAAACACUAUUAGAUCUAACGGUUAGGAUAUAUUUGGUAUUUUUCAUAUUGUUUUUAAUAAAAAUCAAUAUCCUACCCUCGUGAAGAAAUAGUAAAAAAAACCUGAAUAGUAAACUCUUCUUUUUUUUCUUCUCCUUUUUUUUCUCUUUUUUUUUCCUCUGGCGCACUGUUGGCUAUUUAUAGCAGGGGACAGCAAGCAUCGGCUUUAAAUUAAAAAAUGUAUCCAUCCAACUGCUCGUCUACAAUGUAACUGCCCCGCCUAAUAUGACAAUUCUGUAUUAUUAAUUUUGUUUUAUUAUAUAUAAUAAUAUAUAUUUAUAUAGGUAAAAUUAAAACUUAAAUCAGUAUUAGAAAAAGCCUGAUUCAACUGCUAAAAAUCAAUUUUAAUUACCGAAAAUUAUGUUGAAACAUAAAAAAAAACUUUCAACGGAUAUAAACCCGGUGGACCGGGUUUUGACCAAAAAAUAACAGGUUUGACCCAAAACGGCAUGAAACUCAUUUUUUAUCCUGGUCGACAUGGUUUGACCCGUAUUGACCCGGUGAACUCGGUUUUGGUCAAAAAUGACGGUUUUGACCCGAAACGGCCCGAAACUCAUUUUUUACCCUGGUCGACAUGGUUUGACCCGUAUUGACCUGGUGAACUCGGUUUUGGUCAAAAAUAACGGUUUUGACCCGAAACGGCCCGAAACUCAUUUUUUACCCUGGUCGACAUGGUUUGACCCGUAUUGACUUGGUGGACUCGGUUUUGACGGAAAGAUGCGGUUGACUCGAGAAAAAUAUUUUUUUGAAUUUUCCUUUUUCUUAAUUUUUUUGGAUUUUUAUAAAUAAUAAUAGAAAUAAAAUAACAUUUGAGAAAAUCUUGGUGGAUCCAAAAUUGGGUUACAACAGUUGCCCCCUCUUUACAAUGCUUACGGUGCAAAGGCAUUGGAAAAUUCAUUUUCUUUUGACUUUGCAUAGUAAGUUUUGUAAAGAAAAACGAUGAAAGUGUUGAAAAAUGCACAGAUUUUUUCAGUUGGUCUAAUUCUUAUGGGCGACCUGCCCAAAUGAAAAACAUGAAAGUGUUUUCAAUAUUGAUCUGGUGAAAUACAUGAAAGUGAUUUCAGAUUAAUGUUGUGAAAUACAUGAAAGUGAUUUCAACAUUGUUUUUUUUUUUUUUUGUGAAAUACAUGAAAGUGAUUUCAACAUUUGCAUUGUGAAAUACAUGAAAGUGAUUUCAACAAUGGUUUUGUGAAAUACAUGAAAGUGAUUUCAACAUUUGUUUUCUGAAACACAUGAAAGUGAUUUCAGAUUAGCAUUGUGAAAUACAUGAAAGUGAUUUCAACAAUGGUUUUGUGAAAUACAUGAAAGUGAUUUCAACAUUUGUUUUCUGAAACACAUGAAAGUGAUUUCAGAUUAGCAUUGUGAAAUACAUGAAAGUGAUUUCAACAAUGUUUUUGUGAAAUACAUGAAAGUGAUUUCAACAAUGUUUUUGUGAAAUACAUGAAAGUGAUUUCAACAAUGAGCUUCAGGGUUGAUGAAACAUUCUAAAGGAAGUCAUACCUGUAUGGUUGAGAUCUGAUUUGUAAAUCGAUCUCAGAGAUGAUGAAAUCUUCUCAAGAAAGUCUUGUAUGUACGGUUGGGAUUUGAUUUGUAAUUGGAUCCCAAAGAUGAGGAAAGCUUUUCAAGAAAGUCUUGUAUGUACGGUUGGGAUUCGAUUUGUGGAUCCCAAAAAAUGAGGAAAGCUUCUCAAGGAAGUCUUGUAUGUACGGUUGGGAUUUGAUUUGUGGAUCCCAAAAAAAUGAGGAAAACUUCUCAAGGAAGUCUUGUAUGUACGGUUGGGAUUUGAUUUGUGGAUCCCAAAAAAAUGAGGAAAACUUCUCAAGGAAGUCUUGUAUGUACGGCUGAGAUUUCUGCCGUUCAAAGUGAUGGUAGAAGUAAAUUUCUUAUAAAUCACGCAGUAUUUGGCAAAAGACAUCAUCAACUUCUUGCAUUUUCAAUACUCUCAAAGUUCUCAACUUUUGAAGCUUUAACCAUGUCUUCCUCUUCUUCCAAUGCUAACCCAAACCCUGUUCCUGCAGUAGAGCCUGCAGUUUGGCGUACUACCUUUGAAGUGAAUGGUCGUCCAGUUACAAUAGAGGAUACUGUAAUGGACAAUGAAGAUAUUGCUGUAGCUGUGGCUAGAGACAUGAUCCUUCCUCGUGAUGAAAUAAUGUUGGCAGCCAGGACCGAUAUUGAAGCAGUGAAUCAGUCACUUGCUCUCAGUAUCAGAGCUACCUCGUCUUUGGUGAACGUUGCAGAGCGUCUUCAUGCCAGAAGACUUGAGUUGAAUACUCAGGUUCUUGAUCUCCAUCAUCAGAUUGAGAAUUUAAGGAAUAGACUUCGUGAUGAGAGACGUCACAGAAACAACUUGGAGAGGAGAAACCAAGAGUUAAAUACACGUGUUGACUUUUGGAGGGACUAUGUUAACACACGACACCUCGAGUUCGAGGAAGAGAUGGAGCGCAUGCAUAAGCAAUUCGAGGAAUUCUGAGGCAUGAUUAACCAUCAAGAUGAAAAUAUCCCUGAUCGUCCUCGCACUGUUUAACAUUUGUACUUGUAAACCCCUUUUCUAUGAAUAAAAAUCCAUCUUUCUUGUCUUCAUUUAUGAAUUUUGCUUUUGUGGAAUUGCCAUAUUUGAUGUGAUUUACAAGAACUUCAAGUCAUGUGAGUCUCGUUGGAUCCCAGUGGGAACUUUGUUUCGUGAAAUAUCUGCAAAACAAAUAUGCAAUGAAAUAUAGGUUCCCCCCUCUUUGAUGCUUCAUCGUCAUGGGGUGGCUUUGUUUGCAUUCCAAAGCCUUCUUUGUUCUUUCGAUGCAUUGUUUGCAUUCCAAAGCCUUCUUUGUUCUUUCGAUGCAUUGGCUCAUUCAUGUGCUAGCCAUCCACUCAGCUGUAAAUGCAGUGCCCAUCUUGGGCUGUCCGUGAUGAUUACUACUCUCGCUGUUUAUCAAGCUUGACAAUGCCCCCAAGUGUAGUGUUGCUUGAUUUAUCAUGAAGAAGCUUAACAAAUCGUUCAUCUCCUGGAUUCUUUCAAGAAUUGUUCUCUGAUUGAUUGUGCGCAUCGUGCCAACACCCAUCAAGAUUGUCAAUCAGUUAUGAACUCGACUUCAGUUGAAACAUGCCCUUCAAGUAUAUGCGGUCAUCCACUUUCAUGGAACUAUCAUGUCAUUCAGACAUGCAUUUCAUACUUUGCAGUAAAAAACUCAUCUUUGUAUGCUCAGCUUCUUUCUCAAUAAGUUCUUCUCAGCUCAUCUAACCAGAUUGUGAAAAGAAAUGCCUCAACCUCAUCAAUGAUGUCGCUUUUAUCACCCAUACUCAUGUGGUGCAGUGCACAUUGACUUCAAAUCAGAUGGUCUCACGGUCAGUCUAGGUGGGUGCGGUGCAUUCUUCCAACAUUCAUGCAAAAGCGAUCAUGUGAUAACAUCUUUCAAUAGUCAUAGCCAUAUUGGAGAUGAUAAACCAAGAUGAAGAUAUGAAGAUGUCCUUCAGGUACAUCUUUGCUCUCAAUUGUUGUCGGGGUUUACUGGAUCAUAAACUGUUCUUGAACAUCAUUGCCCUUAAUUGAUCUGAAUGUGCUCAUUCACUGAUUAUCUUUCUUUGAACCAUAUUGUCCUCGGUUUAUUGAUUCAUCAUUUGAUCGUCUCUAUCCCCCAGCUGAUUUAAACACUGUUUGUUUUCCUUCUCGGAGGUCCAUUGUAUUGCCCCCAGGAGUGUCGAGGAGAAUUGAUGUCAUUUCUGUCAGGAAUUUGCAAACUUGGUUGAUGUUUUUCUUUUGAAAAUCUUUCUUAUUUUGGAAUCAAAUCUCACAUUUCAAAGGUCAUGUCUAUUCAAGUCUAAUUGUUGAAAUGAAAUCAGAGAGAUGUCAAUUUUUGAAAGUAUUUUUGGAAAUCAAGCUUUAUUGGUCAAAGAUCCAACACACGCUAUUCAAUGUAGUCCUUUGAUUGUCUUGUAUUUUGAGAGAAAAGAAAUUGACUCAUUGUAAGAUUAAAAUGGCUUUUCCAUGGUUCUUUGUAUCCAUUUUAAACUCUAAUUUUGGGUAUAUCUUUUGAUUGUCUGUAAUGAGGUGACCUGUCUGAAUUUCAAGAAAAACAAGGUACCCGAGUCAAAACUUGAGGCUUUAUCAGGAAAGAUUGUUUCUUUUUCUUAGCAACAAUUUUAUCAGCAUGCAUAAUAAUCAGUAGCUUGAUUCAUGAAGUCACGACCUGUAUGAACAACUCUUCAAGUUUUGAGAUCGUCAUUUAUCGGUUCAGAUUGCUUACUUGAUUAAAAAGGACUUUCUAAAGCACGUAAUGUAGGCUAUGGUUCAUGGCUAUGAAAGAAAGGAAUUUCACAAGCUCAAAAGGUGUUUGAGGGUUUCAAGAACCUAGGAUCACCAUCAAUUACUCAUCAAUCUCUUUUCCUCACGUUGUCUUUGUAGAGACAGUGACAUAUAACCUUGUUAAUCUCAAAAAUCAAAAUUUGUUUAACAUAGGUCAUAACGCAAAUCCAACUUUUCUUUGAUGAAUAGCCAAUCUAAUCUUUUGAAGAUCGUAAAGGCUUUAUCAUAGACACACCAAAAGACAUCACACUUGAUUUUUUUUCGGGUUAACUUUUGGCAUUUGUUGUGUCUUUAUCAAUCUUUGGCUUUCUUCUUCUAGCCAUUUCUCAAUCAUUGAACUUUUGUUCUAAGCCUUCCCUUUAUCCAUCGACUCUAACAUUGUCUUCGUCUUUUCUAGGAAAAGAUUCUCAUUGCCCCCAGUGUGGGUGUGAUCCUAGUCAGGGUUUUUUAUGAAAGAAAUAUUCUAUCAGCUCAAAAUGGGACUGCAAGGGAUAUAUAUUUCAAGAAUUGUGAAAGGAUGAAACAAAAAUGGCCUUUUCUCAUUUCAAGCAAGGUCGGUUAGAACCAAUAAAUUUUAACCUCAUCCAAUGUAAUGAUUUAGACUUGUACGAAUCAUAAUUCAUGAGUCCAUAACUACUGAAUCCACUACGUAUCAUUAUGCAUACUGCUAAAACUUAGCUACAUGGUGUAUGGUUCAAUUUCAUGUAUGAGCUCAAAAGUUUCUUGGUCACCUCAUGUCAUUUCAGUAAGCAUUGAGUCAUUGAAGCAACAUAAUUUGAAUCUUCAGGAUUGACUAAUCUUAAACGCAUGUUGGAGCUUGAUCAAAAUAUUUUGUAAAUAACCUUUGAAAGAAACAUCUCAUGCGUUCAGAACAACAAAGGGACAAAGAAAAGACAUGUUUUGUUAAAAGAUGAGAUGUGAUCCCAAAAUAAAAUGCAGAAUGACAAAACUCAUAACAAAAAGGAUCGACAGUUUAACACUCUUCUUGGAUCAGCUUUUCUGGCGAUAUCUGUGUUUUGCCAAGCAUUUCGAUCACUUGUCAAUUUGAGGAUGUUGAGGUGACAAUAUGGCCGAUGACGUCAUUUUGCACAAACUCAACUUGAUUCUUGAAAUUCUUGCAACUGUUCAACUGAAUGGCACAAAAUCCCCCAAUGAUAUUCAUGUAUCUUUUACUAAGGGAUGAGGGCUCAAAGGCGCACUCAAAGGGAGUUGAGGGCUCAAAGGCGAACUCAAAAUGGAGGUGAGGGCUCAAAGGCGCACUCAAAAGGAGAUGAGGGCUCAAAGGCGUACUCAAAAGGAGUUGAGGGCUCAAAGGCGCACUCAAAAUGGAGGUAGGGUUAGAAAACGCACUACCUAAGGGAUGAGGGCUCAAAGGCGUACUCAAAAGGAGUUGAGGGCUCAAAGGCGCACUCAAAAGGAGGUAGGGUUAGAAAACACACUACCAAAAGGAUGAGGGCUCAAAGGCACACUCAAAAUGGAGGUGAGGGCUUAAAGGCGCACUCAAAAGGAGUUGAGGGCUCAAAGGCGCACUCAAAAGGAGUUGAAUUGGCAGAGUCAGGGCAAUAAGUCCGGAGUCUAAUAGAUGAUGGUGGACAAACUCGAGUGGUCGAGGUAUGUCAAUCUUAGCAAAGACAUUUGAGCAAUUGAUGUUACAGUGAGACCUGGUUGGACCACAUAAUUAAGGCUUCCCAUCGUUAGAGGCAUCCUUUGAUUCAUCUCUCAUUAUUGUUCUAGAAUUCUUGGUAGAAUCUUCAAUCAUUCCCCUCUUCAUAGCUUGUUCAAAUCUUUCAACAAUCCUCACAACAUCAUAUCAAUCUUUCCAAUGUUGUUGUGGUUGUUUGUGGAUUGGUAGAAACUUUCCAACAGCCAGGCAAUCUUGGUAGCGCAUAGAAACAUGCAGCACCACCACUGCCGACGUGUGGAAUCAUGCGUUGUCUCAACUGGAAGAGAAACUGAUGAAUCUGAAAACCCUUUUGUCUCCUCUUUGAUUCCUCACUGGCAGUGCAACAAACAAACACCUAUAGUGGGAAUUCUGCUCUGUUAAAGUUUCAAUGUCUGCUCUUGUUUUUCUCAGAGCAGCAUCCGAUACUGCUGGAUCGGAAUGGUGUUCACAAGAGAUGUCUGGAAAGAAAGCCAAUGCACCAGGAACAGAAAGCUAGCAACUGUUAUGUGCCCUUGGAAUAUGUGAAGGCUUUGAAUGACUAUCAGUGCAGUUGAACGAGAACAAGGGUUGUCGUCAUUAAUUGUGACUGAAGGCAUUACUGUCAUUGUUCAUUGUUCAUGAUGAAAAAGGAGAGGUGCAACUUCAAUGGAACUUAUUCAAACAGAUUUAUGAGUCUGUACAGACGUUCCCUUUCCACUCUUGAAGCUCAACACUUAUUCAAACAGAUUUAUGAGUCGAGUAGACCUCAGCAGGUGGGGGAACUUAUGUUUCAACCGUGUGCAUGCUUGAUAAAUGAAUGAAAUGCACAAAUGGAUGCAAAAUGCCAUAUGUUUUAUGCAUGCUUGUUAUUUGUUUCAAGGUUUCCUUAUGACGAGGAAUAGACCAGAUCAGAUUCUCUUAAGAAAGUUCUCACUGAGGACUCCAAACCUACAGGAACUUGAACCGAUUUAGGGGAGAAAUUUGAUGCCAUAAAUCAGAAUAAACAUUUCUCAUAACAAAAAGAUGAUGAAAUUGUCUUUUAUUAAUUCAUAAUAUUAAAAGUGCAACAAGUCAAUCUUUCCAAAGCCUUGGACCGUCGUAUGCUGAGAUCUCAUUAAUUCCAUCUCUGAUCAACCCAAAAAACUGAUGGAAUUCAUUUCUGGUCAUUGGCUCACCAUCUGCUAUUUGUUGGGCUAGGCCUCGUAAUCCUAAAGCAUAAUUCUUGGCAUCAUCUGCUUGUACAUGAUAGCGCAUAGCUUCAGAAGCCCAACAUUCUGCUUCUUUUUCUGCCUUUUCUUUUUCUGAUGAUAAAGUUUGCUCAAUAAAAAGCAAAUGGUCUAAAUGCUCAUCUAAAUUGGCAAUUAUUACAUCUUGCUUUUGAUGUUGCUCCUGAAGUGAUUUAUUUGUCUCUUCCAACUUUAAUACCAUUUCCUCAGCUUUCGAUGCUCUUCUAACCCAUCUCUUCAUGUUGACAUCUUGCUUCGUCUUAUCUUCUGACAAAAGUACAUAUUUUUCUUGUAAUUGCUGGAAAUCAAGUUGUUGAUGUUGUAGCUGAGCUGACAAGUCAUCAUUUUCCUGUUUUAUGAUAACCAAAGCUUUUUCUCGAGUGGCUAGAUUAGAUUCUAACUUUCUUUUUUUAGCCCCUAACUCUUCCACUUCAGCAUUCAAACUUAGGUUAUAAGAUUCUUGUUGGGCGCGAACUUCUUCGUGUAUGUCUUCAGCAGACUGAAUCAAAGACCUGGGUGGUCCUUCAAAAGGAGGAACUUUGUACCCUUUCCCUCUCUUCUUUUGCCAUAUUGGAUAUCCUUCAGUUGUUUUUCCUUCUACUCUCUUAGCAGAAGUAACCCUACCAGGAUGUUUCCAUGCCUUCUUCACUGACUCCAAGAAUUUCUUUGAGGUCUUGAAAUCUUCAUAAAAUGUUGCCAGUUUAGUAGUCCUUGGAAUAAACUGCUCAAAUCCAAACUGUCGUAAAACCAGGUUAGGACAGUAACUAAUACAGCAGCGGGCUCCAAUCAACGGGACCCAUGGGUACUCACCACAAUACGCCAGAUAAGAUUUGAAAUAAGCAUAUCGACUUCUCCAAUGAAAUUGAGAUUUACUUAGACUUAGGAACAUUGAUUCCCAUGUGGUUUUUCCUACUUCAUGCAAGUGUUUUUCAGCAAAAUUCUCCAGCUGAGAAUAAAGAUGCCACGGGGUACCAACCAAACCUGAAAUCUUCCCCUCAAUCAUAUGACUCACAGUCCAGACAAACAAUAACUGCAAGCAACAUCUUAAACGACCCCUUCCAGCUUUUCUGCAAUAAUUCAAGGAUGAGAAAGUUUCUGCCAAUAUUGCUGUAGCAGGGUUAAUUUUAAGGGUCACCACAUUUGUGAAUACAUUAACAGCUUCAAAAUCAAUCAUUCCUUCGGCAGAUGGGAAAAGAACCAAACCAUAUAUGCCUAAGGCCAAAAUUCUCAAUCGAAUUUCAUUGCUUUCAUCAUGUAAUCUCUUCUUGAAUAUGGCUUCUAGCUCAUUCCAAAACCAACCCUGGCUAUUUCCUCGUUUAGUUGCAUGUGAUUUUGCUAGUUGACAGUCUGUCUGGGUAAUCCAAGCAAAGUUAGAAAGUGCAUGCUCUAUAGGUGUGUAAAAGUACACCUUUUCUGACUUGGGACAAUUUAGCAGGGAUUCAUACUCCUCGAUAGUAGGAGUCAUAUCCACAGUAUCAAAUGUGAAGCACCGAUAUUCUGGAUCCCAAAACCCUAUCAUGGCCUGAAAACAAGCAUGUUGGACCCUAAUUUUCAGUAAAUGUGAUAGAUCCCCAUAUUGUUUCUGAAAAGUGAUUUGAUCAUGAGAGGAUAACUUUUCCCAGCAGUCUAGCAGUUGUCCUGUACCAAGUGGUCUGUCAUCUAAUUUAACAUGCUCUGGCAACUGAGACUUAAAUUCUGAUGGCAAACAAUCCCCUUCAUCAUGCUGGCUCAAUUCUGAUCUGGUCAAAAAUUCCUCAAUGGUAAUGGAUUUUUCCAUCUCACACUUCCUGUAAGGAUCGGUGGAGACUUAAUGAGCAUAUGAAAUGUAUAUGAACAUGUAUGUUCAUGCAUUGACAUUUGUUCGUGUCCUAAUGGGUAUAUCCUACUUGAUAGGAUCUAGCUCAUAAGGUUUGGCUCAGUUUAGUCUAUCCUUAAAGAUAUUCUCCGGUUCUUAGAUUGCCCGAAUUACUCGUGAAGUAAUCGGCCUCUUAACCUUAUACAACAUGAGUAGGGGAGAAAGACUCCACAGUACUAGUUGCAUAGGGUGAGUUACAAUCCAAGCAAAAGUCCAAAUGAGCAUCAGUGGACAUAAGUCACACUUGCCACUUGAAUCUCUCUUUUCUAAUCUUAAAAAGGACGAGCUCGGGUCCAGAGCUUUUAUGGGUUCACAGUGAAGUGUGUGAAUACACAAAUAAUAAUAUAUAUGUAUGUGAUGAAAUGAAAAAUUGAAAAGAAUCAUAGUAGAUAUUGCAUAAAAUAAAUAAUGCAAAUAAAAUAAGUGCCCAAAAAUAAAUAGCGAUAAGAAAGAGCAAAUGAAAAGCAAACACAAGCAGUUGGCUCAACCCUAAGUCCCCAGUGGAGUCGCCAUUCUGUCGAUACACGACGUCGGGCGACGGCUCCCGCUUUUUUGUUUAUUUAACAAAAAGGGUUUUUUCUCGAUUGGGGGAAACAAAGAUUUUAUUGGAGUCGCCAUCUAGUAAUUUGGGGGAAACAAAGAUUUUAUUGGAGUCGCCAUCUAGUAAUUUGAGGGAACUAGAAAUCCCAAAUUAGACACUGGUCCCAGAGAUUCGGGUACGGGGUUAGUUAUGAUUAAGGGAAGGUAGACACCACCCUUAAAACAUCCUUUCAAAAGAAAGGUUACCCUUACUUGUGUGUUUUUAUUUGAUUCAAAUGCGAUUAUAUUUUGGGCUUAUUUGUAAAUUUUUGUAAAUGAUUAACGUCGGUCCCUAAAAAUAGGAGACACGUUAAAAAUGACAUCAGUCCCUAAAAAUUGGAGACUCGUCUGAGUUACCAAAAGAAAUAAUGGAUAUAAUCCAUUAUAUUUUGGGUUUAUUGGUAAUUUGUUUUUUUAAAUGGUUAACGUCGGUCCCUAAAAAUAGGAGACACGUUAAAAUGACAUCAGUCCCUAAAAAUUAGGAGACUUGUCUAAAAUAUGACGUUUCAACCCUAAAAAGGAGAAUUACGUCUGGGUUACCAAAAACAAUAAUGGACAUAAGCCAUAUUUGGUAUUUACAUUUUUUUGACAUCGGUCCUUUUAAAAAAAAGAGACGUGUCGGCUUUGGUUUUUGUAUUGUUUACAAUAUGCAAGAAAAUUUACAAGCAUUUAUAUAUAAAAAAUAUCAAAAAUACCAGUAGAAACUCCGAAAAAUUACCUGAGUGCCACUGUAUAGGUAAAAGACUGAAAUACCCUCAGGUUUCUCCAAAAUUUACAAAAAUGCCACUGGCGGCGCGUGUAGCACACGCGCGGCUACUGUUGGCGGCGGGGAGAUUUUCCGGCGCGAUUUCUGGCCAACCGAUGGUCGAUCCUGGUAGAUCUGAUGUCGAGGAUUCUUAUGGUGGUGGUCUUGACGGCCGUUGAUGGCUGAUGAGCGAGAAUCGACGACUUGAAGCUUCGGUGGCAGCCGACGAUCGCGGCCCGUUUCCGGCCAAAUAGAGCGGCGAAAACGCUGAAAUCGGCCGGGGUUUUGCUUUAUAUGAGGAAGGCGACCUUUCUGUGGUGGUUUUCAAGCUUGCAGUGGCCGGAUAUGGGAGAUCGGAGGAGAGAGAGGGAGUCGCCGGCGAGAGGAGAGAGGUGCUCUGGGUUAUGCUAUGGUGAGAACGCAAACACGGUACACCAGUGCUGUUGAUGCUUGUGAUCCGUAGGAUCUCUGAUGGAAAUAUCGUGCGGCUGUGAUUGGCCCGAUCUGCAGGUUGAUCGGACGGUCCGGAUGAGCGGAGCUUUGAUCUGGUGUGGCGCGGUGCACCAAAUCUCGGUACACCGGAUGACGUGGCGCAACGGGAUCAAAUCUUGGAAUAUUUCAAAGGCUGAGAUGUGUUUGGGUUUUAAUCUAGUGUGGUAAGCCCUAUUGUAUCCUAUUAAAUCAACGGUUCAGAUCUAAACACUAUUAGAUCUAACGGUUAGGAUAUAUUUGGUAUUUUUCAUAUUGUUUUUAAUAAAAAUCAAUAUCCUACCCUCGUGAAGAAAUAGUAAAAAAAACCUGAAUAGUAAACUCUUCUUUUUUUUCUUCUCCUUUUUUUUCUCUUUUUUUUUCCUCUGGCGCACUGUUGGCUAUUUAUAGCAGGGGACAGCAAGCAUCGGCUUUAAAUUAAAAAAUGUAUCCAUCCAACUGCUCGCCUACAAUGUAACUGCCCCGCCUAAUAUGACAAUUCUGUAUUAUUAAUUUUGUUUUAUUAUAUAUAAUAAUAUAUAUUUAUAUAGGUAAAAUUAAAACUUAAAUCAGUAUUAGAAAAAGCCUGAUUCAACUGCUAAAAAUCAAUUUUAAUUACCGAAAAUUAUGUUGAAACAUAAAAAAAAAACUUUCAAUGGAUAUAAACCCGGUGGACCGGGUUUUGACCAAAAAAUAACAGGUUUGACCCAAAACGGCAUGAAACUCAUUUUUUAUCCUGGUCGACAUGGUUUGACCCGUAUUGACCCGGUGAACUCGGUUUUGGUCAAAAAUGACGGUUUUGACCCGAAACGGCCCGAAACUCAUUUUUUACCCUGGUCGACAUGGUUUGACCCGUAUUGACCUGGUGAACUCGGUUUUGGUCAAAAAUAACGGUUUUGACCCGAAACGGCCCGAAACUCAUUUUUUACCCUGGUCGACAUGGUUUGACCCGUAUUGACCUGGUGGACUCGGUUUUGACGGAAAGAUGCGGUUGACUCAAGAAAAAUAUUUUUUUGAAUUUUCCUUUUUCUUAAUUUUUUUGGAUUUUUAUAAAUAAUAAUAGAAAUAAAAUAACAUUUGAGAAAAUCUUGGUGGAUCCAAAAUUGGGUUACAACAUGCGUGGUCACCAAGAAUAAAUCUAUGAGGGCGAUAAGGCUCAAAACAGACAAUAUGUUGCAGGUUGGGUCAAGUUAUGACAUAUUCAAUAAUUACUCUUCAAUUAAAUCCUAAAUCUCAUUUCAUCUUUUCAAUUUAAUCCCUAAUUUGACACCAACUCUUCAAUUAGACCCCAAACCUCAUCCCACCUGAGGAAAGCCCUCUUCAUUCAAUUUAGCCCCUUAUUAUCUUCAAUUUAAUAUUGAAUUUUAUUCGAUCCAAGCCCAAAAAAGGCUAAGCGAAGAUAGAAUAAAGGAAGGGAAAGAAAAUGAAUAAUUGCCCAAUCGAGCUAACGUGUUCUGGUCUUUUUUCCAUGAUUCGGGGUGAACAUUUGACAUUUAUCCUUUUUUUCUAUAGUCUUUUCUCCAUGUUUGUUGUGACGCCGCACACGUGCGACAACCAGUAAAUCUAUAGUUAAUUUCAUUUUUUGAUAAAAGAUAAUACCAUCGGUAUAGAAUGGUUACCAACUGUUACUUUAAUAUGCCUUGUAGCCAAUCAGUUAGUUACACGAGGCAUUAUUAUAUUCAUGUAAAUACAUAUUUAUUAUUAAUAAAGGCUUAAUUUAACUUUAAUAUUCAUAUAAUAUUAUAUUAAUGAAUCUAGAGUAUAGAUAAAGUUUAUUAGAUAAAAAUGCUUUGCAAAUAAAAUUAUAAAGUUGUUAUAAUUAUGAGAUUUUUAAUGCAUCAAAGUAUUGCUCAUAAAAUGUUUUUGGUCGAUGUUGUCUUAAAUACUAGAUAUUUAUUAGAGCCAUAAAGACUAAUACAUAUUAUGUUUUUUCCUUUAUGAAAUGAAGCAGUUGUUCUCAUAAGUUGAGUUAUAAGGGAUACCUAAAACUAAUAUGUAUGUGCUUGCCAUAAAACAUAUACACUAAAUUGACCCGCAUGAAAAUUCCAUAUGGAGAGAUCAUAUAUGUCUAUAGAAAGACUCGCAUGACAGUUGUAUAUGUAAUCCUUAGACUUGAGAUCACUAAGUUAUCUUAUAUAGAGAUUGUUAUGCUUUCAUCUUGUUACAUGUUAUCUUAAUUGAGAUAACAAAAUGAUAAGCAUUGAGUAUAUCAUGAACUAUAUGAAGGUUUUCUUGAGUGAUUAAGAGAGGAUUUCAUCACCCUAUGUGAAUUAGAAAAAAUGUUCCAUCUGUUCUCAAAUAGUAUUGACUGAGAAAUCCUUAGCCAAGGUGGAAUGAGAUUUAAAAGGGGUUUCAAAUCUUAUUCAAAUGAUCAAUUACUAUUAUGUAGAGAAUGAACAUGAUUUAACAUGACAAACAUGCUUCAUACUUUAAUGUUAAAUGUUGCUACCCAAUUUUUGACCCAUGUUUUGAUAAAUUUUCAGAAAAAUUCAAAAAUAGCAAAAAACAUUGAAAAUCCAAAAAAAUACAUUUUUAAUACAUUUGCAUCGUUUUUAGCAUUUUUAGCAUCGUCUCAAAAGAAUUUAAAUUUUCAAAGAUGUUUGGAACGUGUUCAACUUUUAACGCAUUAUUUUUAAAAGCAUUGAUUUUCCUCAUUGAGUCGAUGUUGAUAUUGCUCGUUUUCAAAAAAUACAAAAAAAAUAAGAAAAAUCAAAAUUUACAAGAAAAAGAAGUUGAGGGACCAAAUUUUGAGGCCCAAGCUACAUUUUACCUAUAAAUAGUAGCCUUCAACACACACAAAAAAGGGGGGCAAUUUUGAAAAAAAAAAAGAGGAGAAAACCUAACCCUAAACCUAUCUACCCAAAGAGCCGCCCCCCACCCGGCUGGAUUUUUUUUGCUCUCCGAAACCAGCCGUUCAAGUCCUUUCCCUCCUCCACAUCGUCUCCAACUCCUUCUCCCUCAGCCACACACACGACAGAAACCAGAGCUCCCCUUCUCCUCUCCCAGCCGCCACUUGUACUUUCCCCUCUCUCAGCCGAUCCCUCAUCUCCUUUUCCCUACAAACCAGAACGCCGACCCCCCCCAGCCGUUCUCUCACCCUAGACAACCCCCAACAACAGCCGCCACCCUCACAGACCCGGCGACUCCUAGCUUCUCUUCAAUCGGCCACAAACCCAUGAUCGCCCUAUCAGCCACCGUGAACAGCCGCCUCCAGCAUUUCCUUUCCUCAGCACCAGCACCAGCACCGAUCUGUCCAUUCCUCCGCCUCAACACCGCCAGCAAGCUUAUCUCCACCGCGACUUCAGCGACCACGGACGACAGCCACCAGAUCAGAGGAAGGAGAAGACCGAGAACCAGCUGACUACCGCUGCCACCAACAUGAGUGAAGACCGUCAACGCAGCGACCACCACCGAAAGCUCCCCCCACAACCGCCGGCCAUCUAAAACAGAAGAAGAGGAAACAAAAACAACAUGCAGAGAGGAGCAGAUCUGAAAAUGAGAAGGGAGAGAAGCAGAUCUAGACUAAAAUGGAUUGAAAUCGACUGUUUGUUGGGUUUUUUGUUCUUUUGCAGGUGACGGUGGGUGUCACCACCGGCAGAGAAGGGAAAAGGAAAGGAAGCUGAGCCAGACCCCCCCUGUUUUCUGGCCUUUCUCGCGGCGGCGCGUGAACCCACGCUCCGCCAGUGGCGGUGGCGCCUGGGAAGACGCGUCGCCACUGUUCAUGCUGUUCCAGAAGGGCUUCCCAGCACUGUUAUGGAGUUUUGAGGGGUUAUUUUGUAAUUUUCAAAUUUUUAAUGUAAUUUUUUUGUUUAGUUUUGAAUUUUUAUUAUUUGUAGUGUUGAUGUAAAAAAAAAAAAACAAAGAAAAGAAAAGAAAAAAAAUAUAGUGAAAGUGUAUGUGUGUGUUUGUAUUUGCUUUAUGAGUGUUUUAUUUUAUUUUAUUAUGUAUGAUAAAAUUGCAAAGAUUAAAGAAGAAUUUAAUAUUUUGAUUUGCUCACGGUCCAGAAUUAUUAACUUAUACGUAAGUUGUAUUUCUAAUAUCCGAUGAAAAGACAAAAUUUUUAAAACUUCUUUAACACAUCAAAGUCACGAAGCAGCUUACCUCAGGUAGGGUGCGUUAGGGGUGCUAAUACCUUCCCUAACCACAACCAGUCCCUUACCCGCGAAUCUCUGACAAGACCAGUACAUCCGGUUUCCUAGUAGCCUUCAAUAAAUUACUAGGUGGCGACUCCAACGAACCAAUUCAAGCAAACGACAACGAAAAGAUCGCCAGCCGAUGCCGCACGGAUUUUCUGAUGUGCGACAUUAAAUAAGAACAUUAGUGAUAGAAUGAUAUUAAUUACAAUGAGAAACCAGUAAUAGAAGCCAGUAAUUGAAACCACUAAUGACUUUUCUAAUAUUUAGGGGAUCAUGACACGUUACUAAACAAUGCACAUGAUCUUCAAAUUUUCAAUUUUAAUUUAUUUAAUUAUAAUUAUAAUUAUAAUUUAUAUUUGGGUCAAUAUAUUAGGAACCUAAUAGGUCAUACACAUUAAGAAUUUAAACUGUGAUGAUUUAAUUAAGUAUAACUUGAUUAAAAUAUAUUUUAGAAAUUAAGGACUAUAAUAUAAUUAAUACAAGGAUUAUGUUUCCAGAUCUAGAAAAAUCAGGUAAGGACUUGAUUGAGUUAAUUUAUAAAAUUAUCUUAAAUUAAUAUAUGAAUAUUAUUCAAGGGGGAAAAUUAAUAUUUUGUCAAUUUAUAGGGUUUUUCAUAUUUUCUUAUAAAUAGUAAGUUAUGCCUCUUAUUUUUUAGGAGUUAUCUGUUAGAAAGAAAAACUACGUAUGUUACAGAAUAAAGAGAUAACACUUUAUACAUAACAAUCCCUCUCUUCUAAAUAGAGACUUGAGAGAUUUUUUACUAGUAGUUCAUGUGGAUUACUGUUAAAGAACGAACAAUUGAACGACUUCUAAUUUGCAAUAACUCAGUCUUUAAAAAAUUAUUCAAAACCGAAGAUAAUCAAAUCUUCAGGUGAUAAAUCCCUAAAUAACUCUAAAUUAUUUUAUUGUUUCAGCUGCGUAUAUGCUAUUCGGCAAACCCAACACCAACUUCACCACGGGUUUAACAUUUCUUUUACAUGUUGGGAAUUUGGUACUAAUGGGUGUAUUUUCUUAAGUUGAAAUAAUGUCACACAAUGCAGGUUCAAGUGGGUUCAUGAAUCAAAUAGUGGUUGUUAUUUGACACCGCAAUUGGAUGGCUUGGAGUUCGCCGGAACUUGGGCAUACCAUUUUUGAAUAAAUAACAAGGUAAAAACAUCUUUUAAUGAUAUGAAAUCAUUUAUUCAUUUAAAGGUAUCAACAUUGUCAUUUAUAGUGAAACAUUUAAUUUUACUACAUUGAGAAUACGUUGACCAAUAGAAUCCCCGCCUUCAGCCAACCCCAAAUUUGUCUAUCAUCGUGUAAUAUUGAUCAUUACAUUAUGCGCUUUCCAGCUAAUGAUAGGAUUUUAAGGACAACAUUAUUAAAUUGACAUCCAACCGACCAUUAUGGCUGUCAUAGAAUAGCAAUGGCCAUCCUUUGGCCAUCAUGCCAUAAAAGCCUCAUUUGGAGCCAAUUCCUCUCUCUCUCUUGCCACUAUUAGCUUCCAACCAUUCUUCGCGUUUCACUUUUCUUCAAAUGUUUUCACCAAAAUUGUUGCUCAUAAAGUCGAGAUCCAAGGGAUUAUUUAAGAUUUUAUGGAAAGUACGUAUUUCAAAUAUUUUAUGUUUAUUUUUCUGAAAUAUUGUUUGAAGAAAAAAAAAAUUUAAUUUUUUCAAAAUCAUUUUUAAAACACAAAAAUAAAUAGAGUUUGUUUUUUAUUUUUUAAAGUAUUGUUUUUUAAAAAUAAUUUUUGUAUUCUAAAUUAAUUUUUUUAUUUUUAUAUUAAUAUUAAAAAUAAUUUUUAAAAAAUAAAAAAAUAUUAUUUUAAUAUAUUUUUAAAUAAAAAAAUAUUUUAAAAAACAUCUACUUAAAAAAUAUUAUUUUUCAAAAAUAAUACUUUUCUCUAUAUUUUGAGUUUUAGUUUUUAAUAGCUAUGGCUUGUUUGAUUUUUUAUUUUUAUUUUUUUCAUGCUCUUGCAAAUAAGGCACGAAAAAAGUACUCGAAAUCACGGUGUAAAUAAGAAGAGAAAUAACAUGUUUGUUUUUUAUUUUUUAAAUUAAAUUUUUGUAUUUUUAUAUUAAUAUUAUAAAUAAUUUUUUAAAAAUAAAAAAAUUAUUUUAUAAUAACAUGGAGAUAAAGAUAAUCUCAAAAGCUAAUAGAUGGUCACCACGUGUUCAACUAGGAAAGGAUAGAAAGAGGGAGAGAGAAAGGUCAAAAAGGCUUUAAAAAAAAAAGAAAAGGAAAGACACGGUUGAGAUAAGAGGGACGUGGAUAUAGAAGCAGAAACGGAAGGAGACAUAAGCCCUGUUUGUUUGCUGGAAAGUAGUUUUUUUUUGGAAAGUGAAUUCCGGGAAAGUAUUUUCCGAUGUUUGGUAGUGUAAUGGAAAAUAAGUUGGAAAACACUUUCCAGUGUUUGGUUAUGUCAUGGAAAAUGAGCUGGAAAAUAACUUAUUAAUGUUUUAUUUUUCUCAAGUUUAUUAAAAUAAUGAGGAACAAAUCUUACAAAUUAAAAAGUUGAAUGAGAAUGAAAUUGAAAAAAAAUAUAAUUUCAUAAAUUAUCUCAAAUAAAAUAAAUAAUAAUCAAAAUAAUAGAGAUCAAAUCUAAAAAAUUAAAAAAAAAAUUAAAGGUGAAGAAAUUAAAAUAAUAAUAAUUAACAUUUCAUAAAUUAUUUCAAAUAAAAUAAGUAACAAUCAAAAGAAUGAGGACCAAAUUUGAUAGAUAAAAAAUUUCAAUAAAAAAUGAUAAGGAAAAAGCAAAUAACAAUUAUAAAAAUAAGGACCAAAAUUAAUAUAAAAAUUAAAUUUUAAGAGAUGGAAUUGAAAAAUAAAUAUUCAAAACAAAUUAUAUAUAGCAAUCAAAAGUUUGAGGAUCAAAUUUGAUAUAAUCAGCAAAUAAUGACAUUUCUAAAUUUUUCACAACUUCUGGAAAGUGUUUUCCGCCCAAAUUUUCCAGGAAAACACUUUCCUGAAAACCAAGCCAAAUUUUCCUUUGACUGGAAAGUGUUUUCCGUUGACCAACUUUUCUAAUGGCAAACAAACACAGGAAAGUUUGGAAAGUGGUUUCCCGGAAAUCACUUUCCGGGAAACAAACACAGCCAAAAGGGAAAACACUUUCCUGAAAACCAAACCAAAUUCGAAAAGUGUUUCCAUUGACUAGAAAGUGUUUUUCGUUGACCGAAAAGUGUUUCCGUUGACUGGAAAGUGGUUUCCGUUUACCAACUUUCCUAAUGGCAAACAAACACAGGAAAGUUUGGAAAGUAGUUUCCCGGAAAGUGAAUUCCGGAAAACAAACAUGGCCAUAGAAAGAUCAGAGGAGAGUAAGAAAAAAAAAUGAAUAUGUGAUGUCCUAUUUCUGAUAAAAAAUACUUUGUUUUGUUUUUUUUCUCUUUUAUUUGGAAUUUCUUUAGACACUUUAAUAAUAUAAUAACAAAAUUUUUUUUUUCUUUAUUUAUAUUUUGAGUUUUAGUUUUUAAUAGCCAUGCUCCUUUGAUUUUUUAAAAUCAUUUUUUUCAUACUCUUGCAAACACGGCAGAAGAGGAGGACCUGAAAUCACGACAGUGAAUAAGGAGAGAAAUAAGCAUGUUGGUUUUUUUAUUUUUUAAAGUACUUAAAAAAUAUUUUUUUUAUUUUUAUAUUGAUAUUAAAAAUAAUUUUAAAAAAAUAAAAAAAUAUUAUUUUAAUAUAUUUUUAAAUAAAAAAUAUAAAAAAAAACUACUUUAAAAACCUUAAAACCACGGCAUGAUAAAAGGAGAAAGAAAGGAAUAGGACAAAGGAAGAAAGUGAAUUGGACACAGGAAGAAAGUAAGGUCACGUAGGGGGGCCAGUAUCGUAGAUAAUAGGAGAUGAAAAUUAGUAUGAAAAAGAGGAUGAUAGAGUGGUUGUCCGAAUCAUUGUGGUUUUUAUAAUUAUAUUUAAUUUAUAGAAAUAUUAAAUUAAUAUAUUCUUAGUAUUUUAUAUGAUUUAAAAAAUAUGUGUAUAAAAAAAUAUUUUAAUAUAUUUUUAAAUAAAAAAUAUUUUUAAAAGUAUAUGUCACAGUACCAAAUUAUAUUAUAAAUUAAAAAAAUGGGGUUUUAUGUUCAUUAGUACUUACUUAGAGUCAUUUAAUUGUGGACAAAAUGGUGUAUUCUUUUGAAAAUUUUCAAUUUUAUACUUGAAUUUGUUUUCCACAAUUGAUCCUUUUUAAUUAAAAUUAGAGUUCAAUUGCAUAUUUUUUUAAAGAUAAAAGUUGAAUUAAAAAUAGAUAAAAGUUGAAUUAAAAGAAAGGGGACUAGUUAAGUGAAAAACUCAGCCAAAAUAGGUAGCGGCUCUAUAAUUUGUUGGCAAAGUUUAUUUUAGUUUUUCAUCUUUUUAAGUUAUUAAAUAAAAAGUCCCUAUAAUUUUCCAACAUUGCAUUUUGAAUUUUUUUAUUGAUACUUUUUUAUAUAUAUUUUUAAAAAUAAUUUUAAAAAUGAUGUUUUCAUUAAUACCCAUUUUCUAUGAUUUUUUUUGGCUUUAUGUAGUCUUUCUUCAAUUAUUUUUAAUUUUGCUAGAUGUGUUUAAUUUUUUAAGAGGUUAGUAUAAUUUAUCUGUAAAUAUUUUUUGUACAUUUCAAAUAGAUUAAGUAUUUAAUUUUUAUAAUAUUUUGAAUAUGUGUAGCCUUAUAUAGUUUUUUUUUAUGAUAUUAAAAAAAUAUGUGUAUUGAUUUCUAUUAUAAAUUAAUUUUAAUAAAUAAAUUUAUUAAAUAUAACCAGAUAAAUCAUUCAUGUAAUAUUAAAUACUUAAUCUAUAUUUAUCCCUCAAUUUUCUAGGCAAGCAAAAGGAGCUAAACUUAUUCCCGACUAAAACGUCAAGAAUUUCAGGAGAACAAAAGAAGAGAUUAUUACUUGACCAAAAACAAUUAGUCCGCGUCCAAAGAAACCGAGUGAAUGAGAGAAAAAAGACUAUAUAUUAGCUAGAAAACAAUCAACAGAACCAAGAACUUUCGGUAUGGUUUCCAAGAAAAAUGAAAUGAAACGAGCAGCACAACCCUCUUUCCCCUCUAAGAAAAAGAAAAAGAAGGGAAAGAAACAAAGAAGUUCGAGGAAGUGGGCAGCCUUUGUUCUGCUGUUCACACAGACUAAGAACUCCUCAAAUUGUAAAAUCAUAUAAUUAAAACACAACAAUAAAAAUGUAAUAAGCAGCUGAUUAAUGCUAUUGUUCUUUCUUCUUGUUUUGCUAUUUUGAUUUUAUCAUAUUUUCUUAAGAAAUUAUGAUUGUGAAAGCUAGCCAAACUAUUAGAUCCAAGCAAUCUAAGAUAAAAACUAGCGUACUUGCGUCCUGUUGUCGCAAGUACUUUUUAUAAUUAACUUUUUGUAAUAUUUUUUUAUUUAAUUAUACAAUAAAUUCAUAGAAAAAACUACAAGAGGAAAAUAUAUAUUUCAUCAAAAUUGUGUAAUCUGAUUCAUGUAUUUUUCUUAACAAAAAAAAAAGAUUUUGAUGAUAUAAAAAGUAAAAAAAAUAAAUAGAAAAUGAAGACAUGGAGAGUGGCGGGCGGGCAUUAUUGUGUUAUUUUUGAAUCCGACUCCCAUAUAUAAUGAAAGUAAGAACGUUCAUUCCUUUAUAAACAUUGACUUUGAUUUUUCCUUUAUAAAACCAUAAACCUGCAAGUCCUACAAAUCAACAUGAAGACUUAUCAGAUCCUAAUGAAAAGCUGUCAAAAUCCUAUCAGAAAUUAAGGAAGAUGACGUUAACUUCAAAUCUGAGGAUUAAUUGUAGCAGAUCUUAUAGCGUUCAGCUGAUUGCUUUACUUGUUUAAAUAAUUCUCUUGUAAGCCUAAUGGUUCACGUCUUCCAUCAUUGCAACCUUUUUUUCUGUGAUUGAAAAAUCUAUAAUAGGAACCUGCACUGCAUCCCUUCUAUGCUGUUGUUCUUUCUUCUUGUUUUGCUAUUUUGAUUUUAUCAUAUUUUCUAUGAUGAAAGUUGAAGAAAUUCUACUUCGAAACUAAAGACAAAGUCUCUCGGACUGCAUAUUAGUGGGUUGCUCAUUGGGAUUUCUAUAAACAACUGAUUCUAUUGCAAAGCAACACCACGAAAAACUGAAUAUUUCACACAUAGUCUAAUAAAAGUAGAUUCCAUUGUCAAUUCCUUAACAUUUUCCAAACAAAUCCAUGCUCCUCAUUUUAUACUUUCUUGAGGGUUUCUAUUCUCUUAUUACCAAUUUCAGUGAGUUUCAUAAUAAGCUGCUUAGAAAGAAGCUAUCUAACAGGAGGGUGGGGCUACUCUUAGCCAAUGAAAACAGCUUCACAUGCUAUACAGCAACGUGAAAAAAAGAUUCUCAGCCUGUUCUCUCUUUAAUGAACACCCUCUUGGAUUCUCUAGCAUUAGCCAACAAGGUAUCUGCUUGGAAUUACUAAUUCCACCGACCUGAAAAAGAACGUCCAACCUAUUUAAUAUACUUAAUAAAGUUCUAUUUUAUAAUCCUAUAUAUUUUUUAACUGAACUACUUAUUUUUCUCAAAAACCCAAAAAGUAAACGAUUUUCCAGAAAUCUAAUUCAUAAUAAAACAAAUAAUGAGACUUGAUAUUAAUGCAUUAAAUAACCAUCAAUUAUUCAUCAAACCAAUCUGAAAAAUCUAAUAUUAAAGCUAGGGACCAAUCUAGACUUUUAUUAUAUUUUUAGGGGUCAAAUUAUAAUUUUAUCAAAUUGGAGGACCAAACUAAAAAUAUCAUAAAUUCAUGACUAUACUGGAAUUCUGCCCAUAAUUCAUCCUAAAUUUUGCCCAGAAUCUCAAAUUAUGCUCCAAGGACCACUACAUAAUUUUAUCAAAUAUCUAGGGUCAAAUUGUAAUUUUAUCAAAUUGGAGGACCAAAGUGAAAAUAUCAUAAAUUCAUAACUAUACUGGAAUUCUGUCCAUAAUUUAACUUUAAUUCUAUCCAGAAUCUCGAAUUAUGCUCCAGGGACCAAUCUCUAAUUUUUCUAAAGUUCAGAAAUUAAACUGUAAUUUUCAUAAAUUGAGGGACCAAGCUGAAAUUUUAUAAUCUUCAACCUCAAACCCAGAAUUCACACAGAUAACCUAUUAAUAUAUCAAGAUUUCUAACUUAAAUUCACCAUUUAAAUAAACCAUAACUUAAAAUCAUUAUUUUUACCUAAAAUGUUUCAAAAUCAAUUAAAUAACUCAUUACCCAUAACAAUCGAUCCAUAAUUUUUCUGUAAUGUAAUUGUAAUUCCUAGCAUAAUGCAUAUUCGAGGGCAAGCACAACAAUUCAAGAGCAAAGAAACUCGAUGAAAUAGCAAAAUAAAAAGACAUGAAGGACUGAAAUAAAAUAAAACCAAAAAAGAGGGAUGAAAAAAGUAACCGCACUCUGGUUGCCAUCAAAAACAUAUAUAGUUCUUUUAGUAUUUUUUUUUUUAAAAUAAUAUUGUAAUAGGUCAAUCAUAUUACCCUGAGUGUGUGACACAGAGAUAAUCAUCAUAGAAAAUUACUUUUAAUUGCUUGUGUUUUAUCCUGAGAUGACAAACUUACCUUGUCCUACUAAUGCUUUUGCUUUCAUUGUUUCGAAAGUAAAAGAGACUUAAACAUAAUCAUUUCCUUCCUUUUACUUUCCACUUCUUUGUAAUAUUGGAUUGCAAACGGGAUGGUGCUUAGAGGGGCCACUUUUUCUUUUCCUUUCUUUUUAAAAUCUUAUGCCUUUGGGUGAGGAAAUUAGUGGAGCAUUAGACUUUUUAAAAGACAACAAAAAAAAGCGAUGUCUCAUCUUUUGAUAUGGUGGUACAAGAUACACCAUGGUAUGGUGGUCCUGCAAGAAAUGUCUUAGCUUUUGAUAUGGUGGUCUUCCAUGAUCAGUUUUCGAAAGAUUCGAGUCUCCGUUCUAGUUCGGGUUGGAAGCUAGGCCGAAAGCUAAGCUUCUUUUAAUUAUGAAUUGUUUAUGCAAAGGAAACCCAGAAGCUUGAACAAACAGAAAUGCCUUGUUGAUUUCUCUGCUACUACUCAUUAUUUCCAAUAUUAUUCCAUUAUCUUACCCGAAAGCAAUUAUACAAGAAAUUUCAUUAUCCUGCCCCAGAAGGCAAUUUAUUACAAGGACUUCCUUUAACCUCCUUGAAGGCAAUUUAUUUGAUGAAAAUUCCUUUAAUCCACCUCAAAGACAAUUUAUCUUAGGGAAUUCCAACAACCCAGGCAAUUUAUUUCUUAAUUUUAUAUUACUGUUUUCAUUAAUUUUAUUAAAGCUUAAUUUUAUAUUUUUUCUGCCCUUUUCUUUUAAAAAUGUUAUCUCCUUGGUAAGGAAUCCUUGGUUCCCAACAGCAACUGUAGCAUAGUUAAAGGUUGCGUUAAAAAAAUAUCAAAACUCCACCGAAAGUAGUGGAGCCUUAGAAUUUUUAAAAGACAAAACGGGGACAAGUGAGAGACGAAGAAAAAGACAAAAGCAAUUCCAUCUAUUGAUGUGGUGAUCCAAGAUACACCAUAACAUGGUGUUCUUCCAUGAAGUCUAAGAUGCACCGCCGUGUUGUUUCAUAUAUAUUUAUAUAUAUGAAAAUAAUAAAACUACCGUUUAAAACAACUCUGAAAACAAAAGUUUUAAUAAUUCAUAAUUUAUAAGCAAACAUCACUUAUAAGCAAAUAAUUAAUGAUGGUUAAACUAAUUCAUUGUUAGGCGGAUAUAUAUUAAGGUUGAGACCCAUCUAUCUAACACUAAUAACUAAUCACUGAUAAUAUUUAUGCAAAACUUGUAGCUUAGGAUGAACUCUCAGAGAUGUGGGCGAGGCAACUCAAAGUAGAAGGGAAGGGGUAACCUCUGAUAACAGAGAAAAUUGUAGAGUAAAUUGUAGAUGUGGACCGAAUUUUCUUAAAUUAACAACAGAAAUCUACAAUGAACAGUUCUCGAGAAGAAACUCAAGAAACGUAAUAAAGCUACAUGAUGACAUAAUAGGAACCUGCAUUGCCUUCAUUCUAUGAUGAAAGUUCAAGAAAUUUUACAUCGAAUCUCAAGACAAAGUCUCUCAGACUACAUAUUGCAAAGCAACUGAUUCUAUUGCAAAGCAACAUUACGAAAAAUUGAAUAUUUCACACUCAGUCUAAUAAAAGUAGAUUCCAUUGUCAAUUCCUCAACAUUUUCCAAACAAAUCCAUGCUCCUCAUUUUAUACUUUCUCUCUUAUUACCAACUUCAUUGAGUUUCAUAUAAGCAUAGUCAAUCACACAACUAAUAUGUGAAUUCACAAUUUCUUACCGAAAACAUUUUAUCAGUGCAAAUUAAUACAUAAUUUUACCUCUCCUCUUGGUGAAAACACAAAGACACAACCACCGAGCAGAUCUCUGGUAAUGGUCUCUACAAAUUCCCUACAGUUCCUAUUGCCAACAAACUCCUCUUGCCAUUCCCUAACUGCAUUGAGCCAGCUAAUCUGGAUGAAAGAAAAGACUUCAGCCAUUCCCUAACCUUAAAGCAGACCCAACUUUGUAGCUCAUUACCAGUUAAGUAAAAGUUAUCAAUAGCUGUGUAAAUCAUUGAAACUGCCACAAAAGCAACCCAAAUUAGUUAUGAAUUGGAUUCGAUAAGGGAAAGAGGGGAAGAGGGGAAAUGGGUAACGGAAAAUUAAAGAGAGAUGAAGAUCUGCGCAGGGCUACCUGUUUUGAGAAUUAUGGAUUUUUAUCCCUAACUCCAAAUUGCACCAAUUAUAAGUUCAUUAAAACAAAUCUGGAACAGAACAGAUGGAAAAAACUCGAAACAACUUGGCUAGAAUUUGGGCAAGAAAUUCAGAACGGCCAAGAUUUUAAGUGAGAUAAAAGUUAUCCCAUUUUGUUCUGUUUUUUUUUUUAAAUUAAUAUGAGAUAUACUAUCCAUUUCAAGCGGAACAUAAUGGAAUGAACAACCUUGCAUCGAAGACCUAAUUUUAGUGAAACUCAAGUUUAUUGUGUCAAAGAAAAUGUUCUAAAAAAAUGUUUUAAGCAUUAACAAAAUCUAGUUGGCCUAGGCAAUCCACUAUUGUUGCUGUUACCGUUGGUGCAUACUCAAUUACACCAUUGACAUAGUGCAACUGUUUUUCUUUCUUUCUUUCUUUCUUUUAAAAAAUCCAUGUUAUGUUUUUUAUUUGAAGCUUUUUUGUUAACAUCUUUCGCAAUUGGCCUUGGUAUUUUGUUUCCAUUUUCUCUAUGUUUCCUUCUUCUGUAGUUAGAAAACAUCAUGUCUUUGGGUUUGCGCUUGAUACCGCAAAAUUAAGGACACAAUAGUCAAAGAACACAAAAAAAUUUAUAAGUGAAGGGGGUUGCAGUUGUGAACCCUAAAAUUUACAAGUUUAUUUUCUUAAUAAUAAUAAUAAUAAUAAUAAAGAAGUUUGCCUUCUUAGAAAGUUUACAAAGCCUUAAAUUGGUUAGGAACCUUACCUCAACAAGGAAACAAAAAAAAAAUCCAAAAUUAUAAAGGAAAGAAGCAUAAAAUCUAAAAUAAGCAAGAAAUUUGAAAAUAACAAAGAAAAUCACAAAAAACUAACAAAACCCGGGGCAUCAGUGAGAGUUUUGAUAUUUAAAGAUCCGAUGGUCUGUAUAAAAAUUUGAGCACAAUCCAAUAAUCGAAUAAAAAAUUCUGGCUCUUUUGAGCUGUUAUUCUUGUCUAGUACAACCAAACAUUCUCUUGGGCUUAAACCUGUUCUAUUGGUUCAUAAAUGCAUUUACUAGGCCAUCAACAUUAUUUGUCUGAGGCAAAUCCUCAUCUAGUUAUGGGAGACCCACAUCUGACUGCUUAGAAUCACUAGUUAUCGUAGGAUCGACUAUAUCAAAAUUGGUUGGUUUUUUGUUUUCAAAAAGAAUUAAAAUUUGAUGGAGAUGAAAGCUAAAAACACAAUAAUUAAAGAGCACAAAAAAUUUUAUGAGCAAAAGAGGCUGCAGAUGUGAACCUUCAAAUUCACAAGUUUAUUUUCUCUAAAAUAAUAAUAAUGAAGUUUGUUUUCUUAGGAGGUUUCCAAAGCUAUAAAAAUAUCAAGAAUCCUAUCUUAACUUGGAAAUAAAAAUACAAACUCAAAAUUACAAAGGAAAGAAGCAUAAAAUCUAAAAUAAGCAAGAAAUUAAAAAAUAACAAAGAAAAUCACAAAAAACUACCAAAACUAGAGGGCUUAACAAGAUUUUUGUUAUCUAAAGAUUCGAUGGUCCGCGUAAGAAUUUUAGCAUGAUCUAACGGUCGGAUAAGAAAUUAUGACCCUUUUGAGCUAUUAUUUUCGUUUAACGCGACCAAAUCUUUUUUUGGUCCUAUACUUAUCCUAUUAUUCCAUAAAUACAUCUCUAUGACCUAUCUUUUUUUUUCCUACUAUAGAUGGAGUUUGACCAUCAUCAUCAUAUGAUUUGACUUAGUUGUAUCGGUUUUCAAUCAGAUCAACUUUAUAUAUUAUGGGUUUACAUUUACUAUUUUUAAAAAAUGCUCAUUAUCGGUUUUCGAUCACCAUAAGUCCAUUGUUCACACCUCAAGUCCGUACCUGCAGCGGAUCGCAGGCAACGAAACUAUAGACUCGAGAGUAAACAUGCUACUAUAGUUAGCUAGUAAGGGUCCAGGUCAUUUGUUGUCUGGUUUCAAAUAGUGUUUCAACUCAUUUAAUAAAUGUAUACAUGGCUCAUAGUUGGAUUACUUGUGUUUUUGUUAUUUGUUCUUCCCAGUACUUGUACCAGAAGCUGCUCUCAUAUUUGAAGGAAUGCAAACAAUUGUUAAUAUGAAACUUAUGAUGCAUAGGAAAUUGCCAUUUUUCUCAUUUUUAAUUGGAAGAAAAAUCACACGUAUGUUUUUGUUAGAAAUAACUUCUUAUUUCAAUCAGAAGUGUGUCACUAAAUUGAUUUAUAAGUAAGUUUUUAAAUCGUGGAUUAUAUCUUACAUUAUAUUUUUUUAUUUACAAAAGUUUAUUUGAGUUAUUUUUAUUAAAAAUACUUAUAAUUUAAAAUUAUUUUAAUUCUUUUUUAUCAUAAAUUAUUUAUUAAAAACAACUUAGAUUAUCGCUUGAAAUAAAAAAAGAAAAAGAAAAAUUUUUCAGCCUGUUUUCUCUUUACUGAACAACCUCUUUGAUUCUCUAGCAUCUGCUUGGAAAAACCAUUCAACAAGGGAUUCUGCUAGGAAAACAUGCAAUUGUUCUUCUAUCUGAUAUCAGUUUCAAAAUUCUAAACAAAUAAUGCAACAAGUCACAUUUAUUACAAAAAAAGUCACGUUUAUUCCAGACCUCAAGCUGCAUUGCCUAUUUCAAAACCACAAAGAGAACAUCAUACAGAACAACAAAUACCCAAGUCGUAGAGCCAUUAAUUUGAGCAUAAAGGAGAAUGAAAGUCCACGCAUUAAACAGUAGGCACACACAUGAGUAGACAUUAUGCCCUUGUUUUUGAAGAUUCAGACACUUCAAAAGAAAACUCACGCUCUUAUUUUUGGGAAGUUCUUCUAUGGUAAAUAAGACUGUUACAAUGUGAAGCCAAUUUGUAUCCCAUUGCCAGUGAAACAGUAGGAAUUACUUCCACCAAUCUAAAACAUAUUCGCAGCACCACAGCUCAAGGACAUGAAUCUCUGUGAAAUCGCCUAAGGUCGAGUUGCUCAUGUAAUAGGCAACCAACCUGCCUAAUGCAAACAGAAGUACAAAGACCAUUCAUGCAUAUCCAUUACCUGAUUAGGAUGUUUUUCAAAUUCCAAUGCCAAACUAAUCAUCCUACCCAUCAUCAUCAUCACCACCAUCUCCCUUCACCACCUUCCUUCAUCUCCUUCACCACAUACCCACCCAUUAUUUCGGGUCCACGUUCUACAACUGCUGAUUGGCGCAGAGCAACCAGUGCUUGAAUCCUCAGCUACUUCAGAUACCUGUAAUCCAAUCCAAGCAUGGCAUACACAUUUUAACUUCUAAAUCUUAUUAUUGAGCGAAACAAGAAACAAACACACAAAAAGAGAAGCAAGAAAUCAAGACAAUUCAGCAGCACCUCUGAUUGAGCUCUUAUUGAACCAUUUGGGAGCAUGAACGAAAACAGAGAGGGGACCUAAAAAGAGAGAAAUAGGGAGAGAGCAAAAGGACAGCAGGCCUGCUUUGCCUUUGUUCUCAAAACGCAAGUGAAGUGCAGGGAAACUGCAAGCGUUGGUCAGCCUAAUUAUUCGUCUCCAGCUACACACUCCAAACCAUCGAAAGAAAGAACUGAGAAAAACAGGAGAAAAGGAGGAACACGAAAAAAAACCAAGGGAACGGGCAGAUACAGAAAAAAAAAACUGGAGGGAAAAACCCAGGGGAAAGAAAAACAGAGGACUGCAGGUGGAAAAACUGGGGAAGAAAAGGGCAGAACCGCGGGAACAGAGAGAAGAGACUCAGGAAAAAAAGUAGAAGGAAAGGCAGAGGAGAGUCACAGAUCAGCUCUGCCAUUGUCUUCAUCCCUGCAAAAAAAUAAAAGAAUGACACUGAACCAAAGACUAUUGACAACCGGCAUCACCAUUGUUUACUUUCCUUCAUCUCAAAACUAGAGGAGACAGAACGCAAUCAAAGAAAGAAGCAGAGGAAAGUCACCGAGACCGUUGCUACUGCCUUCGGCGUUUCCAGAACUAGGAGAGAAAGCAAAAGAAAGCAGGAGGAAAGGUGUUAAGCAGACAACAGGCACCAUCACACUGCAGCCAUCUUCGCCGUUUCCAGAAGCAGGUACGCCCCUCAUCCCAUUUUGCAUCUUCAUUUCAAAUUGAAUUGUUACAAGAGCUGUGCGAAGGUAAUUUAAUUACCUUCGCACUGCUCAUGCACGCGUGAAGCCACUUCACGCGUGCUUUUCGUUUUGCCCAGCCGGUCACUGGCUUGGGCCAGUGACCGGGCCGGGCUGGCUGGGUCCAGUCCAUGCCAUGUGGGCUGAGCUGGGCCCAGCCCCAAAAAAAUAAAAGAAAAAAACAGAAAAAUAAAAAAAUAGAAAAAAUAGAAAAAAAUAAAAAUAAAAAAUAUGCAUGCAUGAAUAAAAAUAAUGUAAAUUUAUUGGUUUAUUUACUGACGCCAGAGUCAGUAAUAAAAAUAUCGGUUUAAAUUUAUAUUAUUUUUAUUCGUUGUAUUUUAUUUUAUUUAGCUAGAAAAAAAAUAUGUGCAUGCUGAAAAAUAAAUUUAUUUUUUCAUUGGCGCUAGAGUAGGGAAUAAAAAAUAUUGAUAUAAUUUUUUUUAUAGCUACGUAAUAUUUAUCAACACCAGAGUUGGAGAUAUUCAUAGUUGAAUAUUCACUGACGCCAGAGUUAGAAAUAUUAUAAGCAAAUUAUCAUAGUGUAAACUAAUAAAUAUUUAGCAAUUUAAAACAAAACCGGCAAUGCAGUCUGCCUCAGGCAGAACGUUUAAGGGGUGAUAAUAUCUUCCUUUUUACGUAACCAGUCCCAUACUAUAGAAUUUCUGUUGAUCAGUUAGGGUUUCUAGUGACCAUAAUACUAGGUGGCGACUCCAUAAACAAGAUAUUUUUUUCUAAAAGAACAAGAUAUCAGAAAUCUGUUUUUUUUCCACAGUCAAGUUUAUUUUGUGGAUCGUCACGAUAUCGGGUACGAUAAAAGUAGUCAAAUUGUGCAGCACGAGACCCUUCCACAAACAUCUCAUGCUUGUGUCAGGCAGGGACUUCAAUUUUAAUGUUUUCAAACUUGUUAACUCCUACAUCAGAAGACAACAAAGGCACUAAUUUGUUAGAUAUAAUUCCUAGUAUGUUUUGGUAAAUAGAUGAAUCAAUUAUCCCCAAUACUUACUUAUCAACAAAAGGAUAUAUGUAGACAUGGCAAUAGACAACUCAAUAUUAGCAAAUGGAGGUUUAUCGUCCUGUCCAAAUACUUCCAUUAUUUGGGGAAGAGCCUCAUUUUCACUCAAACUGGGAAAGCAUAAAUCUAGGUAUCAUUUCAUUACAAUAAUUAAUUUCUUACUUCUUAAGCCCUGCGUCAAGAGACAGGGAAUGAUACAGUUAGACAACUCCUUUUAAAUUUAGUGGAUGGCUAAAGGAUUUAUCUCCACUUAUCAAUUACUUCAGUUUCAGAAAUUUAAAGGAAGAAAUCAACAUGUAUUGAAGUUGACAAUUUAAAUUAAAAAGGAAAACAAAUAUUGGAGAAAUAUAAAGGACAAAUUAUCAAUUACAUGUACUUGGAGCUGUGCAGACAAAUUACCCAAUCCUUCGUGGCCAUAAAUGGUUAGACUUUUCAAAGAAGGCAAUUGGGCAGCAAAAUUCUUUGGACCAAAAAAGCUGCAAUUUGAAAGAGACAAUUUUCUUAGUCGAGGAAACUUGAUGAUGCCAUCUGUGGUGAGUGCAUCUCCUUCUCCACUGUAAAAUAUUUGCUUUAAAUUAUAAGCUUUAAAAAUCCGCAUCUCUUCCAGGUUUAGAAGGCUUGGAGACACAGAUACAGGGAAGACAUAUUCCAGUUUACCACAGUGAGAUAUGUAGAGAGUUUCCAAUUUUGGGAAGCGAGGAGACUCUAGAAAUAUUUCCCUUUCACCAUCCUCUUCUCUGAUAAUAUGCUUCAACUCACCGCAUGUUCUUAUCUCAAGUGUUUCUAGCUUUGGCAGAUUUUGAGCGAGGGACGGUGUGAAGAUAAAUGUCAGUUUGUCCAGAUACCCCAACUCCAGACGAGCAAGACUUUGGAGGCUGACAUGCCCGGUGGGCCCCUUCCAUAUGCAUUUGAGCUCGGGUAACUCUCGCAGCUCUAACAGUGUUAAAGAUGACAGCAACGGCAGCUCCUUCUCCUCACUGCUUCCUUCAUCAGCCUCACCCAAUUCAAAUACCUCUUCCAAUGAUUUGCAGUCCUCAAUUUCCACACUCCUUAGAUUUUUCAGACCUUGUAGCAAUUUUGCUGGAAACGGAGCGCGAACAUCCCCACAAUCGUACAAAUGUACAGAUUCUAAUCUUUGUAAGAAGCCGUUUUGCUGUCCAUGGGCGGCCAUGUUAUCAGAAAACAAUAUUAUAUUUUUUCACUCUCAUGAAAACAAUUUAUAUGAUGUAUAAAUAGGAGAAAAAAAUAGAAAAAACAGGAUUAUAUACUUUUUAGAGAUUACAUAUUAUUGUUUUAGUUUUUUUCUUAAUCAGAGAAAACUUGAAUAAUAAUUAGAUUUUUGUGAAAAAAAGGUUAAUACAACUACUAAUAAUUAGUUUCAUGUAAAAAAUAAAAAUAAAAAUAAAAAUAAAAAUAGUAACUAAUAUUUUUAUUUUAGUUAUAAAGUUAAUAAAUUUUUAAAGAUAUUUUAAUUGAAUUAAAUAUUUGAACACAAAAUUUAUGUUCUUAUAUAUAUAUUAAAUCAACAUGUAUUGAAAAAUACUUCCAUUAAUUGGGGGAAGAGCCUCAAUUUCACUCAAACUGGAAAGCAUAAAGAUUGAAAAAUCUGGAUAUCAUUUCAUUACAAUAAUUAAUUUCUUACUUCUUAAGCCCUCUAUCAAGAGACAGGGAAUGAUACAGUUAGACAACUCCUUUUAAAUUUAGUGGAUGGCUAAAGGAUUUAUCUCCACUUAUCAAUUACUUCAGUUUCAGAAAUUUAAAGGAAGAAAUCAACAUGUAUUGAAAUUGACAACCAGAAGCCCAAAAGAAAACAAUUUUGACGAAUACCCACCAAACAGUUGAAGUGCUGCUGUAACUGAGAUUUUUUAUUAUAUGUAUUUUUUGUGGUCCAAUGGAUAAAUAAUUUUUUUUUCUUUUAUUUUAUCAGCUUAAUUUUGCAUGUGGAAUAUUGAGUUUUCUGUUAUUUUUUCAGACACAGAAUUGAAUCCUUUAUACAUUCUUAAAACCAAAUUUGAAUUCUAAGUUCCUAAAUGAAGGAAUAAUAAAGAUUGUUGCAUGUACAAAUUCUCCUUAAAAAAAUUAACAAAUAAUAAAGUCCCCUAUGUUAAUAAGAUUUAACUAUAACUUAGCCCUGUAAUUUCUUAAAAUUAAUUAUUUAGCCCUGUAAUAAUAAAGUCCUCCAUUUACUAUAUUUUUCUCUAAAAAAUGCCUUCCUUCCUAAUGAAAUUUCCUCAAAUGCAUACUUUUGUUGUCCUUAUUCUAUUUUUCAAGAAUGAAGAAAAACCUCUAAAUAGCAUUAGGUUCCAUGAAAUUGAAUGUUUACAUUAUAAUUCUUCUAUAGAAGUCUUCAAUAUUCUAUCACUUAAAAUAUAAAGCUUCAAACCUCCAAAUUUUCAAGACCCCAUCUUUCAAUCUCAAAACCAGAAACAACCCCUUCUCCAUUUAACCGAAUCUCAUAACUCUAGGAAAGGAGAGGGAUACGACUUUUGUAAAUUGAUUUAAUAUAUUUUUGACUUUUGAUUUUAAUUUUCUUUUUAAGUAUGUUAGUUAAAAUUGCUUUUGAUUUAAUUUUUUUUUGUUAUAAAUUGGAUUCAAAACUUUGAUUUAAUAAUAAAAAAAUCUUAACUUUAGUUUGUGGAUUGUAUACUAAAUUCCUUAAUAAAAAUAGUAAUUUUGAAUCUUUUUUACAAAUAAUGCUUAUAACUUAUGGUUAUUUUAAUUUAUUUUUUUCAUAAAAAAACUUUUAAAUUAUAGUUCAAAGCUACCAGAUUAGGCAUGUAGCUUAUGAAGGGUUUGUAAGCAGCAAACAAUUAAAAUUAGAAAUCAGAGGAACAUUUAGAAUCUCUAGCAAUAGCCAGCAAUGUAUCUGCUCGAAAAAACCAUUCAACAUGAGAUUGUUCUGCUAGAAAAACAUGAGAUUGCUCUGCUAUUUGAUAUCAGUUUCAAACUUCUGAACAAAUAAUACAGCAUCAAGUCUCAGUCAUCACAUGCCCAUACAAAAACAUUUAUUCCAGAUCUCAAGCUGCAUUGCCAGGCCCGUUUCCAAAACCACAUAAGCAUAUGCAAUAGAAACAGAGCAUCAAACUGACAGAGAAAGCAUGAGAAUGAAAAUCCACACAUUAAACAAGAGUAAACAUUAUGCCUUUAUUUUUGAAAGGUUCACACACUUCAAAACAAACACGAAUGGGCAAGCAACAUUCGCCCUUACUUCUGGAGGCUUGUACGAUAAUGGGCAAGCAACAUUAUUUUUUUGAGGUUCGCACAGUAAUGACUAAACACACAACAUUACAUUACAUGGGUAAACAAGCAGAUAACCUUAUUCACACAUAUAUAGAUAAGUCGAUAUCUUCUUUUGAAAUCACACAUAGCAGAUAACCAAACGAGGGAAUAAGAAAUCACAGCAUCCGAAACUGAAGCAGACAAUACUUGAUAAUUGUUUUAGCGACAGCUUCUUUAGAUUAGGAAGCACCAUCUCCUUCUCAACGUUGACAGGUGAAACAUGAUCAUCCUGCCCAAACACUCCCAAUAAUUGAGACGCUUUUUUUACUCUAAGUAUUUGGAGCUAUGGGAGACCUGAAGCCAUGGUAACUGGGAAGAGGCUCUUCAACAUGUUACAUUCUCUAAUCUCAAUUUCACACAAAUUGGGAAAGCAUAAAGAUUGGAGAUGAUCUCCUAACAAUAUCUGGUCGUUUUCAUCAUCAUCCUUAGCAAUGAUUUGCUUGAAUUCCUCAUAGGACAAUAUCUUUAGAACUUUCAGUUGGACUAGACUGACAAUCAUGCUGCAUGUGAAUACCAGUGUCAGUCUCUUACACUCAACCACCUUCAAAGUAGUCAAUUUGCUCAGCACGAGACCCUUCCAUAUACACCUCAUGUCAGGCAGGGAUUCCAAGCAUAAUUUUUCCAAAUUUGUCAACCCUUGCAUCAAAAGAAAACAAGGAUACCAAAUUUAUAAAACAUUCUUACUUACAAAAACUUGUAGGUCUAGUGUUACCAAUCCUUGUCUUGGGCUUAUACAUGUUCCAUUGGUCCAUAAAUAUAUUUGCUAAGCUAUCAACAUAAUUUGUUUGGGACAAAUCCUCAUCUAGUUAUAAUAGACUCACACCUGACUGCUUAAAAUCACUAGUUAUUGUAGGAUUGACUACAUCAAAAUUGAUUGGUUUUUUGUUUUCAAAGAGAUUUAAACUUUUGAUGCAGACGAAAGCUAAAAACACAAUAAUCAAAGAAAACAAAAAAAAAAUAUAAGCAAAAGGGACUAUAGAUGUAAACCCUCAAAUUCACAAGUUUAUUUUCUCUAAAAUAAUAACAAUGAAGUUUGUUUUCUUAGAAUGUUUACAAAUCCUUAAAUAUGUCAGGAACCUUACCUCCACUAGGAAACAAAAACAAAAAUACAAAAUUACAAAGAAAAGAUGCAUAAAAUCCAAAACAAGCAAGAAAUAAAAAAAAUAACAAGGAAAAUCACAGAAACUAUUAAAACUAUAGGCCUAAACAAAAUUUUUGAUAUCUAAAGAUUUGAUGGUCCACGUAAAAAUUUAAGUAUGAUCCAAUAGUCGAAUAAGAAAUUGUAACUCUUUUGAGUUGUUAUUCUAGUCUGACGUAUUUUUUCUCUUUUUUUCACUAUAAAUGAAGUUUGACCAUCAUUGUCAUAUAGUUUGACUUAGUUGUAUCGGUUUUUAAUCAGAUCAACUUUAUAUAAAUCAGAUCAACUUUAUAUAUUAUGAGUUUACAUUUACUAAUUUUAAAAAAAUGCUCACAAGUCCAUUGUUCACACCUCAAAUUCGUAACUGCAGCGAUUCAUAGGCAACGAAACCAGUUAGAGACUAGAGAGUAAACAUGCUAUUAAAGUUUGCAAGUAAGGGUUUAGAUUAGAUUAUUUGUUGUCUUGUUUCAAAUAUUAGAUCAGUCUCAACUCAUUAAAUAAACUAGUGGUGCAUUGAUCCUUGCAUUAAUUGUUCAUUAACAAACAAUUGUUAAUAUGAAACUUAUGAUGUAUUAAUAACGCAUACAACAAUGAGGCAGUUAAGUUUCUUCGAUAAAAUAAAAUCAUUUAAAAAAUAAAAAUAAGCUAGUAUGUUUGUUACAUAACUAAAAAAAAAAUUGAUUUUUUUAAAUUGAUUUUUUUAAAAAUCAUUUUAAUAGACUAAUAUUAAAAAUAAAUUUUAAAAAAUAAAAAAUAUAUUAUUUUGAUAUAUUUUCAAGGAAAAAACAUUAUGAAAAGAAAUUGUUAAUGUUUGUUAAAACAUUAUUGUUAAUAUUUCUUACUAAAUAUAUAAUGACAUGUGAUUGGAAUAAUGUAUGUGAACUUGUACACAACUUAAUAAAUGAGAAAACUAAGGUAGCCGGUCACAUGUGAUUGGAAUAAUGUAUGUGAACUUGUACACAACAUUAUUGUGGGCUUAAUGGACCACAUACAAGUUUGCCCUGUAUUUUAAGUGAAGUUUUGCAGAUUUUUGAAAGUUUUUUUUUUUCAAAUUGAAUUUUUUUUUUUUUUUUUUUGUGGUUACCAUAUCAGACAAAGUAGAGGUUGAUUUCAACAAGCAUGAAAAACCAAAUUCAUUAUGAGAUAUAUAGCCUCAAGAUUAUCACAUCAUAAAGAAGAGUAGAGGUUCAAAUCCCUAAAUCUAUAAAUAAAUAAAAAAUGAACUAACCAAUUUUAUCUCGAAACAACAUUGAUCGUGGUCAACCGUGUGACUUGUUCCGCCCCCGUCCCGGGUUCGACCCUCUAUGUGCACGCCUGUCACCCCCGCGGUGCCUUACCUGCCCCUGGGCUUGCAGGAUGUCCAGUGGGCCGUGGGGAAUAGUCGUGGUGCGCGCAAGCUGGCCCGGACACCCCACGUGAAUCAAAAAAAAAAAAAAAAAAACAUUGACACUAACUUAAUGCUGAGCCUUGGUACAAAUUAAGUCAGCACUUCCAUGCCUUGUGAUCUUGACAAAAAUAUUUUUGGUCCUUUUAGUUUAGAAAUGAAACUUUUCAGUACAAAGCUUUAUUUUACCUCUAUAUAUAGUUUCUGAGUUUGAGAAAAGAAAGAAAGAUUUGUUGAAAAACUACAAAGGAGAGAUAAAAUUAGUCAAUUUAGAUUUGGGUUGAUUUUCUAAUUUUAAAUCAAUUAAAUGUUUAUUUAAAAUAUUUAUAUAUCUAACUUUUCAAUAAAGGAGCAAUUUUUCAUUACAUUCAGCACAAUAUUUAUUUCACUAACCUGUACGAAGAUGACACGAGUUAAAAUAAUUGUUUAAACACACACUAUAUAUAUUGUGCAUAUAACUGUCUUGUAUUCACAUUAUUAGAUCAGUGUAUGCACACAACAUUUGAUAUUUUUAACUGUUAUGAAUAAUCUGUAUAUUAUGUGUCGCACGUGAGCGACGUCGCGGCGAUCGUCCACCCAAAACAAAUGUAAUAAUAUGGGGGAUAUAUAUCUGGUCAAUGUAGGGAGACAAGGAAUUCGUUGUCUCUUAGCAGUGAAAAAUGGUGUGGGAGUCGCCACCUAGUAUUUUGGUCACUAGGAACCCUAACUGGUCUCAGAGAUCGGGUACGGGGACUGGUUGCGUAAAGGGAAGGUAUUAGCACCCCAAAUACGCCCUACCUAAGGUAAGCUGCAUCGUUUAAUUGUCUGAUAAAAUUUAAGGUGUUUUCAUUGUGUUUCCUAGUUGUUGGUCCGUCUAUGGUUCAAGAAAAGUCCUCCUUAAUAAGGAGGUCCUUAUCUUAUCGGGUAAAACCUAACCGUUCUAGCGUCUAUGUAAAAAAACAUAUUUUUAAUUUCAGGAAUACGUUUUACGUAUAAAUUCGUAAUCCCAUAUACUAACAGAGGACAAAAAGAUUUUUUAGAAUUUUUGGAAUAUUGGCCUAGUUCUCAUGGCUUGAAUAAACUGGUUAUUAAAGCCAAAAUGCAUGCUAAUACAUAUAUUGUUUUGAAAUUUCUUUUGUUGUGUGAAAAUAUGAUGUUAUAAUAUUUAUAUAUAUAUAUUGGAGAGACUAGGCCGUAUUUUAAAACAAAAACAUUUUUUAAAUAUGUAUUUUGUACGUUUUGACGCAAAUCGGGUAUUUUAAUACUGGGUUUGUAUCCUUGCAGUAUAAAAAUACAACCAAAUAUUAAUCUACUUUGAUAAAGCAAAUGCAGAAAAAUCAACAAUAUUUUCAAAGAUAUUUUAGAAAAUUUUUGAAAGCAAAAGACAUUUUUUAUUUUGAAAAUCUUUGAUGUUUUGAUGAAAACCGGGUAUGUUAAUACCGGAUUUGUAUCUUUACAGUAUAAAAUACCAACCAAUAUUAAUCAAAAUACAGUAAUAAAAUUACAGAAAAUCACAUAUUUUUGAAAUAAUUUUUGAAGAAUUUUUGUAAUUUUUUCAUAUAUAUAUAUAUCUAUAUAAAUAAUACAAAAUAUAAUAUAUAUAAUAUAAUAUAUAAUAUUAAAUGGGCUGGGCUGGUCCGGCCCAACCGACUGGGCCGGACUCAGCCCAAAAUUGUUGGGCCGAUCUCGGCCCAAAAUGGGUUGGGCCGAUCUCGGCCCAAAACAAAAAACACAUUAUCUUCUGGGCCAGACCCGGCCUAGAAGACAGGGCUGGGCCAGGAUCCGCCUGGCCCAAGCCAAAACGGGGCGGGGGGGGGAAUUAUUUUCCCCCCACCCCUGCAUGCAGAACGCUACUCGUUCUGCAUGCAGGGAACGAAACGAGAAAAUAAACGCUCUCCUAGAAACCGCAGAAAAGUUACCUGGCGCGGAGGCGAAAGCGGUGGCUGGCUGCGUUUCUGGCGGUUCUGUGGUGGAGGCUGGUAGCGGUGUCGCUGCUCCCUGGCGGCGACUCCAAGCAGCGGCGCUGCUGUCUCAAGCGGCGGAAAGAGGGAUUCUUCCUCUUUCCUUCUCCUCUGUUUCCUUCCCUUUUCUUCUCCUUCUUUGGUUUUCUUUCCCCCUGUUUUCCCUUCUUUCGGUUCUCUUCUCCCUCUCCCCUUUCUCUCUCUUUCGGUUUUUUCCGUUCCUCUCUCUCUCCUCUGUUUUUCGUUUUCUCCUUCUUCCCCCGUCUGUUCUCCUCCCUCUUUUUCUUCUACUGUCGUGUUGGUUGUUAUUUAUAGAGCCAAGUGAGUGGCUUUUCGCUGUGGAGCAUGGGGAGCAGCCGGCCGGUCGGCCAUUGGGCGCGACUGCCAACGCUCGGCCCCCCUCCCCGGCUUUCUGGCAGGUGCGCGGUGGGUGGUCGGCCAUUGUGUUCGGUCGGUGGGCUCCAGGCGAGAGAGAGGGGCCGGCAAAAAUUUCAAAAAAAAGCACCAUUUUUCCCUUCUUCCCCGCUGCAUGUUCGGGGGGGAAGAAGAAAGAUGAACAGUGUCGUUCAAAACGACACCGUUCUGCCCUUUUCCCUUUUUUUUUUUUUUUUGAAUGGAUGAAACGACGUCGUUUUGGAUAAAACGCGCCGUUUCAUUUAAAUCCUACAAGACGCCAAAACGCGUCAAUUUGCAAAGCAGCCCUCAAUUAUCUUUUGUCCCUUCAAUUGCAUCCCUGCCGAAUUUGAACCCCGUCCCUAUAUUUGGCCGCGUUUUUCACUUUGGUCCUUGGCCUUUGAAUUAUGCAAUUGAGCCCUUAAUUGAUCAAUAAACUUCCAAUUUCUUCAAUUAGGCCCCUGAAUCAAUUAAUUCCAGCCCCUAUACUUACGCACCUUCUUCAAUUUGGUCCUUGGUUUCGGAUUCCUUCAAUUAAGUCCCCAAUUGGCCCUUAAACUUCAAUAUUUAUGCAAUUAAGCCCCUGAUUUGACCUAAUAAAUUCCUAAAAAAUAUAUUUUGGCCCCAGAACUUAAAUUUCUUCUAAUUAAAGCCCAAAUUGACUUAAAAAUCAAUUUUUCUUGCAAUCAAAUCCCCUAUAAAUUCAUUUAAAAAUCAAAUUAAGUCCAUAAACAUCUAAAUUUGGGCUUUUCUCCUCAAAUUUGAAAUUUUCCUUGUCAACAGGGCUCUCCUCCUUCAAGAAUAUAUUAUCAAAAAUUCCAUCUUUGUUUUUUUAACCUUAUUGACCAAUUUUCCAACCAUUUUCUGAGCGCUUCUGCCUCCUGUUAUUUUUCUAACCUCCUUUGGCUAUAUAUUUUUAUAUAUAUUUUGUGGGGACCCAAAAAUGGGUUACAACAUUAUGAAUGCUUAGUCUUAACCUAAAUACAAAUAAAGUAUAUAUAGGUCAAACUGAAAGUACUAUUCUACCCUUGAUAAAUAAGACUACAUAAAUAUUAUUUAACAUCUCCCCUCAAACUCACGAUGCGGCAGCUACAAGCAUCGAGAGUUUGCCAGCCAAAAAACGAAAACGAGAGAUGGAAUGCGCCUUGGUAAAGAAAUCUGCAAUCUGCAAGGAAGAAGGAACAAAAGGCAAAGCAAUGGUGCCAUGUUUGAGAUGAUGACGAGUAAGAUGACAAUCGAUCUCAAUGUGCUUAGUGCGUUCAUGAAAAACCGAGUUAUGAGCAAUCUGAAUAGAACUCUGGUUGUCACAAUACAUAGGAGUAGGAUGAGAAAAGGAAAUUCCCAUAUCAGCAAGUAACCAACGUAACCAAACAAUCUCUUUGGUAGUAGAUGCCAUGACACGAUAUUCUGCUUCGGUGGAUGAUUGAGAAACAAUAGAUUGUUUCUUGUUCUGCCAAGAAAUAAGAGAAUCACCUAAAAAGAUAUAGAACCCGGUAACAGACUUGCGAUCUGUGGGAUCACUACCAUGAUCAGCAUUAGAGUAUACACGCAACUCCAAGGAAGAGGUGGAUGAAAGUAAAAGACUCUGAAAAACUGUACCCCGAAGAUAUCGCAAAAUACGAAGAACAGCUGCCCAGUGAACAGUAGUAGGAGAAGCAACAAACUGACUAACAACAUGAACAACAUAUGCAAUAUCUGGACGAGUAAUGGUGAGAUAUACCAAACUCCCAACAAUAGUGCGGUAUAAAGUAGGAUCUAUCAAAGGUAAAUCAUCAGAAGAAGAGUACCUUGUGUUAACCUCAAUAGGAGUAUCUACAGUCUUGUUAUCAGUAAGUCUAACCCGCUCAAGAAUAUCUGCAACAUAUUUCGACUGAGAAAGAAGGUAACCUCUAGGUGAGUAUGCUACCUCAAUACCCAGGAAAUAUUAAAGAUAACCCAAAUCCUUCAUUUCAAAUCGUCUAGCCAACUCUGUCUUCAAAACUGAAAUACCAUCAAUAUCAUCACCAGUAAUAAUCAUGUCAUCAACAUAUAAAGACAGAAUGAUACGACCUGCAUCAGUGCACUUAAUAAAAAUAGCAGAAUCAUGACUACUAGAAACAAAGCCACGAGACGAGAUCACAAUAGAAAAUUUCUCAAACCAAGCACGAGGUGCUUGUUUGAGACCAUAUAAUGCUUUCUUAAGCUUACAAACAUAUCCAGAGUCAUGUGAAAUACCAGGAGGGGGUGCCAUAUAAACUUCUUCUUGAAGAUCUCCAUUCAAGAAUGCAUUUUUAACAUCAAGCUGAGAAAUAUGCCACUGACGAAUCGAAGCUACGACAAUAAGAGUAUGAAUAGUAGUCAUUUUUGCAACCGGGGCAAAUGUCUCCUCAUAGUCCAUACCAUACUGUUGAGAGUAUCCUUUUACAACCAGCCUAGCUUUGUAUCGCUCAAUAGACCCAUCAGAAUUAGUCUUGAUCUUAUACACCCAACGACAACCAACAACACUCUUACCAGGAGGUAGAGGAACCAGAUCCCAAGUAUUUGUCUUAUGCAAAGCAGAAAGUUCCUCAUCCAUAGCUUGCUGCCAAAGCGGAUCAAGAAUUGCCUCUUUAUAGGAAGAGGGCUCAAAGAGACAAUGAAUAGAAGCUAAAAAGGAAGUAAAUGAUGAAGAAUAACAAGAAUAAGCAAAAUCUGGUAGUUUUGUGGACUUACGAAUGCGGAUGGACUGACUUGGAGGUGGAUCCACAAUCUCAGAUGAAGCUUGAGGGGAUGUAGAUGAGAAUGGAGCUUCAGGUGUGCCAGAGAGUAAAGUACCAGUACCUGCAGAGUUAUGAGUACAAAUUGAUCGAACAUAGGGAGAGGUAUCAUUACCAGAAUCCUUAGAAAAAGGAUCUAUAUAAAUAAGAUCAGAUUUUGUCAGGCUAUGAGUAGUGGAUGAAAUAGAAAAGAAAGGUAUAUGCUUAAGGAAGACAACAUGACGAGACACAUAAAGUUUCUGAGUUAUUGGAUCAAAUCAACGAUACCCCUUUUUACCUUCACCAUAACCCAGAAAGACACAAAUAACGGAUUGAGAGGAUAGCUUACUGCGUUCUACAUGAGGAAGAAGAACGAAACAAGUACAACCAAAGACUCUAAAUGAGGAAUAAUCAGGGACAUACCCAUAUAACUUUUCAAAAGGAGAUAGACCCGAACUUGACCUAUAUAUACUUUAUUUGUAUUUAGGUUAAGACUAAACAUUCAUAAUAUACAGAUUAUUCAGAAUUCUAGCCUCCUUUCUCUAUUUGAUCUCAAUUAAUUUAACAUUAACCAUUCACAUACAUUAAAUAAAACCCAUGGAAACAGGACACAAACGUCGACUGCAACUGCAACAUUAUACUAAUGAGUGUAUUUUCUGAAGUCGAAAGAGUGCUACCCAAUCUAGGUUCAAGUGGGAUGAUGAAUUGAAGAGCAGUUGUUAUUUGACACUGCAAUUAGAUGGCUCAUAUUUGAUUUAUGGAGCUAUGAUAAGGGAUUCGUGCUUGUAUCACAUAUAACAAUAUUUACAUAGUAACAAGCACUAUUAAAGAUGCUACACUAGUAAUUGCUUUAUCAAAUAUUUUAUGUUUUUUUUUUUGAAAUAUUGUUAUAGACAUAGAAUCAUCUAGAUUAUGUGACAUUCUAUAUUGAUUUUGUGAUAUUUUAAUCACUAAAAGUAUGGGUUUCAGAGAAAAAAAACCAAACAAAAAAUUGAAAAAAUUAAAAAUUUUCAAACCAACCCAAUCCAACAUAUUGAUCAGUUUUGGUCUGGUCUGGUUCAAAUAUUUUUUAGCUGAAACAAUUAAUAACCAUUUUCAAAAGGUAACUAUUGACAAGCCUUUCACCGAAACCAUGUUCAUUUAUCCUGAAUCAAUCCAAAUCAGGUUCAGGUUUGAAAGGUUCGGAUAAUCACUUAGACGUCUUCGGUUCUAAUUUUAGGCCUUGUCACUUAGUCAUCCCUUAUCCUAACUUUUUAUUUCCUAAUAAAAUCUCACGGUUUUUCAUCUAUGUUCAAAGGAAAAGUUGACCUUGCAAAUGGUGCUCUAAGGAACCAAGUCAUCCUAGAACUAAUCAUCCACCUAAUCUCAUCAACUCCUUGUUGCACAAACAGCUUGUCUCACUUAAAGGGGAUUUUAAUGAUGAACAAACACCAACUCCUUGUUGCUCAAAUACAUAUGCUCAUUUAAACACAAUUUUGCAUUACCUAGAACUGACAAGGCCUAAAAUUCCUGACAUAUAAUUUUGUUUUAAAGGAACUUCAGGAUUUCUAUAUAGGAUGCUUGACCUCAUUAAAGAAAAACUGAGGACAUCCAUAACAUAAAUUAUCUUCCUUGCCCCAAAGUCAGCACAGAAAAACCCUGUUCAAUAUAAAGGUUCUGAAUGUUUUUCCUAAAUUUCAUGAGCUGGCAUUCAACACAUCAAACUCCCAAUUUAGCAUUCUUAUGCAAACUACAACUGCAAAAGGCUUGUACAUGUAGGGGAGGUAGGAAGAGCUGCAAAGAAUUGUGGCAUCUAUUGUUAUGCUGUUCAGAGUUUCUAUCUCAUCAUCCAAUCUGCCAAAAAUAUAAGAGAUCAUGUGCAUCAUCAAAAGCCCCAGCCGCUAUAUGAACAAAGCACCUAAAAAAUUAAUCACCUAGCUAAUCUAAUUCAGGAAAAUUCGGUCAAAAUCUCCUACAAUGAAACGAGUUAUUGGAAUGCAUAGAUAGGAAAUUCAGGUAAACACACACACAUACACACACACACCUGAUCAUAAAUUUCCUAAAGAAAUUCUGAAUCGUAACAUUGGUAAACAAAGAGUGACAAUAUCAUCACAUUAAAAAUGCAUUUCACUCAAAACAAAUAACAGCUCAAGAAAAAAAAUUGCAAGAAGCCAAUAGAGAAUAAAGUAAGCAGUCCAUAAACAAGAGACAGAGAGACAUUGUUCCAAUAGAGAAAAGUAAUUAAAACCCAACAACUAAAACUGAGAAAGAAUCAAACCAGGGAGUAACUAAUCCUUUUAAAGCAUUCCAAGAAUGGCAACCAAAUGUAACAUAAUCAACCUGCAAAAACAAACACAAAAAGAAUUAGAAGAAGAAAUCCCAUUAGUUAAUAAGUUAAAACAGCAGCAGCAGCAAAAAGACUAAAAUUUUAGUUAUUUGGACUUGAGAAAAAGCACUGAACCUGUGUGAAAAUGCCAUGAAAGGGGUGCUAAGAAACCAGGAACAUAAAAACUUGUAAAAGGGUCUUUUUACAAAGCAAGAAAGAAGCUAGGAAGCAAGGAAGCAUGCCAGCCUACCCUCACGAACUCUGUUUGUUAGGCCAUGUUUGUUUCCCGGAAUUCACUUUCCGGGAAACCAUUUUCCAAACUUUCCUGUGUUUGUUUGCCAUUAGAAAAAUUGAUCAACGGAAAACACUUUCCGGUCAACGGAAAACACUUUUCAAUCAACGAAAACACUUUCCCAUCAAAGAAAAAAUUGGUUUGGUUUUUCAGGAAAGUGUUUUCCCUUUUGGCUGUGUUUGUUUUCCGGAAAGUGGUUUCCGGGAAACCACUUUCCAAACUUUCUUGUGUUUGUUUGUCAUUAGAAAAGUUGGUCAACGGAAAACACUUUUCGGAAGUUGUGAAAAAUUUAGAAAUGUCAUUAUUUGUUGAUUAUAUCAAAUUUAAUCCUCAAACUUUUGAUUGCUAUAUAUAAUUUGUUUUGAAUAUUUAUUUUUCAAUUCCAUUUCUUAAAAUUUAAUUUUUAUAUUAAUUUUGCUCCUUAUUUUUAUAAUUGUUAUUUGCUUUUUCCUUAUCAUUUUUUUAUUGAAAUUUUUUAUCUGUCAAAUUUGGUCCUCAUUCUUUUGAUUGUUACUUAGUUUAUUUGAAAUAAUUUAUGAAAUGUUAAUUAUUAUUAUUUUAAUUUCUUCACCUUUCAUUUUUUUAAAAUUUUUAGAUUUGAUUUCUAUUAUUUUGAUUAUUAUUUAUUUUAUUUGAGAUAAUUUAUGAAAUUGUAUUUUUUUUCAAUUUCAUUCUCAUUCAACUUUUUAAUUUGUAAGAUUUGUUCCUCAUUAUUUUAAUAAACUUGAGAAAAUAAAACAUUAAUAAGUUAUUUUCCAGCUCAUUUUCCAUGACAUAACCAAACACUGGAAAAUGUUUUCCAACUUAUUUUUCAUUACACUACCAAACAUCAGAAAAUACUUUCCCGGAAUUCAUUUUCCCGGAAUUCACUUUCCAAAAUGAAACUACUUUCCAGCAAACAAACGGGGCCUUAAUUGUUUUUUCUCCUUUCAAGUAAAAAAAAAAAAAAAAAACAAAGAGCACCAAGAAAAUCUAAUCAGAAAUAUUUUUUUUUUAGUCUGAAAUAUUUUAUGUUGUUGUCUUGGAGAGAUGCAGAUACCGAGGAACAGUUGUGGGGCCACCAUUGGUGAGCAGUGAUACAGUGGCAAGUACGUGAAGUAACGCAUAUUACAGUGCGCAAUGAUAGAGUGAGUCUGGGUGGACAAACUUUUGGUGGUACACGUGGUGCGUAAUGAUUUGACGGCUAUGGAGAGAAGUUACAUGAGGGAAAUAAGAUGAAAAAAGUGGCCUCUCUAGAUUUUGGAAAUGUUCUCUGAAGAAAGAAAGAAAAUAAUCUCAAGGGUGGACAAAAAUGGGGUAAUAUCAGAUUUGGAACAUAAUCUUGGUUGGUGAAGAAUAACAUAAUCUGAAGAGAAAUCUAGGGCAAGCCAGUGAGAUUUGAGCUUAGAUUUUGGACCAAUUUAUAGGUGGAUGAUACCAUCAUGGAUGAUGUCUAGCUGAUAAAUGUUUAGUUACUAGCAAUUCUAUCAUAAGUUAUCAGAUUCUGUGUGUGUGAGGCUGCCAUAAAUUUCUUUCUUCUAUGAUGGAUAAAAAACGCUAAGCAAUGAACCAUUUUGUCAACCUAGUAAAAAAGGUAUUAUGGUAUUAUAGACUUAAAUUCAUAGAUAAUUAAGUAAAUUUCUUGAGGAAAAGCAAAAUUUAACUAUAGAUAAUCAAAGUGAAAAAAAAACACCUCAAAAAAAGAUGGUAGUUUCAAGAUUAAAGCCAAAAAUUCACUUUGAUUCUCAUACUUUUCAGAUAAUGACUUUUUGGUCCCUUAAGUUUUCUCACAUUUUAUUUUUGAUCCACAACUUCAUUUUUCUAUAUUCUCAUUCCCUAAUUUGAUAGAGGAGACAAAAUGUUAUUGGAUUACAAUGUUAGAGAGAGUCUCUGUAACAGCCUCAACAUUUGUAUUCAAAACAAAGAGUAAGGACAUGAUGAUUCAAAUAAGAUUAUGGAAUUUUUUUUUGUAAUCAAUAAAAAAUUCAGCAGAGUUUUUUUUAUAUUUUUAGAUACUAAAUUAUCGACUUUUCAUCUACAAUCCUCAAUUAUCAAAUUUCUUACUCAUCCUAUCAUCCAGAACUUCCUCCUCUCAUUACAUCACAACUUCUCAAUAAUCAAAUGCACAUAUGUCUAAAUAAUUCAAUAUCCCACAUUUACAUGGAUGCAAUCCAAAGAAUUAUUCUACAAAUUAUAAUUGAAGUACAUUACAUAAUUCAAAGAUUUACAAAUAAGGACCAUUAACGAAAUUAUAAUCGAAAUAAGUAUAUAAUUAAAGAAGAAAUUCAUAAUUAAGAUUAUACUACACAAAAGAGCUUUCGAUAAACUGUUGACACAUUAUAUUACAUAACAAAAUGAUAAAUUCAUUCAUUACAAAAAGAUACCCAACAAAAUAUAAGAAAAUUAAUCUAUUGUUCAGCCCGAUAAGGGGAUGUACCUGAAAAUUGAUUUAAUACAAAAAUUUAAUUAGACAGAUGAAAAAAAGAUAUCCUGCUUUCUUUCUUUCUUCCUUUUUUUUUUAAAAAAAAAUUAGUCAAAAGAUCAUUAAAUUAACUUGCUCAUGUAGUAUUAUAUAUAUAUAUAUAUAUAUAUAUAUAUAUAUAUAUAUAUAUAUAUAUAUAUCAAUUAAAUUUCAGAAUAAUCUAUGAGUUUGAGUUUGUUUUCUUUUUCUUUUUUAAUAUCAACCAAAAAUAUAAUUAUUCAUAUCACUCAAUUAACCCGACAUUACUUUCACUAAUAGAUGAUUAAUUUUCCACCAGUCUAUUCAACAAACACUAUUGUCAUCAAUCCAAAAAUUAGUUUAACGUUUCAUCCAUUCAUCAGGUACAAAUCCCAUUAACUAGGAAAAUUAAUUCUUCAUCUUGCCUAUUUGCCAGGGCACUAAUUCCAUUAAAUCAGGAAUUAGUUCAACGAUUUACCCAUUCACUAGGGUACUAAUCCCAUUAACCAAAGACUUAAUUCCUCAUCAUGCCCAUUCACCGGGACAUUAAUCCCAUUAAUUCAGGAAUUAGUUCAACGAUUUGUCUAUUCACCAGGGUUCUAAUCCCAUUAACUAGAGAAUUAAUUCCUUAUCACGCCCAUUCACCAAGGCAUUAAUCCCAUUAGUUCAAGAAUUAAUUCAUCACAUCGCAUAUCUUAUUUUCUAAAGUAAACAAUAUAAUAAUUUCAUAUUUAUCAACCAUAAUUAAUCAAAUAAAAAUACAUAUUGACCAAUAAUAAAUUCAGGUACCGUGUAAUUACCUGAUGACUAAGCUCGAGCUGAAAUUUCCUGCUGUGGUGUCGGCCUGGCAGCCUCUCUUGAAUUGACAAGUAUAUCAUAUCAUUAUUCUACUUUCCAUAUUGAAACACUCAAUAAAUAAAAUCAUUCCAAUUAUCCUUUUAUUUGCCAAAAUAAAAUCAUUUUGUAAAUUUCCUUCCUAUUCUUUCAAUUUCCACAUUGUAACACAAUUCAUUUCAUCAUUCAAAUCAAUAUAUAUAUUCUUUAAAUUUAUUUAUUUAAUUUUUACCGUAAUUUAAAUCAAAGAAAAACAUAAAAAAAUUUCAUGAUCUAUUCACUCUUUAACAUUAAUAUCAUCUCUUUCUUACACAAUCUCAUCAUCUUAUCAAAACUCUUAAAUUUUUAUUUUUCUUAUUAUUAUUUUUCCAAAAAUCCCUUCUUCAAGAACACCUAAAAUUUUGCUUUAAUUACCAUAAUUUCUUACCUUCCCUACUCACUUCAAUAAUCUUAACACAAUUUCACAAUCAAUUGUAAUUUUCUCUAAAAUAUAUCAUGAACCCUAAUUCCUCAUUUCACAAAGUUCAAUCAAUUUAAAGCAUAAAUUCUUCGAGAAUCUUAUUUAAAAGUGUGAGGACAUCUUACCAAGCAAUAACCAAAGCUUUAACACUUUUAAAUUGAGAAAUUUUCCUUGCUUGAAUUUGUUUUUCCUCUCCUGGCCGAAUGCUUAAAAAGCAAGUUUUUUUUUUUGUUUCCUUAUAGCACACUCACUUGCACUCAUAUAUAUAUAUAUAUAACUCUUUUUUUAAAUACCUUCCACAUCCCUCAAUUUUUUCUUUCCCCCUACACAUAUAUAAUUACUUAACUUUUUAAAAAUACCUUUUAUAUUCCUUAAUAGUAAAUUUUAUGAUUUUUGGGUAAAAUUUCUUGAAUCCUAAUGCCUGUUUAUACCAAAUUUUAUCCAGGUUAUUUCAAAUUUCACUCAGUUACUCGUUAGUAUUUUCAGUUUCAUGAAAUUCAUUUCCAUAAAAAUUUUAUUCAUAUUUUCAUGUUUAUUUAUUUAUAUUUAUUUUUUAUAUAUAUUUUAACACCCGAACAAAACAUUUCAAUUCAGAUUCUCGAAUAUAUCAUCAUUCUUAUAAUUUAAUUUAUCACUUUUCCUCAUUUUUCGUAAUCUUGACUUUUAUUAAUAUCAAUAAUAUUACCCGGGGUUUUACAAUCUCAGUUGGCACUGAUUUUUGCCAUAAAAAAUGGUUGAUUUUAAUGAUUUUUUUUAAUAUCUAUAUGUUUUUUUUAUAUUUUAUAUGAAUAAACUUUAUUUUCAUGAUGUGUUUAUAAAAAUAAGAAUUAUUUGUUCUUGGUAAGAAAAAGUGACCUUUAAGAUUAAAAAGAAGGAGAAAAGUGACCUUUAAGAUUAAAAGUAUCUGCUCGAAAAAACCAUUCAACAUAAGAUUGCUCUGCUAGGAAAACAUGAUAUCAGUAUCAAACUUUUGAACAAAGAGUUCAGCAUCAAGUCUCAGUCAUCUUGAGAUUUGAAUGCCCAAACAUAUUCAGAUGCUCAUAAAAUAACAUUUUUAAUAAUGCAUUAUGCAAUAGAAACAGAACAUCAAACAAAGAGUUCAGCAUCUUACGCAUGAAAGUCCACACAUUAAACCAAAAGAAACACAAAUGGCCAAGCAAACAUACGCCCUUACUUCUGGAGGCUUGUACGAUAAUGGGCAAGCAACAUUAUUUUUUUGACUAUUAAGCAUCACCAUCACCAUCACCAUCACCAUCACCAUCUUCCUCUUCCUCUACUUCUUCUUCUGUCCACCCAUUAUCUCGGGUCCACUCUCUAUUAAUGCUUGAAUCUUCAGCUACUUCAGAUACCUGUAAACCAAUCAAGAAAAGAGAAAUUCAUAAAAAAAUUACAAAGAAAAGAGAAAAUUAGCGAAAGCCAUUCAACAUAAGAUUGCUCUGCUAGGGAAACAUGAUAUCAGUAUCAAACUUUUGAACAAAGAGUUCAGCAUCAAGUCUCAGUCAUCUGGAGAUUUGAAUGCCCAAAUAUAUUCACAUGCUCAUACAAUAACAUUUUUAAAAAUGCAUUAUGCAUUAGAAACAGAACAUCAAACUGCAGAGAAAACAUGCUGAUGCAGAAAAUACUCAAGUCGUAGAAAGGAGAAUGCAUGAAAGUCCACACAUUAAACAUUAUGCCUUUCUUUUUGAAGGUUCACACACUUCAAAAGAAACACAAAUGGGCAAGCAAUAUACGCCCUUACUUCUGGAGGCUUGUAAGAUAAUAAUGGGCAAGCAACAUUAUUUUUUUGAGGUUCGCACAGUAAUGACUAAAUACACAACAUUACAUUACUCCUGUGCUGUCAACAAUUCUUCUAACUUCUUCAGCAAACACAUAGAUAGAUAAGUCGAAAUCUUCUAUGGUAAAUAAGACUGUCACAAUGUGAAGCCAAUUUGUAUCCCGUUGCCAAUGGAACAGGAGGAAUUAUUUCCCACCAAUCUAAAACAUAUUCGCAGCACCAACCUUGAAAUCAUGUAAGAGCUAACCACCAUUCAACAUGAGAUUGUUCUGCUAGGAAAACAUGAUAUCAAACUUUUGAACAAAUAGUACACCAUCAAGUCCAAAUAUAUUCACAGCUCAAAGACAUGAGUCUCCAUCUUCUUUCCACCCCAUAUUUCUGGUCCACUCUCUAUUAAUGCUUGAAUCUUCAGCUACUUCAGGUACCUGUAAACCAAUUCAAGCAUGGCAUGCUCAUUUAACUUGUAAAUCUUAUUAUUGAGAGAAACAAGAAACAAACACACUAAAAGAGAGGCAAGAAAUCAAGUCAAAUCAGCAGCACCUCUGAUUGAGCAUUCAUUGAACCAUCUGGUGUAGUAGCAAAUUUUGUGGUCAGCUUUGGACAUUGAUGGACCUUCAACUUCUCCAAACGAGGGAAUAAGAAAUAAUCACACCAUCUGAAACUAAAACAGACAAUACUUGAUAAUUGUUCUAGCGACAACUCCUUUAGAUUAGGAAGCACUAUCUCCUUCUCAACGUUGAUAGGUGAAGCUUGACCAUCCUGCCCAGGAGACUCUGGAAUUAUUUCCCUUUCACCAUCCUCUUCUCUGAUAAUAUGCUUCAAUUGACCGCAUUUACUUAUGUAAAGUCUUUGUAGCUUUGGCAGACUUCGAGCGAGGGACGGUGUGAAGAUAAAUGUCAGUUUGUUGAGAGACUCCAAAUUCAGACGAUUAAGACUUUGGAGGCUGACAUGUCUAGAUGGCCCCUUCCAUAUACANNNNNNNNNNNNNNNNNNNNNNNNNNNNNNNNNNNNNNNNNNNNNNNNNNNNNNNNNNNNNNNNNNNNNNNNNNNNNNNNNNNNNNNNNNNNNNNNNNNNAAUACCUCUUCCAAUGAUUUACAGCUGUCAACAAUCACCUCCUUUAGAUUGUUCAAAGCUCGGAGCAAUUUUGCUGGAAACGGAGUGCGAACAUCCCCACAAUCGUCUACUCGUACAAAUUUUAAUCUUUGUAAGAAGCCGUUUUGCUGCCCAUGGACGGCCAUCUUAUCAGAGAACAAUAUUAUAUUUUUUCACUCUCAUAAAAACAAUUUAUAUGAUGUAUAAAUAGGAGAAAAAAAUAGAAAAAACAGGAUUAAAUACUUUUUUUUUGUCUUAAUUAGAGAUAAGUUGAAUAAUAAUUAGAUUUUUGCGAAAAAAGGUUAAUACAACUCCUAAUAAUUAGUUUCAUGUAAAAAAUAAAAAUAAAAAUAGUAGCUAAAAUUUUUAUUUUAGUUAUAAAGUUAAUAAAUUUUUAAAGAUAUUUUAAUUGAAUUAAAUAUUUGAACACAAAAGUUAUAUAUUAAAUCUAACAGAUAUUAUGAUUUCUAUGAUUAAUUUUUGGUAUUAAUAACGCAAACAACAAUGAGGCAGUUAAUUUUCUUAUAUUUAUAUAUGUUUAGAUAAAAAAACAAAUCAUAAAAAAAAAAAAUAAGCUACUAUGUUUGUUAUAUAAUUAAAAAAAAAAUUCAAACUUGGAUUUCCUAGCAUUUAUCAAUUACUUUACUUUUAGAAAUUGGGAGGAAGAAAGAAUAAAUUAUCGCAAUUGACAAUUUAAAUUAGUGGAGAAAUAUAAAUUACGUACUUGUAGCUGUGCCAACCAAUUACCCACUUCUUCGUGGCCUUCAAUGGUUAAGUCUAUGAUGCCAUCUCUGUUAUGAGACAAAGAGACUGGGAAGACAUAUUCCAGUUUACCACAGUGAGAUAUGCGGAGAGUUUUUAAUUUUGGGAAGCGAGGAGACUCUGGAAUUAUUUCCCUUUCACCAUCCUCUUCUCUGAUAAUAUGCUUCAAUUCACCACAAUCACUUACCUGAAGUCUUUUUAGCUGUGGUAGACUUUGAAGAGUUAGAGACACGGAGACAGGGAAGACAUAUUCCAGUUUACCACAGCCUUCUAUGAUGAUAGUUUUUAAUUUUGGGAAGCAAGGAGACUCUGGAAUUAUUUCCCUUUCACCAUCCUCUUCUCUGAUAAUAUGCUUCAAUUCACCGGAUUCACUUAUGCAAAGGGUUUCUAGCUUUGGCAGACUUUGAGCAAGGGACGGUGUGAAGAUAAAUGUCAUUUUGUCGAGAGAAUCCAAAUGCAGAUGAGCAAGACUGUGGAGGCUGACAUGUCUGGUGGGCCCCUUCCAUAUGCAUUUGAGCUCAGGUAACCGGUACAGCUUUAACUCUGUUAAAGAUGACAGCAACGGCAGCUCCUUCUCCUCACCCAAUUCAAAUACCUCUUCCACUGAUUUGCAGUCCUCAAUUUCCACCCUCCUUAGAUUUUUUAAACCUUGCUGCAAUCUUGCUGGAAACAGAGUGAAAACAUCCCCACAAUCCCUCACUUCUACAAAUUCUAAUUUAUGUAAAAACAAUUGCUCAAAUGUCUUCGCAUUUAAGGAUGUACCACCCAAAAUUAAUCUUGUGGAGGUUGGGUAUCCAUUAGAAUAAUAUUUAGUAGUAUUCCCUAACAUUAAAUCAUAUUUGAGCAAGCUGGGAAAAACAAAAUCUCUGGGAAUGCAUUCAACCUUCGGUAUCCUCAAUGAUAAUACGGCUAACUGAGACAACGAAUUUAGUUCUGUUAGGCUUGCAUUCAUUCCUCCUGUGCUGUCACAUCCAACAUCAUCCCAUCCCUUAAAGCUGUCUUUCCCGAUCAACAAUUCUUCUAACUUCUUCAACCUUCAAAUCAAAUUCACAGGGAUCCUUCUUAGACUUCGACAACCUGUCACAUCCAACAACCUUAACUCCUUGAGCUCUCCUAUUUCAUCAGGUAAUUCUUCAAUGGAUAAGCACAUUAUAAAAACAAGAAUCUUAAGUCUCUGCAGCUUUCUCAACCAAAUGAGGUCCUUGCAUCCACACCUGAUCAACACCAACGAUUGAAGUUUCGUUAAGAGUUCAAGUGAUUGCAAUGACAAACACUCUCCCUCCAGAGACAAAACUUCAAUUUCUUUCAUCCCUUCAAAAAACCUCUGAGGAACAUUCAUACCAUCAUCCAGUUCUAAUAAUAGAACUUUGAGCCGUGGACAUACCAAUCCUUCAGGAAGUUCGGUUAGUUUAUUGCCCAUUAACGAAAUUGUUGUACAAGCUUCAAAGCUUUUGAUACUCAUUGGCCAUUCCUUCAACCCAAUGCCAGCCUUUACCAUGAAUCCAUAUUCUUCUGAUGAUGCUAUCUGAAUAGCAAAGUCACGAACCAAGUCAUGCAUUCUCACAUGUUCUUCAGUUUCAGUGCCCAACAGCAUGCAACAAUCUUUGAGGUUUUCGAUUGCCACGGAAACUCGUUUCCUUGCAUCUUCAAUGGGCUCCGUAUCUUGAUGUAACCCACAGCCAACUGCAUAUCUCGUCAAGUCCUCGAUUGGAAUGUCAUAAUCUUCUGGAAAUAAACAGCAUAGCACGAAACAUGACUUGGUUUCCUCGUACUUCAAAUAAUCAUAGCUCAACUUAAGACAUGUGUAAGCAUUAUUUUGUUCGUCAAUUUGUUCCAUGCGCACAAAUUGAGAUUCUUUGAGCUGUUUAGACGCUACUUCCCACUGAACUCGUGAUUUACCUCUUAGAGCCCUUCCCACUGUCACAAGUGCUAUAGGCAAGCCUUGGCAUUCUCUCGCAACCUCCCUUGCCACUGUGUUCAAGGUAGAGUCCCCAUCACGUAAACCUGCAUUGAUUCUGAAUAAAUCCCAUGCUUCAUCUUCAGGUAAGACUCUUAAAAGCACUUUUUGCUGGCACUCCAUAGAAAAACAUAUGCCUUGAACACGAGUUGUUAGAAGAAUUUUACAACCCCUGUGAUCAUCACCAAAUGGGAUCCCUAUCUCUUUCAAGUCAAUAUGUUUCCAAACAUCAUCUAGGAUUAUAAGCAUCUUCUUUCCCUGCAGUCUCUGCCAUAAUUCACUUGCUCUACCUUCUUUACUCGUUUUUUCAAAUUUCAGAUGUAAACUAUCUGCCAUUCGAUCCUGGAUGCCUAUGACAUUUGGAUUCUGGGACACCGUAGCCAUCAAAACUUCAGGAAAAAGCUGCGACUCUUUGGCUCUCCUGCCUACUUCUUUCACCAGGGUUGUUUUACCCACCCCUCCCAUGCCGUACAGUCCGAUCAUAUUGACGUUGUCAUCUUUGAGAGCUUUCAUGAUCUGUUCCAAAGCUUCUUUUGACGAUUCUGAGGGUGUGAAUUCCUUUGAUGUUAGAAAUUCUAUGGGCUGAGGAGGAGCUUUUUGGGCCACUGUUUUAAACUUUUCGCUACUUUCUCCAAGUUUUCUGAAAGUCUUCGACUUCUUGGCCAGUGCCUUGCUUAACUUGAAUUGUCGCAUNNNNNNNNNNNNNNNNNNNNNNNNNNNNNNNNNNNNNNNNNNNNNNNNNNNNNNNNNNNNNNNNNNNNNNNNNNNNNNNNNNNNNNNNNNNNNNNNNNNNNNNNNNNNNNNNNNNNNNNNNNNNNNNNNNNNNNNNNNNNNNNNNNNNNNNNNNNNNNNNNNNNNNUUUGCCGAAACCAGGUUCUCCUUUCGUUCUUUGAAUUCUUCAACAAAAUUGUAGAAACAGAACAUGCAACGGAACAGCCUUCCUACUGGUUCCACCAUGAGUUCUGCUAGCAUAGCUAUAAUGGAUCCACCAGCACUUUCGAGAGCCAUUUUCCACAGGUCUGAAAAUCAAAGAAAUAAGGAUACAGAACGUGAGAGUGAGUCACUACAAGUAAAAGAGGCUUAAAGAGAAUGGGAAUAGGAAUUUCAUUACCUUAAUUUGGGAAAAUAUGUGCGAAAAGCACUGGUAUUGAGUGUUCAAUGAAAUAGCGGGAGGAAGAAGAGGAGAAGGCCUUUAGCUCUGUAUGGAAUCCAGCUUCAAAAGCAACAAGGCAAGGUACAAGUAUAACAAUAAAAUAGUUUACAUGGAUUCUAACGGACUCUUGUGAGUUAAAGCAUUAGUUCCCUUUAAAAAUGCAUUUUGAUGACAUAAUUAAGAUAAUAUAGAGACAGUGACAAACAAAUAAAAAAAUGUGUAAAAGAACUCACCUAGCAAAGAAAGAAACGAAUGAAAGGUUCAGGAUAAUCACUUAGACGCCUCCAUGGAUGAUACCAGCUCGCUUCCAACAACAAAUAUAAUUAACCUAAGCUAUGAUCGGUCAAAGUUUUUUUUAGUUUUCUUUUUUUUUUUAAAAAAAAAAAGAUCAACAAGAGAAAAUUAAGACUUGCAGGAACGAACUCAACAAAGAAUGAAACUAAAAGAACCAUGUUUUUUAUGAUGAUCAUCUCCGUGUCACCCACUUGGGUAAUAUGAUUGACCCGAGUGUGUGACAUCCAGAGUGCGGUUACUUUUUUCAUCCCUCUUUUUUGGUUUUAUUUUAUUUCAGUUCUUCAAGUCUUUUUCUUUUGCUAUUUCAUCGAGUUGCUUUGCUCUUGAGUUGUUGUGCUUGCCCUCAAGUAUGCAUUAUGCUAGGAAUUAUAAUUACAUAUUAUAAUUACAAAUUUCAGUUUUUUAAAAAACAAAAAAAAUAUGAGAAAGGACCAAUAUUACAAUGUGAGCAAAUGAAAGGAGAAUUUUAAAUUUUCUUGUGACAUGGUGACCAAGUAAUCCAAGGAACCAAUAGAUUAUCGCCACUUGUUCAACCUUAUCUGCACAUUAAGAUAGGGGUAGAAAGUAGGAAAGAAAAAUCAUAAUCCUAGAUUUUAUUGUGACAUGGAGAUAAAGGUAAUCUCAAAAGCUAAUAGAUGGUCCUUUAUCUACCCUUAGGAAAAGAUAGAAAGUAGGAGAGAAAAGUCAUAAUCUUAGAUUUUAUUGUGAUAUGGAGAGUUUCUCUCAACUCAUUUUUAGACCUCAACUGAUGAAGAUGGUGUGUAUUUUUUUUUAAAUCAAGUGCAUGUGUUUGUUGAAAAAUUGAUAAAAAUAAAGGAGAAAGAAAUAUUUUUUUCGAACCCUGUUUGAGGUGUUUUCUACUCUUUAUAUCCUCCUCCUUUGAUGCCAAAAGCAUCAGGUUUCUUAGGCUAAUAAGGAGUCUUCAUAUAAAUCCCUCAUAAUUUGCAUUUGUUUUUUUAAAAAACUGAUUAUGCUGCUGUCGUAAUUUUUUAUUCCAACUUAGGCUCUAAUUCUGACUUGGUUUCGUAUGAUAUUUGACCAUCCUACCUAUUUUUAUCACUCAUGACAUGUUGAAGAAUUGACCUAUACCUUUAUUGGGUCCUAGGGGUCAUUGUUCUUAGGGUAGACUCUCAGUCAGAUUUGGAUGCUUGGCAUUGUCAGAUCAAGAAAACCUUUUUGACCAACCAGAUUCCUGUCAGAUUCUGUUAUCUAAAACGAUUUUAUCUCACUUCAAAUCCUUCAUCAAAGUUGUAGUCUGGGACAAGUAGAUGAAUUUGAGCUUUUGAAUUGCUUGAUUUGAAGAUAUUCCUGUUUGAAAUCUAGCAUGAAAGCAUAAAAUCCUGCCGCGAGAAGGUUUCCAGUCGAGUUUGGUUGCAAUUCUGUUAUUCAAAAGGAAUUUAUCUCAUUUUUAUCUUUCAUGAAAGUUGUAGCUCUACAAGUGUAGAUGAAUUUGGGACUUUUCAAUCGCUUGAUUUUGAUAUCAAAAGCUCAUAAUAUUCUCGUUUGAAUAUCUAACGUGAAAGCAGAGAAUUCUGUCGCGAGAAGGAUCUUGACCCGAGUUUUGCACUAAAGACUCUAUUUCCAUCACAAAAAUUAUUGAUUUGUUCUUAGGUCAUACUCUCAGUCAUAUCGCGAUGCUCGACGUUGUCAGUUUCUGAAUUAGAUCAGGAGACCCUUUUUGACCAACCAGAUUACUGCCAGAUUCUGUUCUCUAAAACAAUUUUAUCUCACUUCGAAUCCUUCAUCAAAGUUGUAGUCCUGGACGUGUAGAUGAAUUUGGGCUUUUGAAUCGCUUCAUUUCAAUAUCAAAAGCUCAAGAUAUUCUCAUUUGAAUAUCUAAUGUGAAAGUAGAGAAUCCUGCCGCGAAAAGGGUUUAUCCCAAGUUCGCAGGUCUUAUUUGAAGGAUUUUUUUGGACCAAGGACUAAAUUGAAAAGUGCUAAAAUGAGGGAUUUAAUUGAAGAAGGAUAUUGGAAGCUGGAGAGGGGGGCUGGAUCAUCAUAAAUGACGGGAUUUCUACCACACCGAAUAAGGAAAAUAAGACUUUGCAGCAUGCACCGUUACCCAUCUGAUUUCUUUUCUUUUUCUUUGCAAAUUUCUUGCUGGUUUCCACGUUUCUCUUGCUGGAUUGGAGAGCUCCAGGCCAUGUUUUUAUUGCCUCAUUUCAAAGGAAACAGCUGGUGUCUCAUGAUCCCAGAUUUGGAAGGAAAGAAAGGAGUCGCACUAUCCUCUAAAAUACUGGAAAGAAAUCAGAUAUGAUCACAGAAUCAGAAUCAAAAUAUUUUGGUUUCCUAUUUCUACUCACCCGAGAUUACACCCUAGAGUUAAUGUAAUAUUUGUUUUCUAAAUAGAGCUGCGUUUUAGGUUAUAAGCCUCCUCUACUGGGAGAAGAAAGGGAUGAAAAAAAAGAAGGGAAGCAGGACAGAAAAGAGGGAGAACAGGAGAGGAGAAAAGGGGCCAAAUCUAAACCCUCUCUAGAGGAGCGCCACCCCCCCCCCCCACUGGCUUCUGUUUUGGCUCCCAGAACAGGCCACAACGCAGAAAAGGGGGGGGGGAGGCCUUUUCUUUCAUCCUUUGGUUACUGUGAAGACUUUACUGAACGGGGAAAGAAAAGAAAAGGAAAGGAGGAGCAGAGGAAAAAACAAGAAAAGAAAGACAAGAAAAAACAUAAGAGAGGCAGGGAGUAGGAGAGAAAAAAACAGAGAACGAGGGAGUUUCUUUCCUUCAUCCUUGCGUUGUUGGGAGAUCAGGAAGGCAAGCAGUAUAAGAGAAGAAGGAGAAGAAAAAGCAAGAAAAACGAGAAAAGAAAGAGAAACCAUAAACAAGCAGAGACUGCCUUUUCGGUCUUGCUUUCAUUUUUCUGCAUAUAACAUCUGCAGAACAGGGAAGGAGAAAGUGCAGGAACCAGGGAGAGAGGGUGACGAAGACGCAGAGAAAAGAAAAAAUCAGAAAACAGACGCAAAUAUAGAACAAGAGGAAAAGGUUUGAAACAGAUGAAACAGACCGAUCAACCAUCACGCUUUCAACGUCAAGGCAGCUUCUUCGCUUCCGUUCCUAGGUCUGUUCUCUUCACCUCUCGCACCAUGCAUUUUUUUGCUUUGUGUUUGCAUUGUUCAAGUGAAUUUUAACUCACUUGAAUAGUAACGUGGUCUCUUUGCAUGCAUUUUACUUUGUUCAUUGAGAGGAUUGCGCCCUUUUUUUUGUGUCCAGCCGGGUCACUUGCAGCCAGACCUACUAUUUUUUUCUUUUAAAAAAAUAAAAGAAAGAGAAAGAGAUUUAUGAUUUUCUGGCAUAUUUAUUUAAGGUCUGAAUUUUUUUUAUGUUGUAAAAAAUAUCAAUCUCGUAUUUAGAAUACCCGGUUUUCGACGCAAUGUGACAAAUAUACAUAUAUAUCAAAAAUGUUUUCUUGUGUGUUGCAUACGGCCAAUACCCUAACAUGUUUUGAACGUUCUUUUUUAUACAAAAAAUAUUGGAAGUUUCAAAAAUGUGUCGCAUGGAUUUCUUAAACACAACAAAAAUUAUUUUCUUGCAUUUCUGGAUUUUACAACAUGUUUGUAAAACUCCAAAGGGUAUUGGCCAAUAUUCCAAAAAAAUAAAAAAUCUUAUUUUGGAGGGAAUUAAUCUAUUGUUCACCAUUAAUGUUUGGAUAAAGAAAUCUCAAAGGGAUGAAUAUCCAAAAUAUUAUUGGAAAUAACUUGUUAUUAUUCACUGUUAAUAUUUGGAUAAAGAAAUCUUAAGUGGAAAAUAUCCAAAAUAAUUUUCUAGAAAGAAUAAGUCAUCACACAUCCUUGAAAAAAGCCUUGAUUAUAAUCGAGGACAUUUUAAUUUUUUACUCCACGGUUUAUGAGCCGUGAGAGUUUAAAACACUAAGGCAAAAAUAAGCUUUUAAAGCGCCCUAAAUUUCUAAAUUUUUGUCCCUCCUCCUUGCGAUUUACGAGUUGCAAACUCUUAAAAUACUAAGGGAAAAUGAGCUUUUAAAGCACAUGGAAUCUCCUUGGAUUUCUAUCUUAAUAAAUUUAGUUGAAUCAAACCUAGAAAAACUGAUGGGAUUAGAAAAACACCAACACCAUAGCAAUUAUAAAGCAAACCAAACACCAAGCAGCUUACCUUAGGUAGGGCGUACUAGGGGUGUUAAUACCUUCCCUUUACGCAACCAGUCUCUUGCCUUAGAAUCUCUAAAAGACCAGUUAGGGUUCCUAGUGACUAAAAUAUUAGGUGGCGACUCUUUUUUCCACACAAAAAAAACCGAAAUCAAUCAAGGGUCGUCGCAAUGGUGUGACAAACAUCAUCAUUACCCAUCAACAUAACUCCUCCAUCGAACUCUUUAAGUCUUGAGAACAAGUGUUUGUUGUGGCACAUGUGAUAGGAAAAUCUAAAAUUAAAAACCCAUUCACUGGAAUGGUUUUAUGGUGAUGAGACCAUGAAUGAAGAGUCUUGUUCAUCUUCAUCUCAUGCAAUAUUCAUAGUUGGUUCAUCCUUUUUUGUUGUCCUUGUUGCUUUUAUUUGGACAAUCUUUCUUCUAGUGUCCUUCUAUCUUAAAUAAAUAGCAGACAUGCUUGGGUCCUCUUUUUUUUCCCUUUGUGAGUGUACAACGCACAGUGGUAGGCAACCUAUAUUUCUUUUAUUAUUAAGCAAACAAUAAUUCACCUAAUGGUUGGAUCAUCUAAAACUUGCUAUUAUAACGAUAGCUGGAAAAAUAUAGGGUUGGUAUAAUAAUUUAAUUUUUAAUUCAUUGACAUCUAAAAAUACUAUAAAUUUUUUUUAUAAACCACUUACCAGCUCCAAAACAUCCUUAAACCAUUCAAAAGACAAAAAAAAAAAAAACUAAAUCAAAAAAAUCUAAAAGAACUUGAAUCUAUUUUUUUCAGGUAAGAUGAAUGACAGAGAACACUUAAAUGUAACUUUUCUCCUCGAAAGAAACCCGUUUAUACAAAGAAUGAUUUUUUCAUGGUCAUAAUCUUGGCAAUCAAAAACUUUUUUAUUUUAUCAUCAUUUUUCAAUGUUUCUCUUUCUCUCAUCUCUCAAACCAGAGAUCAAGAUUAACAUCCAAUCCCCAAAUUAGAAGGGAUCAAAAUGUAACUUUGACAAAACCAAAACAUAAAAUUUAACAAAAAAACCUAGACUCUUUUAUUCUUCUUCCAUUUGGUUUCUUAACUUUUAAUUUUGUAAAAAUAAUAAAAUCACAUAAAUUUCAAUAAAAUUAAAAAUCAAUUUAAUGACAAGAAGUUUUGUCAAGAAUAUAAUAGUCUCGUGAAAAAGCAAGAAAGAACAAAUUAUAAAGAUUGAUUCCAAUGAACACAAUGUGAAACAAUUAAAUAAAACAUUGAAGAGCAUUCAAAAAGAAAACAUUGUUUAGCCCAAUUCACAAAUUCCACUAAAGAUUCCACCUUUCUCACCUUUGAUUUCUGUGUCGCCGGUCUCCGUCUUAUUUGGUUUUGGUAUCUGUCAUUGUUUUUUUUUUUUUUUUUUUUUUGGGGGGGGGGGGGGGGGGGGGGGGGAAAAAAAUUUUUAGCGGGGGAAAAAGAAAAAUAUUUGCCGCCUAUUACUUUGUAAUAAAUAAAUUAAUUCUCAAAAAAUAGUAAAUUAAACUUGCCUUCAAUUAGGAUUUGUGUUCUUCAAUUUUGAACCUUUUCUUUUAAUCCCACAAGUAGUAUUUUGCUAUUUAGUUUACUACUACAUUAUAUUUAUAUUUAGUUUCAAGUUUUUCUUAAAAAAAUCUUAAUAUAUUUUUGUGUUCUUUUCUAUAUUCUACUUUUUACAACUUUUUCUUUAAAAAAACAUUAUUUUCUACUUUUUUAAGUUUUUCUUUAAAAAAUAAUAUUUUUUUAUCAAAUCUUAAACAAUUCAUUCAUAUUUGAAUUCAUAUAUUUAUAAGAAUUUAAUUUUUGUAAUUGAUUUUUAAAUCUCAUUCCAAAUUUAUAGUGUAAAGAUUAAACUGAAUUGGUUAGGUUGAUAAACUAGCACGAAAUCCAGAAAUGGAUAAUGCUCGUAAGCCCAACACAAAGCAAUACCCAAUGGAGUCCAGCUAAAGAAGUAGAAAGGGCCGAAGGGAAUCUUUUUAUUAGGAAGCUGCUACAUUUUCAAACAAGAAGUAGAACCCUUCGGUUAUAGUCGUCAAGAAACAGAAUAACAACAAUGGACGAAGUUCAAGAAAGAGAGAAAAAAGACGAAUUCGAUGCAUCAGAGAUUGAAUACGUUAGCUAUGGUGGUGAGCAUCACCUACCAUUAAUCAUGAAUCUUGUCGAUCAAGAACUUAGUGAGCCUUACUCCAUCUUCACCUACCGUUACUUUGUUUAUCUUUGGCCACAACUUUCUUUCUUGGUAAGUGUGAUUCUUUUCUUCUUUUAUGUUGUUGGGAUUUUUUUUUUGGUGUUGUAACUGUGUUUUUGUUGGUGGGUUUUCAAUUUCAGGCCUUUCACAAAGGCAAAUGUGUAGGGACUGUUGUAUGUAAGAUGGGGGAUCAUCGGAAUUCAACUUUUAGAGGUUACAUUGCUAUGUUAGUUGUCAUCAAACCUUAUCGAGGAAGAGGCAUUGGUAAUGGCUUCUUCUUUUUUUCAUAUUGGGAUUUUGUGCACAGUUUUAGGUUGUGUUGGAUUAUAUAUGUGAAUCCUGGAUUGGUUUUUAAUGUACUAUAGAUCUAUUGGAAACAAGAAAGGAAAGGGGGUGAGGGUUUUCAAGAAAUUGGACGUGCAUUGAUAACAUUAAUGGUAGAAAUAUGGAUGUUUGGAAUGAUUAUGUGUAUAAUAAACUGGCUGCAUUUGAUUUGAACUCAAGGUCCAUUCUUUGUUUUCCUACACUUGGGAUGGCAUUUACAAAGGAUUGGAUGUGGGCUUUGAUAGUUUUUAGGCUUUGUGUUGAUAUAUCAUGUUUUUCUUGUUAAUUGUGUUGUGUAUGGGUACGUUGUAAUUUCCAGUGAAAUUCUCUCCAGACUGCAGCUACUGAACUUGUUACCAGAUCUAUUCAAGUGAUGAUGGAAUCGGGAUGUGAAGAGGUUUGUCGAGUUUUAGUUGUUGUACCUUUUGGUUUGUACUCAUCUAAAUGGAGCAUUAUUCAUACAACUAUAUCACAAAGGAAGUACGGAUUUUUUAUCCUCAAGCUUUAGUUGUACUUUCCAUGGUACCAAAUGAGCAUAUAGGAGAGUAGAAAUAACUACAUUUCCUAAGCAUUACCACCAAACGUUGGAGCUCUGUUUGGGGCUUGAAACAGCAUGGGAAACAAAGGAGAAUUAUGAAACUGCUUAAGUGGUUACCUUCACUGCCAAUUAUAGGAGAGUUGAAAUAGUUUUCCUUUCUACUCCAUUGUGCUCUUUGAUCUCAAACCAAAGAGAAAAAUAAGCUUUCCUCUCGAGUUUGACUGGCACCUUGGCAUGUGUGUAAAUGGUGAUGCCGUAUCUUUUAUUCACACCUCCAAAAACCUUUUCUUCUGAAAUUUCUUGGUGUUUGUGCAUUACUCUGUAGUAACACCAUGUCUCUUAGACACUUCAUGCUUCAUGUGUUAUUUCAAUUCUAUCUCUCCUCUUAGUUACCUCAUGCUGCAUGUGUUAUUUCAAUUCCAUCUCUCCUCUUGCUUUAAUCUUUAUUAGGGUUAAGUGAGCCAGUCCUUGGAGGUAUCCCUGCACAUGGAUAGUAGUCCAUGCAAACAAUGAAUUAUGUUGUUAAUGUGCUGCCAGUUUAUGCUCCCUGCUAGAAGUCCAAAAUAUUACAUGUCAUGUGUGAUGAUUUUGACUUGCAUUGACUGAUUGCACCUACGUGACCAAUUUAGGACUUGCAGCUGAUAUAUUGAUAUGGUUAAAUUGAACUGUCCCAGAAAUUUUCAUUUCAUUAUCUCGAGGUUGAAAUUGUGAGAAAAAAAAAUUAAAAGAAUGAUUCCAUGGAAAAAAAAAAAAAAAAAAACGAGAUCAAUGGAAAUUUACUGCUGAGAAAGGAAUAUGGUUUCAUUCAAUGUAAACGCAACUCCAUGCUUUGCUGCAGUAUCAUAGUUCUGAACGAACUUAAAUAUUGUCCCAAGAAGCCAAUAAUUUGUGAGGCCUUGGCUUUGCUGAUAUUCCUUGUGUUUUUGAAUGAUGCGUUAAUUCUAUUUCUAGUUAUUUCACCUUGAUGCAUGAAUUUGCUCUCAUUUCUCAUAUCAGGCAAAGAACAUAGAAUGAAAAGGUGGGAGAGAAUAUAGAAUCCGAAUAAACUGCUAUGACUUUAAUGUAGGAUAUCAGAACAGCUCAAAUGAACUGCAUGAUUAUUUGACUGUUUUUCCACCUUAACUGGUGAUAAGUGGUCCACUCUGGAACACAAGCAUGCCACAUUAAAGAAUAUGGUCCAUUAAAUAACUAACUACAUUCCCCCCUAUUUGCUUAUGAUUUAGCAUAUCCCAACUUUAUAUUUAUGUAUUCAAGCAUAUCACUUUCUUAACUACAUUGUUGUUGAUCUUUUAUUGUGUUGUGUUUUUCUCUUUCCUCUUCGAAGGUAACAUUGGAAGCAGAAGUUACAAAUAAAGGAGCACUUGCACUAUAUGGCCGUCUUGGUUUUAUUAGAGCAAAACGACUCUUUCACUAUUACUUGAAUGGAGUUGAUGCCUUUCGUCUGAAGCUGCUAUUCCCCCAACCAGAGUUAUACCCCUCUUUGCCUAUGAUGGCUGAUAGAGACGAUACACACGAGCAUGAUGAUUGCUAGCCAAUGGAUGAGCUUUCUGAGCUCCGAGCUCCACAGAGGCUUGGAACUAGUGGGCUUUCUACCAUUCAUUACACAGUCUCUGCGAGCUACAAGGAUGGUUUGAUAUUUGAUCUUUAGAGAGGCAGCACAGCCUCGUAACCUACACAGGGAUUCGCACAAAUGUGGGUUCUUGGUCAUGUCAUCUUUGUUCACUGAAGUCGAUGUACAUGUUUUAUUGGCCUUGUCUAAUAGAAAUGUAUCAACAUACGAGGCCGAAGCUCACAUACUGUAAUACUUGCACAUUAUAGAUGUGGCAGCUAUGACGAAAACAGCCAAUCUCUCUCUGUUCACUCUCAAAAUAUUUGAUUGAGGCGAAGAUCAAGUCUAAAAGACCAAAAAUGCUUCAGCAAUGGUUUGGUACAAAGGGUAUGAUGGUGACUUGAGACAAUAGUGGGUUACUUACCAUAACAGCCAAUGAAACACAGUCAAACCAAGAAAAUCCCAAAUGUUAAAAUAAUAUCCAUGCGUCUCUCUCUAAUGGCUGCAGGAUAUAUAACAUUUGAUUUGCGUUGUAUGGUAGGUGGGUUGCUCAAUUGAGUCAGCUGCAUGCCUAUUCUAGUCAAAAGGCUUAAGAAAGUAGCAAUACUAUUUUAAAAGUGUUUUGUUGCUACGACUUCUUGGAGGUUGCAGCACCAAUCAAAAUGUUUUUAAAAACCAUAUUCUAAUGUGUAGUUGUGUUAAUUUACAAGCACCCGCAUUGUUAAUUUGUUUGAAUUUGGUGUGUUGAAGAAAUGUCUUCAAUUUGUUAAUAUUCUCCCAAGUUUAUAUGCUCUCUAUCAUUUUAAUAACCAGAAUUAUUUUGAUAAUUAAGCAACCAAGCAUUUACGAUAUGAUGAUAUGAGUCAAUGAACACUGCACCUCUUCAGUUAAGUUGAUCUAAUUGGCAUUGUCUAAUAGAAAUGCGUCAACAUAUUAGACCUAAUACAUGUAACAUAUUAUGAAAAGUUAAAAUUAAAAUUACAUUACUGUUUUUACUGUAGCCAAUUUAAUGUUCACCCUCUCAUUUCAUUGUGGAUUUCAGUAGUAAUAUAUUUGAAAAGUUUCAAUUUAAUCUUUAAAUUUUUAUUUUGCAUAAUUGAGCUCUUUUCAGCUCAAAUUGAAUGCCAAUUUAUAUUUUUUUGGGGUGAGGGUUGAAUUAAAAGAAAGAGGGCUUAAGUGAAAAAUAAAAGUAACAUAGGUGACGGCUGUGCAAUUAUUNNNNNNNNNNNNNNNNNNNNNNNNNNNNNNNNNNNNNNNNNNNNNNNNNNNNNNNNNNNNNNNNNNNNNNNNNNNNNNNNNNNNNNNNNNNNNNNNNNNNGUUCAUUAUAGUCCCUUAUUUUUUAGCUUUGAAAGAUUUUUUUGUUUCGGAUUGAUUAUGAGUUUUAAGGUGUUUUCUUUUUUUUGUGUUUUUUAAGGCUAUAAAUUGGUUAAACAAGAAUCCAGAGUGUUUCCUAAAUAUUUUAGGUUAAAAAUAAGUUGAAAUAGGUUUUUUGGUUGAAAAAAUAAGAACCCUAUUCAAAAAAUAUUUUUUGCAUUUAUGUUUUGAUUAAUACUUAUUCUUUGCGAUUUUUUUAUUUAUUUAGUUUUUUUAAAUAACAAUUAUUUUUAAAUUAUAUUAAAUAUUAAAAAUAAAUUAAAUUUUUAUUAAUAAUAAAUAUAAAUAUUUAUGUGAAUAUAAUAAAAUCAAGUAUAAAAACAGACGAUAGAUGAUGUGAGAACUCAAUCCCAUUCCAUUUCAGAAUCAAAAUGGGGAAUAUUUCCCGGCUCAAAGGUGCAAGAAAGUUGUUCGCUGAGGCUGUGGCAUGUGUAUAUUGAAUUCUUUGUUUCGAACAGAUCCAUUAUCCCGCUUGACCAACUGAGAGAUGAUUAAUAAACAAGAGAAAAGGACUAAUCAAUGGUUUAAUUUUCAAUUUCGAACAACAUAGUACAUGCAUUGCAAAAGUCAUGAUUUUUACCAAGAGAAUUUUGAUCUUUCUUGUUGUAGAGAAAUAUUUCCCAUUUAACUUCGUAAACACAUAUCUAUAUGAUAUUAAUUAUAUAAAAAAAAAUUAUAAGAUUUGAACUUAUAAUUAUUUUGUCAAUAAAAAUACUGUUAAGUUUGCACAAGCCCCAUUAUAUUAUGCUAUUAAUUAUAUAAAAAAAUAAAGAUUUGAACUCGUAAUUUAUGUGAAUUCAUUAAAAUAUAAAAAUAUCUUAAUUUAAAAACUUAAUCUAUCGUAUAAGAUUUUAAAAUAUUAUUUAUAUUAUUUUUUAAUACUAAUAAAUAUAAAUAAUCAUGUUCUUUGCCACACUCUUGAAACUAGUGAAAACUAUUUUUCUGGGCCAUCAAACGUGGGAGAUUUUUUCCAAGAAAAACAAGAUAGGUUAUUGUCAAUCAAAAGAUUAGCGUGACUUUACACAGCUAGAGCGCAUUCUUGUUGACUAAUUAAUAUUGAAUUCAAGGCUUUGAUUUAGCAAAAAUCAAGUUGGUGAGGCAUGUGAUUCAAAUCUUUCCAAUCUCGACCAAGCCUAAUAAACCAAAAACUAUAAUAUAUAUAAAAAAUAAACCUAACCAUCUAUACUUUUCCUUCUAAAUAUUCAUACCUCUUCAACUUUAUUAUACAUUUCAUGAUAAUCACUUGAAACUACAAGAGAGGAUUACCAUACGAGCUGCCAAUGAAACACAGUCAAACCAAGAAAAAUCCCAAAUGGCAUACAAUGUCCAUGCAUUUCUCCAUAGACUACGCAGGAUAUAUAACAUAUGAUUUCCAUGGCAUGGUAGGUUAAGGUUUGCUCAAUUGAGUCAAAUUCCCAUGCAAGUCAAAAGGCAAGGAAGUAAGUAGUGAUACUUGAAUUAUUUACUAGUACAAUCUUGGAGGCUGCAACACGAUUUUAACUAAGAAAAUUGAUCCGAGUAAUUAAUUGUCUAGGUAGUCUUAAAACCUUAUAUUAUAUUGGGUCAUUUUCGUAUUAUACAAGCACACGUACGUCUAGUUAACUUGUUUGAAUUUCAUGUGGUCUCCGAUAUUAUUCUCCCAAAGUUUGUAAGCUUAUCAUUUUAAUAAUCAAAAUUACUUAAUUUGAUAAUUAGUCAACCACACAUUUUGAAUAUGGUUAAUUAAAUGAUGAUGUGAGCUCCAAUUGCAUUGAUUUAUACAAUCUUCAUGUGAACGGUGUGGUCGAGACUCUUUAAUAUACUCAUACGUGAGAUUCUUUAUAUAUAAUAUACUUAGACAUGAGAUUCUUUAUAUAUAUAUAUAGUAAUGGAUUUCUUUGAGUAGUCUACAUAUUAAUUGAGAUUAGAUUUUUUUUCUCCAGUGAUCUUAAUUGUGUAUCUACUACAUUUGCUUGAUGUGUCUCGAUGAAUUUCAUAAAUUUUCUUGAAUACUAACUCUAAAUUUUGAAUAUAAAAAGUCAAAAAAUAAAACAAAUCCCUUUUAAAUUGGCGAAGAGAGCUAGAUAUGUGGAAUGUGCAUCUUUAGAAUUCAACUUAUCAUGUUGUUGAACGGGAACAAUCUAACGUUUUGGAACCACCUAUGUGAACUUGGCAUAACAUGCAGGAGAAUUUAUUAAAUUCUUUUGAAAAUAUUAGGCUAAUAUAGGAAGUAUGUCUUUAAAAAUCACUAAAAAAAUAAUUUUAGUUUACAUGCAAGUUAUCCAUCGGAAAAGAUAUAAGUUAUUUGUGCAAGUUAGGGAAACUUUUCAUAUAUUAUAACUAGAUUAUUUCUCAUAGCUAUGCUGUGAAUUGAAUUAAAUUUUUUUAAAUGUAAAAAAAAAAAUAUCUAAGCCAUGAAGAACUAUUUAAGAUUAUUAUUAAAUCUGGUUUAGUGUGUCAAACUUGAAAACUCCUGACUGAACUCCUUAUCUAAUCAUAUUUCAAAUUAAAUCUUGUAAAAUUAUUCUAACGUGACCUAGUCGACUUAGUGGAUAUAAAAGCUAAAAAAUAAAAGAAAAAAUAAUGACCAAAAUAAAAGUAAAGAGAGAGAGAUCAGGCGCACGAGUCUAAGGACAAUAUGGAUAAUUAGUAAAAACAUAGUUUGACUUUUUUAAAAAAAUUUAAAAUAACUUUUUUUUAAAAAAAACAAUCAAACAGUGAUAUAUUGAAUCGAUCUGAGUUAACUUGUCAAACUUGUGACCAGGAUCAUGAAUUCCACUAGAUCUAAUAACAAUUAAUUAUAUGAUAAAAAAUAUGAAGACUAGUUCAAAACCAACUAAAUAUUGAAUGAAAAAAAUGAAUUUUUUUUUUAAAAUACAGCAAAAACUCAAUGUUAAAUGAUAAAACUUGAGAGAAAAAAAAUACAAGUCAUGUGCGUGAACUUGGAUUAUAACAACGAAAAAAAAAUCUUAGCUUUGUAAAGAUAUCUUAAGCCUUUAACUCAGGAAAACAAAAUGAAUUUUUUUUCUACAUUUAGUAUCAGUAAUCCAUAUUGUCAUUUUAAUCUCAUGGUUUAAUUCAAUUCGAUAUAACACAUUCAUAUACAUUACAAAUAUCAUACAAUUAUGAUUGAUGUUUCUAAUUUUUAUCAAAAUUUCAGCAGAGUCUUCUUUGUCUAGGUAACCAAACAGUUCUUCUCUUCUUCUAAAAACCUACAUAACGAUCAAGGAGAGUUUCAAAUCCCACACAUAAACAAUUUAUAUCCAGGUAUUGGGCCUCAGGCCAUUCAAUCAAUCAAUCAAUUCAUAAUAGUUCACACCUAUUAAAGUUUAUUGGGUACAUUUAAAUAAUUUAAACUUAGCUUUUCAUCAAGAUAGCAUUUCAUUACAAGAACAACAUUAUAAAUACUUAUUCAUAUUACAAUCCCCGUUCAUUUGAAUUACAAUAUACUACUAAGAACUCAUCUAACAUUGUAACUAAGAAAAUUAGAAUCUUGUCUUAGCAUGUGAUAUUCCAGAUCAUAAACAUGAAAAUUAUAGAAAUUUAAAUAAGAUAUUUAUUACAACACAAUUAAAAUAUGUCAGAUACAAUAUAUAUAUAUGAUUUUUCAUGGAGCAAACAUAAUUUCUUUGGAUAAUAAUAGAAUCGACUCAUUUGUCAUAAUCUCUACUAAUUUUAAGUAUUGUAUAGUCACCUCGUCAAGGUAAUUCCAAGCUUUAUCUUCUCAUCUAAAAGUUAUAUCUUGUUCAUAAAUCCAUCUUGGAAACUUUAUCUAUCGAAGCUCACCAUAAAGUUUUAUUAAUGGUAAUUAAAGGCCUAUUCCACGUAUCCUACCCUAUGCUAUUAAUUUAUCAAAGGUAAAUUAUCAUUUGUACUCUUUGCUCUAUAUGUUUCUUAAGGAAUUAAAUCCUUUACUAGUAUCGCCCUACAAUUUUAAAUAAAUAUAAUUAAUGAUUUAUUGAUUUCUAUUUUCCAUAAUGAAUCUUUAACAUUGAUUUAACUUAAUUUGGUUUUAGCAACAUAUCAUUCAUCUUACAACAAACUUUUAUGUACACAUGUCUUAACAUGCAUCAAUACACUUAUUUGUCCAUUGGAUUGACCAUCAUAUAGCUUGAAAUAUACAAUCAUAGAUGUCCAUGUUCUUGUCCUAUUAGGCCACCAAGAUGAUUUUCAAAUCUCUUAUCAUGUUGUACUGGAAUCAGUAUAUACUUAUGCCCUUUUACAUUAUCAAACAAUCACCAUUUUCUUCAUGAAUACACCAUCAAAACCGCAUACAUUCAACUACACCACAUUAUACAAACCAAUUCUUUAUUAUAACCCGUUUCACUAUCAUUACAAUCCUUAGAGUUCUCAUGCAUAUGUUGUCCACAACAAUAUUUGAAAUCUAUUUUCAAGUCAUUUUCACCUAGAAAACAUUGUUGUUCCCCUAAUAACUCUUUGCUCAUAUAAUAGAUUGUCAAAACAACCUACAAAUUACGCUUCGAUGCAGCCCAAAACAUAAACAUGUAGUAAUAUUAGUCAUCACACCGUGAUUGACUACCCAAUAGAUUCUAAUAUCGUUAUUGUCUAAUACUACUAGUCUUUUAACUCUAAAACACCCUAAAAUAACACAAACAAAGGGGUUUUUAUUUGUUUAGAAAUCUAUUUUCAAGUCAUUUUCACCUAGAAAACACCAUAAAAACAUUCCUAAACCAACCAUUAACUCUAAAACACCCCAAAAUAACACAAAAAAUAAAAAUCAAACUAAUCAAGAAAAUCUUAAUUGAAUCCAAUCUACUUUUCAAGCAUUGUUAGAGAAAAAGUCAUCGCUAUUUGAAAACUCAUCAUUAAAUGAAACUCGUUGAGACCAAGAACAACUACUUUUAUCGCUGAAAAGUGGUCAAACCGAUAACUUUCUCUUUUCUUAUCGUUUUUCAAUGAGUCUCUCUCAUCUAUGUAACUUGGGGUUGAGAAUGACCAAAAUAAACUUUUAGACUAAAAUAUUAAAAAUUCNNNNNNNNNNNNNNNNNNNNNNNNNNNNNNNNNNNNNNNNNNNNNNNNNNNNNNNNNNNNNNNNNNNNNNNNNNNNNNNNNNNNNNNNNNNNNNNNNNNNCUCCUCUCUCUCCUUAAAUUGGUUUAUAUCCAAAUUUCAACCAUCAUCAGCUAUAAAAGAAUCAUUGAAAAACAAAUUUGAAGACAGAAUUAAAAAAAAAGGGGACGGAAAAAAGAAAGAAAAAGGAGGGUAGUUUUUUUAGUUAAAGCUGAUGGUUUCUAGCCAAAAAAAAAGCAAUGAGUGUUGGGGUGCCACGUGUAAGGAGCCCAUUAAGUAUGUGGUGGGUGAAGUCAGCUAGAGCUAAGCAUCCAUUUUUGGUGGGGUUUUUCUGGUUAGAUUUGCCUGUUGGAGGAUCGUAGCAUGGGAUUAUAUUUGGUUGUAAAGGAAAGUGUCAAUUUAGGAGCCACCAACCAUCGACAAGUUAGUGAAAAUGGUGUCGAGUGCCGCACCCACCACCUCCUUCGAUCAAUCACCUCAUCAUCCAUGUAAUUAACCCUUUUUUGAUCUAUCACUUUUACGUUACUAAACACUUCCACUUCUAUAUUAGACGUGUGGAAUGAUUCGAUUUCUAGUUUUUUUAUUUGUGAAUCAAAUUAAUACUUGAAGCUAGUAGAUGGAUGUGUCUAAUCAACUUCCUUUGAUUCAAUUUCAUGAAAUUUUUUAUCAUAAAACAUCAAUAAAAAUGUGUUGUAUAUCUUGAACCGAUAUCUAAUAAAAUCUUAAAAGUUGGGAGUGAAAGAUAUAAUUUAUUUUAUUUUUUUAAUAUGUUUUUUAAUUAAAAAUUAUUUCAGUUUAAAACUUAAAGGAUUAUACUAUUUUAUACAUUAAAAAAUAAUUCAUAACUAUUUGGUUAUCAUGUAAAAAAAAUAUUUUAAAUUAAAAAAUUUAAAUUUUUAAAAUUAUAUAAAUUGCUCUCUUUUGAAUAACCUUUCGUAUUGUGAUGUUUCAUGGGUAAAUAAAACAUGAUAAAAUAUAAUAAGAAAGAAUUUUGCUAGGAAAAAUACAAAAAUGAGAUACCAAAUCUAUUUAUUUAAUUGAACAAAACUAUUUUUCUAUCAAUCUCACAUGUAUAUCAAACAAUAAAGGAUAAAUUAGAAAGUGGACUUGUCACUAAUUAAAUGUAUAUAUUAUGAUUUUUAUUUUCUAAGAUGAUAUAUUAGGAUUUUUUAUUAUUAUUAAUGUAGGUGUUCGGACUAACUUGCGUGUACCUCAACUAAUCUCACGAGUUUUGAAGUUAACGAUCAUGUAAAUCUUCAAUGAUCCUGAGAUUUGUAAGACUCGAACUGGUAAUAUCUAGAGAAUAAAUUUAGAAUAUGAUGAAUUAAGUUUCACUUCUCAUGAUUAAUAUAUUUAGAGUUUUGAAUACUUAAAAGGAGGUGUUGUUUUUAUUUUUAUUUUCAAAUCUAAGAACCUCAAAAACUUUUAGGAAUCUAAAAAAAAACUCAUUUUUUUAACCCCAAAACAUUUUCUAAUUAGCCUAAAUAAUGAAAAUCAAUCUGAAUAAAAAAAAUAUUGGUCUAAUAUAUUUUUUCUAGCAUGGUUAAAAGGCAAAAUCAUUUUUAUUGAACUCUUUUUUUCAAAACAAAUCCAUUGAUGUUAAAAUUAGUUUUUUUAUGACCGGAAUAUGAUUAGCUUCACCACAUUCUCCCCCUCUCAACAUACAAUAACUAAAAAUAUGAUAAAAAUGAAGUUUUAAGAUGGAGUCGUAAAAAUUUUAAACAAUAUGAUUAAAUAAAUCUGAAAAACAAAAACUUCAAGGACCAUAUUAAACUUUUCUACAACUUUGGAAAAAGAUUGCAUUAUAGGAGAAUAGUUUAAUGCACAAUAACUUGAGUCUUGCUGCACAAUAAAAUUUAUUAUGGUAAGAAUAACAAAUGUUUUAAUUUAGAUUAUAACACGAAGCAUACACAAUUAAGAUUACAACAAGGAGAUUUCAAGUAGUUAAACUUAGGUUAUAUUAGAUAUGACUUUUGUAAAUUGAUUUAAUAUAUUUUUCACUUUUGAUUUUAAUUUUAAUUUUUUUUAAGUAAGUUAAAAUAGCUUUUGAUUUAAAUUUUUUUUGUUAUAAAUUGGAUUCAAACCUUUGAUUUAAUAAAAAACAAGAAAAUUUUACUUUAGUUUGUGGAUUUUAUACUGAAUUCCUUAUUAAAAAGUUAUUUUGAAUCAUUUUUACAAAUAAUGCUUAUAACUUACGGUUAUUUUAAUUUAUUUUUUUCAUAAAUUGUUUAUAAAAAACAACUUUUAAAUUACAAUUCAAAGUAAAAUAUCAUAAUUAGUUAUGAAUUGGAUUCGAUGAAAGGAAGAUGGGAAGAGGGGAAAUGGGUAACGGGAAAUUAAAGAGAGAUGAUGAUCUGCGCAUGGCUACCUGUACCAGAACAGAUGGAAAAAACUCGAAACAACUCGGCUAGAAUUUAGGCAAGAAAUUCAGAAUGAGUCAACAUUUUAAGUGAGAUGAAAUUUGUCUCACUUUGUUCUAUUAAACAGAGGAGCAUUUAGAGGAUAGAAUAUUAGAGUCUCUAGCAAAAGCCAGCAAGGUAUAUUUAGAGCCAAAUUCGGGUAACAAAUUAUCAUAACCAACUGAUCCAUUUCGGCUCGGAGGCUUCAGAUUUGUACCAGUCAUCAACUGGUGCUCUUUGCUUUGCAGCCUUUGAGGAAGAAGUAAAAGCCUCCAAAAAUAUCAUCAUUAUUAUUAACAGAUGAACUAGACCCGUUUAACCCACCAAAAUAUAUCAUCAUUAAAAGAUGAUUUCGCACUCGUAUUUUUAGUACUGGAAAACACAAAAUCAUAACCGAAAUCAAACCCAGUGCUAUUUUGUUUUUAAUUCUUUUGAAAAACAUCAAAAAUGUCAAAAUCAUCAUCAAAAUUCUAUAAUUUUGAAUUGCUAAAGAGAGUUUCGUGAUAAUCCAUGAAAGACCUAUCAAAAGAAUUGGAAAUGAAGGUUAAUUUAGAAGAAUAUGAGGAGGGUUUCUGGUUUGAUGGAGGGAAAUUCAAAUAACAAAACUGGCUAUAUGUUUCUUUGAGGAUGAAACAUGCAAGAGAUUCCACCACCAGGACAGACAACAACACNNNNNNNNNNNNNNNNNNNNNNNNNNNNNNNNNNNNNNNNNNNNNNNNNNNNNNNNNNNNNNNNNNNNNNNNNNNNNNNNNNNNNNNNNNNNNNNNNNNNUAUUCAACUUUUACCUACUUUUCUUCGCUUAGAAUUAGAAAAUCCAUACUUGCAUUUAAGAGAAUUUGAAGAAGUUUGUAACACCUAUAAUGACUUAAAUUGUAGCAUAAACACCAUCAGAUUAAAGUUUUUUCCUUUUUCAUUAAAAGAUAAAGCUAAAACAUGGCUACAAAAUCUUAGGUCAGGAUCCAUUCGUGCUUGGAAUAAAAUGCAACAACAAUUUUUAAAGAAGUUUUUCCCUUCUCAUAGAACAAACUCUUUCAAAAGAUAAAUCACCAUUUUCAAUCAAAAACCAGGAGAAAUAUUUUACAAGUGUUGGGAUAGAUAUAAAGACUUGCUUAAUACCUGUCCUCAUCAUGGUUUUGAAACAUGGAGAUUGGUUUCACAAUUUUAUGAAGGGUUAACACCUAAAGAUAGACAAAUGAUGGAAUUGAUGUGCAAUGGAACUUUUGAAAACAAAGACCCUGAUAAAGCAAUGGAGUACCUAGACUUGAUAGCUGAAAAUGCUCAAAAUUAGGACACUACAUGCACUUGUGAGGCACCAGGUAAAACUUAACCUCAUACAUUUAGUGGAGGCAUGUAUAACCUUAGGAAAGAUCAUGACCUCCAAGCCAAAUUUGCAUCUUUAGCUAGAAAAGUUGAGGCACUAGAAUUAAAAAAGAGUGGUCAAUUAAAAUCUGUUCAAGAAAUUGUGUGUCAAACUUGUGAAACUAAUGAACACUCAACCAAUGAUUGUCCAACUUUGCCUUCUUUUAAUCACCAAAAUUUCAGUUGGAAGAGUAGUAACAAUAAUGCGCAAACUUCACAACCACCAUUUCAAACACAUCAUAAUUUUCAAAAUUCUCAUGGAUAUGCACCUCCUUAUGUUCCCCAUCCUAGAAGAAAUCUUGAGGAAAUAUUGGAUGCAUUCAUUGAAAAGCAAGAGACAAUCAACACUCAACUUGCUUAAAACAUGACAGAUUUUAAAGAUACUCUUGCAAAAUUCACAUCUGCUCUAAGUUUUCAGGAGAAAGGUAAGUUCUCAUCUCAACCACAGCAAAAUCCCAAUGGGAAAUACAAUGCAAAUGCAAGUAGUUCUAGAAGCCAACACAUAGAUCAAGUCAAAUCAGUCAUUAUUAUCCACGGUGGUAAGGUUAUUGAAAAACCAAUUUUUGAACCUUGUGAGAAAGAUGAUGAGUCAAUCUCUAAGGGUAAUUAAGGAAAGGGUUAAACCUGAACAUUGCAAAGAAAAGACUAAUUCCCCACUAAUACUUCCAUUUCCUCAUGCUAUGACCAAACAAAGGGAAGUCAAUCACGAUUCUGAAAUUUUUAAAACUUUCAAAUAGGAAGAAAUCGAGGAUGAAAAAGGCACCGAAAAUAUUGUCGUGGAUCAUUUGUAAAAAUUGACAAUAGAUUCGAUAUCUGACAUCACACUAAUUGAUGAUUACUUUCCAGAUGAAUCUUCACUUUCUAUUGCUUCAAUACCUUGGUCUGCUAAUAUUGAUAAUUUUCUUGCUUCAAGAUUUUUGCCAGCUCAUUUGGAUACCCAAGAUAAAAGAAAGUUCUUGAGCGACAUGCAGAACUUUUAUUGGGAUGACCCUUACUUAUUCAAAUAUUGUCCUAAUCAAAUAUAUCAAAGAUGCAUUUCUGACAAUGAGGUAAGUGGUGUCAUAAAAUUUUGUCACUCUGAAGCAUGUGGGGGUCAUUUCUCAUCAAGAAAGACGACUGCAAAAAUCUUACAAUGUGGAUUCUACUGGUCCAUCAUGUUCAAAUACAAAUAUGCAUUCUGCAAAACCUGUGAAAAUUGUCAAAAGGUGGGAUUUAUUUCAAAACAUAGAGAGUCUUUAGAUAAUCUUCUAUUGACUCUUAAGUCUCAUCGUAAUGGAGAUGUGCAUCGUGCAAUUCAUGAUUUAUAGCCCUAUUUUCAUAAAGAACAUGAUCGACUUAGUCUUGAGAAUCUAACUAAAAAAGACCCUGUUUGUCAGUUUUUAAGAAAACUGGAUGGGAAGCGUAUCCCUGACCCAUAGAGAGUGUUUAAGCCAUUCUUGGACGUAAAAUCAAGGGAAGAUGUGAGCCACGAUCACAACUACGAUUUAAGCCUUAGGUUGCAAAAAUUUAUGUAUUUUGGUUUUAUUAAUAGCAUAAUAUUUGUGUUCUGUUGUUUCUUAUAUUUGUUUAAGUGUGUUUUAGGUUUGUUUGUAGUCGCUAUUUUAGGUGAUGUCUUCUAUAUUCUAUCUUUCUGCCUUAAAACAUUGAGGACAAUGUCUCCUUUUGUUUGGGGGGAGAGGGUAGUAGUUGACAAAAAAAAUAUUACUAAUUGUGUUUUCUAUUAUUAAAAUCAUUUGCAAAACUGUUGUUACUAGGAUGGCAGAGUAAAUGAGGAACUUUAAUAACUCUUGAGACGCAUCUUAGUAAAUAUUUUUAACAAAGUCUAUCAGAAUACUUCUUGAAAUAUUCAGGUUUACAAACUCUUGUAUUGUUAUCACUUGAUUCUGCUCAUAUACUCAUUUAAUAAAUAUUCCUAAACCUUUAUUUUCACACACACACUUUAACAUAUGAUUGUGGGUUGCACAUUGGAUUAUUACAUUAUUUAUGUUCUUUUGUUAAAGGUAACAACUAAGGGAAAGGGAAUAUAUAAUAUUCAAAAAAAUAAACAAAACAAAAACAAAAGCAAAUUGAUAAUAAAAUGAAUAAAUAAUGAAAAAGUAGAUAAGUUUGGAUUCGUAGCUCUUACUUAAGCAAUUAAGCCCGAAGGGGUGUUUUAACACCUAGUNNNNNNNNNNNNNNNNNNNNNNNNNNNNNNNNNNNNNNNNNNNNNNNNNNNNNNNNNNNNNNNNNNNNNNNNNNNNNNNNNNNNNNNNNNNNNNNNNNNNGCUUGUUACAUGGGUUGAGGAGAAAGCUUAAGAGAAUCAAACAUUGCACUAUCUACGUAUCAGUAUCUGCAACCCGAGUUACUAAGCUCGUAGGGGUGUCUCAACACCUGAUGCCCUUAGACCAACUAGUUUGGUAGUCAUUAGCCGAAAGCUCGUUACAUGGGUUAAAGAUGCAUUGUGUUUUAAGUUAUAUGUAUAUAUACCAAAAUAAUAAUAAUAAUAAUAAUAAUAAUAAUAAUAAUAAUAAUAAUAAUAAUAAUAAUCCCAACUCAAUGAAGUUAACCUUAGAAAAAUAUUAGAACAGAACAUUGUUUUCUUCCAAUAAAAGCCCCAUCAUCCAUGUUUUCAUAUAUUAAGCACAUAAAAAGAAGGUUUAUUAAUAUCUUGUUUAAGAAGUAUAAAGCAGAUAUAUAAAUGAGAGUUUGUUUAUUUGGAUAGAUUAAUGGAAGUUAAAUGAUAAAUGUCUUACUUUGUGGAACUUUCAAAUUGUUUUUCUAUUUUAACACUUUGAUUACUAGGGACUAGUAAUAAGCUGAUUGAGGGGUGUAAUUAGUACUUAAAAGUGCAUUUUCAUUAAGGUUUUAUAUUAUCAUAUUGCACUAAAGUAUCAUUAAAUUCCCUAACUAAAACAUGUUUUACAAUAACAAGAGUCAUAAAUUGAUUAAACAAGAGUCCAAGGGUGUUUCUUAGAUAUUUUGGGUUAAAAAUAGGUUGAAAUAGGUUUUUUGGUUGAAAAAAUAAGAAUCCUAUUCAAAAAAUAAUUUUUGCAUUUAUGUUUUGAUUAAUUCCUCUUCUUGGUGAUCGAUUUUUUUACUUAUUUAGUUUUUUUAAAUAACAAUUAUUUUUAUAUUAUAUAAAUAUUAAAGAUAAAUUAAAUUUUUAUUAAUAAUAAAUAUAUAUUUAUGUGAAUAUAAUAAAAUCAAGUAUAAAAACAGACGAUAGAUGAUGUGAGAACUCAAUCCCAUUCCAUUUCAGAAUCAAAAUGGGGAAUAUUUCCCGGCUCAAAGGUGCAAGAAAGUUGUUCGCUUAGGCUGUGGCAUGUGUAUAUUGAAUUCUUUGUUUCGAACAGAUCCAUUAUCCCGCUUGACAAACUGAGAGAUGAAAAAGGAAAAAAAAACCAUGAUUAAUAAACAAGAGAAAAGGACUAAUCAAUGGUUUAAUUUUCAAUUUCGAACAACAUAGUACAUACAUUGCAAAAGUCAAUAUUUUUAUUUAUAGAAUUUUGAUCUUUCUUGUUGUGGAGAAUUUCCCAUUUAACUUCAUCAACAUAUAUUAUGCUAUUAAUUAUAUAUAUAAAAAAUUUAAACUCAUAAUUAUUGUGAAUUCGUUAAAAUAUAAAAAUAUCUCAAUUUAAAAACUUAAUUUAUUCGAAUAAAAUUUUAAAAUAUUAUUUAUAUUAUUUUUUAAUACUAAUAAAUAAAUAAUCAUGUUCUUUGCCACACUCUUGAAACUAGUGAAAACUAUUUUUAUGGACCAUCAAACGUGGGAGAUUUUUUCCUAGAAAAACAAGAUAGGUUAUUGUCAAUCAAAAGAUUAGCGUGACUUUACACAGCUAGAGCGCAUUCUUGUUGACUAAUUAAUAUUGAAUUCAAGGCUUUGAUGUAGCAAAAAUCAAGUUGGUGAGGCAUGUGAUGCAAAUCUUUCCAAUCUCGACCAAGCCUAAUAAACCAAAAACUAUAAUAUAUAUAAAAAAUAAACCUAACCAUCUAUACUUUUCCUUCUAAAUAUUCAUACCUCUUCAACUUUAUUAUACAUUUCAUGAUAAUCACUUGAAACUACAAGAGAGGAUUACCAUACGAGCUGCCAAUGAAACACAGUCAAACCAAGAAAAAUCCCAAAUGGCUUACAAUGUCCAUGCAUUUCUCCAUAGACUGCGCAGGAUAAAUAACAUAUGAUUUCCAUGCAUGGUAGGUUAAGGUUUGCUCAAUUGAGUCAAAUUCCCAUGCAAGUCAAAAAGGCAAGGAAGUAAGUAGUGAUACUUGAAUUAUUUACUAGUACAAUCUUGGAGGCUGCAACACCGAUCAACACGAUUUUAACUAAGAAAAUUGAUUGAGUAAUUAAUUGUCUAGCUAGUCUUAAAACCUUAUAUUAUAUUGGGUCAUUUUCGUAUUAUACAAGCACACGUUCGUCUAGUUAACUUGUUUGAAUUUCAUUUGGUCUCCGAUAUUAUUCUCCCAAAGUUUGUAAGCUUAUCAUUUUAAUAAUCAAAAUUACUUAAUUUGAUAAUUAGUCAACCACACAUUUUGAAUAUCGUUAAUUAAAUGAUGAUGUGAGCUCCAAUUGCAUUGAUUUAUACAAUCUUCAUGUGAACGGUGUGGUCGAGAUUCUUUAAUAUACUCAUACGUGAGAUUCUUUAUAUAUAAUAUACUUAGACAUGAGAUUCUUUAUAUAUAUAUAUAGUAAUGGAUUUCUUUGAGUAGUCUACAUAUUAAUUGAGAUUAGAUUUUUUUUCUCCAGUGAUCUUAAUUGUGUAUCUACUACAUUUGCUUGAUGUGUCUCGAUGAAUUUCAUAAAUUUUCUUGAAUACUAACUCUAAAUUUUGAAUACAAAAAGUCAAAAAAUAAAACAAAUCCCUUUUAAAAUGGCGAAGAGAGCUAGAUAUGUGGAAUGUGCAUCUUUAGAAUUCAACUUAUCAUGUUGUUGAACGGGAACAAUCUAACGUUUUGGAACCACCUAUGUGAACUUGGCAUAACAUGCAGGAGAAUUUAUUAAAUUCUUUUGAAAAUAUUAGGCUAAUAUAGGAAGUAUGUCUUUAAAAAUCACUGAAAAAAUAAUUUUAGUUUACAUGCAAGUUAUCCAUCGGAAAAGAUAUAAGUUAUUUGUGUAAGUUAGGGAAAUUUUUCAUAUAUUAUAACUAGAUUAUUUCUCAUAGCUAUGCUGUGAAUUGAAUUAAAUUUUUUUAAAUGUAAAAAAAAAAAUAUCUAAGCCAUGAAGAACUAUUUAAGAUUAUUAUUAAAUCUAGUUUAGUGUGUCAAACUUGAAAACUCCUGACCGAACUCCUUAUCUAAUCAUAUUUCAAAUUAAAUCUUGUAUAAUUAUUCUAACGUGACCUAGUCGACUUAGUGGAUAUAAAAGCUAAAAAAUAAAAGAAAAAAUAAUGACCAAAAUAAAAGUAAAGAGAGAGAGAUCAGGCGCACGAGUCUAAAGACAAUAUGGAUAAUUAGUAAAAACAUAGUUUGACUUUUAAAAAAAAUUCAAGAUAACUUUUUUUAAAAAAAAACAAUCAAACAGUGAUAUAUUGAAUCGAUCUGAGUUAACUCGUCAAACUUGUGAUCAGGAUCAUGAAUUCCACUAGAUCUAAUAACAAUUAAUUAUAUGAUAAAAAAUAUGAAGACUAGUUCAAAACCAACUAAAUAUUGAAUGAAAAAAAUGAAUUUUUUUUUAAAAUACAGCAAAAACUCAAUGUUGAAGGAUAAAACUUGAGAGAAAAAAAAUACAAGGCAUGUGCGUGAACUUGGAUUAUAACAACGAAAAAAAAAUCUUAGCUUUGUAAAGAUAUCUUAAGCCUUUAACUCAGGAAAACAAAAUGAUUUUUUUUUCUACAUUUAGUAUCAGUAAUCCAUAUUGUCAUUUUAAUCUCAUGGUUUAAUUCAAUUCGAUAUAACACAUUCAUGUACAUUACAAAUAUCAUACAAUUAUGAUUGAUGUUUCUAAUUUUUAUCAAAAUUUCAGCAGAGUCUUCUUUGUCCAGGUAACCAAACAGUUCUUCUCUUCUUCUAAAAACCUACAUAACGAUCAAGGAAAGUUUCAAAUCCCACACAUAACAAUUUAUAUCCAGGUAUUGGGCCUCAGGCCAUUCAAUCAAUCAAUCAAUUCAUAAUAGUUCACACCUAUUAAAGUUUAUUGCGUACAUUUAAAUAAUUUAAACUUAACUUUUCAUCAAGAUAGCAUUUCAUUACAAGAACAACGUUGUAAACAUUAUAAAUACUUAUUCAUAUUACAAUCCCCGUUCAUUUGAAUUACAAUAUACUACUAAGAACUCAUCUAACAUUGUAACUAAGAAAAUUAGAAUCUUGUCUUAGCAUGUGAUAUUCCAGAUCAUAAACAUGAAAAAUAUAGAAAUUUAAAUAAGAUAUUUAUUGCAACACAAUUAAAAUAUGUCAGAUACAAUAUGUAUAUGAUUUUUCAUGGAGCAAACCUCCAUAAUUUCUUUUGAUAAUAAUAGAAUCGACUCAUUUGUCAUAAUCUCUACUAAUUUUAAGUAUUGUAUAGUCACCUCGUCAAGGUAAUUCCAAGCUUUAUCUUCUCAUCUAAAAGUUAUAUCUUGUUCAUAAAUCCAUCUUGGAAACUUUAUCUAUCGAAGCUCACCAUAAAGUUUUAUUAAUGGUAAUUAAAGGCCUAUUCCACGUAUCCUACCCUAUGCUAUUAAUUUAUCAAAGGUAAAUUAUCAUUUGUACUCUUUGCUCUAUAUGUUUCUUAAGGAAUUAAAUCCUUUACUAGUAUCGCCCUACAAUUUUAAAUAAAUAUAAUUAAUGAUUUAUUGAUUUCUAUUUUCCAUAAUGAAUCUUUAACAUUGAUUUAACUUAAUUUGGUUUUAGCAACAUAUCAUUCAUCUUACAACAAACUUUUAUGUACACAUGUCUUAACAUGCAUCAAUACACUUAUUUGUCCAUUGGAUUGACCAUCAUAUAGCUUGAAAUAUACAAUCAUAGAUGUCCAUGUUCUUGUCCUAUUAGGCCACCAAGACGAUUUUCAAAUCUCUUAUCAUGUUGUACUGGAAUCAGUAUAUAUUUAUGCCCUUUUACAUUAUCAAACAAUCACCAUUUUCUUCAUGAAUACACCAUCAAAACCGCAUACAUUCAACUACACCACAUUAUACAAACCAAUUCUUUAUUAUAACCUGUUUCACUAUCAUUACAAUCCUUAGAGUUCUCAUGCAUAUGUUGUCCACAACAAUAUUUAAAAUCUAUUUUCAAGUCAUUUUCACCUAGAAAACAUUGUUGUUCCCCUAAUAACUCUUUGCUCAUAUAAUAGAUUGUCAAAACAACCUAAAAAUUACGCUUCGAUGCAGCCCAAAACAUAACACAUGUAGUAAUAUUAGUCAUCACACCGUGAUUGACUACCCAAUAGAUUCUAAUAUUGUUAUUGUCGCGGGUGCGUGACGUCGCGGCGAAUAUUCCACUUUUAAAAUCUAGGAAGUGUGUAUGGUAUCUAUCUGGCAAAUGUGGGGAGACAAGAAAAUAUUGUCUUUUGUUGGUAGAAAAUGGAAUGGGAGUCGCCACCUAGUAUUUUGGUCACUAGGAACCCUAACUGGUCUCAGAGAUUGGGUACGGGGACUGGUUGCGUAAAGGGAAGGUAUUAGCACCCCAAAUACGCCCUACCUAAGGUAAGCUGCAUUGUUUAUUUGUCUGAUAAAAUUCAAGGUCUCGUUGUGUUUCCUAGUUGUUGGUCCGUCUAUGGUUCAAGAAAAGUCCUCCUCAAUAAGGAGGUCCUUAUCUUAUCGGGUAAAAACCUAAUCCUUCUAACGUCUAUGUAUGUUGGUCCGUCUAUGGUUCAAGAAAAGUCCUCCUCAAUAAGGAGGUCCUUAUCUUAUCGGUUAAAACCUAACCGUUCUAACGUCUAUGAAAAACCAUAUUUUUAAUAUCAGGAAUACGUCUUACGUAUAAAUUCGUAAUCCCAUGUACUAAAAGAAGACAAAAAGAUUUUUUAGAAUUUUUGAAAUAUUGGCCUAGUUCUCAUGGCUUGAAUAAACUGGUUAUUAAAGCCAAAAUGCAUGCUAAUACAUAUAUUGUUUUGAAAUUUUCUUUGUUGUGUGAAAAAUAUGAUGUUAUAAUAUUUAUAUAUAUAUAUUGGAGAGACUAGGCCGUAUGCAUGAAAACAAAACAUUUUUUAAAAUAUUUUAUUUAUUUUUUUAUGUCUUGACGAAAACCGGGUAUUUGAAUACCGGAUUUGUAUCUUUACAGUAUAAAAAUACAAAUCGAUAUUGAUCAAAAUACAGUAAUAAACUUGCAGAAAAUCACAUAUUUUUUUGGAAUAAUUUUCGAAGAAAUUAAUUAAUUUUUCUAUAUAUAUAUCUAGAUAUAAAUAAUACAAAAUACAAUACAAUAUACAUCGUAUAUAAUAUAUAAUUGGGCUGGGCUGGGCCGGCCCAACGAACUAGGCCGGACUCAGCCCCAAAAUGUGUUGGGCCGAUCUCGGGCCAAGAGGUAUUGGGUCGAUCUCGGCCCAAACAAAAUCUAUUUUAUCAUGGGCCGGAUCCAGCCCUGCCAGCAGGGCUGGGCUAGGAUCAGUCCGGCCCACAGAAGGAAACCCAUAUUGCUGGGCCAGAACCAAUCUGGCCCAGCCUAAUUAAAAACCAACGGGGGGAAUUAUUUCCCCCCCAUCCUGCAUGCAGAACGCUGUUCGUUCUGCAUGCAGGAGAAGAACCAAACCGAUGCACAAAGAGGGGGGAGAAGAGCACCUGGCGUGGAAGAGGCGGUGCGUUGCUGGUAUGUCCGCGGUGCUGCGGUGGAGGCUGGUGGCUUCACUGGCGUGCACUGGUCCCGGUUGGAAGAAGAAGGAGCAGAUUCCUACAGAGGAGAAGGAAAGCUCUCGGCUGGAGCUAUUGGUGUGACUGAGGAAGGAGCUACUACUCCGGUUGCUGCUGGGCGUCGCUGGAGGAAGGAGGACUGCUGUUGGCCGGUGAAGAAGCUGGAAGGCGGAGGCUUGCUCCUGUGGAGGUUGUCACUGCUGAGGAGGCCGCGGGAGGCGUUGCUGGGGCUGUUGAAGCUGCGAUGAAGGAGAAGCUGAGGUGAAGAUCUGUUGCUGGCGUUGUGUUGAUGGGAGGGAGAGGGGACAAUGUUUCUUUGGGACUGCUGGAAGAGAAUGAGAGGAAAGGGAGGGGGCUGCCCCGGUUUGGCUUUGCAAGAGAGGGGGUUGUCCCUUGUUGCUGGCUGCUGAGGGGAAGAAGAAAAUCAAGGGGAGGGGAGAGGUGUGUGAGGGCUGUUCGGGUGUGUGGGUCUGUGGGGGGCUGGACUACGGCCGGCUGUCACUGGUUGAGGGAGAAGAAGCUGGAAAAAGAAAACUGGUUGCAGGAAAACCGGGCUGGAAAAGCUUAUUUUGUGCCAAUUUUGAGCUCCAUCCCACCAACCCUUUGAGCAUGAAAAUUGCUCCUAUUUAUAGGGCUGGAAAGAGGGUAAUCUUGUCUUCAACGGGGAAAAAGUCUCAGCCCUUGAUUCGACUCGAGUAAUCCAAACCAUUAGUUCAAAGUGUGCACCUCGAACUGCCAAAUUUGCAGACUACCCGAGGUGCACGAUUUGGGCCAAAAAACGGAGCCGUUCCAAACCUUUUUGACCCGACCGGACCACUCCCCAUGAUAAAUGGGUUCCAGGUGGAUAUGUUGGUGCAUGCUUUGUCGGAUUUGGGGGCCAAACGAGGCAGAAAACACGCCUGGAAGUCGGCCACUCGGGCAACUCGGUGGGGAAGAAAAUGAACAGUACCGGGCGACGCGUCGCCUGGUUCCUGCCCCUUCUUCUUCUUUUUUUUUUUAAAAUGCAAAAACGGUGCCGUUUUGAUAAAAAUAGGGAUUUCUUUGCCAAUUUUCAAUUUAGUCCUCCGACUUUCAAUUUCGUUCAAGAUUAUUCCCUAAUUGACCCUAAAACUUCUGAUUUGAUGCAAUUUAGUCCCGGCAUAACUUCAUCUUCGGCCCCAGAGUUACGCGCCUUUUGCAAUAUGGUCCUUGGUCUCGGAUUUAUGCAAUUUCAUCCCUAAUUGACCAUUAAACUUUCAAUUUCUUCAAUUAGGCCCCUGAACCGAAUAAUCGCAGCCCCUCCAUUUACGCGCCUCUUCCAAUUUGGUCCCUGGUUUCGGAUUUUCUCAAUUAAGUCCCCAAUUGGCCCUUAAACUUCAAUAUUUAUGCAAUUAGACCCCUGAUUUGACCUAAUAAAUUCCUAAAAAAUAUAUUUUGGCCCCAGAACUUAAAUUUCUUCUAAUUAAAGCCCAAAUUGACUUAAAAAUCAAUUUUUCUUACAAUCAAAUCUCCUAUAAAUUCAUUUAAAAAUCCAAUUAAGUCCAUAAACAUCCAAAUUUGGGCUUUUCUCCUCAAAUUUCAAAUUUUCCUUCUCAACAGGGCUAUCCUCCUUCAAGAAUAUACUGUCAAAAAAUCCAAUCUUUGUAUUUUUAACCUCAUUGACCAAUUUUCCAACCAUUUUCUGAGCGCUUCUGCCUUCUGUUUUUUCUAACCUCCUUUGGCUAUAUAUUUUUAUAUAUAUUUUGUGGGGACCCAAAAAUGGGUUACAACAGUUAUUGUCUAAUACUACUAGUCUUUUAACUCUAAAACACCCUAAAAUAACACAAACAAAGGGGUUUUUAUUUGUUUAGAAAUCUAUUUUCAAGUCAUUUUCACCUAGAAAACACCAUAAAAACAUUCCUAAACCAUCCAUUAACUCUAAAACACCCCAAAAUAACAGAAAAAAUAAAAAUCAAACUAAUCAAGAAAAUCUUAAUUGAAUCCAAUCUACUUUUCAAGUAUUGUUAGAGAAAAAGUCAUCGCUAUUUGAAAACUCAUCAUUAAAUGAAACUCAUUGAGACCAAGAACAACAACUUUUAUCGCUGAAAAGUGUUAAACCGAUAAUUUUCUCUUUUCUUAUUAUUUUUUAAUGAGUCUCUCUCAUCUGUGUAACUCGGGGUUGAGAAUAAGAAAAAUAAAUUUUUAGACUAAAAUAUUAAAAAUUCUAAAACUUUGAAAUUAACAAUGUAUUUUCUUCAUGUUUUACAUUUCACUCCUCUCACUUUUAAUUUGGUUUUUAUUAUCAAAAUUGUCGCACGUGAGCGACGUCGCGGCGAUCGUCCACCCACAAAUGUAAUGGGGGGAUAUAUAUCUGGUCAAUGUAGGGAGAUAAGGAAUUCGUUGUCUCUUAGCAGUGAAAAAUGGUGUGGGAGUCGCCACCUAGUAUUUUGGUCACUAGGAACCCUAACUGGUCUCAGAGAUCGGGUACGGGGACUGGUUGCGUAAAGGGAAGGUAUUAGCACCCCAAAUACGCUCUACCUAAGAUAAGCUGCAUCGUUUUAUUGUCUGAUAAAAUUUAAGGUGUUUUCGUUGUGUUUCCUAGUUGUUGGUCCGUCCAUGGUUCAAGAAAAGUCCUCCUCAAUAAGGAGGUCCUUAUCUUAUCGAGUAAAACCUAACCGUUCUAAUGUCUAUGUAUGUUGGUCUGUCUAUGGUUCAAGAAAAGUCCUCCUCAAUAAGGAGGUCCUUAUCUUAUCGGGUAAAAACCUAACCAUUCUAAUGUCUAUGUAUGUUGGUCCGUCUAUGGUUCAAGAAAAGUCCUCCUCAAUAAGGAGGUCCUUAUCUUAUCGGGUAAAACCUAACCGUUCUAAUGUCUAUGUAAAAAAGCUAUAUUUUUAAUAUCAGGAAUACAUUUUACGUAUAAAUUCUUAAUCCCAAAUACUAAAAGAAGACAAAAAGAUUUUUUUAGAAUUUUUGAAAUAUUGGCCUAGUUCUCAUGGCUUGAAUAAACUGGUUAUUAAAGCCAAAAUGCAUGCUAAUACAUAUAUUGAUUUUUGAAAUUUCAUUUGUUGUGUGAAAAUAUGCUGUUAUAAUAUUUAUAUAUAUAUAUUGGAGAGACUAGGCCGUAUGCAUGAAAACAAAACAUUUUUUUUUUGUAAUUAUGUAUUUUUUGAUGUUUUGACGCAAAUCGGGUAUUUUAAUACUGGGUUUGUAUUCUUACAGUAUAAAAAUAUAACCAAAUAUUAAUCCACUUUGAUAAAACAAAUGCAGAAAAAUUAACAAUAUUUUUAAAGAUAUUUUUAGAAAUAUAUAUAUAUAUAUUUUUAAUUAUCAUAUUUUAUAUAUAUAUACAUAUAUACACACAUAUAUUAUAACAUAUUAUAAUAUAUAAUAUAUAAUAUAAAAACAAAUCGGGCUGGGCCGGCCCAAGUAAAUGGGCCGGACUCAGCCCAACAAAGAAAGGUUGGGCCGAUCUCGGCCCAGACUGGGUUGGGCCGAUCUCGGCCCAACAGGCCAUCAUGCUUCUUCUGUGACGGGAUACUGUACACAACAGUGACUGAGAUACUGUACACAAAUAGUGACGGGGUACUGUGCACAAAUAGUAACCGGGUUACUGUACAUAAGCACAGUAACCCGUUAAUUAAUUAGGUGGCUACUGUGCACCUGCACAGUAACAUGUUAAUUAAUUAGACCUGCAUAGUAACCGGGGGAAUUAAUUAGCCGGUUACUGUGCCCCUGCACAGUAACCAGCUAAUUAAUUUCUUGCUUGCAGAACGUGCACAGUGCACGUUCUGCAUGCAAGAAGAUGAACAGGGGAAGAGUUACCUGCGACGAUGAGCUUGGGUAGAGGAGCUGACAGUGGUGCUGGUGGUGGUUUUGCUGGUGGUUGCUGACCGAAGGUUGGCUCUUCCUCUUCUCUACUGCUUUCUAUGUUAUUUCUCCUCUCCUCUCUCUCUUCUGUUUUUUUUCUUCCUCCUUCCUGUGUCUGUUCUCUUCUCUAUUUAUAGGAAAAAAUGGAGCAGGUGCGCCUUCAAUCACGCAACGGCUGGUCGGCCAGUGACCCGUUCGGUGGUCUAAAGGUGUGGGGACGAGGAGAGAGAGGCGGGACUUUUUUUGAAAAUGGUUUUUGUCUUCUGUUGUUGUUCAACGGGGGAAGGAGGAAGAUGAACAGUGUCGUUCAAAACGACACCGUUCUGGCCUUCCUCUUUUUUUUUUUUUUUAUAUGAAACGACGUCGUUUUGGAUAAAACGCGUCGUUUCAUUUAAAUGAGCCAAACUUCAAAUCAGUCCUCUAUCAUUUCUUGUUCAUUUCAAUUGUAUCCCUGCCAAAUUCGAUCUCCGCCCCCAUAGUUGGCCGCGUUGUUCACUUUAGUCCUUGGCCUCUGAUUUAUGCAAUUAAGCCCUCAAUUGAUCAAUAAACUUCCAAUUUCUUCAAUUAGGCCCCUGAACCAAAGUAAAACAGCCCCCCUCUAUUUACCCGGUUUUUCCAAAUUGGUCCCUGGUUUCGGUUUUUUUAAUUAAACCCCUAAUUGGUCAUUAAACUUCAAUAUUUAUUCAAUUAAACCCCUGAUUUGACCCAAUAAAUUCCUAAAAAAUAUAUUUUGGCCCCAGAACUUAAAUUUCUUUCAAUUAAAGCCUAAAUUGACUUAAAAAUCAAUUUUCUUGCAAUCAAAUCCCCUAUAAAAUCAAUUAAAAAACCAAUUAAGUCUAUAAACAUCCAAACUUGGGCUUUUCUCCUCAAAAUUCAAAUUUUCUUCUCAACAUGGCUCUCAUUCUUCAAGAAUAUACUGUCAAAAAUCCAAUCUUUGUAUUUUUAACCUCCUUGACCGAUUUUUCUGACCAUUUGCUGAGCGCUUCUGCCUCCUGUUAUUUUUCUAACCUCCUUUGGCUAUUUAUUUUAUUUCAUUUAUUUGGGGACCCAAAAAUGGGUUACAACAAAAAUUUCAAACCAUCAUCAGGCUAUAAAAAGAAUCAAUUGAAAAACAAAUUUUGAAGACAAAAAUUAAAAAAAAAGGGACGGAAAAAAAAAGGAGGGUAGUUUUUUUAGUUAAAGCUGAUGGUUUCUAGCCAAAAAAAAAAAGAAGCAAUGGGGGUUGGGGUGCCACGUGUAAGGAGCCCAUUAUGUAGGUGGUGGGUGAAGUCAGCUAGAGCUAAGCAUCCAUUUUUUGUGGGGUUUUUCUGGUUAGAUUUGCCUGUUGGAGGAUCGUAGCAUGGGAUUAUAUUUGGUUGUAAAGGAAAGUGUCAAUUUAGGAGCCACCAACCAUCGACAAGUUAGUGAAAAUGGUGUCAAGUGCCGCACCCACCACCUCCUUCGAUCAAUCACCUCAUCAUCCAUGUAAUUAACCCUUUUUUGUUCUAUCACUUUUACGUUACUAAACACUUCCACUUCUAUUAGACGUGUGGAAUGAUUCGAUUUCUAGUUUUUUUAUUUGUGAAUCAAAUUAAGACUUGAAGCUAGUAGAUGGAUGUGUCUAAUCAACUUUUUUGGAUCCAAUUUCAUGAAAACUUUUAUCUCAAAACAUCAUAGAAAUAAGUUGUAUGUCUUAAAGGAUAUCUAAUAAAAUCUUAAAAGUUGGGAGUUAAAGAUAUAAUUUAUAUUAUAUUUUAAUAUAUUUUUUAAUUAAAAAUUAUUUCAGUUUAAAUUAAAUUUACAAAAGAUUAUACUAUUUUAUACAUAAAAAAUUAUCAAUCACCUCAUCAUCCAUUUUUUUGAUCUAUCACUUUUACGUUACUAAACACUUCCACUUCUAUUAGACGUGUGGAAUGAUUCGAUUUCUAGUUUUUUUAUUUGAGAAUCAAAUUAAUACUUGAAGCUAGUAGAUGGAUGUGUCUAAUCAACUUCCUUUGAUUCAAUUUCAUGAAAUGUUUUAUCAUAAAACAUCAAUAAAAAUGUGUUGUAUAUCUUGAACCGAUAUCUAAUAAAAUCUUAAAAGUUGGGAGUGAAAGAUAUAAUUUAUUUUAUUUUUUUAAUUAAAAAUUAUUUCAGUUUAAAACUUAAAGGAUUAUACUAUCUUAUACAUAAAAAAGUAAUUCAUAACUAUUUGGUUAUCAUGUAAAAAAAAUAUUUUAAAUUAAAAAAUUUAAACUUUUAAAAUUAUAUAAAUUCUUGCUCUCUUUUGAAUAACCUUUCGUACUGUGGUGUUUCAUGGGUAAAUAAAACAUGAUAAAAUAUAAUAAGAAAGAAUUUUGCUAGGAAAAAUACAAAAAUGAGAUACCAAAUCUAUUUAUUUAAUUGAACAAAACUAUUUUUCUAUCAAUCUCACAUGUAUAUCAAACAAUGAAGGAUAAAUUAGAAAGUGGACUUGUCACUAAUUAAAUGUAUAUAUUAUGAUUUUUAUUUUCUAAGAUGAUAUAUUAUGAUUUUUUUUAUUAUUAAUGUAAGUGUUCGGACUAGUUUGUGUGUACCUCAACUAAUCUCACGGGUUUUGAAGUUAAUGAUCAUGUAAAUCUUCAAUGAUCCUGAGAUUUGUAAGACUCGAACUGGUGAUAUCUAGAGAACAAAUUUAAAAUAUGAUGAAUUAAGUUUCACUUCUCAUGAUUAAUAUAUUUAGAGUUUUGAAUACUUAAAAGGAGGUGUUGUUUUUAUUUUUAUUUUCAAAUCUAAGAACCUCAAAAACUUUUAGGAAUCUCAAAAAAACUCAUUUUUUUAACCCCAAAACAUUUAAUUAGCCUAAAUAAUGAAAAUCAAUCUGAAUAAAAAAAAUAUUGGUCUAAUAUAUUUUUUCUAGCAUGGUUAAAAGGCAAAAUCAUUUUUAUUGAACUUCUUUUUUCAAAACAAAUCCAUUGAUGUUAAAAUUAGGUUUUUUAUGAUCGGAAUAUGAUUAGCUUUACCACAUUCUCCCCCUCUCAACAUUCAAUAACUAAAAAUAUGAUAAAAAUGAAGUUUUAAGAUGGAGUCGUAAAAAUUUUAAACAACAUGAUUAAAUAAAUCUGAAAAACAAAAAAUUCAAGGACCAUAUUAAACUUUUCUACAACUUUGGAAAAAGAUUGCAUUAUAGGAGAAUAGUUUAAUGCACAAUAACUUGAGUCUUGCUGCACAAUAAAAUUUAUUAUGGUAAGAAUAACAAAUGUUUUAAUUUAGAUUAUAACACGAAGCAUACACAAUUAAGAUUACAACAAGGAGAUUUCAAGAAGUAGUUAAACUUAGGUUAUAACCUAAGUUUUAAUAUAUUUUUUACAUUUGAUUUUAAUUUUAAUUUUUUUUAAGUAAGUUAAAAUAGCUUUUGAUUUAAAUUUUUUUUUUGUUAUAAAUUGGAUUCAAACCUUUGAUUUAAUAAAAAACAAGAAAAUUUUACUUUAGUUUGUGGAUUUUAUACUGAAUUCCUUAUUAAAAAGUUAUUUUGAAUCAUUUUUACAAAUAAUGCUUAUAACUUACGGUUAUUUUAAUUUAUUUUUUUCAUAAAUUAUUUAUAAAAAACAACUUUUAAAUUACAAUUCAAAGUAAAAUAUCAUAAUUAGUUAUGAAUUGGAUUCGAUGAAAGGAAGAUGGGAAGAGGGGAAAUGGGUAACGGGAAAUUAAAGAGAGAUGAUGAUCUGCGCAUGGCUACCUGUACCAGAACAGAUGGAAAAAACUCGAAACAACUCGGCUAGAAUUUAGGCAAGAAAUUCAGAAUGAGUCAACAUUUUAAGUGAGAUGAAAUUUGUCUCACUUUCUUCUAUUAAACCGAGGAGCAUUUAGAGGAUAGAAUAUUAGAGUCUCUAGCAAAAGUCAGCAAGGUAUAUUUAGAGCCAAAUUCGGGUAACAAAUUAUCAUAACCAACUGAUCCAUUUCGGCUCGGAGGCUUCAGUUUUGUACCGGUCAUCAACUGGUGCUCUUUGCUUUGCAGCCUUCGAGGAAGAAGUAAAAGCCUCCAAAAAUAUCAUCAUCAUUAUUAACAGAUGAACUAGACCCGUUUAACCCACCAAAAUAUAUCAUCAUUAAAAGAUGAUUUCGCACUCGUAUUUUUAGUACUGGAAAACACAAAAUCAUAACCGAAAUCAAACCCAGUGCUAUUUUGUUUUUAAUUCUUUUGAAAAACAUCAAAAAUGUCAAAAUCAUCAUCAAAAUUCUAUAAUUUCAUCAUUAAAAGAUGAUUUCGCACUCGUAUUUUUAGUACUGGAAAACACAAAAUCAUAACCGAAAUCAAACCCAGUGCUAUUUUGUUUUUAAUUCUUUUGAAAAACAUCAAAAAUGUCAAAAUCAUCAUCAAAAUUCUAUAAUUUUGAAUUGCUAAAGAGAGUUUCGUGAUAAUCCAUGAAUGACCUAUCAAAAGAAUUGGAAUUGUAGGUUAAUUUAGAAGAAUAUGAGGAGGGUUUCCGGUUUGAUGAAGGGAAAUUCAAAUAACUAAACUGGCUAUAUGUUGAUGAAACAUGCAACAGAUUCCACCACCCAGCGGACAACAACAUUGAGAACAAAUCCGUGUGAGAAAUCAAUUUUAAUAGUCAUUUUAUUUUUUAAUUUGAGAGAAAUCACAAAUUCUUCACUGUUUAUUACUGAAAAAGAAGAGAGGGGGGAAGAAAUGAUGUCUUCAGAUGUUUCUGAAUUAUAGGAUGCUAGGGUAAUUUUUUUAUAUAUAAAUAUAUAAAUAGAAGAUUGUGUUAAAAAAUCAAAGGGAGCUUUUACAAGAAUACUAUUAUCUUUUUUCUUUUCUCAAAAUCAAUAAAAAGAAUUUCACUGAGAGAAAAAUAGUAUAUCAUCAAUCUAAUGACUGCAUUUAUCUUUACAAUCUUCCAAAGGAACAACUUUAUGUUAAGAAGAGGAGAAAUAUUAUAACAAAAUAAUUUUUAUGGAUUCAAACUAGUGUUAUAGACUCUUGUGAGUAAAAGUGUCAAUUCUCAUAAAAAAAAUUGCAAUUUGAUGACAUAAUGACUAAUACAGAGACACUAACAAACAAAUAAAAAUAAUAAUUUGUACAAAUACUCACCUAGCAAAGAGAGGAACGGAUAAAAGGUUCACCACGGUCAAUUUUUUUUCUUUUUCUUGGUUAAUUUUUUUUUUUGAAAAUGAUGAAUAAUGGGAAAAAAAGAAGAAGAAAAACUUGCAAAGAAGCACUUAUAAUGGAACAAGGUUAUGAUGACAAUCCCUGUAUCACACUCUCAAAUAAUAUAAUAUAUCCAUUAUAUUUUGCAUUAUAUAUAUAAACUAAAAGAGUUAGGCUUUUUGAUGGCAUCCAAGUGUAGUUGCUUUUUUCAUCCCGCUUUUUUUGUUUUAUUUUAUUUCAAUCAUUCAAUUUUGUUUCUGUUAUUUUAUCAUGCUUCGAGUUGUCUUUUUCAAUUUGAUUUGGUGCCAGCUUGGGAAUCACCAUUUUAAUUGUGGUUGUGAUUUCUAAUUGUUUGAUAGUAUUUCAAAAGCUGAUAUUAUAGCCUCUUCUAUAUGUUAUUUUCAGAAGUUACAAUUUAUAGCUUUUCAAAAGCCAUAAUUGCCUGUUUGUUUCUGCGUUUAAAAAACGUUUUUUAAAAAAAAAUUAAAUUUUUUUAAUUUUUUAUUAACUUUAAAUUAAUAUAUUUUUACUAUUUUUAAAUCAUUUUGAUGUGCUGAUGUCAAAAAUAAUUUUAAAAAAAUAAAAAAACAUCAUUGGCAUACAUUUUAGCACGAAAAGUUAUUUGAAAAACAACCGCAACCACAUUGUCAAAUUUCCAAAUAGAUUCUUGAUAGAGGGUUGUUUUGAUCUUGAGUGUUGUGCUUGCAAAGGAAUUACAAUUACUUUACACAUUAUAAUUAUAAAUUACUGUUUAAAACAAUUAAGAGAAAGGACCAAUAAUAUAGAGUGAGCAAAUGAAAGCAUAAAUUUAGAUUUUAUUGUGACAUAGAGAUUAGGUAAUCAUGAAAGUUGGUAAUAAUAUACUGUGAGCAAAGGAACCUGCUCGAAAAAACCAUUCAACAUGAGAUUGCUCUGCUAGGAAAACAUGAUAUCAGCAUCAAACUUUUGAACAAAUAGUGGAGCAUCAAGUCUCAGUCAUCUUGAAGUAUGUCGACAACAAGUCACAUAAGCAUAUGCAAUAGAAACAGAGCAUCAAACUGACAGAGAAAACAUACUGAUACCCUUAUUCACACAGAAAACAUACUGAUAGAUAAGUCGAAAUCUUCUAUGGUAAAUAAGACUGUUACAAUGUGAAGCCAAUUUGUAUCCCAUUGCCAAUGGAACAGUAGGAAUUACUUCCCACCAAUCAAAAACAUAUCUGCAGCACCACAGCUCAAAGACAUGAAUCUCCGUGAAAUCGCCUAUUGAGGAGUUGAUCGUGUAACAACCAACCAACCUUGCCUCAAGCAAACACGAAGAACAAAGACCAUCCAUGCAUAUUUAAUUCACCCAUUAAAAGUUGAAGGAUAAGGAGAGAAGAUAAAUAAUCAUAGCCAUGUUACCUAGUCAGGGCAAGGAUGAAUUAUUAGCAUGUUUCUCAAAUCCCAAUCCCAAACUAAUCAUUUCUCUUCAUUUUGUUGUGCUCAGCGAAGGAACUACCAAAUCUUACUGAAAGUAUUUAAGUGAAGACAACAAAUAGAUGUGUACUGUUUUAUUUGAACUGAAAAGAAUUGAUUGCUUACAGAUCAUUGCAAUCCUUACAAAUAUAUAGUAAACCAAACAAACUGAAUUGCUAACUUAAAGCACCAAAUCAUGCAAAAUGCUACCAUCAUUACCUUCAAAUCUAUAGUUAAUUCCAUUUUUCUAUAAAAGACAAAACCAUCAGUAUCCAAUAGUUGCCGACUUCACCACGGGUUCAACAUUUUUUUGACAAGUUGGGAUUCGAUACUAAUGAGCAUAUUUUCUUAAGUUGAAAUAGUGCUACCCAAUCUAGGUUACAGUGGGUUGAUGAAUUAAAGAGCAGUUGUUAUUUGACACUGCAAUUAGAUGGCUCAUAUUUGAUUUACGGAGCUAUGAUAUGGGAAUCGUGCUUGUAUCACAUAUAAAAAUAUUUACAUAGUAACAAGCAUUAUUAAAGAUGGUACACUAGUAAGUUUCCAAAUGCUAUCAACAAAUAUUAUAACCUCUUAAUUUAUACAAGGAUUGAGCUAAAUUGCAUACAAGCAAUCCCUAACUUUGGUAGUUUCUUUGUGUUAAAAAUGGAGACUUCUUGGUGUUUGCCGGAACUCCAACUUGGGUAUACCUUUUGUGAACAAGAAACAAGGUAAAAACAUCUUUCAACGAUAUCAAAUCAUUUAUUCAUAUAAAGUAUUAGUGUUGUCAUUUAAUUUCACUACAUUGAAGAAAAUUCUGAUUUGAUACCAAUUCAUGCUUGGCACGACUGUUACAUGACACCUGGGAUGCUCAGCAACACUACAUCCACAAUCAUGACAACGAACACUGAUGCAGCCUCGAAAACAUCAAAACACUAUUUGCUUUGGUAGUAGUAUUGACUGCAAACUUGGUUGACCAACAGAAUCCCUGCCUUCAGCCAACCCCAAAUUUGACUAUCAUCGUAUAAUAUUGAUCGUCACAUUAUAUUUUCCAACUUUUAAUAGGAUUUUAAGGACAAGUUACAGUUGAAAGCUAAUAUAACAACCUUCUUAAAUUCACAUCCUACCGACCAUUAUGGCUAUUAGCUUCCAACCAUUCUCCAUGUUUCACUUUUCUUCAAGUAUUUUCACCAAAAUAAAGCUUCAACCUUUAAAGUUUUGCUUAUAAAGUCAAGAUCCAUGGGGAUUAUUUAAGAUUUUAUGGGAAGCAUUUCAAAUAUUUUAUGUUUUUUUUUUUUUUAAAUAUUGUUAUAGACAUAGAAUCAACAAGAUUGUGUGACAUUCUAUAUUGAUUUUGUGAUAUUUUAAUCACUAAAAGUAUGGUUUCAGAAAGAUAAAAACCAAACAAAAAAUUGAAAAAAUUAAAAAUUUUCAAACCAACAGAAUCCAACAUAUUGAUCAGUUUUGGUCUGAUUUGAUUCGGAUAUUUUUUAGCUGAAACAAUUAAUAACCAUUUUCAAAAGGUAAGUAUUGACAAGCCUUUCACGAAACCAUGUUCAUUUAUGCUGAAUCAAUCCAAAUCAGGUUCAGGUUGCUAACUCAAACUAACAUAAUCCAAAAUUGAAUGCACACAGACUCUGGGUUGUUUCAGUUUAAUGAUUUUUAGAAAUGUCAAACUGAAACCGAACCGAAAUAUAUGAAUAUUUCUAACUGAGACGCCCCCAAAUACUAAAAAAAUGAUUGGUUUUGUUUUGUUUAGUUUGGUUAUAGCAGAUACCCCUAACAAUCUGCUUUUUCACUCGACAUCAAACAACAAGCACUAAUAUUAUGUCUGUAAGUAAAUUACUAUAAAGUAUAAAAAUAUAUGUGGAUAAUUGAAAAUUUGCUUAGAGUUGCUAAUAAUUCACAACUGCAACAACCAACACGACCAGGUAAUGCUUGGGAAUGGGAUCAUGUAAUGCCCGGGAAUGGGCCUUGGUGCACAAUCAUGAUUGUAACCAUGAUUUAAAAUCAUUUCCACACUAGACUAUCCAAGACAAUUGGUAUUGGAUUGUUAGCAACAAUUCAGUUUAUAAUAAUAAUAAUAAUGUUGAUUCUUUUAUCUCCUACUUAAUGCAAGUGUCCAUCGUGUGCUGAAAUUGAUUGUUUACCUCAUAUUUCUUUUAAAGGUAGAGAUUUCUUGGUUGACAAUGGGAAAAAGUAAUCGCAUGGUUAUUUUCCAUAAGAUUCAUUUGAGUAAAUAUUCUCUAUUGGAGGUCAAUUUCAUCGAAGCAAUUACUUCAAGGAACACAUCCUAACUAUCAACCUCUAAGUAGUCAUCUCCCUUAUCCUAAUUUUUUAUUUCCUAAUAAAAUCUCACGGUUUUUCAUCAUGUUCAAAGGAAAAGUUGACGUUGCAAAUGGUGCUCUAAGGAACCAAGUCAUCCUAGAACUAAUCAUCCACCUAAUCUCAUCAACUCCUUGUUGCACAAACAGCUUGUCUCACUUAAAGGGGAUUUUAAUGAUGAACAAACACCAACUCCUUGUUGCUCAAAUACAUAUGCUCAUUUAAACACAAUUUUGCAUUACCUAGAACUGACAAGGCCUAAAAUCCCGGAAAUAGAAUUUUGUUUUAAAGGAACUUCAGGAUUUCUAUAUAGGAUGCUUGACCUCAUUAAAGACAAACUGACGACAUCCGUCCGUAACAUAAAUUAUCUUCCUUGCCCCAAAGUCAGCACAUAAAAACCUUGUUCACUAUAAAGGCUCUGAAUGUUUUUCCUAAAUUUCAUGAUAUGGCAUUCAGCAUUCUUAAGCAAACUACAACUGCAUAAGGCUUGUACAUGUAGGGGAGACGUAGGAAGAACUGCAUGAAUUUGAUCUCAAAGGGGUACCACCUCAUAUGCCUACAGGAGAUACAUGACCAGUGAUGGUUGUUCUAUCCACAAAAUUAGCUAACAUACGACUAUUUUAUUCAACUACCAUUUCAGGAUAUGAGUUCUCCUAGCCACACUCAAAAGCCCUAGCCGCUAUAUGAACAAAGCACCUAAAAAAUUAAUCACCUACCUAAUCUAAUUCAGGAAAUUUUGGUCAAAAUCUCCUACAAUGAAACGAGUUAUUUGAAUGCAUAGACAGGAAAUUCAGGUAAACACACACACACCCCCCUGAUCAUAAAUUUCCUAAAGAAAUUCUGAAUUGUAACAUUGGUAAACAAAGUGUGACAAUAUCAUCACAUUAAAAAUGCAUUUCACUCAAAACAAAUACUAGCUCAAGAAAAAAAAUUGCAAGAAGCCAAUAGAGAAUAAAGUAAGCAGUCCAUAAACAAGAGACAGAGAGACAUUGUUCCAAUACAGAAAAGUAAUUAAAACCCAACAACUAAAACUGAGAAAGAAUCAAACCAGUGAGUAACUAAUCCUUUUAAAGCAUUCCAAGAAUGGCAACCAAAUGUAACAUAAUCAACCUGCAAAAACAAACACAAAAAGAAUUAGAAGAAGAAACCCCAUUAGUUAAUAAGUUAAAACAGCAGCAGCAGCAAAAAGACUCAAAUUUUAGUUAUUUGGACUUGAGAAAAAGCACUGAACCCUCUGUGAAAAUGCCAUGAAAGGGGUGCUAAGAAACCAGGAAAAUAAAAACUUUUAAAAGGGUGUUUUUACAAAGCAAGAAAGAAGCUAGGAAGCAAGCCAGCCUACCCUCACGAACUCUGUUUGUUAAUUGUUUUUUCUCCUUUGAAGUGAAAACAAAAAAAGAAAAAAAAAACGAAGAGCACCCGGAAAAUCUAGUCAGAAAUAUUUUAUGUUGUUGUCUUGGAGUGACGCAGAUACCGAGGAACAGUUGUGGGGCCACCAUUGGUGAGCAGUGAUACAGUGGCAAGUAUGUGAAAUAACGCAUAUUACAGUGCGCAAUGAUAGAGUGAGUCUGGGUGGACAAACUUUUGGUGGUACACGUGGUGCUUAAUGAUUUGACGGCUAUGGAGAGAAGUUACAUGAGGGAAAUAAGAUGGAAAAAGUGGCCUCUCUAGAUUUUGGAAAUGUUCUCUGAAGAAAGAAAGAAAAUAAUUUCAAAGGUGGACAAAAAUAGGGUAAUAUCAGAUUUGGAACAUAAUCUUGGUUGGUGAAGAAUAACAUAAUCUAAGGAGAAAUCUAGGGAAAGCCAGUGAGAUUUGAGCUUCGAUUUGGGACCAAUUUAUAGCUGGAUAAUACCAUCAUGGGUUAUCAGAUUCUGUGUGUGUGAGGCUGCCAUAUGUUUCUUUCUUCUAUGAUGGAUAAAAAACGCUAAGCAAUUAACCCACCUAGUAAAAAAGGUAUUAUGGUUAUGAUAAAAACUCUACAGCCUGUGAUUCUAUUUUUGAAGAUAUUCUUAUUAUAUUUAUAAUUAUAAGAAUCUUUAAAAAAGACACGGGUAAAAUAUUAUUCUCACAUCACUAUUCACUGGUGUUAUCGGCUUAAAUUGAUAGAUAAUUAAGUAAAUUUAUUGAGGAAAAGCAAAAUUUAAAUAUAGAUAAUCAAAGUGAAAACAAAAGCGCAAAAAAAGAUGGUAGUUUCAUGAUUGAAGUUAAAAAUUCACUUUGAUUCUUAUUUUUUUUUAAUCAAUAAAAAAUUCGGCAGAGUUUUCUCUAUAUUUUUAGGUAUCAAGUUAUCGACUUUUCAUCUACAAUCCCUAAUUAUCAAAUUUCUUACUCAUCCUAUCAUCCAGGACUUCCUCCUCUCAUUACAUCACAACUUCUAAAUAAUCAAAUUCACACAUGUCUAAACAAUUCAAUAUCCCACAUUUACAUGGAUACAAUCCAAAGAAUUGUUCUACAAAUUAUAACUGAAGUACAUUACACAAUUCAAAAAUUUACAAAUAAGGACCAUUAACGAAAUUAUAAUCGAAAUAAGUACGUAAUUAAAGAAGAAAUUCAUAAUUAAGAUUAUACUACACAAAAGAGCUUUCGAUAAACUGUUGACGCAUUAUAUUACAUAACAAAAUGAUAAAUUCAUUCAUUACAAAAAAAAAAAUACCAAACAAAAUAUAAGAAAACUAAUCUACUGUUCAAUCCGAUAGGGGGAUGUACCUGAAAAUUAAUUUAAUACAAUAAUUCGAUUAGACAGAUGAAGAAAAGAUAUCCAUAAAAUUCUUUUUACUUUCUUUCUUUCUUCCUUUUUUUUUUUUUUGAAAAUUUAGUCAAAAGAUCAUUAAAUUAACUUGCUCAUAUAGUAUUAUAUAUAUCAAUUAAAUUUCAGAAUAAUCUAUUAGUUUGUUUUCUUUUUCUUUUUUAACAUCAACCAAAAAAAUAAUUAUUCUCAUCGCCCAAUUAACCCGGCAUUACUUUCACUAAUAGAUGAUUAAUUUUCCACCAGUCCAUUCAACAAGCACUAUUGUCAUCAAUCCAAAAAUUAGUUUAACGUUUAAUCCAUUCAUCAGGGUACAAAUCCCAUUAACCAGGAAAAUUAAUUCUUCAUCUCGCCUAUUAAUUUGUCAGGGCACUAAUUCUAUUAAAUCAGGAAUUAGUUCAACAAUUUACCCAUUAACCAAGGACUUAAUUCCUCAUCACGCCCAUUCACUAGGACAUUAAUCCCAUUAGUUCAAGAAUUAAUUCAUCACAUCGCAUAUCUUAUUUUUUAAAAUAAACAAUAAAAUAAUUACUAAUUUAUCAACCAUAAUUAAUCAAAUAAAAAUACAUAUUAACCAAUAAUAAAUUCGGGCACCGUGUAAUUACCUAACGACUAAGCUCGAGCUGAAAUUCCCUGCUGUGGUGUCAGCCUGACAGCUUCUCUUGAAUUGACAAAUAUAUCACAUCAUUAUUCUACUUUCCAUAUUGAAACACUCAAUAAAUAAAAUCAUUCCAAUUAUCCUUUUAUUUAUCAAAAUAAAAUCAUUUUGUAAAUUUCCUUCCUAUUCUUCCAAUUUCCACAUUGUAACACAAUUCAUUUCAUCAUUCAAAUCAAUAUAUAUAUAUAUUCUUUAAAUUUAUUUAUUUAUUUUUUACCGUAAUUUAAAUCAAAGAAAAACAUAAAAACAUUUCAUGAUCUAUUCACUCUUUAACAUUAAUAUCAUCUCUUUCUUACACAAUCUCAUCAUCUUAUCAAAAUUCUUAAAUUUUUAUUUUUCUUAUUAUUAUUUUUCCAAAAAUCCCUUCUUCAAGAACACCUAAAAUUUUGCUUUAAUUACCAUAAUUUCUUACUUUCUCUACUCACUUCAAUAAUCUUAACACAAUUUCACAAUCAAUUGUAAUUUUUCAUAAAAUUUAUCAUGAACCCUAAUUCUUCAAUUCACAAAGUUCAAUCAAUUUAAAACAUAAAUUCUUCAAGAAUCUUAUUUAAAAGUGUAAGGGCACCUUACCAAGCAAUAACCAAAGCCUUAACACUUUUAAAUUAAGAAAUUUUCCUUGCUUGAAUUUGUUUUUCCUCUCCUAGCCGAAUGCUUCCUUCUCUUUGAAAAAGCAAGUUUGUUCUUUUUUUUUUUGGCUUCCUUACAACACACACUCACUUGCACUCAUAUAUAUCAAUUUUUUCUCCCCCCCCCCUCCCCUUCCCCCCCACACUUACACACAUAUAAUUACUUAACUUUUAAAAAAUGCCUUUUAUAUCCCUCAAUACUAAAUUUUAUGAUUUUUGGGUAAAAUUUCAUGAAUCCUGACUCCUGUUUAUACCAAAUUUUACACGGGUUAUUUCAAAUUUCACUCAAUUACUCGUUAGUACUUUCAGUUUCAUGAAAUUCACUUUCAUAAAAAUUCUAUUCAUAUUUUUGUGUUUUUUUAUUUAUUUUUAUAUAUAUAUUACUAUUUAUCUGGUAUCAGAGCCUAUUGGGAUCUGGGUGGGAAUAGUAACAUAAAAGCCAGUAUUCUUAGAAAGAACAAGAGACCAUUAGACUAUAGGUAUGCAACUGAAUGGUGUAAGUCCCGUUUGAGUUUUAGGGCAAUAAAUCCAUAUAACUUGCAGCGUGUUCCCUAGUUUAUCUUUCCUUUCUAUGGAUUCCGUCUUUCACAGGACUACUUCUCUUUCAGCUUCCUCUACCUCUGAAUCUUCUGAAAGCAGAAGAAUAGUACAAAGUGAAGAGAUAACUAUUGAAGACUUUACAAAAAACAUUGAUGACUGGAAAAUUCCAAAAAUUUCUCAAACUCAGAUUUAUCAAAAAUCUAAAUAUGAUAUUUUCAAAACAGAUUUUACUAUCAAAACUGAAGAGCGAGAUAUUCAGCUUACCAAACCUUUUGAAACCAUUCAACUCCUCUCUCAAAAAUCCUUACAAAAACAUCUAGCCCGAAACUAUAAAUAUAUUCAUGUUGGCCUUGUCCAGAUUGGAAUAAAACCCCUUACAAAAGAAGGCUUAAACACCUCUAUUCUAGCUGUCCUCCGUAAUGCUAGAUUUCAAAACUUCCAAGACUCCCUCCUCAGUUCUAUUGAGUCUAGUCUUUGCAGUGGGCCGAUAUCAUUUGACUGUUAUCCAAACAUAACCAUACCCCUCAAAGACAAAAAUAUCUUGCAGAGUAUGCUACUACAAAUAAAGACCCACAACUAUGACAUGCUAAAAGGAUCUAUCCCUGUUGCUCUCAUAUUCAAAAUCCAUUACAAAGCCAUGUUCUCAGCCUUUGCCAGCAAAGACAAAUUCCAAUCUCAAAAAGGUGAAACACUCCUACUACAAACAGAUUUAUCCCGCUCAAACACUGUUGUCCCAAAAGCAAUCCAAUGGAAAGACAUAUCCCUACCAGAAGAUUGGAUCCUUGAAGGUGCAGCACCACCAGAACUACCACCACCACCUCAACCCAAUGUCCAAAUUAAAAAUAUUACCCAAUAUACAGAUGGAAAAGUGAAACUGUCUUUCCACCGACACUCUACAAGUUCCAGAUUCUCAGAAGCCUCUUCCUCUUCCAGUACAAUAGAUUUGGGAAGAAUUUCCAAAAUCCCUUCUGUUAUCAAUAUCCCUUAUCACGAAAACCUUCCAAGAAAAUCUACAUCCGAUAUCCCUUCUCCUAGUUUCCAAAAUGCAGACUAUACUACAAAUAUACCAAAACCUGUCUAUACAAACCUUGAGCAACCAUCUCCUCCAACUUCACCGACCUUUUCAGCUAUUACUGAAAAUAUCCAAAACGAGCUGAAUGUUUUGACUUCAGAGAAACAUUUCGUUCUUGACAAAACACUUUUCAAAAAGGAUUUCUAUUCGGCCUGUAACUCUACAAAACGAAUUUGGUUUUUUCAAAACUUUCUCGAGCAAAGAAGUGAAAUACAAAAACAAUUUUAUAAUUUCAUUGAGCUACAUAAAAUACAAAUUCUAUUCUUUGAUUGAUUCGAAUUAUAUUAUGCAUCUGAACAUCACAUUUCAUAUCCUUUUGCAUCAAUUAAGCAUGCAUGCCCGGUCACAUCCAGGUCAAAAACCCAUGUAUGGAACCUCACCAGUGGACCUACAGUUGAGUCUGAACAUCCACAUUUGAGAAAUAUCCAAAUAACCCAUAAUAACCAGACUGUCGAGGCAGCCCCUUACAAAAUAUCCACUGAUGACACCCUUUCCAAUACAAAACACAUCAUUAACCAAAACAACUUUACAAACACCAACCUUAAUACCUUGGGAAAACAGCUUACACGGCUUGAGAAACAAAUACAAAGAACUGCUACAAGUUCAGCUGGCAUUAAAACCUCAACCGACUUAAAGCUAAAAAACCCAGUCUUCAAACCCUACCAAAUUACAAAAACCAGCCAAACACAGAUCCAAGAAAACCAAACAGAUUUUCUUAAAGCUAUUAAAACGCAUCUACAACACCUUGACAGUUCAUCUUUAACUGUCCCUGACACACCACAAAUAACCAACCCUUCUACCUCUACAAAUCAAGUCAACACUUUACAGAAUAGUCCUCAGGAAUCUUCUGAUGAAGGUACUUCUCCACGAAAACCUCUUACCCUAAACAGACUUACCUGGCAAACUCCCAAAACAACCAUUGCCCCAGACAUUUCCAUAACUACUGAACCAACUAUUCUUACUCAACACAAGUAUAAUGCCUCUUCCCUCUAUGAAUGGAAUAUAGAUGGAAUGUCCGAAUAUAAUAUCCUAAACACUCUCCAACAAAUGACCAUGGCAGCGAAUGCUUACAAAACCCAGACAGGAACCCCAGAUAAAGCUAUUGCUGAGCUCCUUAUUAAUGGUUUCUCCGGCCAAUUAAAAGGAUGGUGGGAUUACCAUCUCACUGACACUGAUCACCUGCAUAUCCUAAACUCCUUCCAAACAUAUGAGGACCAAACACCCAUCCUUGACCCAUUCGGAAACACCAUCCAAGACGUUGUGUCAACCCUUAUUCUUACAAUUUCCCUACAUUUUGUUGGAGAUCCUUCACAUUUGAAAGACAAAAAUGUUGAACUCCUUUCCAACCUUAGAUGCAAGAAACUAAGUGACUUUCAAUGGUACAAAAACACCUUCCUUACCCGUGUCAUGCUUAGGGAAGAUUCAAACCAACCCUUUUGGAAAGAAAAAUUCCUUGCAGGACUACCUAUUCUCUUAGGAGAAAAGGUUAGAAACAAAAUCAAAGAUACCUUCACAACAAAAACCAUCCCAUAUGACCAGCUCACAUACGGUGAACUUGUAAGCAUUACUCAAAAGGAAGGUCUGAAGAUCUGUCAAGAUCUUAAACUCCAGAAGCACCUAAAGUGGGAAAUGAAACGUACCAGGCAAGAACUUGGUAGUUUCUGUCACCAGUUCGACCUUUCCACCAAAAAACCCUCCUGUAACGGAAACUGUUCACAUCCCAAAAAAUAUUCAAGCCAGAGACCUCCUUAUAAACGAUCACUACAUAAAAACCGACAACAAUUCUAUUCUAAACCAGAUCAACCUUACUACAAAAAGCCCUAUAAAUUUACCAAGCCCCACAAACCUUUCCAGUCGAAACCUAAAACAAAAUUUGAUCCCAAAAACAUUACCUGUUAUAAAUGCAACCAGAAAGGACAUACAUCCCGUUUCUGCAAGGUCAAUACUAAACUUCAUGAACUCCAAAUAGAUGAAGACACCAUCAACCAAAUACAAAAUCUCUACAUUGAGGCUACAGACACUGACCACUCUCCUUCAGACACUUCUGAAGAAGAAUUCCAAAUCGAUGAAAUAGCAACCACCAGUGCUACUUCAGAUGCCUCUACAAAUUCCAAACAAUUCAACGUCUUGACCCAAGAUCAAGAGUUCAUUCUUGAGGCUAUCAAACGACUUGAUGAUCCUCAACUUCAAAAAACCUAUUUGGAUAAAUUAUUGAAAGACUUCAGCCAACCGGAGCACCCCCAGUCUAACCGCUCUAUAUUAACUUCUGCCAGCACCAAUACCUAUGAUCUUACAAAAAUUCUUGGCAGAAAGAAAUCCAAAACCACAGUCACCAUUCCAGAACUACAGUCUGAGAUAAAAACCCUCAAAUCAGAAUUGCAAAUCCUCAAACAAGCCCAACAGAAAGACUCUGCCAUACUACAACAUCUUCUGUCCAAAAUUGAAAGCCCGUCUGAUACUGAGUCUGAUACAGAGGAUCAAACCAUUGAAUCUCAUGCAUUACCACAUACACUUACAAAUAUUGAGCAUAUUCCAGAUGAUUUCUUAAACGUUCUAACCCAAAUAUCUUCCAAGAAAUAUUUAAUUCGAAUUACUCUUGUUUUCUCAGAAGAUUUCAAGCUUGAUACUAUUGCCUUAUUUGACACAGGUGCAGAUUUGAACUGUAUCAAAGAAGGCGUGGUUCCAAAAAGAUUUUUACAAAAUACCUAUGAAAAACUCUCUGCUGCUAACAAUUCCAAAUUACACAUUGCAGGCAAAACCCAAGCCUCUGUUUUCAAUAACGACAUUUCUCUUAAAACAUUUUUUGUUGUUACAAAAGACAUCAAUCAUACCAUCAUUCUUGGCACUCCAUUUAUUGACAUGAUCACUCCAUAUCAAGCACGUCAUAACUGUAUUACUUCCAAAAUUAAUAACACCAAACUUGUUUUUUCAUUCUUAGAAAAAUCUAAGACUAGGAAUUUAAAUUUAAUUAAAGCAUGUUCCAUACAUACCUGUCAUAUCAAUGCACUAAUUCAUGGGAAACAAUUCCAUCUACAUGAUUUACAAAACCAUGUUUCUUUUUGUCGUAUCAACAAACAAUUACAAAGUUCUGAUUUACAAAAGAAAAUCAUUGAUUUCCAAAAUAAGAUUGAACAACAGAUAUGUUCAGACUUACCCAAUGCUUUUUGGAAGCGAAAACAACACAUCGUUGAUCUUCCUUAUGAAGAUACAUUUUCAGAAAAACUAAUCCCUACAAAAGCAAGACCUAUACAAAUGAAUGCUGACUUAGAACAGCAUUGCAGACUUGAAAUCCACGAUCUCGAGUCUAAAGGUCUUAUCCAAAAGUCUAGAUCACCCUGGUCGUGUGCGGCCUUUUAUGUCAAUACAAAUUCUGAAAUUGAAAGGGGCACACCAAGACUUGUGAUCAAUUACAAACCUCUCAAUUCUGCUUUAAAAUGGAUCAGGUAUCCAAUCCCAAACAAAAAAGAUUUAUUACAAAAAUUGCACUCCGCAUUCAUAUUUUCUAAGUUUGAUAUGAAAUCUGGAUUUUGGCAAAUCCAAAUUGAUCCCAAAGAUAGGUACAAAACUGCUUUUACAGUUCCUUUUGGCCAAUAUGAAUGGAAUGUCACUCAAAAAUACACCAUCCGAAUUUCAACGCAUCAUGAAUGACAUAUUCAAUGCACAUUCAAAAUUCUGCAUUGUUUACAUUGAUGACGUGCUCAUUUUUUCACAUUCCAUAGAACAACAUUUCAAGCAUCUACAUAUAUUUUUUCAUACUGCCAAACAAAAUGGUUUAGUUGUUUCUAAAACAAAAAUUUCUCUUUUUCAAACCCGUGUCCGUUUCCUCGGUCAUUACAUCUGCCAAGGUACCGUAAUACCAAUAGAGAGAUCUUUAAACUUUACAAAUAAAUUUCCUGACAAAAUCACUGAUAAAACCCAAUUGCAAAGAUUCUUAGGAAGUCUUAAUUAUGUCUUGGACUACUAUCCCAAUAUUAGUCGUCUAUCCAAACCCUUACAUGACAGGUUAAAAACCAACCCCAUUCCUUGGUCUGACCUCCAUACCAAUCUAGUCAAACAGAUUAAGAAACAGGUCCAAACUAUUCCUCUCCUCCAUUUAGCUAACCCUUUAGCCCCUAAGAUUGUUGAGACUAACGCCUCUGACCUAGGGUAUGGUGGAAUUCUUAAACAGUUACAAGAUAACAAAGAACAAAUAAUCCAGUACACAUCUGCCCACUGGAAUGACUGCCAGAAAAAUUACUCUACUAUUAAAAAGGAAAUCCUUUCAAUUGUUCUUUGUAUUACAAAAUUUCAAAGUGAUUUAUUAAACCAAAAAUUUCUCUUACAUGUUGACUGCAAAUCUGCAAAAGAAGUUCUCUAAAAAGAUGUCCAAAAUCUUGCUUCCAAACAAAUCUUUGCCAGAUGGCAAGCCAUUUUAAGUAUCUUUGAUUUUGAUAUUGUUUACAUUAAAGGAGAAUCAAAUUCCAUCCCUGAUUUCCUAACCCGAGAAUUCCUUCAAAACAGGUCUUGAUGCCUCCUAAAGCAAAAGCCAAGGACAAGGGAAAAGCCCCUCAAACACAGCCUACAAAACCAGAGAGCCCCAAGCCUUCUACAAAACUCAUGUCUUCCGCCAUCCUCGCUGCCAAGCCUAUCAAAUCUUGGUAUGAGGCAGUUAUUGAAGAUGAAGAAACUACAAAACCACCACAAGUACAAACAGACGCAGUUCAACAUUGGGUUGACACUAUAUCCAAAUCGCCAGAAUUACUCCUGGCAUUGCAAAAAGUAUCCCAACAAGCCUCCAGUGACUCCGUGUCUCAAACAGGUAGUAUUUCCAAAUCACUUUCAAAACCCCAAGGAGGCAUUUUAUCUUCAAAACCCCUCCUUUCCUUACAACAAACAAGUUUUCCAAAAACCAAAUCCAAAUAUAUUUUCAAAAAUGCUUUCCAAAACAUUUUAACUAUGGAAGAAGGAUUUUACCAUGAAAACCCUUCCAUUGCUGCUUCAAAAAUAUUCCCUCCAAAAUGGCACUAUAAACCUUGAAAUCUAGCUCAACCACAAUCCUAUUAUGCAACUAUCCUUGAAAUUACCGAUUCUAUCGAAUUCAAACACUUCAAAUUACAUUCUGAUCACACUGAACCAGCUUACUCUACAUGCAUUAUUCACAAAGUCAUCCACCCUAAAGAUUGGGGACAACCCCUGCAUCAACCUCUCUCCUUCCCAAUACAAUACCGCACAAGCCCCCAAGACUUCAAUACCUCCUACACAUAUUGGGAUUACCAACAGGCAUGGUUUAAUGCCUUCCUCAUACAAAAUCAAAAUCAUAGCCAUUCUUGGCUCUUCUACUUCCACAAUACCAUGAAUACUACAAAUCUCUCCCUCUGGUUCCUUCAAUGGUGGGACUUUUAUGGUUGUCAUGUUGAUUACCUUAAAGAACAUCCUUUAGUUGAAAAUGGUUAUCUACAUUUCAAAAACAAUUUCCAACCAGCUCCCUCUGAAAGAAAGUUUUCUUCCCUCCUUAUCUUCUAUACAAAAUUUUUUGUUCCGUGGGUAUGUUCAUGGUUCUUUGAUUAUAAUUUACAAAACGGACAUCCAGUACUUAUUCGCAAAUUCAAAAUCAAGUGGUGGGAUUCCUUUGCAGCUGAGUCCAAAAGUUCAAAAUUAGCUGUUACGGAAUGGUUACAAAAACAUCAAACAACUCCCAUCAUCGAUCCUCAUCCUCAAUCAAAGUUCUUAGCCAGAAAGGCCCAAACGGCAGCUCUCCUUGCCUCUGCUAGAACUGAGGAAGAAUACCUACAAAUAGUACAAGGAAUUAUGCAAAGCCAAGACCCAGAAACAGUCUUGUCCCAAUCCAGCUCAUCUGGCUCAACAUCUCCUGCCAUUUCCCUCGACAAUGAUAAUGAAGAUGACUGUUUUGGUAUCCUGCCAUCUAUCACGUGACGUUAAAAAAAAAUAAAAAAAAAAAGAGUAUUUCAGGUCUUUUUAAGGCUCAUCUGUUUAGAGCCCAUUUUGGUCUUUUUUAAUGCUCAUCUGUUUAGAGCCCAUUUUGGUCUUUUUUAAGGCUCAUCUGUUUAGAGCCCAUUUUGGUCUUUUUAAGGCUCAUCUGUUUAAGAGCCCAUUUCUUUUAGACUCAGAUGUUUUGAGUCGUUUUUCGGCCUAUCUGUUUUAAGGCCUUUUUCUACAAAAGUUACUAGUUACUACAAACCCACCAAUCAAGUGUCGGUGGCAAGACGACAACAAACGAAGCUCAACCAAAAACGUGGACAAUUUCCAUUUUGUCGCCAUCCAAUCAAGGCAGACAGCACCACAUGGGCUUCUAUAGGUUCUGCCAAAUGCCACAUAGGUUCACAUGGGUCCUGAAGAGCUUCUCCAACAGGACAAUUUGGCCUCUUCCAUGCCAACUCGCCUAUAAAAGGCCACUUCAAAACCCUUAGAGGGCGGACUAAUCUUUCCCCUAGAAAAAAUUUACUCUCCCCUAAAAAUUUGUAACCCAUUCUCCUCUGUAACCAAUAUCUCCUGUCUUAAUUUUGUUACAAAUUUAAGUAAGAUAAUCUUAUUUUUAUCUACGUUUUUGUUAUAUCUGUUGUUGUUCUUUUUGUUACUUUUAAGUAUGCUCUGUGUUUGAUCAAGGAUCCUGACAUUGUUGGUCUUGCCUUGAUCAUUCGCAUCAGAAAUCUGUUUAUAUUGUUCUUUUCUUUGUUCUUUUAUACAAUCAGUAUAUAGGCUGGAAACCUAUGACCCGAUCUUUUAAAGAUCAUUCUCAGGUAUAACAACGCCACGUACUGUUUACUAUUUAUCUGUUUACUAUUUAUCUGUUCCUGUUUACUAUUAUAUAUAUAUAUAUUAACACCCGAACAAAACACUUCAAUUCAGAUUCUCGAAUAUAUCAUCAUUCUUAUAAUUUAAUUUAUCACUUUCCCUCAUUUUUCGUAAUCUUAACUUUUAUUAAUAUCAAUAAUAUUACCCGAGGUUUUAUAGUCUCAGUUGACACUGAUUUUCACCAUAAAAAAUGGUCGAUUUUUGUUUUAAUGAGUUUCAUUUGAUGAAGAGAGUUUCAUUGAAUUUUUUUUUUCCCUUGAAAUUGCCAAAAAAUUUAUGGUUUUUGGGCUAUUUUAUUAGUUUAUUACAUCAUAAAGACCAUUUUUAGGUGUUUUGGUGUGAACUUUGCUUAAAUUUGCAUUUUCGGGUCAAAAACACCCUGCUUAAUUUUCUAGUCACCUCUCCAAUGGUCAAGAACAGGAAAGUCUCGGUAGGUGACAUGUCGCUUUUUUUUUCAAAAUUAUUUGGAGCAUUUUCAAAUAAAAAAAGGCCCAUAUGUACCAACCCUUUUUAAAAUGGGCUUGAUGUGUAGGCCUGACUUACUAGGCCCAAAAGCACUUGAUCUAUUUCUAUUUUUUAAAAAAUUUUGUUUUCUUAAUUGAUAUUUUUUUUUAUGUAUUUUUAAUGAAUUUUUGAAUUUAUAUUUAAAUUAAUACUUUUCUCUCUAAAUAUUUAGAUUGUUUAUUUAGUUUUUUUUUUAAAUAUAGGUUAUCUUUUACUUAUCUUUUAUGUAUUUAAUAUCUAGAAAAAAUUAUUUCAAUUCAUCUAUAUGGUUUUUUUAUAUUUUAUAUGAAUAAACUUUAUUUUCAUGGCGUGUUUAUAAAAAUAAGAAUUAUUUGUUCUUGGUAAGAAAAAGUGACCUUUAAGAUAAAAAAAAAAAAAGAAGAAGAAAAGGAGAAAAGUGUGUAUGAAGAGGAAAGUUAAGGUUAAGUAUCAUAUUUAUGUAUCUUUUACUUUUAUGAAAAUGAUUAUCAUUUUAUUUUAUAAUUUGAUUGGCAUUAAGAACUCUUUAUUAGUUUAUUAGUUCAUAUUUUUGUAAGAUUUGUUUUUUACAUUUCUCAAUUAAGAGAAUCGUAAUACAAUGAAAUGCACUUGAAACAUUGUCCUAUUUUUCUACUACAUUAAAAAUUAACUUAAGAUCCUAUAUGUGGCACGAUGCGUUAACAACUAUUUUUUGUAUUUAUAAACACUUAUGGUCCUUACUUUAUUUUUAUUAUAUGUAAACAUCAACUUUUUUAUUCACAAUUAUAAUUUUCUCUUGAUUUUUAAAAAUACAUUAACAACAUUUAUACAUUUUUCUUUUGCGUUCAAAACAUUAUCUGACUCGUAGCAAAAUGAAUUAAAUAAACAUGUCAACACUUUUUUUUUGUAUUUAUGAUUAGGAUUUGUUUUUGUUAAAAAUGCAAUUGAAAAGCAUACAAAUUUAUUUUUUUGCUAAAAACAAUUUUGUGAUCCAUAACAAAGUACGAGUUAAAUAACUACUAAUAUGGCUAUAGUAAGUCUUUUAGUAUAUAUGGAUGUAGGAAGCAAUGUGUUAUAUUAUUAGUUAGAUAUAACUUACCUAUUCAUUAUUAAAAAAACAUAAAAUAAAUAAAUAUAUUAAUAGAAACCUAAAAGAGAUCGGCUGAAAUAUAAUAUUUUUGUCCUUUUUUUAUUUUGUUUCACAUUUCUCAAUUAAGAGAAUCAUGAUAUAAUGAAAUGUAUUUGAAACACCGUCCCAUUUUUCUACUACAUUAAAAAUUAACUUCCUACAUGUGGCGCGUUGCGUUAACAAUUGUUUUUGUAUUUAUUAACAUAUAUGAUCUCAAGUUUAUUUUAUUAUAUGUAAAUAUUAACUUUUUUUAUUCACAAUUAUAUUUUUUCCUCUCGAUAUAAAAAAAAUACAUUAACAACACUUAUACAUCCAUUCUUUUGUGUUGGAAAAUAUUAUUUGACCCAUAGCGAAGCGAGUUAAAUAAACACGUCAAUAUCUUUUUUUGUAUUUGUGAUUAGGGUUUAUUUUUUUUUUGUUAAAAAAAUACAUUUGAAAAGCAUUUAUAUUUAUUUAUUUUGCUAAAAAACAUUUCUUACCUUUAGUAAAGUGUGAGUCAAAUAACUACUAAUAUGGCUAUAGUGAGUGUCUUUUUAUACAGUAUACUUGGAUGUAGGUAGCAAUGUAUUAUAUUAUUAGUUAGAUAUAACUUACCUAUUCAUUAUUAAAAAAAACAUAAAAUAAAUAAAUAUAUUAAUAGAAACCUAAAAGAGAUCGGCUGAAACAACAUAGUCUCCAAGAGGAAAUAUUGUGAAUUCACACAAUGUUUACUUUCUUUUUUUUUUGUCCUUUUUUUUAUUCAGUUAUCUUUGAUGAUGAAUUAAUAAAGAUUUGAGAUGGUUUAAUUUCACAAAAUUUUCUUUUAUUGUUUGUAAGAAAUUGAAAAUGAGAAGAUCAAAAUUAAAAUAAAUAAAAAACCAAAUUUUUUUUUAAAAAAAAUAUGGUGUCAACUUUGCUUUUUAUUUUUUGCUUUUAAUCAUCUAUUUUUUUUAUAUAAAAAAAUAAUCUUUCAAUAUUGUGUUAAUUAUUUAUUUAUAAAAAAUUAAUCUUUCAAUAUUGUGUUAAUUAGAAUUUGAAAUUGGUAAUUUUAUAUGAGCAUCUAGAACUAAAUAAAAAGCCGCACCAUUGGUUUGGUGCUCAACUUUACAAAUAAAAAAAAAAAUCGAUUGUAUUGUUUUAGAAAAAAUAAAAAGAUCAAAACUAAAACACGAAAAAAGAAAAGAAAAAAAGGAGGCCUUAAAAAAACAAAUUGUGUCAGCACCUCCAUGCAUUGUAAUUUUGAUAAAUCUUCUUUUUGGUAAUGAAACUUUUUUAUUCAAAACUUUUUGAUUCAAAACUUUAUUUUACUUGUAUUUUAAUUCUUGAGGAUGAGAAAGAAAAGAGAAAUUCAUCAAAAAAUUACUAAGAAAAGAGAAAAUUAGCGAAAGCCAGCAAGGUAUCUGCUCGAAAAAACAAAUGGGCAAGCAAACAUACGCCCUUACUUCUGGAGGCUUGUGCGAUAAUGGGCAAGCAUCAUUGUUUUUUUGGGGGCUUGUACGAUAAUGACUAAACACACAACAUUACAUUACUUCUAGCUUCUUCAGCAAACACAGAUAGAUAAGUCGAAAUCUUCUGUAUUCCCAUUGCCAAUGAAACAGUUGGAAUUACUUCCCACCAAUCUAAAACAUAUUCGCAGCACCAACCUUGAAAUCAUGUAACAGCUAACCAACCUUGCCUGAUGCAAACAUGAAGAACAAAGACAAUCCAUGAUUUAAUUCAACCAUUAAAAUUUGAAGGUAAAGGAGAGGAUAAAUAAUCUUCAGCUAUAUCACCUGGUUUGGGCAAGAAAGAAUUAUUAGACUACCAAUCAUCACCAUUCUUUCCACCCCUUAUCUCGGGUCCACUCUCUAUAAAUGCUUGAAUCUUCAGCUACUUCAGAUACCUGUAAACCAAUUCAAGCAUGGCAUGCUCAUUUUUACUUGUAAAUCUUAUUAUUGAGCCAAACAAGAAACAAACACACUAAAAGAGAGGCAAGAAAUCAAGUCAAAUCAGCAGCACCUCUGAUUGAGCACUCAUUGAACCAUCUGGUGUACUAGCAAAUUUUGUGGUCAGCUUUGGACAUAGAUGGACCUUCAACUUCUCCAAACGAGGGAAUAAGAAAUAAUCACACCAUCCGAAACUAAAACAGACAAUACUUGAUAAUUGAUGUAUCGACAACUCCUUUAGAUUAGGAAGCACUAUCUCCUUCUCAACGUUGAUAGGUGAAGCUUGACCAUCCUGCCCAGGAGGCUCUGGAAUUAUUUCCUUUUCACCAUCCUCUUCUCUGAUAAUAUGCUUCAAUUGACCGCAUUUACCUAUGUAAAGUCUUUCUAGCUUUGGCAGACUUCGAGCGAGGGACGGUGUGAAUAUAAAUGUCAGUUUGUCCAGAGACCACAAAUCCAGAUAAGCAAGACUUUGGAGGCUGACAUGUCUGGUGGGCCCCUUCCACAUGCAUUUGAGCUCAGGUAAACCUGACAGCCGUAACCCUGUUAAAGAUGACAGAAGCGGCAGCUCCUUCUCCUCCCUACUUCCUUCAUCAGGCUCACCUAAUUCAAAUACCUCUUCCAAUGAUUUGCAGCCGUUAAUGUUCACACUGCUUAGAUUUUUCAAAGCUCGCAGCAAUUUUGCUGGAAACGGAGCGCGAACAUCCCCACAAUCGUCCACUCGUACACGUUCUAAUCUAUGUAAGGAGCCGUUUUGCUCCCCAUGGGCGGCCAUCUGAUCAGAGAACAAUAUUAUAUUUUCUCACUCUCAUAAAAACAAUUUAUAUGAUGUAUAAAUAGGAGAAAAAAACAGGAUUAAAUACUUUUUAGAGAUUACAUAUUAUUGUUUUAGUUUUGUUCUUAAUUAGAGAUAAGUUGAAUAAUAAUUAGAUUUUUGUGAAAAAAAGGUUAAUACAACUCCUAAUAAUUAGUUUCAUGUAAAAACAAAAACAAAAAUAAAAAUAGUAACUAAUAUUUUUAUUUUAGUUAUAAAGUUAAUAAAUUUUAAAAGAUAUUUUAAUUGACUUCAAAAUUUUCAACACAAAAUUUAUGCUCUUAUAUAUUAAUAAUUUAUUUGUGAAGUUAUUUGAUGUACUUUUGUAUAAAAAACAUUUUUUAUUACGUGCAAAGUUGUUUAAGUGGACAAACUUGUCUAAUUUUUAUCCAGAUAGAUUACCUCCAAAGUAGUCAAUUUGCUCAGCAGAAGACCCCUCAAGUCAGGCACGGAUUCCAAGCGUAAUUCUUUCAAAUUUGUGAACCCCUGCAUCAAAAGAAAUUUUGUGCACUUUUGAACUAUAUAAUUUUGGUAAAUAGAUGAACGAAUUGUCCAUAUAAAACUUCAGCAAAAAAACUUAUCAACAAAAGGAUAGAAGUAGACAUGGCAACAAGGCAUGGGAAUAUGAAAUCAGAAGUUGCAGAUGGAGGUUUAUCUUCCUCUUCAAAUACUUCUAUUAAUUGGGGGAAGAGCCUCAAUAUCACUUAAACUGGGAAAGCAUAAAGAUUGAAAAAUCAAGGUAGGAUUUCAUUACAAUAAUUAAUUUCUUACUUCUUAAGCCCUGCAUCAAGAGACAAGGAAUGAUAAAGUUAGACAACUCCUUUUAAAUUUAGUGAAUGGCUAAAGGAUUUAUCUCCACUUAUCAAUUACUUCAGUUUCAGAAAUUUGGAGGAGAAAUCAACCUGUAUUGAAGUUGACAAUUUAAAUUAAGAAGAAAAAAAAAUUAUAGGAGAAAUAUAAAGGACGUACUUGGAGCUGUGCAAACAAAUUUCCCAAUUCUUUGUGGCCAUUGAUUUUUAGAAAUCGCAAAGAAGGCAAUUGGGCAGCAAGAUUCGUUGGACCAAAAAAGCUGUAAUUUGAUAUGGAAGAAAGAACCAAGUCACUUAAUCGAGGGAACUUGAUGAUGCCAUCUGUGGUGAGUGCGUCUCCUUCUCCACUGUAAAAUAUUUGCUUUAAAUUGUCAGUACGAUCAAUCGUCAUCAAUUCCAGGUUCGGAAGGCUCGGAGACACAGAGACAGGGAAGACAUAUUCCAGUUUACCACAGUCUUUUAUGAAGAUAGUUUUUAAUCUUGGGAAGCAAGGAGACUCUGGAAUUAUUUCCCUUUCACCAUCCUCUUCUCUGAUAAUAUACUUCAAUUCACCGCAUUCACUUAUCUCAAGUGUUUCUAGCUUUGGCAGACUUCGAGCGAGAGACGGUGUGAGGAUAAAUGUCAGUUUGUCGAGAGAAUUCAAAUACAGAUAAGCAAGACUUUGGAGGCUGACAUGUCUGGUGGGCCCCUUCCAAAUGCAUUUGAGCUCAGGUAACCCUGACAGCAGUAACUCUGUUAAAGAUGACAGCAGCUCCUUCUCCUCACUGCUUCCUUCAUCAGACUCACCUAAUUCAAAUACCUCUUCCAAUGAUUUGCAGCCGUUAAUGUUCACACUGCUUAGAUUUUUCACAGCUCGCAGCAAUUUUGCUGGAAACGGAGUGCGAACAUCCCCACAAUCGUCCACUGCUACAGAUUUUAAUCUUUGUAAGAAGCCGUUUUGCUGCACAUGGACGGCCAUCUUAUCAGAGAACAAUAUUAUAUUUUUUCACUCUCAUGAAAACAAUUUAUAUGAUGUAUAAAUAGGAGAAAAAAAAAAGAAAAAACAGGAUUAAAUACUUCUUAGAGAUUACAUAUUAUUGUUUCAGUUUUUUUUUUCUUAAUUGGAGAUAAGUUGAAUAAUAAUUAGAUUUUUGCGAAAAAAGGGUUAAUACAACUCCUAAUAUAAUAUAAAUUACGUAAACCAUGAGGCAGUUAAAUCUAACAGAAAAUAUAUUUCAAAUGAGGCAGUUAAAUCUAACAGAUAAUAUGUUCUUCCAUAUGAUUAAUUUUUAAUAACGUAGACAACAAUGAGGCAGUUAAGUUUCUUAUAUUUAUAUAUGUUUAGAUAAAAAUAAAAAUAAAAAUGAGCAUUUAUCAAUUACUUUACUUUUAGAAAUUGGGAGGAAGAAAGAAUAAAUUAUCGCAAUUGACAAUUUAAAUUAAGUGGAGAAAUAUAAAUUACGUACUUGUAGCUGUGCCAACCAAUUACCCACUUCUUCGUGGCCUUCAAUGUUUAGUUUCUGCAAAGAAGGCAAUUGAAAAUCAAAAUUCCUUGGACCUAUAAAGCCGUAAUUUGAUCGGAGCCCAAGAGACAAUUGUCUUAGUUGAGGGAACUUGAUGAUGCCAUCUGUGGUGAGUGCAUCUCCUUCUCCACUGUAAAAUAUUUGCUUUAAAUUGUCAGCAUAAUAAAUCGACAUCUGUUCCAGGUUCGGAAGGCUUGGAGACAUGGAGACAUGGAGACAGGGAAGACAUAUUCCAGUUUACCACACCGUUGUAUGAAGAUAUUUUUUAAUUGUGGGAAGCAAGGAGACUCUGGAAUUAUUUCCCUUUCACCAUCCUCUUCUCUGAUAAUAUGCUUCAAUUCACCGCAUGCUGUUAUGUUAAGUGUUUGCAGUUGUGGUAGACUUUGAGCGAGGGACGGUGUGAAGAUAAAUGCCAGUUUGUCCAGAUACCCCAACUCCAGAAAAUUAAGACUUUGGAGGCUGACAUGUCUGGUGGGCCCCUUCCAUAUGCAUUUGAGCUCAGGUAACACUAACAGCCGUAACUUGGUUAAAGGUGACAGUAGCGGCAGCUCCUUCUCCUUACUGCUUCCUUCAUCAGCCUCACCCAAUUCAAAUACCUCUUCCAAUGAUUCACAGUUGUCAAUAAACACCUCCUUCAGAUUUUUUAAACCUUGCCGCAAUCUUGCUGGAAACAGAGUGAAAACAUCCCCACAAUCCCUCACUACUACAGAUUCUAAUUUAUGUAAAAACAAUUGCUCAAAUGUCUUCGCAUUUAAGGAUGUACCAGCCCAAUAAAAUCUUGUCGAGGUUGAUGAAUAAUACUCAUAGCCUAAAGCAUUCCCUAAUGUUAUAUCAUAUUUGCGCAAGCUAACUGGAAAAACAAAAUCUCUGGGAAUGCGUUCAACCUUCGGUAUCCUCAAUGAUAAUACGGCUAACUGAGACAACGAAUUUAGUUCUGUUAGGUUUGCAUUCAUUCCACCUGUGCUGUCACAUCCAACGACAUCCCAUCCCUGAAAGCUGUAUUGCCCAAUCAACAGCUCUUCUAAUUUCUUCAACCUUCCAAUCAAAUUCACAGGGAUCCUUCUUAGCCUUUGACAACCUGUCACAUCCAACAACCUUAACUCCUUGAGCUCUCCUAUUUCAUCAGGUAAUUCUUCAAUGGAUAAGCACGACAUAAGACCAAGAAUCUUAAGUCUCUGCAGCUUUCUCAACCAAAUGAGGUCCUUGCAUCCACACCUAAUCAACACCAACGAUUGAAGUUUCGUUGAGAGUUCAAGUGAUUGCAGCGACAAACGCCCUCCCUCCAGAGACAAAACUUCAAUUUCUUUCAUCCCUUCAAAAAACCUCUCUGGAACAUUCAUACCAUCUUCCAGUUCUAAUAAUAGAACUUUGAGCUGUGGACAUACCAAUCCUUCAGGAAGUUCUGCUAGUUUAUUGCCCAUUAACGAAAUUGUUGUACAACCUUCAAAGCUUUUGUUUCUCAUUGGCCACUUCUCCAACCCAAUGCCAGCCUUUACGAUGAAUCCAUAUUCUUCUGAUGAUGCUAUCUGAAUAGCAAAGUCACGAACCAAGUCAUGCAUUCUCACAUGUUCUUCAGUUUCAGUGCCCAACAGCAUGCAACAAUCUUUGAGGUUUUCGAUGGCCACAGAAACUCGUUUCCUUGCAUCUUCAAUGGGCUCCGCAUCUUGAUGUAACCCAUAGCCAACUGCAUAUCUCGUCAAGUCCUCGAUUGGAAUGUCAUAAUCUUCUGGAAAUAAACAGCAUAGCACGAAACAUGACUUGGUUUCCUCGUACUUCAAAUAAUCAUAGCUCAACUUAAGACAUGUGUAAGCAUUAUUUUGUUCAUCAAUUUGUUCCAUGCGCACAAAGUGAGAUUCUUUGAGCUGUUUAGACGCUACUUCCCACUGAACUCGUGAUUUACCUCUUAGAGCCCUUCCCACUGUCACAAGUGCUAUAGGCAAGCCUUGGCAUUCUCUCGCAACCUCCCUUGCCACUGUGUUCAAGGUAGAGUCCCCAUCACGUAAACCUGCAUUGAUUCUGAAUAAAUCCGAUGCUUCAUCUUCAGGUAAGACUCUUAAAAGCACUUUUUGCUGGCACUCCAUAGAAAAACAUAUGCCUUGAACACGUGUUGUUAGAAGAAUUUUACAACCCCUGUGAUCAUCACCAAAUGGGAUCCCUAUCUCUUCCAAGUCAAUAUGUUUCCAAACAUCAUCUAGGAUUAUAAGCAUCUUCUUUCCCUGCAGUCUCUGCCAUAAUUCACUUGCUCUACCUUCUUUACUCGUUUUUUCAAAUUUCAGAUGUAAACUAUCUGCCAUUCGAUCCUGGAUGCCUAUGAAAUUUGGAUUCUGGGACACCGUAGCCAUCAAAACGUCAGGAAAAAGCUGCGACUCUUUGGCUCUCCUGCCUACUUCUUUCACCAGGGUUGUUUUACCCACCCCUCCCAUGCCGUACAGUCCGAUCAUAUUGACGGUGUCAUCUUUGAGAGCUUUCAUGAUCUGUUCCAAAGCUUCUUUUGACGAUUCUGAGGGCGUGAAUUCCUUUGAUGUUAGAAAUUCUAUGGGCUGAGGAGGAGCUUUUUGGGCCACUAUUUUAAACUUUGUGCUAUUUUCUAGAAUUUUUCUGAAAGUCUCCGACUUCUUGGCCAGUGCCUUGCUUAACUUGAAUUGUCGCAUGCAGUUUGGGCACCAAGUAAAGCAUUUGCCGUUUUUUCCUAUUUCAUUUUCCAAGGGCUUCGCACCUUCAAUUUGGUUGUUUGCAUCUUCCAGCCACUUUUUGACAUCUUUGUAAGUUUUUUCAGCAUUCCUUUCAGCAGCUUCGACAUCGUCUUGCAGACGUUCUUUUGCCGAAACCAGGUUCUCCUUUUGUUCUUUGAAUUCUUGAGCAAAAUUGUUGAAACAGAACAUGUAACGGAACUGCCUUCCUACUGGUUCCACCAUGAGUUCUGCUAGCAUAGCUAUAAUGGAUCCACCAGCACUUUCGAGAGCCAUUUUCCACAGGUCUGAAAAUCAAAGAAAUAAGGAUACAGAACGUGAGAGUGAUCACUACAAGUAAAACAGUCGCAGAGAGAAUGGGAAUAGGAAUUUCAUUACCUUAAUUUGGGAAAAUAUGUGCGAAAAGCACUGGUACUGAGUGCUCAAUGAAAUAGCGGGAGGAAGAAAAGGAGAAGUCCUUUAGCUCUGUAUGGAAUCCAGCUUCAAAAGCAACAAUAAAAUAGUUUAGAUGGAUUCUAACUGACUCUUGUGAGUUAAAGCAGUAGUUCCCAUUAAAAAUGCAUUUUGAUGACAUAAUUAAGAUCAUAUAGAGACAGUGACAAACCAAAAAGAAAGAAACGAGUGAAAGGUCCAGGAUAAUCUAAGCUAUGAUCGGUCAAGGUUUUUUUUUGUUUUAUUCUUUUUUAAAAUAAAAAAAAAAAAACAGGAAAAGACUUGCAAAGAAAUAGAAUUACUGGAAUGAACACAAUAAAGGAUGAAACUCAAGCAAUUAAAAAUAAAUUAUCUAUGAUGAUCAUCUCUGUGUCACACUCAAUGAGGUAAUAUGAUUGGCCUAUUACAAUAUUAAAUAAAUAAAUAAAAAAGCUAAAAGAACUAGGUUUUUGGUGGCAUCUAGAUUGCGGUUACUUUCUUCAUCCUUCUUUUGUGGUUUUAUUUUAUUUCAGUCCUUCAAAUCUUUUUCUUUUUCUAUUUCAUCGAGUUGCUUUUGAGUUGAUGUGCUUGCCCUAGAAUAUGCAUUAUGCUAGGGAUUACAGUUACAUUACAUAAGAAAUUAUAAUUACAGAUUAUAAUUAACAAUUUCAGUUUUUUUUUAAAAAUAAAUUUAUGAGAAAGGACCCAACGUGAGUAAAUUAAAGGAGAAUUUUAAAUCUCAAGGAUUUACAUGAAAGUGUUUUUUUAGAUGUAAAACAUUUUCCAGAAAUUAUGAAAAAUUUAGAAAUAUGAUAUUAUUUAUUGAUUAUAACAAAUUUAGUCCUAAAAAAUUUAAUUGCUAUAUAUUUUGUUUAGAAUAUUUUUUUUUCAAUUUCACCCCUUAGAAUUUGAUUUUUAUACUAAAUUUGGUUCUCAUUUUAUGAUUGUUAUUUGCUUUUUUCUUUUUAUUUUUUUAAUUGAAAUUUUUUAUUUAUCAAAUUUGAUCCUCAUUAUUUUGAUUGUUACUUAUUCUAUUUGAAAUAAUUUAUGAAAUUAUAAUUAUUUUAAUUUCAUCAUCUUUUAAUUUUUUUUAUCUUUAGAUUUGAUUUUUAAAAGGCUUUUCAAAAAAAAAAAAACAGAGAGGAAAGGUACGGUUGAAAUAAGAUAGGGACGUGGAAAUAGAGGGAGAGGUUGUUGGAGGCAGAAAAGGAAAGACUACGAUAGUAUUUUUCUCUAUAUUUUGAGUUUUAGUUGUUAACAGCCAUGCUCGUUUGAUUUUAUUUUAUUUUAUUUUUAUUUAUUUUCUACAUGCUCUUGCAAAUAAGGCAGGAAAGGAGGACCUGAAAUCACGGCAGCAAAUAAGGAGGGUAAUAGCGUGUUUGUUUUUUAUUUUUUAAAUUAUUUUUUUAUAAAAUAAUGUUUUGUAUUCUAAAUUAAUUUUUUUUUAUUUUUAUAUUGAUAUUAAAAAUAAUUUUUUAAAAAUAAACAAAUAUUAUUUUAAUAUAUUUUUAAAAUAAAAAAAUAUUUUAAAAAACAACUAGUUAUUCAAACACUUAAAAUGAAAAUCUUAAAAUCACAGCAUGAUAAAAGGGGAAAGAAAGGAAUGGGAUAAAGAAGGAAGAAAGCCAGUCUUGUAGAAAAUAGAAGAUGAAAAUUAGUAUGAAAAGGAGGCUAUUUGUUUUUGUAGUGUUAGAGUGGUUUUUAUAAUUAUAUUUAAUUUAUAAAAAUAUUUAAUUAAUAUAUUUUUUAAUAUUUCUUGUUAUUUUAUAUAUAUAUAUAUAUAAUAUUUUAAUAUGUUUUUAAAUAAAAAAUUAUUCAAAAAAAUAUGUGUCACAAUACUAAAUUAUAGUAUAUAUUAAAAGAUAAAAGAGUUUUCUGUUCAUUAUUAUUUACCGAGACUUAUUUUAUUGUGGAUGUGGAUGUUAAUAGUGAAUUUUUUUAAAAAAAUUUCAAUUUUGUAUUUGGAUUUUUUUUUUUUUUUACAUAAUUGAAUCUCUUUAUGCCAAAAUUAAAACUCAAUUGUAUUUUUUUUUAAGGAUAAGAGUUGAAUUGAAAGAUAGAUAACUGAAAUGAAAAACUCGAUAAAAAUAUAUAGUGACACUGUAAUUGUUUGCAAAGUUCAUUUUAGUUCCUUAUCUUUUUGAGCUACUAAGUAACAUGUCCCUAUAAUUUCUCAACAUUACAUUUUAUACAGAAUCUCGGAUUAUGCUCUUGGAACUAAACUGAAAUUUUCACAAAUUGAAGGACCAAACUGAAAUUUUAUGAUCUUCAACCUCAAACCCAGAAUUUUCAAAGAUCACCUAUUGAUAUCAAGAUUUCUAACUCAAAUUCAUUAUUAAAACAAACCAUAACUCAAAAUCAUUAUUUUUACUUAAAAUCUUUCAAAAUCAACUAUAUAACUCAUUAUCAAUAACAAUCAACACAUAAUAUUCAAAUUAAUUCAUCAAUCAAACCCAAAACACAAUCUUCAAAACUCUAAUAUUCAACAAAAUAGAAAAUUAAAGCUAAGGAAAACACAUUUAUACACUUCAAAGCGUAACUCUUACAUUUUAACUUAUUUUCUCCAACUCUCUUCUCCUUUCUUUAUCUUUUCCUCUUUUUCUCUUUUUCUUUUUUCACUCUCACGGUUUUCUCUCUAAGAAUUGAGAGCUUUUUAUUUUUUUUUAUUUAUAUUUAUCAAUUAUUUGUUCAAUUACUACCGUUCAUUUAUUUAUACCUCCUUGCCUCCAAGAAUUUUGUAGCCUUUUUCUAUUCUCUUUUAUUUUCAAAAGAUCACAAUAAAAUUGUAUUCUUUUUAUUAAGCUGUUAAUUUAUGCAGCUUUAGCUCUUGUUCUCUUUUCAUGUUUGGCAACUCUGAUCUGAUCCAUUUCUUUGCAUGAUAUAUAAGAGCAGGUUCUUACCUCUUGAAGUCUGCUGGAUAAACCUAUCAGCAGAAGAUCAUGAACCGAUCCCAAAUCACAGCUUCAAUCCCCACCACAACCAAUCUCCUCUUUCCCGUAGUCUUCCGUCCUCAAUUGGGAAAUGAUCCAAAAUCAACAACCGGUGCGGAGAUAGUUUGAGUGAAAAGAAACGGCUGAAAGAUGAAAUGUGAAGGUUAUGGUGAGAAAUUGGAUGACAAACUUACUUUGUCCUACUAAUGCUUUUGCUUUCAUUGUUUCAAAAAGUAAAAGAGACAUAAGCAUAAUCAUAAGAAUCCUGUUUUUUCUAUUUUUUUCUCCUAUUUAUACAUCAAAAAAUGGCAGUUUUUCUUUUCCUUUCUUUUUAAAAUCUUAUGCCUUUGGGUGAGGAAAGUAGUGGAGCAUUAGACUUUUUAAAAGACAACAAAAAGAAGCAAUGUCUCAUCUUUUGAUAUGGUGGUACAAGAUACACCAUGGUAUGGUGGUCCUGCAAUAUUAGUUUGUUGAUGAAGAUAUCGAAAGAUUCCAGUCUCCGUUCUAGCUAAUGUUGGAUGCAAGGCUGAAGUUAAGAUUAUUUUAGAAUAUUUUUUUAAUCGGUGGUUUGUGUGGAGUAAUUUACGAUAAUUUAAUCUUUAAAAAAAAUUAGAUUUUUAAUUAAUAAAUUUUUAAGUAACUAUAAAUUUAUUUAAUGAGAUCUUCAGUAAUAAUUCUAGUUGGUUAGGCAAUAUAAACAGUUUUCACAAAGAUUCUACUACUGAUGUGUCCAUAUUACACAGGAACAGAAUGCUAGAGAAUAACUUUCUUUUUACAAAAAAAAAAAAAAAAGGUCGAGAAUUUUCCUUAAAGCAGACACCCAUGAAGAAGAGAUAGUUGCCUUAGCCAAGCUUCUCACUUUACAAAAUUGUAUCGUAGUAGUUUGCACCCACUAGGAAGUCCAGAAUAGGAAAAGAAAAACGGACGCUUAGCGGACCCACAAAAGUUUAAAACACUUGCAUUUCUUUUUUAUUUUCAAAUUAACAUGGUAAAUUUUGUAUGUUUAAAAAUAUCGUAAUGAAAAACACAGCAUUCGAAAAAAAACACAAUUGAAAUAAAUCUAGAUUAUCCUUCUAUUGUGUAUCAAAUUUAUGAUUUUUAAUGGUCAGGGAUUUUAAAUCCAGUUUGGUGUACGACCCGAUCCAAUAAAUUCGAGUCACGAGUUUUGAUCGGGUCACCCGAGUCAACUUUUUUUUUUAUAUAUAUAAAUCAAAAUAAUAUCGUUUUUUAUUAAAAAAAAUAGUCAACAUGUUACAAUUAGAUUUUUUACCGAUUCUUUCCAGGUCAACCGGAUUACCAAGUCACUUGACUUUUUAUUUUUUUUUAUUUUUUUUAAACCCGACUUGAUUCCAAUCCUGAAUCUAACCUGUAAGGUCAGACCAGGUUUUAAAAAUAUGCUAUUUGACUGAAAAGGAUGUUACACCCCCAUGUUUUUUUGGUGAAGAAUUGCAUGACGUAGUGUCAGAGUAUUGUGAUAUUGUGUUAUAAACAGAAGUUUUCUGGUUUUGGUUUAACCCACAAUUAGAUAAAACAAAGUAUUUUCUGGGAGCUUCCUUAUUGGAAGAUCAAUCUGCUCCACCAUAACCUUGAUGUCAUGCACAUAGAAAAAAAAAACAUGUUUGAAAACAUUUUUAACGGUCAUGAACGUGAAGGGAAAGACAAAGAACAAUAUCAUGGCUAGAAUGGAUAUAAUAUUUUUUUGUAACCGUAAAAAUAUGGAGUUGGUUUUUGAUGGGUCACGGGUCACAAAGUCCAGAGCAAGCUUCGUCUUAGAGAAGAAUACACAACUACUAGUCUACCUAUAGCUUAAAAGCCUGUGUUUUCCCGAUGGACAUGCCUCGAACAUAUUAAGGUUGGUUAAUCUAGAGAAAUUCAGAUUGUAUGGAAUGAAGAGCCAUGAUUGCCACGUGUUUUUGCAAACACUCAUUCCAUUAGCUUAUCUUGAUUUAUUGCCAAAGGACAUAUGUGAUACACUCAUGGAGAUCAGUCAUUUCUUUAGAGAUAUGUGCUCCAGCAAGUUGUAGACACAUCACAUUGAGAAGCUUGAAACAAAUAUCAUUGAGACAAUAUGCAAACUUGAGAUAAUAUUUCCUCUAUUGUUUUUUUGACUUGAUUGAGCAUCUACCAAUACAUUUACCGUAUAAGGCAAAAGUUGGAGGCCCAGUCCAAAAUAGAUGGAUGUAUCCAUUCGAGAGGUUAGAUAUUAGAGAUGCAAUGCAAGUAUUAAUGUAUUUUCAUUGUUUUUCUUAAUUGAAAAUGUUUGUUUAAUUUGAUGUAGGUACUUGUUCAAUUAAAAAAAAAAAGAAGUUAAGAAUAAGGUGCAUGUUGAGGCUUCGAUAUGUGUGGCCUAUAUUGUUGAGGAGAUCUCAACAUUUAUAUUAUACUAUUUCGAGCCUCAUCCGGGAACGAAAAUCAACCGCGUUCCACAGCAUGAUGAUGGUGGUCAAGUGCCUUCAAGUUCGAACUUGUCAAUAUUCUCCAAUCCUGGAUGACCCACAUCUAAAAAUGUUGUAAGGGGAACAUAUUUGUCUAAAAUAGAAUUCAAACAAGCACAUAAUUAUGUGUUAUUUAACUGCAAUGAACUGAGACUUUUUAUUUAUUUAGUAUAUAUACUACUUAAACUUUGUUGUAAAUGGACUAUUUAUCUAUUGUAAUAUCACAAAUUUGUACAUUUUUGAAAACCUCGUAGGCAAUGUUGACAAUAUUUACUAACUCACAACUGACGGAAUCCCUUCAAUUACAAGAUGAACAAUUUUCCAGGUGGUUCAGAACAUAUGUAAGUACUAUGACAAACUCAUCAUGUAUCAUUGUACUUAAUUUCAUUACAGAAUUCUCAUUUACUGUUCAUUGUUGUAGUUUGUUGCUACCCAAUUUUGACCCAUGUUUUUGAUAAAUUUUCAAAAAAAAGCAAAAAAACAAUGAAAACCCCAAAAAAUGCAUUUUUGAUAUGUUUGCAUCGUUUUUAGCAUUUUCAAUGUCAUCUCAGAAGAAUUUAAAUUUUCAAAGGUAUUUUGAACACGUUCAACUUUUAAUGUGUUAAUUUUACAAUCACUGAUUUUUCUUGUUGGGUCAACAUUGAUAUUGCUUGCUUUCAAAAAUACAAAAAAAAAUAAUUCAAAAUUGACAAAAAAUAAAGAAGUUGAGGGACCAAUGUGUUUUGGGGACCAAGCCACUUUGCCUAUAAAUAGAGGUCACAACACACGCAAAAGGAGGAGAAAAAUUUUACAGGGGAACAAUUUUAAGACAGAGAAAUUUAGGGCAACAAAAAAUAAACCUAAACCUAAAUUAUUUCUCCCAAGCCAGCCGACUGCCUCCCUCCCUUUGCAAAAAAGGUCGGCCGCCGCUUCCCCCAGUUUUGGUUCCCUUUGGCUCCUUCUUAAACCUUCAGCCCCUCCAUCACUAGGGUUCCCAUUUCCACGAUCUCCCCUAAGCUGGCCCCUGACCCAUUUCCGGGCAUUGCCAGCAGUGGCGCUGCAUGGAGCAAAUGCGCCGUCAUUAUUCUGGCAGAUUCCAGAAGGCUUUCCACUGAUCUUGUAGUUUCUGGGGGCUUAUUUUGUAAUUUUUGAAUUGUAUUUGAUACAUUUAAAAUUUUUGUUAUUUUGAAACAUGUCAAAAUGAUGUGUGAGUUGAGCAUAAUAAAAAAAAGUGAUGUUAGUGUGUGUGUUUGUGUUUUUUUUAUGUAUGUUUUCUUUUAAUGUUAAAAUUAAAAAAAAAGGUGAAAAUGUGAUGUUAGUGUGUGUGUGUGUGUUUGUAUUUUCUUUUAUGUAUGUUUUCUUUUAAUGUUAAAAUAAAAAAGACAAAAAUAUUAAAAAGAAGAAAAAAGAAUUAAGUGUUUAAUUUGUAUAUGGUCAAGUAUUUUAAGGACAAAUAAAAUCAUGUUGUACUUAUUUUGAUUAUUUUAAGGACAAGUAUUUUUUAAUUUUUUUAUAUGCUAGAUUUGAUUUUUAUUAUUUUUAUUUUUAUUUAUUUUAUUUAAAAUAAUUUAUAAAAUUAAAUUUCUUUUUUAAUUUCAUUAUCUUUAUUUUUUAUUUUUAUAAUAAACUUGAACAGAAAAACUCAAAUAUUAAUAAGUUAUUUUUCAAUUUAUUUUUUAUGACAUGAACAAACAUUUGAAAUUAUUUUUUAACAUAUUUUUUAAUUUAUUUUUCUUAACACUAUUAAAUAUAAAUAAAUAACUUACUUUGUAAGAAUUUAUUUUCUAUAAAAACUACCUUUUAAAAGAAACUACUUUAAAUAAACGGGGCUCAAAUCUCACUCUCAUGGCUUUAUUUUUCAAGUUUUAAGAGAUAGAUAGACCUUCAUAACCGCAUGUGGUUAUUUAUCAUGAUAUUACCUUCUUCUGGAGUUAGGACAUGAUGAAAAUAGGCAAACAGAACCUAAUAAUUUAGUCAUUCUCAAUGUUUUGGAAGAUUUUUGCGAAAGAAAAAUUAUUACAAAUUUCCCUAGUCAUGAUCAUAUCCAUGACAUCUGACAAAAUUAUUAUAAACAGAAUUUUUUUUUGCAAACAUUUAGAAAAAAGAGUUUAUUAUUUGGUGAAAAACAACUAGUCAUCACCCAAAGAAACCGAGUGAAUGAGAAAAAAAGACAAAUAGCUAGAAAACAAUCAACAGAUCCAAGAACUUUCUGUAUGGUUUCCAAGAAAAUAAAAAGAAACGAGCAGCACAUGUUUUGAGUCUAGUGUAUUAACCUAGAAGGAUUAAAAUCAAUAAUUUCUUCUAAAUGAUCAAAACAUGUUGUUUUGAAAAGACCAAAAAUAUCAAUUAGAAAUCUUAUCAAGUUUUGACUAGAUUACAAAUCAAUUCAUCAUCAAAUCAAUCGGGUCAACCUAUAUUAAUGUUGGGUUAACUUUUUUUUUAUACCCAACCCGAGCAAGCUGACGGAUUGUUCAAGUCAAGUUUAAUAACAAUGUUUUCAUCUAUUUAACUAACCCUUUUAAUCUAUAUAUUUGCGUUGAUGUAUUUUUUUUCAUUCCACAGUAAAAGAAAAUCUCUUGAUUUCUCAUGAACAAUCUUAAAACUGUUCUUCAAGAUUCUGAAGGAAAAGACAUUAAAGAAGCUUCUUAUGACAUGCAGUUUCAACGAAAACUCCUUCACGCUAUUUUCCAAGAUACUUCUACCCACUAGAAACCUGGAAAAACUUAAAUAAUAUCAGCAAAAGUUUUGUUGUCAAUGAACAUGGCAGUAACAGGUUGGGAAUGUGUCAGCAUGCGAAGUGCCAAAGGGUAAAAGUAUUAUUAAAGAGGCGUGACACAAACGAAGCUACCCCUUACCUACUCCUGGGAAGGAAUAUAUGUCAGACUAUACAGCUUUUUCAAUUCAUUAAUGUCGUUCUCUGUUUGUCUUCUAAAACCUACUCCCAUCAUAUACAUGUAUUAUAUUCUUAAAAUUGCUCUAUGGGAUUGCAGGUCAUGCUCGUUUGAUUGCUUUUUUUUAUAUUCUUUUCAUGCCUUGCAAAUAAGGCAGGGAAGGAGGACCUGAAAUCACGGCAGCGAAUAAGGAGAGAAAUAGCCCGUUUGUCUUUGCUUCUUUCUUUUAGUAUUUUUGAAAAAUAUUAAUUUUUUUACUUUAAAUUAUUUUUUUAUAUUUUCAUAUUAUAUUGAUAUAUUUCUAAAUAAAAAAAUAUUUUAAAAAACAACCGCUAACACACUCUUUUUAAAGCUAUUAAGUAACCAGUCCCUAUAAUUUUUCAACAUUGCAUUUUGGUACCAUCCAUUUUUUUCUUGUGUUCAUACUUAAAACCUUCUUAAAGGAUUCUUAUUAAUAGCUUUAAAACCUCUCUCUCAAGAUUAAAAGGUUAGAAAUAACUUUAUGCUCUCUAAAUCUAACAAAACCACCAAGUACCCUUAAAAUCAAAACCAUCAGUUUAGUACAAGAACUUUUAGCUGUUAGCUUUUAUCCAGAACCUUUUACUUUGAUCAAAUGGUUAAACUUUCAUUAAUUUUUGAGGGAAUCCACAAAAAAACCUAGAAAAACCUAUAAAUACUCUUGAAAAUUAGAGCUGGAGAGGAGGAGAAAAUGAGAGAAAAAGAGAGGAAAAACGUGAGUAAAUAAUUUGUUAAUAGACUCUAUUACGAAGAUUCAAGAGCCUAAUAUAAAAGGUCUAACCAGCUUAAAAAAAAAAAAAAAAAAAGGAAAAGAAGGAAGGAAAAGAGAAGAAGAAAAUAACAACGUAAUUUUGAACUAAAAAGGCCUAAUUUCAGUGAAAGUUAAGAGCAUUAGAGACUAGACCGUGCUUAUACCGAAAGCGACUCUCAUCGUUGAAGGAAUGCAAACGGUUGUUAACGAGACACUUAUGUCGUUCCAACAUUCAAAGGUUGUUGAAUCUAGUACUGGUGCUCAUUCUGGAUCUAGUACCAAAAGGAGAAUAUAGAAAGAGAUAGUAGUGAAUUAAUUAUCUUUCAUUCAGUAGUAGGAUAAAAUUUAAUUAUCCUAAUACAAGACUUAAUACAAUUUCAUAGUUGUGGAACACUAACUAGAUAUAAAGAAAAAGUACAAAUUACAACAAAAAAUACAGGUUUUGAAGGUUGAUGACUCUCUCGACCAACUACGGUUUCAAAUACGAUGUGCACUAAGACUAACACUACUCUGUUAGCAUGAGCAUUCUAGCUGGCAUACCAUAAGUUCAUAUCAUAAUCAAACAAACAAAUUCAUAUCUCAAGGCCCAACUCAUGACAUUAAUAAAAUAAGAAGCUAUCAAUUCAGAAGUCAAUUUAGAAGUAUAUAUUGGCUUAUAUCAAUAAUUCAGAUUCAAUAAUUGAUUAUGUUUUAUCAUAACAAAGAUAAUAAUCAACAUAUAUAUUAUCAAGAAGCACAAUCCAAUUCAUAUUAACAACUCAAAUAUUUAUAUUAUUUCUCAUGCAUAUGAAAUUGACUUAAAAGUGAACAGAACUCAAAAGCAAAUACCGAAGAAAAUCUUACUGAUAUUCCGCAUGUAGAAUAUCAAGAUUAUCUAAAUACAAAGGAGACAUAUUAUAAAAUGACUCGAAAAGAACAUACAACCUAUUUAAUACACUUAAUUAAGGGUCUAUUUCAUAACCCUAUAUAUUUUUUUUUAACUAAACUAGUUAUUUUUCCCAAAAACCAAAAAAGUAAACGGUUUUCCGGAAAUCUAAUUCAUAAUAAAAAAAAUAAUGAGACUUGAUAAUAAUUCACUAAAUAACCAUCAAUUAUUUAUCAAAACAAUAUGAAAAAGCUAAUAUUAAAGCUAAGGACCAAUCUGGAAUUUUAUCAUAUUUUUAGGGGUCAAAUUAUAAUUUUAUCAAAUUGGAAGACCAAACUAAAAAUAUCAUAAAUUCAUGACUAUACUGGAAUUCUGCCCAUAAUUCAUCCUCAAUUCUGCCCAGAAUCUCAAAUUAUGCUCCAGGGACCACUAUAGAAUUUUAUCAAAUUUUUAGGGUCAAGUUGUAAUUUCAUCAAAUUGGAGGACCAAAGUGAAAAUGUCAUAAAUUCAUAACUAUACUGGAAUUCUACCCAUAAUUUAUCUUUGAUUCUGUCCAGAAUCUCGGAUUAUACUCCAGGGACCAAUCUCUAUUUUUUCCAAAGUUCAGAGACUAAAUUGUAAUUUUCACAAAUUGAGGGACCAAGCUGAAAUUUCAUAAUCUUCAACCUCAAACCAGAAUUUACAUAGAUAACCUACUGAUAUAUCAAGAUUUCUAACUCAAAUUCACCAUUUAAAUAAACCAUAACUCAAAAUCAUCAUUUUUACCUAAAAUCUUUCAAAAUCAACUAAAUAACUCAUUACCCAUAACACUCAACCCAUAAUUUUUUUGUAAUGUAAUUGUAAUUCCUAGCAUAAUGCAUAUUCGAGGGCAAGCACAACUACUCAAGAGCAAAGAAACUUGAUGAAAUAGCAAAAGAAAAAGACUUGAAGGACUGAAAUAAAAUAAAACCAAAAAAGAGGGAUGAAAAAAGUAACCGCAUUCUGGUUGCCAUAAAAAACAUAGUUCUUUUAGUAUUUUUUUUUAAAAUAUUGUAAUAGGUCAAUCAUAUUACCCGAGUGUGUGACACAGAGAUGAUCAACAUAGAAAAUUACUUUUAAUUGCUUCAACUUUCCUCGUCUAAAUAAAAGAUUAAGAGUUUUCAUGAUUGGGAGGAUGUUAUAUAUUUUGGGUUUUGAUGGUGAUUGUGAAGGAUUUGUGAGAUGAAUUAUAGUUUGGAAGUAAAAAUUAGUGACUUAUGAAGCAUAUAGAGAAGAUGAGAAGUAUUAGGGUUUUUUUGAGUGAGAUCGAGAUGUUAUUUGAAUCGGGAUGAAGAAAGAUAUUUGAGAGGAAAUGUGAUUUUAAGAAGUAUAAUUACAAGAAUUGUAAUUUAAUGUAUUCAAUUGUAGUUUUCAACACACCUCUACUAAUCUUUGCCAUUUGUAUGAAGAUAUCGAAAGAUUCGAGUCUCCGUUCUAGCUCAGGUUGGAAGCUAGGCCGAAGGCUAAGCUUCUUUUAAUUAUGAAUUGUUUAUGCAAAGGAAACCCAGAAGCUUGAACAAACAGAAAUGCCUUGUUGAUUUCUCUGCUACUACUCAUUAUUUCCAAUAUUAUUCCAUUAUCUUACCCGAAAGCAAUUAUACAAGAAAUUUCAUUAUCCCGCCCCAAAAGGCAAUUUAUUACAAGGACUUCCUUUAACCUCCUUUAAGGCAAUUUAUUUGAUGAAAAUAACCUCCUUUAAGGCAAUUUAUUUGAUGAAAAUUCCUUUAAUCCACCUCAAAGACAAUUUAUCUUAGGGAAUUCCAACGACCCAGGCAAUUUAUUUCUUGGAAAUUCCUUUAACCCGCCCUAAUUAAGGCAUUUUAUCUAAGGGAAUUCCAAAAUCAAUUUAUUUAUUGGACUCAGGAUUCUUUGAUACUAUUUAUUUAUAUAUAAUUUAACAACACUUUUAUCUUACAUUUAAAAAGAAAUUCAAAAGUAAGGAUAACCCUUACCUAGAGCUCCUGUGGUUCUUGCUCCCGAGAGAAUUGGCUCCAUUCCUGACAAAUCUAUUACCAAAAACCCAAGUUUCAACCAAUCAAUAACAUCAACACCCAUUUUAAUUCAAUGCAAUAAGUUUUUCUUAACCAAUUUACUUGAUGCAAGUUCUUAUAAUCAAAGUGACAGUAUUCAGGGUGAAGACAAGCAGAAGGGCGUGUAUUAAUUUUAUUUUUUAAUGUUGAGUUUUUUUAUUGAAUUUUAUUUGUCAAUAUUAAAUUAAUUAUAAAUUAAAUUUUAUAUAUUUUUUUAUCAUAUAUAAAAAAACAAAGUAAUCUCAUCUUUUGAUACGAGUGGUCCAAGAUUCACCAUGACAUGGUUGUAGUUUUUUUUUUUGCCUUUUUCUUUUAAAAAUGUUAUGUCAUUUAAUUUAUAAUUAUAAAUUAAAUUCUUUUUAUUGGUCAUUUUAAAUUUUUUUACUUUUUUUAUAUAUAAUUUUUUAAUUUUAUAUUUUAUUAAUGUUGAGUUUUUUUAUUAAAUUUUAUUUGGCUAUAAACCAGAACUUUUUAUUUUUUAUUUUUUGGACAAGCAGAGACAAAUUAAAUAAACAAAGUAAUCUCAUCUUUUGAUAUAGUUGUAGUUUUUUAUUAUUUGUUUUUUGCCUUUUUCUUUUAAAAAUGUUAUCUUUGGUAAGGAAUCCUUGGUUCCCAACGGCAACUGUAGCAGAGUUGACGGUUGCGUAAAAACAAAUCUCUAAACUCCACCGAAAGUAGUGGAGCAUUAGAGUUUUAAAAGACAAAACGGGAACAAGUGGGAGACGGAGAAAAAGACAAUAGUAGGUGGUCUAAGAUACACCGUAUAUAUGAUAAUAAUAAAACAAGUGUUUAGUUCCCGUUUGUUUGCUGGAAAAUAGUUUUUUUUUAAAAGUAAAUUCCGGGGAAAGUGAAUUCCGGGAAAGUAUUUUCCGAUGUUUGGUAGUGUAAUGGAAAAUAAGUUGGAAAACAUUUUCCAGUGUUUGGUUAUGUCAUGGAAAAUGAGCUGGAAAAUAACUUAUUAAUGUUUUAUUUUUCUCAAGUUUAUUAAAAUAAUGAGGAACAAAUUUUACAAAUUAAAAAGGUGAAUGAGAAUGAAAUUGAAAAAAAAAAAAUUUCAUAAAUUAUCUCAAAUAAAAUAAAUAAUAAUCAAAAUAAUAGAGAUCAAAUCUAAAACAUUAAAAAAAAUAAAGGUGAAGAAAUUAAAAUAAUAAUAAUUAACAUUUCAUAAAUUAUUUCAAAUAAAAUAAGUAACAAUUAAAAGAACGAGGACCAAAUUUGAUAGAUAAAAAAUUUCAAUAAAAAAAUGAUAAGGAAAAAACAAAUAUCAAUUAUAAAAAUAAGGACCAAAAUUAAUAUAAAAAUUAAAUUUUAAGAGAUGGAAUUGAAAAAUAAAUAUUCAAAACAAAUUAUAUAUAACAAUCAAAAGUUUGAGGAUCAAAUUUGAUAUAAUCAGCAAAUAAUGACAUUUCUAAUUUUUUCAUAACUUCCGGAAAGUGUUUUCCGCCCAAAUUUUCCAGGAAAACACUUUCCUGAAAACCAAGCUAAAUUUUCCUUUGACUGGAAAGUGUUUUCCGUUGACCAAUUUUCCUAAUGGCAAACAAACACAUGAAAGUUUGGAAAGUGGUUUCCCGGAAACCACUUUCCGGAAAACAAACACAGCUAAAAGGGAAAACACUUUCCUGGAAACCAAACCAAAUUUUUCUUUGACUGGAAAGUGUUUUCCGUUGACUGGAAAGUGUUUUUCGUUGACCGGAAAGUGUUUUCCUUUGACCAACUUUUCUAAUGGCAAACAAACACAGGAAAGUUUGGAAAGUGGUUUUCCGGAAAGUGAAUUUCGGGAAACAAAUAUGGCCUAAAACAACUCUGAAAACAAAAUUUUUUAUAAUUCAUAAUUUAUAAACACAUGCGAUAAAAUAAAUCAUACUGCAUGUUUUCAUUUGGCAUUUAAUUCCAUGAACAUGAUUUUUUUAGAUUAAUAUGGAUAUCCGGGUCAGCUUGUGUAUCUCGACUAAUCUCAUGAAUCCUAAAAUUAACGAUUAUAUGAGCAUUUAGCGGGCCUGGAGUUUGUGAGAUUCAAACUAAUAAUUUUUAGAGAACAAAUUCAGAAUCUGACCAGUUGAGCUACACUUAUCGGAAUUUCAUUAACAUGAUCUUACUUUUCAAUCAAAUUGCUGCGACCAUAUUAGACUUGUAAUCAGACCAUUAAUUGACUGUUCUUGACUAGCUAUUGUUUCUCAUUGGCAAGAGUCAUUGCCAAUUAUCAUAACAUGUUAGUGAUCUAUUACAACUAGUCUAGCAUCGACAGAGUUGUUAUUUAACCAUUAAAUCAAUUUAUAAAACAUUAUUGACUAGCUAUCUAACACUAGCAACUAAUCACUGAUAAUAUUUAUGCAAAACUUGUAGCUUAAUACGAACUCUCAGAAAUGUGGGUGGGGCAACUCAAAGUACAGGGAGAGUGGUAACCUCUGAUAUAUAACAGAGAAAAUUAACAACAGAAAUCUAGAUACUUCAAUAAAUUAACACACUGACUAAUAAAUCCCCCCCACCAUCAUCCAGUUAUCACAGGUGCAUCUACAAUGAACAGUUCUCGAGAAGAAACUCAAGAAACGCAUAUAAAGCUACAUGAUGACAUAAUAGGAACCUGCAUUGCCUCCAUUCCAUGAUGAAAGUUCAAGAAAUUCUACUUCGAAACUCAAGACAAAGUCUCUCAGACUACAUAUUAGUGGGAUUUCUAUAAACAACUGAUUCUAUUGCAAAGCAACAUUAUGAAAAACUGAAUAUUUCACACAUAGUCUAAUAAAAGUAGGUUCCAUUGUCAAUUCCUUAACAUUUUCCGAACAAAUCACAGUUGCUCCUCGUUUGAUACUUUCUUGAAGGUUUCUUUUCUCUUAUUACCAAUUUCUGUGAGUUUGUGAUUUUUUAUCUGUACCGUAUCAUCCGAUCAAUUACUAGCUAGAACCACACAACUAAUAUGUAAAUUCACAAAUUCCCUACAGUUCAUAUUGCCAACAAACUCCUCUUGCCAUUCCCUAAUUGCACUGAGCCAGCUAAUCUGGAUGAAAGUUAUCGAAGAGGGGAAAAGACAGAUGAAGAUCUGCGCAGGGCUACCUGUUUUGAGAAUUAUGGAUUUUUAUCACUAAAUCAGAACGGCGCCAAUUAUAAGUUCAAUAAGAAAAAAUCUGUAACAGAACAGAUGGAAAAAACUCGAAACAACUUGGCUAGAAUUUAGAAAAGAAAUUCAGAAUGAGCCAAGAUUUUAAGUGAGAUGAAACUUUGUUCUUUGAAAAAAAUAAUUAAUAUGAGAUAUACUUUUCAUUUUAGUGAACCUUAAAGCAGAGCCAACAGUUAAGUAAAAGUUAUCAAUAGCUGUGUAAACCAUUGAAACUGUUACCGUUGGUGCACCCUCGAUUACACCAUGGAUUCACAUAGUGCAAUUGUUAUUUUUUAAAAAAAUUCAAUGUUAUUUUUUUAUUAAUUUGAACCUUUUUUUGUCAACAUGUUUCGCAAUUGGCCUUGGUAUUUUGUUUUCAUUUUCUCUAUGUUGCCUUCUUCUGUAGAUAAAAAACAUCAUGUCUUGGGGCUCGUGCUUGAUAGUGCAAAAUUAAUGACACAAUAAUCAAAGAACACAAAAAUUUUUAUAGGCAAAAGGAAUUGAAGAUGUAAACCCUAGAAUUCGUAAGUUUAUUUUCUCUAAAAUAAUAAUAAUAAAAAUAAUAAUAAAGUCUAUCUUUUUAGGAGGUUUACAAAGCCUUAAUUAAAUAGGUUAAGAACCUUACCCCAACUAGGAAGCAAAAAUAAAAAUCCAAAAUUAUAAAGGAAAGAAGCAUAAAAUCCGAAAUAAAUAAGAAAUCUAAAAAUAAUAAGGAAAAUCACAAAAAUUACCAAAACUAGAGGCCUCAAUGAGAUUUUUGAUAUCUAAAGAUCCGAUGGUCUGCAUAAAAAUUUGAGCACAAUCCAACAAUUAAAUAAAAAAUUAUGACUCUUUUGAGUUGUUAUUCUAGUCUAGCGUGACCAAACCUUCUCUUAGGCUUAAACAUGUUUCAUUGGUCCAUAAAUACAUUUGCUAGGCUAUCAACAUAAUUUAUCUAGGACAAAUCUUAAUCUAGUUAUGACAAACUCACACCUAACUGCUUAGAAUCACUAAUUAUUAUAGGAUUGACUACAUCAAAAUUGGUCGGUUUUUUUGUUUUCAAAGAGAUUUAAACUUGAUGUAGAUGAAAGUUAUAAACACAAUAAUCAAAGAACACCAAAAAAUGUAUGAGCGAAAGAGACUGUAGAUGUGAACCCUCAAAUUCCCAAGUUUAUUUUCUCUAAAAUAAUAAUAAUAAAGUUUGUCUUCUUAGGAGGUUUACAAAACCUUAAAUAUGUUAGGAACCUUACCUCAACUAGGAAACAAAAACAGAAACCCAAAAUUACAAAGGAAAGAAACAUAAAAUCAAAAACAAGCAAGAAAUUAAAAAAAUAACAAGGAAAAUCACAAAAACUACCAAAACUAGAGGCCUAAACAAGAUUUUUUAUAUCUAAAGAUUCGAUGGUUCACGUGAAAAUUUGAGCAUGAUCAAAUAAUCGGAUAAAAAAUUAUAAUUUUUUUAGCUUUUAUUCUAGUUUGACGCGACCAAACUUCUUCUUGAUCCUAAACUUGUUUCAUUGGUCCAUAAAUACAUCUCCAUGACUUUUUUUUUUUGUUUCACUAUAAAUGAAGUUUGACCAUCAUCAUAUAUGGUUUGACUUAGCCGUAUUGGUUUUCAAUUAUAUCAACUUUAUAUAUUAUGGGUUUACAUUUACUAUUUUUUUUAAAAUGCUCACAAGUCCAUUUUUCACACCUCAAACUCAUAACUGCAGCGAUUCGUAGGCAACGAAACUAAUUAGAGACUAGAGAGUAAACAUGCUACUAAAGUUUGCAGGUGAGGGUAUAGAUUAGAUUAUUUGUUGUGUUGUUUCAAAUAUUAGAGCAGUCUCAACUCAUUAAAUAAACAAGUGGUGCAUUGAUCCUUGGACUCAAAUCAUAUAUACACGGUGAGCUCAUUUGUGUUUUUAUUAUUUGUUCCUCCCUGUACUUGUAGCAGGAGAGAAGCUGCUCUCAACUUUGAAGGAAUGCAAACAAUUGUUAAUAUGAAACAUAUUAUGUACAAAUUAUAAUAUUUGUAAGAAGCCGUUUUGCUGCCCACCGGCGGCCAUCUGAUCAGAGAACAAUAUUAUAUUUUUUAAACCCCUUCACUCUCGUAAAAACAAUUUAUAUGAUUAUAAAUAGGAAAGCAUAGAAAAAAAUAGGAUUAAAUAUUUUUAGAGAUUACAUAUUAUUGUUUUAGUUUUUUUUCUUGAUUAGAGAUAAGUUGAAUAAAAGUAGUAAUAAUUUAUUUUUGUGAAAAAAGGUUACUACAACUCCUGAUAAUUAGUUUCAUGUAAAAAAUAAAAAUAAAAAUAGUAACUAAAAUUUAUUUUAGUUAUGUUAAUAAAAUUUUAAAGAUAUUUUAAUUGAAUUAAGUAUUCCAACACAAAAUUUAUGUUCUUAUACAGUUAUAUAUUAAUUCUAACAAAAAAUAUGGUUUCUAUGUUUAGAUUUUGGUAUUAAUAACGCAUACAACAAUGAGGCAGUUAAGUUUCUUCGAUAAAAUAAAAUCAUUUAAAAAAUAAAAAUAAGCUAGUAUGUUUGUUACAUAACAAAAAAAAAUGAUUUUUUCUAAAAAUGAUUUUUUAAAAAAUAAUUUUAAUAGACUGAUAUUAAAAAUAAAUUUUAAAAAAUAAAAAUAUAUAUUAUUUUGAUAUAUUUUCAAGAGAAAAAAAUUAUGAAAAGAAAUUGUUAAUAUUUGAUAUAUUUGAUUUAUGGAGCUAUGAUAAGGGAAUCGUGCUUGUAACACAUAUAACAAUAUUUACAUAGUAACAAGCAUUAUUAAAGAUGCUACACUAGUUGAUUUACAUAUAACAAUAUUUACAUAUAACAAUAUUUACAUAGUAACAAGCAUUAUGUUUCCAAGUGCUAUCAACAAAUAUUAUAACCUCUUAAUUUAUACAAGGAUUGAGCUAAAUUGAUUUAUCAAAUAUUUUAUGUUUUUUUUUUGAAAUAUUGUUAUAGACAUAGAAUCAACAAGUUUAUGUGACAUUCUAUAUUGAUUUUGUGAUAUUUUAAUCACUAAAAGUAUGGGUUUCAGAAAAAUAAAAACCAAACUAAAAAUUGAAAAAAUUAAAAAAUUUCAAACCAACCCAAUCCAAUUUUGUGUUUUUAAAAAUAUCGUAAUGAAAAACACAGCAUUCGAAAAAAAAUACAAUUAAAAAAAAAAUCGUUAGUUUAAGAAAACACCCCCUUCUUUGCAAUUAUUGUCAAUCCCCCACGUGGCUACCCAUAAUUGGACUGUCAAACUGGCAAGCUACAUCCCCAUCUCAAUCAUCACAGCUGUAUAAAUUUCUCGCUCAAGCCAAAAACAGAAACGCACAAAACCCCUCCCCCAACGGAGAAUCAAAUGAUAGCUAGAUGUCUGUGUAACCGACCAAUCGCGUUACCAAAGGAGCCUGCCUAGUACUGACGUGUCACUCUAACAUUUCCAUGACCAUAACAAUAAUAAUCAUAAUCCAACCAUGCCUUACUUUUUUAUUUUGUACCUUAAUAAUCUACAAUUACACUCUUGAAUUAUCCCUCAUUUUUUCAAUGGUAAAGAUAUCCUCGUGUCUGUCACCUUCUACAUUAAGUUUUAUAAAAUUCUUGAUUUUUUUUAAAUUAAUUUUUCAAGUUUUAAUUAUGAAUUGUUUAUGCAAAGAACCAAAAGAAAAAGAAAAAAUUUCUCAAUGUUUUCUGUUACUUGUUUAGCAGGAAAACAUGAAAAAUUAAAUAGAAACAGAACAUCAAAACGAUAGAGAAAACAUGCUGACGAGGAGCAUGAAACUCCACACAUUAAACUAUAAGCACCCACAUGAGUAACCAUUAUGCCCUUGUUUUUGAAGGUUCAGACACUUGAAAGAAACACAAAUGGGCAAACAAACACACGCCCUUAUUUUUCUGGUGCUUCACACAGCAAACACUUAGAUAGAUAAGUCGAUAUCUUCUUUUGGGGGUUCUAUGGUAAAUAAGACUGUUACAAUGUGAAGCCAAUGAAACAGUAGGAAUUACUUCCACCAAUCAAAUUCUUCUUCUUCUCCUCAUUCUUCCCAUCCAUCAUCUCUGGUCCACAUUAUGUAAGUGUUGGUUGGCACCGAGCAAUCAUCGCUUGAAUCCUCAGCUACUUGAGAUAUCUGUAAACCAAUUCAAGCAUGACGUACAUAUUUUAACUUGUAAAUCUUUUUUAUUGAGUGAAACUAGAAAGAAAUCAAAGUCAGAUCAGCAGCACCUUAUAUCGAGCACUCAUUGAACCAUUUGGUGUAGUGUCAAAAUUUGUAGUCAGCUUUGGGCAUUCAGACACCUUCAACUUCUUCAAACGAGGGAACAAGAAAUCAUAAUAUCCGAGAAUGAAGGAGAUAAUGCUUGGUAAUUGUUCUAGCGACAGCUCCCGCAGAUUAGGGAGCACCAUCUCCUCAACAUCGACAGGUAAAGCAUUAAUAUCAUCUUGCCCAAAGACUCCCAAUAAUCUAGAAGCUUUUGUUACUCUAAGUAUUUUGAGCUUCGGGAGACCUGAAGCCAUGGCUAUUGGGAAGAGAUUCUUCAACUUUCUGCAUUCUCUGACCUCAAUUUUACACAAACUAGGAAAGCAUAAAGAUUGAAGAUGACUUACUGACAAUAUCUGAUCCCUUUCAUCAUCAUCUUUAGCAAUGAUUUGCUCAAGUUUCUCGCAUAACCAUAUCUUUAGAACUUUUAGGUGAACUAGACCGGCAAUCAUGCUGUAAGUGAACACAUGUGUGAUUCUCUUACACUCAUUCACCUCUAAAGUAGUCAAAUUACUCAGCACGAGACUCUUCCAUGUACUGCUCAUGCUUGUGUCAGGCAGGGACUUCAAUUUUAAUGUUUCCAGACUUGUUAACCCCUGCAUCAAAAGAAAACAAGGGCACCAAUUUGUUAGAUAUAAUUCAAAGUAAUUUCUGUGCACAUUCAAACUAUAUUUAUCCCAAUACUUCAACCAAAUUCUUAUCACAGAAGGAUACAAACAGACAGGGCAAUAAGGCAUGGGACUGUGAAAUCAUAAGUCGCAGGAGUGAAACAAACAGCUCAUUAUUAACAGACGGAGCUUUAUCGUCCCGUCCACAUACUUUCAUUAUUUGGGGGAAGAACCUCAAUUUCACUGUGAUUGGGAAUGCAUAAAGAUUGAAAAUAUAGGACUCAUUUCAUUACAAUAAGUAAUUUCUAACUUCUUAAGCUCUGCAUCAAGAGACAGGGAAUGAGAUUGUUAGAAAUUUAUCUAAACUGAGUGGAUGGCUAAAGCAUUUAUCUUCACCUAUCAACUACUUCAGUUUUAGAAAUUUGGAGGAAGAAAGAAGAAAUUACCACAAUGUAUCGAAGUUGAGAAUUUAACUUGAAAAGGAAAAAACAUUAGCGGAGAAAUAUAAAGGACGUACUUGAAGCUGUGCCAACAAAUUACCCAAUUCUUCGUGGCCAAGGAUGCUUAGAUUUUGCAGAAAAGGUAAUUGGGCAGCACGAUUCUUUGGACCAAAAAAGCUGGAAUUUGAUUUAGACGAAAGAUCCAUUUCUCUUAGUCGAGGCAACUUGAAGAUGCCAUCUCUGGGGAGUGCAUCUUCUUCCUCGCUAUAAAAUAUUUGCUUUAAAUUGUCAGCAAAUAUAGUCAUCUGUUCCAGGUUCAGAAGACUUGGAGCCACGGAGACAGGGAAGACAUAUUCCAGUUUACCACAGUGUCUAAUUGUCAUCUGUUUCAGGUUCACAAGACUUGGAGACAGAGAGCUAGGGACGACAUAUUCCAGGUUAUCACAGUCAGAUAUAAGUAGAGUUUUUAAUUUUUGGAAGCUUAGAAACUCUGGAAUUAUUGCCCUUUCAUCAUCCUGUUUUCUGACAAUAUACUUCAAUUCAUCGCAACAGCUUACCUCAAGUGUUUCUAGCUGUAGUAGACUUUGAGCGAGGGACGGUGUGAAGAUAAAGGUCAGUUUUGCAAGAAGAAACAACUUCAGAUGAACAAGAUUUUGCGAAAAAGGUAAUGGGGCAGCAACAUUCUUUGGACCAAAAAAGCUGUAAUUUGAUUUAGACGAAAGAUCCAUUUCUCUUAGUUGAGGCAACUUGACAAUGCCAUCGCUGGGGAGUGCAUCUUCUUCCCCGCUAUAAAAUAUUUGCUGUAAAUUGUCAGCAAAUAUAGUCAUCUGUUCCAGGUUCAGAAGACUUGGAGCCACGGAGACAGGGAAGACAUAUUCCAGUUUACCACAGUAUCUAAUUGUCAUCUGUUUCAGGUUCACAAGACUUGGAGACAGAGAGCCAGGGAAGACAUAUUCCAGUUUAUCACAGUCAGAUAUAAAUAGGGUUUUUAAUUUUUGGAAGCUUAGAAACUCUGGAAUUAUUGCCCUUUCAUCAUCCUGUUCUGUGAUGAUAUACUUCAAUUCAGCGCAGCGGCUUACCUCAAGUGUUUCUAGCUGUGGUAGACUUUGAGCGAGGGACGGUGUGAAGAUAAAGGUCAGUUCUGCAAGAAGAAACAACUUCAGAUGAACAAGACUUUGGAGGCUGACAUGUCUGGUGGGCCCCUUCCAUAUACAUUUGAGCUGAAGUAAACGUGACAGCUUUAACGUUAUUAAAGAUGACAGCAGCGGCAGCUCCUUCUCCUCCUUGCUUCCUUCACCCAAUUCAAAUACCUCUUCCAAUGAUUCGCAGCUCUCAAUAUUCACACUCCUUAGAUUUUUCAAAGCUUGCAGCAAUUUUGCUGGAAACAGAGUGCAGAUAUCCUCACACCCAUCCACGUCUACAAAUUCUAAUCUUUGUAAGAAGCCCUUUCGCUGCCCAGAGAACUGAGACAAUGAAUUUAUUAUAUUUUCUAAACCCGCCACCCUUUUAAAAACAAUUUGAGACACAGUAGGAAACAACUGCUCAAAUGUCUUUGCAUUUAAGGAUGUGGCGCUUAUACCACCCAAAAAUAAUCUUGUCGAGGUUGGGUAUCCUACUGGAUCCCCUGUUGAUGAAUAAUAAUUCCCUAAUAUUAUAUCAUAUUUGUACAACCUGGGAAAAACAAAAUCGCUUGGCAUGGAUUUAACCUCCGGUAUCCUCAAUGAUAAUACAGCUAACUGAGACAAUGAAUUUACUUCUUUUAGGCUUGCAUUCAUUAUUCCAGUGCUUGUCCAAACAUCCCAUUCCUUAAAGCUGUCUUUCCCGAUCAGCAGUUCUUCUAAUUUCUUCAACCUUCCAAUCAAAUUCAUAGGAAUUUCUCUUAGACUCUUACAACCUGUCACAUCCAACAACCUUAACUCCUUGAGCUCUCCUACUCCUUCAGGUAAUGUUUCAAUGUAGUAGCACCUCAUAAAACAAAGAAUCCUAAGUCUUUGCAGCUUUCUCAACAAAUUUAGGCCAUUACAUUUACACUCGAUCAAAAGCAAAGAUAGAAGGUUAGAGAAAACUUCAAUUGCUGUCAUCUCUUUAAAAAAACUUCCUGGAACAUUCAAAUCAUCACCCAGUUCUAACAACAGAACUUUGAGCCGUGGACAUGCCAAUGCUUCAGGAAGUUUUGUUAGUUUAUUGCCCAAUAACGAAAUUGUUGUACAGCCUUCAACGCUUUCAAUACUCCUUGGCCACUUCUUCAAUACCAUGAAUCCAUAUUCUUCUGAUGAUGCUAUCUGAAUAGCAACAUCACGAACCAAGUCAUGCAUUUUCACAUGUUCUCCAGUUUCAGUGCCCAACAGCAUGCAAGAAUCUUUGAGGUCUUUGAUAGCUGCAUAAACUUGUUCCCUUGCAUCUUCAAUGGAUUUCACAUCUUGAUGUAACCCAUAGCCGACUGCAUAUCUCGUCAAGUCCUCAAUUGGAAUGUUGUAAUCUUCUGGAAAUAAACAGCAUAGCAAGAAACAUAACUUGGUUUCCUUGGGCUUCAAAUAAUCAUAGCUCAACUUAAGACAUGCAUAUGUUCGUCCAUCAAUUUCUCCCAGGUCUGGAAAUUGAGAGUUUUUGAGCAGUUUAGAUGCUGCUUCCCACUCAUAUGCAUCUUUACCUCUUAGAGCCCUUCCCACUGCUACAAGUGCUGUAGGCAAUCCUUGGCAUUGUCUCACAACCUGCUUUGCCACUAUGUUUAAGGUAGAUUCCCCAUCACUUAAACCUGCAAUGAUUUUGAAUAAAGCCCAUGCUUCAUUUUCAGACAAGAGACUUAAAAAAACUUUUUUCUGGCACCCCAUAUCAGAAGAUAUGUUUUCAAGACGUGUUGUUAAGAGAAUUUUACAACCCCUGUGAUCAUCACCAAAUGGGAUCCCUAUCUCUUUCAAGUUAUUAACUUUCCAAACAUCAUCCAGGAUUAUAAGCAUCUUCUUCUCUCUCAGCAGUCUCUUCCAUAAUCGUUCUGCUCUCCCUUCUUUACUCUUUUCAUCAAAAUGCCGAACUAAACUAUCUGCCAUUCUAUUCUGAAUGUCCAUGACAUCUGGAUUCUGCGACACCGUAACCAUCAAAACUUUAUCAAAAAGCUGCGACUCUGUGGCUAUCCUGCCUACUUCUUUCACCAGGGUGGUUUUACCCACCCCUUCCAUGCCGCACAGUCCGAUCACAUUGACAUUGUCAUCUUUGAGAGCUUUCAUAAUCUGUUUGAAAGCUUCUUUUGAUGAUUCUGCUAUGUUUGCUUUGUGGGACACUGUUUUAAACUUUUUGCUAUUGUCUUCAAGAUUUCUAAAAGUCUCCGUCUUCUUUGCCAAUUCCUUGCUUAACUUGAAUUGUCGUAUCCAAUUUGGACACCAAGUAAAGCAUUUGCCAUUUUUUCCUAUUUCAUUUUCCAAAGGAUUCACACCAUUAAUUUCGUUAUUAGCAUCUUCCAGCCAUUUGGUGACGUCUUUCUCAAUUUCUUCAGCAUUCCUUUCAGCAACGUCGACAGCAUUUUGCAGACGAUCUAGUGCUAAAGCAAGGUUCUGCUUUCGUUCAUUGAAUUCUUUAACACAAUUGUUGAAACCGAACAUGUAGCGGAACUGCCUUAUUGCUGGUUCCACCAAGAGUCCUGCUUUCUUAGAUAUAAUGGAUUCAUCAACACUUUCGAUAGCCAUUUUCCUCCCGUCUGAAUAUCAGAGAAAUAAGGAUGUCGACUGUGAGAGUGAGUAAUUACAAAUAAAACAGGCAUUGAGAGAAUGAGAAUAGGAAUUUUAUUACCUUAAUUUGUGAAAAUAUGUGCGAAAAUCACAGGUACUGUUUGCUCAAUAAAAUAUAGCGAGAAACAGAACAAGAAGGACUUCAGCUCUGUAUGGAAUCCAGCUUAAAAAACAAGUAGUCAAGGUAUAAGUAUACCAAUAAUCAAUUAAUCUCAUCGAUUUCCAUCUAUGUCAUGUAUAAAAGCCAUUUAUUGAUAGCAGUAGAUUUUUUCUUUCUUUCUAAUAUGCAAGUUUACGUUAAUAGGUAUAAUUUUCCGGAUUGAAAUUUGAUAAAAGAUUUCAUAAGCCUUGUUUUUUUUAUGGUGAAAAUGUUAAAUCCAUUGGAGUUUGAAAAAGCCUUCAAAUAAGGCCUAGAAGUAAGUAUUCGGGAUUUGUAACAUUUUUCUAGUAUGACACAUCAACUUCACUUGAUGCAACAAGUAGGACAGAGAAAUAUAAGACUUCAAGAGAAUUGUUUCACUAUAAAAUAGUUGAAAGUUCUUCUAUGAAUACUCAUGUUCUGAAGAUAAUCGGUAAUCGUUAUUUUAUAAAGUGUUGAUUUAGUAUUGUAAUCUUAUUUCAUAGGUAAGAAAUUGAGCCAAUUAACUUUGUCAUUUUAUAAAGGGUUGAUUUGGUAUUGUGAUCGUUAUUUCAAAGCUUUUCUUAGUCCAUUAUCAACUAUCACACUUGCAAACAUUUAUCAUGAAACAUAUAAUGUAUGCAAAAUAUAAAGACAACAACAAAUAACACAAAAACUAGUAGGAACACACUCACCUUAUAGUAGAGACAAACGAAUGAUUAUGAAUGGAAGGUUCACGAUCACUUGCACACUCACACACAUGAUAACUUCUAUCGAUCGAUUCCAACCACAAAUAUAAUUUAUCUAAGGAGUUAUGUAUGUGAUGUUACUAUAGUUAUGGUCUCUCAAGGCCUUUUUCAAAAAAGAAAAAGAAAAGGAUGAACAAGGGGACAUUAACGAAAAGAAUUGAAAAGGAGAAAAGAAUUAGUUGAAUGAAGGAAGCUCUCUGCCACUUCCCUAUAUCACACUCAAUGAACAUGAUUUACCCAUAAAGGAAAAAGAGACAUUCCUUACUUCAAAUUUGCUUUGCUUAUGAAGUAGGCUAAGGACAACAACAUCUGCAAGCUAAAGAGGGAUAAUCAUAAGAUUGUGGUUUGGGACAAAAGAAAGAAUUUUUCCAACAUCCGUCAUCAGUACCGGUGAAUAGGAUAGAAUGAAAGACUUCGGCCCCUUCUAUAUCAGUAUUUUUUAGAAGUUAUUUAAAUUAAAAAGCCAAAAAUAAAUGCAUCUACUGUUGCAGGAAUGGACUAAAAAGUCAGUUAAUCUGCAUAAUUAAAUACUGUUACUGUAAACUACUAGGAAAUUCAUGGGUAAAGCCACAAAAAAAAUGUAAAUUAUACAAGUUAACAAUAGCAUUGAGCAUUAAUUCGAUUAAGUUAAAGCCCUGGUGUGAAUAGAGAGGAUCUUGCCGUUUAAAAAAUAACCAUAGAAACUAUGGAACCCACUAUUUAUUAAUCCAUUUCUAUUUACUAUUUAUUUUUAUUUACUGUAUUUUUAUUUUGAUACCCAGUACCAAUAAAAUUUGAGAUUUCUUCAAUUUUUCAGGUGCAUGCACUAGUCUAAUGGCUUCAUGGUAUUUAUCCUUAACUAUCAGGCUAACCUUUACAGGCUUAGCUAGCAAUCAAUAAUUAAUAUUUUAAUGAAUUCAGUUUUUAUUUAAAAUAAGGAAAAGGACAUUGGUGAAUAAAUAGUUUCCUUAGAGGGCUAAUUUAGAAAAAGAUUUGGAUCACUAGAUCAACUUAUGGGAUACCUGGCCAAGGUCAACCUAUGAGUCAUAAAUCAAUCCAUAUCAAUUAUUUUUAUUAAAAUGAUAAUGUUUUGUUUUUUUUUCUUGAUAUUAAUUUGGCUAAUUUUGAUCAAAUCUUACCAAAUCAGCUGAAUCAGUAAGAACUUAACCAAGUCUGAUUUUAUAGAUCAAUAUUUUAUGUAGUUGAAUUAAAAAUUCAAUUCAAUUCUAGCUCCGAACCCUGAGUUUUGUUUGUUCAAUCUAGCAUACAGGUUUAACAAAUAUGCUUCUCACUUGCAGCUGUGGUUUGCUGCGGGCAUUUGGUAAUUGGGAGAGGCUUUAGUUUCGUACCUGUUGAUCGGGAUUCAUAUACACUUGGACCUCUUAUUUUAUUUUAUACUGGUUGGAUCCAAACUUAAUCCAAUACAAAAUUAACAUAUUUAUUAUUUAUUUAAGAUAAAUGAUAUCGCUUUAACAUAUUAGUGUACACUUAAUAUGAUUAAAUUUAAUUUAAUUAAUUAAAAUCUCACCGUAAAUUUUUUUACCAUUUGCAGCAAAAAAACAGUUGACACCUUAUUAAUAUAAUCAAUAUAGUACAAAAAUUAUAGUGAUUUAAAACAAUUCAUUAAAAUGUUCCUAAAUGUUUUUAUUUUGUGACAAGGGUUUUCGUGUUAUUUGUUAUGUAUUGUCACUGUCAUAAUCUAUUUCUAGAUUAUUUCUUAAAUUCCAUAAUUAGAUUUUUUAUAAGCCAAUUUGAUUUAAUCAUUGGUCAAAUUAAAUUUUAAUUAUGUUUAAAAAUUUAUUUGGAUCUAAUUGAAGGAUUUAAUUAGAUGCAAUGACUUAAUUUUACUUUAAAUAGAUCAAAUUAAUUUUAUUAGGUGGCUUAAUUGGUGAAAAAUUAAGUUUGGAAGCCCAAUUUGGGCUUAAUUGAGAAUAUUGGGAUUUUAGGAGACCAAAUUUAAUUUUUACCAAGUCAAUUGAUUCAAAUCAAGGGUAAAAUUGCAAGAAAAUCAAAGUUUUGGGGUCAAUUAAGGGCUAAAUUAAAGAAAUUCACAGCCAAGAACUAUUUUGCAAAAGACGUCAAACUAUAGGAACUCAAUUGAUUGAAAUCAACGGUGGAAUUGAAGAGAAUUGAAAGUUUAAGAAUCAAUUGAGGGUUAAAUUGAAUAAAUCCAAGACCAAUGACCAAAAUGAAAUAGGUGAUGAAAUUCGAGGCUGAUAUUGAAGUUCGGCAAGGGCAAAACUACUUAAAAUUAGAAGUUUAGGGUCAAUUAGGGGUGCAAUUCAAAGAAAUUAAAAGCUGGAGGACUAAACUGAACUUUGACCAAACCCCUAAAAUCAAACCUUAAGAGCCAAAACGAUGAUGUUUCAUUUAAAUGGAACAACACAAUUUGACCAAAACAACGCCAUUUUGACAAAACAGAAUCAAAACAAAAGGGGUAGACCAGAAGACGCAUUAUCUAGAUUGUUCAUCUUCUUCAUCAUUAGCCUCCCAGAAAGCUUCUCAAAUGGCUAAUUUCUCAAAGCAUUUAAUGUCUUGUCUCUCCACCAAAUUUGAAAACAUUUGCACGCAAUUAGUGGCCUAACGUCUGGUGUGGUCCUUUAUGGCCGAUUGAUGCCAUAGUGGUUGUGGCAUCGCCCUAAAGUGGCCAACCCGACCAGCCCUUCUGUAGUAACUUGUCAGGCCAUGAUUGCAACUUUAAAUCAAUUGUUGGGAUCCUACAAAGUUGAAUUAGAGGCCAAGAUUUGAAACCAUUAAAGACAAAAUGCCCCUCUUCCACACCCUAUAAAUAGAGGUGGAUUUCAUGACCUAAGGGAGGAAACAAUCGGGUCCAAAGUUGAUAAACAAUCAGCCUUCCCCCUAGUAUUUUAUAUGCCAUCAUAAUUUUUUUCUUCUUCUUCGCUGUCGUGAACUCGGCUUCUUUAGCCACCACAACCUCACCAACAACGUGACCUUUGGUGGCCCAGCACCCUUGCCACUCCAUCCCCUUGCCACUCCAUCACCUUGCCACUCCUCCCUUCUCCCUUAGACAAUAACCUCCGCAAGCUUCUUCUUUUUCAUCCCAAACCAAUAAUGACCCCUGCACCUUCAACCUCCACUCACUAGUAACAACACCAGCAACUCUAGCAAACCAAUAAUUGCCACCAUUUCAGUUUUGUUCUUCUCCAACACCGGCAGCAGUAGCAGCAGCAGCAGCUCCAACCACGCCAAUGUUUUCUCCUUUUUCUCUCUUCAACAGCCAACACCGCCCACCACCGUCUCCACCAACGGCUCCGACAGUAGUCGACAAAAAGACCAAUCAGCCACUCCUUCUGUAAUAUCCCAAUUUUGGAUUCUCCAAAAUUUUCUUGAAUGUUAUUUUUAUUUCUAUUUUCAUUCAUAAAAAUCCAAAAAAAGUUAAGAAAAAAAGUUUAAAAUUCAAAAAUAUAUUUUUCUCAGGUCAACCACCUUUUCCAUGAAAAUGAGCUUAUUGGGUUAAUACGAGUCAAGCCAUGUUGACCAAGGUAAAAAAUAAGUUUUAGGCCAUUUGGGGUCAAAACAAUCAUUUUCGGUCAAAACUGAGUCAAUCAGGUCAAUAUGAGUCAAACCAUGUCAACCAGGGUAAAAAAUGAGUUUCAGGCUGUUUUGGGUCAAAAGCCAUCAUUUUUGGUCAAAACCGAGUCCAUCAGGUCAAUAAGAGUCAAUCCAUGUCGGUCGAGGUAAAAAAAAGAGUUUCAGACCAUUACGGGUCAAAACCAAGUCCAUCGGGUCAAUACAGGUCAAACCAUGUUGACUGGGAUAAAAAUUGAGUUCCAAGCUAUUUUGGGUCAAAACUGUUAUUUUCGGUCAAAACCCGAUCAAUCGGGUUGAUCCUAGUUGAAAAAUAUUUUUUAAUGUUUGAAAUUAUUUUUCCAGUAAUCAAAAUUGAAUUUUAGCGGUGGAAACGAGUUUUUUCUAAUACUAAUUCGAGUUUUUAGUUUUAUCCAUUUAUAUAUAUAAAAUAAAACAAAUCAAUAAUGCAAAAGUUUUAUUAUAGUAGCUGGGACAGGUCAAAACAUUUCUUCAGGACAGCGCCGUGCCCUCUGGUUAUAAACAUUCGUGUCCCCUCAGCAUCAACAUUGGCUAUAAAAGGCAGUGAAAUUUUACUAAAAAAAGAGAAAAAAGGAGAAGAAAAAAAGAAGACGUGAAUCCGAAUGAUAAUACUAUUCAUGUUUUUUUAGUUUUUUCUUCACACGAGUAAGUUAUUGAUUUUUUUUAAAACAAUUCAAAAAAUACCAAAACUAUCAUGACCUUUAGAUCUAAUAAUAUCUUAUCUAAUACAUCUUAACACACUCGAUGAAAACCCAAAACCAUCUCAGCCCUUAACCAAAUCUGCCCUUGGAUCUAAUUUUUCCACGUCACUAGGUGUACCAACAAUCCUGUGCAGCUAUCACACCGAAGCCAAUAUCUGUCCAUCAGGACCGACUGAUCAAAUUUUGAUCGAGCCAACCAUAGCCGAAGGAUCAAUUUAGAAGUAAUCCAGCGGUCCAAAAGCUUUAGGUGCACCAGAUUACCACUCUCCCCUCUCGCCGACGAUUCUCUCUCUCUCAUCAGAUCUCCCAACUUCGGCCACAUAAAGACUCCGGACCACCACAAAAAGGUUCCUCACCUCUACGCAAGCAAACCCAUGCAUUUUGCAUCGCCUUCGACAUCACAUCUUGCCAGUAAAAGGCUGCGACGUCUUCGGCCACCCGAAGAUUCAAGCUGUCGAUUCUCUCUCAUCAACCAUCAACGGCCAACGAAAAAACCAUCAUCAUAAUCCUCUCUUCUAGAUAUACCAGAAGCUACCCUUUUUGGCUCAGAAUCCCGCCGAAGAAUUUCACUCCUCCAACAGUGGUCGCGCAUAAGCUACACGCGCCACCAGGGUUGUUUUCAUAAUUUCCUGAGAAUUUCAGGGAUAUUUCAGUCUUUUCCCCUACAGUGUAACUCAGGUAAUUUUGGGGUUCCUAGGGAUAUUUUAUUUGUUUUUCACAAGUAUUUAUAAACUUUUCUUUGUAUGUAAAAUACCCAAAAUAAAUAUAAAGAAGAAUGACAAGGCAGGUCCGAGACUUAUUUUAUCCCGUCAUCAUGCGCGGGUCCAAAGACUAAUUCUUAAAUAUGGGUUAUGCCAAUUUUUUUUAGCAAUUAUAACAUAAUCUUCUUUUUCAUGAAUGAAUGUUAUUCGUCAACAUGUCUCCUUUUACAAAUAAAUACCAAUGUUAAAAGUUUAAAAACAAAUAUGAAUUAUGUUCAUUAUGUUUUUUUACAACUUGAACGCAAUUCUUCUUUUUAGGAUUAAACGUCAACAUUUCAACAAGUCUCCUAAUUUUAGGGACUGAUGUCAACCCUCUAAAAAAAUAAAUUACAAAUAAGCUCAAAAGAUCAUAGCAUUUGAAUAAAAUAAAAAACACAAGUAAGGGUAACCUUUCUCUUGAAAAGAUGUUUUGAGGGUGGUGUUUAUCUUCCCUUAAUCAUAAGUAACUCAGUAUCUGAAUUUCUUGGACCAAUGUCUAAUUUGAAAUUUCUAGUUUCCCUCAAAUUAUUAGAAGGUGACUCCAAUAAAAUCUUCAUUUCCUCAAUUAAUCUUUUUAUUAAUAAAAAAAAUGGAGCCACUGUUUUCACGUCAUGUAUCGAUAGAAUACCCAUUGAUCUAUAUAAAACUAAAGAAAAACUUAUUCAAGAUCAUGUUAUAUUGACUAUGAAAAGUUGACAUGGGCCAAUUAUUAUGGGAUUGAGGGAGAAAUAAAUACUAAAUUCUGGGAAUUAGGGUGCUUAAGUAAAAAAAAAUGAGCAAAAACUUUCAUAGAUAGGUAAGAAUGAAAUUGCCUAACUUGUCCAAAACUAUUUAUGACAAGCUUGAAUACCAAGAUACUCUAAAGCAAUACAACAAAACCAUACACAUUUCUAUUUUCUUAAUUUGUAAUUUAGCAAUUAGUGGUAUCCUUGGCCAAGCUUGUGCAAAUCAAGACAACGUCCACCUCCCUAGUUUGGUCUAAAGCAUACAAUCUAUGCUAGGACUAGAGGUAUCAAGGGGAAAUAAAUCAUCAUAGCUACUAGUUUGGUCAAAAACAUACAAUCUAUGCUAGGACUAGAGUUAUUUGACUGCAAUUGGAACGCUGAUUAGUACUUAAAACUGUAUUUUUAUCAAGGUUUUAUAUCAUCUUUUUGCACUUGAAGUAUCAAUAACUCCUUAACUAAAGCAUGUUUUAUAAUAACAUAUCUAAUAAUAUAAGAUAGCUUUAAUUUAUGGUAAAUGUUCAUCCUAAAUUCAGGCCUAUCACAUAAAUAAAAGGAUUGAUUGAUGAGUUUAAGUAUUGAAAUUGAAAGGACAAAGAGAGGGUCAAACUUAGAAAAGAGAUGCUGGUGCAAUCCAAACUGGAACACUAUUUGGAAAUUAGGUCAUAUCUGGAGCUGUAGAUCUCGGAUUUAGGUCCACUUUAUAUGGAUGGAAAGGUAAGAAAUGGGCCUACAACUUUCAUGUGGAGCCCAAGAUUUAAAAAAGCCGUUUUCAAGUGCAAAUUAUAUCAACAACGAAGAAGUUUGAAUCUGUCUUGCAGCCUAAACACUGUUCAGUGUUCAGCCCAUAUCUUGAGUUCUAGAAGUCUACAUGACCUUAAUUUUUUUUCCUGGAAAGCUGAGACAAUUUCCUAGAACUUUCAUGAGUAAAGUUGGUUCAAAUUCUGACAUUAUCAAUGAUGUUCUAUUCAGACAAGAAGAUAAGGAUUGUCACCAAGUCAAGAUGUGGCCACCCACUCAUCAAUUAUUCAUCAAAUCAAUAGUUCCAAAUUUUGACCUAUAAAAGAAGGCAUUUACCAUGUAUUUAGGCAUCUUGGUUUUCAGAUCAAGAUCAUGCUCUUGCUUUCUCUCUUUGUAUUUUCGCAAUACUUAAGUUUUGCUUUCAUUAAUAUCUAGUUUAUGCUUUUCAUUUCCUUUCCUUUACUUAGUUAACUUUAUCUUGUUUAUGCUUUUAUCUUGUUCAUUUAUGUUUCUUUCUUUUAUUAUGUUUAGCUAAGUUUAUUAUGUCAAGGUUAAAAGGUUACACUAAUGGUGUAAGAAUAAGUAUAGUGUAAACUCAUCAUGGACUUUAAUGUUUGAUACUAACAUGUUUUAUAUUUGUUAUCUUGUUCACUUUUAAUACUUUGCUUGUUAAAUGGUCAAUCUAGAUUUAUGUUAUAUAACCCUUGGUACAACAAAUACUUGGCACUUUCAUUGCCCAAACCGUAUGGUAUAAUCAACACCUGAGCUAUGAAAGGAACUUGAUUUGUUGUUAACAUAAGUUAUAAUCAUGAAUGCCUAACAACAUUUACAAAUAUUAGCAUUAUUCAAAAAAGAUAACUAAUGUAAUCAUGUUAACAAUUUAUAAUCCGAUUGGAACCUCCUUUGUGUGUGGUUUCCAGUUGAAUAAUAAGAGUUUAUACUAUACUUGUUUGAAAUACCAUUAGUGGAUCCUCUAACCUUGACAAUUAUUUUUAUCAUUAUUUAGUCCUCACAUUAAUCUUACAUCUCAAAGUUCUCAUCAACUUCUUCUUAUUCUUCUUCUUUAUUAUUAGUAUUAUUAUUAUUAUUAUUAUUAUUAACAUUAAUAUUAGUAUUAUUGUUGUUGUUGUUGCUACUACUGUUGUUGUUGUCGUCGUCGUCUAUAAUUUAUACAAUUAACCUCCCUGUGGUUCGACCCCGGUCUUGCCGGAUUAUUUAUUACUUCGACACUCCUGCACUUGGGAGAAGAUAUCAAUCUUUUGAUCAUGUCAAAAGCUCAUAUUAAUUGAUUUAUGGUGCUAAGAUACAUAAAUUAUAGUCACUAUCACCAUCAUUAUUAUCAUCAAAUUUAUAAUUAAUUUCAUUUUUCAGUAAAAGAUAAUAUCAUCUGUAUCCAAUGAUUGCCAACUUCACCACAGAUUUAACAUUUCUAUAGUUAACAUUUCUUUUGCAUGUUAGGAUUUCAAUACUAAUGAGUGUAUUUUCUAAAGUUGAAAUAGUGCUACCCAAUCUAGGUUCAAGUGGGAUGAUGAAUUAAAGAGCAGUUGUUAUUUCAAUACUAAUGGCUCAUAUUUGAUUUAUGGAGCUAUGAUUAGGGAAUCGUGCUUGUAUCACAUAUAACAAUAUUUACAUAGCAACAAGCAUUAUUAAAGAUGAUACACUAGUAAGUUUCCAAAUGCUAUCAACAAAUAUUAUAACCUCUUAAUUUAUAUAAGGAUUGAGCUAAAUUGCUUUAUCAAAUAUUUUUUUUUUUUGAAAUAUUAUAUAGACAUAGAAUCAACAAGAUUAUGUGACAUUCUAUAUUGAUUUUGUGAUAUAACGCAUAUUACAGUGCACAUUGAUAGAGUGAGUCUGGGUGGACAAACUUUUGGUGGUACACGUGGUGCUUAAUGAUUUGACGGCUAUGGAGAGAAGUUACAUGAGGGAAAUAAGGUGGAAAAAGUGGCCUCUCUAGAUUUUGGAAAUGUUCUCCGAAGAAAGAAGGAAAAUAAUUUCAAAGGUGGAUAAAAAUGGGGUAAUAUCAGAUUUGGAACAUAAUCUUGGUUGGUGAAGAAUAACAUAAUCUAAGGAGAAAUCUAGGGCAAGUCUGGUGAGAUUUGAGCUUAGAUUUUGGACCAAUUUAUAGGUGGAUGAUACCAUCAUGGAUGAUGUCCAGCUGAUAAAUGUUUAGUUACUUGCAAUUCUAUCAUAAAGUUAUCAGAUUCUGUGUGUGUGAGGGUGCCAUAUGUUUCUUUCUUCUAUGAUGGAUAAAAAACGCUAAGCAAUGAACCAUUUUGUCCAUCUGAGUAAAAAAGGUAUUAUGGUUAUGAUGAGAACUCUACAGCUGUGAUUCUAUUUUUGAAGGUAAUAUUUAUUAUAUUUAUAAUUAUAAGAAUCUUUAAAAAAGACACGGGUAAAAUAUUAUUCUCACAUCACUCACUAUUCACUGGUGUUAUAGGCUUAAAUUGAUAGAUAAUUAAGUAAAUUUGUUGAGGAAAAGAAAAAUUUAAAUAUAGAUAACCAAAGUGAAAAAAAAAAGCAAAAAAAGAUGGUAGUUUCAAGAUCCAAAAAUUCACUUUGAUUCUCAUAAUUUUCAAAUAAUGACUUUUUGGUCCCUUAAGUUUUCCUACAUUUUAUUUUUUAUCCACAACUUCAUUUUUCUAUUUUCUCAUUCCCUAAUUUGAUAGAGGAGACAUAGUUUUGAAACCGGCCCGGCCUGGUGAGUCGACCCGGGAACCGGCUAACCCGGGGCUGGAACUGGGCCGGGUUGAAGAAAAAACGGGGGAAGAAAAAACCCGAUGUGACCCGGCAAGACCUAAUUGCAAACCCGUUGAUUUUUUUUUUUUGCUAAAACGAUAUCAUUUUGAUUUUUUUUUAAAAAAAUAAUUGACCCGGUCGACCCGGUAACCCGGUCAAAACUCGGAACUCGAGCCAUGGACCGGGCCGGGUCUUAAAACUAUGGAGGAGACAAAAAGUCAUUGGAUUACAAUGCUAGAGAGAGUCUCUAUAACAACCUUAACAUUUGUAUUCAAAACAAAAUGUAAGGACAUGAUGAUUCAAAUAAGAUUAGGGAUUUUUUUUAAUCAAUAAAAAAUUCGGCAGAGUUUCUUCUAUAUUUUUAGGUAUCAAGUUAUCAACUUUCAUCCACAAUCCCCAAUUAUCAAAUUUCUUAUCCUAUCAUCCAGGACUUCCUCCUCUUAUUAUAUCACAACUUCUCAAUAAUCAAAUUUACACAUGUCUAAACAAUUCAAUAUCAAACAUUAACAUGAAUGCAAUCCAAGGAAUUAUUCUACAAAUUAUAACUGAAGUACAUUACACAAUUCAAAGAUUUACAAAAAAAGACCAUUAACAAAAUUAUAAUCGAAAUAAGUACAUAAUUAAAGAAGAAAUUCAUAAUUAAUAUUAUACUACACAAAAGGGUUUUCGAUAAACUGUUGACGCAUUAUAUUACAUAACAAAAUGAUAAAUUCAUUCAUUACAAAAAAAUAUCAAACAAAAUAUAAGAAAACUAAUCUAUUGUUCAGUUCGAUAGGGAGAUGUACCUAAAAAUUGAUUUAAUACAAUAAUUCGAUUAGAUAGAUGAAGAAAAGAUAUCCAUAAAAUUCUUUCUACUUUCUUUUUUUCUUCCUUUUUUUUUUUUUGAAAAUUUAGUCAAAAGAUCAUUAAAUUAACUUGCACAUCUAGUAUUAUAUAUAUUAAUUAAAUUUAAGAAUAAUCUAUGAGUUUGUUUUCUUUUUCUUUUUCUUUUUUAACAUCAACCAAAAAUAUAAUUAUUCCUAUCGCCCAAUUAACCUAGCAUUACUUUCACUAAUAGAUGAUUAAUUUUCCACCAGUCCAUUCAACAAGCACUAUUGUCAUCAAUCCAAAAAUUAGUUUAACGUUUCUUCCAUUCAUCAGGGUAUAAAUCCCAUUAACCAGGGAAAUUAAUUCUUCAUCUCGCCCAUUUAUCAGGGCACUAAUUCUAUUAAAUCAGGAAUUAGUUCAACUAUUUACCCAUUCAAUAGGGUAUUAAUCCCAUUAACCAGGGACUUAAUUCCUCAUCACGCCCAUUCACCAGGAUAUUAAUCCCAUUAAUUCAGGAAUUAGAUCAACAAUUUGCCCAUUCAUCAGGGUUCUUGUAACAGUCCGCCUAUACGACUUGCUCAAUGUUAAAAGAUCCCAACAUAUCAUCUUUAUUUGAGAGUAAAUUAUAUAUAUAUAUAUAUAUAUAUAUAUAUAUAUAUAUAUAUAUAUCCUACGAGUAAGUUCAAUAUGAACAUAGUCUACAUAACAUAUCAUAAAAUUUUAAAGAAAAGGAAUACUAACAUGUAAAGAAAGCAUUUACAACAUAAUAAGUGUUCUUAAACAUUUCAAAAGGGUUAAUUACAAGAUAACUAAAAUACUACAUUCUAAGCUGAACUUUUAUAAAAAUACAUCAAGGUUUAUGCAAAAAUAUACUACAAAACCGCGUUAAUUCCCUUUAGUUUAAGUUAAAUAUUUACAUAAGCUUGACAAAGUAGAGUUUUAAACUAAUGAUCUCCCUGGAUAUUUGAUGGACCUGAUACAUAAAUGACAUACCAUUAUGUUGAUAAAGAAUAUAUAUAUGCUCAUGUAAUGUAUAUGAAUGAAGUAUUAAUUUUCUAUCGGGUCCAUAAGAAUUCUAAUAGAGAACUUAUAUAUAUUGCUUGUAAAUCUUUUAAACCUAAUUAACACUCAUUUGCAUACUCUUAAUUUGGAUACUCUUGUUUACUUGCGUGAACUGGGUGACCUUGCAAGUCUAAUCUUGAAAUUCAUUUCCCAGCAAUCCUAUCACGGAUGUCAUUAGCCGAAGCUAAUAUUGUAAAUCAUCUCCAGACAUUCCUAUCACGGAUGCCAUUAGCCGAAGCUAAUCUUGUAAUUCAACUCCCGGUAAUCCUAUCACGCAUGCCAUUAGCCGAAGCUAAUCUUGUAAAUCAUCUCCCAGCAUUCCUAUCACGGAUGCCAUUAGCCGAAGCUAAUCUUGUAAAUACACUAGGCUUUAUUUACAUUGAACACGAUAUUUAUUAUAAUUACAUUCACCAAAAGAAUUUUGAAUUGUAUAAGUGCAAAUAGGAGGGAAAGUCACGCACCUGCUUCGCCUGUCUUGCGACUUCCCCUAACAGGAGAUCCAAUCCUGGUUGCUCCCUUUGAAUCACAAGGAAGUUUUUGGUUAUGAUUCCUUCAAGCUGAUAUUAUAGAGAAUUCAUAUUCAUCCAUUACUCAUAUGUUACUUUCUAUGCAUGUUCAUUUCCUCAUAAUAACAUACAUACAUAUAUCAUGUAUAUUUUCAGAAUUAGUAUCUCAAUGUGCAAAUGUUCGUAUGACUCAAUUCUUUUAUAUUCUUAUAUAUGGUAUUCACAUGAAAGUCUAUUGUUACUGUCUAACUUUGAACUGUUACUGUUUAUACAUUUAAACUGUUACUGUCUAACUUUGAACUGUUACUGUUUAUACAUUUAAAUUGUUACUGUCUAACCGUUAUUGUUUAACUUUGAACUGUUACUGUCCAACCGUUACUGUCUAACUUUGAACUGUUACUGUCUAGACAUUUAAAGUGUUACUGUCUACACAUUGAACUGUAUUUGAAGUGUUACUGUCUACACAUUGAACUGUUACUGUCCAACCAUUAUUGUCUAAACAUUUGAACUGUUACUGUCUAAACACUUAUCAGAUUUUUAACUAUAUCUAAAGUUCUAAAACUCCAUUUUAAGUGAGAUUGAUCUCGUUAGAAAGCUAAGACACGAGGCUACCAGUUCUCUAAGGAAAGAGAACCCAGUUUUGCCUCUAAGAUAGUCAAAAUUGCUCAUCAACUAAUCAAUCCUACUGCCCUACAUAAUCAGUCACGACUCAGUCUCGAUUGGUAACCCAUAACUGGAGUUCUACAUCUCCAAAUUGAGUAAGACCAGUUUUCUUGGUUAGUUAACAUUCAAAUUUACAAUUUCUAUGAGGAAUCUGAUCCUAAUUUCCUCAUCCUCCUACCUAAAAUCUCACCGAAAUUCAGGAGACAAGCUGUCCAAAUUCGUCUCCCCCUCCCCUUCACACAAUACUUUCAUAAACUACAUACCACACACAUGAAUUAACUUAAUCUUAACAAUAAGUACUUUUUCCCCAAUUCAUGUUUAAGAACCCUAACAUAUGAUUCAAUAUCAAGGCAUCAAUUCAUUAUCGAAUUUAAAAUGAAUUUUUAAGAUCAUGUUUAGAACACCUUACCCCGUACGAAUUAAGAUUUUGAUCUUCAACCAGUUGAAGAUUUUUAACUCCCUCCUUUCUUUUCUUCUUGUUCAAUUUCUUGAUAAUCCUUUGCUCUCAAGUGUUUAUCCCAUCUAUAAACCCUUAAUCUUGGAUGGGUUCUUGAAAUUUUAGUGUUUCUCUCUUGAUUUCAUAAGAAUAGGUAUAAAACUCUCUAUUUUCUUUCCUUAUGGUUCCUGCAGAUUUUUGGUGAGGAGAGAGUACUUAUACUCUAUAUUUUCUCUUAUUUGCAUUUAGACCCCCUUUUCCUUUAAUUGUAUUAUUCUCUUCAAUUAAAUCUAACCCUCAAUAGUACCGGGUUUAUUAUAAUGUUCGAAUUAUUUCACCCGGAAAUUUAUAUUAAAAACUUUCUGAAUUCCUGUUUUUAUUUAACCAUAUGCAUGAAUUUCUUCACUUUUAUUUAUUUCUUUUUCCGGGGUUUACAGUUCUAAUCCUAUUAACUAGGGAAUUAAUUCCUUAUCACGACCAUUCACCAAGGCAUUAACCCCAUUAGUUCAAGAAUUAAUUCAUCACAUCGCAUUUCUUGUUUUCUAAAGUAAACAAUAUAAUAAUUACUAAUUUAUCAACCAUAAUUAAUCAGAUAAAAAUACAUAUUGACCAAUAAUAAAUUCGGGCAUCGUAUAAUUACCGGACGACUAAGCUCGAGCUGAAAUUCUCUACUGUGGUGUCGGCCUGACAACCUCUUUUGAAUUGACAAGUAUAUCACAUCAUUAUUCUACUUUUCAUAUUGACACACUCAAUAAAUAAAAUCAUUCCAAUUAUCCUUUUAUUUGCCAAAAUAAAAUCAUUUUGUAAAUUUCCUUCCAAUUUCCACAUUAUAACACAAUUCAUUUCAUCAUUCAAAGCAAUAUAUAUAUAUAUAUAUAGUCUUUAAAUUUAUUUAUUUAUUUUUUACCAUAAUUUAAAUCAAAGAAAAACAUAAAAAAAUUUCAUGAUCUAUUCACUCUUUAACAUUAAUAUCAUCUCUUUCUUACACAAUCUCAUCAUCUUAUUAAAAAUCUUAAAUUUUUAUUUUUCUUAUUAUUAUUUUUUCAAAAAUCCCUUCUUCAAGAACACCUAAAAUUUUGCUUUAAUUACCAUAAUUUCUUACUUUCUCUACUCACUUCAAUAAUCUUAACAUAAUUUCACAAACAAUUGUAAUUUUCCCUAAAAUUUAUCAUGAACCUUAAUUCCUCAUUUCACAAAGUUCAAUCAAGUUAAAGCAUAAAUUCUUUAAGAAUCUGAUUUAAAAGUUUGAGGGCUCAUUACCGAGUAAUAACCAAAGCCUUAACACUUUUAAAUUAAGAAAUUUUCCUUGCUUGAAUUUGUUUUUCCUCUCCUGACCGAAUGCUUCCUUCUCUUUGAAAAAGCAAGUUUGUUCUUUUUUAUUUGUUUCCUUACAGCACACACUCACUUGUCACUAUAUAUAUAUAUAUAUAUAUAUAUAUAUAUAUAUAUAUAUAUAUAUAUAUAUAAUAAACUUUUUUUAAAAUAUCUUCCAUGUCCCUCAAUUUUUUCUUCCGCCAUACACACUCACACUUACACACCUAUAAUUACUUAACUUUUUAAAAAUGCCUUCUAUAUCCCUCAAUAGUAAAUUUUAUAAUUUUUGAAUAACAUUUCAUGAAUCCUGACGCUUGUUUAUACCAAAUUUUACCCGGGUUAUUUGAAAUUUCACUCAGUUACUCGUUAGUACUUUCAGUUUCAUGAAAUUCACUUCCAUAAAAAUUUUAUGCACAUUUUUGUGUUUAUUUAUAUUUAUUUUUAAUAUAUAUUUUAACACCUGAAUAAAACAUUUCACUUCAGAUUCUCAAAUAUAUCAUCAUUCUUAUAAUUUAAUUUAUCACUUUCUCUCAUUUUUUGUAAUCUUGACUUUUAUUAAUAUCAAUAAUAUUACCUGGGGUUUUACAAUCUCAGUUGGCACUGUUUUUCACUAUAAAAAAUGGUCGAUUUUGUUUUAAUGAGUUUUAUUUGAUGAAAAGAGUUCCAUUAAAAUGUUUUUUGCCCUUGAAAUUGCCAAAAAGUUUAUGGUUUUUGGGCUUUUUUAUUGGUUUAUUACAUCAUAAAGACCUUUUUUAGGUUUUUUGGUGUGAACAUUGUUUAAAUUUGCAUUUUUGGGUCAAAAAACACCUGCUUAAUUUUCUAGUCACCUCUCCAAUGGUUAAAAAGGGGAAAGUCUCGGUAGGUGACAUGUCGCUUUUCUUUAUUUUUUUUUCUCAAAAACAUUUGGAGCAUUUUCAAAUAAAAAAAGCCCCAUACAUACCAACCUUUUUUAAAAUGGCCUUGAUGUGUAGGCCUGACUUACUAGGCCUAAAAGCACUUGAAAUAUUUCUAUUUUUUUUUCUAAUUUUGUUUUCUUAAUUGAUAUUUUUUAAUGUAUUUUUAAUAAAUUUUUGAAUUUAUAUUUAAAUUAAUACUUUUCUCUCUAAAUAUUUAGAUUGUUUAUUUAGUUUUUUUUAAAUAGUGGUUAUCUUUUACUUAUCUUUUAUGUAUUUAAUAUCUAGAAAACAUUAUUCCAAUUCAUUUAUAUGUUUUUUUUUAUUUUAUAUGAAUAAACUUUAUUUUCAUGACGUGUUUAUAAAAAUAAGAAUUAUUUGUUCUUGGUAAGAAAAAGUGAACUUUAAGAUAUAAAAAAGAAGAAGGAGAAAAGUGUGCAUGAAGAGGAAAGUUAAGGUUAAGUAUCAUAUUUAUGUAUUUUUUACUUUUAUGAAAAUGAUUAUCAUUUUAUUUUAUAAAAUGAUUGGCAUUAACAACUUUUUAUUAGUUUAUUAGUUCAUAUUUUUGUAAGAUUUGUUUUUUACAUUUCUUAAUUAAGAGAAUCGUAAUACAAUGAAAUACAUUUGAAAUAUUGUCCCAUUUUUCUACUACAUUAAAAAUUAACUUAAGAUCCUAUAUGUGGCAGAAUGUGUUAAAAAUUAUUUUUUGUAUUUAUGAACACUUAUGGUCCUUACUUUAUUUUUAUUAUAUGUAAACAUCAACUUUUUUAUUCACAAUUAUAAUUUUCUCUUGAUUUUUAAAAAUACGUUAACGACAUUUAUACAUUUUUUCUUUUGCGUUCAAAAAAUUAUCUAACUCGUAGCAAAGUGAAUUAAAUAAACGCGUCAACACUUUUUUUUUUUGUAUUUAUGAUUAGGAUUUGUUUUUGUUAAAAAUGCAAUUGAUAAGCAUACAAAUUUAUUUUUUUGCUAAAAACAAUUUUAUGAUCCAUAUCGAAGUGCGAGUUAAAUAACUAUUAAUAUGGCUAUAGUAAGUCUUUUAGUAUAUGUGGAUGUAGGAAGCAAUGUGUUAUAUUAUUAGUUAGAUAUAACUUACCUAUUCAUUAUUAAAAAAAACAUAAAAUAAAUUAAUUAAUUAAUAAAAACCUAAAAGAGAUCGACUGAAAUAUAAUAUUUUUGUCUUUUUUUUUUGUUUCACAUUUCUCAAUUAAGAGAAUCAUGAUACAAUAAAAUGCAUUUGAAACACCGUCCCAUUUUUCUACUACAUUAAAAAUUAACUUCCUACAUGUGGCGCGUUGCGUUAACAAUUGUUUUUGUAUUUAUUAACAUUGUUGUUACCCAUUUUUGGGUUCCCACAAAAAUAUAAGAAAAUACAAAAAACAAUAUAUCAAAAAAAUAUUCAGAAGAAAUCCAAAAAAAAUAAUAGGAGCGAGAAAAGAAUGCUGGAAUGUUGAAAAAAUACCAAAAUUGGUUGAGGAGAUUAAAAAAUACAAAAGGUUGAAAUUUAACAGUAUAUUUUUGACUGAUGAGAGCCUUGGGGAUAAGAAAAAUUCAAUUAGAGAAAGAAAAGUUCAAAAUCAGAUGUUUAUGGACUCAAUUAAAUUUUAUCCAAGGUUUAAUUGAAUUUAUGGAGGGUUUGAUUGCAAGAAAAUUUAUUUUUUAAGUCAAUUUAGGUUUUUAUUGGAAAAAAUUAAAGUUUUAGGGUCCAAUUAUAAUUUUAAAGAGUUGAUUUGGUCAAACUAGAGGCUUAAUUGCAUAAUUCUUGAAGUUUGAUGGUCAAUUAGGGACUUGAUUGAAAUAAUUCAAAACCAAGGACUAAACCGAAAACGGCGCUAAAAUCAAGGAAUCCAAUUACAAUUCAUCCGGGGGCUUGAUUACAAAAUUGUCAAAACAACCAGGGACCGAAUCGGAAAUAUUCAUUUGAAUUGUGAAACGGCGCCGUUUCCUUAGACACUAUUCAUCACCAUCUUCAAAGCAGCCGUUUCAGCAUACAGGAACCGUUUUCAGCAACAAAUGCCACAGAUUAUGGGAACGUUUCACAGCUACCAUUUCUCUACCGUUACCACUGCAAUAAUGGUUUUGAACGUUUUCAUUAUAAAAAACGCAUGCAGUUUUGGCUAUAAAAGAGGAGAAAAGAAGGACAAAAAAGGGAGGGGAAAAAAGACAGAGAGAGAGAGGAAUGUAAGGGGGGAAAACAGAGAUGACCUGAGGAGAACAGAAGAGAACUGAAAAAAAAAAAAAGAGGAAACGAGAGGGAAAACCAGAGGGGAACGACAGAGGAGAAAAAAAGGAGGGGAGAGAGCCGCACCAGCAUUGCCAACGCCAUCGUCAGCUCAUCAUCUUCUUCGUCCAGCAGCCACUGCCAUUCUCCAUCACAACCGCACCAGCACGGCACAACGGAAAGGAGGAGAGGAGAGAAAAAACGACAACGAGACAGUGAGGGGAGAGAGGACAGAGGAAAAAGAGAGAGAACAAAAGGAGGAAAAAGACGACACAGAGAGGGAAAGAAAAAAAGAACCGGGGGCAGAAACACAGAAAAAAAACGAGAUAAGGAGGAGAAACAGAAGCACGCAGAAGGCAGGAGGAAUACCACCACCCGUCUUCCUCUUCACAGCAACCAGCAGCACCGCUAGCACCAGCAGCAACUCCACAAAGCCACUGCAGAGAGGCAAGAACACUGUUGAUGGGAGAAACGAAAUACAGAGGAAACAAGCAGCACGGCGAAGCAGAGGUGAGAAGAAAGAGAAGCAACGUCUGCCACCACAGCCGGCUGCCGCGACAACAACGCCACCGUCAGCUUCUCACCAUCUUCCUCCCCCUGCUGCAACACCCGUGAAGAAGAAGAAGAAGCCCGCGCCUCUGCACAGACGGGAAGAACAGCAGCAAACACUGCCCGCCACCGCAGAGAAGAGCCAUCGUCUGCAGCCACCAGUGCCACCUUAAGCCACCAUCAACCACGACAUCUCCACCAUUAGAAGCAGAAGAAGAAAAGGAGAAACAGGAGACAGAAGCGGGGAGAAGAAGGAACACUGUCCUUCUGCACGAGUACCGACGGCAUUUCCGACGGAUUUGCCAACGGCUCGAAAAGUUUGGCGGGAUUUCCGGAUUUUUUUGGUGUGCAUUUCAAUUAAUUUCCGACGGAAUUACCGACGAAAUUUAAUUCCACCGAUAACAAUUAAUUUCCAUCGGUAAUUCCGUCGGAAAUAUUGCUUUAUAUAUCGCCAUCCCCCCCACUUUGUUCAUUUUCUCCUCUUCUCCCUUUCUCUUCUUCUCUUGUUUAUAUUUAGCUUUUAGAAGGAUUUUAUUGUUUUGGUGGUAGUUUUAAAAGGUAUGUAUUUUUUUUUCUUUAUCUUUGUAUUUUUUUUUAAUUAUGAUUAUUUUUUUUGGUGUUCUUUGUUUUGUAUAUUGUUUGUAGAUAAAAUCUUAAAUUCAACACAUUAUUAAGGUAAGCAUUUUUUAUUCCCAAAUUUAUUUUGAAUUGAUAUAAUGUUUUUUAGUUUUGUGUAUUGUUUGUUUUGUGUUUAUGUUGUGUGUUGUGUAGUGUUUUUUAGUUUUUUAAUUUUAUUUAUUAAUUUUAGUUUUUUAGUUUUGAUAUUAUUGUUUGUAUUGCUAUAAUUGUUAUUGUUGAAUUUAUGUUAAAAAUGUUAAUUUAUAUAUAUAAUUGUUAAUGUUGAUUUAUUUUAAAAAUGUUAAUUUAUAUAUAUAUAAUUGCAUUUAAUUAGUUUAUCUUAAUUUAGGAUAUUAUUGUUUGUAUUGCUAUAAUUGUUAUUGUUGAAUUUAUGUUAAAAAUGUUGAUUUAUAUAUAUAAUUGUUAUUGUUGAUUUAUUUUAAAAAUGUUAAUUUAUAUAUAUAGAAUUGCAUUUAAUUAGUUUAUCUUAAUUUAGGAUAUUAUUGUUUGUAUUGCUAUAAUUGUUAUUGUUGAAUUUAUGUUAAAAAUGUUAAUUUAUAUAUAUAAUUGUUAUUGUUGAUUUAUUUUAAAAAUGUUAAUUUAUAUAUAUAUAUAUAUAUAAUUGCAUUUAAUUAGUUUAUCUUAAUAAUAUUAAUCCGUAAAUUAAAAUGUAUGACUUUAAUCUAAUGUUUGUAACUCUAAGUACCAAUUUAACAAUGAAUGUUCAUAGUUGUAAUUCUAUAUGAUGUUAUUGAAUAAAAUGUUGUGUUGAUGAUGAUGAGUUGGGUUGAGAUCCAGGAUGAUUGGAUUGGGAUGUGAAAUAAAAUUGGAAGUGUAAUAUGAUUUUGUCGACAACUUGGGACCCCCCUAGUACAGGGGAGACUCUGUCGAAUUUUUUUUAAAAUAAUCGAAGUUAAUUAUGUAAUUAUUCGUAUACAUUUGUGUAGAUGCGUAGAAUGAAAUCUACAGCACGUCGUCAGAAGACGGUUGCAGCUAGUUCUUCUAGCAGCAAGGAGGACGUAUGCUUAGGUGAUGAUCACGGCAAGGAAUCUACGCCAACUUGUGAUGCUGCCUCUUCUAGCGCGGUUUCACAGCGCAGAAGCGGUGUGCCUUCCCAGCGGGGUCAAUUCACCCGCAAGUACCAGGCACAAUGGAAGGAGACCUCUCAAUGUAAGUUUGUUUAGGUUUUAGUUUUUUUAUAUAUAUACUUAUAAUAUAAUUUAUGAACAACUAAUUAAUAUUAAUUACUACUUUUAUUUAAUUUCAGGUUCACAAACAUUGAGGCUGCAAGGACUAUAACAUUGGCGUUUAAAUCGUCGAUGGAGAUUCCAUUGUUUCAAUGGAGCCAAGUUUCCAAACAUCCUGAGUGGAAACCUAAUAUCGAUGCAUGGUUUAAGCGAUUUCAGGUCGGUGUUAAUUUUUAAUUUCCAGCUUAUUUUUAAUAAAUGAUUUUUAUUAUUUUAUAUCUUGUACUAUUUUUAUUUUAUAUGCAUUAUUUAUAUACACAGAACAAAUUUGAGUGGGAUAGGGCGGACAACAAUGUUGUGAGGAGGGUAUGGGAGAAUCACGCGGCAACUAGGUAACAUCGAAAAUAAUAUUUAUUUUUGUUUUAUAAUUUUAUGUUUUAAAUUCUAAUUUGUUACUAUGGAAGUAGGUUGCGUGAUUUUUGGUAUGACACCCAAAAAAAAUCAAAAAGACAUGCGAGGGAUAACGGUCUUGAAGGAUGGAAUGAGGUGGCGGUUUGGCAGGAAUUCAAACCGCCAUUCAUCUCGGGGGAAAUAUGGACGGCAUAUAUUGAGCACGUGACCUCAGAGCGGUUCUCACGGCGCUCACAGUCCGGCGCCGACAACCGGAACCGGCAAAUUCAUGAUUCGGUGACCACGCACACUGGCGGAUCCGUCCCAUUCAGCACACAUGCAAAGCGGAUGGUAAGAUUAAUUUUAAUGAAAUAUAUCGUUAAUUAAUUUGUCGUUCCUUAUAAUAUAUUUAACUUUCAACCUAUUUUUUCCUUACAGGCUGCGUCUCUUGGAAGUGAACCGAGUCCAAUAGAGCUAUUUCUAGAGACGCAUGUGCGGAGUCAAGACCGCCAAAAAGGGAUGCAGCAGUUCGUGGACAACCGUGCUCAGCAGUUCGUGGUAUGAUUGUUCAUUCAUUUUAUUUUGUAAGUUAUUAUUUUCUUGAAUUGCAUCUUGAAUUGCAUUUGAUGAUUUUUUUACCGAUGGAAUUUUCAGGAGACCUAUAAUAGCCGGUUGAGGGAGAGAUAUGGGGACAAUCCGUCGACCCAUCCAGAUUUCGAUCCAGAUUUGUGGAUGGAGGCGGGAUCGUCUGGUGGACCCGAUAAAAAUAGGGUCUACGGGCUCUCCAACACUACAGCUGACAACUUGCGUUUGACUCGUAGUGUCUCAACUGUUGGAAGCUCUCCAUCAGUAUCGAACACCCAGUCUGAGGAGUUCAUUGCGUUGAAACAACAAUAUCAACAACUCUCGACGAAUUAUGAUGAGCUCCGUCAAAUAGUCAUGGAGAUGAGAUCAAAGAUGGAUGACGAUACUUGUGCAGCUUCUUUUUGGUCGUAUGGUCCCGGGAACAACCAGCCUCCUCCUCCUCCGCCUCCUCCUCCAGCUCCGCCGCUAUUCUAGUUUAAUUUUUUUUAAACACAUUAAAUUUGUAAUGAAUAUUAUUUAACAUUACUUUUUACAUUUUUAAUGUUUAAUGCAUUUUUAUUUGUUUAUUAAGGUUUUUUACAAUUAAUAAAUUAUUUUUUAUAUAUAUUUUAAAUACCAACCGACAGAAUUGCCGACGGAUAUUAUCUGUCGGCGACUAAAUACCGACGGCAUUACCGACGGAUAAUAUCCGUCGGUAUUACACAGAGAGUUGCAACAAAAUUACCAGCCAUGCCAUCAUUACCGACGGAUAAUAUCCGUCGGUAUUACACAGAGAGUUGCAACAAAAUUACCAGCCAUGCCAUAAUUACCGACGGAAUUUCCGUCGGUAAGGACGUCGGUAAUUACCCUUGAAAUUUCAGACGGAUUUAUUCCGUAGGUAAUGUUCCCGCGGGAAACUUUUUUUUGGCGCGCGCGUAUCCGUCUGUAAUACCGUCGAUGUGUCCGUCGGUGGGUGUUUUUUUUUGCGACAGAAUUAGCGACGGAAAUGGGAUUUACCGACGACUGUUAUACCGACGGACGUGUUCUAUCGGUGAGUCCGUCGGUAUGUUUUUCACCGACGGAUUUCAUCUCUGUCACCGACGGAAUGAGUCCGUCGGUAAAACUGGAUAAUGUUGUAGUGAUGCAACAGUUUCAAAUGAGGUAUUGGACCUGAAUAUUCUAUCAUUUGAUUUGAUCAAUCUCAAUUAAGAUUGAUCCAAAAAUUUUCAAUUUUAACUAUCAUAUUUUAUUUUCACAAUAAGAUUUAUCUCCUUGUUGUGAAAAUCUAAUAUGUUCAAAUCAAAUUUUAGUCGAAAAUAUAAAACCCUCUUAGUCAUAUUUUUCGAGACAUGCCCACUUGUUUCAAAAGUAAGUCAACUUGUCUUGAGGGGGCAUUUGUAGAAACACAAAUUUUCUAUCAAUCAAAUUUCACCAUGUGUUAUUUUAUUCUUUAAAAGAAGGGAUAAAUAAAAUUGAAAUAAAUGACAUGAAAAAUAAAUGAGCCUUCAUAUAUUUCUUGGCCAAUGAAAAGUUGACACUUGGGAUGAGAUAUUCAAGAUAUCUUGUCAUAAAUACAAGAUCCCAUCAGAUAUCUCUUCAUAAAUGUAAGAUCCCGUCAAUAAAUAUCAACCAAUAAAAUUAUGUCAUGUGGCAUUGGAAAAGAACCUGAGAGCCCCUACAGAUCUCUAUAAAUAGAGGGCCUCAACCUAAAGGAGGGGGAUCCCGGGAGAUACAAAUUUCCUUCAAGACAAGCUCUGCAAGCAAGGAAGCUCUCGCUCUCUCUCUCUUCAAGCAAGGAAGCUCUCUCAAAGAGUUCUCAAGCCUCCUUCAUCGACGCUUGAAGUCUACAAAGAAUGAAGCUCUGUUGGAUCAAGCCUAAACGCUCCAUUAGAGUUCUUCAACAACACUUUGAAGACAAAUCAAAGGUACUCUUCAAAGCAUCAAAUCACCAGAGGAUUCCGGGAGAUACAAAUUUCCUUCAAGACAAGCUCUGCAAGCAAGGAAGCUCUCGCUCUCUCUCUCUUCAAGCAAGGAAGCUCUCUCAAAGAGUUCUCAAGCCUCCUUCAUCGACGCUUGAAGUCUACAAAGAACGAAGCUUUGUUGGAUCAAGCCUAAACGCUCCAAUAGAGUUCUUCAACAACACUUUGAAGACAAAUCAAAGGUACUCUGCAAAGCAUCAAAUCACCAGAGGAUUCCGGGAGAUACAAAUUUCCUUCAAGACAAGCUCUGCAAGCAAGGAAGCUCUCGCUCUCUCUCUUCAAGCAAGGAAGCUCUCUCAAAGAGUUCUCAAGCCUCCUUCAUCUACGCUUGAAGUCUACAAAGAACGAAGCUCUGUUGGAUCAAGCCUAAACGCCCCAUAAGAGUUCUUCAACAACACUUUGAAGACACAUUAAAGGUACUCUUCAAAGCAUCAAAUCACCAAAUCUCGCUUCGCAAUAUACGCUCAAAUUCGUGUUCUUGCAAAGCACAAAUCUUGGCUUGAUUACUCAAAUAAAUCAAGUCGCCAUACAUCAAAUCCAAGGGAAGAAUCAGAGGAUUGUCAUAUUCUUUUGAAAGAAUAUAUUACAUAGAGAUUGUACCCAUUCAUAUAUUUAAUAAAAUCAUACAUUUGUACACGUGUGCUUGUUUAAUUUCAGGUGCUCAAAAUUGUGUCCACAGUCACUUAGCAAUGAUCUACUGCUUUACUGUCUAUCUGCUAAUGACAGCAGUAUGAGCAUUAUCUAGAUUAGGAUGUUUUUCAAUUUGUUUUAAGUUUAUCUAGGAUUAGACUAGCUUGUUAUAUAACUCCUUAGAUAAAAGAGAUGAUAGCUGGUAUGUCUCUUUAGUUUUUCACAAUUUUGCAAUGGUUGUUUCCUUCUAUAAAUAAACGACUAGGGAUAGCAGUAACCUAUCGAGACAAUUCUACUCUUUGUUCUCUCCACUGCAAAACUCUGUUCUUUGUUCUUUGCUCUUUUUCUUAGUUCAUUAACUAAAGUUUGUUCUUUAUAUCUUAGUUAUUACAACAAUUGGUAUCAGAGCUUCUUUAAUCUUUGAAGGGUUUAUGAGUGAAAACAUGAGAGAAUAGUAAGGUUAAAUCAAAGCUUUAUGCUUUGAAGGGUUUGUGAGUGAAACACGAGAGAUUAAGUGAGUUUUUUUUAAGCAAUGGAUUCUGCAAAUUUUCCAGCAAAAACACCAGUGUUCACAGGGCAGAAUUAUAGUGUGUGGGCUGUAAAAAUGGAAACGUAUCUCAAAGCUUUUGACUUGUGGAAGAUGGUGGAGAGUGAUAGGCAACCAACUCUACUAGGUAACAAUCCUACGAUUGCACAGAUGAAAUUUUUCAAUGAAGAAAAGGCAAAGCGAUUCAUAGCUUUUACCUGUCUUCAUGAUGCUGUGAGUGAAGAAAUCUUCACAAGGAUUAUGGCUUGUAAAUCUGUCAAAGAAACGUGGGAUAAAUUAAAAGCAGAAUUUCAUGGUGAUGAGAAGGCAAGGAAGAUGCAAGUUUUAAAUCUCAGAAGGCAAUUUGAAGGUCUGAAAUGAAAGAAACCGAUACCUUCAAAGACUUCUCUUCUCAAAUUUCAAAACUUGUGAAUCAAGUGAGACUUUUGGGGGAAGACUUUCCAAACUCAAGAGUAGUAGAGAAGGUUCUGGUAAGUCUACCAGAGAAAUUUAAACAUAAAAUUUGCUCUUUAGAAGAUUCUAAAGAUUUCUCAAAAAUGAGUCUGCAAGAACUAGUAAAUGCAUUGCAAGCUAUGGAGCAAAGACAAGCUUAUAGACAAGAAGGAACAAGUGAAGGAUCUCUUGUUGCAGUUUACAAGGAGAAGAGUCGGGCUAAGAAUUUUUACAGAAACAAUCAAGAAGGAAAAAAAAGAGAAAGGGAAAGGCUGGUAAUCCAAUAACUGGCAACAAAACAACAACAACACCAUCACUAGAGGAAAAGAGAAGAGAGAAGAUUUUCCUCCUUGCAAAUUCUGUCAGAAAACAAAUCAUCUUGAAGCCUGGUGUUGGCUCAAUAAUGCACAAUGCCGAAACUGCAAGCAAUUUGGUCAUAUCCAAAGAUUCUGCAAAAACGAAGCAAAAACUGUAAAACAAGCUCAAGUAGCUGAGGGUUCAAAAGUGGAGGAAAAUCUUUUAUUCAUGGCUACAAUACAGGAGAUGUGUAAUACAGCCAAGGCAAACGACUCAUCAUGGCUUAUUGAUAGUGGCUGCACUAAUCACAUGACUGUAGAUCUAGCUUAUUCAAAGAUUUGGAUAAAAACUAUCUAUCUAGAGUCAGAAUUGGGAAUGAAGACUAUGUGAAGGUCGAAGGAAAAGGCGCAAUUGAAGUGGAAACAAUGUUAGGUACAAAAACUCUAAAAAAUGUUCUUUGUGUACCUAAGAUCAAUCAGAAUCUAGUUAGUGUGGAACAAUUAAUUGUUUAAUGAUGGAGUGUGUGACAUUAAAGAUAAAAAGGGAAUGUUACUGCUCUCUGCUAAAAUUAUGAAUAGAAGUUUUAAUGUUGAUUGGAAAGAAGUAUGUUUGAGUGCCAACACUUGUGAAGACAAUAAGUCUAUUCUUUGGCACAAAUAUUUGGGGCACUUCAAUUAUUUAAAGAGAAUGGUUAACCUGCAAAUGAAUAUACAGGAACAAUAGAGUAUUUGUGAAGCCUGUCAGUUAGGAAAACAAACUACAGUUGUUUUUCCUAACAAUGCAUUCAGAGCACUGUCAAAACUCUAGUCGGUACACACAGAUGUGUGUAGGCCGAUGCAUAAUGAAUCAUUGAAUGGUUCAAAGUAUUUUCUUCUAUUUGUUGAUGAUUAUAGUAGGUUCUGCAGGGUUUACUUUCUGAAAUCAAAAUCUGAUGUGUUUGCUAAGUUUGUUAAAUUCAAAGCAACAGUUGAAUUAGAAAAAGGAAACAAGCUAAAGAUAAUGAGGUCUGACAAUGGAGGUGAGUAUACCUCUCGUCAAUUUGAGGCAUACCUGGCAAAAGAGGGGAUCAAACAUCAUCGGACUAUACCCUAUACACCACAGCAGAAUGGUGUCAGUGAGAUGAGAAACUGGACAUUGAUGGAAAUGGCAAGAUGUUUACUAUAUGAGAAGAAAGUGUCAUUGAAAUUCUGGGCAGAGGCAGUGAACACAACAUCAUAUCUUCUAAAUCGAAUGGCCUCAAUAGUUUUGGGAGACAAAACUCCUUGUGAAAUCUAGUAUGGCUUUAAACCCAACAUUGAUCAUUUAAAAGUGUUUGGCAGUCUUUGUUAUGUUAUGAAACCUGAAGUUAAAAGGAGAAAACUUGAUCAAAAGGCCGAUAUAGGAAUUCUUAUAGGCUAUAGCACAACAUCUAAGGCCUAUAAAAUCUAUGAUCUGAAUUUUAACAAAGUUGUGAUUGCUAGAUAUAUAAAAGUUGUAGAGAAUGCUACAUGAAAUUGGGAAAAUACAUCAAUUGAAGGGUCAAAACAGAUGCAACAAACUGAGUUGGAUGCUGCAAAAAAUGUUGAUGACCAACAAGCUAAGUUGGAUGUUGCAGAAAAUGUUGAUGAUCAACCAGUAAGGGGGACAAAGUUCUUAACUGACAUUUAUAGCAGGUGCAAUGUGGCUGAGGCAGAACCAAUAGGUUUUGAAGAGGUCAUGAAUUCUCAAGUUUGGAUAGUAGCAAUGAAGGAGGAGCUUGCGAUAAUAGGAAAAAAAUCAAACAUGGAUACUGGUUGACAGACCAGCUCAUAAGAAGGUAAUUGGAGUGAAAUGGAUUUUCAAAACCAAAUUGAAUGUAGAUGGUAAGAUCAAUAAGCACAAAGCAAGACUUGUAGUGAAAGGAUAUUCAUAAGAGGCAGGCAUCAAUUUCACAGAAACAUUUGCUCCAGUUUCCAGGCAUGAUACAAUGAAGCUCCUGCUUGCUCUAGCAGCACAAAAUGGUUGGUAUAUCUUUCAGUUGAAUGUUAAGUCUGCAUUUUUUAAUGGUGUUCUAAACGAGGAGAUUUAUGCUGAACAACCUGCUAGGUUUGAAAAACAAAAUUCAACAAACAAAGUGUAUUUAUUGAAGAAGGCAUUAUAUGGACUUAAACAGGCUCGUAGAGCCUGGUACACCAGAUUGGAUAAUCAUCUCUUAAGCUUAGGAUUUAAAAGGAGUAUGAAUGAGGUAACUUUUUAUGUAAAGCAUGUUGAUGGGCAUAAACUUAUCGUAUCAGUCUAUGUAGAUGAUUUGCUGAUUACAGGAGACAAGGAGCAGCUUGUAGAGGAGUUUAAAACCAACAUUAAAGAUAAGUUUGAGAUGAAUGAACUUGGUUUGUUGACAUAUUUUUUAGGAAUGGAAGUAACUCAGUCUGAUCAAGGUUACUUUCUCUAUAAAAAAUGUUUUUCCUUGAAAAUACUGAACAAUUUUGCAAUGGCUAAUUGCAAGCCAGUCAGUACACCUAUGAUACAGGGACAAAAGCUAAUAAAGGAGGAUAGAGCACCAAAAACUGAUGGGAAAGCUUACAGGAGUCUAGUUGGGAGUCUACUGUAUUUAACAGCCACACGUCCAGAUAUUCUGUUUGCUGUGAACUAUCUCUCAAGGUUCAUGCAAAAUCCAAGUCAAAUCCACUUUCUGGCAGCCAAGAGAGUUUUGAGAUAUCUGAAAGGGACUGUAGGAUUUGGCAUGCAUUUUGUGAAAUCUAGCUCUGUCAAUCUUGUUGGUUUUUCUGACAGUGACUGGGGUGGAAGUGAUGAAGGAAUGAUGAGCACCUCAGGUUAUUGUUUUGCUAUGGGAAAUAGUGUGUUCUGUUGGAAUUCAAAGAAGCAAUCAGUGGUGGCACACUUCACGGCAGAGGCUGAAAACAUAGCUGCAUAUGUGGCAGCAAAACAAUUGAUUUGGCUAAGAAAGAUGCUAAGUGAUCUAGACUGCAAUCACCAAAAUUCCACAGUACUGUUCUGUGACAAUACAUCAGCUAUAGCCAUCUCAAAAAAUUCUGUCUUUCAUGACAUGACCAAGCAUAUGAAGAUCAAAUUCCAUGCAAUCAGACAAUUUCAGCAAGAAGGAGAACUAGAGCUACGUUACUGCACCUCUGAAGAACAGCUAGCAGACUUGUUUACCAAGCCUUUAGCCAAAAAUAUAUUUGAAGAUCUAAGAGGAAGAAUUUGAAUGUGUAGCUUUGGAACCAAUUGGAAUGUGUAGCUUUGGGACUAAGAAGGAGUGUUGAAGUUAUGGUACCAAAGCUGGAAAAGGUCACUUAGCAAUGAUCUACUGCUUUACUGUCUAUCUGCUAAUGACAGCAGUAUGAGCAUUGUCUAGAUUAGGAUGUUUUUUAAUUUGUUUUACGUUUAUCUAGGAUUAGACUAGCUUGUUAUAUAACUCCUUAGAUAAAGGAGAUGAUAGCUGGUACGUCUCUUUAGUUUUUUACAAUUCUGCAAUGGUUGUUUCCUUUUAUAAAUAAAAGACUAGGGAUGACAGUAACCUAUCGAGACAAUUCUGCUCUUUGUUCUCUCCACUGCAAAACUUUGUUCUUUGUUCUUUGCUCUUUGUUUUUUUUCUUAGUUCAUUAACUAAAGUUUGUUCUUUAUAUCUUAGUUAUUACAACACAGCUACUGGUUCCACCAUGAGUUCUGCUAUCUUAGAUAUAAUGGAUCCACCCACACUUUCGAUAGCCAUUUUCCACCAGUCUGAAAAUCAGAGAAAUAAGGAUACAGAACGUGAGAGUGAGUCACUACAAGUAAAACAGGGGCAGAGAAAAUGUGAAAAAUAUGUGCGAAAAGCACUGGCAAUCAAUGAAAUAGCGGGAGGAAGAAAAGGAGAAGGCCUUUAGCUCUGUAUGGAAUCCAGCUUCAAAAGCAACAAGACAAGGUAGCAGUGAAGAAGGACCUGAAAUCAUGGCAGCAAAUAAGGAGAGAAAAUAAAGAGAAAAAAUAAUUUUAAUAAAGAAAAUUUUAAAUUUUAAAAAACACGGCUUGCACAAUAUUCCAAACGGUGUCAUCACGGCCAGUGUCACGGGGUUAAUUUUUCGCAACUAAACUUAACCCAAUGCGGCAGUCUAGCCCCAACUAGACUCAGCCUUGCCUCACCCUUUCACUCGUGUUUUCCUACGACUAUGUGUUUCGCUCACUCAAGGAGGUUCUCACACUCGCCUCGUCGUAGACAACAAAUAAACACAAGCAACACAAGCACACUAGAGUUUUACAAGAAUCCCUCUCAACCUUUAUUUAUCUCGUCAACAAAGGAAUACACAAAAAUGGUGUGUGCUAUGCACAAAUCGCAUGCUACACAGCAGAGGCUUGGCAGCCUAUUUAUAGCCAAAUGUGAGAUUCCAUCCUCACCUAUAAUCCCCUAAUUUCGGGGCAUAGUGGAGCAUUAUCUCCCCCAUGAUCACCCUUUACAUGGACUAGUGGAGCACUACCUUCCCCAUUAUCCUUAGUGGGUUGGUGAAGCACUUUGUCCUCCAUUAUCUGGCCCCUCCACCCAUGAUUCUGCCUGCCCUCAUGGCAGCCCCAAUUGUCUGCCUUGCUGUGUCAGCUGCUGACUUAGAAAGUCCAUUGCCUAAGCCCCACGUCCAUGCCAAGUCGCCAGCUCAAAGACUUGCACAGACCCUUGCACGCUGCCUGCCGAAUUCGUUUCUGCCGCAGUCCAUCGCUGCCGAAUUCUAGGCAAUGUGCCUUCGUUGGCGCGCCCCGCGCCUAGACCUCUAACAGCCAGUCUUUAGAAAGUUUGAAAAUUAGCAUGAAAAAGAGGAUAAUAGAGUAGUUAAAAUCAAAACACAUAUAAACAGAGGACAAAAACAGGCAGAGAUGCUGUUUGUUUUUUUAACUGUGUCUGUUUUUUUUAACUGUGUUUGAGUGGUUUAUAAAAUUAUAUUUAAUUUAAAAUUAUUAAAUUAAUAUAUUUUUAGUGUUUUUUUUAUUUUAAUAUAUAUAUAUAUAUAUAAUAUUUUAAUAUGUUUUUAAAUAACAUAAAUAUUUUUAAAAAACAUGUAUAUACUAAAAGAGAAAGGAGUUCUUCCAUUUAUUAUUGUUCACUUAAAUUUAUUUUACUUGUAUGACAAUAGUUUAACUUUUCAAUUUAAUACUUUAUUAUUAUUUAUUUAUUGUGUAUAAUUGUGCUUUUUUGAACUCAAAUUAGAGUUUAAUUACGUAUUUUUUAGGGGUGAGAGUUGAAUUAAAACAUAAAUAACUAAAGUGAAAUACUCGGGUAAAAUAGUUAAUAGCUCUGCAAUUUGGUUGCAAAGUUUGUUUUAAUUAAAAAUUAAAAAAUUAUGUAUCAAACAUUAUUAUAAUAAAUAUGAAAAAACCUAAGAACCAUAGAUUUGAGAAAACUAAAUAAAAACUUAACAAUAUAUAAAUUAAAAAAUAUUAGAUAUUUUAUCCUCAUUCAAUAUUAAUAAGCAAAUCAUUUUAGAAAAUUUAUCUAUUAUAAUAAUACAUAAUUAUUCAUAAAAUAAUUAAUAAUAUUACAAUAAAAAGCUUAAUUUUCUUGAAAACAAUAAAAUAAUUAAAUAAUUAUUUAAAUAUAUUUUUUUUAAUUUUAUCCUUCAAUUUAACCACUUGGGAAUGAGACCUCAGCUAUGACUUUAAAGGCUUUAAGUUUUUAUAAUUAACCUAAGCUAUGAUCGGUCAAUGUUUUUUUCAGUUUUCUUUUCUUUUCUUUUCAAAAAAAAAAAAAACAAAUCAUCAAGGGAAAAAAAUAAAAAGACUUGCAAAGGAGUACAAUUAUUGGAUUCGGAAUGAAUCAACGAAAGAUCAAACUCAACCGAUUAUCUAUGAUGAAUAUGGUGAAGUUUCUGUUGUUUCUGUUGGAGUUUUAUAGAGUUUCACAUAUUAUCUCACGAUUUCAUAUUUCAAUAGCUUUCCUAACAACAAGCGAUAGGAAGAGGGCAGCCUUUGUUCUGCUGUUCACACAGACUAAGAACUCCUACCAUUGGAAAAUCAUAUAAUUAAAACACAACAAUAUAUAAAAAUGUAAUAAGCAGCUGAUUAAUGCUGUUGUUCUUUCUUCUUGUUUUGCUAUUUUGAUUUUAUCAUAUUUUCUUAAGAAAUUAUGAUUGUGUUAUUUUUGAAUCGGACUCCCAUAUAUAAUGAAAGUAAGAACGUUCAUUCCUUUAUAAACAUUGACUUUGAUUUUUCCUUUAUAAAACCAUAAACCUGCAAAUCACGAAAAACUAGAUCAACAUGAAGACUUAUCAGAUCCUAAUGAAAAGCUGUCAAAAUCCUAUCAGAAAUUAAGGAAGAUGACGUUAACUUCAAAUCUGAGGAUUAAUUGUAGCAGAUCUUAUAGAGUUCAGCUGAUUGCUUUACUUGUUUAAAUAAUUCUCUUGUAAGCCUAAUGGUUCACGUCUUCCAUCAUUGCAAACUUUUUUUCUGUGAUUGAAAAAUCUAUAAUAGGAACCUGCACUGCAUCCCUUCUAUGCUGUUGUUCUUUCUUCUUGUUUUGCUAUUUUGAUUUUAUCAUAUUUUCUAUGAUGAAAGUUGAAGAAAUUCUACUUCGAAACUCAAGACAAAGUCUCUCGGACUGCAUAUUAGUGGGUUGCUCAUUGGGAUUUCUAUAAACAACUGAUUCUAAUAUUGCAAAGCAACAUUACGAAAAACUGAAUAUUUCACACAUAGUCUAAUAAAAGUAGAUUCCAUUGUCAAUUCCUUAACAUCUUCCAGACAAAUCCAUGCUCCUCUUGCCAUUCCCUAAUUGCGUUGAGCCAGUUAAUCUGGAUGAAAGAAAGGACUUCGACCUUGAAAUUAGCAUCAUAGUCAUGGAACCUUAAAGCAGACCCAACUUUGUAGCUCAUUACCAGUUACGUAAAAGUUAUCAAUAUCUGUGUAAAUCAUUGAAACUGCCACAAAAUUAAGCAACCCAAAUUAGUUUUGAAUUGGAUUUGAUAAAGGAUAGAGGGAAAGAGGGGAAAAGACAGAUGAAGAUCUGCGCAGGGCUACCUGUUUUGAGAAUUAUGGAUUUUUAUCUCUAACUCAGAGCGGCACCAAUUAUAAGUUCAAUAAAAAAAAUUUGUAACACAACAGAUGGAAAAACUCGAAACAACUCGGCUAGAAUUUAGGAAUGAAAUUCAGAAUGAGCCAAGAUUUUAAGUGAGAUGAAACUCUUUGAAAAAAAAAAUUAAUAUGAAAUAUACUUUUCAUUUUAGUGAAACUCGAGUUUAUUGUGUCAAAGAAAAUGUUCUAAAAAAAGGUUUUGAGCAUUAACAAAAUCUAGUUGUCUAGGCAAUCGACUAUUGUUGCUGUUACAGUUGGUGCAUACUCAAUGACACCAUGGAUUCACAUGGUGCAAUUUUAUUUUUAUUUUUAUAAAAUAUUUCACAAACUCUUAAAUAUACGAAAAACUCUACCUCAACUAAAAUAUAAAAAAAAUUGCAAAGGAAAGAUGCAUAACAUCCAAAAUAAGCAAGAAAUCUAAAAAUAAUAUGGAAGAUCACAAAAAACUACAAAAACUAGGGGUCUUAGCAUGAUUUUUUAUAUCUAAAGAUUCGACAGUCGGUGUGAGAAUUUGAACAUGAUCUAAGAAUUAGAUAAAACAUUAUAGUCCUUUUGAGUUAUUAUUUUGGUCUGACGCGAACAAACCUUUUCUAUUGAUCCAUAAAUUUAAUGCCCCUACAUAUAAAAAGAAAUAGAUAGCUGCUUAACUGAGUUAACACGUUUUGGUUCUUUUUUCAUGAUUCAAGUCGUAAAUUUAGUAUUUUUCCUAGGUUGAUUGUGUGUGAUCUUAUAUAUCAACAUCUUAAUAUUAAACAACAAAAAAUUUCAAGAUUGAUUUUUUUAGGCUGAUCUAUAUUUUACUAAUAGUCUGAGUUGUUUUUGGGUUUUUCAAAUAAAAAAGGAGUUAAACUUAAGAAAAACAACUUAAGAUUAACACUUAAAAUUUAAAAAUUUUAAAAAAAUCAUAAUAAUAAAAUUCUUAAUUUCUGACACCACAACAAGAUGCUUAGAAAGAAGCUAUCUAACAGGAGGGUGGGGCUACUCUUAGCCAAUGAAAACAGCUUCACAUGCAACACAACAACGUCAGCCUGUUUUCUCUUUAAUGAACACCCUCUUGGAUUCUCUAGCAUUAGCCAACAAGGUAUCUGCUUGGAAUUACUUCCACCAAUCUAAGACAUAUCCGCAGCUCCACAGCUCAAACAUGAAUCUCCGUGAAAUCACCUAAGGUCGAGUUGAUCAUGUAAUAGGUAACCAACCUUGCCUGAUGCAAACAUGAAGAACAAAGACCAUCCAUGCAUAUCGCAUACGUUGAUUUAAUUGAACCAUUAAAAGAAGAAGGAAAAGGAGAGCAGACAAAUAAUUGCAGCCAUGUCACCUGGUUUGGGCAAGAAAGAAUUAUUAGACUACCAAUAACCAUCAUCAUCAUCAUCAUCAUAUUACUUCAGCUGGUCCACUCUCUAUUAGUGCUUGAAUCUUCAGCUGGUUGAGAUACCUGUAAACCAAUUCAAGCACGGCAUAUACAUUCUAAAUUGUAAAUCUUAUUAUUGAGCGAAACAAGAAACAAACACACUAAAAGAGAGGCAAGAAAUGAAGUCAAAUCAGCAGCACCUCUGAUUGAGCACUCAUUGAACCACCAUUUGGUGUAAUAGCAAAUUUUAUGGUCAACUUUGAGCAUUCAUACACCUUCAACUUCUCCAAACGAGGGAAUAAGAAAUCACAGCAUCCGAAACUGAAGCAGACAAUACUUGAUAAUUGUUCUAGAGACAACUUUUUUAGAUUAGGAAGCACCAUCUCCUUCUCAACGUUGACAGGUGAAGCAUGAUCAUCCUGCCCAAAGACUCCCAAUAAUUGAGAGGCUUUUGUUACCCUCAGUAUUUGGAGAUUUGGGAGACCUGAAGCCAUGGCUAAUGGGAAGAGACUCUUCAACUUGUUGCAUUCUCUAAUCUCAAUUUCACACAAAUUGGGAAAGCAUAAAGAUUGGAGAUGAUCUCCUAACAAUAUCUGGUCGUUUUCAUCAUCAUCCUUAGCAAUGAUUUGCUCCAAUUCCUCACAGGACAAUAUCUUUAGAACUUUCAGUGGAACUAGACUGACAAUCAUACUGCGUGUGAAUACAUGCGUCAGUCUUUUACACUCAACCACAUUCAAAGUAGUCAAUUUGCUCAACACGAGACCCUUCCAUAGACACCUAAUAUCAGGCACCAGCAGGGAGCGCAAGCGUAAUGUUUCCAAAUUUGUCAACCCCUGCAUCGAAAGGAAACAAGGAUACCUAAUAAAUUUUGUGCACUUUGGAACUAUAUAAUUUUGGUAAAUAGAUGAACGAAUUGUCACCAAUACUUCAGCCAAAAACUUAUCAACAAAAGGAUAUAAGUAGACAUGGCAACAGGGCAUGGGAAUAUGAAAUCAUAAGCUGCAGGACUGAAACAAACAACUCAAUAUUAGCAGAAGGACGUUUAUCUUCCUCUUCAAAUACUUCCAUUAAUUGGGGGAAGAGCCUCAAUUUCACUCAAACUAGGAAAGCAUAAAGAUUGAAAAAUCUCGAUAUCAUUUCAUUACAAUAAUUAAUUUCUUACUUCUUAAGCCCUGCAUCAAGAGACAAGGAAUGAUACAGUUAGACAACUCCUUUUAAAUUUAGUGGAUGGCUAAAGGAUUUAUCUCCACUUAUCAAUUGCUUCAGUUUCAGAAAUUUAAAGGAAGAAAUCAAACAUGUAUUGAAGUUGACAAUUUAAAUUAAAAAGGAAAAAGAUUAUUAGAGAAAUAUAAAGGACGUACUUGGAGCUGUGCAAACAAAUUUCCCAAUUCUUUGUGGCCAUCAAUUUCUAGAAUUUGCAAGGAAGGCAAUUGGGCAGUAAAAUUCUUUGGACCAAAGAAGCUGCAAUUUGAAAGAUACAAUUCUCUUAGCUUAGGGAACUUGAUGAUGCCAUCUCUGGUGAGUGCAUCUCCUUCUCCACUGUAAAAUAUUUGCUUUAAAUUAUGAGCUUUAAAAAUCCGCAUCUCGUUCAGGUUCAGAAGGCUUGGAGACACAGAGACAGGGAGGACAUAUUCCAGUUUACCACAGUCAGAUAUGCUGAUAGUUUUUAAUUUUGGGAAGCCAGGAGACUCUGGAAUUAUUUCCCUUUCACCAUCCUCUUCUCUGAUAAUAUGCUUCAAUUCACCGCAAUCACUCAUGGAAAGUCUUUCUAGCUUUGGCAGACUCUGCGCGAGGGAUGAUGUGAAGAUAAAUGUCAGUUUGUUGAGACACCAAACAUUCAGAUGAACAAGACUUUGGAGGCUGACAUUUCUGGUGGGCCCCUUCCAUAUGCAUUUGAGCUCAGGUAACCUUUGCAGCUGUAACUCUGUUAAAGAUGACAGCAGCGGCAGCUCCUUCUCCUCACUGCUUCCUUCAUCAGCCUCACCUAAUUCAAAUACCUCUUCCAAUGAUUUGCAGCCGUAUAUGUUCACCAUCCUUAGAUUUUUCAAAGCUCGCAGCAAUUUUGCUGGAAACGGAGUGCGAACAUCCGCACAAUCGUCCACGUGUACAUAUUCUAAUCUUUGUAAGAAGCCGUUUUGCUGUCCGAGAACAUUUAUAUGAUUUAUAAAUAGGAGAAAAAAAUAGAAAAAACAUAUUAUUGUUAGAACAAAUUAGAGAUUACAUAUUAUUGUUUCAGUUGUUGUCUUAAUUAGAGAUAAGUUGAAUAAUAAUUAGAUUUUUGCGAAAAAAAGGUUAAUACAACUCGUAAUAAUUAAUUAGUUUCAUGUAAAAAAUAAAAAUAAAAAUAGAAACUAAUAUUUUUAUUUUAGUUAUAAAGUUAAUAAAUUUUUAAAGAUAUUUUAAUUGAAUUAAAUAUUUGAACACAAAAGUUAUGUUCUUAUAUAUUAAAUCUAACAGGCAAUAUGAUUUCUAUGAUUAAUUGUUGGUAUUAAUAACGCAAACAACAAUGAGGCAGUUUAGUUUCUUAUAUUUAUGUUUAGAUAAAAAAAAAAUAAGCAGUGACGAAGAAAGAAUAAAUCUAUGUUUGUUAUAUAAUUAAAAAAAAAAACUUGGAUUUCCUAGCAUUUAUCAAUUACUUUACUUUAAGAAAUUUGGAGGCAGAAAGAAUAAAUUAUCGCAAUUGACAAUUUAAAUUAGUGGAGAAAUAUAAAUUACGUACUUGUAGCUGUGCCAACCAAUUACCCACUUCUUCGUGGCCUUUAAUGGUUAAUUCUUGCAAAGGCAAUUGAGCAUCAAAAUUCCUUGGACCUAAAAAGCUGUAAUUUGAUCCGAGCUUAAGAGACAAUUCUCUUAGUUGAGGGAACUUGAUGAUGCCAUCUCUGUCAUGAGAUAAAGAGACUGGCAAGACAUAUUCCAGUUUAUCACAGAAAUAUAUGUUGAUAUUUUUUAAUUCUGGGAAGCAAGGAGACUCUGGAAUUAUUUCCCUUUCACCUUCCUCUUCUCUGAUAAUAUGCUUCAAUUCACCGCAAUUUCUUAUGUAAAGGCCUUCUAGCUUUGACAAACUUCGAGCGAGGGGCGGUGUGAAGAUAAAUGUCAGUUUGUGGAGAGAAAACAACUCCAGAUGAGCAAGAUUUUGGAGGCUGAUAUGUCCGGUGGGCCAUAUGCAUUUGAGCUCAGGUAACCAUCGCAGCUUUAACUCUGUUAAAGAUGACAGCAGCGGCAGCUCCUUCUCCUCACUGCUUCCUUCAUCAGCCUCACCCAAUUCAAACACCUCUUCCAAUGAUUUACAGCUGUCAACAAUCACCUCCUUCAGAUUUUUUAAACCUUGCCGCAAUCUUGCUGGAAACAGAGUGAAAACAUCCCCACAAUGCGUCACUUCUACAAAUUCUAAUUUAUGUAAAAACAAUUGCUCAAAUGUCUUCGCAUUUAAGGAUGUACCAGCCAAAAUUAAUCUUGUCGAGGUUGGGUAUCCAUAAUUGGCUGCCACAAACGGAUUCCCUAAUAUUAUAUCAUAUUUGCGCAAGCUAACUGGAAAAACAAAAUCUCUGGGAGUGCAUUCAACCUUCGGGAUCCUCAAUGAUAAUACGGCUAACUGAGACAACGAAUUUAGUUCUGUCAGGCUUGCAUUCAUUCCUCCGGUGCUGUCACAUCCAACAACAUCCCAUCCAUCAAAGCUGCGAUGCCCGAUCAACAGCUCUUCUAACUUCUUCAACCUUCCAAUCAAAUUCACAGGGAUCCUUCUUAGCCUUU
RNAcentral lists this long non-coding RNA (418055 nucleotides) under Populus trichocarpa (black cottonwood). Its description in RNAcentral is "long non-coding RNA (PTRI_LNC000450)". The stretch from base 132846 to 133001 matches the Rfam family "MIR2912 microRNA precursor family". Lineage: Eukaryota; Viridiplantae; Streptophyta; Magnoliopsida; Malpighiales; Salicaceae. The record is from RNAcentral.